UUUUUUUUUUUUUUCGUUGAGCUUUUUCUUUAGGGUCCCUUAGAUGUCUUUUCUUAAUUUGAUGUUUUGUGCCUGAUCUUUAAUUUUCUCUCUCCUCAUCAUCUUGGCUAUGAGCUUGCACAUGCUUUUUUCCAGCGACUCCAUGGUGGUGUUUGAUUUGUGGUUCCCCAUAGUGUGCUGUAUUUGUAUUGGUCAGUAUGCUAAAUUUUAAGUGAGUUGCCGUUUGAAGUAAUCAAAUCUUCUCAGUGAUCUUAGUUGGUUAUGUUGGUGAGUUGGCAUGGUAUAAUUCCUCUAUUUGUGGCAUUACCCAGUUUAAGGAGCUUGCUAUUUGUAUGGGUUUCUCUUGCUGCAAAGAUGAGAAUGCUUUUUAUUGGAGGAUGUCCAAGCAAGAAUGAGUGUUCAGGGGGUUGUCUUGCCUCUUCCAAUAUUGGUUCUCUUUGUAUCAAGUAGUGAGAGUGUUGUUAUAACUUUGAGAUCUUUCCUUGACAGGUUUCCUUGAUUGCAGUGUUAAAUUGUGGAGCAUAAUGAAAUCAAUUGGAUAAUACUGAUCUUGGAAGUAUUCUCUUCUUCUUCUCCUGCCCUUUUGUGUUUUUUUCUUUUUUUUCCGUUGAGCUUUUUCUUUGGGGUCCCUUAGUUGUCUUUUCUUAAUUUGAUGUUUUGUGCCUGAUCUUUAAUUUUCUCUCUCCUCAUCAUCUUGGCUAUGAGCUUACACAUGCUUUUUUCCAGCGACUCCAUGUUGGUGUUUGAUUUGUGGUUCCCCAUAGUGUGCUGUAUUUGUAUUGGUCGGUAUGCUAAAUUUUGUAUUUUACUUAAACUGCUUUGAAUUGUACCCAUGAGUUGCCGUUUGAAGUAAUCAAAUCUUCUCAGUGAUCUUAGUAGGUUAUGUUGGUGAAUUGGUAUGGUAUAAUUCCUCUAUUUGUGGCAUCACCCAGUUUAAGGAGCUUGCUAUUUGUAUGGGUUUCUCUUGCUGCAAAGAUGAGAAUGCUUUUUGUUGGAGGAUGUCAAAGCAAGAAUGAGUGUUCAGGGGGUUGUCUUGCCUCUUCCAAUAUUGGUUCUUUCUUUGUAUCAAGUAGUGAGAGUGUUGUUAUAACUUUGAGAUCUUUCCUUGACAGGUUUCCUUGAUUACAGUGUUAAAUUGUGGAGCAUAAUGAAAUCAAUUGGAUGAUACUGAUCUUGGAAGUAUUCUCUUCUUCUCCUGCUCUUUUGUGUUUUUUUCUUUUUUUUCCAUUGAGCUUUUUCUUAGGGGUCCCUUAGUUGUCUUUUCUUAAUUUGAUGUUUUGUGCCUGAUCUUUAAUUUUCUGUCUCCUCAUCAUCUUGGCUAUGAGCUUGCACAUGCUUUUUUCCAGCGACUCCAUGGUGGUGUUUGAUUUGUGGUUCCCCAUAAUGUGCUGUAUUUGUAUUGGCUGGUAUGCUAAAUUUUGUAUUUUACUUAAACUGCUUUGAAUUGUACCCAUGAGUUGCCGUUUGAAGUAAUCAGAUCUUCUCAGUGAUCUUAGUUGGUUAUGUUGGUNNNNNNNNNNNNNNNNNNNNNNNNNNNNNNNNNNNNNNNNNNNNNNNNNNNNNNNNNNNNNNNNNNNNNNNNNNNNNNNNNNNNNNNNNNNNNNNNNNNNNNNNNNNNNNNNNNNNNNNNNNNNNNNNNNNNNNNNNNNNNNNNNNNNNNNNNNNNNNNNNNNNNNNNNNNNNNNNNNNNNNNNNNNNNNNNNNNNNNNNNNNNNNNNNNNNNNNNNNNNNNNNNNNNNNNNNNNNNNNNNNNNNNNNNNNNNNNNNNNNNNNNNNNNNNNNNNNNNNNNNNNNNNNNNNNNNNNNNNNNNNNNNNNNNNNNNNNNNNNNNNNNNNNNNNNNNNNNNNNNNNNNNNNNNNNNNNNNNNNNNNNNNNNNNNNNNNNNNNNNNNNNNNNNNNNNNNNNNNNNNNNNNNNNNNNNNNNNNNNNNNNNNNNNNNNNNNNNNNNNNNNNNNNNNNNNNNNNNNNNNNNNNNNNNNNNNNNNNNNNNNNNNNNNNNNNNNNNNNNNNNNNNNNNNNNNNNNNNNNNNNNNNNNNNNNNNNNNNNNNNNNNNNNNNNNNNNNNNNNNNNNNNNNNNNNNNNNNNNNNNNNNNNNNNNNNNNNNNNNNNNNNNNNNNNNNNNNNNNNNNNNNNNNNNNNNNNNNNNNNNNNNNNNNNNNNNNNNNNNNNNNNNNNNNNNNNNNNNNNNNNNNNNNNNNNNNNNNNNNNNNNNNNNNNNNNNNNNNNNNNNNNNNNNNNNNNNNNNNNNNNNNNNNNNNNNNNNNNNNNNNNNNNNNNNNNNNNNNNNNNNNNNNNNNNNNNNNNNNNNNNNNNNNNNNNNNNNNNNNNNNNNNNNNNNNNNNNNNNNNNNNNNNNNNNNNNNNNNNNNNNNNNNNNNNNNNNNNNNNNNNNNNNNNNNNNNNNNNNNNNNNNNNNNNNNNNNNNNNNNNNNNNNNNNNNNNNNNNNNNNNNNNNNNNNNNNNNNNNNNNNNNNNNNNNNNNNNNNNNNNNNNNNNNNNNNNNNNNNNNGAUAGGCAAGAAGGAGGAGAGGCUGACACAUCUGACACCUCUGUGCCAGGUAUGCUCAUGAUUGAGUGAUCUGAUAUGUGUUUGUAUGAACUAAAGUAGGCUAUCAGUUAUGUGAUAAAAGUAAGUAAGAUCGAGCAGAAAAGAAUACAUAAGAGUAGGAAUAAGGUCAGAAAGAGGUUAGAGCCAGUCUGAGAUUGGGUGGUAGUUGAGGCAGAGAAAAGGGUUAGUCUUUUCUGGAAAGAUUCCCGAGGGAAGUUCCAUUAGUUUGAGUUUGGAUCUUCACCCUGACGUAAUAGGAGACUAACACAUCGAAUACGAUGACGUUAGGUACGGUCAUUUGUAAGUAUUCGGAUGUGUAUGCUGUUUGUGUUGGACCCCAGUGUUUCGCUUUCCUUGUUGUUGUGAGCUGUUGGUAGGGUUUGAUGACUUCUGGGCUUAGAGUGUGUUUCUUGGGUCAGUGGACCUAAGUGUCUGAUCCAUCUGAAGCAGAGUCAGUCAGUUUAGUUUAGAGUUUGUGGUGAGUAGAUGCAAUCCAGCUGACCUGAUGGUUCUAGAGUUGACUGUGUCAUUCUAGGGCGGAUUGGCUAGUUACUCACAGUACUACCUGUGUCCGUAGCGACAAGGUAGGAGAGUUCAGGGUAUCGGAUGGAUCGGUGGUAGUCCUUUAGAAGGACAGUGUAUAGAGGUGCCUCGAAGUUGAUGUCAGCCCUACAGGCUCACAGUUAUUCAGGAAAGGUUAUCAGAGGGUUGUUUUAACUCGUGUGAGUACGUAUGUCAGGAUAGGGAAUCAGCCUCAGUGCCAGUGCUAGUGGGUACGAGUAGCCUGUCAGGUUUACCAUCUGGUAGGAAAUUUGAGAUGGGAGUGAAAAUGGUAUCUGGACGCAGAACCAAUUCGUUCUUGCCUUUUCCUACAGAAUGGCACCUGCAGAGAGAGCUAAGAGUUAUCAGAAUAGUGGAAAGUUGGGGUAGAUAAGGUUUUAUCUGACUUAGUACUUCACCCUGGAAUGUUUCCAGUGUUGUUGUGGGAAACGAAGGAUGAUUCCUUAAGUGUUGAUUGUUACAGAUUCGUAUUCCUAGUGAGAGUUGCACAAAGAGAGUCGUUUAGUGAAGAAGAAAGGUAAAGAGUAAGGAUCAGAGUAGCGCAGCGAAAGCUGUGGAGUUCAGAAAAAAGCGUAGAAUACUAAUUCUGGAGUAUGGACUCAGAUCAGGAAGUAGAGUUUCAGAAAUGCUUUUGGUACAGAGCAGCAGUGUUAGGCUUUACUUGCCUGUUAUUUGUUUGUUUUGUGUUUACAUUCGAGGACGAAUGUUGUUAUAAGGGGGGUAGAUUGUAAUACCCGGCUCGUUCAGGCAUCGGACUUCCUUCCGUCAGGUGGAAUCUCGGAUGUCGGAUUCGUUUUGAGGGGUAUUGCAAGGGUAACCUAAAGGUUUUACAAGGUUUUAGCAAGGUUAUGUUUUAAGUGUUUUCCGGUUUNNNNNNNNNNNNNNNNNNNNNNNNNNNNNNNNNNNNNNNNNNNNNNNNNNNNNNNNNNNNNNNNNNNNNNNNNNNNNNNNNNNNNNNNNNNNNNNNNNNNNNNNNNNNNNNNNNNNNNNNNNNNNNNNNNNNNNNNNNNNNNNNNNNNNNNNNNNNNNNNNNNNNNNNNNNNNNNNNNNNNNNNNNNNNNNNNNNNNNNNNNNNNNNNNNNNNNNNNNNNNNNNNNNNNNNNNNNNNNNNNNNNNNNNNNNNNNNNNNNNNNNNNNNNNNNNNNNNNNNNNNNNNNNNNNNNNNNNNNNNNNNNNNNNNNNNNNNNNNNNNNNNNNNNNNNNNNNNNNNNNNNNNNNNNNNNNNNNNNNNNNNNNNNNNNNNNNNNNNNNNNNNNNNNNNNNNNNNNNNNNNNNNNNNNNNNNNNNNNNNNNNNNNNNNNNNNNNNNNNNNNNNNNNNNNNNNNNNNNNNNNNNNNNNNNNNNNNNNNNNNNNNNNNNNNNNNNNNNNNNNNNNNNNNNNNNNNNNNNNNNNNNNNNNNNNNNNNNNNNNNNNNNNNNNNNNNNNNNNNNNNNNNNNNNNNNNNNNNNNNNNNNNNNNNNNNNNNNNNNNNNNNNNNNNNNNNNNNNNNNNNNNNNNNNNNNNNNNNNNNNNNNNNNNNNNNNNNNNNNNNNNNNNNNNNNNNNNNNNNNNNNNNNNNNNNNNNNNNNNNNNNNNNNNNNNNNNNNNNNNNNNNNNNNNNNNNNNNNNNNNNNNNNNNNNNNNNNNNNNNNNNNNNNNNNNNNNNNNNNNNNNNNNNNNNNNNNNNNNNNNNNNNNNNNNNNNNNNNNNNNNNNNNNNNNNNNNNNNNNNNNNNNNNNNNNNNNNNNNNNNNNNNNNNNNNNNNNNNNNNNNNNNNNNNNNNNNNNNNNNNNNNNNNNNNNNNNNNNNNNNNNNNNNNNNNNNNNNNNNNNNNNNNNNNNNNNNNNNNNNNNNNNNNNNNNNNNNNNNNNNNNNNNNNNNNNNNNNNNNNNNNNNNNNNNNNNNNNNNNNNNNNNNNNNNNNNNNNNNNNNNNNNNNNNNNNNNNNNNNNNNNNNNNNNNNNNNNNNNNNNNNNNNNNNNNNNNNNNNNNNNNNNNNNNNNNNNNNNNNNNNNNNNNNNNNNNNNNNNNNNNNNNNNNNNNNNNNNNNNNNNNNNNNNNNNNNNNNNNNNNNNNNNNNNNNNNNNNNNNNNNNNNNNNNNNNNNNNNNNNNNNNNNNNNNNNNNNNNNNNNNNNNNNNNNNNNNNNNNNNNNNNNNNNNNNNNNNNNNNNNNNNNNNNNNNNNNNNNNNNNNNNNNNNNNNNNNNNNNNNNNNNNNNNNNNNNNNNNNNNNNNNNNNNNNNNNNNNNNNNNNNNNNNNNNNNNNNNNNNNNNNNNNNNNNNNNNNNNNNNNNNNNNNNNNNNNNNNNNNNNNNNNNNNNNNNNNNNNNNNNNNNNNNNNNNNNNNNNNNNNNNNNNNNNNNNNNNNNNNNNNNNNNNNNNNNNNNNNNNNNNNNNNNNNNNNNNNNNNNNNNNNNNNNNNNNNNNNNNNNNNNNNNNNNNNNNNNNNNNNNNNNNNNNNNNNNNNNNNNNNNNNNNNNNNNNNNNNNNNNNNNNNNNNNNNNNNNNNNNNNNNNNNNNNNNNNNNNNNNNNNNNNNNNNNNNNNNNNNNNNNNNNNNNNNNNNNNNNNNNNNNNNNNNNNNNNNNNNNNNNNNNNNNNNNNNNNNNNNNNNNNNNNNNNNNNNNNNNNNNNNNNNNNNNNNNNNNNNNNNNNNNNNNNNNNNNNNNNNNNNNNNNNNNNNNNNNNNNNNNNNNNNNNNNNNNNNNNNNNNNNNNNNNNNNNNNNNNNNNNNNNNNNNNNNNNNNNNNNNNNNNNNNNNNNNNNNNNNNNNNNNNNNNNNNNNNNNNNNNNNNNNNNNNNNNNNNNNNNNNNNNNNNNNNNNNNNNNNNNNNNNNNNNNNNNNNNNNNNNNNNNNNNNNNNNNNNNNNNNNNNNNNNNNNNNNNNNNNNNNNNNNNNNNNNNNNNNNNNNNNNNNNNNNNNNNNNNNNNNNNNNNNNNNNNNNNNNNNNNNNNNNNNNNNNNNNNNNNNNNNNNNNNNNNNNNNNNNNNNNNNNNNNNNNNNNNNNNNNNNNNNNNNNNNNNNNNNNNNNNNNNNNNNNNNNNNNNNNNNNNNNNNNNNNNNNNNNNNNNNNNNNNNNNNNNNNNNNNNNNNNNNNNNNNNNNNNNNNNNNNNNNNNNNNNNNNNNNNNNNNNNNNNNNNNNNNNNNNNNNNNNNNNNNNNNNNNNNNNNNNNNNNNNNNNNNNNNNNNNNNNNNNNNNNNNNNNNNNNNNNNNNNNNNNNNNNNNNNNNNNNNNNNNNUGGUAGUUUUAAAGACAAGUUUUAAUAAGGUAUAGUCCAGUCGGAUCAUGUAUGGGAUUUUAACAGGUACACAGAGUUCAUAGCAGGCUUACUACGGGUCCCGGCGGCCUUAAGCCAAUCUGGAUCCUAGUGCCGAGCAGUUUGGGCCGUUACAAAGAGGGUACCGGUUUCCGGGCUGUUACAGAGGAUGGUUCCCUAACCUGACUGUCUAGCUCUCUCACAUAAGCUAGGAACCCCUGACACCCCUUCCUUAACAUCCUACGAGCCUGGAGGGCUGAUAUCAAACCCCUAGGUGUCCCUCUCCUGUCUCCUCUGAAGACACACUCUGACCCAUCCUGGUCUCUGACACUGACUACCUUGUCUCUACAGUUCAGGGUAGCAUCAUACGUAGAUAACCAGUCCAUCCCUAGAAUGACAUCAAAAUCUGUCAACUCUAAAACCACCAGGUCAGCUGGAAGGUAUCUACCCUCUAUGCACACUGGACUGAACCGACAGACUGACUCUGCCAAAGAUGGAUCACAUUUGGGUCCACUGACCCAUAGAGGACACUCUAACUCAGACACCAUCAGACCCAACCUCUCUGCAGCUCUAGAAGAAAUGAAAGAGUGAGAAGCACCGGGGUCCAUUAAAGCAUACACCUCUGAACACCCAAUGAUGAGAUUACCUGACACCACCGUGUUCGAAGUGUCUGACUCCUGCUGAGUCAGGGUGAAAAUUCGUGCUGGGGCUGACGGACCUGCACCUCGGGAACCCAUCCCUGAUGAAGAGGCUGCCCCUCUUCCUCUUCCUCUGCCACUGCUUGGUGGUAUGGCUGAAGCUACUGGCUGUACUACACUGCCCGCACUCAUCUGUUGGGAUGGUGCAACCAAAGUCGCCUGAGGACAUUCCCGUGCAUAAUGUCCCUCCUGUCCACAUCUAUAGCAGGCUGUGGAUCCCAACUGACAAGCUCCUCUAUGCUGUUUGCCACACCUCUUGCACACUGGAAAAUCUGCGCCAGAACUGGAGCCACUACUCAUUCCCAGACCCGACUUAAGCCUGUUCCAGAACUUGCCUCUCUUUCCUCAGAAUUUCUCCCAUCUCUUCUUACUCGCACUUGCCGUACCAGAAGCCUGUGUCUUUGCUUGCUUGACUACUCCCUGACUUAUGGCACUGGCCUCCAUCUUUCUAGCAGCAUCCACAAUAGAGUGGAAACUUUCCUUCUCUGCAUGAAGAAUCAAAGAGAAAUACCUGGGAUGAAGCCUUGUGGCAUAUCUCUUUGCCUUCUUCUGAUCUGUAUCAUAUGCCUGACCGACAUAUGGCAACAAGUCCAGGAACUUAUCUGUAUAUUCAUCAACGCUCAUCUCCUCCGUCUGUCUCAACUGCUCAAACUCCACAACCUUUAGUUCCCUGAAACUGUCAGGAAAAGCCCAUCCAGCAAAUUCGUUGGCGAACUCUUCCCAUGUCAUACACUCCAAUCUCGGGUCCACAUAGUUCUUGAACCAUUCUCUAGCUUUCUUGCACUUUAAAGUGAACCCUACCAUCUCAAUGGCUCUACCGUCAUCUGCUCCCAACUCACUUGUUAUCAUUCUGACUGCACUGAGAUACUCAAAGGGAUCAUCUCCUGUAUUGAAUUUAGGAGCAUCCAACUUUAAGUACUCGGUCAUCUUCACCUUACUUCCCCCUGAAGAACUGGGUUGUUGUGCUUCCACAACAGGGGCUACUGGUUCAGGAGGUGGUGGUGGAGGAACUGGUUCCCUCACUUCAGGCUGUACUGGACUUGGAUGAACAGGUGGGGGUGGAUACAUGUGAUAUGGUGGAUAGAAGGAAGGAUAGGGCAUAUAUGGCAUGUAGGGUGGAUAUGGGGCAAAGCUGGAGUAAUCCGACGUGCCUCCCAUCGGAUACUCUGGGCCCUGAGGAAAGGGUGGAUAGCCAAACUCCGAGGCCUGUGCGCCUCCCUGGGACUCCCCCAUACCUUCUUCUGACCUUCCUACACCCAUGCUUCCAUCUCUACUCUAAUCCUCUUCCAUCCCACCUCUUUCUUCUACUGACCUUCCCCCUCUGCUUACUCCUCUCCUGCUCUCGUCAGAAGACCUUCUAGGGUCUCGUGACGUUCCUUCCCUGCUUGACCUGUGAGAUCUUGCCCUUGGCAAGGCAGGUGGACGAGCAGCUGUACCUUCACUUACAGGUGGGACUCCAGUCAAUCUCGCGGAUCGACGAGUUCCUCGCAUCUUCACUCGCUGGAAAAACAACAAAUCACAUAACACAUAAGCAACACAUCAAAAAAAAAAAUGCACAUGCAGAAAUCAUGGCAUUGCACAUCAGUAUAUAGACAGGACUAACAUCCUAUCCUCGUGGACAUGUUUUUCCUAUGAUGCUUGACCUGCUAAACCUCUCUAUGAGCCCAACUCUCUCUCUAUAGGUCCGACCAUGUGAACCUAGGGCUCUGAUACCAAUCUGUAACAGCCCGGAAACCGAACUGCUACCGGCACUAGGAUCCAGAUCGACUUAAGGUCGCCGGGACCCGUAGUAAGCCUGCUAUGAACUCUGUGUACCUGUGAAAUCCCAUACAUGAUCAAACAUUUUCUGUAAAAAUGAACACUUUUCUCAUACCAAGGCUUACCCUGUGCAAAUACUGUCACGGUACUACAAAACGCCAGCCAGAGCUCUCCUCUAUGCUCAAGGCGGCUCAACUCCUCUAUAUUAAGCCUGGUUCUUCCAUAUAUACAACACAUAUAUGUAAACAUAAACUGAUCAUGUGAAAAGAACAAGGGAUUACAACUCUUAUAGUCAAGCACCAUUCUAUACACUAUACAUAAACCUUAUCUCUUUACAUUUACAUGUCCACACUAGCUAUUACAAUACUCUGUACUCUUCCUGUACCCUGCUGAGUUCUCUCUGACCUCUGAACCUGCACAACUGGAGUUAGGGGAGAGGGAUGAGCUACUAUAGCCCAGUGAGUAGAAUAGUAAUAAAAUCACAAGUGAUAAAACAUGCUCUCAUGGAAUGCAUCACAUCUCAAGUAAGCACAUCACCUCGGCCGGACGGAUCAAAACUCCCUCUAUCUCAUCUGGGGUACCGGAGUACCAUGUGCCUGGCCCCCGUAGGGCUGUUCCAGGUCUUUGUGCCUGGUCCCCGUAGGGCUGUUCCAGGUCUUUCCUCUGAGGGCUAAUGAAUCCUCACGAAGUCCGUGCCGUCUCACAUAAGCAAUGUACAAGGAGCCAUGCCAAGUACAAGGAUAGAUGCAAUGCGUCAUAUUCGUGUACACUAAUGCACUCACCCUANNNNNNNNNNNNNNNNNNNNNNNNNNNNNNNNNNNNNNNNNNNNNNNNNNNNNNNNNNNNNNNNNNNNNNNNNNNNNNNNNNNNNNNNNNNNNNNNNNNNNNNNNNNNNNNNNNNNNNNNNNNNNNNNNNNNNNNNNNNNNNNNNNNNNNNNNNNNNNNNNNNNNNNNNNNNNNNNNNNNNNNNNNNNNNNNNNNNNNNNNNNNNNNNNNNNNNNNNNNNNNNNNNNNNNNNNNNNNNNNNNNNNNNNNNNNNNNNNNNNNNNNNNNNNNNNNNNNNNNNNNNNNNNNNNNNNNNNNNNNNNNNNNNNNNNNNNNNNNNNNNNNNNNNNNNNNNNNNNNNNNNNNNNNNNNNNNNNNNNNNNNNNNNNNNNNNNNNNNNNNNNNNNNNNNNNNNNNNNNNNNNNNNNNNNNNNNNNNNNNNNNNNNNNNNNNNNNNNNNNNNNNNNNNNNNNNNNNNNNNNNNNNNNNNNNNNNNNNNNNNNNNNNNNNNNNNNNNNNNNNNNNNNNNNNNNNNNNNNNNNNNNNNNNNNNNNNNNNNNNNNNNNNNNNNNNNNNNNNNNNNNNNNNNNNNNNNNNNNNNNNNNNNNNNNNNNNNNNNNNNNNNNNNNNNNNNNNNNNNNNNNNNNNNNNNNNNNNNNNNNNNNNNNNNNNNNNNNNNNNNNNNNNNNNNNNNNNNNNNNNNNNNNNNNNNNNNNNNNNNNNNNNNNNNNNNNNNNNNNNNNNNNNNNNNNNNNNNNNNNNNNNNNNNNNNNNNNNNNNNNNNNNNNNNNNNNNNNNNNNNNNNNNNNNNNNNNNNNNNNNNNNNNNNNNNNNNNNNNNNNNNNNNNNNNNNNNNNNNNNNNNNNNNNNNNNNNNNNNNNNNNNNNNNNNNNNNNNNNNNNNNNNNNNNNNNNNNNNNNNNNNNNNNNNNNNNNNNNNNNNNNNNNNNNNNNNNNNNNNNNNNNNNNNNNNNNNNNNNNNNNNNNNNNNNNNNNNNNNNNNNNNNNNNNNNNNNNNNNNNNNNNNNNNNNNNNNNNNNNNNNNNNNNNNNNNNNNNNNNNNNNNNNNNNNNNNNNNNNNNNNNNNNNNNNNNNNNNNNNNNNNNNNNNNNNNNNNNNNNNNNNNNNNNNNNNNNNNNNNNNNNNNNNNNNNNNNNNNNNNNNNNNNNNNNNNNNNNNNNNNNNNNNNNNNNNNNNNNNNNNNNNNNNNNNNNNNNNNNNNNNNNNNNNNNNNNNNNNNNNNNNNNNNNNNNNNNNNNNNNNNNNNNNNNNNNNNNNNNNNNNNNNNNNNNNNNNNNNNNNNNNNNNNNNNNNNNNNNNNNNNNNNNNNNNNNNNNNNNNNNNNNNNNNNNNNNNNNNNNNNNNNNNNNNNNNNNNNNNNNNNNNNNNNNNNNNNNNNNNNNNNNNNNNNNNNNNNNNNNNNNNNNNNNNNNNNNNNNNNNNNNNNNNNNNNNNNNNNNNNNNNNNNNNNNNNNNNNNNNNNNNNNNNNNNNNNNNNNNNNNNNNNNNNNNNNNNNNNNNNNNNNNNNNNNNNNNNNNNNNNNNNNNNNNNNNNNNNNNNNNNNNNNNNNNNNNNNNNNNNNNNNNNNNNNNNNNNNNNNNNNNNNNNNNNNNNNNNNNNNNNNNNNNNNNNNNNNNNNNNNNNNNNNNNNNNNNNNNNNNNNNNNNNNNNNNNNNNNNNNNNNNNNNNNNNNNNNNNNNNNNNNNNNNNNNNNNNNNNNNNNNNNNNNNNNNNNNNNNNNNNNNNNNNNNNNNNNNNNNNNNNNNNNNNNNNNNNNNNNNNNNNNNNNNNNNNNNNNNNNNNNNNNNNNNNNNNNNNNNNNNNNNNNNNNNNNNNNNNNNNNNNNNNNNNNNNNNNNNNNNNNNNNNNNNNNNNNNNNNNNNNNNNNNNNNNNNNNNNNNNNNNNNNNNNNNNNNNNNNNNNNNNNNNNNNNNNNNNNNNNNNNNNNNNNNNNNNNNNNNNNNNNNNNNNNNNNNNNNNNNNNNNNNNNNNNNNNNNNNNNNNNNNNNNNNNNNNNNNNNNNNNNNNNNNNNNNNNNNNNNNNNNNNNNNNNNNNNCUUUCCAUUCCAACAUGCAUAUAACUCAUCCAAAUCAUGCAAAUAUACAUACAUUGGCUCCUAGGGGCUUCAAACUAACUUAAACCCCAACUACAACACACAACAACAACACAUUGCUCAAAAACACAACAUAAACUCAAAAACCUAACUAUGAGCUAAACAUGCAUUCUACCCCAUAGAUCUUGUAUAAAACUUACUUUAAACAUGAAAUGAGCUUAAGAUCGGCUCUUACAUCUUGAAGAUCGAGGGAGAGACGUCCUAAACUCGGAGGUGGGAGAGAUUUGAGUUCUUGAACCUCAAAUCUCCAAAACUUGCUCAAAACUUGAAAAUCUUCAAAACAAGAUGAAAACUUGUUAAAAUCGUGAAAGAUUUGAAGGAAAUAACUCAAGGAUGGUGAGGAACAGCGGAAGGGCUCACCUUGGCCGAAAAUGGGGAGAAAGCUCGCCCAUUUCGGCUAAGGGGCUCUUUUAUAGUGGCUGGCCAGGCCACAUUCGGGAGCCGAACGUGCCUCCGCAUGCAUGCCAUGUUCGGCGGCCGAACCUGGACUUUCCUCAACCUAUGCCUUCGGGGGCCUAAGGCACACCCGAAAUGCCUGCAUGUUCGGCGGCCGAACCUGAGGUUCGGCGGCCGAACCUGGGUUUUCCUCCAAGGUUGUUUUUAUUCAAAAACUCAUUUCCUCUUUACUUAAAACCAUCAAAAACAUUAAAACAUUUCAUGAAAACAUGGUUUUACCCCUUCUAGAGGUCUCCGACAUCCGAGAUUCCACCGGACGGUAGGAAUUCCGAUACCGGAGUCUAGCCGGGUAUUACACAUCAUAUCGACAUUUUCGUCAUCACUUAAUUGUAUUAACCCUUAUUUUAUAAUAGCAUUAUCCAACAUUAGUCGUCUACAAAUAAUUCUUGCAAUCAAUUCCUCACAAGUUAAUAAUCUAAUAACACGAACGAUUUUAAUCACUAAUUCUUCAUAUUUUAAUUUUCUUUCAAUAUAAAAUAUUUUGGAUUUUCCAUCGGCAUAAUCAUACUCCACAUCAAAAUUAAUUAUAUAUCCCCCAAAACACAAUACUAUAGCACUGAAUAGUCAUUUGUCUUCCUAAUUCACCUGCUAAAUAAUUAUAGUUGAAAAAAUUACAAACUAAACAAAUUAAUAUACUAUAUUAAUUAAACAAAUAAAUAAAGACAACCAUUAUAAUUUAAUUUAUCACUACACAAAAUUUUCCAACAAUAUAUAUAAAAAUUUAAGACCUUUAUUUAUAAAUUUUUUUAUUUUUAUCACAUUUUUAAUAAAAUUUAAAAAUUUAGUAUUAUUGAUAAAAAAAUUUACAAUCCUAAUUAUAUUUAAACAUAAUUAUAAAUAAUAAAAAUAUAAGAUAACAAUUAAUAAUAUAUUAUACUUUCUAAAUAAAAAUAACAAAAGAUUUCAUAUAAAAUUAAAUUUUUCAAUUUUUAAAUUUAUUCUUAUAAAAAACUUUUUAACAAUAUAUAUAAAAAUUUAAGUCAUUUAUUCGUAAAUUUUCUAUUUUUAUCACAUUUUAAAUAAAUACUACUAUUGGCGAAAAAUUUACAAUCCUAAUUAUAUUUAAUAUACUUGUAAAUAAUAAAAAUAUAUAUAAAUAAUUAAUAAUAUCUUAUAUUUUUAAAUAAAAACAAUAAAAAUUUCAUAUAAAAUUAAAUAUCUUCAUUUUUUAAAUUUACCGCUAUAUAAAUUUUUAGCUUUUUAAAAUUUAUAUAGCGAUAAAUUUAAAAAAUGAAGAUAUUUAAUUUUAUAUGAAAUUUUUAUUGUUUUUAUUUAAAAAUUUUUAAAAUUUCUAAAAUUAAACUAAUUUAUUUAUAUUUAUUUAUUAUUUAUCUUAUUAUUAUAAAUAAUAAAAAUAUAUUACAAAUAUUAAAAAUCUCUUCUAUUUCUUAAAUAAAGAUAACUAUAAAAUAUUCCUAACUACAAAUCUAAAAUUUAAUUCACUCUACUAAUUUACAUAUAAAUUACAAAUUUCAAGAUAAACAUGAAUUUAUUAAUUAAUUAUAAAUAAUAAAAAAAUACAGCAUAAAUUUAUAAUUAUUUUCUAAUAAUUUACUUAUAUGAAAAUGAUAACAAUUUCACACGUUUAUUAAUAAAUUAUCUCGUUUAAUUAAAUAGAUAAAAUUAUAAAAUAAAUUUAUUUUUAUUAAUUUUUUUCAUUUAUAUCAAUUUUAUUAAAUUUUACGCAAAGAUUUUAUGCAUUUAUCUUUUAAAAUUAAUUAAAUUAAUUGAAAUAUGUAUUUUUAACUAUUGAUUCAAAUUAUACAUUAAUUAACUGAUUCAUAUUGUUUUAUAUAGUUUUUAAUACAAAGAAUAUUAUAUAAUUUCUCAUUCUACUUACUCCCUCCAGCUUACAUGGAACGUGAAAUUAGGCUAUCAAUGUUAAUUCCUAGACAAAGUCGCCAAAACAUUGCUGUUUAUCUAAAAUUUUAUUUAUUUAUUUAUUAUUAUUUUCUGCCUAAGUCAACAACAAACGAUUCCAUACUUGAUGUGGACAAAUUUUUUCUUUUUUUAAAUCCUAUCGUUGCCUUAUGGCCACUCAUUCUAGAAAGAGAGGAACUUCAGUAUAUAUACAUAUAUAUGUAUAUAUUUCAUUAGUAUUGCAUUGAAACUAACAGUGAGCAAUCGCUCAGUUUAUUUAAAAUUAAAUAAAUUAAAAUAAUUAAAAUUAAAUUUGAUUAAAUUUUAAAUAUUGAAAUAAAUUGAUUAGAAAAGUUAAUUAAAUUGAAUUAAAAUUUUAAUUUAAUUGGCUAUUUCAGUCUUAACCAAAUUAUGCUCAUCUCUAAUUGAAGCAAACACUAUAGAGUAAGAUCACAUAUACAAAAAUCAUAGAGUGAGAUUGCAUCCAUAAAAUAUAAUUAUUGAAGAAAAAACUCAAUUCAUAUAUAAAAUCCAGCCCACCUAAAAAAAAAUUACAUUUUCCUCCAUUAAAUAUAACAUAAUUAAUAUAUUUAUCCAUUAUAUUUCGAACUCAACGCUUUACUCUUUAAAAUUUAGUUCUGUGAAAUUUAAAGUAGAAAAUCUUAAAUUUAAUUUUAAAAAAUAAAUAAAAAUUUUAAUAAAUUCAAGAUUUAAAUUUAAUAAAUAUAAUAAAAAUUAAAAUAUAUAAAAUUUAAAUUAUUAAAAAUAAAAAAUUAAAACUCAAUACAAAUUGUUUUUAUAAUGCUACUCGCUGUUGAUCACUGGCCAUUUAAAAAAUAUAUUAAUUUUUUUUAACAUUUUAAAAAGUCAGCUAAUUAGUCUAUUUAACGAGUUUUUCUAUACCAUCGAGAUUAAAUAGUAAUUUUUUUUAUUAUUGUUAAGAGUAUUUUUAAAAUUAUAUUUUUUUUUUUUUUCCUUUGAUAAGAUAUAAAUUAUUGACUAUACAUAAAUUUUUAAUGGAAAAAUAUCAAAUUUUGAUGGAAUUAAAUUUCAGAGACGAAAAUAUUGAUUCUAAAAAUUAGAGGUGAGUUUAAAAUUAAACUGAAUCGAAUAAAUAAAAACUAAAAUUUUAGUACGUGUGAAUAUCAGAGCGGAUCGAUGAACUGAAUUGAAUUUAUGAUUCAAUUCGAUUUGAUUAAUUAAAUUUUUUAAGUCUUUUUUUCUUUUAUAUUUUAUUUUUAAUAUUUUAAAAUUUAAUUAAAAUAUUUUAAUAUUGAUUAUAAUAUAAUUUAUUUAUGUUAUUAAAAAAUAAUAUAUUAUUAUAAUUAAUCGAUUCAAUUUAAUUUUUUUAAUUAAAAUUAAAUCGAAUCGAAAUAAUAAAAAAUUUUAAAAUUAAAAAUUAAAUCGAAAUAAAUAAAAAAUUAAACUAAAAUUUUAUAUUAAUUUAAUUCAAUCGAUUUUUUUUUAUUUGAAUCGAAUAUUAUUCAUUCUAACUCAAAAAUUGGAGGAACAAAUUUAUUAAUUAUAUUAUAUCUCAUUUAUUAGGAUAUAAAAGAAACUUGUAAUUCUACUAAAAAAACAGAGAACCAAAAUCACCUAUCAAAUCCACUAAAAGUAGAUCGAAAAAUAGUCAUUGAGCUACCGUCGCCAUAACCCACAAGAACUAAAACCCAGCCGAAAAAAGAAGCGUCAAUUUCCAAAGAAGAGUUAAAAGCAAAUUCUUGCGAAACUACUUUACACACAUAAAACCAUAUACUGAACCUCUGAUCGAAAAUCAUUGAUGGCUUGUGAAAAGGCUGGCGCCAUAGCAUCGUAGUCUCCCAUAACCAUAGACAAAUUGAAUCAAAAGCUCUUCUAAGCUUGGCGCCUAUUUCACUAACCAUAUACAACCACCUACCAUUGCUGAUAGAAUCUGAAGGCUUACAACUCUUCACAACUAAAACACCAAAUAAACAUAUUCAAAAAAGCAACCUUAGUCAAGACAUACAAAACAAAUUAGUAUACACAAAUCUAAUUAGGAGACAUCUGAAUUUAAGCUAUAUCUCACUAGUCAUACAAAACUAGAUUGCCCUUGUCUCAAAGAGUGGAGAGAACCAAACAAAAACCCUUCAACUAACUACAAAGAUAAAAAUGAAAAACUUUCUCACUCUCUUUCUAUCAUAAAAUCUAAACUCAAAUCAAUAUUAAGACAACUAUUCUUUAUAGUCACAUACAACUUUAGCAAUUAACGCUAUAUAUACAUAUAUAUGUAUGAGUAAUUCUCUCUACAAAUUCAAUAUCAAUUAAUUCUUAAUAAAAGAUACUUUAAUUAAAAUUAUAAUAAAUGAAUAAAUUUAUAUGUAUUAAAAUUACAUUUAAAUUUAAAUAAAUAUUAUUUACUCCAAUUUAACUUUUAAUUAAUUUAUAGGUCGUGACUGUACAUAUUGAGAUGCGUUUAAAAAAUUUUCUUUUAUUAUUGAAAGGCGGUGGGUUUCGUGGAAUUUUCAAAGCACCAGGGAGAGAGCUCCAUUCCAACUGAGAAGAGUCAUAUAGAAAGAAAUUGGGGAUGCUGAUGGAAGCAAGAAUAGGUCAAAUUUGUUGACUUCAACGUUACAAUGACCUGACAAAGCCAACCACACCAAGUGAGACUUGCCGAGCAUUUUCCUUGAUCACGUAGCAAAUUUUUUUUUUUUUAAAUUUAUUAUUUAGAAAAAUGUUAAUAAAAUUUAUGUAUAAAAAAUAUAAUAGUAUUGAUAAAAUUUUAAAAAUUUAGAAAAUGAAGAACAUUUUUCUUGUGAGUAAAAUAUAUUUGUGUUGAUAAGACCUCCUAGUCAAUAAAAAUGUUUUUUUAUUAAUAAAAAUACAUUAAUAUUAAUAAAAUCUCCUAAUAAAUCAAAAUUUUUUCUAUUAAUUAAAGAAAAAAUGAAUUAACUUUAAGGAAAUUAACUCCUAUUCUGAAAAAAUAAAGAAAAUUUUUAAUUAGAAAUAUUAUUAACACACACAUUAGUUAGCAUCUUUUAUCUUAUUUUUUUUAACAUUCCAAUAAAAUAAUUAAAAAUGAAUUAUUUUCUUGCACGAAAAAUAAUUUUUAUUAUUUUUCAACGAAACAAACAAAACUUAAAUUGCUUGUACUAUUGACAAAUCAACUUACUUAAUUUUGUAUGAAUUAUUGCGAUGAGAUUAACGAAUUCGAAUAACUUUUUUUUGUGUAUGUGUUACAGUGGUGUGGGUGUAACUCAAGAUCUUAAGCAUAUUUUUAGGAUUGCAUUUUUUUAAAGGCGUAUAAAAAUACUCAUCAGUAUAUUGCUGCAAAAAAAAAAAAAAAAAGAAUGAUCCCAAGACUAAGAAGAGGUCGAGCUGAAUAGAUUUUGCUGCUCAAGUGAGAUGUGCCAAUUAAUCAUAUCUUUCCGGCAAACCAAUUCUUGUGUUAACAAUUGGCUGAUUAUAUCUCAUCCAUAUAUUGGACUUUGUUUGAUAAAGAGUAAAUAUAUUAAUACAAUAGAACUUUUAAGGUAGUAAAAAACAUUCCAUUAUUUAAUUUGCACUAUCAAACUAUAUUUUAUUAGGUAGAACUUUUUUACUUUCUUACAUAAAAGAAGUAACUUAGCAAAAUUGAUAAGUAAAACAUUUCUUAUUAACUUCUCCGUAAAAAUAAAAUUCAAAUUAAUUUCGAUAAAAAUUAUACAUGAAUUCAUUUUUUUUAAAAUAAUUUUUUAUAGUUUAAAAAAAAUAAACUUACAUUGCAAACAAGUAAUUUAAUAUAAAAAGAAAUGAAUUAAAUUAAGUCAUUGUGAAUCUUUUGGAAAAGUAAAUGAAAUAAAAUUUAUUAAUUCAUCAUAUAUUUUAUUACUUUUCUAUAAGGGCAUUAUUAUCUUCUAUAACUUAAAAAUAAAUUAAAGUCAAAUAGAUUAAUUUGUAUGCGAAAUAUCACACACUAGAACAUUAAUUCCCAUAAAUGUAUUAGUAUACUUUCUAAAAAAUAAAGUAUUCUUAAACCAAAAAAAUUCAGACUUUGGUCUGCAUACCUAGUAUUUCCAUGAUAUAAUGGUGUGUUGCCCGUCCCAGGUGAUGAAUUCAGAAUAUCUAGCAUAAGAGAGCGGGUCUCGCAGUUUGAUCUUGCCUUUAGAAACCUUCUAUACAAAGAGAUAAACCAAUCAAAGAUCCAUUUGGAAUUAACUUCAAAUCAAAACUUCUACAUUAAUUUGAAUAAAAAAAAGGGUUAAAGAAAGACUUAAAAUAAGGAUUAAACCUGCACCAAAAUUUAAGUAUUGGAUGUGGUCCAGCCGUGGGAAGAACUAAAUACUAGGAUAGUGAAAGGCGAGGAAAAAAAAAGAGAACAAAAUGCAAUGGCCAACGCGACGCGACAGGGCACUAGCUCCCACCAAACCAAUUGUCUAUGUCCGACCAAAAAGAAAAGCAGGUACCAGAAAAUCCAGGAGAGAUCCCGCCAUACAAAAUGGAACGAACUCUCUGGGUCGAUGGAGUUGAUACGGAUGAUUGAGAGGACAAUUGGUGAACAGGAAUUCCAUAGACUUACGAGUACAAUCUAACUUACCAUAGACUUACGAGUACAAUCUAUCUAACUUACGCAGUUUAGCUCUCUCUAUAAGCAAACACAAAUAAAGCUUUAAGUUGCGAGAAAAAUAAAGCUUUUGCUAAGAAAAGAUCCAGGUGGAUUCGAACCACCAUCCUCCCAGAACGUUAGACCUGGGCGCUCUUACCGCUUUGAGCUGAUGGAUCUACACAUGUUCAUAACUUGAUUUCUCACGUUUAACAUGCUUCCUAAGAAAGCAAUAUUUAACCGUCCGCCACUUCAAAGCCAAUUUUCAAAAUUUCCACCUUUGCGUGUCAUAUUGUCUAAUCCUCGACAAGUUCUCACAAAAUCGCAUCAUCUCUACUUAAUACUUCAAUACCACUGCAAAAAAUCAUUAAUUUAAUACAGAAUAAUGCUAUAUUUUUUCCAUAAUUUAAGAUGAUUUUUACGUUUGGCUCAUAAAACCAAUUUAUCGAUCAAUAAUCAAAUAGUUUCUGAAAAUUCUUCAUUGAUUCUAGUUGGAAUUAAGGUUAUAAAAGUAAUUUAGUAACCAAUACGAAAAUAUUUAAGGAAAAAAUAUAAAAAGAAUAUUAUAUAGUUACAAAUUUUACAUUUCAAAAUAUGUUAUAAGUAAAUUUUUUUUAAAUAGUUUAUUUUAAAAUAUAUAAUUCAAUUUCAUAUCAAAAUAAUAUUUUAUAAUUUAAAUUCUUAACAUAAAAUCUAAAAAUAUCAACAUUUACAAAUGCCUUAAUACCAUAAAAUACUACUUAAACACAAUUAAAUCACAAACCCUCAUGACUUUUUUUAUACUUUUCCCAAUAUUUAAAUUCUUAUUUCAAGGAUCCAUAUUUUUUGAAAUUAAAAAAUAUUAAAAUAUUUAAAAAUCUUAAAAAUAACACAUAAUAAAAAAUUAAAAACGAAGUCAAUUUUUUAAAAGUUAGAUCAAAUAAAGAAUUUCAGAUACCUACUAAAAACCAGACGCAUUUCUUUUUAACUAUUGAAGUAACAUUUUUAAAACACAUUUUCACUGCAAAGUUGUAACUAUAAAUAUUAUCUACUAAAGUUUGAACUCCAAUAAAAAGACGGGCCUCAGAAUGGGGCCACGAGUCUCUCGCAUCACAUCCAAAAGAUGGCGAGGAAACAGCUGGGUAAUUCCAUUAUCUAUUUAGGAUAGAAGCUUUAGAAUCCAGCAAAUGGGACAUAUGACCAGCCAAUCAACCAGGGAAUAUUAUAACAAUGUUGAAAGUAAAACAUGCUGGAAAACACACUAUUCUUAUUAAUCAAAGUCAUGAACCUAGAAGUUCUCUGUCUGAACAUAUAAACUACAUAAAAGCAAAGAACAUACUAACAUAAAAUAAAGAAGAUGAAAACCAACUCAAAUAAAUUAAAAUCAGCAUUCCCGAACAAUCAGCAACUGAACACAAAUUCAAAUAAUUAAGCAAAAACAGUGAAUAAUUCAAUUAUAUACGCCGCACAAUCUGAAGCAAACCUUGGCGUCUCCCCACAGAUUCAUUUACCUUGCGUCUUUGUUCUCCCGCACGUUGACUGCAUUAGGUAAUGUCUACAAUGAGAUGAUUCUGAUAGAGAAGAUGGUAACAGAAAAUGGACACAACAAAUAUAGCAACUUAUAGUCCAGGUCCAGCUCAAUCACUCUCAAUAUAAUGGAGGGACAGAGGGGGAGAUCUGGGCUCAAAAAAGAAUAUCUAUAAUCAGCAAUUAGGAGAAGCUUAACAAACCACUACAGGACCCCUCAAAGAAGGGAAUAACAGACCGUAAAUAUAAAAUUCACAGGAUUUAGACAUUUGCACCUUAAGCCUAUGAUUUAUAGGAUACAAGCCAAAGAGGACCACCACCUCACCUCAAGAUGCAAUGCCUUAAAAGCAGUUAAAGCAGGCUUCAUUUUCCUCUUUAUGAAUGAGCACAGCAUUUUAGCAUUUUCAUCUCUGAUGCACGACCUAGCGCAAGAUAAUAAUUAAUUUUAGGCAUUUGAAAACAGGAUGAAAUAAUAAUGAUCAUCUGCACCCCACCUAUUCAGGACCAAAGAUCAAAAAAUCAUCUCCUCUAGGAUACAUACCUCAUAUGUUGGCUAUAGCCACUGGACUAUAUCAGAAAGCUUUUUCACCAGAUACCAAGAAAAAAGGAAAGCAGAAGCCAGGCAGAUCAAAAGGAUUUGCAAGCUUAAUACAGAUCUUCAAGAAGAAAGAAGAAAUGGGAAAAUGCAAGAGUCACUGAAAUAUAAGUGACACUAUUUAAUAGUAUCCAAAAUAAAAGGAAGUAACAAGAUUUGUACACAAUUAUAGGAACAAAGGAAUAUACACAUCAAAUUGCAUUAUGAACAGUUGUAAGAAACACAUCCGUUUUCCCAUCUAAUAAAAUGCCAAUGUAGCUACAGAAACCAUAACACAAUGCACAAGAUAUAACAGAAGGAACUCUUGCAAUGAAAAACUCAUCAACAGACUUCCUGUAAUAAGCAAUGUACAAGACGUACUGCACAGAAUUCCAUUCCUAGUUGCAAUUAGUUGAUGUUUGCCCGGCUAUAGGUUUGCAUCACAACUAGAGAUGAAAAAUGUACGGGAACAGCUUUCCUUCAAGAGCAACUAUGUCUAGACAACCCCACGGCAAUAUGUUGGAACCAUCAAGGCUAUUUGCUGCCUACAAGUGUUUCCGCAACUGAAUCGCAGAUGCGAAUGGCGGCUAAAUUGGUACAAGGAAUGAGACCAUGAAGCCAAAAAAUACACCAGGUAUAGAACCCUGCGGCUCUGCAUUUGAAUUUGACAACAAAAUCAAGACUUUAAAGGGCAAAAAAAAGCUAACAAUUACUAACCAAAAGAAUACAAAAAAUGAAGAUGAACGAUGAAUACUACCAAUUGAACUUUGAUGAAGUCGCAUCCACAUAUUCAACCGACAGAGACAGUGAGCCCUGCAGCACAUGACAGAACCAAGCCUUCAGGCAACAAGAGUACUGAAUGCAUCUCUUCAAUAAAAUCAAACAUCAAAGCCAGCUUUGCUCCAUACUAACAAGCUGGGGAUGGAAAGAGAGAGAGAGUAAAUGCAACAUGCUAAACCCACCAUGCAUGCAUUUAUACGUUCUUACCUUUGUAGGUUUUGCUCAACCACCAUCUCCAUGAUAAAGCAUAUAGCACCAAAUAACACUCAUGCCACGAGCCUGCAACACUUCAUAUUGUACCAAAAUGAAAGAAGACUCCAGCAAGCUUGAAGCAGGUCAUCAAGAACCGAUAGUCAUCACUGGUCGUAGGGGACAUAACAGCACCUCGAGUUGAUACAGCACAUACAGCAAAAUACACUCCAUACCAGGUGUAACAACUUCUAAACAUUAGAUACAUGCUUGACAUUCUGGAACAGGAAACCAACACCACCUCUUUGACAAAAUCAUUAACAUGGACAUAAAAGAUGUACAACAGCGAAUGAGCCCAACCCUCAGGGUACAUAAUUGAUAUUUUGGCCCAUAAGAUGAAACUUCCAUGUCAACGUUGCCCUAUAUGUGUGUGUGUAAUACACGAAAAGGGCUUUAAAAAUUUGCAAGUUGCUGCAGGAAACAAAACCUGGAUGUAUAUUUGUUCUCAUCAAAGAUGCAAUUGUCUGUCGACCAUUUAUUUAAACAACUUCCAUCAUCUUCUUAUUUCUUAAGAUAAUUUGAUGAAUAGCUUGACUUUCGGCAUAAAAUAUGACCUAACUGGGAUCGAUGCCUAGUCUUCAAUUCUGUAAUAUUUAAUAACUGGGUUAUCCAAAGUAAAAUAAACCACUUACUUUUGAGCAAAAAGAAUAACCUUGCUGCAACAGGUUGAUAGGAUAAAUCUGUGAUUUAAAUGAACUAGCGCAGUUAUCGUUUGCAACUUUAAUGUGGUUUGUAUAUAUAUACACGUCAUGUUAAAUCAUUUAGAGAAAAAAUAUCGCCUACUUACUUUUAGGCAUAAAGAAGAACCGUCUAGGAUAAAGGACCAAUUUGAUUGUUAAAUGUAAAUGAACUAGCUCGGUUAUUGUGACUACUAUAGCAGCAAAUAUAUAUCGAGUAUAAAUACGAACAAGCUUGUGCAUAUGGCUGCCAAUUUUAAGCAAAAAAGGUUAUAACUACUGGUAUUCAACGAGUGCACUACCACUAUUUUUGAUGAGCUAAUAAAGAUAAAAUUGUUUACGGUGGCCAUAUCUGUGAGAACCAUGAAUAAUAUCUGAAGCAAAUUGUUAUGUGGAUGAAGUAGUAUACCUCUGGUGGUCGAAUUCAUGGACAUUCUCGAUUGCUGCAUAGUUGUUGCCUUGUUUGUCUUGGUUGCAUAGGAUGUUCGUUUGGUAAACAGUCCAGCAUAGAGAGAGAAAAGGAAAAGAGGGAAAGAGAGAAGAAAAAAGAAAGGAACGACCAGACACGCACACAGAAGGGGGAGAGCCGGGCAAAAUAAAGCAAAUAUUCCCGUGCCAUCUCCCCCCCUCGAAAACCCAAUAAAGUAAAUUUUUAUUCAACUUUUUGACCUGCCAUGCAAGCGCACCUGACAUGGCAAAGGUCGGGCGACAAACAGCAGCAAAUAAACAUAAAGUAAUCAAACAUCUCCUCAGCCUUCCCACCCAGCCAUCCAGUCCUCAAACGCAAGUAAAACACCACACACAACAAUGAUAAUCGAACAGAUUCACAUAAAACAAAAUCACAAACAAACCCUUUUGUCGACAAUAAUCUUCACGAACGUGAGCUCCAGAACAUCAUCAUCAUCAAUAAUCAGAUCAGAAGGCGCAAAUCUUCCAGAUAUCUGUAGCCACGGCAUGGUCAACGACAACGAUCCAUCUACCACCAACUCUCUCCUACGGAGAGGUCAAUCAAUAUCGUUGCCAACAUCUAUUAACACAUGCCAAAUACCGAAUUCAGAGAUGCAAAAACAAAUUCAGAUCCAAAGCAGGUAGGCGGAUUCGAAUUCAAUACCAGUGCUGCUUUUCAUCUCAAAAAAAACCCUUCAUCGAUGUACAUAUCAGCUCGGCAAAAAGACCUACACCUGCAGAAGCGCAGCUAACCUGAAUAAAUACAGCUAAACAAGGCAAAUCCUCGAAAGCGGAAGCUUAUAUAAGAGCUAUGGAUCACAUAUCUAAUAUCAUACCAGCGUACCUCCAUAGAUUUUUCAACCGGCGGUCAAGAGCUCCAACGUCUGCAGAUCUGAGGCAAACCGGAGAUAUCGUAGCCGAUCUAACCGAGCUAUGAAGAAGCUUCAACCACAGAUCGAUCUCCCAGAAUAGAUAACGUAAAGCCAUGCUCAAGUGAUAGAUCGGAAAACGAUCUAUUCGAAUCUGAGAGGAGCAGAGAGAGAGGAUAGAAAAUAUAAGAUAAGAUCUGAGGAAUAAGUCGCGAGGUGGCUUAAAAUAGCGAAAACGUUGCCGACCUCGGGAGAGACGUAUAUCAUUUGGAGUGAUGGACAUCUAAUUAUAAGGGAACGGUAUGACAAUCCAACGGCUGUGAUGAUUUGACCUUGGGACUAAUUUACGGUGCGAUUUGCCCGAUACUUUUGGGAGACGGUUGUCUUAGCAAAUAAGAAAGGCGCAGAUGUCAGCUGUUUUUUUAUCGAUAACAUCGAUUAGUCCUUAAACUUAUCCCAAGAUGGAAUUAGUUUCAAUAUAAAAAAGCAUAACACUGUGUUUGGGAAACUUCCUAUUGUCCCUGUUAAAAAAGCGAUAAAAUUAUCGUCUCAUUUCUUAAGUUAACAUCAUGUAUUAUAUCACAUCAAUAAAAUUUUAAAUUAAUUAAUAAAAAUUUAUAUUUUAUUUUUAUUAUAAUUUUAUUUUUUUUAUUUUUAUUUCUUAUUAAUUAAAUUUUAUUAUUUUAAUAUUUAAUUAAAUGCACUUCACUAUUAUUUAUAUAAUUAAAAUUUUAUAAAAUUAUUAAAUUAUUUUUUAUUAAAUAUAUUUAAAAAAUAAUUAUUAUUAUUAUUUAUUUUUUAAAUUUUUAUUAAUAAUUUUAUAAUAAUAAUAAUUUAUUUUAAUCUUAUUUUAACUAAAAUAAUUAUCAAUCAAUUUUUUAAAAAAUAUUUAAUAUUACUUUUAAAAUUUUGGUUAAAAAAAUAAUUUUAUUAAAUACACGAAUUAUGAAAUAUUAAAAAUAAUUUAAAAUAAUAAUUAACAUGAUUCAAUUUAAAAAUAUUAAAAAUAAUAAAAUAAUUUUUUAAAAUUUUUUAAUUAUUCUUUUAACUCUUAAAUAUAAUAAUAAUUCAUAUUUUUUAAAUUAUACUAAUAUUUAAAAUAAAUUUCAAACAAACUAAUAAAAUAAAUCAUUUAUAAAAACAAUUUAGACUUUUACUUUUAUUACAAUUUUACUCUAAAUUAUUAAAUUAUUAUUAAUUUAUUCUGACCUGUUUUUUUUUACUUUGUCGGCCAUUUGUCUUUGUCUGUCUGUUGUCUUUUUCUCUUUUUCUUUUUACUUUGUCGGCCAUUUGUCUGUCUUUGUCGUCUUUUUCUUUUUCUUUUUACUUUGUCGGCCACUGGUCUCUGUCUGCCACUUGAGUGAGUGCUUUGUGGGUCCUUCUUUAUACUUUUGUCUUUUGUUUGAUACUUAUCUGCUACUUGUCAAAGUAUAUGCUUAUGUGGGUCCUACAUUUCUGCUUGUGUGAAGAAGUCAUCAUUAUCGUCUGCAAGAUCAAUUGGUGAUGGUGAUGCUGUUGAGCUUCUGGUUUGUUUGAGUUCUUCUAAUAAUUUGUCAUAUUCUUUUUCUGAGGUACAAGCUGCCAUUUGUGCUAUUAACUGUUGUUUCCGGGCUAGGAAAAUCUCAUGUUUGGUUAUGGUAGAGAGGCUUGGAGUCUUGCUGUAUUGUGGAUGGUCCAGGAGGAAUUGUUCUAUGGCUUGUGGGCCACAAGCCUGCAAAUUGGUUUUAUUCCACCAUUUGGUUUUGUAUCUGCGAACCAGGAUUGGGAUCUGGAAAUUGUCAAGGGUUUGGUCUUUUAUUUGAUAUUCAACCAUGAUGAUCCAUGGGAUAUGAAAAUAAUAACAAUAAAUAGCCCAUUGGGGGGAACAGAUAAUUGGGUCAGGUAAUUGGUUUUGCUCAAAGAAGUGGGUUUUUGCUAUCUUAACUUGGUCAGGGAUUAUUUCUUCAUUUAUCCCAAAUUUGUUCCACCAUUGAUGGAACCAAUAUGGUAAUGGAUAUGUGAAGGUGUCUGCAAAGAAGAAAAAGAAAGAAACUGAUAAUUGGUCGUUUUGCUUUAGGAAGGUUCUCUCCCAAGCAAUUUGAUAGUCAUAAUAAUUGUAUUUAAUAUUUUGUCUCAUUUGUCCAUUUGUCAUUACCAUUUCUCUGGUCUUAUGGGGCUCUUGUCCCCAAUCUGUGAGAGUCCAUAUUUUUAAUAUUCUUACCUUACAAUAUCUUAAUUUAUUUGGGAUUUGAGGAUCAAAAUUGUUAUAGAUAAUGAGAGAAUUGGUAUUAACUAAAAUAGCUUCAUAAAAUUGUUGGGACUUAUGGAAAUUAUCUGGUAUAUAAAAAUGAGUUUUAGGAAAGAUAGUAUCACAAAGUUGGUAUUCAUUAAGGUUAGGAUUCUGAACCCAAUACUCAGGUUCAAUGGUGAGAAUAUAGUCUUCAAUGGUUUUGUACUUAUAAUCUGUCUGGGAUUGGUCUUGGGAUAUUGUUGGGCUUGGAUUAGAUGAAGAAGAUCCUGUAACUGCUUGUUUGAAAGUAGAGGGAGUUAUGAGGUUAGGAGGAGGUUUUAGUGGAUUGAGUGGACUGAAUUUGUUGAGUGAAACAAAAUUGGGCCUUGGCGACCUGGGCCUUGGGUAGGUUGGUUGAACAAUUAAAGCACUAGAAAUUGGGCUCAUUGGUCUAUGCAUAAUGCUUGAAGUACUGGUGUAUAUUGGUCUAGUGAUAGAAGUUUGUCCAGAAGUAAAUAAUUUUGCAUUUGUCAAAUUUGUUUUAGGAAUAUUUGUUUGAGAUCUUAAAGAGAUAUUUUCAGGCUCCUUUCCUUUGUCCGUCAUUGUCCCUGCAAAAAUUCUCGGGUUAAAAAAUCUGCAAUAGAAUUGUCAGUGCUUUUAAUAUGUUCUAUUUUGAAGUCAAAUAUAGAUAAAAAGGCUUGCCAUCUAGCAAAAAUGUGUUUAGCAGCUAGAUUUUUGACGUCUUUGGUUAAUACAUCUUUAGCUGCUUUACAAUCUACUCUAAUUGUAAAUUUUUGGUUUAAUAGAUCACUUUGAAAUUUUGUUACACAUAAAACAAUUGCUAAAAUUUCUUUUUUAAUGGUAGAAUAUUUUUCUUGUGUGGGGUUCCAAAAUCCUGAAUAAUAUCUAAUAAUAUAGUCUUUAUUAUCUAUUUUUUGUUUAAGAAUACCUCCAUAUUCUUGAUUAGAUGCGUCUGUUUCUACUAUUUUAGGAAAAUUAGGGUUACAAAUGUUUAAACAUGGUAACUUUUUGACAUAUUUUUUAAUUUCCUGAAUAAUUUUCGUAUGUUCUUCUGUCCAUGGUUUCGGGUUUGUUUUUAAUCUAUUAUAUAAGAGUUUGCAAAAUAUUCUUAAAUUUGGAUAAAAAUCAGAGAUAUAAUUUAAUGAUCAUAAGAAUCUUUGUAAUUGGUUUUUAUCUUUAAUUUCAUCAGGAAAUUUGUCAGCAAAUUCUAUACUUCUUUGGAUUGGUACUAUUGUAUUUUUAUAUAUAUCAUGUCCUAAAAAUCUAAUUUUUGUCUAAAAUAUUUUCAUUUUUGAUUUGCUUAAUACUAAUCCAUUUCUUUUUAUUAUUUUGUAAAAUAUUUGUAAAUGUUUAAUAUGUUGAUCAAUAUUUUGGCUAAAUACUAGGGCAUCAUCUAUAUAGGUUAUUAUAAACUCAUAUGGUGUGAAAAUGUCAUUCAUAAUUUUUUGAAAUUCACUUGGUGCAUUCUUUAAUCCAAAUGGCAUUAUAUUCCACUCAUAUUGUCCAAAUGGUACUGUAAAUGCAGUUUUAUACUUGUCUUUUUCAUCUAUUUGUACUUGCCAGAAACCUGAUUUCAUAUCAAAUUUUGAAAAAAUCUCUGCUUUAUAUAGUCUGUUUAAAAGAUCUUGUUUGUUUGGUAUUGGAUAUCUUAUCCAUCUUAGAACUUUAUUUAAGGGUUUGUAAUUAAUAACUAAUCUAGGUGCACCUCUUUCGAUUUCAGCAUUUUUAUUUACAUAAAAGGCUGCACAUGACCAUGGUGAUUUGCUCGGUCUAAUUAAAUUUUUUGUUAUUAGAUCUUGAAUUUCUUUUUUGCAGAAUUCUAACAUUUCUUGGUUCAUCUGUAUAGGUCUUGCUUUUGUAGGAAUAUCUUGUUCUUUAAAAUCUGGUUCAUAUGGUAAAGUUACUAUGUGUUGUUUUCUAUUCCAAAAUGCUGUGGGUAAUUCUGAACAUAAAUCUUUUUCAAAUUGUUCUUGAAUUUCUUUGAUUUGUUGUUGAAUAUUUAGCUUUUCUAAUUGUUCUUCUAUUCUUAUUGAAUGUAAGUCUUUUUUUUAAAAAUUUUAUUUGGUUUUCAAGAUUAUUAAUUUUACUUACAUUUUCUUGUUGAAAUAAAUUUACAUCAUGGUAAUUUAUUGGUGUUAUGAAUUGAAAUAUAAUAUCCUGUCCUAAUACAUUGGUUUCUAAACCUAAUUGUGUGACUUUAAAGGGAUAUAACAUUUGUAAAAAUGGAUUUCCUAGGAUAAUUUGUGUAUUGAGAUUUUUAAUUAACAUGAAACUGGUUUUAAAACAUAUUCCAUUGUUACAAAUAUGUGCACUAGGUAUUUUGUAAUCUAUUUUGACUUUAGUCGAAUUAGCUGCAGAUAAUAUCUGUUUAGUCUUAUGAAAAUAUCUACUUGGUAUUAUCCCUUGAUCUAUACAGUUCAUGUCAGCUCCUGAAUCUAACAUGGCAAUGGUUUCUAAGUUAAAAUCUUUAAUUGUCAAAUUUAUUCGUACAUACCAUUUUUGGUAUUUAAUUCUAGUAAUGUCAUUGAAUUUCAAUGUUUGUUCUUCUUCUGUGUCUGUGUCUGCUAUUUCUUCUAGUUUAGUUUUGUCCUUUCCUGAACUUUGUCCUAUACUUUGGUUCUGAUUCGAAUUUUGUUGGAUCUUUUGAUGUUGUUCUAAAUAAUCACAUCUUAAUUUUAAUUGUCUAACUUCUAAUUUUAAUUGUCUUAUUUCUAAUUGUAAAUCCAUAGAAGAAAUUGGGGUUACUGAUUUUUUGUUUUUAAACAUUUGUUCAAUAUCUUCAAACUUUGUUGGAGGUUCAGUUUCUUGUUUUAUUUCUUCAUUGAUUAAUUUGGUUAAUUUUUUAAACAUUUUACGUUUUAUAUUGGAAUCUUGUACUUGUUCUAUUUGUUCUAAUACUUGAUGAUAUUCUGUUAAGACAUUUAUUUUAUUGUUACAAUUACAAAGUUCUCCUUGACAAUUAUGGUUACUAUCUGUACUGCUUAUUGUGUCUGAUGGAUUGUCACUACUAUAUUCAUCAUCUAAUUCUGAAGAAGAUAAUUUAAUUUGAUCAAUCUUAUCUAAUAAUUGUUCUAUGUUGUCAAUUUUUAAUUCUAGACCUAAUUCAUAUAUUUUCUUUCUAGCAGGACAUUCUUUUGCAUAGUGUCCUUUCUGAUUGCAUAAAUAACAUGUUAUAUUAUUUUUAUUAUUUGGUCUUUUGAAAUUAUUUUUUCUAUUAUAAUUAUUUCUUUUGAAUUGUUUUCUUCUGAAAGGUUUCUUGUCUAUUUGUUUAUUAUAUCGUCUAUUUUUGUAAUUAUAUUUUUUAUAAAUUUUAUCUGUCUUAAAAGGUCUAUAUCUCUUCUGUUUAUAUUUCUUUAUGGUUCCGAAACCGAAUUGUUCACACCAAUUUCCUAAUUCUCUUUUAGAUUGUCUAUUUUCUAUUUUUAAUUUCUGUUGUAAUUUCAUAUCCCUACAUAAUCUUAUUCCUGUUAAAUUGACACAUGUUAUUAAGUCUCCAUAUGUUAAAUCAUCGUAUGAUAUAUGGCCAAAUUUUUGUUCAAUUGUUUCUUUUACUUUUGUUGCAAAUAAUCUUGGUAGUCCUGUUAGGAAUUUUUCUUUCCAAUGGUAUGCAUUAGGGUCUGCUAAAGCAUAAACUCGUUUUAGGAAAUUGUCUUUAUACCAUCUGAAAUUUUCUAAUUUUCUACAUUUUAAAUUUUGUAGUAUCUCACUGUUUCUUUCUGUAUAUAAAUCUAAGUCUCCUAUGAAAUGUGAUAUAAUAUUAUAUACUAGAUAUGCUAAGGUAAAAGAUUGUGGUUGUCCUGUUGCUGGGUCAAUAACUGGUUCACAUGUGGUACUAUCAAUUCUUCUUGCUGUUAAUAUAUUUGUUUUUAUCUCAUUACUUAAUAAUUUGUCCCACCAAGUUCUUAAUUCUCCUGUGAAUCCUAGAAUUAUGUUUUCAGCUGCAUCUCUUUCUGUAAUGCCAACUCUUUGUUUAUAAAUGUUUCCUACGAUGACCAUUUCUUUAGUUAUUUGUAUUAUUUCUGUUUCUGAUAGAUCAUCUAUAUUCCAUUAAUCUUAAUUUUUAAUAAUAUAAAUAACGAUAAAUAUAAUUAAAAUAAUUUUAAAAAUCAUAUUUUAAUUGAUAAAAAAAUAUAGAGCGUAGUUGUAACAAAAUUAAAAGUAUAAAUUUUUUUAUCAUUAACUCAUAAUUAAAAAAUUUUUUUGAUAUUUAAAAGGAAAAUAAGAGAGAAAAAAUAGUUUUUUAACUAAAUAAAAUAUCACUUUUGCACCUUCUAUUAUUAUUAAAAUAAAUUAUUAUAAAAAAUAUAUAAUUUCAUUAAAUUACUAUUUAUUUUCUAUUUUGAAGAGAAAGUUGCUCGAGAGACCAUAUAAUAUUUUUCAAAUUUAUUUUUCUUGCCUCUUUAUUUUCUUUUUUUCCAAAUAAAAACUUUUAUUUUCCUCUCUUAUUUUAUUUCUUUCCUUAUUUUUCACUAAUCCAAAUGAAUUAUAAAUGUCAAUCUUAUCCGUAAUUUUUUAUGUGUAUUAUCAUUUAAUUUAAUCUCUUACAAUAUAUAUAUUUUUUAAUUUAUAAUAAAAAAGGCUUUUUGAAUUCUUGUUCAUGUAAAUAGAAUAAUAACACUAUAUUUGAAAACUUUAAACUUACUUUCGUAUAUAUUGUAAGAGAGAAGACUCCUCUUAUUUCUUCUUUGUUUUAAGGUAGUAGAUCUUCUCCUUGUCGGUCCAAUGUUGCUCCUGUUUCAUCCAACAGGGUAACUCCUCUUCUCUCGCUUAGUUUUGUGAGCUUUUGCCUUCUCCUUGUCGAUCCCAAUAUUGCUCCUGCUUCAUCCAACGGGGCAACUCCUCUUACCUCGCUUAGUUUUGUGAGUUUUUCUCUUUCCUUUUCUGGAUGAAGGUGUAUAUAGUUUUUGGUCAUGUUUUUUUAAAGAUUUUAUCUCUUACAGGUAAAAUUUCAUUGAGGAAGAAUAUCUUUUGGAUGCUUGCUUGAUGUGUUUUUUGUGCUCUCGCUCUUUCUCUAGAACUGAGACUUUCAAGGUGUUAACAGUGGAAAAGAAUGGCAACGACCGAGAAGUUGUGUCCCUAGUUGCUGGUCUGUGUUGAUCUGGUGAUUUGUGUUGUGACUCUAGCGGUGAAUUUUGACUCGAUUGUGGUGGUUCGGCCCCCUUUCUCUAGCGUUUGGUUUUCUACUGCUGCUCUCCAAUUCGACAAGCAAAUUCUUAGUUGUCGCGAGCGGCUCUUUUUCAUUUUGAAAAGCUUGGGUCUCCCUUCUCUAUUAUUGCUGACGGUUCCUAGAUUCUUUAUUUAGUUUUGCAUGGCUUCAGCUACAAUGUAGGAGCUUGCGGAUCUCUUUUGUUGACAGCAAUGCCCUUAUUUCUGCCGACGAUUGAUGAGCAGCUUUUUUGAAAGUUUUGUCGAGUUGAGUUACGGAUCACUUGUGGAUGAAUCUUUAGAAUUUAGCUUUCGGUUGGACUCUUCUAUGUUUAAAUCCGAAAGAUUUGAUUUAGGUUGUAAUUUAGAUUUUUGACAUUUUCUUUUCAACAAUAUCCUUUAUAAGUUUGACAAAAAAAAAAUUACAAUUUAAUUUUUGGGUAUUAUCAUUAUUAAUAAGUCAGUUCCUACAUUUUCAAAAACCUAUUAAAACGUUUUUAUCUUUUCUCUCCGUCAAUGAAAUAGUCAUUUCGUCAUCUUUUCCGUUAAAAGUAGAUAAAAGAUAAGAGAUAAAAAUUUUAAAAUCCAAUUUUAUCCUCAAAUAAAACUCCUUACUUAGUUAUUGGAUAUUGCUAUUAUUAACAAGUAAGUCCCUACAUUUUCAAAAAUUUAUUAAAACGUUCUUAUCUUUUCUCAUAUCUAUUAAAACGUCCUUACCUUUUCUCAUAUCUAUUAAAAUGUCCUUAUCGUUUCUUUCCGUCAACGAAAUAGUCCCUCCUCCUCUUUCUCAAAAAAUAAGAAAAAAAAGAAGAAGAAAAUUAUGAUGAUGAAGGAGAAGAAGAAUCUCCUCCUACUCUUCCUUAAACAAGAAGAAUAAAAAGAAAAAUUAAAAAAGAAGAAGAAAAACCAAAGAAGAAAAACCAAAGAAGAAGAAAAAGAAGAAAAACCAAAGAAGAAGAAGAAGAUGAGGAAGAAUCAAUGAAGAAGAAGGAGGAGGAAAAGAAUGGGAUAAAUUAGUCUUUUGUUAUAUUUUUAACGACAGAAAUAGAUGAAAUGACUAUUUUAUUGACAGAGAGAAAAUAUAAAGACAUUUUAAUAAGUUUCUGAAAAUAUAAGAACUGACUUGUUAGUAAUAAUAAUAUCCGGAUAUUAAAUUGUAAAUCUUUCAAAAAAACACUUACUUCUGUUUUUUUUUGGAUGUGAGGAAAGAAUAAAAUAUAAAAAUCAUUUGUUAAAUAGUAAAAUUUUUAUUUUAUUUUUUUAAUUGAAUAAAUUAUUAUAAACAAUAAUUUUAUAAUUUAUUAUUUAUUUCUCUCAAAGAAAGUUGCUCAUAAAUCAUUUUCUAAAUUUUCUUCUCUUCCUUUUAUUUUGUUCUUUUCCAAACAAGUAAUGGAAAACUUUUUUUUUUUUUUAAAUUUCNNNNNNNNNNNNNNNNNNNNNNNNNNNNNNNNNNNNNNNNNNNNNNNNNNNNNNNNNNNNNNNNNNNNNNNNAAAAAAAACAAAAAAACAAAAAAAGAAUGAGAUAUUGGAUAAUUUUCAAUUGUGCUCAACUAGCACCAUUUAUCCAAGACUCAUCUCUCAUUGUUAGUUGAAGAAGAAGAAGAAGAUAGAGAGGAUUUAAUUGUGAGAAUGAUUAAAAAAAAAAAGAAUGGAAGAUAAGAUUGGAAAGGAAAGAAGGGACUUGGUUCUAUGAAGAAGAUUUGAGUUAUGGGUUUCAAUGUAAGAAGGCAUUGGAUAAGGUUAUGGAAGAAUAACAAGAAAAGAGAAAAGAAUGGGUUUAGGAAAGAAGAUUUCUUCAAACAUACAUUGGUUGGGUUAAAAAUUGACAUGCAUUUGAAGGUGAACUAUGAGUGGCGUAAGUUUCAAUCAUUCUAAUUGUUUUUCUCUUUUUAAAACCCAAUUGAAUAUUUCAUUUCUUAAAAAAUCAUUUUUAAUUAGUAAUUAGAGAAGUGAGGAUUCAAAUCUAAAUUUAUAGUUUAUUAUAUAUAUAUAUAUAUUCACCAUAUAAAUUCAAUAACUUAUUUAACAAUUAAAAUAAAAUAAAAAAAAUCAAACUUUAACGGUUUAAUUUAAUUUUAACCGUUAUUGUCCCGUUUAAAUAGAAAAAACAACUCUUUUUUGUUCAAAAAAUAAGUUAAUUGCGAAAAUUUAUUAAUUUUGAGUGCAGUUUUUGAAUUUGGAUUCGCAAGUUAUUAUUGAUAAACUACUUGCAUUUCGAAACUGUUCCAUUAUCAUUUAGUAUGAGAUAUAUUCAUUCGAUUAUAAACUGCAAACACUUCUAAGGUUUCUAAACGGGCUAACCAUUCAAAGCGACAGUUGUGUCACUAAAAGCUUUGUUUAUGGUUUCUUUCUUAUAGCUAUGUAGAUGACAUUAGCUUGGUCGUGCUUGCCCUUUAUUUUCCCGAAUUGGACGGACCGCUAGUAGCUUGGAAACGAGGCCUUAGUUGUGGGCCUCCAUGAUCUUUAGUAUGUUUUUAGCCAUGAUUUUGCUCUAUUGAGUGAGGUUUCAUUUUCUCCUUCCAAAUUCAGCUUCAUUACUGUGAUCCUUGAUGACCCUUGGCUGUAUCAAAGAAUGCACAACUGAGAAAUCUUUUUUUAUUUUUUUUCCCUCUUUGGUUCAUUGUUCUAGAGGAGCUCAUUUCUACCGAUGAAUUACUAGAGGCUCUUUGAUGAACAGGAUUCUAAUGAAUAGGAUUCUAGUUUUGAUCCUUUGACAUAGUAGCGGGACAACGAUGCUUCUAUUCAAGCCCUGAUUUAUUUUAGGAUACGAGCUUUCUUUUAAAUCUUUAUUUAGCAGUAUUCUUGUUUUCCAAACCUGUAUAGGCAAUAUUUUCAAAAAUCUAUUAAAACGUUCUUAUUUUUUCUUUCUAUCAGUAAAAUAGUCAUUCCAUCUAUUUCUAUCGAUAAAAAUAUAAUAAAAUAUUAAAUUAUCUCAUUUUUUUCCUCCUCCUCCUCCUCCUCCUUAUUCUUCGUUAAUUCUUUUUCCUCUUCUUUUUCUUCUUUGGUUCUUUUUUUUCUUCUUCGAUUUUUCUUUUUAUUCUUUUUCUUUAAAAAGGAGGAGACUAUUCUUCUUAUUCUUUUUCUUUUUCUUCAUCGUCAUCUUCUUCUCCUUCUCCUUCAUUAUCAUCAUCAUCUUCUUCUUCUUUUUUUCUUAAGGAAGAGGAGGAAGAUGAACUAUUUCGUUGAUGGAAAAAAAAUGAUAAUGAUAUUUUAAUAGAUAUGAGAAAAGAUAAGGACAUUUUAAUAAAUUUUUGAAAAUAUAGAAACUGACUUGUUAACCGUUAAAAAUAUAAUAAAAGACCAAAUUGCCCCCCUUCUUUUCCUCUUUCUCCUUCUUAUUUUUCAUUGAUUCUUCCUCCUCCUUUUCUUCUUCUUUGGUUCUUCUUUUUCUUCUUCGAUUUUUCUUUUUAUUCUUCUUCUUUAAAAAGGAGGAGGAGGAGGAGAAUACUAUUCUUCUUCUUCUUGUUCUUUUUCUUCAUCAUCAUCUUCUUCUUCUUCUCCUUCUCCUUCUUCUUCUUCUUCUUCUCCUUCUUCUCCUUCUCAUUCUUCUUCUUCUUCUCCUUCAUUAUCAUCAUCUUUUUCCUUUUUUUUUUGAAAAGGAGGAGGGAUUAUUUCGUUGACGGAAAGAAACGAUAAGAACAUUUUAAUAGAUAUAAGAAAAUAUAAGAACGUUUUAAUAGAUUUCUGAAAAUAUAGAGACUGACUUGUCAAUAAUAAAAAUAUCCAAAAACUAAAUAAAUGAUUUUAUUUAAGGACAAAAUUGAAUUUUAAAAAUUUUAUCUCUCAUAUUUUAUCUAUUUUUAACAGAAAAGAGGAUGAAAUGACUAUUUUGUUGAUGGAGAGAAAAAAUAAGAACGUUUUAAUAGAUUUUAAAAAUACAGAAACUGAUUUAUUUAUUAAUAAUGACAAUAUAUAGGGAUUAAAUAAUAAAUCUUUAUAUUUUAAAUAACUAAUAGUUUUAUAUUUGUUGAAUGGAUAAAGUAAAGAAAUUAAUAUUUUCUGUCUAAUUUCACUUGGCAUUCAACUUUAACAUUAAUAUAUUAAAAAAAAUACUUUCUCGUUAAAACGUAUAUUAAACAAUUUAAGGAUGUAAAUUAUUUUUUUUUCUGGCUUUUCAACAAUAAAGGUGGAACAACAGAACGGGACGGAAUUACCAGUUUUGUUUUAUGACGCUACGUUAAGCUUAUCCUCUAAAGCACUCCAACCUAGGGAUGUCAGGCGGGCGAGUUUUUACGGGUAUCCGAUCCACCCAAACCCUAUUAGGAUGGAUUUGGGUUUUUACAAAACGGAUUUGGGCGGAUUCGGAUUUAAAAAAUUUUACCCGUUUCGGAUUCGGAUAGGGUUCGGGAUUAGGUGAUCGGAUACCCGUUACCCGAACCCGAUUACCUAUAUUAACAAAACUAACCCUAAUUUCCUUUUUCAUUUUACUCUUUCUUCUCUCUGUCAGCGCCUCUCUCCCUCGCGUCUCUUUCCUUUUUCAUUUUACUCUUCCCUCGCGCCUCUCUCCGUCUCGGUCACCCCUACCUCUCUCCGUCGGUGCCUCUCUCCCUCGCGUCCCUUUCCUCUCUUCGUCGACGCCUCUCCCCCACUUCACUGAUGACUGCCGGCAGCCCAGUCGGCACCGGCGACGUCUCCUUUCUCUCUCCGAUAAAUCUUCUCUCUCCACAGUAGCAAUAUCUCCUUCUCUCUCUCCAGUCGGCGACAUCUCCCACUUCCCAGUUAAGACCUCUCUCCCCCACUUCACUGACGAGUGCCGGCAGUCGGCACCGGCGACGUCUCCUUUCUCUCCCCAGUCGACGAUAAAUCUUCUCUCUCCCCAGUAAGCGAUAUCUCCUUCUCUCCCUCUCUCCAGCGGCGGCAUCUCUCACUUCCCAGUCAGAGACAACUCUUCCCUCUCCCCGGUCGGCAUAGGCGAUAUCUCUUUCUCUCUUCCAGUCGGUGACAUCUACUCUUUUCAAUUGACGCUUCUCUCCCCCACUUCACUGACGCUGGACCCUUGCCUCUCCCCAAUCGUUGUCGGCGACAUCUCCUUUGACGGAAAUUUCUUCAGGUUUGCAAUCAAAUUUUUUAGAAUUUAUGAACAAUUAAUCUGACUAUCUGAUUAUAAAUCAUUAUUUGCUGAGUUGCUGUUUCUUGUCAUUGAACAUUUCUCCUUCUACUCCUUCUACUGCUGGGUCUGCUUGGUCUGCUGGGUCUGCUGGGUUUGCUGGGUCUGCUGGGUUGCUGGGUUGCUGGGUUUGCUGUUUCUUGUCAUUGAACAUUUCUCCUUCUACCUUAGGUAGUUUAUUUGAUAAUUUUUGUCAUUGAAUUGAUUAUUUGGAUACUUUUAAAAAAUUUAAUUAUUUGCUAUUUGAUUAAUGUAAUACUGUUGAUUUUUAGAAUUUAUGAACAAUUAAUCUGAUUAUCUGGUUAUAAAUCAUUAUUUGCUGGGUUGCUGAGUUACUGGUUUACUGCUGGGUUUGCUGGGUUGUGCAAAUGUUAAGUAGUUUAUUUGCUAGUUUUUGUGAUUGAAUUGAAUUUAAAAAAUCGGGUUCGGGUAUUGUGCGGGUAUUGUUAAACAGGUUUGGGACGGGUUCGGAUAAUAAAAUUAAAAUAUUAAACGGAUUUGGAACGGGUUCGGGAAUUGUAUAUAUAUUCGGGUUCGGAUUUGGGUAUUCUCAAUUUUGCGGGUACCCUACCCGUUUACAUCCCUACUCCAACCCUGUUUUGCAAGCUUAAAAGUGGAUUUUUAAAUUAAUAAGCCACAUUUAUAAUGUUUGGAUAAAAUUUUAAAAAAACUUUUAAUAAUUAGAAACUCUUUUGAAAGAAAUCGCCUCAUAAUUUUCUUUAAAAGCUCUUGUAAGAAAAAUACGGGAAGGCUAUACCUUUUUAAUAAAACUUUUAAAAUUUUAAGUUUAUUUAUAAGUGAUAUUUUGAAAUCCAAAGAAUAUGGUUUAUAAUAGUUGUGUAAGCUUAGGUAGCGGUCCGGUUUCCGGGUCGUUACACUGGAUUAAGGGGUGGCUGGAACGUUGAUUGCGUUGGUGAACCUCUGACACACGUUGCAACUUCUAACAAAUUCUUCUGUCUCCUUCUUAACUGUGGGCCAAUAGUAUCUUUGCCUGAAAAUUUUGUUUACUAGUAUUCCUGCUCCUUCAUGAGCCCCGCACAUUCCUUGGUGAAUCUCUUCCAUAACCCUGGUUGCCUCUUAUGGGCUUACACAUCGAAGCCAUGGACUAGACUUCCCUCUUUUGUACAGGGUUCCUCUUACUGCUUAGUAAUUGGUAGCUCGGGCUGCAAUUUUCUUUGCCUCAGCUUUAUCUUCCAGGAGCUUUUCCCUUUCUAGAUAUUCUAGAUAUGUGGUCAUCUAGUUUUCCCCUUCCCCAAUUUCCAUUACUGCUGCAGGUUUCUCAUAGGCAGGGGUGCUGAUGUACUGUAUGUACACCUCGUCUAGAAGUUGUUCCAAUUAUUCUUUAGACAAACGGCUGAGCAGGUUUGCUUCCUCAUUCUCUUCUCUGGGUAUUCUCUGAUAUCGUACUGUAACUCCUUGCUCGCCGAGCUCAGCCUCUACAGCUUUUACCUUUGCCUGAUACUUUUGCAUAGUGGAAUCUCUUGCUUGGUAUGCCCCGGUCACCUGGUUGACAACCAGCUGGGAGUCACUAUUAAUUGUGAGGUCGGUCACCCCUACUUCUUUUGCUAUCAACAUCCCAUUUAUUAAGGCUUCAUACUCUGCCACGUUAUUAGAAGCACCGAACUCAAACCGCAGGGCAUAACAAACUUUGAACUCUUCAGGUCCUUUCAACAUUAUUCCUGCGCCACAGCCUCCAGCACUAGAUGCCCAAUCUACGUACAAUCUCCAGCUGAAAUCUCGCAAGGACUGCCCCUCAUUCCCUUCCUCUGUUACUCUUGGGGGCUUGUUGUCAAGUUCCAUUUGUUCUUCGUUGAAGGAGCAUUCUGCUAAAAAAUCAGCAAGAGCUUGGGCUUUGAUGGUUUUCCGAGGUCGGUACUCUAAGCAAUAUGGAUUAAUUUCAACAGACCAAGCUAACAUCUAUUCUGAGGUCUCUGGCCUGUGGAAGAUCUUCUUCAAGGGCUGAUCUGUCAUUACCACUCCUUGAUGGCUCUCCAGGUAUACUCUGAAUUUUCUUACUGCAAGCAACAAGGCAUAUGUCAACCUCUCUAUGUUUAAAUAUCUGAUCUUGGCGUCUUUAAGCACCUUACUGACGUAAAAUACUAGUUUCUGUUCUCCUCCUUCUUCCCUUACCAGCACGACACUUAUAGCUGGUUCUGAGGCUGCCAAGUAGAUGAAGAGUUCUUCCCCAGCUAUGGGACUGCUGAGCACGUGUGGUGAACUGAGAUACUGCUUAAGAUUUCUGAAAGAUUAUUGACAGUCCUCAGUCCAUUCGAAGUUUGGGACUUUCCUUAGCUUCCUGAAGAACGGUAGGCAUUUCUCUGCUGAUUUUAACAUGAAUCGAUUAAGUGCUACCACCCUGCCUGUGAGCCUCUGCACAUCUCUCAAGCAGGUCGGCUCGGGCAUCUUUAGUAUAGCUUCCACCUUUUCUGGAUUUGGCUCAAUACCCUUUCCGCUGACUAUGUAUCCCAAGAAUUUUCUCCUCUGAUGAAGAAAGCGCAAUUUGUUGGGUUCAACCUCAUUUUGUACUGCUCCAACACCCCAAACACUUCUUUCAGAUCUACCAAGUGUUGUUGAAAAGUUUGACUUUUUACUACCAUAUCGUCCACAUAUACCUCCACAUUUCUUUCUAUUUGUCCCUUGAAGAUUUUAUUCAUCAGCCUCUGAUAUGUCGCCCCUGCAUUCCAAAGGGCAUGGCCUUAUAACAAUAAGUCUCAUCCUCCGUUAUGAAUGACGUUUUUUCCUCGUCUGACCAGUUCAUUGGGAUUUGGUGAUAUCCAGAUAUUGCAUCGAGAGACGACAUAUAAUCAAAAUCGGCAGUGGAAUCGACCAUUUUAUUAAUAUCAGGAAGGGGAUAACAAUCUUUGGGACAAGCCUGGUUCAGAUCGGUAAAGUCUAUACACAUCCUAUACUUGCCAUUAGCUUUUUUCACUAGUACAGGAUUUGCUAACUGUAAUACCCGGCUAGACUCCGGUAUCGGAAUUCCUACCGUCCGGUGGAAUCUCGGAUGUCGGAAGCCUCUAGUAGGGUAGAAACAUGUUUUCAUAAAAUGUUUUAAGGUAUUUCAUGGUUUUAAGUAAAAUGGAAAUGAGUUUUUGCAUUAAAACAACCUUGGAGGAAAACUCAGGUUCGGCCGCCGAACCUCAAGUUCGGCCACCGAACAUACAUGCCUUCGGGAGCGCAUUUAGGCCCCCAAAAGCACAAGUGAGGGAAGUCCAGGCUCGGCCGCCGAACCUCAAGUUCGGCCGCCGAACAUGGCAUGCAUGCGGAGGCACAUUCGGCCCCCGAACGUGGCCUGGCCAGCCACUAUAAAAGGGUCCCUUAGCCGAAAACGGGCGAGCUUUUCCCCAUUUUCGGCCAAGGUGAGCUUUCCGCCGCCCCUCACCGAUCUUUGAUGUUUUUCCUCUAGAUCUUUCAAGUUUUUCACUUGUUUUCAUCUUGUUUUGAAGAUUUCCGAGUUUGAGCAAGUUUUGGAGCUUUGAGGUUCAAGAACUCAAAUCUCUCCCAACUCCAAGUUUGGUCGCCUCUACUCUCGAUCUUCAAGAGGUAAGAGUCGAUCUCUAGCUUACUAUGUUUUAAGUAAGUUUUAUGAAGUUCAUGGGGGUAGAAUGCAUGUUUAGGUCAUAGUUAUGUUUAUGGGUUUUUGGUGUGAUUUUUGAACAAUGUGGGUUGCUUGUGUAUUGUAGUUGGGGUUUUUGAUGGUUUGAUGCCCCUAGGAACUUGUAUGUUUGCUUGUGUAUGUUUGGGAAUGUUGUAGAAUAGGUUUAUGCAUGUUUGGAUGAGAUUGGAGGCACAAAUGCAUAAGGGAGCUGAGUUUCUGCCAUUCUGGGAGAAACCAGGUUCGGCAGCCGAAGGAACUUUCGGCCUCCGAACGUGCUUGUGGAGGCAGCCUUCGGCUGCCGAAGCUUGCCCCCGAAAGGAGACUUUCGUCUCUGUCUGGAACUUUCGGCCGCCGAAAGUGCCGCCGAACAUGCAUGAGUUUCGCCUCUGUCUGGGAGUUUCGGCCACCGAAGGUGCAGCCGAACCUGCCUGACUUUCGGCUCUGGAGGGACUUUCGGCCGCCGAAAGUGCCCUGUCCAGCCCUUUCUUGCAUGUUUUUCUAUGAUUAUUCCAUGAUGUUUUAGGGGGUUUUUGGAGAGUAGUUUAGAGUUAUGUUCAUGUAUGUUUGGUCCCUCAUUUGAGUCCACCUGUGUAGGUUCGGACCCGAGGAACCGAGGACCCCAGCAGUGAGUCUAUUGCUCCAGUGUCUGGUCAGAGCUACCCAGAGGUGAGUGGAAUAACUUAUUAUGUUUUAAAGAAAAGAAUGAACUUUUCAGCAUGUUUCACGCAUCAUGAAUGCCAUGUGAUGAAUUAGGUUGCUUGCAUUAGAAUUCACGAAUAUGUUGCAUUGCAUAUUUUUAUGUUGAUGUGGAUGAAUGNNNNNNNNNNNNNNNNNNNNNNNNNNNNNNNNNNNNNNNNNNNNNNNNNNNNNNNNNNNNNNNNNNNNNNNNNNNNNNNNNNNNNNNNNNNNNNNNNNNNNNNNNNNNNNNNNNNNNNNNNNNNNNNNNNNNNNNNNNNNNNNNNNNNNNNNNNNNNNNNNNNNNNNNNNNNNNNNNNNNNNNNNNNNNNNNNNNNNNNNNNNNNNNNNNNNNNNNNNNNNNNNNNNNNNNNNNNNNNNNNNNNNNNNNNNNNNNNNNNNNNNNNNNNNNNNNNNNNNNNNNNNNNNNNNNNNNNNNNNNNNNNNNNNNNNNNNNNNNNNNNNNNNNNNNNNNNNNNNNNNNNNNNNNNNNNNNNNNNNNNNNNNNNNNNNNNNNNNNNNNNNNNNNNNNNNNNNNNNNNNNNNNNNNNNNNNNNNNNNNNNNNNNNNNNNNNNNNNNNNNNNNNNNNNNNNNNNNNNNNNNNNNNNNNNNNNNNNNNNNNNNNNNNNNNNNNNNNNNNNNNNNNNNNNNNNNNNNNNNNNNNNNNNNNNNNNNNNNNNNNNNNNNNNNNNNNNNNNNNNNNNNNNNNNNNNNNNNNNNNNNNNNNNNNNNNNNNNNNNNNNNNNNNNNNNNNNNNNNNNNNNNNNNNNNNNNNNNNNNNNNNNNNNNNNNNNNNNNNNNNNNNNNNNNNNNNNNNNNNNNNNNNNNNNNNNNNNNNNNNNNNNNNNNNNNNNNNNNNNNNNNNNNNNNNNNNNNNNNNNNNNNNNNNNNNNNNNNNNNNNNNNNNNNNNNNNNNNNNNNNNNNNNNNNNNNNNNNNNNNNNNNNNNNNNNNNNNNNNNNNNNNNNNNNNNNNNNNNNNNNNNNNNNNNNNNNNNNNNNNNNNNNNNNNNNNNNNNNNNNNNNNNNNNNNNNNNNNNNNNNNNNNNNNNNNNNNNNNNNNNNNNNNNNNNNNNNNNNNNNNNNNNNNNNNNNNNNNNNNNNNNNNNNNNNNNNNNNNNNNNNNNNNNNNNNNNNNNNNNNNNNNNNNNNNNNNNNNNNNNNNNNNNNNNNNNNNNNNNNNNNNNNNNNNNNNNNNNNNNNNNNNNNNNNNNNNNNNNNNNNNNNNNNNNNNNNNNNNNNNNNNNNNNNNNNNNNNNNNNNNNNNNNNNNNNNNNNNNNNNNNNNNNNNNNNNNNNNNNNNNNNNNNNNNNNNNNNNNNNNNNNNNNNNNNNNNNNNNNNNNNNNNNNNNNNNNNNNNNNNNNNNNNNNNNNNNNNNNNNNNNNNNNNNNNNNNNNNNNNNNNNNNNNNNNNNNNNNNNNNNNNNNNNNNNNNNNNNNNNNNNNNNNNNNNNNNNNNNNNNNNNNNNNNNNNNNNNNNNNNNNNNNNNNNNNNNNNNNNNNNNNNNNNNNNNNNNNNNNNNNNNNNNNNNNNNNNNNNNNNNNNNNNNNNNNNNNNNNNNNNNNNNNNNNNNNNNNNNNNNNNNNNNNNNNNNNNNNNNNNNNNNNNNNNNNNNNNNNNNNNNNNNNNNNNNNNNNNNNNNNNNNNNNNNNNNNNNNNNNNNNNNNNNNNNNNNNNNNNNNNNNNNNNNNNNNNNNNNNNNNNNNNNNNNNNNNNNNNNNNNNNNNNNNNNNNNNNNNNNNNNNNNNNNNNNNNNNNNNNNNNNNNNNNNNNNNNNNNNNNNNNNNNNNNNNNNNNNNNNNNNNNNNNNNNNNNNNNNNNNNNNNNNNNNNNNNNNNNNNNNNNNNNNNNNNNNNNNNNNNNNNNNNNNNNNNNNNNNNNNNNNNNNNNNNNNNNNNNNNNNNNNNNNNNNNNNNNNNNNNNNNNNNNNNNNNNNNNNNNNNNNNNNNNNNNNNNNNNNNNNNNNNNNNNNNNNNNNNNNNNNNNNNNNNNNNNNNNNNNNNNNNNNNNNNNNNNNNNNNNNNNNNNNNNNNNNNNNNNNNNNNNNNNNNNNNNNNNNNNNNNNNNNNNNNNNNNNNNNNNNNNNNNNNNNNNNNNNNNNNNNNNNNNNNNNNNNNNNNNNNNNNNNNNNNNNNNNNNNNNNNNNNNNNNNNNNNNNNNNNNNNNNNNNNNNNNNNNNNNNNNNNNNNNNNNNNNNNNNNNNNNNNNNNNNNNNNNNNNNNNNNNNNNNNNNNNNNNNNNNNNNNNNNNNNNNNNNNNNNNNNNNNNNNNNNNNNNNNNNNNNNNNNNNNNNNNNNNNNNNNNNNNNNNNNNNNNNNNNNNNNNNNNNNNNNNNNNNNNNNNNNNNNNNNNNNNNNNNNNNNNNNNNNNNNNNNNNNNNNNNNNNNNNNNNNNNNNNNNNNNNNNNNNNNNNNNNNNNNNNNNNNNNNNNNNNNNNNNNNNNNNNNNNNNNNNNNNNNNNNNNNNNNNNNNNNNNNNNNNNNNNNNNNNNNNNNNNNNNNNNNNNNNNNNNNNNNNNNNNNNNNNNNNNNNNNNNNNNNNNNNNNNNNNNNNNNNNNNNNNNNNNNNNNNNNNNNNNNNNNNNNNNNNNNNNNNNNNNNNNNNNNNNNNNNNNNNNNNNNNNNNNNNNNNNNNNNNNNNNNNNNNNNNNNNNNNNNNNNNNNNNNNNNNNNNNNNNNNNNNNNNNNNNNNNNNNNNNNNNNNNNNNNNNNNNNNNNNNNNNNNNNNNNNNNNNNNNNNNNNNNNNNNNNNNNNNNNNNNNNNNNNNNNNNNNNNNNNNNNNNNNNNNNNNNNNNNNNNNNNNNNNNNNNNNNNNNNNNNNNNNNNNNNNNNNNNNNNNNNNNNNNNNNNNNNNNNNNNNNNNNNNNNNNNNNNNNNNNNNNNNNNNNNNNNNNNNNNNNNNNNNNNNNNNNNNNNNNNNNNNNNNNNNNNNNNNNNNNNNNNNNNNNNNNNNNNNNNNNNNNNNNNNNNNNNNNNNNNNNNNNNNNNNNNNNNNNNNNNNNNNNNNNNNNNNNNNNNNNNNNNNNNNNNNNNNNNNNNNNNNNNNNNNNNNNNNNNNNNNNNNNNNNNNNNNNNNNNNNNNNNNNNNNNNNNNNNNNNNNNNNNNNNNNNNNNNNNNNNNNNNNNNNNNNNNNNNNNNNNNNNNNNNNNNNNNNNNNNNNNNNNNNNNNNNNNNNNNNNNNNNNNNNNNNNNNNNNNNNNNNNNNNNNNNNNNNNNNNNNNNNNNNNNNNNNNNNNNNNNNNNNNNNNNNNNNNNNNNNNNNNNNNNNNNNNNNNNNNNNNNNNNNNNNNNNNNNNNNNNNNNNNNNNNNNNNNNNNNNNNNNNNNNNNNNNNNNNNNNNNNNNNNNNNNNNNNNNNNNNNNNNNNNNNNNNNNNNNNNNNNNNNNNNNNNNNNNNNNNNNNNNNNNNNNNNNNNNNNNNNNNNNNNNNNNNNNNNNNNNNNNNNNNNNNNNNNNNNNNNNNNNNNNNNNNNNNNNNNNNNNNNNNNNNNNNNNNNNNNNNNNNNNNNNNNNNNNNNNNNNNNNNNNNNNNNNNNNNNNNNNNNNNNNNNNNNNNNNNNNNNNNNNNNNNNNNNNNNNNNNNNNNNNNNNNNNNNNNNNNNNNNNNNNNNNNNNNNNNNNNNNNNNNNNNNNNNNNNNNNNNNNNNNNNNNNNNNNNNNNNNNNNNNNNNNNNNNNNNNNNNNNNNNNNNNNNNNNNNNNNNNNNNNNNNNNNNNNNNNNNNNNNNNNNNNNNNNNNNNNNNNNNNNNNNNNNNNNNNNNNNNNNNNNNNNNNNNNNNNNNNNNNNNNNNNNNNNNNNNNNNNNNNNNNNNNNNNNNNNNNNNNNNNNNNNNNNNNNNNNNNNNNNNNNNNNNNNNNNNNNNNNNNNNNNNNNNNNNNNNNNNNNNNNNNNNNNNNNNNNNNNNNNNNNNNNNNNNNNNNNNNNNNNNNNNNNNNNNNNNNNNNNNNNNNNNNNNNNNNNNNNNNNNNNNNNNNNNNNNNNNNNNNNNNNNNNNNNNNNNNNNNNNNNNNNNNNNNNNNNNNNNNNNNNNNNNNNNNNNNNNNNNNNNNNNNNNNNNNNNNNNNNNNNNNNNNNNNNNNNNNNNNNNNNNNNNNNNNNNNNNNNNNNNNNNNNNNNNNNNNNNNNNNNNNNNNNNNNNNNNNNNNNNNNNNNNNNNNNNNNNNNNNNNNNNNNNNNNNNNNNNNNNNNNNNNNNNNNNNNNNNNNNNNNNNNNNNNNNNNNNNNNNNNNNNNNNNNNNNNNNNNNNNNNNNNNNNNNNNNNNNNNNNNNNNNNNNNNNNNNNNNNNNNNNNNNNNNNNNNNNNNNNNNNNNNNNNNNNNNNNNNNNNNNNNNNNNNNNNNNNNNNNNNNNNNNNNNNNNNNNNNNNNNNNNNNNNNNNNNNNNNNNNNNNNNNNNNNNNNNNNNNNNNNNNNNNNNNNNNNNNNNNNNNNNNNNNNNNNNNNNNNNNNNNNNNNNNNNNNNNNNNNNNNNNNNNNNNNNNNNNNNNNNNNNNNNNNNNNNNNNNNNNNNNNNNNNNNNNNNNNNNNNNNNNNNNNNNNNNNNNNNNNNNNNNNNNNNNNNNNNNNNNNNNNNNNNNNNNNNNNNNNNNNNNNNNNNNNNNNNNNNNNNNNNNNNNNNNNNNNNNNNNNNNNNNNNNNNNNNNNNNNNNNNNNNNNNNNNNNNNNNNNNNNNNNNNNNNNNNNNNNNNNNNNNNNNNNNNNNNNNNNNNNNNNNNNNNNNNNNNNNNNNNNNNNNNNNNNNNNNNNNNNNNNNNNNNNNNNNNNNNNNNNNNNNNNNNNNNNNNNNNNNNNNNNNNNNNNNNNNNNNNNNNNNNNNNNNNNNNNNNNNNNNNNNNNNNNNNNNNNNNNNNNNNNNNNNNNNNNNNNNNNNNNNNNNNNNNNNNNNNNNNNNNNNNNNNNNNNNNNGUUUUUAUUAUUCUGCUCACUGGGCUCUAGUAGCUCACCCCUCUCCCAUUUCCCCAGGAUUGCAGGUACAGGGUAGACCAGGAGGUUUACAAGAGUAAUGAAGUCUGGUUUAUGUAAUAGAUAGUGUGGACAUGAUAAAUGUAUUAAUGUUAUGUAAAAGUACAGUUUCAGUCAUGUAAUGAUGUUGAGGAUUAGAUAUUGUGCUUGACAUUGUGUAUGAGGUAUUCCUUUUAUUACAUGAUAAAAAAUGUUUUAUAAUGUUCAUGAAAGCCAACUCAUCUUAUGAUGUAUCGCCCAUUGGGGCAUUGAUGAGAUCCCAAAGAGGGGUCAUGAUUAUGAUUAUGACUAUGUGCAGUGCAUGUUCAGGUUGAGUUGGAUGUAUGAAAGAAAAGUUUUAAAUUUUUAUGUAUAUUGUUGAUCAUGUAUGGGAUUAAACAGGUUUUCAGGUUGCAAGUCAGGCUUGCUACGGGUCUUGGCGGCCUUAAGCCGACCCGGAUCCUAGCGCUGGUAGCGGUCCGAUUUUCGGGUCGUUACACUAACCAUUGUGGGUACAUGACUUCCCUAAUAAACCCUGCUUCUUCUAGUUUCUGCACCUCCUCGCUGGUGGCCUGCUGCUUUUCUUUUCCAACCACUCUCUUCUUCUGUUUUAUAGGUUUUGCCCCGGGGAGAACGUUUAGCUUAUGGGUCAUCACUUCAGGGUCUAUUCCCGGCAUGUCAGACGGCUUCCAAGCGAAGCUUGAGGCGUGGCCCCGAAUUAAAGCCAUUGCUACCAUUUUUUGUUCUUCAGUCAGGCCGGCGUUGAGGCUGAAAACUUUGUCUGCUUCUUCUUCUGACAAAGGGAAAGUUUCCAGCUCCCCCACAGGCUCUAUCCUGGCUUCUUUCUUCUCAUCUCUAACUUUCAUGACCUUUGAGUCGAUUCCCAUCUGCCAAGCUCGGUUCUUGUAUACCGUCCUUGCUUCCUCCUGAUGCCCUCGAACUAUCCCCACCCCUGCCUUUGUUGGGAAUUUCAUGGUCAGAUACCUAAUGUUGGUCACUGCCUCAAAGUCGUACAGCAUAGGCCUCCCCAAUAUUGCAUUGUAGCUUAGAGGGAGUUUCACCAUCAAAAACACGGCGUAGUGAGUCCGAGACAGGGGUGGCUCUCCUAGAGUUAAAGCCACCUUCACUUUACUUUCUAUGAUUACUGGAGUCCCUCCGAUCCCUUUCACCGGGGCUUGAUCCCGUACCAGCUGCUCCUCUGGUAUCCCCAUCUGCUGGAAGACCCUGUACGGCAGUAGGUUUACUUUGCUUCCAUCAUCAACCAGGAUCUUCCGAACUCGGUAGUUGUAGAUGACAGCUUCGAUGACCAGGGCAUUAUUGUGAGGCAUUUGAAUGUCGUGAGCGUCCUCUAGAGAGAAAGAGAUGGUCAUAGGGGAAUGCUCUACCACUUGCAUGACUUCACUGCUGCUUCCCUCUCCUUCUCGGCUUCUUUUCUUUCCCCUCCUGCUCAUUCGACCUCUAGUUCCUCCAACAAUCAUAUUAAUGGUUCUGCUGGAGCCAUCAUUUACUGGUCUUGCCCCCAGUCUUCGAGGCCUUUCUGCUACGAGGUUGUGCUGAGGUCUCUCUCCUUCCUGUUUUUUCACAAAGUUUCGGAGAUGUCCCCUCUUUAUCAUCCUUUCAAUCUUGCUGAUCAGCUGGUAGCAGUCAUUGGUGUCAUGGCCGUGAGUGUGGUGGUACUGGUAAUAUUUGUCAGGGUCUCUCCGGUUUGCUUCUGCUUUCAUAGGCCUGGGCCAUUGAAGGAACUCCUUGUCUUGGACUGCCACAAGCACCUCGACCCUGCAGGCGUUAAGUGGGGUUAUUGUUUCUGGGACCCGAGGUAGGGGCAGUCUCUGCUCUCUUCUAUCCCAGGACAGUCUGUAUACCUCGGGUCCUUUAUUGUGUCUUCUUUUAGGUCUGUCUGACCUCCUUUCUUCUGGAGCCUUUCCCCUAUCUGCAGCUUCUCUAGCAAAUCUGCUGAUCGUUAAGGCAUCAUUCUGCCUUAUAUACUUCUCUGCCCUCUUUAUCAGCUCUGCCAGGAAGGUGGGCGGUUUUCUGCUCAAUGAGCCAAAGAACUCAGGGGAGGUGGUCCCUUUCUGCAUGGCCUCCAUAGCUUGACUUUCAUCUAGUUCGGGGAUCUGCAGGGCUUUCGUGUUGAAACGGGCUACAUAUUCCCUCAAGGACUCGUUCCUCUUCUGCCGAAUUGUCUCCAGGUAACUGGUUCUUCUGUCAGCUGGUACUUCUUCUAUGAACCGGCUAAUAAAGAUGUUGGCUAGGUCGCCAAAACUCUUGAUACUCCCAGCCUCCAAACUGUUAAACCAGGCUCUCGCGGGUCCCGUGAGCGUAGUAGGGAAUACCUUGCAUAUCAAUGCAUCCGACAAAGUCUGCAGUUCCAUGAACGUCUUGUAGUUCAAGAUGUGCUCCCUUGGAUUCCCGGUCCCAUCAUAUAUUGCCAUGGGAGGCAUCAUGAACUUUUUGAGAACGGUUUCUUAUUGAAUCCAUCUAAAAAAAGGCGAGGAGGUGGGCAAGAGAGUCUGGCUGUUGUCCUUUGCCCCCAGCUUAGCCAGAAGCUGCUGCUUCAUCUUCUGCAGCUUCUAAUCUACAUCUUCCUUCUCUUGUCUUGGCCUCUUCUCCAUGCGGUAUCCUUCCCUCCAUUCUUCACUCCCCGUCCUCCUGGCCCUUUCCAUGGAAUAGCUUUUUACCUCGUCGUUGUCAAUAAGUUCUCUCGCUCUCCUUCCAUGAACUCUAGCCAUUGGCUCCUCCUCUCUAUCAACUCCUCUGUCUCCUGUUCCAGCUCCAUUGCUGCUUUGUUGAAGGAUUGGGUGGUUGAAGGUGGGUUGAGAUUCAGCGGCAGGGGUUCCCUCCACUACGGGAAGCACAUUCAAUGGGGUGUUGAGACCCCUUUGCUGCAUUAUUUGUCCCAGCUGGUGGAUGGUAUUUUGUAGUUGAAGGGCUAUGGUUUGGAGUUCUUGGUUAGAGAUGGUAUUUUGGGGUGUGUUCCCUGCUGAGCUUGGUGAAGGUACAUGCAGCAUUGGUGGUUGGCUGGUGGGGUAGUAGGGCUGGAGAAAGAGAAUUACUGCCCUUAUUGGGCAAAGCUUAAGUCAUUUGAGAUGUUAACAGUGUGGUUUUCAUUGUGGAUCUCAGUGGGUUUUAUAAGAGAGGAACUCCAGUGACGAGAAGGUCUCCUUCGUUUCCUACAGACGACGUCAAUUGAUAUUUUGAGAUCCAGAGAAUAGAGUUUACAAUGGUUGUGUAAGCUUAGGUGGAGAGGAGGAUGUUCCUUUUUAUUAUUUUUCCCUUUGUCCGCUAGUAAUGCCUAACGGCCUCUCUACUACAGUGCUACCUGUCUCUAUUGAACAGGUCCGUAUGUACGAACGGCGUCAAACGUCCUCUCCACGCCAGGCGGCCAUUUAAUUCUCCCGGCGCACAUGCAGACAGGGCUGUAAGGUGACUGGGCCUGUUGUCCUUCUUCAUGUCACAUCACUGGGCUGAGCUCGUGGUUGGUGUACUUAGUGUAAUACCCGGCUAGAGUCGGGCGUCGGAAGUCCUGUAAUCCGGCAGCAUUUCUGAUGUCGGAAUCCUCUGGAAGGGUACGGAUUAUGUUUUUCUAUGGUUUGAAAGUGUUUUCAUGUUUUAAAGUGUUUAAAGAAGUAAGGUUUUGCAAGAAAAGCACCAAGGCAGAAAAGCCAAGGUUCGGCCGUCGAAGGUGACUUUCGGCCGCUGAACGUGCAUUGUAAUACCCGGCUCGAGUCCGGCCUCGGACUUCCUGUCGUCUGGUGGAAUCUUGGGUGUCGGAACCCUCGAGAAGGGUAAGCCAUAUGUUUUCAUGUGUGUUUUCAGAGUUUUGAAUGUUUUCAAGUAUAAAGGAAAAUGAGUUUUGAAAGAAAAGCAAUAAGGGAGAAAGGCAAAGGUUCGGCUGCCGAACAUUGCAUGGUUUCGGAUUCACGUUCGGCUGCCGAAGGUGGUCUGGCCAGCCACCUAUUUAAGUGCCAAAGGUCGGUGGAAGGAGGAUAUUUCUCCUCCACUUGCAGCCAGAGGUGAGUUCCAGCCUCUCCCAAGUUGACUUCAUGUUUUUCAUGUUUUUCACCAAAUCUUUCAAGGGUUUUAAGAGUUUUGGUGUGUUUUGAAGGUUUUGAGCAAAAAUAGCAAGUUUGGAAGUUUGGAGUUUUGGAAGAGGUUUUCUUCAUAUCUCCACGUUAGGAUCACUUGAUCUCUUGUUUGGAAGAGGUAAAGUCAAGAUCCAGACCCUCUUUUACUAAUUUUUGAAGGUUUUCUGGGAGUUGUAUGGAUAGUAUGCAUGAGUAGGGUUUUGGUUGAGGUUUUGCAUGAUUUUGUGUUUAAGCAUGUUUAAGUGUUGUUUGUAUGUUUCUUGGGGUGAUAAGUGAGUUUUAGGCCCUUUUAUGCAUGUUUUAUGGUAUGUGCUAGUUGGGAGUAGUUGAUAUGCAUGUUGGGUAAGUUUGGGGGAAAGGUUUGCAUGAAACAGAGCAAGGUUCUGUCCAUUGGACAAAGCCAGGUUCGGCCGCCGAAGGAAGGUUCGGCCGCCGAACCCCUUGUGGAGGCAGUUGCGGUUGCCAAAGCUUGCCCCCGAACAUUUGGACUUUCGUCUCUGGAAGCAAGGUUCGACCGCCGAAAGUGCCGCCGAAGGUUGAGGUUCGUCUCUGGAUGAGACUUUCGGCUGCCGAAGGUGCCGCCGAACAUGCCUGAGUUUCGUCUCUGGAGAGGGGUUUCGGCCGCCGAACCUGCCGUCGAACGUGCCCUGUCCAGCUUUCUUUUGCAUGUUUUAUGUGUUUGUUUGAGGAUCUUGUAGAGGGUUUUUGGGGAGUUUCUUAGAGAUGUUCUUGAGUUAGUUUGGUCCCUCAUUUGAGUCCACCUGUGUAGGAACGGACCAGAGGAACCCCAGAGAGCAGCAGUGAGCACUGUUUCAGAACCUGCAGAGUUAGUACAGAGUCAGCCAGAUGUGAGUGGAACUUCUCUUUUCAGACCUAAACUGCUUUGAGCAUAUGUCAUGCAUCAUAAGAUUAUAGUAGGAUGAUUGCAUUAGUUUCACGAAGAUGACGCAUUGCAUAAUACGAUGUGUAUGAGGCUGUGGAUAGACCAAGGCGACCCCAAUAGCCCUAGCUCUGUGUAAGACCUGGCCGGGCCAGGCAGCCUUAUGUAGGUAAGACCUGGCUAGACCAGGCAGCAGAUUAUCGUAAGACCUGGCCGGGCCAGGCGAGCAGAGUUUGUAAGACCUGGCCGGGCCAGGCAGAUUGAGGUUGUAAGACCUGGCUAGGCCAGGCAUCCUUCCAGUGGGAUUUUUGGUGGUCAUGUCUAUCCCUGAGAUGAUGUGCUGUUAUGCAUUCCAUGAGAUCAUGUUUUCAACCUAUGGUUUAUAGUUCUGCUCAUUGGGCUUGUAUAGCUCAUCCCUCUCCCAUAUCCCCCAGGUUUGCAGGUUCAGAGUCCAGAGGGAGUCCAGCAGGGUUUGCAAGAAGCAGAGUUAUGUAAUAGCUAGUGUGGACAUGUACAUGUAAAGAGAUAAUGUAUAAUGUGUAGCUUUGUGCUUGACUUAUAAGAGAUGUAAUCCCUUGUUAUAGACACAUGAUCAGUUUAUGUAUGUUUCUUUUAUUGUUAAUGAAUAUGAGAAAACCAGGCUUAACAUUAUGAGUUGAUAGACCAGAAAGAGUGCAUGUACAGGUUAAGCCCUGGAGGAAAGCAAAGUUUUUAGUGGUUUGACAGAAAAUGUAUGAUCAUGUAUGGGAUUUCACAGGUACACAGACAGUGUAGCAGGCUUACUACGGGUCCCGGCGACCUUAAGUCGAUCUGGAUCCUAGUGCCGGUAGCAGUUCGGUUUCCGGGCUGUUACAUGCAUGGCAUUUGGGUUCUCAUUCGGCCGUCGUAGUUGGUCUGGCUAGCCAACUAUAAAAGGCCCUAGGUCGGUCAAAUAGAUAAGAUUUUCUUUCCAUUUGCACGAGUUGAGGUGAGACUUGAUCUUCCUUGAGUGAUUUAUGUGUUUUCUCAAAUCUUUCAUGGUUUUAAUGGAUUUUCAUGUGGUUUUGAAGUUUUUGAGCAAAAGAGCAAGUUUGGAAGCUUGGAGAGUUUGAGAGAGGAUUUCUCCAUAUCUCCACGUAGGGAUCGUUCAAUCUCUUGUUUGGAAGAGGUAAGUGAAAAUCCUGAACUUCCUUCCUUAAUUUUUGAAGGUGUUAUGGCAGUUUCAUGGGUAGUAUGCAUGAAUAGGGUUAGAUGAGAUUUUUGGUGAUUUUUGGUAUCAGCAUAGUUAAGUGUUGUUUGGUAUGUUUGUUGGAGGUGUUAGGAUAGGUUUAGACCUCUUUAUGCAUGUUAUAUGGUAUAUGCUAGUUGGUAGACAAGGGUUUCAUCCGCUCGAGUACCUCACCUUGGGGUGCUCCACUACUGUUUAUCAGGAAGAAGGAUGGACCUCUUAGACUUUGUAUCGACUACAGGCAGUUGAACAAGGUCACUACCAAGAACAAGUAUCCUCUACCCCGGAUCGAUGAUCUCUUUGACCAGCUGUCAGGAGCAGGAUGUUUCUCUAAGAUAGAUCUGAGAUCAGCCGUACCACAGAGCAGUGGCAGAGGUAGAGAAAGAGGGUCAGCCUCUUCAUCAGGGAUGGGUUCCCGAGGUGCAGGUCCAUCAGCCCCAGCACGGAUUUUCACCAUGACGCAACAGGAGGCAGAUACAUCGAACACAGUGGUGUCAGGUAAUCUCAUCAUUGGGUGUUCAGAGGUGUAUGCUUUGAUGGACCCCGGUGCUUCUCACUCUUUCAUUGCUUCUAGAGCCGCAGAGAGGUUGGGUUUGAUAGUCUCCGAGUUAGAGUGUCCUCUCUGGGUCAGUGGACCUAGAUGUGACCCAUCAUUGGCAGAGUCAGUCUGUCAAGUCAGUACAGUGUGUAUAGAGGAUAGAUACCUUCCAGCUGACCUCUUUAUGCAUGUUAUAUGGUAUAUGCUAGUUGGGAGUAGUUGCUUUGCUAUGCAUGUUGGAUAGGUUUUGGAUGAAGUUUGCAUGAAACAGAGCAGAUUUCUGCCCAACGGGCAAAACCAGGUUCGGCCGCCGAACCCCUUGUGGAGGCAGUUUCGGCUGCCAAAGCUUGCCCCCGAACAUUUGGACUUUCGUCUCUGGAGGCAAGGUUCGGCCGCCGAAAGUGCCGCCGAAGGUUGAGUUUCGUCUCUGGACGAGACUUUCGGCUGCCGAAGGUGCCGCCGAACAUGCAUGAGUUUCGCCUCUGGAGGGGAGUUUCAGCCGCCGAACCUGCCGCCGAAAGUGCCCUGUCCAGCUUUCUUUUGCAUGUUUUAUGUGAUUGUUCUAUGAUGCUUUAGAGGGUUUUUGGGGAGUUUCUUAGAGAUGUUCUUGAGUUAGUUUGGUCCCUCAUUUCAGUCCACCUGUGUAGGAAUGGACCAGAGGAACCAAGGAGUUCAGCAGUGAGCACUGUUUCAGAACCUGCAGAGUCAGUACAGAGUCAGCUAGAGGUGAGAGGAACUGAACUAAAUCUUUUGCUAUGAGAACUCAAACAUUUUUAGCAUGUUUCAUGCAUCAUUUAUGCCAUGUUUAUAGUAUUGCAUUAGUGAGCACGAAGAUGGUGCAUUAAUCAGUGCAUGUACAGAUCGGGCGUAGCUUGGAUUCAUUAGCCCCCUAAAUGAAGACCUGAGGAGCCCUGAAAGGGCCGGGCACACGGUACCAUAGGGUGCUGAAUGAAGACCUGAGGAGCUCCUUCGCGGGCCGGGCAAUGUGGGGAAAUUUUGAAUUAGUCCGUCUGAGAUUAUGUGAUUUACUUGUGUUGUGAUGCAUUCCAUGAGAUCAUGUUUUAUAACCUGUUUUAUAUGUACUACUCACUGGGCUAGUAUAGCUCACCCUCUCCCUUCACCCCAGUCUUGCAGGUUCAGAGUCCAGAGGUGUCAGCAAGGUACAGAGAAAGAGCAGAGUUAUGUAAUAGAUAGUGUGGACAUAUAAUUCUAAAGGAUAGUUUUUAUUGUAUAGAUGAUGCUUGACCAUAUGAUUUGUAAUCCCUUUUGUCUAUACAUGGUCUGUUAUGAAAAUAAUUGUAUUGUCUAUGUAUGAAAAACCACAGUAUAUGAUUGGACCCGCCUAGAGCAAAGAUGAGAGCUCUAACAGGGGUUUUAUAGUACAGAGAUAGUGUAUGCACAGGUUAAGCCUUGGAACAGAGAAAAGUUUUAAUGUUUACAGAAAAUGUUUGAUCAUGUCUGGGAUUUCACAGGUACACAGAGUUCACAGCAGGCUUGCUACGGGUCCCGGCGGCCUUAAGCCGAUCUGGAUCCUAGCGCCGGUAGCAGUUCGGUUUCCGGGCUGUUACACUUAGACUUGCGAGUGACCCGAUCCGCUUUUUGAGACUAUGUCAAGGCCAAAGAAAUCAGAUCGGCCCAUCAAUGAAGCUUCCUGAGUUUUUGGGUCGGGACAGCUUUCGCGAGUCUGACCUCCUAUCUGGACGCAUGAAACCCAACGGUCAUCAAUAAGUUUAUUUAAAUAAUUGUAUAUUAAAAUUAAAAAAAUUCAUUUAUAUUCUAGAUAAAAUAUAAAAAUCUUUCGUAUUUUUUUUUUCAUCUAUGAUUGUUUUUCGUAUCUAAUAAAUAUAUUAUAAUUUGUAAAUGUUAUAUGUAGAUAAAUUUUAUAUAAUUUAUAAUUAUUUUAUUUUUAUUAAAAAAAUUUGAUAUGAAUAUUGUAUUUAAAUAUACCAUAAUUUUAUUAAAUUAAAACAUAGCAUAAUUUUUAAUGUUGUUAAAUUUAUUAUAUUUAUUUGUAAUGUUUAAUUUUUAAUUUACUGUAUUUUUUAUUAAAAAUAUCAUUAAAAUAAAUUAAGAAAUAUUUUAUUAAGUGAUGAAAUAUUUUAAUUUAUUUUAAUAUCUAAUAUAGUGUAAUAGUCAUUAUCCAUAUUAUAUUAAAUUUAGAUAUAUUCAAUUUAAACAAUCAUAAAAGCUUUUUAAAACAAAAAAACUCUUUUAUAUUAUAUUUCUCAAAUAUAUUUUGAAAGUUCUGACUUUUACUUCAAUUUUAUAUAUUUAAAGCUCUGACAUUUAUUUCUCUUCUUCUACUGCUUAAAAGCUAAAGUAAAAGCUAUGGUCAAACAAGCACUCCACGCAGCAUCAAUGGCUCCUCGCACAGAAUUUGCACAUCUUAAAGCAAUUUUGUAGAGAUGGAGAAUUUUCACCUUGCAUGAUUCCUGACAACCAAUAUAUUCUAAGUUACUCAAACCCACUCAAAAGCUUGUAGACUUAAGAUGCCUCUGCCAACUAUAUUAAGAAUCUAUGCGUCAUGUGUUGUUCUCUGGCCAUGCUCCCAAUCGUCUUUAUAUAAUCUCCUCUCUUUUACUCCAACCCAAAGCACUUACAUAACCAUACAUCUAUAAUCAUCCUAUCUGAUCAUCAUUAGUUAUGGGGAUAAAAUUAAAAAUGGACAUUAAUUUUCAAUAAUCAAGAAGAAUAAUAACAAAAGAAAAGGUGGGAAAAGAUGUUAGGAACGAAUGCUUGGAAUAGAAGCCCAUUCAAAGUUGAAACUUCUGCCAUUACUUGGAUUGGACUCAAAGUCUGGUUAGUCUCAUCAAGAGAAAGAGAGAGAGAGUGAGAGAGAGGGGGAGAGAGCUAACGUCCAUGUUAACCUUUCUGGGUGAAAAUUCAACAUUCCAUUCUAUAACUUUGGACUGGACUUCCCACCUUACCCAACUCUGAAAGAACCCUCCCAACCAGCAAAAAAAAAAAAGAAGGAAAAACAUCAUAUUAUCUGUGAGAAAAACAUCCAAAACACAAUCUUAGAGACAUUAUACCAUUUUUUUGGUUGAAAUGCUCUGGAACUUGGUUCCAACACAGAGGAAACAUGGCAAAAAGAUCAGAUUUUGCACAGAAGCUGUUAGAUGAUCUCCGGGCUCGGAAGGAUCGAAUAUCUGCAUCUCAGAGCUCAAAAAGUUCAAAGCCACUAGCUGCAGGUAAGCAUUCCAAUGAAUUUCAAGCAAGAAGCAAAUUCAUGGGCUUGAGAAAUUUCUGAACAAUAAAGGCAAUUAUGAUUUAAGACUAUUGAGUCACACUUUUGUGUCAAUGAAAGUCAUCAUGGAAAAUGCUCCAAAAAACUGAAACACAUUAACUCCUCUUGGAUAGAUGCCUAUGUUCAGUGUUUCCCAGGACAAAUAAGUUUGUAGGUGUCUAGGCUUCUAUGGUUAACUUUCCUUUUUCUGAAAAUGAUGAUUCUUAUUCAACAACUUCAAGCAAUUCCAAAAAUCAGCAAGCAUCAACUGCGUCUUAGGACAAGUUGAGAGGGGAUCAUCUGUAAGCACUAUAGGAUCAGAGAAAUUUAUUCGCUCUGAUAAAGCGGCACCAAGAUAUAUUAUGGCCAUAAAUACUUAUGUAUUUCAGUUGGUCACAACCAUGAUCAUGUUGAAAAACAAGGACAAUUCCCAACAAAAAAACAAAAUUAAGAACACAAAAGUUUCAUGUGAUUCAUCUAAUAGCAAUAUGUUCUUCAGAAGAUAGAAAAGGGAUAAAGGUUGAUGAGAAUUAGAGGAAAAUCAAACAAAUUAGAGUACUAUUAUCUUAUUCUCCAUAUUGAAGAGCACACAUAACAAAAAAAAAAAAAAAAAAAAAUCAAUUUUCCAUAAUUAGACCAAAUUAGUUAAUAUUUCCAAGUUCGCUUUUAAUACCACUUUGUAAAUCACAUAUUAGAAGAAUAAGUAAAUAAACGAAGAGGAGAAUACUUUACUAAGAGGGAAGUGAGGAUUUAGGUCAAAUGAGAAAUACAAUAUGUGGCUGUUUAAAUGCAAGCAUUCCUUUUAAAUAACUUAAGGACUACUGCAAACUAGAAAGGGGCUUUUACAGACAAAAACCUUGAAUACUGGCACUGAAGACUGAAGUAUUGUUCUUUUAGAAGUAUCUUUAUUUUCUAAAUAUGAUGUGCCUGCACAGAUGCAUAUUCUUAUUCGAAGCAAGCAUAUAGAGGAUCCAGAGAAAUGAAAACGCAUGGACCUGUAAGUUAUUGUUGAUGAAGCUGGUUAAAGCAGAUCUCCUGCACCUCAAUUACUUAAAUUGCUUCAUUUCUGCAGAGUGGCUUAAAAAACGGAAGUGCAUGCCAUAAGUCUACGGGAGGCAGCAGAACACUGUCCGUUGGAGAAGCUUCAAACAAGAUUAUUCCUUUUGGGAGAGGUAGAAGCUCAGAACAUGGAGAUCUGUCCUUGGCACUGGCUUUUGCCCUUGAGAAUGGAGGAAAACUCAGAAGAAUGGACUCAGCUGGCAACAGUUCCAUGCUGGAUUUCCUGAAUCAGAUUGGCAGAAGAUCAUUUGAUCUGGCCAAGAUGGAAAGAAGCAGCAUUGAUAGGCACAGAUCAGCAACUAGCCACUUCCCUACUGUUUCUCAUCUCCAUAUCAAAGAAAUAUCUAAGGGGGCACAAAAAUUAAAUCAGAUCCUAAGUGCCUGCUCUAAUGGUCUUAACUUCGACAGAUAUUCAAUAGAAAUAGGAACAGAACUAUUGAAGGGUGCCAUGGAGUUAGAAGAGUCCCUUCGCAUGCUAGUAAACCUGCAAGAAGCUUCAGAGUACAUGAUCAGCCCACAAAGCAAAACUCGGAUCACUUUGCUUGAUGAUGAUGAAGAUAACGAUAACAUCAAUGUCCAGCAGGAUGACAAUAAGCAACUUGCUCAGAGAAUAUUCUCUUUUGACAAGCCUUCAAAAAAUUCUCAUUACAUCCAGGAAGCCGCAAGGACUGAUCUCAAGCAAAGGCUAAUGGCCCUGACUUACAAAUCAGAAACUACAAACUUUGACCAUGAUACACACACUUUAAGCACCACAAAUUCCACUUUUCAGACACAGCCAGCUAGCUACAGCCCCAACGUGAAAACUUUUCAAGCACUCUCAGAGCAUAAGAAUCACUCAGGUCCAUCAAAACUGAAACCAGAAAAUGGGAGAAUUCCAAAUGUAAUUGCAAAAUUAAUGGGGCUGGAAGAACUUCCAGGAAAUGAUGGUUCAAAAUAUAUCACAAACAAAGAGUCCAGUUCUAAGGGAAAAACAGAGCAGACAGCUGCAAAGAAACCUCCAGAUGGAAGCCUUACACAUGAACGGAAGACAAAAGAUGCUGGGAUUUUGUCCUCUCCAAUCAGGAAACAUAAACAGAUACAAUCCAACCAAAUUCAAUCAGCUCAGGACAUGACACAUAGCUUGCAAGCAGAAAGGAAUCUAGCAAAUCGACAUACUAGAUUUGAAGGGAGUAUUCAUGCUGUAAAAUUAGUGCAGGAGGAUGUGGAAUGGAUAAAACCAACUAGAAGCUCAAACAAGGCCAACAUGAACAUAGCUAAGCAUCAGAGCAACAUCGACCAAUCAAGCCAAAGUAUAGGAAAUCAAAAGGAUAUUAAGGAGAAAGAGCAAAAACAGGAUAAUCCAAAGCUGAGGGAACUGAAAAGCAAUAAAAAGGGUGAAACUAAGGAACUAAUCCUAAAGCGUCAGCCCCAGCAGAUGACACAUCAGCCACCAAAUGGAUCUGAAGCCGCAACACUGCUGCAAGGGCAAGUAGAGUGCAAUUUGACCAUGCUUAAAACAGAAAGGAUAGAUGUACAUAGGCUGCCAUCCGACAAUCAGCUGAAGUCUUUUGAUGAUCUUGCAUUCCAACAAACUCAAAUGCUCCAAAAUGUUGAGUCCCAAGGUGGAAAACAUCAUGCAGAAGAAAAUCAGCAGCAGAGUGUUAAAGAGAAGAUACAAGUGAGAAGGCAAAUAGGAAGUGAAACAAGGCGCUUGCCAAAAAAGCAUUCACAUAAAAGCCCAGCAAUAGCUGAUAAUGGAAGCUACUCAGAAUCAAACGGUACAAUACAAUCCACGGGCUUCCCAAAUAAAAGGCAGCACGGAGAUCUUGUCCAAGAGAAAAGUUCUUCUAAUUGCAGCAUUAACAUGCAGGAUUCAAUGAACAAGAAUUCAAAUCAAAAUACCUCUCCAAGGAAUCUGAACUCUGAAGUUAUAAAAGGAAAAAAUAGAACCGGUAUUCCACCAGAGAAAGAAGAGAAACCUGUUCAUCUACUACCAGCAGUUCAGAAGGGAAAAGUUACAAAAGUGCAAAAAGUUGAGGUUCCUCAAAAGACUGAUAAACUAGCGAUAAGAAGAAUCGGAAAUCCUCACAACUUGGCAAGGCCACUGAAACAUCAGACUUCCAUAAUGCAACAAACAAAACAGAGAAGAAAUAAAAAACUUGUACAAUCCAAGGAAGAAGAGCGACUGAGACCCAGCAGGUCCAAAGAAGCAGAAUCGUGCAUUAUUAAAUCCAAUAAAUCAGUAUCAAGCAUGCAACAACCAAACAUGUUGGAAGAACUACAAAGUCAAGCUGAAAAGCCUUCCACCUUGUGCUGUCCUCCUACAGAUGAUGAAUGCCAAAACCUAAACGGACCACAAAUCCUAGCUCCAGACGAAAUCGUAAGUUUCCUUGUUGCUGCAGUUAUUUCACAGAAAAUAAACACUGUUUUAGGAACUUAUACAAAUACAAGCUACUUCGGUAAAAAUUAUUACCUCCAAAAUAAUGAGCUAACUCUUUCUGUGUUGCACAGUCAUCAUCAAUGAUAAAAGAUCAACAAGGUCAUGAACCUGACAUUGACAUAGACAAAUGCAUAUCUCACAGCUCUUUAUUGGAUCCACUUAGCAGUAAGUAUAAAGCACAUUUUUUUAGUUUACUUUUCAGUGUAAUGGUUUUCAUGUCUACAGAACUGCUGACUGAUAAAUGAGUUGGCCAUAUGCUCCAAUUCAUUUACCACAUCAAGUUUCCCUACAUAUGAUUGACAAUUUAUUUUAGGCCGAACUUGUAUCAGUAAGCCUUCCAAAAUAAAGGCUUGUAAUGUCAAAGUUUAUUGCUGGAUUCUUGCAGGAACUCAUGAAGAUAGGAAAGAUACAACUUACCCCUCACAACUGGAGAAUCAAAAAGUAUCUGAAUUGGAAACGCAAGAGUUACUAACAGAAAGUGAAGAUCACCUCAAGCAGAUCCUGAUAAAAAGUCCCCUAUUUCUUAACACAGCAGAGGCACUUUUCAAACUCAACAUUCCUCUUGACAUUCGCCAUGCUGGUGGUCAUGAUUAUCAUGAUGAAGAGAGCAAGCUCAUAUUAGACUGUGGAUAUGAAGUAAUGAAAAGGAAAGGGAAAAGGCAAGAGCUCAGUGUUAAUCCUUUCAGGAGGAUUUCUAUCACUUCUCCUAAGGUAAGCUCCUUGGAUGACUUGAUUAAGCAGUUGGAUAAAGAUUUCAAGAAGUUAAAAUAUACAACGGAAUGUGUUGUUGAAGACUACCUCCCAAAAAUGCUUGAGAUUGAUGUCUACAACAGGGAUCUAGACGUGAAUUGUAUGUGGGACUUUGGCUGGCACGAGAUGACGUUCACAUUGCUCGAAAAAGAUGACGUUAUAAGGGACGUGGAGAGGCAUGUACUCAAUGCACUCCUUGAUGAGGUUACUAGAGAUCUGCUAGUAUUUUGAUUAAAUUGAAGAAAUAAUUCCUAGUAUGUUGGAAUUCCAAUGCACAUUGAAACAAGAAUUUUGUGUGGCUUAUUUGGUUUUCAUCCAAGGAACUUCAAUUAUACUCCUUAUGUUUCUCUUAACUGUAAUGCUUACUGUAGAUUAUCUGCUUGUGUAUAAGUGAAGUUCAAUCAUUUUAUUAUCCUUCAAACUAAUUUAUUCAUCUAUUUUUCCACCCAAGUCAAAAGCACAAAUGAUAAAUAAGGUUAUUACCUCCAAAUAUAUAAGAGACAUUCAAUUCAGAUAGUGGUUUACAAUGGAAGCAAGCAAUAUCACUCCACAGAUGUGGAAAAUGAGAUCAACUUGAAUGACAGGUAGGCUUAAAUGAUAUGCCAGGCUUCAAAGAGAUGGACUCCUUUCCGAUACUAAUCAGAAGUUCAAUAAUUAACAUAAGUUCAUGUAUAGUAGAGAGAGUGUAAUACCUUUACCAUAUGGAGAGCUAAUUUAAAUGCAAAAUCAAAACAAAUGAUCAACAACUUUUUUGAGCGAAGCAUACCUGUAAAUCAACAAUUUUUUAGCGCAUCUCUUCAGUACUCACCUGAGGCGUGUUUGAUUGCCAGGAAUUUGCCAGAAAGAAAAUUUAUCAAAAAUAAAAACUAUCGUGCUGUCCGUUGACACGUGCUUUCUAAUCAAACGAUUCACUCAGUUGAUCCAAUCCGAAUAUUGCAUUAUCAUGUUGAGCUCGAAAUUUUGAAAAGAAAGCAAUUACAGGCCUGAAAUUCAGAAUUUUCAUUUCUCCCCGUUUCCCUGAAGUUUUUCUCGCCAGCCAAACAGGUGGAAGCUCAGUUGGGCGGGCAGCGAGGAGAGCAUACUAUCAAUUUGGAUUAUCAAAGGCCUUCAGUCUGGCCCAUGGCUAAAACCUUCCCAGGCCUCGAUAAUUAGUGUGCGACUCUUUUGCUUUCUUUUACUAAGAAACGACGCCGAAUGUUGCGAAAGGACGUACUAUUUUUUUCCUAAAGUUAUGGGACACGGUAAUUUUUCUAAAAAAUUAUAUAAAUAUAACUGUGCAUGUAUUCUUAAUAAUUAAAAUAAUUUCAAAAAAAUAAUAAUUAUAAAUGUAAAUUGUUAAUUGACUGUCUUAUCUAAUUAUAAUUUACACAUAUAUUGAAAAUUAAAUUAAAAUAUUACUAUAUAUAUAUAUAUAUAUAUAUAUUAUGUUUAUACUUCAAGUAAAUUUUACAUCAGAUCAAAUUGACUUAAUUUAAUAUAAUGUUAUUUUCAACUUAGAAUAAAUUAAUAAACUUAUCGUUAUUUUAUAUUAUUAAAAUAUAUUAUAUCAUAUCAUUGUUAAAUAAAAUAUUUAUGAUAUUUUUAAAAAAUAUAUGUUAAUUAAUUAUUUUAUUAAUUUUAUUUAUUAAAUAUUUUAUUUUUCAGUCUAUAUAUAUAAAAAAAUUUAUCGAUUAAAAUUUAUUUUUAUAAAAGUAUUUACUAAUUAAUUAAUUUUUCUAUAUUUAGAGAAUUUUAUUUUAUUUUUUAAUAUUUACUCAUUAAAAUUAAUGAAAAUAUUAAUUAAAAUUUUUUUUUAACACAUCAUAAAUAAAUGUAUUCUUCAAAUCCAAUAAAGUAACUAAUUAAUUUUUUAAUAUGGCUGUAACUAAAUAAUAAUUGAUAAUUUAUAAUACAUACUCUUAUUUAGAUUGCAAUACGUAAAUUUCACUUAGUAUUACCUGACUAAAUAAGAAAUAACUAAACUUUAAGAUGUGCAGGUUUUUAGUCCAUCCGCCUUCAAGACUCCAAAAAAUACUAAAUGAUCUUACCACUAAAGUGUUCAAAAUAAAGAUAAUUAAACUCUUAUUCUUUGUAGAGAUCGUAUAGGAUUUUAGAUGCGCAUAUUUUAACUAUUUUAAUAUGAUGUAUAUUAAUAAUAUUAUUAUUUUAAUCGAUUUAAUAUUAAAUGAGUCCACUGCUACUAUUAAUAAAUUAUGUAAAAAAUAUAUCAAAAGUAUUAUUGUUUACUCUAAAAUAAUGUCACAAGUAUAUAUAUGCGAAUCAGAAUAUAUAUAUACUCAUUUCAGUUUUAAAAAAAAAUUUCACCUUUUUCUUGUCAAAUUUCACAUUACAGCCCUAAAACUUAACACUUUUAAAAAAACCAUCAAGCUAUAUUACUAUCAUCAUUUAUUAAAUUAAAUUUAUUUAUUAUCAUUAACUCAUAACUAAGUCAUGUGUGGUGCAUCUCACUUUAAUCAAUAAUUUUUUAAUAAUAAGAAGAAGAAGAUGAAGGAGAGAUGAGAGUAAUCUCCCAGGAGUAGAUCAGAUGAGAAGCAAACAACUAAGAAAGCUUAAAUGUGAUGUUGAUAAAAGCUUACCUUUUCUUUUUCUUAAUAUUAAAAAAUUUUACUUGUGCGCCAAUCAAACCCACGUUCCUAAAGUAAGUACACCUUUGUGCUUUCCCCCCUCAAUUAUCAAUACCUUACAUCAAUUGAAUAUGUUCUUUUUUCAAAGCUCUUUUGUGCAUUGGAAAUGAAAUGAUUGUCUCUCCAAUUGUCAUUUCUUAACACACAAGUAAAUAUCCAUGUAGCUCUCUUCCGCUGAGGUUAUGCUUUUCCUUCAAAUCCCAACUUAAAAAUGUAAUUCCAUAUUUAUAAAAAAAAUAUAUAUAUAUUAUCCGAUGUAAAAUAUUUAUAUUAUUUAUAUUUUUAAUAUUUAUAUUAUUUAUAUUUUCAAACGGUUAAUUAUUUCAUUAUUUAUAUUUUUAAAUGAUUAAUUAUUUAAUAUAUUAGUCACAUGUAAAAUAUUUAAAUACUCUUAUAAUAAUAAAAAAAAAAACUCUGAUCUAUAGUUAGUUAUUGUAAUUUUCACAAUUGACCGAGUUUUGACAAUUAAUUUCAACUUUUUUUUAAAUAAUUUCAUCUAUUUGAUUAAAUUAAAUUUAUAAUUUAUAAAUCUGACAACCUUCAAAUACAUGGAUUUUAUUUAUUAUAUAUCUUUUCACUGUUAAUAUCUUUAACAUUAUUACUGAUUUAAAAUUCUAUUCGCCAAAUCGUCGGUGUUUUAUUUUUUAUCUAAACCCAAGCCAAUAUAACAUUAAAAAAAAAUAAGUUAAGAAACUUAGUUAAUUUUUUAAUUUUAAAAAAUAUAUUAAAAUAUUUUUAAUAUUUAAAAAGUUUAAUAAUUAAUCAUUUCAUUAAUUUUUAAUUAUUUAAUAUUUUAUUAUUUAAUUCAUUAAAUUUUUAAAAAUUUAUUAAUUAAUUUUUUCAUAUUAAAAAUAUUUUAGUUUUUUUAUAAUAUUUAAUUAUUAAAAUUAAUAAAAAAUUAAUUAAUAUAUUUUUAAAACGUUAUUAAUAUUUUAAUAUAUUUUUUAAAAUUAAACAAUUAAUUAAAAAAAUUUUAUAUGUCUAAUGAAUUAGUAAAAUUCCAAAUAUCCACAUGACUUUUUCUUUUAACCAUAUGUAUGAUUUAAAACUCUAAUGAAAAGCAGAGAUGGAUUUCAAAAUUUUAGGAUCAAUAAAAAUAGAUCAUACAUUAAAGAGGGGGUAUUGGGUAUCCACGUGGCCUUCAAUUGUUUAAAGAAGCAAACAAUUGUUCGUAGCUCCGUACUUGUAAGAGCUUCCAGUUUUAUAGAUUCUAUACGGUAGGAGGGGGUGUUGGGUAUCCACGUGGCAUUCAAUUGUUUAAAGAAGCAAACAAUUGUUCGUAGCUCUGUACGUGUAAGAGCUUCCAGUUUUAUAGAUUCUAUACCGUAGUAUUAUAACCUUUUGAAAAGCAUUUGCCCACCGGAAGUUUUGUUUACGGUUUUGCCCCUGGACGAUCUUCUUCUCUUUGUAUAUUUAUCGCCCAUUUCAACUUCAAAGACCAUCAGAAAACAGAUACAACUUCUCAGUCAUGGCGGUUCUUCAUUGUACUUCUGCUCUGCUCCUCCUUUUUCUUUUACAGGCUAGCAUAGCAAGUAAGUUUGUUCUUUUCUCUUAAGUUCAUCAAUUGAUUUCUGGGAUUUAUUCUUCAGAAAAGCAUUUUUUAUUGUCUUCCUUGCUUCAAGUUUAACUUUCAGAAUUUUUAUUUUUAUUAAAAUGAAAUUUCGUACAUAUUGUAAGAAUUCAUUUAUUUUUUGACAAAAUAAAUUAUCUCAAACGGAGAAGAGACUGAUUUUAAAAUGUAACGGCUAGCCUGGAUUUGAACUCUGUUGAUCCAAAAGAUACCUUUAUUUGGUUGCUGAGAAACGGUAGAAAAUGAACGUUGUAAUAAAAAAUAUAUAUCUAUUUUUAAAUAUUAGGAGUAAUAAUCCAAAAUUAUACCUCACUGCAGACUCGGAACCAUUCAUCGGUGUAAAUUAUGGUCAAGUCGCGAGCAACCUUCCGCCUCCAUCAGCCACCGCAAAGCUGCUUCAGUCGACCUUGAUCGAAAAGGUCAGAUUGUACGGGUCAGACCCGGCUUUAAUCAAAGCCUUAGCCGGUACUGGAAUUGGAAUCACUAUCGGUGCAUCGAAUGCUGAUAUUCCAUCACUAGCCUCAGAUCCCAACUUCGCCAAGAACUGGGUCGACACCAACGUGGUUCCAUUUUAUCCAGCUAGUAAAAUCAUCCUUAUCACUGUUGGUAAUGAGGUGAUGAGCUCCGGCGACAAGAAUCUCAUGACGAAGCUCUUGCCGGCAAUACAAAAUGUCCAAAAUGCUCUGAAUGCAGCGUCUCUUGGGGGCAAGAUUAAGGUAUCUACAGUCCAUUCUAUGGCUGUGCUGAAGCAAUCAGAUCCACCAUCAACCGGAAGCUUCGAUCCCAGUUUCGGCGAUUUGAUGAAGGGUUUAUUGGGGUUUAACAAUGCCACGGGCUCACCUUUUGCAAUCAAUCCGUACCCAUACUUUGCUUACAAGAGCGAUCCGAGGACUGAAACUCUUGCUUUUUGUCUUUUCCAACCGAAUAUGGGGCGUGUUGAUGCGAACACGAAGAUCAAGUACAUGAACAUGUUUGACGCUCAGGUAAGUUUGCGUAAAGCGAAUUGGCCAACCAAAAAGUUGCCGGGCGUGUCUUCAUGUAUGCUCUUAAUCAUUAAUUAUGUCAAAAUCUAUAUAAAACCUAUGUAUAUAGAGGCAAUACUUAACUAGACCUAUAAAUGCACGGUGGUGGGAUGGACAUUUACACACAAAAUUUCUUAUCUAAAUCCGGUUCAUAUGGACCCGCCGUGGAAAACAUGACACUCUGUAUAUAUAUUGACAUCCGGUUUAGAUAAGUUCUCUUUUUUCUUUUUUCUUUUUUUUAUAAAGAUCCGGUCUAGAUAAUUUUUUUUAUACAUAUGCAUAAUGGUUAUGUCUCCUGAGCAUGAUAUUUUUACUGAAGCAACAUUUAUUUACUACUCUCAGCUUGAUGCUGUUCAUUCUGCAUUGGGCUCUAUGGGAUUUAAGAAUGUGGAAAUUGUGGUGGCUGAGACUGGGUGGCCUUACAAGGGAGAUGACAAUGAAGUAGGGACAAGUAUUGAGGAUGCUAAGGCUUACAAUGGCAAUUUGAUUGCACACCUUCGAUCCAUGGUGGGCACCCCAUUAAUGCCAGGGAAAUCAGUAGAUACAUAUAUCUUUGCUCUGUAUGAUGAAGACUUGAAGCCUGGUCCUGGCUCUGAGCGAUCAUUUGGGCUUUUCAAGCCUGAUCUCACCAUGACUUACGAUGCCGGCCUCUCAAAGGGCCAGGUGAGAACCAAUUUAAGAAGCCUUCUGAUUAGGAGGUAGGAUUUCACUUUGCAGUAGUUAUAUGCGUUAAGCUUUAUUAAUACAAGUUAUUACAUUUGAAGACUCCAUCUACGCCAAAAACUCCGGAGACUCCAAAACCGGUGACUCCAACACCAGUGUCUAACAAAGAAACAUGGUGUGUGCCAAAGGCUGGUGUUUCUGACGCACAAUUGCAGUCAAAUCUGGAUUACGCUUGUGGACGAGGGAUUGAUUGUAGUCCAAUCCAACCAGGUGGAGUUUGCUUUGAGCCAAAUACAGUAGCAUCGCAUGCUGCUUAUGCUAUGAAUCUUCUCUAUCAAAAUUCCGAUAGAAGUCCAGGAAACUGUGAUUUCUCGCAGACGGGUACCCUUUCAUCUAAGAAUCCCAGUAAGUUUCUUUCAAGCAUGGUUUUCUGGAAUUUUACAUAUUUUCUAAACUUUUCUUUAGAUGAAUGCUAAAUUAGUAAUGUUCAUUCUUGAUCUCUUUUAUCUUGUAGGCUAUGAUGCUUGCAAUUAUCCUGGCGGAAGUGCCUGAAAACUUGAGAGGGAAGCUGCAAAUAGAUUGGUUGUGUGUAAAAAUAUAUGGAGGAUUCUCUUGCUUUUUCUUCUCCCUAUCAUUGUGUGAUGUUUGUGAAGAAAUUGUAAUAUAUUCCUUAUCAAUGUAUAUUCGAAUUGAUAAUGUACAAGAUUAAUCAGAAAUCUUUGUGAGUUUCAUUGAUGAAUUCUAAUGUGGAUCUACCUGAAAAUCUCCUCUCUCACCAAGUUCAAAUUCUUCCUUGAAAUUCUGAAAUUGAAGAUAAGACAGGGAUUUAACCUACCUCCAAAUUAAAUUGUAACGACCCUAACUUACACGUGCAUUUCUACCUCAAUAAACUUCAUAAAACUUAUUUAAAACAUACAAGAAAGGUAGGAUCUAGGCGUACCUCUUGGAGAUCGAGAGGAAAGACGAUUCUAACUUGAAAAUGGGAGAAAUCUAGUUCAUUGAACCUCCAAGCUCCAAAACUUGCUCUAAACUUUAAAAAUCUUCAAAACCAAGUUAAAACUUGUUAAAACUCGAAAGAUUUGAGGAAGAACACCAAAACCGACCAUGGGAGGGUAUUGACUCACCGUUGGCCGAAAAUAGGGGAGAAAACUCGCCCCUUUUCGGCCAUGGGUCCUUUUAUAGGUGGCAAGCCAUGCCACCUUCGAAAGUCGAAGGCAACUCCGAAACGCAUGCAUGUUCGGCGGCUGAACAUGAGUCAUAUUCGGAAGCCUAACGUACCCCCCUAAACUAUCCCACGUUCGGCAGCCGAACCUGGAAAUGCCUCCAUGGUCUUUUUGAUUCAAAACUCAAUUUCUUUCUUACUUAAAACCUUAAAAUACAUUAAAACAUUUUAUGAAAACAUGAUUUUACUUUUCUAGAGGUUUCCGACAUCCGAGAUUCCACCGGACGGUAGAAAUUCCGAUACCGGAGUCUAGUCGGGUAUUACAUAAAUGGUCAGCACAAAUACUAUAAUUUCUUAUCUAUGAAUUAUAAAUGGUAAGCAAGGAGGCUAACGCAAAAUAAUGUGUUUUUUUUUUUUUAAAUACAAAGGCAUAAAAACUAAGUACAAAUAAUUGGUGUUCUAGAUGGAUAGAUUCGAGUUUAAAACACUCAUUUUUUUGGAUAAAUUUAUUCAUUUUUUUCACUUUAAAUAUAUAGAAAGAUCCCUUAUUGGCACAAAAUAAUGGCUUUAAAAGCUAUAGAAUAGAUUGCUUAAUAUAUUUUUAUCAACUGAAUGAGAAAAUGAAUAUUGUGAACAAAUGUGGUUUAAUUAGGUAACUGUCAAGAAGUUUUGUUCAAUAAUAACAUCUAUAUACCUUCUGUUAAAAGUCUAAAAAACUUCUAUUAGAAGUGAAGAGGAGUGCUUCUCAACGAUAGACACUGUACUUCUGUCCUUCCCAAUUGGUUGAGGUUUUAGUGAUCAAUAGGGGUGUAAAUAAAUCAAAUCGUUCGUGAGCUAUUCGGGAUUCAGUUCGAUAAAAACUCGACGGAACUCGAUUCGAUUUCUAAACGAACCAAGUUCGAACUUAAUUGUUAGUCUCGUUUGGUAAACAAGCCAAGUUUCAGUAUUCGACUCAUGUAGUGUCAUUUUGGCAUCAACUAGUUUACUGGAGUAUAGUUUUACCGUCGAUGAAUCAAGAUUUUUCUUGACUAAGCAUAUUUAGACUUUCUUUAUGGAUGCCUAUUCUAGAGUUAGUGUUCGAUCGGUUCGAUUCAAAAUUAAAUCGAACUGAAUAAAUCGAAAACUGAAAUUUUAGUAUUUAUAAAAAUUAAAUCGAAUCGAUUUUGAUCAAAAACUGAAUCAAAUUGAAUCGUUCUGAUUUAGUUCGAUUCGGUUUGAUUUGAUCGGUUUAAAUUUUUAAUAAAUUUUUUAUUUUUUACACAUUUUAGUAUUUUUUAAUUUUAAUAUGAUCUAAUAUCUCUAUAUUAUUAAAAAUAAUAUAAUAUUAUCACUAAUCAGUUCGGUUUGAUUUUUUUAAUGUUUUUUUAUCAAAAUCGAACCGAAUCGAAAUAACCAAAAUUUUUGAAAUUAAAAACUGAAUCGAAUUGAAAUAAAUAAAAAAUCGAAUAAAAUUCUCAAAUUAAUUCGAUUCGAUCGAUUUUUUCGAUUUGAAUCUAAUACGGCCUACCUAGUUUGUUCUAUGAUUUAAAUUAAUUUUAAUUUUACAAAUUUUGAUAAAAUUGAAUCAAAUUAAAUUAUUUAAUUUAUUUUGAUUUGCAAUAAAUUUGCAUCUAUUCAGUUUUUUCCUCUAAUAGAACUGAACCAGUCUAUGCUUACUUCUAAAAAAUAUAAUGAAUUAUCAGUUUCAAUAUAUUUAUAUAUAUGAAAACACAUUUUAUUAAAAAUAUUUAAAUUCCAAUCUAUAAGAUCAGGUAGAAUUUAACAAAUGAACCUGAUUUGUUUUGUAGCCCCGACUUUGAAGGGCCCAUAGAUAACAUCAGGCUACAAUGCAUCUAGUUAAACUACGUCGUUUGAUCAAAUUGAACUGCCACCUAAUUCCUUUUGCCCCUUCAAAGAGCACAGAAUUCCCGUUGUUUGUUAAGACGUUAACGCAAGAGAACAGAGUGAAGCAGAAGCUUUAGGGAAAAAAAAAACAAGAAAAAAGAAAGAAAAAUCGAAUGUGAAAGAAACUAUGACAACAAGAGAUAUGGAGAUUGAAGGAGAUCUAGAACUGCUUAUACCAGUCUCCGAGAUUCCCCAGAAUUCUAAGUGUAAAACGUCGACGUCUUCAUCUCCCGUUGCCUCCCCUUCCCACCGUCUUUCUGGAGUCGAGGUUGAUUUUCUCCACAUUUAUUUCUGCUGGAUUUAUUAAAUAUCCUCUCAGUUAUGCUUCGUAAACUGUGCGAUUUUGUUAAUGUAGAAAUCAAAUGGAUGUGACAAUAAGAGAUGUUUAUUUGAAUCUGUUUUAUUAUUAUUACACCAUAAUCCAAUUUUCAUAAUAUUUUUUGACAUUUGAAUUUAAGUGAAAAUAAUAUAAAUUUUAUUUUUGAAUGAGAAUAUUGAAAUAUUUGUUAUUUAAUUAUGUGUAUAUUUCAAUUAAUUUUGUACGAAUUUCAUAAAAUAUUUAAGAAGUGGAGCUUAUAUUAAUUACAUCCUCCAAUUUUUUUAAGAAAAUCAAACUUGUUAUUUAUGUUUACGUAACACACUUACUCCGAAUUCAAGCAGGGUAAUGGGUUUCAACCAAUGUGUUUGGUUGCGCGUGCAUGAGGUUUAACUGUGCUCUGUUCCUGGAUAUUUUAUAUUCCCUGGUAGAGAAUGAAGAAAUUCGAGCACAGCUAUUGCUAGAGAAAUUUUUAUUUACUUGACAAAUUGCUAGUUUCUAUGGCUUCUUCUGUAUGUGGUAUUUUUAAGUUUACUCCUUGGUGUUGAUACCAAUAAAGUUUCCUUUUAAAUAGGCAAUAUCAAAAGUAAUACGCAGCUGGACUUCAAAAAAGUUUAUGACAGGAUGGUGAGUUUGUUUACUUUGUGUUUCUUUAUCUUUUGGUUUACUUUAUUAGCAUUAUACAAGUCCCCAUCAGAAUUAAUACCCAUGAUCGCUUUCAUUUGGAAACAAAUUUUUAAUAUGUAAAUUGAAAGUUGAGGAGCUAUUUUUAUGUUUUGCUUGUAACUAUGACCAAACUGAUUGCAUGCUCGUACCAUAGAAUGAAGGACACAUUUUGUAGUUUCUUUUCAUGAUAUACCUUGCAUUAUUGGCAGUGUCAUUCUUCUUCCAAUAGCAGUCACGUUCUACAUUACGUGGGGUUUUAUUCGUUUUGUGGAUGGUUUCUUCUCUCCGGUCUAUGAUCAUCUGGGUAUCAACAUUUUUGGUAAGUAGUGAGACACUAUGGCUUCUUAUAAACGAAAUUUGAUAGCUGAUAUGUGUGAGUUUUUGUUGCAUAACUCCCAUGUAAUUCUCUGAAGUAGAAAACACUGGUAGACAAAGUUGUGAAGUUAGUAUUUUGUUUUCUUUUCCCCUUUUCUUCUCUUCCUAGAGUAAGGAAAGAAGGCUCAAGCUUCAGCAAGAUGGGGAGAAAGUAACUUGUAAUUCCUUUUGAGGACUAUGAUUGAUUUACAAGGGCAACAUCUUGUUGAAGUUUCUAUGCCAAGUUGCAUCAAAAGGAUUUACUUUGUGAUAAACAAAACUAAACUAAGUAUGGUUCAAUGCUGGAUUAUCAUGUAGCAAACUUCGAUUUACGUUAAAGUUUCAACAGCAAAUUAUGUAAAUGGUUUGAAACCCGCAAAUUGUUGGUCAGAAAAUAAUAUUUGAGCUGAACCUUGAAAACCAAACAACUAAUUUUCUUGUCAAUUUGAGGUCUAAGAUGUUAAUUCACGUGAUUAUCCAGCGGUUCUUUUUCAAACUGUUGUAUUAGUCUUCAAGCGGCUUUUGGAUCUUAAACAUUAUAUUUCAUUUUGAGACUGAUGCAGUAAUCUUGCAGGUCUUGGGUUUGCUACAUCCAUCACUUUUAUAUUCUUAGUUGGCAUUUUCAUGUCGUCAUGGUUAGGAGCCUCUGUUCUUACUCUUGGGGAAUGGUUUAUUAAGAAAAUGCCACUUGUAAGCUAUAUAUAUUCUGCCUCGAAGCAAAUUAGUGCUGCAAUAUCUCCAGGUAAGUCUUUAAACAUACCUCGCACUCUUAGCUUCUAGUAUGUGAAACUCAGCCAAAUGAAAUUCACUUUCAGAUCAGACUACUAAUGCCUUCAAAGAAGUGGCCAUUAUAAGACAUCCUCGUAUUGGGGAAUAUGCAUUUGGAUUUAUAACUUCCACAGUAAUUCUUCAGAAGAAUAUGGGUGAAGAAGAACUCUGCUGUGUCUAUGUCCCCACCAAUCACCUAUAUGUUGGAGAUAUUUUUCUCAUAAGUACAAAGGAUAUUAUCAGGCCUAAUUUGUCUGUUCGAGAAGGGAUUGGUAUGAUUUUCCAACUGAGGAUAAGGCAAUUGAAUAUUUUUCAACUGUAAAUGUUCUCACAGAUGAGUUUUGGUUUUCAUUUGGUGCAGAAAUCAUUAUCUCCGGUGGCAUGUCAGUGCCUCAAAUAAUGACCACAAUGGAUGCACAAACUAUUUCUGCAGAACCACUUUGCAAGUACCCUUCAUCAAAAGUAUAAUUGUGGGAGCUUUUCUGAUGUACCUAAGGAAGUAUAACUUUGGGCCUCACAUGAACGAGGUUUCAUUCAUUGUUUUUUGUUGAGAAAUAACUCACAACCAUUAUGUCUUUUGUGUCGUGCACCCACAUGCCCAAUGUGUUUGAUACUUUGAUUUAAUGUUAGUCUGUUCCAUCACAAAAGAGCACCAAUGAAGCAGAGUUCUGUGAAGAAACUAGAUUGAAAACUGAUAGACUAAGACCUGUAAUUAAGAAAUAGAUAUGAAACCAUAAGUGGAGGACAUCUAAAGAGAGAGACAGAGGUGAAAAGGAAUUGAAUGGAGGCUGAAGUUCUUUGGGCUUAUUUUGGAUUCUUCACCUUCUUCCUAUUUGAUUGUGAAAUGUAAAUAUAUUGCUUUUUUUUUUUGAAAAUUUACUAUUUAGUUCAUGACAUUAUCAUUAUUUAUAAAUGUUCUCUCCAUCAACAAAAUAAUCUUUUCAUUUAAUUUCACCCUCUUUUUCCAUUAAAAUUGUGAUAAAUGAAAAUUGAGAAAAUUUUUAAAAUUCUAAACUACCAUUCCUAUAAUAAGAGAAUUCACUCCUCCAAUUCUAUUCAACUCUACCGUUGGAAUAACAUAAACAGUAAAUAUUGAACCAAUAGGAGAGACAAGAUAUCUCAUCCAUCAAACCAUUAUUUAAAAGCAUCAAUUAAAAUCCAAAUAAAAAAAAACUCAAAUAACAUGUAGAAUCAAACAACUACAAUUAAUGAAAAAAUUGAAAUAUAAGAAACUAGUUUAAAAUUUCUUCAAUCAAUUACCAAAUCAAACCCAAAAUCUAAUUUACUUGCUCAUGAAAAGCUGUAUACGGCAGUAAGAAAUGAGAUUGAUCGGAAGUAGAGGAGAGAUUGAUUGCAACCAGAAUCGAUAAACAGCCCCACCCACCACAAAAAGGGAAGAAGAGAGCAAUGGUUGUUCAUGAGUGCAUAACCUCCAAGAUUGCCCAUCAAAACCUCAAUCCAAAGUAAUCCAUGAAGAUACUAAUGUAUAUCCGUCCACAACAUCCACUAUGAGAAUAGGGGAUGCGAUGGACUUCCGUUGACUAAGAUGAAGGCCCUACUGAGGAGAUCGAUGGUGGGAUAAAUCAGAGAAAAAUAAAGGAGAUAUCACAAUUUGGUGUGUAGGUGCUAUUGAUGCAUGGUCCCAGAGAGAAAGAGGCUAUUCGGAGUCGGUUUGCUGGGCGUGCGAUGGACCUCUGUUGGCUAAGAUGAAGGCCCUAUAUCGAGGAGAUGGAUGGUGGGAUAAAUCAGAGAAGAAUAUAGGAGAUAUUACAAUUUGGUGUGUAGGAGCUAUUGACGCAUAGUGCCAGAGAGAAAGAAAGGCUGUCCGGCGUCGGUUUGCUGAUGGGAAGGACUGGAUGGUUGUCAUUCCCAUUAAAUGUGGAGUCGGGUUGCUAGCAUUAAGAAAAUUAUUUGUCGGUGGGAGAAAUGUUUUGGCAAUUUGAAGAAGAAGAAUGAAUUAAUAUGGGUAAUUUGGUUAUUUUUGGUCUGGCGAAAAUGGUAAAAAAUGGAUAAAAGAAUUAAAUCGUCAAUGGAGUCAAAAGUUUAAUGAUAUUUUAUUAAACUUUUUAAAUAUAGAGACUGACGUAAAGUAAUAUUUAGAAAUUAAAUUAUAAUUUUUUCUUUUUUUUUAAUAAUAUUGGGAUUAAACUGUUUACCUUAAUCUUUUUAGUUCAUGUUUGCACAAUAUAGCAUAUCUGAUUAUUUCUCGGAGCAAACGGUGACAUUUGAAAUAAAAAUUAGAAGAUCUACAUCUAAGUGCUUUGGCUUCUUUAAGAAAAAAAUAUACUAUUAAAAAAAUCAUUUUGUAAACAUUAUAUGUCCGCAAGAAAAUAUCAUCUCUCUAGAUUUCCUGGAGAGAGAGUUUUCUCUUAGUGAGUUUGAUUUUUGGAAGUGCUAGUCUACUUCCUUCCGUCACUUAUGGGUUUCUCACAUUCUAUCCAAAAAAGUUAAAAUGUUCUGGUUGAGAGUGAGUUUUCUCUCUAUCUUUGAAUGGUUUUUUUUUAUUACUUUUUCUUAUCUUUUUAUUGCAUGUUUGUGGUUUCAAAAAAGAGUCUUUGAUUUGUGUUGAUUUUUUUUUCUAUUAGUUCUCUGGUAGUAUGUUUGUGAGAUUCCUCUCCAAUCUAGUACAAAAGCAGUGGAGAUAGCUUGGCAAACGGUGUGGCAUGGUGGUGGUUGGCAAAGUAGGAGAAGUGUUUGGGGUGCCUAAGAGUACAACUCCUACAACCUUAGGUGGCACUAAUUGAUCUAUGAGGCUUUUGUUGACUCAAAUGAUGAUGUUCUUGAUGUGGCUUGCUUAAUUUAUGAUGAUUCUGGUGGUUACAUGUGCUUUGUUGAGCUUGGUUCUUCCUUUUUAGAAACUAUAAAUUGUUAAGAUCAUAAUUUUUAUCUCUUUAAAUUUAGAUGAGAGUUUUUAAGAGAUUUUAUGAUUUUUUUAUUGGUAUAGAAAAAUCUUUUUAUUUUGACCUCUAUGGCUUUUAAUUCUUUCGGUGGCUUGUUCAUCCAAAGAGAGGAACAGUACUUCUCUUCUCUAUUGAAUUUUAGCUGGAGAUCAAAGUUGUGGGUUAAGUCUUUAGAAUUUUUUGUAUUUGAGCUUUUAUAGUUUGUUACGGUUAAAGGCUUGUUCCUUGUACGUAGGUUUUAGGAUUUGCACAUUUUUUUAUAAUGAAAUUAUAUCUUUGAUAAAAAAAGAUUUUAAAAAAUAUUUUUUCAUAAUUAUUUUUUUUUUCUUAAUAAGCAGUUAUUUUAUUGCAAACUAUAGUAACAAAUUACAAUUAAAUAAGAAAACAAAACCACAGAACAUUCUAUACACAUAUGAUAUUCUAGACAAAACUCAACUUAGUGUUCUAUUUGUGUCAACCUAUAAAUUUGUAAACAUUACCUAAUUUCAGUUUAAUAAUAAAGAAAAUAUUCUACAAAAUUUUAUUUAUAUAGGGAAUUAUUGCUUAAAAUUAAUAUCAUUUCUCAUCAUCCAAAUAAAAUAAACUGCGAUAUUGAAUGUUAUUCUCUUAUAGACCGUUAACCCUUUAUAAUUAAUUUUGAUAAAUAAAAAUGAUAAUAAUAGUAAUAAUAAUAAUAAUAUUUUCCAUUCCUAAUAAAUUAUAAAAACCUACAAUUGAAAAUAUUUAUAUAUAUGACAAGGCUUACCCUCAUAACGCAAUGAUGAAUUAGAAAUAGAGUGUGUAUUAUUUAGUUAUAAUCGAAUAAUUAAACUGAAUUUAUUUAUUUAUUUUGAUAGAUUAAAUUUAAUUUGAUUUGAUUGUUGAUUAAUAAUUUUUAAAAAAAUUUGAUUGUUGUUUAUCAGUUUUGUUAUUUUAAAUUUUAUAAUUGAAAUAAUUAAAUAAUUAUUAAAUAAUAUAUUUAAUUAUUAUUUUAUUAAUAAAAUAUUAUUUAUAAUGAUUUUAUAAUUUUAUAAUUAUUAUUUUAUUAAAAUAAAUUAUAUUUAUUAUUUUAUAAAUAAAAAUAUAAUUAUAUAUUUUUAUUUAUAUAUUCAAUCAAUUAAUAUUUUAUUAAUAUUUUAUUUUAAUUUUUAUUAUAAUUGACUAAAUAUUAAAUUUAAUUUUAAUUUGGCCGUGAUGGAUUUUGGAGUGGGCAAAGAGAAUGGUUGGGCCGAGAAGGCAAUCUGCGGGUCGAGGCUUUAAAAAAAUUGAGUACUGUGCGUACUGGUACAGGCAGUUGCAGUGGUCACCUUUCAUAUUGCCUAAACCCGUACGCGAGUCGCAAUCAAGCCCGAAAUCCGUGGGCGUUAAAGCGGAACCGACCAGCCCCCUGCAUCUGAUCCGCAUCGAAUACCCUUAAACUCACCUCCAGCCUCGACUCUUACACUUGUCUUUACCUCGCCAUUUCACGUGCUCCAUUCCAGGAAGCUUCUUUGCUUUCCCUUAAAACCACCAGUCGAUCAAUUCUCACUUGAACAUUGAAGCUAACUUCUUCUCAGCAUCAUCCUCUUCUACAUAGCAUAUCCAAUCUAUCUCCAGGUAUCUUCGGCGGCCUCCUUUAGCUUCCUCGAUCGAUUUAAUUGGAUGAUUUGAUCGAUCAUUUGAUUAUUUGUUAGAUUUAAACAUAUUUGACGUUAAUUGCUUGAUGGGAAGUGAAAAUGGAAACAAUGAAUCAGCAAAAUUCUGAGUUUUUUAAUGGCUUUAGAUAAUUUAGGUUCUAUUAAUUGAUUGGUUAAGUACGUUCUGUUGGAUUCUAAAGUUUCCUGUAUUUAAAUUUUAGAUGGCUUCAUCAGCUCUGAUCUCCGACACCCAGCCAUGGAAGGACUUGAAGGUGAAAAAAGAGAAAGAAUCAUUAUUCUGUAUUGUACAAAAUUAUUAUUAUUACCGGUAAUUUGACUGACCUUAAACUUAUCCAUUUGCGUAGGCGCAUGUUGAUGACAUUAAGAAGACUCACUUGCGCGAUUUAUUGAGUGACACUGAUCGAUGCAAGUCUAUGAUGGCGUAUGCUUCUACAUUUUCUUCCUUUUAUAUUUCACAAUUUGAUUUACAGUGAAAUGGUUCUGCAAUUAUCCAAGAGUGAUAAAGGUUUUUCUUUUUUCUAAUGAAUUGUGUUUACGUAGCGAGUUUGAUGGAAUCGUGCUUGACUACUCACGGCAGCAAGCCACUGUUGAUACUGUGAAUAAGCUUUACAACUUGGCAGAGGUAAAGUUGGGGUCUUUCUGUGUUGGAUAUAAGGUGUACUAGUAAUAUAAUUGCUCUUAUGUUAAUGCAGGCAGCGCAUCUCAAGGAAAAGAUUCAUCGUAUGUUUAAUGGGGAACGUGUAAGUCACUUUUUCACCCAAUAUUUGGACUCUCAUACGCACACAUUAUUUUACAUUAUUUGGUUCCAUUAAAAAUUCACUUUCUUUUUCAAAAGUUUGUUAGAGUGGCAAUGCUUCUACAUAUUUUUUAUUUAACUGGGAAAUCAUCAUGUCAUUUAUUUUUGUAAUGUGUUUGAGCAGAUUUAUGUAUUUUGAACUUACUACUCUUAAAAAAUUACAGUUGUUUGAGUGUUUUGUUUUAUGUUUGGGUGGUACUUUCAGAUCAACAGCACAGAGAAUAGGUCAGUGCUUCAUGUAGCUCUUCGUGCUGCAAGGAAUGCGGUUAUAAACAGUGAUGGCAAGAAUGUUGUACCAGAUGUUUGGAAUGUCCUUGACAAGAUCAAGGAGUUCUCUGAGAGGGUUCGCAGUGGUUCGUGGGUAAGCUCUAGUCAUGCUGAGUUUUAAGUAUUCAUAAAGUAUUCUUGAUCGAAUUGUAUGGUAACAGGCUAAUGUUGGUAGGUUGGAGCUACAGGGAAACCACUGACUAAUGUUAUUGCCAUCGGUAUUGGUGGCAGCUUCUUAGGCCCUCUUUUUGUACACACUGCUCUUCAAACAGGUAAUCUGAUUCUUCUUUUAUUAAGGUUGCUGCUCUCUCUUUCUUUUUUUUUUUUCUUUUUUUUGGUGGGUGGGGUGGGGUUCAGUUGUAUUUUUCUAAUAUAAGUUUAUCUUGUUUUAUGGGAAAGCUUGCCUGGAGCAUUAAUUGUUUACUGAUGGCAAUUUACAGACCCAGAGGCUAGCAAAUGUGCAGUAGGUCGCCAGCUGCGAUUGUAAGUACCUAUAUAUCACUAUAACUUUGCAGUUUCUUGCUUUCUUUCUUUAUCUAAGCAUCAAUAGCAUGAUGUGGUUGAGUGAAUAUCUAUUUGUUUUCCAAACUCUUAUCCACACAAAGCGAGACCACAGUGUUCCAGGUUCUUUUUCAAAUUUCCACUUGGCUUUAGUAGUAGUUGUUUUUGUUGUUGUCCACUUGCCUUCAACCUAUGUUACUUGGACUCAGAUACGGAUGUCAUAACCGUGUACAUAUUUUAGUUCUGACUCGUCAACUUUCUAAUAGAAAAUACGGGGAUGUAAAUCUAAAUUUAGAAAAGAGUGCUCAGAUACUUUACUUUAUAUAAAAUAAAGUAUAAUAAAAAAAUAUAAAAUUGUGUAAUAAUAAUUAUAGUUUAAAUAAAGAGUUAAUAGCAAAAAAAAGUCUGUACUUCUAAUUUUGUUGAAUUAUCUUCUAUACUUUUUUUUGCCAAUUAAAACCUGACCUUCUAAAGUUGCUCCAAUUAUACCCUAGUAUUACUUGUGCCGUUAAAAACUAACGUAAUUGCCAUAUCAGCAAAUUUCAAGGUAAAAUUGGUAAUAAUUUAAAAGUUUAGAAUAAAAUUACAACAAAAUUAAAAGUAUAGGUUUUUUGACAAUUAUUUAUUUUAUUAAUUUUUUUAAAACCACUCUAAAUAUUAGUAUAAUUUUAAAAAAAUGAUGGAUUAAUAUUAUACUUGAGAGUUAAAAGAAUAAUUAAAAAAAAUAUCCUAAAAAAUUAUUUUAUUAUUUUUAAUAUUUUCAAACUGAAUCAUGUUAAAUAUUAUUUUAAAUUAUUUUUUAAUAUUUCAUAACUAAUGUAUUUAAUAAAGUUAUUUUCUUAAUGAUAGUUUUAAAAGUAAUGCUAAAUAGUAAGCAUAUUAGAUAGAUUGAAAAAAAAAUCGGUUGAUAAUGAUUUUAGUCAAAAUAAGAUCAGGAUAAAAUAUUAUUAUUAUAAAAUUAUUGAUAAAAAUUAAAUUAAAAUAAAAUUGAAUAAUAAUAAUAGUAAUUUUUAAAUAUAUUUAAUAGUAAAAAAGAGUAACUUACUAAUUUUGUAAGUCUCCAACUAUACAAAUAACGGUAGGGUGCAUUUGGUCAGACAUUAAAAGAACAAAGUUUAAUUGGUAAAAAAUAAAAGUAUGGGGUGGAAUUGCAAUAAAAGUAAAGUACAAGAUUUUUUUACGAUUAAUUCUAAACUUUGUUGACAUGGUGUGGUGAUAUGAUGAUGACGUGGCAAGUAAUGUGGCAAUUCCGUUAGUUUUUUAACAGUACAAGUAGUGAUCCUGGUACAAUUGAAAUAAGUUUUAAUUGGUAGAAAAAAAGUACAGGGUGUAAUUGCCACAAAAUCAAAAGUACAGGUUUUUUUUGCCAUUAACUCUUAAAUAAAUAAUUAAUAUAAUCAAAUAAAUCAUUCAAAAUAUCAUGGAAUAAUUAUUUUCUAUCCAAGUAUAUGCUCUUUAUCUUGAGAGAUCAAAUGUCUGACUGUAUGAAUAUGUACCCGACACAAAUACCAUGUCAUAACCCGUACCCUGUCUUGUCAGCAUGUUUGCAGCAUGGCAAAAUGAAGAGUCGGAAAGGGCCUUCAACAAUAGGAAUACACUUUGCUUUUGCGGUAAACCUAACAACAUUUCAUUAAUAAAUUUAUAAAGGAAGCACUGAAGCUGGAGAUGUCUAAACUCUAAGCUAGGAUUUUGACAAAUAAUUUUGGAGGAUGCUCAGAACUAGUUAAGUGUUUAUGCAUUGCAAGUGAUGAUGAAACAAAUAAGAGAUAGCAAUAUGCAUAUUAUUCUUCCACCCUCUCUCUCUGUCUCUCUUUUGGCUAAGAGUAGGGGUAUUUUAAGAAUAUGUAAAAUGCUAGAUAUGUUCUACCAGUGGUAUUAUUGUACAUUGUUCAUUUACAAGGGUUAAUAUCUAAUAUAUAUGCAAAAACUGCAACAUGGCAUCCUCUCAAAAGAGUUGUAGUUCUUCUAAUGAAUGCAUUUUCAAGUGGAUAUGUCCGUGCUUAAUCUUAUGACCACAUCAAUCCAUUUUGUUCUGUGAUGCAAUGUAAUUUUUGUUUUGUAUUUGGUGCAGUCUUGCAAAUGUUGAUCCUAUUGACGUUGCUAGAAAUAUUGCUGGCCUAAGUCCUGAAACCACGCUUGGUAAAUAAUUAAAUUUUUGUUUAUUUUGUCUCUUUGUAUUUUUUUUUUUCAAGUAGAGCUUUGUUUUCUGGCUGAGUGUAAUUCUUUUUUUUUUUUCUCCUUUUAUUCCUGGUGUUUUGUAGUUGUUGUGGUUUCUAAAACUUUUACUACUGCUGAAACUAUGCUGAAUGCACGGACACUAAGGGCAUGGAUUUCAAAAGAACUUGGGUAAGUGCAUAAACUUACUACACCUUGUUUAACCCUAGAUCACUUAGAACACGGUGCUCAGUAUGGAACAAUUUGGAACUAAAAGAAAAACUGUUAGCAAAUUUAGGAGUGGGGAAAUCAAUACGUGCUAAGUUUAAAUGAGGCAUGUGCCAUUAUAUGGGAGUGCUUGCUGCAUUAUGAUGCAUGUUGAAAUUGUACUAUCAUUUUCUUUUUCAUGAUUUACCAUGUAAGUUGUUUGUAAUUUUUUUUGCAGACCUUCUGCAGUUGCAAAGCAUAUGGUGGCAGUUAGUACAAAUCUUACGGUACUGUCAUCUUUCUUUCUCUUUUUUAUUUUUAUUUUAUUUUUUUCAAUUGUUCAUUUCUAUGUAGCAUAAUUUGGUAGACAUGGUCUUACCAGCUCUCUUACCUAUUAAUAUGUGGAUGAAAUGACGUGCCCAUGAAUAAAGUAGUUCUAAGUGGUCAAGUACAUCAACUAUACAUUAUAUUUAUGAGAACGAUUUGUUAUUUGAAUGUCCAUAUCUUCAACUAUUUCUGUUUAAAAAUGCAGCUUGUAGAAAAGUUUGGUAUUGACCCUAUUAAUGCUUUUGCAUUCUGGGACUGGGUUGGUGGCAGGUAUAGUGGUAAGUUCCUUCACAUUGUCCUGAGAUUACACUGAUGAGUUUGAUGUUUGAAAUUAAUUAGAUUGUUCUUAUAGUUUGCAGUGCUGUUGGUGUAUUGCCUUUGUCUCUCCAAUACGGUUUCUCAAUUGUUGAGAAGUACGGUAACUUGUACUUUCUACUUUUGAAAUUUGAAUUUCUGACAAUUAAGGGCAGCAUGAACUGCAGAUUUAUGAGAAUUUUAACAUUUGUUUAUUUUCAUCUCCUGUCAAUAGUUGAAUAUUGAACGGUACAUAAUAUUUUCUCCAUGGAUUAUUUUUUCCAUUUUGCUCCUUUCCCUCCUGGUUUGGUUGCUAGGAAUGAUUUGAGAUUCUUUAGCCACAUCAUAUUGUAGCCAAUCAUGAUUGGGCAAUUUAUUACUUUAAUUUUCCUUGAUGAUAGGACUAGGAGCAAUGAGAAUUAAGUUGAAAUUAUUCCUCGUGAACAAACUGCAAACUGUCAUAUUUAAUAUUUGUGUCUUUUGAAGCUAAAUUUGGAUGCCUCUCUUGCAACAUUAUUUUGGUGGCUGUUAGCAACAAUGGCAAAAAUGAUGAAAAUUCCUGAUUGACGUGUUGAUGCAUGAUGUACUUAUUCUCCUUUUAUUUCUGUACAUAAAGAGCUAUGAUUUCUAAAUAUACCCCUUCAUGAACUUAACAAUUUAUGACUUCAUUUUCCUAAGAUACUACAAACUUUUUAUUUUCUUGUUUAAAGGUUCUUGAAAGGGGCAUCAAGUAUUGAUCAGCACUUCUCUUCUGCGUCAUUUGAGAAAAACAUUCCAGUAAGGCCCCAGUACUAGGAACCUUGUUAUUUUGGUGGCUGUUAGUGGCAAUAGUUUGGCUUUUAGCUAUCAGUUCUGUUCAUUGCUAUUAAAUUUGGGUGUGCUCUAGGGAGAAUCAAGCAGUUGGUGGUUUGAAUGACAAAAAAUUUUGGUAUUGUUGAAGGCUUAAAGCAUUCAUUCAUCGAGAUUUACUCCAAGUCUCCAAGUCUUUCAUGUUUUGCCUUCAUUGACCCGAUAUAUAUCAUUUGCAAUUAGAUUAAUGUCUACAUUAUCCUUUGGUGGAUUAUCUUGAUGGUCUCUCAGGAUAGGCAUCUUGGGUGUGCUUUAUACAAUUCUUAAUUAGAUGUCAAUUUUAACCUGCAGGUACUUUUAGGUUUGUUGAGUGUAUGGAAUGUUUCAUUUCUUGGUUAUCCUGCAAGAGUGCGUACUUCUGCACUGAACUGUAUUCGAAUUACAACUUGCUUUAUUUUCUCAAAUUUUGUACCUCAUAACUCAUUGGAGUAAUCUUUUAGGCCAUCUUACCUUACUCCCAAGCGUUGGAGAAAUUUGCCCCACACAUUCAACAGGCAAGUUUAUCAGUGCCCCCAAUUCUCUCCCUCUCUCUCUACCUACCUACCUAUUUAUCUAUCUAUAUAAAGAAUGAAAGAAAAUGGAUGAAUUCUGCUUGUUAUAGUCCUUGAAAGCAUUGUUAAAUUACUUAAAUUUAGGUUAGCAUGGAAAGUAAUGGCAAGGGGGUAUCUAUUGAUGGUGUGCCACUUCCCUUUGCAACUGGUGAAAUUGAUUUCGGUGAACCAGGGACAAAUGGUCAGCACAGCUUUUAUCAACUAAUUCACCAGGUGACUUUCAUAUAUCAUAUUUUCUUAGCAACAAACAAGUGCAUGGAGCUUCUGCUUUCAUUUUUUACUUGAGUAUUAAUCCGUUCCCUUGUGGUUCCAAUUUGGGAAGAUUUAACUUCCCGAAUAAUCAUUGGAGCUAUUAAAGUCCUAGUAUUUAGGCUUCAGAUUUUUCUCUGAUUCUAUUGCUUCUGCAUGAGUACUGUCGCUUUUAACUUUACUUUCCUAUUUCAGGUGUAUAAAAUUUGGGAUUAUGGUCCAUAAUUGCAUUCUGCUCUCUAAGUUCAUGAAAGUUAUAUUUUGAACAAGAUUAUUUAAUUGACUACAUGUGCUGUUUUCAUAAAAUUGACUCUGGUCAUUAGAAUCAAUGCAUAAUGCUUUCAUGGCCUCAAACUUUAUUUCCAUAUUCCCAUCACUUUACACAUUUUGUUUGGUAAAAUUGAAAAUCUGUAUACUCAUGACUGCGUUAUUCUGACUUGAAUUGCUUCUUUUGUGGAGCCACAUGGGGUUUCUGUUCCACUGAAUUCAGAUUUAAGCUUUUGUUCAAUUUGAAAUGCAUUACAAGAUGUAUUAAUUCUAUUAUUCUUCAUGAAUCUUCAGGGGCGUGUAAUUCCCUGUGAUUUUAUUGGUGUUGUGAAGAGUCAGCAACCUGUAUACCUUGAAGGUAUUGUUAAUUAUAAAAAUCAGAAACGCAAGUUUUGAAGGAUUUAUAAGUAUGCUUGUUUGACUUGAAAAUAAUUAUUUGACAGGGGAGGUUGUGAAUAACCAUGAUGAACUCAUGUCUAACUUUUUUGCACAGCCAGAUGCCCUUGCUUAUGGCAAGGUAUGUCUGCGCUCUCUUCUAUCAGUGUUAUAGUUAUCACAAUUCAUGUCAAUGGUUCUAUACAUUUCUCUUAAUGGAAAAAAAAAAAAAUUCAAUCUUCAUUGAAAACUUGAGGUUUAUAAUGGACCGAAUCAACUUCUAAUUUAAAGUAUUAUAUUUUAUUCAUACCAUUUCUUGUGAUUUUGCAUUAAUACCUCUAACCAAAAGACUUGAAAGAUAAAAGAGCAAGAUAUAUCUGCAUGCUUUACUACUAGAUGUUUUUCCAUCUCCUCCAUAAUGAAAUUGUUAAUUUGCAUCUGAAUGUUUGACAAAAUUUGAUCUUUUGUAGACAGCAGAGCAGUUGCAAAAAGAGAAUGUAUCGCAACAUCUAAUUCCUCACAAGGUUAAGUCCUAGCAGCUCUCUAUUAAUUUUUGCUUUACUUCCAGAUUAUUACUCUUAGCUUAUGUAUUAUCUUUUUCAGACAUUCUCUGGGAAUAGACCUUCUCUCAGUAUUCUGCUUUCCUCAUUGGAUGCCUACAAAAUUGGACAGGUUUGUGGUUUAUUACUCAUAAGUGGAAUGGUCGAUUCAUAACCUUUUCAAAGUAACCUAGGAGUGGAAGCUUUCUGGUAUGAGUUUGCAUUGUUGUGAUCAAGUUUCCGUUAAUGGUCCAAUGAAAAUGAUGAGUUAGCAUUUAUGUGUAGAUGUUCAUUUACCUUACAAUAUAUCUGCCUAAAUUUGUUUUUUACUAGACUUGUGUUGAAAUCCAGCCAAUAUUUAAUAAUCCAGACAAAAUUCCCAUGCUAAAGCAAAAAAUUUGUGUAAGAACAUGUAAUUCAGACUGGGAACUUGUCAAUUGAAUGCACAUUACCAAUGAUACAGGAGUAGAAGGUCUGUACCCCCAAAGAACCCUUCUUGGUCUUACCAUGUUAUGGGUUCAUCCCUUUUCUGCUUCUUGACUAUGCUUUUCUGCUUACUCAGUUGUCCUGUAUUUUCUAUGUUCAAAUUUCACGUUUUCACAUGCUUAGAUGCUCCAUUUCUCUUUGGGGAAAAAAAAAGAGAUGCUCCGUUUCUCAUAAUUCACUUGGUGCCAUUAUGUAUUCUUUUAUUGCUCUAUGUGUGCUGCCUAGUUGCAAUAAAAUCUGCCUUUCUAUUUCAGUUAUUGGCCAUCUAUGAACAUAGAGUAGCUGUUCAAGGCUUCAUAUGGGGAAUCAAUUCUUUUGACCAGUGGGGAGUUGAGUUAGGGAAGGUAAAUGAGGAUACAUUAUGUGGUUAAUUCUGUGUUAUGCGAGUGUGUUGCUCAGAUUAAUAUGUACUCUACCGUUUAAAUAUACCUAAUCAUAUCUGCCUCUAUUUGUUAAUAGUCAUUGGCUACACAAGUCAGAAAGCAACUUAAUGCAUCUCGUACGAAGGGAGAACCAGUCGAGGGCUUUAACUUCAGCACCACAACAAUGCUAACAAGAUACCUAGAGGUAAGUGGGAGUAUUCACCCUCAAGAAGAUAAAUGAUCAGCAUAUUAUGUUGCGCUGUCAUAUGAAGUUAGUUAAAAAUAAAAUAAUAAUAUUAAGGUUCCAUUUGUUUCACAUUUUUUGAAAAAUAUUUUUCGCGUUUUCUGAUAUUUAGGGCAUUCAGAAAAAUCGAUCAAUAUAAAAUAUUUUCUUGAUCAAAGAAAAAAUUAAACAUUUUAAAAAAAAUUGACUUCCUCUCUUGUAAAAGUAGAAGUUAUCUUCUAGACUUGAAAAAUCUUAUUACUACCACUAAAAUUUAACAUCAUUUAUUUUAUAACAUUACAACCAAAUAAUAGAAAAUAAUUUAUUUUGUGAGAAAAUAUUUUUUCGCACAAUAACAUGUUGGCCAUUAUUGUGGCAUUAUCACUGAAACUGAACUUUACUUGGCAGGAAAGUUCGGAUGUCCCAGCUAAUGCUCAGACUCUUCUACCGAAGAUAUGACUCUGGAUACCUGUAUACUUCAGGUCACUGUUAUCUGAACAACUGGAAGUCAUUUUAUUAGUAUAUUUUAAUAUCACAGACAGGGCAUGUAUCCACUUGCCUCAAGUCUUUUAGAUCCUCCUAAUGUUUUAAGAUCCUUUUUCAACUAGGGCAUGGCCAUCAUGAGGGCAUGCAAAAACUUCAACAAGCACAUCUCUUUUGUGUGAUUUUUGUUCUUGAACACCAAAUAAAAGAUGAUGCAUCCAGUGGUACAUCUCAAACGAGUCCAAUAUAUUUAUUAGUACGCAUUUAAUAGUUUUUGCCAACAUCAUUUCCUUGACCUUAAGAAAAGGAAAAAGGGAAGCAGUGUGUGAGGACAUUAGUCAUCCCUAUAACAGGGGCAAAGACUAAUGAUAUCGGCAGAUGGCUCCCAUAGCUGAGUUCAAAAGUUGCAAAUGACUGCCUGCUAGAAUAAAUAAUCGUAAAGAUUCUGAAUAGAAGACUCAUGAUCAAAAUGACUUUCUUUUAAUCAAAGAAGCCAAGUUGACUUCAAGGCAAUUAAUAGCUGAAUGAACCGGGACUGUGGGAAUCACUUCCGUAAGAGGCAAUUUACAAUGCCGAUAAUAAUAUAUUGGCAUUUUGAUAUGUGCGAUUGAGUGAUCCAUGUGGUGAGUGAAGAUUAAAGGACAAGUAACAUGACUUUUUAAAGUGUUAAGAGGCUUCUCUUCAAGGCAAAAAGCUCAAAUCUUGGCAUAAAAACAUCAGCUGGCAGACAAGACAUUCAGAGCUCUCGGUGUUCUGAUUCCUGUCCAAAAAAGAUGCAUUCUCCUCCUUGUCCUCCUCCUCCCCCGUCUACUCCCCCUUUCCCUUAUGUAGCUUUUUCUGCGCUUGUUUUAAUAUCUGUGGCAAUCUCCUUUCUAAUCAUUGAUUUGAUCGAGCAUAACGAAGACAACAAUGGUAGAACUUUAGAUAGAGAACAGGGCUAUUCAGGCUUGUCGCUCCAAGACGCAGAGGCACUCCCUUGGUUUGCGUAUGAAGCAAACGCCAUGGCCUGCUGUGUUAUAUGCUUGGAUUAUUUUCGGAAAGGGGAAAGAUGCAGGAGCUUCCCAGUUUGCAAACACAACUUUCAUGCACGAUGCAUUGAUUCUUGGUUGGUAAGGAGACUCACUUGUCCUACUUGCCGCUCGCCAUUUAUAUUCCAACGAAGACUGGACAUUGUCUAACUUGAUUCAAUAAAUUGUAUCUAAUUAUCUCACAUAAUACAAUGUUAAUUUUCAUACUAUUUUGAUUCAUAAGCCCUAAUCAUCGCAGCGUAUCUCUCUCGAAGUUUAGAGAGAAAAUUUAUUUCUGUAGUAUCUAACACUAGUCUCUCGAAACUGCCAAACGUUGGAAGUCAUUUUCAAGUUUUUGUUUUUUGGUUAGUUUUGUGGUUCUACCUCUCCGGUGGCGAAUUUAUCCUCUCCACAUUGGCAUGGCGUAUUUUGAGUUUGUGUUUGUGGUUUUAUUUUUUUUUCUGUGGUCAAAAUAUAUGCUUCAAAGGAGAGGGCUUAUAUUGAUGAUCUACUAAUUGAGCUUCCUUAUGGAGGCUCGGUAUGGGUUGUUUAAAAAAUCUACAACUGCCAAAGGAAGGAGCCUUACAUGCAUUAGAUGACGGAAUCUUAGGUAGUCAACACCGCGUCUAGUGACUAGGCUGCCCUAGACUAUAAGAGACGUCAGGAGCCCUUGUUUGUCCCUCUUGAAGAUCGAGUUUCCAUGGUUGUAAUCUUGGUGCUCUCGGCUCACAUUGUCUUCCUUUGUGUUUUUUGAGUUCUUACUCGAGAUCUAUUAUAGAGGAACUUCCUUGGUGCCAUCUCAAUUUUUCCAGCUUCGAUGGUGGUUCCUUAGCUACCACAACGACAUUCUGCUCCCAAGGUUUCUAGGCCUUGUUUAAUGCAUUUUAAUUUGCAUGGUUUAAAAAUAAUAAUAACACUUUGAUUCAGCCCAUUUGCAUCGUUGUAUGCUGCAAAGAAACCAAGUAGUCGAGAAUCAACUCUAUCUUUAGAAUAUGAAAUGUAUGUAUACUAGUGAAUAAUUUUGGGGUAAAAUUAGAUGUAAGAAUUUGUUCAUGACAUUCCAGAUUCAAAUUUACUUGACAACCACUUGCAGAGCAAGGACUUCCCUCCUUUAAUCUUUGAGAAAAUCAUCUGUUCACUAAAAUUACUCAACCAAGCUAUCUAAGAAAACCUUCAUGGGAAAAAACAGCAAGAGAUGUCAUCGAUAAUAGCAUCAACUAAUAAACACACUUAAACGCCUGUUGAGCCGAAACCUCCUUCACCUCUAGCGGUCGCAUCCAAAUCCUCAACUUCAAAAACAUCAGGAGUCAUGAUCUUCUCGAUAAUCAACUGGGCAACACGAUCUCCUGCUUUGACCUCAAAAUCCGCAUCCGAAUGAUUAAACAGUAUAACCCCAACUGGGCCUCUAUAAUCAGCAUCAAUCACACCUGCACCAACGUCAAUCGAAUGCUUCCAUGCUAGUCCCGAUCUCGGCGCUGCAUUGAAUAACAACAACACAUUAAUUUUGGGAAGCAAAAUCCACUCAUCUAUGGAGGAAAAAGCCGAGAGGGCAAGUGAGACGUACCAAUGCGAGCAUAUGUUCCUUCAGGUAUGGCAAUGCUCAAAUCUGUUGGAAUAAGAGUUUUACCUCUAGCAGGCACUUUAGUCCCAGUUGCACUGCAAGCAAACAAAUGAAAACUCCAUAAAAAUUUAAUCCCAAUAAUUCUAGACCUUCUUGAAAAUUUUCGCCAACAUACCUGGAGAGAUCAUAGCCUGCAGAAAGAGCAGAGGCUCUAGCGGGCAAAAUAGCUUUAUCAGAGAGCUUUUUAACCCUAAAUAGAGAGAUGGGAUUUUCUGAGACUUCAUGAGCGCAAUUCUCUUGAAGCUUUGGGAUCUUUGGAGCUGGCUCCUUGAUUUGAUGGCUACUGUUUUGAACCGCUUGAACCAUACUGGAUUCGAAAAACUAGUUAGCAACAAGAUAUGGAAACUAGGAGUGAGUUUUGAGAGUAAGAAUAGAGAUGGAUUUGAGGGUUUAAAUAAAUAAGGGAAAGGCAAAGUUUUUCAAAUUAAUGGCGGGAAGAUUCCCGCCAUCUCAGUUUGGGGCGUUGCACAAAAUAAGCAGGACGUGUAGACGGGCGUGCUCUAAUUUUUGGGCCGUGCUUCAAUUUUUCGGACGUGCGUGCUCAAUGCUAUUUGUAAACAACUUGAAACAGCUUUGAACCAAUUAUAUUCACUAUUGUAUUACAAUCGGUAGCUCUCCUUACUUUGCUCAUUCUCUCAAUACCAAUCAACUAAGGAAUAGGGAUAAGAGUACCAGAAGAAAUUAAUGAAGAUGAAUAGUUGCUAACAACCCCCAGGAAUCAAUUCCCCUGCUUGCAAGCUAGCCCCAGCGCAGUUGCUAUAAUGAAGAAUUUUCCGCCUGCCCUUUGAUAACAUGCUUGUUGCCGCUGCUGCAGAGACUGCUACUCCUGUUUUCUUCUUCCCGGCUUCUGUAUUUGUUCCUAUCGGUUAAUACUAGUGGAAGCACUGUGGGCAGUAUUUCUAGUCAUUCUUGAUUAUAGAGAACCAGCUUGGACAAAUGUGAACGUGGUCCUUUUAGAUAUAGUAGGACACAAUUGCUUGAUGUGCACAAGAUGACUGACAUGAAAUUGUUUAGCAAAAUUUUAGAUGGGUUUGUGCAAGUGCCUUCUCUUACCCAGGAGGAGGUUUUCAAGCCACUGGCACUUGUGCACCUAAUUCUGAGGAGAUGAUAAUUCACGCUUAUGAAUUCUGUUGGUGAAUUCUAUCAAUGUUUGCUGUUUUGAUUUUCAAAGGGAAUUGACAUCAGAACGCUGCAAGUAGCGAGGUGCCUCAGAUAUCCAGAGAUGAAUCUUUGGUACAGAACUCAAUAGGUGUACAAUCAAGACGAGCCAAACUUGGUAUAGUGAUGUCAAAAAUUAUAAGGUGGUGAAUAUGAAAGCCCUGGCAAUUUAAAAAGUGGUUUAUGGAUCCAUUACAGGAUCAGAAGCCAUGCGGGGUCACAGGACAGUUCAUAAUAACGAAAGAAAAGCCUAAGGUAAUUGAAACAUCAGUACUGCAUAUAAUUUCUUUAAGAUGUGGAAUUGGUAUUUGAAAUAUAAGAUGGCUUUGAGGAUGACUUUUCUUGCCUGCAUUUAAUAUUGCUGGAUAAAUGAUUUCUGUAACUGCAGCUUUUCUGUACACAAGCCAUACCCAUACACACACACACACACACAUAUAUAUAUAUGUAUCUGAGCAUGCAGCUGUGUGUGCCCAUUAGAUUGUUCCUGUAGUAUUCUUUAGUUCAGAAAUUAGGAUUUAGACUCUGAUUUUCUGGAGCUUUAAUUUAGUUCGACUGUCUAAUGAUAAAGGAAGCAGAACAGUACCAAUCAUCUGCUCAAGCGAUUUUGAGAACUAAUAGAAGUUUAUCAUAAAUUAUCAAAUGCUUGUUCCAUCUGAUUUGUUCUCUGUACUCUCACUCCAGGCUACUUAUCAAUCUGUGGAAAAGAACAAUCAUGCAUAUCAAUCAGCACAAGUGAAGAAUGGCCCAAACAUUCAAGUUGAAUUAUAAUUCUACAAGUCUAGAGAGUCAAAUAAUGCUACUAUUGUUUCUGUAACCUGAUCAUUACAUAAAGAGUUCAAUUUCCGAAAUGAGGAGACUUGUACAAUCACCUUCAUCAUAUAUAUUAAUUGUUAUACAAGAAAAACGACAGGAAAUGGUGACGUAUUAUGUAACUGAUCUUAUAUCAGUGUAAGAAAGAAAUGAAAUGAUGUAAGACUCCAAUCUGUUGUACCGACCCUUGAAACUUUUGAGUAGGCACAACAAAUUUUAACAUGCUUAACAGACAAAUAAGAACUCCUGUUAUCGGCAAGGCCACUUGCUUUGCUCUUCUAGCAUGGGGUAGUGUCCUGGAUAAACAAGAACCUGUUGUUGGCUAGGCUUCUUGCUUUCCCCUUAUAGCUUGGGAUUACUAUUGCUAGUGUCCUGGAUAAACAAGAACCAUAAAACUUCAUGAUGAGUGUCUACUUGCUUUGAUUCUUUUAUACAACAAAAGAAAUGCAUCUAAAAUGAUAGCCUAAAAGGAGAGUUCUAAUAUCUAAUUGCUAUUUCAGUAUAUAAGUUGUGAUAUUAACUUGAGAAGAGAGUGAUCAACAGAAUCUAGUGAGAGCCUCAAAAUAUCACAGUCAAUACAUAUAAAACACUCUGUUUUUUUUAUUUUGAUUGACCUAUAUAUAGAAAUACUAUGAUUUUAGUUUUAUCUAAAAACCAUUUUACUGGAAAAGGGUUAAAAGGGGGAAAAAGAAAGGGAGAUCUUUAUAAAAGCAUGGCCACUGGUCUGAAUCUUCUUUCCAACGCAGUUGCAAUGUAUUUACAUAUUCAUAUGAACUUUGAAGUUGAACCCCAUAUGCACCCUCCAAUAAAAUCAUGAAUUUGAUUAUCCAAACUCUUAUAUAAAAAUAAAUAAAUAAAUAAGCAAUUGCAAAAUAUCCCAAAAUCAGUAAUUUAAUAAAUAUGCAAGGCAGAGAGAGUUUUGGUGACUAACUGGUGUAGGUUGAACGGGAAACGGGUCAGGAUUGAAGGAACGAAGAGAGAGCUUGGCGAUCUCGGAGACGGCAGCAUCUCUAAUGGCAGCAACAUCACUGGCCAAAGCUUCAUAAGCAGCUUCAAAAGCCUCUUGCCAAAAACGAGGCAGUUUAGUACUAGAGCUGUGGGUGUAGAUAUCCCACAUAUGCCUCACCAAAUGCUCUUUCUCCUCCACUUCCUGAUGUUCCCAAGAAAAAAACCCACAAAUCAAAUCCAUCGAAAUUCAAGUUUUUUCGAAUCUAAGAAAAUUAAGCAUCGAUAAUAACUAACAAGAUCAGUAAAGAAGAGAAGAAAGAGAAGUACAAGGAUGUCGAGAUCAUCAUCACGGAUUGGAGAGUUGAGGUCAUCGUUGAGACGGGAGAGAUUACCGGUGGACCAUUUGAGAGUAACAGAGCCAGUGAACAUGGACCAAAAUGCAAGAAGGAGAAUAGCAGCUAAGACCCAGAACUUGUAUCGAGUUUUACCAAAAAGAGCACCAUCAGAGGUGUCUUUCUUCAGAGUUGUGGCAGUGGCGGUGGUUGUAGGCAUUGAUAUAACUGUCGGCGAGUCAUCGUCCUUCAUAUUCGUACAAAGAAAUUGAGGGUCAGAGAAGCAGCAGUGGCAGUGGAGGUGGUGGUGGUGGUGGGGCGAGCAGAGACAGAGAGCAGAAGAAAGAGAGAAUUAUAUUGGUAAAUGUGCUUGGAGGUGGCUGGUGGUGUGGGGCUCUCUCUCAUAACUCGUAACUAAUAAUUACUGUAGAUUUUUUUGGGUUGAAAGUUGUUGAAUUAAAUGAGAAAAUAAAUAUUAAUUGAUUAAUUAAGCAUUCUUUUGUUUUGUUGGCAUUAAGCCUUCUUAUGCUACCGACGAAAUGGGGCCCGCAAUACGCGCAAUAAAGUCCGCACUUAGAAGAAAUUAUUGACCUUAGUAUGUGUUGAAUGUGGUAGCUGGCCCGUCAUCCCUACUUCCAUAGUUUCUAAGAAUUGGUUCCGGUAGCACAGUUUUUAUAAAAUUCUAAUCGAAUUAAAUAAAUUAAAAAUUAAAAUUUUAAUAUUUAUAAAAAUUAAAUUAAUUUUAAAUAAAAAUUAAAUUUAAUUAAUUUAAUUUAAUUUGAUUUAAUCAAUUUUAAUAUUUAAUAAUUUUUUUAUUUUUUAUAUUUUAUUUUUAUUUUUAAUAUUUUAAAAUUUAAUUAAAAUAUUUUAAUAUUAAUAUAAUUUAAUUUUUUAUAUUAUUAAAAAUACUAUUAUUAUUAUUAUUAAUUGAUUCAAUUUAAUUUUUUAAUAUUUUUUAUCAAAAUUAAAUUAAAUUAAAUUAAUUAAUUUUUUUAAAUUAAAAAUUAAAUUAAAUUAAAAUAAAUAAAAAAAUAAAUAAAAUUUAUAUUUAAUUUAAUUCGAUUAAUUGUUUUAAUUUAAUCUAAAUAAUCCUCACGCUGGUGCUUACACCGUUUGUGGCAAAACAUCUCACUCAAUCUCAAAUUGUUCAGUUUGAACUCUAAAUAUUAAUUUUUAUUAAAGUGAGUAGUAUUUAAAUUAAAUUAAAAUAAUUUAUUUAUUUUUUAUUUAUUUUAAUUUCAUAUUUAUUUUUUAUAAUAAUUUAAUUAUUUUAAUUUUGAUCAAUUAAUUUAGAUGAUGUAUAUAUUUUGAUAAAUCAUAUUUAUAUUUUAAAAUUUUAAUUUUAAUAAUUAAAUCAAAUCUUUAAAAUUUAUCAUGAUUUUAUUUAUAAAUUUAAAUUAAUUUUAAUCAAAAUUUAAUAUUAUCAUUUUGUCAUCUUAUUUAACAUUUUUAUUAUUUUUUAAUUUAUAUUUUUUAUUAAUUAAUAAACUAAUUUAAAAAAUUUUAUGAAUUCACAUUUAUAUUUUAAUAUUUUUAAUUUAUUAAACAAAAUAAUUUAAUUUUUUUACAUUUAUAUUCUAAUGUUUUAAUAUUUAAUAGUUAUAAAAAUAAUUAUUAAGAUAUUUAGAAGAUCAGUAGUUAUAUCUUUAAUUUAAGUACUGACAAAAAAAAUCAAAUUGAUCAAUAUUUUUUUUACAGCUUUAGCAGUGAUUGAGAAAAUAAAAAUUAAGCAAAUGAUAAUGAAAAUAAAAAUAAUGUGUAAGAUUCCCACUCUUCAAACUUUUAAUAUUAUGAUAAUAUGAAUUUAUGAAAAUAUUUGAUUUAUUUUGUCUAAUAAAUAAAAAGAUUAAAAUAUAAAUAUAAAAUUAUAAAAAAUAUAUGAAUUAUUUCAUCAAAAAUUUAAAAAUAUAAUGAAUUAAAAAAUAAAAAAAUAUAUAGGAAGAGGAGUGAUAUUUUUAAAUUAUAUUACGAUUAAAAUUGAUUUAGGCGCAGAGAUAAAAUAAUGAUAAAUUUUAAAAGUUUAAUUAAUUAUUUAAAAUUAAAAAUUUAAGAUAUAAAUAUGAAUUUAUCGAAAUGUUUAGAUUAUUUAAAGGGAAAAUUAUUUUGUAGUCCCUGAGUUUAACGUAAUUAACACUUCUGUCCCUCUAUUUUGGCGACCCAACACUUAAGUCCCUCACUUUCUUUUCUGUCCAACUUCGUAAUCAUUCCGUCCAAAAUAGCCGUUUGGGACACGUAAAUUGACAAAAUUAACCCUCCUCUUCUUCUUCUUCUUCUUCUUCUUCUUCUUCUUCUUCUUCUUCUUCUCUUUUCUGCAACUUCUUCUUCUUCUUCUUCUUCUUCUUCUUCUUUCUUCUUCUUUCUUCUUCUUUCUUCUUCCUACUGUUUCUGCAGCAGCUUCUUCUUCUUCUUCUUCUUCUUCUUCUUCUUCUUCUUCUUCUGGAAUUUCACAUUGAAAUAAGGGUAUUUUUGAAAAAAAUUAUCACAUCUCACAUUUGACUCUUUGACCAAACGGUUUAAAUGGACGGAAGGACUACGAACUUGGAUGGAAGAGAAAGUGAGGGACUUAAGUGUUGGGUCGCCAAAAUAGAGGGAUAGAAGUGUUAAUUACGUUAAAUCUCAGGGACUAAAAAGUAAAUUUCCCUUAUUUAAAUUAAUAGGCUUUUAUAAUUUAUUAUUUAUAGUAAUUUAGUCUUUUAAUUUAAAUUGAUUUUUUUAAUUAAUGGUUAAUUAAUAAAAAAAUUAAAAAAUAUUUUAUUAAUAAAAAAUUAAAAAUAAAAUUAUUUAUUAUUAGAACGAGGUACUGUGUCCCACAACAUGUGUGUAAGCAGAGACACAGACCAUAACCCAUUUAAUAAUUGAAUAAAAUUGGACCAGUUUCAGAGUGUAGCUAUUCACCGACAGACACUAACCCCACUUCGCAGUUGGUAUUAUAUUUCACAAUUAAUUCUCCCUUUCCUUAAGCUUCUUUCUGUUUACAUUCUCACCUUGGCGAUCAGAACUUGCUCUCACAUCACUACUUCUCUCUCUCACCACCGGCCGGGAUUUGCUCACUAGGAUCAUCACUCCUUUGAAAUUUUAAGUUAAUUUAAUUAUACUUAUUUCAUAUAUAAAUAUUAAAUUUUUAAUCUCACUUAAAAAAAUAUUUAAUUACCAAUUUCACCACUCCACGAUAAUAUAGUCUCGAAAUUUGCAUUUCUUUAUAGUGGGAACUCGGCUUAGACCUAUAAAUGUAUAGGUGGGUGCUUUUUUAAAACUAAACAUAUUUUAAUUUAAAUUGAAAAAAUUGAUGAAAUUAAAUUAAUUUAAAAUUUUAAUUUAAUUUUUUAUUUAUUUUGAUUUAAUUUUUAAUUUUAAAAAUUUUUAUUGGUUUUAAUUUUAAUCAGAAAAAAUUAAAAAAUUUAAAUUAUAAUAAUGUAUUAUUUUUAAUAAUAUAGAAAAUUUAGAUUAUAUUAAAAUUAAAAUAUUUUAAUUAAAUUUUAAAAUAUUUAAAAUAAAAUAUAAAAAAUAAAAAUUUAUUAAAAUUUAAAAUCGAUCAAACUGAAUUGAAUUAAAUUGAAUCAGACCGUUUCAGUUUGAUUUAAUUUUUAAUUAAAAUUGAUUCAAUUUAAUUUUCAUAAAUAUUAAAAUUUUAAUUUUUAAUUUAUUAAAUUUAGUUUGAUUUUAAACUACACCAACUGUUAAGAACUAUUGAGUCCACACUUAUACAGCCCAAACUGUUCCUUAAUGGCUUUAACAAGUAGGCCCAAGUUUAAUGAAAGCCCUAUGUCGCCAAAAGGAUUUAAACGUCCUAUUUAUCAACUUAACGUCUUUAAUCUUUUUAAAAUUAUUAUUUAGUUGUUAUAAUACGAAAAAAUUUAUAAAUUAUUUUUUUAUUUUAAAAAAUAAUUAAAAAGCUUCUAAAAUCUUUUAAAGUGUAAUAAUUAGUUUCGGCCAUUAGAUUUUUAAGUUAAAUUACUUAAUAAUAAAAAAUUUUAUAUAUUUACUUAAUAAUACAGUUUUUCAUGAAAUUUUAUAUAUUUACACUUUGCUUCUAUAUAAUUGGUAUGAUCUAGCUAACCAUUGCCCAAAAAUUUUAAAAAGGAAAGAAAAAAAACAGAAAUGGCUCGGUUUUAUUCUUCUCCACCAUCUUGCUCUCUCAUUAGAUCAGCAGGAGGUAGAAAGCAAUCCAUUGACAACCCACAAAUAUUGAAACCAACUUCUUCAAUUCUCCAUGUUUCUUCAAUCUUCCUCUUGUGGUUACGCGACUCUCCAUAUCUGUACAACGUUGCAGUUGUUUUUCCACUGUGUGCUAUGUUCAUGCCUUCAAUAUAUCUAUAAUCUUCAACCAAUGACUCGAUACUUGUCUCCCAGAAGACAGUAUCAUUUCCUCUGGCAGGGUUCAUUUUCACCAGCUUUGUAUCCUCAAACUUCACGAGCAAUCCUGUACGUUGGCUGAAGUAGCCCCACAUUGUAUGGUGAAGGAUUUCUGUGUUGGAAGAAGCUUGAGUUUUCAGGAUGUUUACAUCAGUCUCCAGCUUCAGCACAAAACAGUCUUCAUUAUUCGCCAUAUUCUCUCCUAUGCAUACUGCUUCCAAGAACAAGUUGGCCGUGCACCUGGGAUCCAACCCCUGAUGAGAUCAAACCAUGAAAUAUUAUCCACACAAGUUUUCCUGAUCCAUCCUAAAAUUUUCUAUGCAUUCAAAUUUUAAUUUUCUAGUCAAGAAUUUCGACCAAACUUAAUGGUAGAGAUGAUAUGGCUUUGUGACAUGAAAUAAUAUUUUCUUUCGGAAAUUAAUUGUCCCUGCUAUGGUUGCUGUAUGGCUGUCAAUAUUCUUUCAAGAUUGAUAAAGUCUCAAUAGUAUGCUUAACAAAAAUAAACAUCAUCUUCUAUAUCUCCAAAUCUUCUCAGUUUUGAGCAAAAAAUUUUCGCAUUAUAAACAAAUACCAGUUAAAAUCAAGUGUUUGCCUGACUCCCUUGGUUGGGUUGGCAAAGGCACCUCUUGGCUAUUUCAGGGAUCAAUUCCAAUCAAACCCCCCACCCCCACCCCCCUCCCUCCAAAUUUUUGACAAGAAAACUUGUGUCUUUCCAAUGUGGGAUCACCUUUUUUCUUUUCUAUAACUUAGUUUAAACAAGCUAUUACAACACAUUCAAGGUUGAAACAUCAUGGAACAGACAACUUAACAUGCCUCAAGAAGGUUCUGAUGGACUGAAAGCUAGAGAAUUGAUCGUUUGUAUAUAUAUGAGACGUAAUUGAUAGUGUGGGCUUGUGGUAGGAAGAUGAUAUAUACCUGGAAGAAACGUCUCAAGGGUCGUGGCGGGCCUUUAUUUGAAUGACAAGUUUGACAAGAGGACUGGUUCCAGGCAAGUUUACCAUCACUACCUGCAUUAACCUUGUAACCUGCAACAACUAGUUCUAAGCACCAAAGGUCUGGAUUUUUUUGCCAAACCACGAACCCACCAACCUCAGAUUUGCCUCCUGUCUGCACGCUACCAUCACCCUGUUGCAUCUCAGACCCAGCCAUCUUAACCUGCCCUACUGCAUACAUGCUCGUCACUGAGUUCAGCACCAUUGGUCCCCCUAUUGCUGCAACGUAUUGUUGCACUAUAUAUUUCGCAGUUGAAGCUUCCUGUUCAUUCAUUUAACAAAUACAUUAUUAUGCCAAUAUCCCACAAAUUGAAAAGCAAAAAAACAAAAAAAAAAACAAAAAGAAGAAGAAUCUUACAAUGGAACAAUCUGUGAUAGAUCGAGUGACAGGCUGAUCUGGGUGGACUUGAAAAGGGAUGAGAGGAGAUCCGACAAGCUUGAGCAAUGCAAUAAACUCAUUAUCAGAUUUAGCUUGAAGAUGGGAUGAUUUAUCUGCAGAUUUAGCUCUCAUCAUUAAUGCACGCAUGUUCGCCCAUCUCGAAGAUUUAUUGUUGCCCAUGUUUGAGAACAUCUCUUCUGGAACAGGCACCUCCAAAACGGUGUCGAGCCCAUCUUGCUUGUCUAAAUUUGGACACAGCUUCCUCAUAUCCAUCAUGAAACUAAGAAAGAAAAUGGAGGAAAAGGAGAAAAAGAAAAAGAAAAGAGAGGAUGUGAGGGAGAAAGAGGAAGAUAAGAGAAAGCUCUCUCCCUCUUUCCAUGGAAGUGAAACUGGAUGGAGGAAAUGCAAAUGAGAGGGGUCAAGGGGGUUUGGCCUUUUUUUUUCUUGUUGUUGUUGUUUAAGGUAAUCCUUGAACGUAGCUGUCGUGUUCGUACGGUUUUAGCGGAUUUCUUCUGUUUAAUUACGGAAGCUGUAAUUGGACCAUCCACCCUUACCGAUUUACUUCCUUUUUAACCUCUUGACUAAUUGGACCAUACGUCAUUACGCUCUAGAUGUUUAUCCGAUUGGUUAUUGUGGGAUAAUUUAAUAUAAAAUAAAUAUUAAAUUAACAGUUAAAUAUAAAAUAAUAAUAAAUAAUAUGAAUGAAUAUAUAAAUUUAUAAAAAAUAAAAGGAUAUAAAUGUAAAAAAACUAAAUUACCAACCACUAAAAAGAGUAAUUUAACUAUUAAAUAAUAUUAUAAAAUAGUAAUUACUAAAUAAUAAAUAAUAAAAAUUAGUAUUUUGAGUUGACUUAAACAUUAAAUAUUACUAUUAAAUAUUUUAACUGAAUUUUAAUUUUUUAUCCGCAUAAGAAUGUUUAAGUAAAAGUUAUCCACAUAUAAUGUUACCAAAAAAACAGUUACCCAUAUAUUAUUUUAAGUGUACAUCUAUCAUGAGAUUAGGAUAUAUGGAAUUUUUAAAUUGAAUGAAUGUGUACACGAUGCCGUAUAACCGUUAUCUAUUUUGCUACAGUUGUUAUUAUGUAGAACUGUAUGUAUGGACGCACUUUCCUUUUUAGCGUCAGGCGGCUAUUUAAUUUUUUUUUUGAUAUUUGAUGUACAAGGAUUUGUUCUCUCGUUGACCCGGCGGCUAUUUAAUUUCUUCUGAUGAUGUACAAUAAUUUAUUUUUUCAUUGACCCGUUAAGUAAUUUAAGCUAGAUCCCUUUCUAUUAGACUCAUUCUGUCUGAUCUGUCUAAACGUGAUUUGAGUUGCAUACUAAAUAUUAGAUCUUAAUAAUUUAAAUUUUGAUGAGUUACGGUGGGUUCAACUACAGUCCUGAUAGCAGAGACUCAACGGUCAUCACAUAUAUACAAUUACAUGUAUGGUUUGAGACUUAUAAAAUCAUCAACUUACUCUUUUUUACUAUGAAAUAUAUUAAAAAAUUAUUAUUUAUAUUAUUAUUCAAUAUCUUUUAAAAAAUUUAAUCAGUAAUUUUAUAAUAAUAAUUUUUUUAAUUUUAUUUUAGCUAAAAUUAUUAUUAAUCAAUUUUUUAAUAUAUUUAAUAUGUAUACUAUUUAGUAUUAAUUUUAAAAUUAUAUUUAAUAAAAUAAUUUUAUUAAAUAUAUUAAUUAUAAAAUAUUAAAAAAUAAUUUAAAAUAAUAUUUAACAUAAUACGGUUUAAAAAUAUUAAAAAUAAUAAAAUAAUUUUUUAAAAUACUUUUUAUAAUUAUUCUUUUAACUUUCAAGUUAAAUUAUACUAAUAUUUAGAGUGAAUUUAAAAAAAUUAAUAAUAUAUAAAUUAAAUAGUUGAUUGUCUAAUAUAAUUUGGUUAAGUGUUAAAAAAAUAUGUAAUUAAUUUGAAAUUAUAAAUUCAGUCUCUAUGUCCAUCUCUAAAAAAAAUAUUAAUAAAAUAGAUAAUUAUAAAAAAAAAUAUACUUUUAAUUUUGUUUCAAUUAUAUUCUAAAUUUUUAAAUUAUUAUCAAUUUUAUCUUAAAAUUUAUUGAUAUGGCAUUGAUAUCGUGAGUGACGUGACAAUUUCGUUAGUUUUUAAUAGCACUAAUAACGGUAGAUACAUUUAGAACAAUUUUAAAAUAUUAUAUUUUAAUUGAUAAAAAAAAUAUAGAGGAUAAUUACAAUAAAAUUAAAAAUUUGAUAUUUUUUUCCAUUAACUCUUAUUUUUUCAAACAUUAGUUUCUCAUUAAUUUUCAAUGGAUAGCAGGUAAGUUUGUAGUAAACCAGUAAUGCAUUCAUAAACUUCAAAAUCUAAAUGAAACUAAGUCCAACUAGACCUUGUACUUUAAUGCAAUAAUCAAAUAAAUUUAAUUUUAAAAUUUUGGAUAAAUUCACUCUGAAUUCUAUUAAGAGGCCCAAAUUAGUUCAACCAUUAUUAAGUGUAAGAUACUUUCAAAUGAAUGGAUUCAAAAUAUAAAUGAAAAGAAAUCUAAUUAGACUCUAUACUUUAGUAUAAGGCCCAAAUCAUUUUGAUUUUAAAAUUUCAAGUAAUUACACUUUAAAUUUUACUGAAUGAUUCACAGUCUAACCAGUAUUAAUGUGAGGUGUGUGGAAUAAGUAACGAAAAAUAUAUAAAAGAUUGAUCCGAUUAAUUCAAAUUUAUAUCGUGCAGACUCAUUAAAUAGACAAAUGCUUUUUCAUAAAUUUUCAAUUAAGAUUAGAGGAAUUAAGAUUAGAGGAAUUAUAUGCAUUGAUUUAAGUUAAUUAAUCAAACUGAAAAUAUUUUAAAAUUAAUAAUUGAUUAAAUAAAAUAUUUGAUUAUUUUUUUCAAUUAAAAAGCUAAAAACUACACACCUCUACCUCAUUGUUCCAAACCAAACAGACACGUUCACUCCCCACAAAAUAGAGUACCCAUAACUACCGAACAAGGCCAACAACUCACUCAGCCACUCUCGAAAAGUAAGGCCAACCCGCAAUACUAUCAGCCCUAUUAGUCCUAUAUCGACAACAAUGCUCUCCAUUGAAUCAAAGCCCAGCUGAGACCUUGGUCUCAUCUCCUUCAACUUCAAUGCCUCUUACUAAUUCCAUCAUCAAUCCAAUCAUAGUUAACAAAAAAAAAUGCCAUCAAAGAGCUAGUCCCCCAUGGGAUCUAUUGGAAAAUAAUAUUAAAUAUCACAUGGGCUUUCGAUCGGACACAAUCACACCUUUCUCAAAUUUAUUUUUCAAUUUGAAUAAAAUUAUUUAAAUUUUUAAUUUUUAAUAUGUGAUGAUAAAAUUAAAACUUUAAAAUUAAAAUAUAAAAAUGCAUACAAAAAUAAAAAAUUAAUUAAAAAAUAUUUUUUAUAUGUAUAAAAAAGCAAAAGUGUACAAAUACUGUAGAAGGGAGUGAGUGGGUAUAAUAUAACUAUUUUGCAUACAAGGGUAAAUUCCUUUUCUUUCCUUUUCUUGUGGGUGCUUUCAUGGACUGCAUCAAAUGUAUGAGUGUAUAUGGCUGGAUACAACCAUGUCCUUCUCAGUUUUAGAUUAAACAACACUAAUAAUUAAUUAAUUAAUUAAUAAUUUUAAAUUACAGUACAGGGAGUAAUACUCACUGUUCGAUUUGGACAGCCAUGGCUAAGUCCAGGCCUGGAUUUUCAUUUUUUGGGUUUCCGUGUUAAGGUUUUCAGUUUCAUCUAUUUAAUUUAAAAUUAAAUUUAACUGAAUAAAUUAAAAAUUAAAAUUUUAAUAUUUAUAAAAAUUUUAAUAUUAAUUAGAAAUUAAAUCAAAUUUAACCUGAUUUAAUUUAAUUCAAUUCAUUUUUAAAUUUUAAUAAAUUUUUUAUUUUUUACACUUUAUUUUUAAUAUUUUAAAAUUUAAUUAAAAUAUUUUAACAUUAAUCUAAUAUCUAUAUAUUAUUGAAAAUAAUAUACUAUUAUUUCUAAUCAGUUCGAUUUUUUUUAUUUUUUUCUGAUCAAGAUAGAACUGAAUCAAAAUAAUUAAAAUUUUUAAAAUUAAAAAUCAAACUAAACCGAAAUAAAUAAAAAAUCAAAUUAAACUUUCAAAUUAAUUCAGUUCGAUCGAUUUUUUCUUUGCUCUUAUCCGGUGCAGUCUCGAUCAGAAUAAUAUUAAUUAUUUUUAUUAAUGUACUUCACCUUUUUUUUUAUAAUUUUUAUUUACCAUUUUUUCUGUUAUUAUAAAAUUAUUUUUUUAUUUUUUAUAUUAUAAUAAUAUAUAAUUGAUAAUAUAAUUUUAUAUUAUUUUUAAAAAUUCUCUCAAAAUAAUCAUUGAUAUUUAAUAAAAUUUAAUAUUUUUAGAAUAAUUAUUAUUAAAAAAUUAAUAAAAAUUAUAUUUUUUAAUAUAUAAAAAAAAUAAAAUGAAUAAAAAUUAUUUCAAGAAAGAUAGUUAAUUUACUAUAUCACAUACAAUUACUAAUCUCCAAAUUUGUUGAAUAGCAGGGUUAAUUAAUUAGGUAGCAUAUAUCAAAACCGACUCUUUCACAUAUUAUCCUUUUGUUUUUUCAGUUAGUCCCAUUGCUAUGUGGUUGAGACUUAUUCAACUUAAUUUUUUUAUUAUUAUAAUUAAUAGCCAUAUAUAUAUUUUCAUGAAGUGAAAGAUAAAUUAAUUCAAAAUAUUUAUAGAUAUCUUAGAUAUCAAAUGUAUCCUAAAAUUUACUAAAAAAUUAACUUAAGCGAUAUGAAUCAAACUUUCGUUAUUGAGAUUCAAAACUUAUUCUUGCAAUCCUAUAUAUAUACAGUGAAAUUUGAACUUUUGUAGUGAAGAAAUUUAUAAAAAUUUAAUUAAUCUUUUUUUAAAUUUCCAUAUUUAAAGUGAAAGAAUUUUAUUUUAUUUUUUAAUUUUAAGGAAGUUUUUAUUUUAAAAAAAUUAAACAUUUUCUAUGGUUGUGCAAUGAAUUCAAUUGAGAACAGCAAUUUAUGAAUCCAACAAUCUUAGACAACAUAUAACUCUAUAUAUAUUUUUUAAAAAAAUACUACUUAUGAUAGGGUAAAACUCAAUAAUUAAUCUUUUUAUUUUAAAAAAAUAUAUUAAAACGUUCUUAAUAUUUUAAAAAGUUUACUAAUUAGUCACUCUGUUAAUUUUAGUCAGUAUUUUAUUAUUUAGUUCUUAUAUAUUAUUUUAAAAAAUUUAUUAAUUAAUCUCUCAUAUUUUUAAAAAGUCUACUAAUUAAUCUCUCUGUAUUAAGAGUAUUUUAGAUUUUUUUUUCAAAAUUUAACAGAUAAAAUUAACAGAAAAACUAAUUAGUAGAAUUUUUAAAAUAUUUAAAAAUAUUUUAAUAUAUUUUUUAAAAUAAAAAGAUAAACCAAUAAAUUUUAACUAAAUAAUUAAUUUUUCUAAAAAUUAAGUCGCAUGAAAUAAUAUAAGUACAUCAUAAUAUUUUUUUCAUUAGAGAAACAAUAUAAAUAUAUAUUAUUAAAAACUUUUUUUUCUGAAAAGGAGUAAUUAAUCUUCAAUUUGUAAUCAAAUACUCAAAAUGUUACUUUGAUUUUAUAUUAAAAAAAACUACAAAAAUGGCCAUAUUCACUAAAUUUGGAAAAAUUUGUCAAUAAAAACUUCAAUUGCGUUUAAAAACUUUUCCUUUUCUUCUCAUUUCUAAACAAUAGAAAAUUUGGAAGGAUUAAAAAUCUUACUUUAUAAGAAUUUACUCUUAAAAAAUCCAACUUUACUUUCUACCUAAUAGAAUGAAAUAAGAAAAGACUACAUCAUAUAAUUUCUUCUAAUACGUUUACUCCUAAAUUUUAAAUUUAUUUUAUAAAUAUAAUUCAAUAUCAAGAUCUCUUACUAAGAGAGAAAUGAUAGAUAUUGAUAAAAAAAUUAUUUAAAUUCCGUCAAAAAUUUUAAUUAAUAUCAUUUGGUUAAAACGAUAUAAGAGAAAAGAUAAAAUAAAAAUACGAAAAUUCUUAUUGAAAUUUUUUAAAAAUUAAAAAGUGAAUUUCUAAUAGUAAAUGGAGACUAUUUAAUAGAAAAAAAAACUUUAAUAUAUAAAAUUAUGAAAAUAUCUAAAAAAAUAAUUAAAAUAUAAAAUUGACUCUUAAACUAUAGAAUUUUUAUAUCGAACUUUGUGAUAGAUCUGCGAUCAUCGUCACACUUUUAAAAGUCGUACGUCUCGAAAUUCUGUUUCCAAAAAACUAUCGUGAGUAUAUCGGCAGUAAAAAUUAGAAUCGAUCCAAAUUUAUUAUAAAAUUUAAAAUUAGUUACUCCAUGUCAGAUAUUAUCCCAAAUUUGUUGUUAAUGGUAAUACCAUGCAUAGUUUUUUAAUAACAAUGAGUUAUUUUAUAGUAAUUCCACCAUCUACUUCACACACCUUUUCGAACUGUAUGAUUCACUAAAGAAUUCCAAGCAGCUUUCAGGUAUAAACCCUACAUCAUAACUUGGAUUUGGUCAUUCCUUUAUUAUUUUAUACAACCUUUUCUAAAAAUUUCUCCUUGUCAAGGCCGGCCUUUCUCCUCUCAGUCUUUACUAUAUAUUCAACAGCUGCAGCUUCACCUUUGUCUCGCAUCACACAAGUUUCUUAAAGCUUCUUUUAACUUCUAAUAACAAAAUGGCUAAGCGUAAUUUCAAGCUUAAGCUCUCUCGUGUCGUCCCUUCAUUUCAAAUCUGUCGAUCUAAAAACUCUUCUGAUAAUCCAAUCCCAUCAAUCCACCGUGUAUCACCUCUCAACCGGAAAGUUCUUGAUUUCAAUUACCCUAAAUUCCCUGACCAACCACCGUCAACCCCAGAUUGCAAACGCCGUAUCUCGCCGAAGAAAACAUCCGUCGGCUGCAGGUUCGAGUCAAGAUCACUCGCAGAUUAUCUAACUGAUUAUAGCUUGGAAUCCUUGGAUUUUUCACGGGAGAAAGAUGCUUAUGUGCGGGCUGCUAGAGUUCAACGGUUUAUGCAGAGUUUAUCAUUUUCCGAUGAGAGUAUUGGGAAUAUCUCACCGGUUAAAGUUACUGCAGACCAGAAGAACAAGUGCAACGAACGAAAGAAAGUUUCUAAUAAAGAUGACAUUAGUAUUUCAUCGGAAAAUGGUGGCUGCAGCUUCAGCAACGAGAAUGAAGAAAAUGAAGUGGAAACUGAAACCCUACUCUUUUCUUCAACAAGCUUCUCAUAUGAUUCUUCAUAUGACUUCUGUUAUCCAUCUAUGGACCGGAUAACCAAGAAAACGGACAACAGAAACAAGAAAACAAGUAAAAUGAAAAUUCAGAAACUCAAUCGCCUGGCUUCCAAGAACUGGAAGUCUUCUCCGGAGAUUACAUCUCCGAUGAGGGCAUCGGUUCUGCGGCGGAUGGUGUCGUGCACGGCUGAUGGGAAGGUGAAGGAGAGCGUGGCAGUGGUGAAGAAAUCAGAGGAUCCUUACCAGGAUUUUAAAAGGUCGAUGCUAGAGAUGAUAUUGGAGAAGCAGAUGUUUGAGGAAAAGGAUUUAGAAGAACUUUUGCAGUGUUUCUUGUCCUUGAAUUCCAGGCAAUAUCAUGGAGUUAUUGUAGAAGCCUUCUCGGAGAUUUGGGAGAUCUUGUUCUGUGAUUCUUCUCCAAAGAAUUGAAAUUCCAUGAAAAUUUCUCGACUUAAAGCUUGAAGAAGGUCAAACCGAAAAAAAAUUAAAAAAUAAAAAAAAAAAUCUUUUUUUCUUUUUUUUUUUGUGAAUGUUAGAGUUAUUACAUAAAUAUGAAAGCUUAAUAAUAUUGGUGUAAUAUUAAUAGUUAUCCGCUUUUUUAUGUAAAUAUAUAAUUGAUAAAGGUAAAAAGUAUUUGGAGUUUUUAUUAUGACUUUUUUAAUUAAAAUUUACUAUAUGUUAAAAAAAAGGCUAUAUGCCAAUAAUUAUCCUUAAGUGAAUAACUUCAAUGUGGUCUACAAUUUAGAAAUAGAUUUGAAACUAUUUUUAAAUUGUAAAAAUUAUUUUCUAAUCCUAUGACCUUUUCUCAUUAUCCAAAUUCGGUCGUAACACAUUUCAUUAUUCUUUCUAGAUUCUAAGGAUUUAGGCUUUUAUUAUUCCUCUCAGCUUUCCAUUUUUUAAAAAAUUUUUUUAUAAUUUUUUCAUUAAUUUCUGAGUUAAGAACAUAAAUAGUAAAAGAGAACAACGUACAUUCUUACAAAGGAUGAGUUAUGCGUUUGAAUUUUAGUGGUAAUAAAAUUAGUUCUUAUUACUACAUUAUUAUUUGUCUUAAUUUAUUCAUGCUUAUUAUUUAAUUAUAUAUCUUAAUUAUAUUUUUAAAAAUCUAUUUAUUUAAUGAAUUUUACAAAUUAUUUUUAAAAGAAUCUACACAGUGAUACCAUUACAUUAUGGGCGUUAGCAGGUAUAUAAAUGUCUCCUACAGCCACGAUUAAAUCCAUGGUCUACAUAUGCCUCGACAACCCCAUAGAUUUUAUCCCUCUAUUUUGAGCAUCAACUUGGCACUUGAACACCAUAAUUAAAUGUACAAUUGAACAGCAAGCGGGAUCUCCAUCCCUUGCUUAAUCAAGGGUUGCCAUUUUCUCUGUCGUAGGCUUCAUAAGCGAAGCCAUUGUCAUCCUCAAAAGUCUUGACAUCACAUAGCUUUCCACCAGCCUCAUCAGCAAAAACAAUCUUCCUCUUCUUGCAUAAUCCAUUUUGGGAAGCAGCAGAACCUUUCUCAGCCAAUUUCUGAGAUAGAUUAGUAGACACUCAGUAAGACGUUAUUAUAUUAAGUAAAUUACUGAUUCUCUAUUUUAAUUUAAUAAAAAAGGGCCCAGGAUCCUAGACUGAUUAGAAACAAACCAUGAUUUUACAAAAACGGUUGCAGUCCCUUGCCAUUACAGAAAGAGAUCUUCUUGCACUUUCUUCAACUCUUGUUGCAUUUUGUACGGCUAGUCUCAUCUGAAAAAAAAAAAAAAAACAUUUUCAAUUAUGUAUAUUUGCAAAUAUGCAUAUCUUCAAUUGUAAUAGAUAAUAAUAAUAAAACAACAUUUUCAAUGUCACUUUUCCGUAGCAUGAAGUAUGUGCAUUUAUCAUAUUCUAAUGAAUGCACUAACUAGGAUUUGCAAAAAAAGAACCCCAGGGCGGAAACACAGAUAUUAUGAGGCAAACUGUACAGAACCACUUAUUUAAUAUAGGCUGACUCAUUCAAUGGCAAGCUGGAUCAUAACCAUUUGUGGGGAAAAAAAGUGCACAAAGAAAAAAGUAGAAAGAAAAGAAAGAAGCUCAGUUAACUUCUGUUUCAAAAAAGCCAGGGUCAGUCCUAUAUCCCUCUUUCACAUCAUUAUGGAGCAGCAUUUUGAGUGCGUUAGUGGCACAGGAAAAGAACAGUUUCUUUUGAAAACCAAUGAGAGUACGUCUGCCACAAUGACGAGGGUGUACUAUUUAAUAUGCUGGAAGUUUUUUUGUUACCUCAUCUGCACUAUAUUUCCAGGAUGUAGCAGGAUAGACAUUGGACUGCAAUGUUUCUUCAACUAUGUACUUCAUGAAUUGUAACUCUUUUGCAAGUUUAGUUGCAACAGAUUCAAUGUCUCGCAUCUGUUGCUGUGAGAAUAAAAUGGCACUCUCUGAAGAACUUCGGACAGAGGUGCGCCCAGUGCUAGAACCUUGUACAGCACAAGAUGGAUGAGGAACCUUAAGAAUGUCAUUUUGAUGGAAACCAUUGUUACCUGCCUUUGGUUUCCUAACAACUUUCUUAGGGCUAAUGAUAACUUCAGCUCUCUUGAUUUGACUGGACACUUCAAGUCUACCAUUCUUAUUCUCAUUCUGUUUUCUAUAGCACAGCUUCCUUGCAUAUCCUGAAAAUUGUUACAAUCAAAUAGAAAUAAACCUCAUUGGAUAAGUUUGGGAUGACAAGGAGCUAAGAAAGGAGGAUGAUUUGAAGUACACAAGUGACAAAGAUGUAUAUAACAAGAUCACUAUAUAGAAAAGGAAGGGUUUGGACCAAAUUUAAUUUCUCUUAUCAGUUACCUUAAGAAAAUAAGGUAUUUCAAAUUGUAAAGACAGAAGCAAUUCUUUUUAGAUGGAUGUGAUAAAAGCAAGGACUUUUAUUUGGUCAUCGGUAUGGCUAGAAAUCAAUCCAACAUAGUGCCUAGGAAUUGUCUGCUGUUAUAUAACUGCAACAGGGAACCAAAUACUCUAGUCCUGCUUUCAAAUGAUUCAUUUAUUGGACAAUAUUAAACUCAUUGUGCUCUGUUCUUUAACACGAAACUUUUUACCAAGUAAACCAGUAUGACAUACACAGCUUAUUACCAGAAUUUUUCAUAUGGCAAACGCAGUGUAUUUUCUUGGCUUUUAUGUAAAUUACGGUGCUGUUGUGACGAAUUGUCCAUCUUACUUCUAGAUAAAUAGAUGCACGGGCAUUACGUGGUCCAUAAAUUCUAGUAUAAUGACUCAUGAACUUACUGUAGUAUUGCUCAUCAUCUAAUUCAGUGGACACCAUAGCUUCACGUAGCCUUUUCUGAGAAGUUGGAGAGAUGGCCUGGAGAAAUGGAAGGACCACAAGUUAAUUCAAGAAAGCAUGCAAGUCAAAAAAAAUGUAAUAAAUUUUACACACCAUUCUAGUUGAGAAGAGCCUUUCAGGAGGAUGUUGCAUCUUUGAAUGAUGACAAUCCUCCACCCUUUCGGAUAACACAGGCUCAUCAAUAGAUAAUUGGAUCACUGUAGAACAGCUUCUGCUUGAAUCAACACGAGCGGUUAAUGGUGCUCGCAUUUUCUCGUCUAUAGGAGAAUCAUCAAGGAUAGAAUCUAAACUGCCUUUUGUACUUGAAUGUAAACUUGCAUUCCAAAAUGCACUACAUUCUCUGCCAGGGUUGCUUAUGACACUGGCUCCAACAUGAAGUGUAUCAUCUUUAGUUUCAUCAUGGGGGAGGCAUGAAUCAUUUCUUUUGCUAAGCUCCACGCCUUGAGGGCUAUUAUUAAUGGGGACAUCAAGUACUUGAACCUGGAUGCCACUGCUAAGCUUCCAUGAGCUCUCAUGCACACAAGGUAAAGUUUCAGGGUGCAACACAGGUAUGUAAACCUCACUUAGAGAAACUGUUUCAGGGGAGUCAUUUUUGGGAUGUUGAUCUACGAAAGCAACUUCUUCCUUUGCCUCUGAUAGAGAAAAAUCUGAAAACUUAUUACUGAUCACUUCUGCAGUAUCCUCCAUCAGUAGCUCCCCACCUGAGGAUUUUACAUUGGGAAUUGAUUCAGGAUCCUCAUGCUCCAAAUAUUCAUAGUAUUCUUCAUUAGUAGCACAGUAUUGAGGCUCCCCACCUGAGGAUUUUACAUUGGGAAUUGAUUCAGGAUCCUCAUGCUCCAAAUAUUCAUAGUAUUCUUCAUUAGUACCACAGUAUUGAGGCUCAUUGCUAAAGAAAGUUGGCAUCUGAGUCUCAAAACCACAAGCAUUAGUUGUCAACUCUUCACUGGUUAUCACAGAUAUCCCAGUUUCAGAAACAGAGCCAUUAGCUGUAUCGGGCACUUCACUGGUUCUCAUUGACGAUCCAGCCUCCAGACUAUAAUUAUUAACUGCCUCAUACUCUUCAGUAGGCUCCUCUCCACAACAGGUCUCUGGCUUAUUACAGUUGAAAGAGGAAUUUGCAGCAGUGAUGAUCAUAUCUUUGCAAUUUGAAGUAAGCUCAGAAACCUCAACUUUAACGUCAGUAGGUGCAGGCAAAUUUUCAUUAGAUUGAAAGAUGACUUCAUGACUGGUGAUUUCCUCAUGCUUCACAAUAGAUAUGGCUUUUUGAGAUGAAACAACACUUCUGUUUCUGCCCUUUCUCACGGUCUUCAUCUUGUUUAGAAUUCUGGAUUUCCAACAGCUGAGUGGCUCCAUCAUAUCAUACUCAUCUUCCUCAGACUGUGAGUUAAAAUGGUUCCCUUUUCCAAGGGAACAAGUUUCAGUAGUUUCUUUACUCAAACCAACAUAUCUGGAAGCGUUCCUUCUCUUUUCCUUACAUCUCUCUUUAAUUUGUUUCAGUGUCAUAUUGCCAAAGUUAUGAUCAUCUAUUUCCCUUUCUCCAACAUCGAUACCUUUGAUGUUAGACUCUGAUGUCUCACCAUCAACUUUUAUUGUUCUUUCUCCUGCAAGUGUAUGCAGACUUUCUGCCUCGUCAUAUUCAAACUCAACUUUUGGUCUAAACACUGGCAAUGGAUUAAAGGUUUUUGCAUCCUCAGUUCCAUAUAGAUCUUUGACCUUCUUGAACUUGAGUGCUGGCCUUCCACGGUAGACAUUCAGGGCUUUUGUUGCCAAACCAUCUUUAGCAACCCAGAUAAAAUGUAAAUGAUUACAACUCCGUAACUCCAUUUGAUGAAAGUAGAACAAUUAUUUAUAUCACCGUUGUGAUGUGGACAUUACCGAAGGUGCUUGCCCUGUAGCAAGAGAAAGUUCACUCGAUGAGAUCAGAUAAUAUUAUACAAUAUGCAUAAUUACUACAACAUAACAAAUGAAGUAACAUUCAACUUUCAUCUUGCAUAUGCAGGUGAUAAGUAACUUGUCAUCGAAGCUAAUACACAACCUAUCAAUUAAAACAGGCAAGUAAUGAUCACACAUAGAGGUUAAAGUUUAUAACCUUGAAUUAAUUAGUUUUGGUGUGGUUGAUAUGUUUAGAAAAUUGCAAAAUGCCUAGUUUUAAUCAUAUAAUAGGAUAUAGCAUUCAAUUGCGGAAUAAUCUUUCUAUCCACUUUCCUUUCAGUCAAUCUAACUGAAUAGAAUAUUAAACUGAGCAUUUGCUUGAUUUUUCUAGCAGUUAACAUUACAUAACUACUGCAAAGCGGCCUAUUACAAUGAGGAAAUCAUGUGAAUUUAACGUUUUCAAAGUUAAAUUGAACCCCAAAUUUAUUUGAGAAAGUAAUUUUCCAUAUUAUGGCUACUUAAACUGACUUGUAACGGUUCUGCAAAAAAGAAAAUUUUACUUCAUUAACAAUUUCAUUUCUCAUAAAACAAUAUAGUUGUUAUGACAUCAUCACAAACUAGGCAUAUGUAUUAACAUACAACAGUUUUGCAAAUGAUAUAUUUUGGGUCAUCAAAAUCUAAUAGCCAGAGUGGUCAGCAACCGAAUACAUGCGCUGAAAUGCUUAUAAUCAGUUAUUAACUUCUCCUUUUCAUUUUCAUCAGAUCUGAAAUAUAGAAUUUAUAUAUCCUUAUUCAAGGGAAAACGAAAACCUCCUUCAAAUCCAGAUUCCAGAACUUCCAUUUCCAUAACUAUCACUAACAAAUGCAGGCCAAUUUUAUUUUUCAGUUCAUCACUCUCAGAGUUGCUUAAUCUCAGCUAAAAUCACUGACAUAAUCUAUUUGCUUAUUCGACGAGGUUAAAACGACACCAGAAAACUUUCGAAACUGAAUCAUCAACAUAUUUAUAAAGAACUAAAUGUAGCAAAGAACAGUAGAUCGUAAAAAGCAACUCACCUGAUAAGGAAGAAUUCCAGUCGUCGACUAGAUCUAUUCAAAAGCAGGAGAGAUUGAAGGCUAUAGAGAGAAAGGGAGAGAUUCUGCUGAAGUGAGAUGCAGUGGUAAAGUUCCUGAUAUGUGAAGUAAGAGAAAGUUAGGGAUUGCAAUUGAAAUAAGAGGGAGGAAUGAAUAACGCGCCAAAAAGAUUUUUGGCGCGAAUUGUUACCGUCUAUAUUAGUUAAAAAAGGUAAGGAUAGAAGAGAAAUUCUUGUGUGCUAUCCUUUGUACGGUAUCUCUUAAUCAAUCCAUUUAUUAUGCACCGUCCUCGUCAAUCAAUCUACCGUCUCUCUGGAUGAUGUGCCAUUCCCCUACAAAAUUGGGCCAACACUAGCCCAAUCUCACUCCAAGGCCCAAUGGUUUUGAUCUAUGAAGAAGCUCCCCAAUACAACUAGGUUGGGAUACCGCAAAAAUUAAAAUAUUUGAAUCUGAAUUUGAAUUUUCAUUUAUAUUAACAAUAUUUAAAUUUAUCCUUAACACAAUUAAAAAUUAAUUUAAACUAUUUAAAUUCAUCUCAAAUAAUAUUAUUAUUAUUCAAAUAAAAUCUGAAUUUAUUUAGUUUUAUAUAUUUUAAUUAAUAAUUUAUAUAAAAAAUAUUUUUUAUUUAUAAAAAAAAUAUUUUUUAAAAUAUUUAAUUUUUAAUUUUUAAAUAAAAAUAUAUUAAUUUUUUAUAUUAAAUUAAUUAUUUAUAUAAACAAAUUCGGAUAGUGAAUAACUUAUACAUAAAACUCAAAUACGAUACGAAUCCGUAACGAGUAUUAUUUUUUAAAUUUAAAUCUAUUUUAAAUUUAAUUAUAACUAUUUAAAUUUAUUUUAUUAUGAUUCGAUCGGAUUCAAUAUCAAAAAUACCCGAUCUAUUAUUAUUCUUAACUUUUUCAUUGACCUAACAACAUCGAAAAAGAUAUAUCUUUUGACUUUGAAGACUUUUUUUUUCCUCUUAAUAUAAAUUUAUUAAGCCUUAAAGAAGACAAAGACUAAAAUACUAAGUUGAUUUAAAAUAAUUUAUUACAUUUGAAUGAGUCAUUUAAAAUAAACUUCCUACUUAACUACUCUCUUUUUAUAAAAUAAAAAGAGAUCAAGUGGAAAUAUCUAACUAAAACAUAUAUAUUAUAUAUUGCUCAUGUAUUCAAUCCAAUAAAAGUAUGUGACACAUUUACAGAUGUGUAAUAUUGACUAAGAAGUAAUAUAUUAGUCCUGAAUUAUUUAAAUAGCUGCUAUAAAUUUUUUAGUUUAGUGUGUUUUUUUAUGUAUGUAUAUAUAUAUAGAUAGAGUUAUAAAAUAGAAAGUCACCCAUGUGGUAUAUAAUUCCAAGCUUUUUAUUAAAGAAAACAACAUAAACCUUUAAAGUGUUAAAUUGAAUGCUACUUCUUAUAUUUGUAUUUAGUUUGAAAGAGUGUAAUGUUUAAAAUAUAUGCCAAUUUAGACUAGGAGAUUUGUUUUUUAUUAACCAUGCUCCCAAUAUUAAAAAGAUAAAAAGACAAAAUAACAAGGUAGUGGAAAAGAUGAAGAAUCGAUUUUAAAAUGUCACGUUUUUUAAGAGAUAAAUGGGAACGUUUUAGAAAAUUAGAGAUCUUGUAAAAAGUUGUUUUGGGAUUAGUUUAUUAUUUAUAUUCUUUUACCAUGAUUUAUAGCAUUUAAAUUUGUCAAAUUAUAUUGAAAGACGUGAUAUUUUUUUUGCUUAGAUUUGCUUAAAAAAAAUAUCAUCAAAUAAAGAGAUCAUUUCAAACAGAAAAUUAUGCAAAAUAUGGGCAGUUAGAGUACUAUUACGACGAACCCAUCUAACAGAAAUAUCAGUUAUAGAGUUCAAUAAAAAUUUACAAUCAUUCAAAAAUAAAUUAUUGCAUAAGAUAAUUUGGUAAAAAUACUCCUAAAGUACCUGUUUAAACCCCUGUAUAAGAUAAUUUGGUAAAAAUACUCUUAUUUCUUUCUCAUAUCUCGAAUAUAAAUUGUUAAAAUCUCUCGAACAAAACCACAAAAAAGAGUUUCUACGAGAUAAAACUCGAAUAAAAUUCUAAGAUUGAUGUCGUUGUUACAAUUCUGGAAACCCAUAAUAACUAGUAAAUUUCCAUUGAGUAUUACUUUCUAAAAUAACUGAAUCAAUAAAGUUUGAAGAAAAUGUAACCACAAAAAUAGUCCAAUGACUUUUCCACACGGAAGUCUCAUUCCAAUUCUUAUCUAUUGACUGAUAAAUAACUAUCAAAAUAUAAAAAAUUACAAAAAAAUUCCAUACGAAGACUAAUAGCUUUUGUUUCCAUAAAAAUAAAAUGUCGAGCUUGUAAUUAAGAAUUAAAUCCUUCAGUGCAUUAACUGUCCGAUGAUUGCCGCCAUAAAUCUGCCAAAAAGAUCUGCAUAUUCUGAAAAUUGAUUGAAUUGUAUGUGAGAAACAUUUAUACCAUACAAAAAUUAUAAGUGACGAUCAGAAUAUUUUUAAAAUUUUUAAUAGGGACAACACAUUAUUUUUUUCAUCGAUAAUCAAUUGACGCAGAGUAUCGAGUCAUAAAAAAACUACAGAGAGAAAGUUAAAUUCUAAUAAUUAUAUUCAUUAAAAAUACAAAUCCUAAUUUGAUUGUUUAUAGUUAAAGAAUGAUAUUCUUAGUCAUUAAAUUAAGAAACUGUUGAUGUUUAUAUUAUUUUUUUAUUUAAAUAACUCAUUCAAAAAUUUAAAAUUUAUAAAAAAUUAAAAAUUAUUUUUAUUUAAUUGAUAAUUUUUAUUGAUUUCCCAUAAAGUUCUAACAUGUGAUUUCAAGAAUCAACCAACUGAAAAAUCUGUAGCCCAUGUGACUCACAGCCUCCUUCUUGCCUAAAUGAAAUGGGAUGAAUCAAAUCAAUAAGCUUUUUGAUUGAUUCAGGGUGCAGCAGAGUCAAAUUCAAUCAAGGCAAAUUCAAAUUUAGCUAUACUAAUAGAACAGGUAAAGUUUUCAGAUGAUAUGGACCCUAAGAGAUGAUCGAUAACCUUCAAUUGUUUAGGGGCUGCUUCUGUCCCGUCUGGUGGACGAAAUCUUCUCUCCUAUUAGUUUUAUUUCUCCCAUACACCUUUGCCCUCUUUCACCGGAGAGGAAAGAAAAUCUUUCAAGCAGACAGUCUGAGAGGGGUCACCAAGCAGUCGGAUGAUCUAUUCAACGCUUUUUUCACUAUGUACCCCUCUAUCAUUUGGAGGUGAAAGAUAAUAGGACCCAAAAUGCUAAAUAAAAAGAUAGAGAAAUAAGAAUUGUUGCAGUAAAAAAAAAAAUUACUAUAAAAACCGAUAAUUUUCUCUUUUUAAAUAAUUUGUAUUCUCCGCACUUAAUUAAUAUUUUAUUUUUUUUAACAUAAUUAAAUUAUUUCAUGAAAUGUGUAUUUUUAAAAAAAUAAUAUAUUUGAAUCAAAUAAAAUCUUAAUUUAUUUACAUUAUCAUAUUUAUAUAAAAUUUAUCUCAUAGAAAAAUAUAAAUUUUAUUAAUUUUAAAUUUAUUAUAUUUAGCUCUUCAACUUUCAAAUUAUAAAAUAAUUUAAUUAUUACUAUUGAUAUGAAAUAUUCAUGUGAUAUUACGUUAUAAAUAUUAAAUUAUUUUAUAUUUAAAAAUCGAAGAAUAAUAAGCACCUAUUUUAAUAAUGUGUAAAUUAAAUAAUUUAUCAUUUAAAAAUUAAAUGUGUAAAUGAAAUUACCAUAAAAUUUAAAAAUAAAAACACUUUUAUGAAAAGGCGAGAAAAACAAAUGCUUUAGCCUAAAAAUUAUCAGUAGAGGUUUCAGUUUAUAAUUUAAAAAAAAAAAAAAAAAGAAAAAGAAAACUGCAGCCCACAAAAGCUCGCAGUCCACAAGGCAGAGCCGGCCCCAGACCGCAGACUUUAGACCCACAUAUCCUCGAGACGAAGGGCCUCCAGAAAAAUUACAAUAUAAAAGAAAAAGAACCCUCAACGUCUCCGCUCAAUACUCGUCCUGUCCUUCUCUCGUUUUCACAAAAUGAUGAAGGCAUCUUUGAAGGGCAGGUAUGAAAAUGACAGAAGCGGCGGGGCAGCCACGGUUGCCUUCAACGCCGGCGAUGUCAAGCUCCGGGCUUCUAUGACUGACGCUACCGUCGUCAAUGGCCCCAGCUUAAACGGCUUGGUUUUAGCUGUCGAGAAACCCGGCUUCUUCAUUGUCGAUUACAAUGUUCCCAAACAGGUAAUGAACAAAAUUUUUUUGCUUUGCUUAUACUCAAUUUUUUGUUAUAUUCUGUUUGGUGUUGAGAUUAUGUAGGAACGCUGCAGGAAAGUGGGAUUGAAACAACUCUUAUGUUACUGAAAUGUUUGGCAUUCUUAUGUCUGCGCUACUGAUUGGCCAAUUGAAGAACUUGGCAAUUAGGGUUUUAAUUUGAAUGAAGUCAUAGAUUUUUCAGCUGGUGUACGUUAAGAGAUUUUAAGGAAAAUUGAAUAUAUUGAAUGAUUGUUGGUGAAUUGAUAAUUGGAAUACUUAAAUUUCGUUAUUGCUGAUUUUAUCUGUCACAUAAGGAAGCUACUUUUGUUAUUAAUAUUAGAAGUACAUCUAUAGACUAAGUCACUUACUAAUGGCCGUUCCUUGUUGUACAGGAUUUUCGGUUUCAGUUUAUGAACACGGUUAAGUUUGCUGAUAAGCCCUUGAACCUGACAUACAUUCACAGCAGAGGGGAUAACCGCACUGUAUUAGAUGGAGCUCUUGUGCUUGAUUCAGCUAAUAAGGUGUCUGCAAAUUACAUGCUUGGUACAGGGAAUUGCAAGCUGAAAUAUACUUAUGUGCAUAGAGGGGCGACCACAUUUGAACCGUGCUAUGAUUUGGCAAAGAACUCCUGGGAUUUUGCCGUUUCACGGAAGGUUUAUGCUGAUGAUGUGUUUAGGGCUACAUAUCAAACAUCAAGCAAAGCACUGGGAUUAGAGUGGUCAAGGAAUUCAAAAUUUAAUGGCAAUUUCAAGGUAAAUGCGAGAUUGUGAGUCGCAUGUUUCUGUUAUAAUUGCUGCCUUUCUGCUUUCUCCUAUUCAUUUAUUUUAAUGCAUUUUGUUGAAAUCACAUCUAAAGUUUUGAUAUUAGACACAAGAAUAUUUUAAUUUUAGACUUCAAGCAUGGCAAGUGCAUGUCCAGUGUAGUCCUGGCUUUGUUUAGUGUAGUGCCUUGUGUUAGUUCCUAGAUGCGUGCAUUAAAUAAUCCUGCUGGACAAAGCCAUCUGAUUGUGUUAGCUUUUGAUUGAACUAUAAUAGGACCUGGACAUGGUGAAUAUAGGCUUAUGGUAUUUACUAGUGCAUUUGUCCUCGUAUCAUGGAGAUGAUUUCUUCCAUGUAAUUAUAGUUUAUUCUAGAGCUUCUAUUUGUAAUCAUAAAUCAUUUUCUAUUUCAUUGAAUGAAGGGGACUUAGAUGUAAUUUUGAGAAGGUCCUCAUAAAUCAGUUUCUAUUUGUAAUCAUAGUAGGUUUAACACAGUUCCAUUUCUAAAAGUUUGAUUAGAGAGGGAUUUGAAAGGGCUCAUGUGAAGCUCAAAAAAUAGGAGUAGAAAGCCCAUUGCUCAUGAUCUCUGAAGUGAUUUGAUAAUGGUUCAUUUUAAGUUAAAGAAAACAUUGUAAUGAGAGGAGUAUCCUAUCCUUGAGCAUGGGUCCUAGCUCGCAUAUUGGAUUCUGUUAGAAGGUUUGAAGCAGUAUAAGUCUGAUCUUCUAGUCAGACUUUUAUUAGAUACAAUUGUUUUUCUAUUCAUUUUCCAUGUUUUUGUCUAUAUUUCCUUGAGUGGUUACCAUGCGUUUACCUCUCUGUGGGUCUUAAAUAUUUCCAAGAUUUCUUCUUAUAUAAUUGUAACUCGAAAUGAUAUUGGUAUUGUUUCAUACUUUGUCGUCUCAGAUUUCUGCAUCUGUCAAUUUGGACGAGGAAAAGAAAGUGCCAAAACUAAGUGCUGAGACUACAUGGAACUUUGAGAUGUGAUAUGUUCUUUCUUUGGUAAUAAUUGCAUUUGCUGGAUUGCUAUGCCCCUAAUAGCUUUAAGCUUAUUUUUGUCCUUGAAUAUUGUUUAUAAUUGUGAGUGAGCUAAUUACCUCGCAAGGGGGCAGCCUCGAUGGCAUCAUUUGUCAAACUGCUUAUUUCUGUAUUGAAAUAUGAUACUUAUUUCUGGUGCUCAAAUAUCUUGUAUGUCUACCCAUAUGCUCUUACGUAAAGAGGCAAGAUUUAGUCUUUGAGUUUUGGUGGGUUUUAUGCAAGGUUGUGGAAUGGAUAGUCGGAAAAACAAUUCUCUGUAGUAAGGUUUUGCAGAAGCAGCAUGCAUGUAGUGGGAGUAUCCAGGUGCGUAAUACUGCAAUGCAAUGAGGCCAACCAACGGCACCUUCUCGCGUCUAUCCAUCUGUGUGUGGGUUGGGAUGGCUGGGGAGGAGAGACUUUGCCAGUUUUUCAGUUUGAUUUAAGUUUAACGGUUGAAUAAAGUUAAUGCCCGAUAGCGGAUAACUGAUCGUAAGCGUUUUAUAAAAUAUAUAUAAUUAUUGUUUAUAUUUUGUAAGCGUUUUAUAAAAUAUAUAUAAUUAUUGUUUAUAUGUGAAAUAAUGAAAACAUAUAUACCAUUUUAUUUAGUUAUUACUAAAAUAUACAUAUAAUCUAUAGGUUCCUAUAAUAUAUACUGUAUAAAAAAUAAACAUUAUAAUUAAUAUGAUUAUUAUAUUUAUUUAUUUUAUAUUUAUAAAAAGUUUAUUAAUAUAUUAAAAUUUAUUUGAAUAUAAAAAAUUUAUAAUUAAUAUAUAUUCAAAGGAUAAUAUUAUUUAAAUAAGCUUUUAUAAGCAAAUAUCUAAUAAUAAAAAGUAUAAAAUUAGAGCUAAUUGAAAAUGUAAUUGAUAUGGUAUCUAUUAACUCUCAACUCUUUUUUAAAGAGUUAUAAAAGCUUUUUGAAAGCAUAUCAACUAUUAGAUGGAUGAAAAAAUUAAAUCAAAUACCCUCACAAUUUUAUUCGUGGAGGUCUUUCAAACCAUUGAAAACCAUAGCACUUUUUUUUUUUUUUUCUAAGGCAACCGUAGCACUUAUUUGUUAGAUAAAUAAUUUUUGUGUUUUGCUGGUCGUGGUUGUUUGUUGCUUUUCGGCUUUCCUCUGUUGAAAGAGUUCUUUUAUUUGUUUUAUUCCCACCAACCCAUCUCUGCUAUCCCUCGAGCAUGGUUGGGUUUUGUGAUGGUUUCUUUUAGUUGUUUCUUCAUUUUUGCGAGUUUCUCGGAAGCUUUGGCAAGGGUCUUUUGAACCUGCUUAUUCGAGACAACUUGGAGUUGGCGUUCUAGGGAGGGUUUCAAAUCUAUGAUGCAGGUAUCUCGAGGACCAUACUAAUUCGUCCAGUGACUUUCACUCUCAUAAGCCGUCGAUCGAUCAUUGAGCUCUCUUGCGUCUCUUGUGCCGAUUCGGAGCUAUUUUGAUUGUUUUGUCCGGAGCCUUUCUUUCUCUUUGUGUGUUUGCUUUUAUUCUUUGAUUUUUUUUAGUUUAUUUAUCUGCUGCCUCUCUGUUUUCUGUUUUUUGGAUGGCUGUCGAUGUUCUUAAAAUGCUAUGUUUCCAAUGAGAUGGAUUUGUUGUCGAUGAGGCAUUGUUUGGGAGCUUGCAAAUUUGGUCCGAUUGGUACUAGGGUUUAUAUUUAACUUGUUUGAUAGAUUUUAGUUGUUUUCCUUUUGGUUUGAUUUGGUUUGUGAUUUUAUUUUUUUACCUUGAAUUAAGCUCUCUGUACUCUCUAUGGUUUAACUUACUGGACCAUGAAAAUACAAAUUCAGUUGCAUGUUCCAAAACAAAAAGGAAAUCUUCGUUGCCUUUUCAUAUUAUUGUUUUCUAAUCAUAUAAGAAUACCAAUUUUAGGGACCCUUACCCUCUAUAUGAGAAUAUAGACUUACAAUCAUUUGCAUGCAUGGAUCUCUUAAUACAGUUUGCCCACUCCAGAAUACCAGGUAUGCUAAGUUCACAAAGCAAAAUUUUCCAUUUAAUUGUACUUAAUGAUGUAAUUCAUAAGUUUCGAAAAUCAUUUAAUUAUUCUGUAUAAAUUUUGAUUUUGUCAUAUAUUUUCAUGGCUUCAUAAUUUUGCUGUCAAUGAUAAAUGUUUUCAUCAAUGAGUUUAUCAUCAUUAAUAUAUAUAUUUUUUCUUCAAAUGGAAAUUGAGUGUUUUUUUUUAAAUAAAAAUAGGAGACUGAGUAUAACCUUACACUCCUAAAUUUAUUGAAAUGUAUUUAAUACUGAACUAAAUAUGUGAGUGCCGUAUUUUUACUUCUUAUUAAUUACUUUUGAAUUUAUUGAUUAACAAAAUCAAAUAAAUUAUCUACCUUUUAAAAACACAAGUGAUUGAAUUAUCAAUUUUGAUAUAUUUGUAAGAGGUGAUUAAAUUAAUUUAUAAACUUUAAAAAUAAAUUAAUUUGUUUAUUUUAUGACAUUUUUAAAUUUAUAAGUUUAACGUGUAAUCUAAAAAUAGUAAGCAGUAUGAAUGAACUUAUUAUUUUAAUAUUUAUAAAUAUUAAUUUUUUUUGAACAUUAUAAAUAUUAAAUUUAUAAUCUAGUUUGAUAUAAUAUUUUAAUAUAUUGACUUUAUUUAAUUUUUAAAAUUCUACCACACAUUUUGUUUGAUAUUAUUUUUAAUAAAUUUAAUAAAUGUGUAGUUAUUUUUUUUUACUAACCAUGUAAAGUAUUUAUUAACUAUUUAAAAACAUUUUAAUAAAUAUAUAAUUAUUUAAAAUUUUAAAUAAUUACAAGCUAAUUUUUAUAAAUCUUUGUAAGCACUAAGCUAUUUUUUCAAGCUAUGCUAAACACCAUCCUAAUUGAGAGAUUAAGUCAUUUAUCUUUUCUCUAAUACUACUAGUAACACUAGUUAAACACUCAACCUUUAAAAAUUAAAGUAAUUUAUAGUAUAAUCCUUAAAAUUUAUCAAAAUAUAUAAUUUAAUUUUUAUUUUUUAAAUAGUAAAUAAUUUAGUUUUAAGUUUUUAUUUUAUUAAUAAAAUAAUUAUUUUAUUAAACUUAUUGUUAGUUAACUAAUUCAAAUUAAAGAGAUUAAAUUAUUAUAAAUAUUAAAAAUAAAAAUAUUAAUUUUUCAACAAAUUAUUUAAAUUAAAGAAAUUAAAUUAUUAUAAAAAGUGAAAUUAAAAUAUUAAAUUAUUAUAAUUUAAUAAUAAAUUUUAAUAAAGUGAAAUUUAAAGAUUAAAUUAUUAUAAUUUAAUAAUAAAUUUUAACAGAAUAAUUAUUUUAUAAAUAAAAUAUAAUCUUAAAAAUUAAAUUAUUUAUAUUAAAAUGAUAAAAAUCAUCUAUUCAAUUUUAAAGAUUACAUUAUAAAUUACCCUAAUAAAUUAUCUCGUCUCAUUCUGGCGCCCCUCAUCUGAAGUUGCGCCAUUUCUCAAAAAUUUCAAAACAUUUGGCGCCUAAAAAAAUCUGAUCCGGUUCUUUAGUAUAAGAUUACCUGAUAAAAACCCUGUAAUCGUUCUUGUAGCGACACUGACGAAGAUUUCAACAGAGAUCGGCGGAGAUGGAUAGCGACGAAGAGUUUCUGCCGUUCUCAGAGUCCGAAAAGCAGCCUUCUCCGGUCCCUGAAAGAAGGCUCAAACGUCUAAGAAAAGCUACUGAGAUAUUUCCCAAAGAUCCUAUCUCAAGUCCUUCUGAUGAUGCAGCUUCGAUUCACGACGAGAACACAUCCUUAUUUGGAAACCUAGACAGAGAAGAAAGGAACGAGAAAGAUCUUGAAUUCGAGGAACUAAAUAUGAGAUCUCUGUCUCCAUUUGAGGGUUUUAAAGAGGGGAAUGAUUUGGAUUCUGGCUUUGAUAGCUUGAACGUUGAGGAAGGUGGAUCUGGCUCUAAAAGAGCUUUGGAAUUUGAUUUUUUAGCUGAAGAAUUUGGUGGGGAAGGUGGGGAUCCAAUGGUUACAGAAGAAGAAGUGGAAGUUGAAGGAGAAUUUGGGGAAUUGGGGACGGAGGAGGGGGAGAACAAACGCCAGAAAUUGGAUGAAGAGAAGGAGAAAAAGAAGAAGAAAAGAGUCAAGAGCUCCACUGAUGGUUAUGACGAGCCAUAUUCAGCUGCAUCAACCAAAAGAAGGGGAGACAAGGUAUGUGUAUUUUCUUAUCUGUAAUAAAUUAGUGCUCCUUGUAUUUUUUUAUCGACUCAUAAUUUCUUGUGAUUAAACAGGAAAGAAGAGAUCAUCUAAAGGAACUACGUACUGAAUCUCAGAGAUUAUUGAGAGGUAGCUUCAGUUUUUCCCUCGAAUUUGAUUAUGAAUAGUUACAAUUUGCAUCUGUAUCCAUUAUUGACAUGACAUUUUUCUUUGUCUAGAAACUAGAAAUGCAUCAUUUAAACCUGUUCCUCUUGUUCAAAAGUCUGUAUCUUCCGUUUUGGAGAAGAUCCGGAAAAGAAAGCUUGAGCUUGCAAAAAAGUGAGUCUUCUAUUCGAUUUGUUUUUGAAUGAUUUAUUGUUGGUAUCAUCUAAACUAUUUAUAUCAUCUUUGCAAUUUUGUGGAUGACAGAUCUGUCAUCACAAACAGCAAUUCUUUUGUUGAUGGUAAUGAAAAUAUUUCAAGGGAGGUGUUGGAUUUCGAUUUUGAAAAUUCUGCUGUUAAGGAUGCAGAAGACCAUAAGGCUGCAGAAGCAGACCAUGAGGAAGCAACUACUCGUCCUGUUGAUGUGGAAAGCAGUUUAGGUGAUAGUGCACAAGGAUCUGUGGGGACUUCAAGUGACAUUCACAAAAAUGUAAUUUCUCAGAUGGUGAGUCAAAAGGGGUCGCAUUUCCCAAGUACACAAUGUAUAUCACAAUUAUCAAUUUCAAUGUGCAUGGUAAUGUUAACCUUCCGGUACAUAUAGAUAUAUUUUGCUUCAUCCUAACAUGCAUAACAUGAUGCACCCAUAAGUAUUGACGUUUUGGAGUUUGCUUGUAGGGGGGUUCUUCUAAUUUACUCCCCUAACCAGCGCAAUAAUUGAUACUGUUUGGUGAUAUUGUAGGAUAGCGUAGACUACCUACUUUCCCUUUCAUGUAGAUUGAGUAUGUUUGGAUACAAGGGGAAAUUUUGAGUCAUAAUCGCCCAGAAGUUGGGACAUUCCAUUUGAUCCUUUAUAUGACACUCAGACUAGGUUUCUGCUUUCAGUUACUUGUGCAACUUUAGGAAAGAUGAGGUGCAAAAUAACAUAAUAAUGGUGUCUUUCAAAUUGCAGGCUUCGGAUGAGGAUCUAAAACAAACUUUCCGACCUCCUGUUGAUGAUACUCAGGUUUUAUUUUGAACCUAAGUUUGAAAUUUGUCACUCUUCAGUCUAUUAUAAAUCAGUUAAUAAAUUCUAAUCAAUAUAUAUUUUUAUAGGAUAUUACUUUUGAUUCCCAAACAACUGAAUCUAAAGAUGAGCUGUCAGAUGAGAUGCCCAGCAGUCUGCUAGCAGAUGUUAUGACACCUUCUUUACUGGCAAUGAACUUAAAGUUUGAUUCUGCUCCUCUUGAUGACUCGUAAGUCCUCUAAACAUUUUCUUUUAUGUUUCAUUGUACAUUCAUUUUCGAUGAUUAAAAAUUCGUCUUAGGAAUAAAAUUACAGGUAUGUAGGUAAUAUUUUUUUUUCCUUCUCUAUUCUUGCAUUCUCUUACAAUCAGCUCCCAUUUUAUAUCUAUUAAAAACUGGCCAAGUUUUACAUUCAUAUGUUAUAUGAGCUUGUGCAUUUGUAUUUGCUUUUUAUUCAUAAUUGCUGCCAACAGGAACUACAUGGAGCCAAUUUCAGUUGUAUUAGCUAUGCUGAGCUCUAAUUAUUUUAUAGCUCAAUUUUAAAAAGGUGAAAUGCAUUACUCUUCUCUUUUGUAGUUCUUCUGAUGAAGAGGACAGUAACAAGGAGAACAUUGAUCCACGCCUACAAGGAUCAGCAGACUUACCUUCUUCUCCAAGAGGUGAUCCUGUGAAAGCUUUUGUUGAUGAAGAAGCUGAGGAAGAUGAUAGUGAUAAUGAGUUAUCUCUUUUACAAGAUAAUGAGGAGGAUGAGGAUGGCAUGGAUGCUGAGGAGAUUAAUGAUAUAAUAGCAACUGGAUAUGAAGAAAAGCCAAUUGAUAAUGAAAUGCGUAAUCAGCUUCAUCAGAAGUGGCUUGAGCAGCAGGAUGCUGCUGGAACAGAAAACCUUUUGCAGAGACUGAAAUGCAGUUCGAAACAGAAGGAAAUGAACUUGAUUGAAGAGAGAGAAGAUGAGGAGAGUGAAGAGGCUGAAGAAGAGUUUCUUGAUGAUCCUGCAGAGUAUCUUGUUCCAAGAAAUGCUGUACGAAUGAACUUGAAGAAAGCAAAAGAAAUGAUCCCUCAAAUGUUUACAGAUAAGGAUGAUAUAUAUGUUUCUUCUGAUGAUGAGGAAAUUGAAAAGAGUCUUGUUAAGCAGAGCUUCUCUCAUAAAGCUGUGAGUUAUUUUUUUCCCCUUUCAAAUUGUUAGAAUGAGUUAUCAGAAUUAUGAUAUUCAUCUGUGUUUGGUGAGGAUGUUACAAUGUUUUAUUUCUAGUCCACAGAUUCAUGAUAUUAUGGUUCUCUCUGAACUUUCUAUAAUUUAAGUGCAAGAUAGUGACUGAAAAUUGUGAUUGAAAACAGGAAGAGAAGGCUUCUUUCUUGUCACCUGCAGAGCGUGAAGGCUCCAAAGAAAUCUUUGGUCUUAUAAAGAAGUUGAAUGGUGUGCCAGACACUAGAAGGAAAGCCAAAAUGACAUGUAUGAUCUGUAGUAUGUUUCACAUUGCAGAAUCACAAGAAUGUGCUGCAUAUAUUGCCUCCAAACAAGUGAACUUUAUAUCUACGCUUAUGGCUUCUAAUACUUUUAUUCAUGCUAUUUCCAUUUUGCAGCCUAUUUUCAUAUGCUGUCCAUAGGAGGAAACAAGACUAUGUCAUCGAAGGUAAAUUAGUUUGCUUUAUCAGCUUUAUGGCUUUGAAUCUAUUAGUAGUUUCUUGGGUCAAAAGUAGUGUACUUAAUUUGUUCCCAUCACUCAUGCUUCAUGGAAGGAACACAUUAGAUUACUAGUAUCCAGUCUGCAUUCGCCCCAUUUAAUACUGAUGGUAUGAUAGAUGCCUGUGAUCUUGUCAUUUUAGUUCUUCAUAAUCCUUUCAGCUCAUUUGUAUUCCAAGCACCUACAAUAACAUAAAAAUUAAAUUUAAUGUUCAUAUGUAUCAUGUAUGAGCCUAUAUUUAUCAUAAGCUUCAAUACGUUGAGUUGAACACUGUUGAUGGAGCCUAUAUUUAUAUCACAUGUUGAAUACACUAUAACCUCCAUUUAGCAAAUGUUGCAGUCGUCGUUCAUGAGUCGGGGGUCAAGAAGUUCUCUCCCAGUAUUCCAGAAGCAUGGUUCAAGCACAGUUCGUUCUUUUGUCUUUGAAAGAGAUGACAGCAAUAGCAAGAGUGCAGUCUCAAUGUCGGAGGAUUCUUCAGAUUUGGUAAGCUCUGUUCCUAGAGGCUACAAAGCUUAUCUUAAAUGGAAGUUUCAGGGUUUGUUUUGCAUCGUGAAUAUUUGGUCUUUGUUUCCAUUUAUCUAUUCAGAUAUUAUCAUUUAAUAUUUGAGAAAAUUAUUAAUUAGUCUGUAUGGUAUAGAGAAAUUUGGUCUUUUGAUUUUGAAAAGUGUAUUAAAACGUUUUUUAUAUUUUAAAAAGUCUACUAGUUAUUUUUUCCGUUAGUCUCAACCGUUAAAUAUUAUAAAAAAAUUUAAAAUGCGUUUAAUAUAAAGAGACUAAUUAGUUAACUUUUUAAAAUUUAAACGACUAACUAAUAAAAUUUUUACUUAACGGUAAAAUUAAUGGAGGAGCUUAGUAGAUUUUUUAAAGUGUUAUGUUUUAAUGUAUUUUUUAAAAUUGAAGGACUAAUUAGUAAGUUUUUUUCAUACUAUAGGUAUUAAGUAGUAAUUUUUCCUUAAUAAGUGAAACAAAAUAAUAUUUCUUUGUAGACUCAAGUGUGUUAUGAAUGACAGUCGGAUCUAGUUCUACCAAAGUAAUUACUGUAUGAUUUUGUGAAUUUAAUUCAACAAUGCAAAAUUUUAGGACUACAUUUAUUAAUGUGGAAAAUCUGUUAUUGCUUAUUUAACUUGACACAAACUAUGCCUGGAACCCAUUUUAUAUGGGUUGGCUAUACGAAUAAGUGUUUCCUGCAUUCCACCUUGUUCAGUCCUACAUAUUUACCUAUGCUGAUGCUAAUUGGUUUGGCCCUAACUUGCAGGUUCAGAAAGAGAACAGGCCAAAGAAAACUGCAACAGCCAAGUUCAGUAACUCGCAAGUUAGAUCGAAUGCUCCAAACACACAAUCAACGGCAGAAAAGAAUUCUGGCCCUUCACUGCAUGAGAUAUUGAGGUGUCCGUCACUGCAAUCUAGCCAUUAUAGUCGGGGUAGCAUGGUUGGCCAAGUUGAAGCUAUAUAUGCUGCAUUUAAAUUGGAUCACAAUGUUGUAAAGAAAGAGCCUGGUGUAUCUAUAAGAACAGCCUAGGAUGUUAUGCACGUUCACUGGGUUGAUCCAAAAUGCUUUACUUGAUGUUCUUUUAAUUGAUGCAAUCUGUAAAGCUUUUGUUCAAUAUUUCGGAUGCUGACCAGCGAGGCCUCUGUUUCCAAAUGAAUUUUGCAAUAUUUAGACUGAUGUAUCUAUACUAUGGUGCUAUUAAUGGAUUUUAAGGUAAAAUUUUUGGUAAAAAACGUUAUAAGUUGUCCUCUUUGACUUUUGGCGGAAGCAGAGAGGGGCAACAGAGAAAAAAAGAAGCAAGUCAUGAACAGGAAGUUGCAUCUAGGAGGAAGACGACGUUGUUACACUUUGGACAUGGAUUUAAUACUAAAAUAUGAUGCUUUGGACAAUCUUGGGUUUAGUUUCGGAAAAAAAUUAUUAAAACUCAUUUAGUUAAUUUUUUUUUUAAGAAUAUAUUAAAAUGUUAUUAAAAUUUGUAAAAAAAUUACUAAUUAAUCUAUUUAUUAAUUUUAACAACUAAGUGUUAUAAAAAGUUUAAAAUAUUUCUAAUAAAAUAAUUAAUAGACUAAUAGUAGUAUUUUACUAGACUGAAGACUAACUAAGGAGUUUUAUUAUACUAUAAAAAUUAAUUAAUAAAACAAUUAAAAUCAACAUAAUGAUCAACUACUGAAGUUUUUAAAAUUUUAAAAAUAUUUUAAUAUAUUUUUUAAAAUUAAAGAUUAAUUAAUAUUUUUUCUAUAUAAUAUAUGUAUUAAAUAAUAAUUUUUCUUUAAUUAAAUAUUUUAUUUAUAUAAAAAAAUUAAAUUUUUUUAUUAUUUUAUAAUUUAAUCUAAAAUUUUAAAAAUUAAUAAAAUUGUUUAAAAUUAUAAAUUUUAUUGUAAUUAUAUCUAAAGUUAAAAUUUAAAUCAAGGAGAGUGUGUUUUGCACCUAUAGUACAUGAUAUGAAUUAUUUUGUCACAUAAAUAAAUGAUAUUGAUAUAAAAAUUUUAAAUUUUUUUUUAUUAUUUUGCAAUAUAGUCAAAAUUUUUAAAAAUUAAUAUAAUUUAUUUAAAAAAAAUUACCAUUCACCAAAAAGUUUAUUGCAUUUGGCUGUCAACAGUUACGGAUCUAGAAAUUUUAUUCGAUGGAUGGAUAUUAAUGAAUGAUGAAUAAAAAUAAAAUAAAUAUAUAUUUAAAAAAUUUAUAGAAUAUUAUAAUUAAAUUAAAAUUUAUCUAUUUUUUUAUUAAUUAAAAUAUAUUAAUAAUAAAUUUAUUCUUUUUAUGUUUACAAUUAUAUUUUUCUUGAUAAUCAAUCGAUGGCUCACUCAUUUCUCAUUUUAUUAUGAAAUUAAUUUUUAAUAAUAUUUAUUAUAGAAAAAAUUCUUAUAGCAUAUAAAUCUAUAAAAAGAUAAUACUUUAAUAAUAUUAGAGUAACAUAAUAAUUUAAUAUAAUAUUUAUUAUAAAAUUUAUUUUUUUUGAAAUAGUAUAAAAUUUAUUUUUUGAAAAAUUAAAUUAUCUAACCAUUAAUUAUAAAAACAAUAUUUUCAUUUCAUUUUUCCUCCAUUUAAAUAAUUUAACAUAUUAUCUAUAAAAAUAAUCAUUGAUUUAUAUUUAAAUAUUUUUAAAUUUAAUUAUUUAACUUAUUAUCUAUUAAAUUUAUAUUUUUAAAAUUAAAUUAUUUUUUAAAUUUAAAUAGUUUACAAAACUCAUUUAUUAAUAAAACAUUAUUCAUAAACACUUUUAUUUAUAAAAAUUUAAAAUUUAUUUCUUUAUAUUUAAAUAAUUUAAUAAAUAAUUUCAGUUAUAUAAAUAAAUUAGAAACUAAUUAAGUGAGAUAAUUACUUUUUAAUAAUAAAUAUAACGUAUAAAAUUAAAUUAUGCAAUGAAUGAAUUUUUUUAAAAAAAAAUUUAUAUAUUAGAGUUGAAAGAAAUUUUAAAGAUGAAAAAUAAUUUUUUUAAGUGGAAAAAAUAAAAAAUGAGAGAGAUAAAAUAAAAUAAAUAAUUAAAAUUAAAUGAACUAAAUAAUAUUAAAAGUGGAUAAAAAUUUAUUUAAUAAAAAAUAAAAAAAUUAAUUUUAUAAACUAUAAAAUAUUUUAACGGAGUAAUUUUAGAAUAAAAACUAAUUAAUAAUUUUUUUAUUAUACAUAAAAUUACAUAAAUACUCUUAUAAAAUUUUCAGGAGCUCAUGGCCCCUUGGCAUCUAACGUGGAUCUCUUAAGUUGCCACUCCUUCUCCAACGGCUACUGGUCUUCUCUUUCAAACCACGACUUCGCUUUCCUAUUUUGAUGCAUACGUUUGGCUUAAUUCCAAUCAAGUCUUAUAAGUUUAUGCCAAGAAGAGAAACUGGCAGCCUGACCUAUUUCUCAAGCCAACCAUAAUUGAAGAAGUAUCAAUUGACAAUGAAGACCAAGAAUAACAUCUCUUUUGACUUUGAUGACCUUGAAGAUAAUAAAUAUCAGGUACGGAAAUAGCACUUUUCUUUAAUUUAUUUUUUAAUAAUUUGAAUCUUAAAAUAAAUAAAUUAAGACAUAAGAUUUUUAUUUUUAGCUUUUAUGAAACAAAUCUAAAUAUUUUAUAUUUGUGCUCUAUUACGACAGUUAUCUGAUGUGUCAUAUGCAUGCUGAUUUAAAAAAAAAAAAAUUUAAUUUUAAAUUUAUCCACUUUGUUUUUAAAUAAAUUAUUUUGUAAGAAUAAAAUUUAAAUAUUUUUUUAAAGUUAUGUAUAAUUUUAAUUUAUUUCAAAUAAAAAAUUUAAAUUUUUUAAUUUAAAUUUUUAUUAAAAUAAAAAUAAUUAAAAAAAAAAUUAAAUUGAAUUCUUAUAAAUUUUUUUAAUUUAAAACAGAGAAUUUAGAGGUAUAAAUAAAAGUCAUCAUUUGAUUUCAUAUAUAUAUAUAUAUAUAUAUAUGAAAUGUUAUUGAAUUUGAUAUUUGCUAUCGCACCGUAUGGAUUACAUGAAAUUGAAUCUGAAAUUUCUUGAAUUUACUUACCAUCAGACUAAGUUUGUGAGUGCAUAAAUAUUAAACUUUUAACACUUUAAUUUUUUAAAUAUCUAGAAUGAGCAAACCGAUCACUGUAAUACUCAAUUUUUUAAAUAUAUAGUACAUCAAUGAUUUUAUAAAUAAAUUAAUAAAAAUAUGCAUUUAAAUAAAAAAAAUUCAAACUAAAUACACAAAUCAAUUAUUUUAAAUUUUAUAAAAUAAUUGCUUUUAAUAAUUUUUUAUAAAAAAUUAAAGGUUAUUUAUUUAUCUCUUUGCUAUUAAUUUAAUUUUUUUAUCAUGAAAUUAUAUUUUCAAGAUUUAAAUAAGAUAUAACUAGAAAAGAUUAGAAAUCCAAAUCGACUUAAAAUUCAAAAAAAAAAAAACAAAUCAAUAAAAAUCUAACCAAAAUCCAACCAAGCAUGAUCUCAUAAUACAAUAUCGCGCACAUCUCCAUAAAAAAUUAAAAUCGAAGCUCUCAAAACACAAGUCUUUUCGUCGGUAUUUAACUUAUUAAAACUAUCAUGACCAAAAAAAUAAAUAAUAAAAAUAAGAGUCAGCCUAUUAAUCUACGAUAAGAAAAAUAUAAAAUUUGAGACGGACAACAGCUCUAAAAAUAAAAUUCAUUUUUCCUCAACUUAAAAUUAAAAAAAAGAAAUUAGGAAAAGCAAAGAAACACAAACAAAAUAAAAACGUUUAGAACUAAAACAGUAACCAAACCCUAUAACAGAAGAAAUUCCUUUUCCCUUAUUUGUCUCCCUUUCCUUUCUUUUCUCUAGAUCAUAGAAAUUCCUCUCUUUUUUUUCUCUCUCUGCUAUUAAUUUAUCAUUCACAUUAAAAUUGUUGUUUGUAACUAAAGAGCGGGCGCUCCGACGGACAACAGUCAACCGGGAUAGAGUUCAAAUCUCCACGUAAAUAUCUCAAGAGAGAGAAAGAAAACUGUCACGUGUCAGUAAACUAAUGUAGAGAUCAUUAAUCAGUUGAUAAAAACAACCUCAGAGGAUCAUUUCCUCAUCUCACCGUAGAUGUGGUUUGCCCCACUGAGCAAUUUUCCAGGUUUUUGGGCUGAAAAAUCGAGUUUCUUGCCCUAACAUACGUUCACCGUACACACCCCUGUCAAGAACUUCAAAAAAAGAAAAACAAGACGCUUCUUUUUCUUCUGAUCCAAAAAUCCCUUGUUUUUCUUCCAUCAGAUUCGUCAAAUCUAACAUAGAUUCCAGCUAACUUCUCUGUAAUCUUUGGAUCCAAUCGCCAAAGAUCUGCAAUUUGAUGCCUUUCUAUACAAAGUAUAUGGCUACAACACAGUGACCCUAGCUUCUUCAAUGGCGAACACUCACAAAGGCAAGUAUCUUUCUUUUCUCUAUUUGCUUUUCAUUUUGGCUUCGAUUUCGGUAAACUUCUCUAGCUCAAUCGCAACCGUACUCGAUCACGAUGAACAUCACUCUCCUUAUCAUGAACCUGAGAAGCAGGAAGUUUUAUUGCAUAAACUUGAAGAAUUAGUGAGGAAUCUCAGUGAAGUAGUUGCUAGAUUAGAGACAAAAUUGUCGGAGUCUGCUAAAGUAGUGGUACCUUUAGAGGGUAGUCAGAAUCUUGAACAAGAUAGAGUUAAUCAGAUAAAAUCUGAUGGUAAAAGAUCUGUUGUUAAUGUCAAAGAAGAGGAUAUCGAGGGAAAAACUCGGGAUGGGGACACGGCGAGAGCGGUUUCAGUUACAAAGUAUAGUCCAAUUUGGUCAGAGAGGUUUCAGUUUGUGUCUGCUGUAAAAUUAGAUUCAGAUGCAACUUGUAUUAACGUUUUGCCAUUUCGAGAUUAUGAGGGUCUUAGUAAGUAUGUUGCUGUUGGGGAUGAUCAAGGCAGAGUUUAUGUGUUUUCAAGGAAUGGGGAUGUGUUGAUUGAUUUUCAGACACACAUUGAUUCGCCUGUUACAGCACUAGUAUCAUACUUGUCUGUUUAUAAGAAUGAGUGUAUUGUUGCGACAGGACAUCGGAAUGGUGUGGUUUUGGUGCACAAAGUUCAUGAAAGUCUGAAUGGAGAAGAAUGGGGAUCAUUGUCUAUGGAAAAUGUAGGCAAGUUUAUGCCCGACGAUCAUUUAGAAGGUUUAGCUGUAACUCUAUUGGAAGUGCAUCAUGUUGGGAGAUCGAGGUAUAUCUUGUCGUCGGAUGUUGGUGGGAAGAUUCGUGUUUUUAGAGAAAAUGGGACAGUUCAUGGUUCUGCUAUGCCCACAAGCAGGCCACUUGCAUUCUUGAAGCAAAGGCUUUUGUUCUUGACGGAGAGUGGUGCAGGGUCACUUGAUUUAAGGAGCAUGAAAGUCAGGGAAUCGGAAUGCGAAGGAUUGAAUCAUACUCUUGUUAGGAAUUAUGUUUUUGAUGCUACUGAACGGUCUAAAGCAUAUGGAUUUACAUCGGAGGGUGAUUUGAUUCAUGUAUUAUUGUUAGGAGAUGUAAUGAACUUCAAAUGCAGGGUUAGAUCCAAAAGAAAGUUUGACAUGGAUGAACCCAUUGCAAUGCAAGCUAUUAAGGGGUAUUUGCUUGUUGUCAACGAAGAGAAGAUUUUCGCCUAUAAUGUUUCGACUCAGCAUUAUGUUAGGGUUGGUGGACCUCGGCUUCUGUUUGCUGCUGGUUUGGAUGAGAUCAGAUCGUCAUUUCUAAAUUAUCAAGUGGUGGAUGAAACCAAUGGCAGGAGGUUAAUACCCUUAAUAGCCAGUGACCGUGAAAAACUCGUCGUUAUUGGCCUUGGAAGUGGGUAUGUGGGAAUGUACCGCUCUAAUCUUCCGGUAUUUAAAGGAGAAUUCAAUACAAUGCUAUGGACAAGUCCUGUGUUGUUCUUCAUACUCUUUCUAUUCGUAGCAUGGCACUUCUUUGCUAAGAAGAAGGAAGCACUCACAUCCUGGGGACCGGAUGAUCCUUUUAGCUCGACAUCUACCACAACUGGAGUGCCAUUAGGAUCAAGCACUGGGGAGAGAACAUUUGCCGAUUCUUCUUCGAGAAGAGAUGAACUUAUGGACUUAAGGGCUGGUGGUUUGAGAGGUCCGUCAAUGAGGUACGUUUCACCUUCACGAUAUCCUGCAGGAACAACCGGCUCCUUUAACACGGCCACUGCUGAUACCAACGCUAGACCUACUUCUGUUGAUCCUAAUUAUAGAGCAUCUUCUGAGCUAAAGUAUAGGGGUCCGGCUUUGGAAUCUAAAGUGUUUCCUAUCAGAAGGGAGAAUCUAUAUGCAAACAAUAAGGGUGUUGAUGAAAGCAGUUGAGUUGUUAAAUCAGUUCCUUCUAACUAGAGGUGCUGGAAUUCUUUUCUAGUUUUGUUAUCUUUGGACAAUUAGUUCAUUUGGUAUGAGGGAAGCCCGAUGUAUGAGCUUUCAAUGUUGUUAUCUUGAUUUUCUAGCUGCGUGAAGGAAAAUUAAUAAUGGUUAAUCUUGUUAUCAGGUGCAUUACAAUAGUUGCCACUUCCCAGAUUCACUUCAUCUGCAACCAAACGUUAUUCAAUAACUUUCUCUACCUCUUCUCAAAUAGAGAGUAUGUUACAGAAAUUAAAUAAUUAAUUUUCUUUAUAAUUUAGAAAAUAUUAUUUUCUUUAUAAUUUAGAAAUGAAAGAGAAAAAAAAAAUAUUUUUUUUAACUGAAAUUAUAGGUAAAUCUCGCUGUAGUUGUUUUUAUUAUCAUCGUUAUUAGCAACUAAUUUUCCCUUUGGUCUCAAACAAUGAGCUUUGCAAGAGAAAUAGAAAUUCAAACCUCUCCAUCAAAAUUACUUUUAAUCUAUCUAAAUAAAACUACAGUUUACAAAAAUGCUUCACAAAAAAAAAAAAACUACAAUUUACAAAACUAGGGUGAAAAAUAAUCUCACUCGUUUUAUGCAAGGAAAAUAAGAAUAUUGUUUUUUUUUUAAUUUUCUAAUUAUCUAAGCGAAAAAAGAAUCUAAAUGAUGAAAGAUAAAAAAAUUAUUUUCAUUAUUUUUUUCCUUUUCCAUAAUUUAUCUAAAUUAAUUAAUUAUAUAUAUAUAUAUAUAUUUUAAUGAUUCCCAGGCUUUUACACGUAGGAUAAGGCCGGGUCUAAAAAAAACAUAGGCAUAAAACCUAUUAGACCCUCUUUAGGCGGACCAAUCCAACAUCGCGAGCCCCAAUUCGAAUGCGUGGGUAGGCUGGGUCAAUCAUGAGUACGGACUCAACAGAAGGUAAUCUAGUCCGGUGAUAUGAUGUGAGGAAGAAUAGCUGGUUCAGUCAUUUCACAGUUUUAUCCGCAUGCACACUAAGGAGAAUUAAAUGGCCGAUUGGCGUGAGAGGAAUCUGACACCUCCAUACGUACGGAUCUAAGUGACAAAAAUAGGUGAUACUGUAAAAGAAAAGCGGUUAAACAGACGUGAUUAGUAAACAAAAAGAAAAAAAAUAAAAAGGAAGAACUUCUUUUUCUCUAACUAAUCUCACACAAUCACUUUAAAUCUUAUUUUCUAAAUAUCAGCAUAUCAUAUAUUAUAAAAAAAAUUAUAAUUUAUUAAAGAGUGUUUUAAAUAUUUAUAAAAAAAAUAUUAAAUAGAUACAGAAUUUUAAUUUUUCGUUAAUUAGCUGCUUCAAAUUUUUUAAUAGUUAAAUAUACUUUAUAAUUUAUUUUAUUAUUUAGUUCAAGCAUAAAAUUAUUUGCUUGUUAUUAAAUGAGUAAAAACAAGUUUAAUUGAAUAUUAAUUAUUUAAUUUUUUUAUAUUUACAAAUUAAUAUUUGAUUUGGGUUGUUAUUUGAAAAUUAAAUACAAGCCAAUCAAGUAAUUUUCCAUCACAUCUCUCAAAUGAGAUACUCUUUUUUUUCUUUCAAUUUCUGUUUUGCUCUUCCUUUUCCUUCUAUAGGUACACUAUAAUGUUUUUCUUUUCUUAUUUAUCUUUUAUGCUUAAUUUUAAUUAUAUAUACAAGUUGAAGAUCUCAAUUUUUAUGUAAAUUCUAAAGUUAAUCAACUUUUAUAUAUAUAUAUAUAUAUAUAUAUAUAUAUAUAUAUAUAAUAUUUUCUAUAUUGUGUUAUGGAUAUUUUUCAUAUGCUUUUAGUUCUGCUUUUAUUUUUUAAAAAUAACAAAUCAUAUAAUUAAUUAAAAUUUAAAAUUAUCAAUGAUGUCCUGAGAUGUAAAAGAAAGUAGGAUUUUUCUAUAUGUGAGUGAGGUUCACACCUUCUUCUUUUAUUUUUUUUUUUUUAUUUUCUAGUGACGUAUAACUACCAUCGUAGACAGUAUCACCUAUUGCUAUUAUACAGAACCUACAUACAGACAUAUUUCUUCGACGGCUAUUUAAUUUUCCUUCGGUGCUCGUGCUGAUAGGGUCAUGGUGUAGUUUAGGUCCUUUCCCCUACUGACCCAUCACAUCAGAUGAGCUGAAUUCCUCUUUAAUAAGUUCGAGCCCCAGUCAGCCCAGCCUAUUUAUUUGUGGACUGGAUUGUGUGCUAAUAAAUCAGUCUGCCUAGUAGGUUAUAAUGAAUUCUAGAUUUAACUCUCUUAUAAAGAUACUAGUAGUCCAGCGGUCAUUCAUCAAUAUCCUUUAUCUUGCCAUAUAUGCAGUAUAAUAGUUUAUAAUUUUUCAAUAUUUUUCUAUGUAAUUUCUACUUUGCUUCUAUGAGAAUUCCAUCCUUAUUAAAACAGUUACUUCGCGAUUCACAUUUGAAAAAAUUAUUAGAUUCAACUAUUAUACCGUGUAAAAUUACUUAGGCAAUGUAUCAUGUAAAUGUUGUAUUCCUCGUCUUGACAUUGUUAUGUUAAUCUCAUACUAUUAAAAUUAUGUUUCGAAUAAUUAACUGUUAUACUGUUUUAAUAUAUAGUUGAUAAUCAAUAUUUUUAUGUUUAUUAGAUUUGGAAUGAAGGAAAAAUUAAGAUAAAAAAGAGAAAAAAAAAAACAAAUAGAGCUCAUAACUUAUUUUCUUUUGAAAUUGAGAGAAAAAUAUUCAAAUUAAAAUUUUAUCUUUCAAAAGUUCUAUUUUAUUUGGAAAUAAAAAAUAAAAAAUUAUUAUCUAAAAAAUUAGUCUACAACCUAUGUUCCUUUUCUUAUUUACCAACCUUUUUUCUCAUAACUUCUCAAGGUAGAAAACACUCUUUUGGAGAGGGAAUUACAUGCUCCUUUUUUUUCAAUGUACUUCAAAUUUUGCUAUGGAGCCUCCUCUGCUCGAUUUAUGAGUUUUACCUUCCCAUCAUUAAGGAAACAUUUGCAAAUUGGUAUAAUCUAGUAGCCCUUCGGUGUAUGACGAGGAAUAAGGUAAACUGAUGGCAUUAGCCUAUCCACUUAUUGUUUGAUUGCCGACUCUCAGCCUGCCUUUGUUUGGAUAAGUUUAUAGGGAGGAAGGAAAAUAAAGAGUGGAAAUUAAGAAAGUAAAAUAAAAGAAGGAAGGAAAAUAAGCAGAGAAAGUAAAUUUUUAAAUAGAAAAAUAACUAUUUCACCCUUUAUGAUUAUAAUAAAAAUAAAUAAUUAUAAGGAUAAAAAAGUAAUUAUAUUCAUUUUUCACCUAUUUUCUCUCUAAAUUAGAGAAAGUGAAUAGUAACUUUAAUUUAUUGUUUUUACCUUUAUAUUUCUUAUUCACAUAUGAUACAGAUUCAAUAAGACAAAUUUCAAAAAAUGGUGUAAAGCAAACACAUAUCAUUAUAAUGGGUCUAAAAGGAGUUCAAAUCAUAUGAUCCAAAUAGAAUUUAUCUCACUUUGACUCUGAUACUAAUUGAUGCGAAAUUCAUGACCAACUCGUGAUAAAAAACUCCGAACACAUAACUUGACAAAGAACGAGACUAAGAUAUAUUCCGAUAGUUGCUAUACCACACUCCUAAUCAACUAAUGUGAUUAGAAAUAAAAAUUAUACACCAAUGAUCGAAGGAUUUAGAUAAAAUAUGGCAAACGCCACAAAGAAUAGUUAAUAAGUUGGCCAAUAUUCUUGGUGCAAUUGAUGAAAUCAGUUCCUCGCUCUCACUCAAAACAAUACACGUCAAAUGCAUGAAGAAGAAUUCUAAAAGUUUUGAUUUAAGAGUUUCCUCUUAUAAGUGUCCUUAUCCUUAUAUAGUAAGGAGAAAAUUAAAAAUCUAAGAUAUUCUUCUUAAACUUGGCCGAACCACACAUAAGAUCCAAACCCACUAAAAUGACAUAUGAAACUCAUAAGUAUUAAAACAUAAACCCAAAACAUGACCCAACACUCUAAAACUUAAAAAAUAAAAUAUGGAUAGAAUACAAGCUCAAACAAAACCAAAAUAAAGCAAGUGUUUAAAUAAUAAAACAUAGCUAGACCAUCACGAUAAAACUGAAUUUUCACAAAAACCUUUUUUAAUCUUCACUUUAGGCUUCUUUUUGUAUAGUUUUGGCCCAUAGGCUUAAUUAGACUCUCUAAGCCUAUAAUUGCAAGUGUUGCACCAAAUCUACUCCAUAUGAAUUGAAGGAUGCCCCAAAUUUAUUUGAAUCAUAUGAAUAUAAUUUUGAACUCCUUUUAGACCCAUAUGAAUGAUAUGAGUUUGCUCCAUACUAUUUUUGAAAAUUUAUCCUAUUGGAUCCAUAUUAUUCCCUUAUUCUUUAGAAAAGAUUCGUCCUAAAAUCUUGCUCAUGUUCAUGUCAGGAAGAAAAGUUUUAGGAACUAAUGCAUCUUUAAAAACCUCUUCUUGAAUAUGUGAAAAUAGUAAAAAACUUUCGUCAUGGAUGUUUUCAUCAAUAACCUGCACAUCAAGAAUAAAUGAACUAGGCAUAAUAAUGUUAGUCAUAGAAAGAUUCUAUAGAUGUGACUCAUUCUCCUCUACAGCUUCUAAAACAUCUCCAUUCGCCUCCACCUCAUCAAUCACGUCCUCUCCAUGUCCACCAUCAUUCACAACCUCUUCGAUAAGCUCAUUUAUGGAAUUUUCAAUAGCAAAUACAUUAACUUUAUGCAUUACAACUUCCUCUUCAAUUUCAAUCUCUAUGGAAGUUGAGAUUAAAACUUUAGCCUCUUCUUUCUUCUUUUCUUUCUCCGUCUUUCUUUUUUGCACUAGUCUUGCCAACCUGUUGUCCAAAUCUCUAUAAUAGUGUGAAGGGAUGAAUCUCUGGCGCAUCAACUCUUCAUCUCGGACUUGAGCCCUAUUGGAAUUAAGAGUUCUUUAAGGCAUUCUUGUAGAAGUGGAAGACUAUGAGACUUUCAAACUCUCUAUAGUUUCGGUCAACCUCUCAAGAGUCCUAUAGAGCCUUCUAAACUUACCACCAACUAACCUUUUGAAGAGUUUAUAAUCACUAACCAUGUCCAGUUCACUUUCAUCAUCACUAUCCACCACAUUAUUGUCUUUACUUAUCCUACCUUAAAUCAAUAAAGAACAAAGAGAACUAGCAAAUAUGGUGUUAGAAAUAAAAGCACUUAAGUGUUUGCAACCUUACCACUCUUUUGCUGAUUCUUCAAUUGCACUUCAGAAACUAAGGUCAACGCACCAACGAUAAGGUGCGUUUAAAGAAACAAAUAAGAAAACCUAAAGAAAGAAGGAAGCAUGCAAAAAUUAAAAAGAAGACACUGAAAACUUGGAAAGACAGAUUUGGUACAACACUUGCAAUCAUAGGUUUAGGGAGCCUAAUCAAGCUUAUGGGUCAAAACUAUACAAAGUGAAGCCUAAAGUGAAGAUUAAUAAAGAGUUUUGUAAAGAUUCAAUUUUGUCAUGAUGGGCUAACUAUAUUUUAUUAUUUAAACACUUGUUUUAUUUUAAUUUUGUUUUGACUUGUAUUCUGGUCAUAUUUUAUCUUUUAAGUUUUAGCGUGUUGGGUCAUGUUUUGAACUUAUGCUUUAAUACUUAUGAGUUUCAUGUGUUAUUUUAGUAUAUGAUUGGACUUGGGCCUUGUGUGUGGUUCGAUCAAGUUUAAGAAGAGUGUUUUAGGAUUUUAAUUUUCUCCUUACUAUAUAAGGAUAAAGAAUACUUAUAAGAGUAAACUUUUAAAUCAAAAUUUUCAGAAUUCUUUUUUAUGCCUUUGGUGUGUGUUGCUUUAAGUGAGAGCGACAAUUUGUUUUCAUCAAUUGCACCAAUAAUCUUGGCUAACUUAUCAACUAUUCAUUGUGUCAUUUGUCGGAUUUUUAUCUAAAUUCUUCGAUCAUUAGUGUUUCAGCUUCUCUAAGUGUAGGGUGCCAUAAGAUGUGUGUUUAUCAAAUUUUUUGAUUUUAUAUCUGUUUAUACGUAUGGAUUUGAGACUUGUGUCAUAGAAUUCUACGUUACCAUAUUUUUUCUUCAAUCCAAACAAAAUAGGGGGAAAAAUAUUUUUAUUUUUCUUUUCCUCUUAUUUUACUCUCAUCCAAACAUAGCAUUAAGGUUGAGUAUGACCUUUAAAGAUAAAAAUAUAUAAAGUACCAACAGAACCCAAAUUCGAAUCUAUUUAAUUAAAUAUAUUCUAAUGGUAUUAUUAUUACUGAAAAAAAAUCCACACCCAUUCAAUUUUAUAAAUUUUAAUUUAAUAAUUUAUACAAAAUAUAUUAAGUAGAGUUUUGUUCAAAUCGAAAUAACCCAUUGAAUAAAAUCAAAUUAAAAUUUUAGUUUGAUUUAUUAAAAAAUUCGGUUCGAUUCGAUUUUAUAUUUUUAAAAAAUUCAUUAAAUUAGUUUGGUGUGAUUUUAAAAAUUAAAAAUCAAAUUAAUGGAACCAAAGUGAAUAUGUAUAAUUUAAAUUGACAAUUUGCAAUUAUUAAGCAUGUGGCUUAGCGAUAGUACAAUAUUUAUGACCUUUGAAGAUCUUGUAUUUAAUCUGCAGGUAUGUAUUCUCCCUUUUCCUUCUUCAAUUUUUUUUUUUUUUAUUUUAAGUUUUUGUUUAAUGUGAAUCAAAUUUUAGCCAUCUAUUUUAAUUGAGAAAAUUUGUGCUAUUGAAAAUGAUACUAUAAAUUCAAAACUUUAAGGUAUCAAACCCUAUCUUCUUUGUCUUACUUUUCUCUCAUUCAACUGUUCUUUUUUUUAUUUUCUUUUUUAUUACUAUUGAACACAUAACCGAUUGUUGAUUUCCAAAUCUCGACUCUUACAAUUUCGCUCUCUCUUUUAUUGCUUAUUCUCAUUUGCACUCAUAUCGAUAUCCCUCUCUCUCGCUCAUAGUUAUCGCUCUCUCUCACUAGUUUCAUUCAGCUCUAGUGGUCUCAUUUGAAGACUAUCUACUUUUAAAGGUUCUUACUAAGCUCUCGUUCUCCUAUUCACUUUGAGUUAUGUCUCUAUUCUUGAGUGUUUGAAAUUUUCAAAUAAUCAAGAUUCUUGAAUUGUGUUUUGUGAUUUAUGAAUGUGAGUCACUGUUGGAUUUGUAAUUUCUUUAAUUGUGGAUGUGAUUUGUAAUUAUAUUUUGUAAUUUUUUAGAUUUUUAUGAGAUUAUAACAAAAAUAACAAAUCUUGUAUUUUUUGUUUGUAAAUUAGAUUUUGCAAAUUCUUGAUUUAUUUUGUUGCUAAUGUUAUUUUAUUUUUUUUAAAAAAAUUGUAAAAGAAUAUAUGUGAACCUGUAUAUAUAUAUUUAAUCAGUAAAAAAAAAAGGAAUAACUGAAUAAAUGGAACUAAAAUUUUUUAUUCAUUUUUAUUUAAUUAUUACAUUUAAUUGAACAGAUUUAAUUUUAUAAUUUUAAUAAAUUUAGCUUUUAAUUUUUUUAAUUUAAUUUAAUUUUAGACCGACGAACCAAAUAUUCACCUGUGUUUUUUAUAUAAAAUCUAAAAAUCAAUCUCAUCUCCACUCAAAUAUUAUUUUUGAAAUUUAAAUCCCUCUCCAACUCAAUAUACCAUUUGAAUAUAUAUUAAAUAAUUCUAUGGAGUUGAAUAUCGCAAAACCCGACCCACAGCCAUUCCAACGGCUAACUGCUGAUGGUGGCUGGCUGCUACCACCGUGGAAUAUAACCAGUCAAAUGGCUUCGUUCAAAAGUUGAAAAUUUCUAAUCAGUCGCUUUCGGUGGUGCAGAGCGUGCAGAUUUUUAAAAAGGAAAAAAAAAAAAAAAAAAUCAAAGCACCACAUAGAAAAAUGAAAGCUACUGCUAACUUCAUACAAAAGUCAAACUUUGCUAAUUAAUUAUUUAUAAAUCGUAAAUAAAUAUUAAUCUAUAAUUUAUUAAAAUUAAUUUAUUUCAUUCAUCUUUUUAUGAAAUUUAUUAAUUAACACCAUUCAUCUAUUUAAUUCCUUAUGUAAACUAUAAAAACUGAAUAGUGUUAAUUAUAAAAUUAUAAGAACUGUAAUUUUAAAAUUAAAUUUAAAAUUAUAAAAAAUCAAAUAAUUAUAGUGAUUGAUUAAGAAUAAACAUAAUAAGAAUAAAUGUAUUUUAAUAAUUUCUCAAGAGUAUAUUAUCAACUGUGCUUUUAUCUGUUUAUUUAGGAAUGAUAAUUUAAAGUGAAUUUAGAUUAAAUUUAAUAUUUUUAUUUAUAUUAUUUUUCAGACAUAAAUUUAACCUAAUAAAAAAAUUAUAAUCGGCCCUCAUAAAUUUAAUUUGAUAAUAAGUAUAUUUAGUAAAUCUGAGAUUUUAGAAUUUAAUUUCUAUCUUUUAAUUCCAUUUUAAAAAAAAAAUAUAAUCAAUUGAGUACAAUAAUAAAUUUUAAUAGUUAAAAAUUUAAUUUAUUUUUAAAUAAUAUAAUUUUGGGUUUAAAAUUAUAUCGUCGUAUGUUAUAUUUUAUAUAAUUUAUUUAAUAUUAUUUAAACAUAUUUAGUUUUUUAAUAAUAAUUAGAUAAUAAAUUUAAAUUAAAAAAUAAAAUUUAAUAUUUUUAAUUAUAAUUUAAUUUUUAUGUUAGGGAAAAUUCAAUAGUUUUUUUAGUUUUUAAAAAUAUAUUAAAAUUUUUAUUUUUUAAAAUAUGAGAGAUGAAUUAAUAAAUUUUUAAAAUAAUAAAAAUUAUAUAAUAAAAUAUUUAAGAAUGAAAAUUAAAAUAAAGAUUAAUUAAUAAAUUUCUAAAAUAUUAAAAAUAUUUUAAUAUGUUUUUUAAAAUUAGAUAUCAACUCAUGAAUUUUUAGUAGUAAUUUUCACAUAAGGGGAUAUUCUGAGUGUUGUUUUUAUCGAACUUCUUCGCAUACCAACUUAGCUUAUUCUCAACUAACCACUGCAGAAACUCAUUCUUCUAACAAAGAGCCAAAGAACUCUUUAACGGCUGCCAGAUAUCGUUUCGUUUCGCUUCUCAAUUCCCUUUUAUCUUUCCUUUUUCGGCCCUUUCUUGCUAUUUUCAACUAAUUUCCGUCAUGGAUGAAACCGGUGGAAAAUUCUCUUCGCCGCCUGAUAUUCCGUCCGGUUUGAAUCGGAUUAAGACUCGCCCAGUCCCUUCCAAGGACCAGCUCAGUUCAAAAUCCGAUGACUUGACUAAGUCCAAUACUUAUGUAGCUUCUAGGCCUCCUGUGAAAGGGAAGCAGAGGCAGAAGCAGAAGCAGAAGAGCAUAUUUCAGGGACGUGCAAAAGUUAAUUCUUCCAGAGGAGGUUCGGUUUCUGUUUAACUUUGCUUUGCCGUUUAUUUUGUUUUAUUUAGAUCCUCUUUUUCUGUUGUGGCAUUUGCUAAUUUAUUCCCGUGAUUUUUGCUGAUAAUAUUUUUAUUUUUAGCAUAUCGAGAUAGCAGUCAGGAUAGAAUCGAUUUUGAAAAUCUAGUUUUUUUUUCUUGCUUUUAGAAAGUUUGUUCUGUUAAACCGUUCGACAAGGGUUUUAACCUGUGAGAUAAUGAAAAUAGAAAUCUAUUUGGUGGACUGUGUAAAAGUAAUUGCUGAAGAAGAGUUUUUAUAAAGGGAGAGAGUUAACAAAAUUUUAAGUUGCACCAGGAUUUUCAGGAUUAAUUAAUUUAGCCAUUUGAUCCUUUGUUUCUGUAAAGGGAUUUCGUGUAUCUACUCAACAUUUAAAGCUUUUCUUCAUCCAGAAUCUGGUUUGUAAGCAUCAAACUUGGGAAACGUUAUAUUAAAACGAAACCUGCGCCAAAGACUUUUGGGUCAAAGAGUCUGUCAUUAUUAUUGAAGUGGGCAGAAGCAGUGAAUUGCUUGUGGGAGUUUUCUAGUAGUUAAGUUGUAUGCUAUCCAUUGGUCUAUAAUCUGAAUCCUGUGCUCUGAAAUUUUGGAUUGGCAUGCCAUUUGGUGACAGGAUAGUAUGAUUAUGCAACCAUCAGUUCAUGAAAAUAAAUGAUGUGAACCCACAUCAGGAAAAAAUGGGGAGGAAACAUUAAAGGCAUUGGUGGAAACUGUUGCCAUGGAUAUGUGGUCACCAGCUAAAAACUUGUAAGGGUAUUGGUGCAAAAUCUUUUGCCUGUACUGGUUUAGAGAAUUGCAUUUAUAGACCACAUGGGCAUGUGCUUGUUUUAAUGGUUAAGUAUAUUAAGAAGUUAUGUUAAGGUCAUCCAUUGUCAAAAAUGGAAGUGAUGGCACUUGGCUAUGACAAAAUUGAAAUCGUUUAAGAAAGCUAUCAUAUGGUUAAGUUUUUAUUCUGCAAGAUAUGAUUCCGCAUCAAGAUACCUUGGCAUUUUGAUGAUUGAUUAUAACAGUUAGUCAUAACAUAGAUGUUUAUAGCUUCAAAAAUUAAGAAAUGCAAACUUAAGCUUGAACUGAAAUCUUGUCUUACUUUUUUUUUUGUGAAUUUAUUUUCUGAAUUAUAGAGGUUUAGUAGUGUGAUUCUACUAAAUAAUUGAAGAAUUUAUAUAGGAAAGAACAAUGAUGUGGCUUCUUUUUGGCCUCUAUUAUUUACAAAAUAUGGAUAUUUCCUUUGGGAAGUUGGUGAUUGGAACUAUCAUUCCCUCUUUUGUUCCUUUAGGAGUUAAUUCUUAGGGAUUAUCUCUCAUUCUGUUUUAUGAGACGUUUGGUUUCUAAAGUUCUUUUUCCUCCUCUUGGGAUCUCAUAGUUAUAAUUCGAGGGUUUUUCAAUUUGUAGGCAAAUAAUGAAAUUGUUGCUAUAUGUUGUUUCUGCUAUAAUGGGACCAUUUGGUGAGGAUUACACUCCAAGUUUUAGUUAAUUAAAGUGUGAUAUUGCAAGCAUGCCAUUUUGAAAAUAAACUAUCUUAUCUGUGUUUUUCUUGUCUUUUGAUGGGUAAUUUAUAUUUAUAUAAUAAAAUGAAUAGAUAAUUGAUGCAUUUUGCUUUCACAUUUGUAGAAGAACUCUAUAAAGGAAAGAAGAUAACUCGAUGGUUCUCAUCAUAUUUUUCCAAGGAUGCUGGCCAAGUUAUGAGUGAUGUUUCUACGAAUAUUGAGGUGAGGUUUGCUUAAUCAUGCUCUGGAGACACGUUUUUAGUUACUCUGAUGUGUGAACAUAUUUUGUACUGCACCAAAUAGUAUUAAAUAAGCCAUGCUACUACUUUGACAGGAGAGUAGCUUAGAAGCUAAGACACUUGACAAAAAGGAACAAGCAGGAAGCAAAAUUUCCAAUGGGGGGAAUUAUCAAAAUGGAAAACAAUCUUCUUUGGAGAGUUUAAGCCGGAGUAAAAUGACAAAGGGAUUAAAAAGUUUUUCACAUGAAUUGGGAACAAAAGGCAGCAUUACACCUGUCUUCCCUCGGGCUCAUAGCUACAGUGAUUUGGAGGUACUCUUUAAUAAUUUGCUCAAGAAAAUUUUGAUUUUGAAUUGUGCCUUUUCAUUUUCAUAGGCAAUAGUUAACAGGACCAACAAAAUGAGUAUGAUUGUCCUUUUUAUUGGUGAGUCUACUUUCUUAUUGGUCCAUACAUUUCUUAGUCCUCCACUCUAGUCUGGUGUUCAUUGGAUACUAACCUCCUGCUUUCAGUGGUUUAUGUACAAUUGAUGGCAUAUAGUUUUAUAAGUUGUAUUCUAACUUAUAGUUUAGAGGGAGGCCAAUUAUUUUGCAGCUGAUCCUAUUGGUGUAACAUAGACUAAAUGAAUACUCAUUGAUAAGACUUCUGAUACCUUAUAGCAUGAGAUAUGCAAAUUGCCAAAUCUUUUGGCAUCUAUUUGCACAGAAGAAAAAUAAUUUACACUUUAUCAAACUUCAUGAUGUAAGAAAAACUUAUUAUCAUUUGCUUUUUCUUUUUGUUUCCUUGAGUUGCCAUUAGGAAAUUCUUGGUUCAUUGCAUUCAAGAUUUGAUGCUGCUAAAGAAGUGGUGAAUGUAGAACUGGCUAGUUUUGCAGGGGAAGUCGUGGAUGUCCUUGAGAAAAUUGACUCUUCAUUGCAAGAAGACUUGAAAAUGGGAGAAGAUCUUCUAACUCUGGCUCAAUUAUGCAUGGAGAUGAACUGUGCUCAGUUUCGCAUCAAGUGUGAAAUAAUUGUUCAAGAUCUGACUAAGAAAAGACAACAGUGUCAAACAGGACUACUGAAGUGGCUAUUUACUCGUAUGCUUUUCAUAUUGACACGCUGCACUAGACUUUUGCAGUUUCAGAAGGACACUGAACCUAUUGAUGAGAAAUCACUUCAUAAGUUCAAAAAAUGUCUAGAAAGUGUUCCUUCUGUUGAAAUGAGUUGGGCUGCCAAUCAUGGGAUUGGUGAUUCUGAUAUUGGUUGUGCUCUAAAUCAGAAAGGUGACAUCAAACAAAAGUUGCUGGGACAGAAUAAUUUAUCUUCUCUUCCUGAGGCAAUGUGCUGUGGUUCUCAAGAGCUGGAUGAUUUGAGUGGCAUAACUUCCAGAAAGGACUCUCUGGAACAAAAGUUGCCAUCUCUAAAUUCCAACAAGGAUACCCUUUCACAACUUCAACAAUUUUCUGAAACUGAUAAAAGUUCCUUGAGGAAUUCAUUAAAUAAUUCCAGUCGUUCGCUUCAUGGUCAGGGACAAUUGUUAGAUGACUCUCUUCAUGAACAGGAGCAAAUUUUAGAUGGAUCUGAUUCAGUGAUCUGUAGGAUUUGUGAAGAAAUUGUGCCUAUUUCUCAUCUAGAAUCUCAUUCUUAUAUAUGUGCAUAUGCAGAUAAGUGUGACUUAAAUUGUCUAGAUGUAGAUGAACGCCUUUCAAACCUUGCAGAGAUAUUGGAACAGAUUGUAGAGUCACGUAAUUUGAAUGUUCAUCCAUCAUACAGCCCUGAAAAUUCAAAAGCACAAACUGUAAAUGCUGUUACAGCUGAAGUUUGCUCUCCCAAGAUAAGUGAAUGGCGAAAUAAAGGUGUUGAAGGAAUGUUUGAAGAUAUACAUGAGAUGGAUACUGCCUUUAUAGAUGAUUCUCAUCUACUCCCUGCUAACUUAAAAGGUCAUUUUGGUAUAAAGUUAUGCAAUUAUGGAGCAACCUCCUCAACUGGAAGCAUGACAUCAGUUUCCUCCACUACAACCCCCAGAGCUGGCCAUUUUGAUUCCUUCUGGUUAGAACAUAAUAAUCCUUCAGAGUCGGAGGACAUCCAACAGGUUAGUAAUUUCUGUGAUGGAUCUUUAUUUUCUGAACAUCCAGUGUUUUAUACUGGUACUUUUCCCCUUCUUAUUGCAGUAAAACUUAAAACAAUGAAAUUAUGAUAGAAAAUUUUCAUAAUCUAUUUCAGCAGCUAUAUUAUACAUUGGAAUGACCUUUACAUUCAUUUGGGAGUUUUCUAGUGCCUUGCUGACAAUAUGUUGAUGCAACUGCACAAGCUAGCUGUGCCCUUUUUUUUUUUCUUUUUUUUUUUUUCUGGUGAGAUGAGAUGGUGUAGAAGUACUUGAAUCACCUUGAGGUUGGGUAAAAUCCUAGCCAACCUAAAGUUCUACCUAGAGCUAGGAGCAACUGAAUUUCGUACAUAACAAAUUCAAAGCUAUUGUUUAGGACUUCUACCAUCUCCAAUAUUUUCCUAAGAGUGUUAAUUAACCUUUGACCAAGCUGCUGUUACAUAAAUUUGUCUAUAGCAGGAAUGUGAAAUUAUUGCUUAGAAGUAGAUUUACUGUGGGUUUAUUACUUGUCUCUCCACUAUUAUAGAUUCCUCUCAAUUGGUAGCCAUUCAGGCUUAUCAUUGCCAUUCUGGAUCCAGUAAUAUAUGUUAUUAUGGUAGAACUUCAUCUUUGCAUCUCUCCUAAAUUAUUUACUUUUUACACAUAGCUUUUAAUAAUAUUAUGAUGUUGAAUAUGGAGCUUUUCUUUUUCCUGAACAGAUGAUUGACCUUGCAGACAUAGCCCGCUGUGUAGCUGGCACAGAUCUCUCAAAGGAAGGGUCAUAUGAAUUUUUGCUUGCUUGUAUGCAAGAUCUACAGGAUGUUUUACAGAAUAGCAAGCUCAGAGCUCUUGUAAUAGACACUUUUGGGGGUCGGAUAGAGAAACUUCUGCGGUAAAUUCAUUUUUAAAAGUUCCUGUACAAAACAACUAGCCAAAUCCUUGAAUUUUUUUUAUCUCCUCUUUCGGUAUUUUAUCUGCAGGGAAAAAUAUAUACUUGCUUGUGACGUAAUGGAUACUAAAACUCCUACAAGUGAUGGAAAACUUAAGGAAAAUUCUAGACUUCUAUUCGAUAAUGCUUCUCAAAGUAGUCCAAUGUCAACUCCUGUACAUUCAUCACAUAAAGAGAGGACAAGCAUUGAUGAUUUUGAAAUCAUCAAACCAAUAAGUAGAGGUGCCUUUGGGAAAGUCUUUCUUGCACGCAAACGGAUAACAGGAGAUUUAUUUGCAAUUAAGGUAAAUAAUCAUCUCGCCAAUUUGCAGCUUAGUAAAACAAAACUAAAUAUUAAACGUUCUGGAUUUGGAUUUUCUCUAUUAAUACCCGUAAUCACUCCAAGUGUUCCUAAAUAUUUGCAAGAAGCAUGGCUAUAUUGACAGCUUUAGAUGGAAGAGGAGAAGUACAGGUAGUUAUAUCACAAAUGCAUAUUAGCUAAAUGUGGGACUGAUCUAAGUAUUUUAAGAUGCUAGGUCAUUUCUUAGAGUUAUUAUUUAAUAAUUAUAGCAGCAAGUUCAGCUUGAAGGUCCUAAGAGUGGUGGGAUUGCAGCAAGUCGGUUAGGUUAUGUAGAAAUUGUAUUUGCUAUCUGUUAAUCAAGCUUAGGUCUAUGUCUCGUAAAUGUGAACUUGAUGUUUGCAUUUUAAAAUUUUAUUCAUAUUUCUACAAGUUUAAACGAGUUAUCAGUUUUCAGCUAAAUAAUUCUUAAGCUGAGCAACUUGAUUCUUUUUGUGGCCUUAAUAGUUUCUAAAGAAGGUUAUUAUGCCUAUGAUCAUGAAGUUUCCUUGAUUUUUUUGUUCACCUGUGGUGAGUAUUGUGUGUGUGAGACGUGUAUUGAUAUCCAUCUAUAAAUAACAAAUGUUGGUCUUAUUUUCAUCCUUUUUUUUUUCACUGGCAUCAAGGAUCUGGAUUAAAAUUUUAAUGCCACUGGACACUCAUAGCCAUUUUUGUGAGAAUAAACAAGGAAUAGUAAAAGUAAAAUAGGAAAAAUUAAGGGAUAGCCAGGGAAAUCAUUACUCUCCAGAAAAGAGACCUGUUAUCUGAUUAUUUUUUGAACUUAUUUCUUUGAUUCAGUUUUGUUCUAGUGGAAGUACAUGCAGUUAAUUUUUUGCUUUUCUUUCCUGUUAUUCAACAGGGAAAUAACUGUUUGUAUAUAUUACUAAUACAAUGCUAUCUUUUGCUUAUGUAGGUUCUCAAGAAACUGGACAUGCUGUGCAAGAAUGAUGUUCAGCGCAUAUUAGCAGAGCGUAACAUCCUAAUAACAGUUCGAAACCCAUUUGUGGUAAUAUUCAAAUUUAGUUUGCUUUGGACUAUGAGAUAAUAUGAUUUAAGCACAAUAUGUAAAAACACACAUCUUCAAUAUUAUAUAUUAUAUAUUAGAUAUAUAUAUAUAUAUACCUAUACCGGCUAUAUUCAUGACAAAUUUGUCUAGCAUUUGCUUGAGCCUCCAAUUCUUGCAUUUAUUGACCAUUAUAUUUCUCCUUGAAUUAGCAUUUCAUUUUUUAGUGGCCCUUUGAAAUGAUGGCUGAUGUUUUCUUACCAGAAAUUUGAAGCUAUGAAUUUGAAUAAUUGGAUACAAAUUGUGGUCUUUUCAUUACAGGUUCGAUUUUUUUAUUCGUUCACCUGUAGAGAUAACCUCUAUUUGGUUAUGGAAUAUCUCAAUGGAGGUGAUCUAUUUUCUUUGCUUAGAAAAGUUGGUUGCCUUGAGGAAGAUGUAGCUCGUAUAUAUAUUGCAGAACUGGUUUGUUAGAACAGAGCCCUGUGUGUCCAUAUAUCUUUAUGUAGUUUUUUCUUUUUUACUUCAACUUAAGUAGGUUCUACCUGUUACAGGUUCUUGCUUUAGAGUAUCUCCACUCUUUGGGAAUUGUGCAUCGCGAUCUGAAACCAGACAACAUACUGAUUGCACAUGAUGGGCACAUUAAGGUCCGGAUAAUUAUUCAGAAGGAAUGUGUGUCGACAUACUGAUUCUGGGGUUUGAAUUGAAUGGUUAUGUCAAUUCUUAUAAUAUAAAAUAAUUAUUCAGAAGGAAUAUGUGUGUUUGUGCAUUAAAACACAAGUUCAUACAUAAGAUUGUCCAAAGCUGCUUCUGAAGCUAGAUGUUAGUCUACUUUCAUAUCACUGUUUCCUGCAAAAUUCUUGCUAAAUUAUUCUUCUCAAUAAAUAUUUUGGGGGCUAAUUUAAUCAAUUGAUGCAUUGGCUAUAGAAUUUUGAUUUAUCUACUUUCAUCUCCUCAUUAUUUAUGGGGAUUGGUAUACUAAUGAUCGCUUAUCUUGCCAGCUCACAGAUUUUGGGCUAUCAAAAAUUGGCCUUAUAAACAGCACCAUUGAACUCUCAGGACCUGAGAUGGAUGGAAAUAAAGUUUCAGGUGUUCAUAGUCCACACACCCGACAAUCAGAAGAUAGAAGUCAGCACUCAGCUGUUGGAACACCCGACUAUCUGGCACCUGAAAUUCUUCUUGGGACUGAUCAUGGUCUGUUGGCAACCUGAAUUUAUAUUUAUCUGAGUUUCUCAAGGAGAUGUAUUUACCUCCUUUUCAUUCACAUGCAGGUUAUGCUGCAGACUGGUGGUCUGUGGGAAUAAUUUUAUUUGAACUUAUAACUGGAAUACCACCCUUCAAUGCUGAAUCUCCUGAGGUAUCUUUCAUACUCAGAACUCUUUUGCUUGAUGGUCCUAACUCACAGUGGUUGGGAUGGCAGCAUUUUUGUAAGUGUAUUAACAUAAUCAUUUUGAUUAGCUGUUUAUAUCUGUUGAUUGUUGAAGCAGCAUCAUGGACUCAAGUGUUGGUUUUCUCGAUCCCAUGCCUGAUACAGUUGCAUGGAAUUCCAUAUGCUGCUACUUACUGUCUGCAAUGUCUGAAAAUCAUCUCAAUAUUCUAUAUGAUAUGUCCCUUGGAUGUUCAUGUUAAAAUGGAUAUCUUUCUUGAAGUUAGUUGUGUUCAAUUUUGGGCUGUAUUUUCUCCUUGAUAGUGUGAUCAUUAAGCCCCUUGGAUAUGGAUCGCAUCACAUGUCUAUUAACCGUAAAUUCAAUGUCCAAGGCUGAAGCCUUUAAUUUGCCAUGAUUCUUGCCUCACCCAAUUGUUGCUGCUAUGAGCCUAGUGAAGGGAGGUCUAACCUUGAACCUGUUGGAGAAAAGAGAGUUCAGAUCUCAAUUAGGAUAAAAAUAUUUCUGCUUGUUUUAUUUCAUAAUUGACUACUCCUGUAAAUAGAUGGAUACAAGCACUAAUUAAGGUAAUCCUAUUAGAGAUGGAAGUCCCACCAUACUAGGAUGACUAAAAAAAGCAGGAAAUUAACAAGUAGAAUUCAAAUAGAAUAUUAGCUGCAGAAUUCAAAUCUGCUGCACUCCUGCAGCUUGCCCGAUUAAUUUUGGGCCUGGGUCCCACAUCGAUUGUAAGCUCUACCCACAAAUGCGUUCACAACAGUGAUUGACUUGAAAAUGAUGCUAAUGAAUUUGGAAUAUGAAGGUGAUAAUGGAAAAAUGAGGCUUCGUAAGAAAGAUCCCCUGGCCAUUUUUGUAUAAUAUAACUCUCUCCCCGUUUCUGUAUUGGGCAGAGUUGUACUGUUGUGAAAUUAAGAAUUAUCCACCAAAGUUGAUGGAGGAAAUGAGAAAUAUACUUUGCCAUUUUAAUGUUUGAAAUGGCUGCUGGGAUGUUUCUCUUCAAUUGACUAUAAAAAAAUAUUUGUGACCCUGUAAUUGCAAUUUAUGUAUGCCCGCCAUGGUUACUUCUCUCUUUGCCUGGCCUAACCCUUUUUUUUGGUACAAUCCUUUUUCCCUUGAAAUAGAUUACUUAAGUUGACAAUUAAUUCUUUCUAGCUGUUUUUUCUUUCUGAUGCAGAUAAUCUUUUAUAACAUUCUUAAUAGAAAAAUCCCCUGGCCUCCUAUACCUGACAGCAUGUCUUAUGAGGCCCAAGACUUCAUUAACAGGUUGAAGAACUUGUUUGCAUAUUUUAUUUUCUGGAUCUUCUGAUGCUUAAAUCAUCUUUUGAAGUGUGGACAUACAGAUGGUCCUCAGAUUUAAAGAAAGGCUUUGACUUACUAUGACUAUUAAAUAAUUAAAACUGCCAAUUAUUUGAUAAUAUCUACCAUAAAUUGCAGGACAAUCUUUUCUAUUUCAAAUCUUAUGCCUAGAGGUUCUAGACACUUCCAGAAGUGAAAAAUUGAACAUUUAACAAGUAAAUUUAGGUCCUUAAUGUACGCAUUUCUCAAAAAAUGAUAAAACAAAAUUGUUAAGUUGCAUGCAUUCAAAUGAAUAAUCCUAGUAAAGAACUUUUUAUGUAAUUAUAUCACAUAUAAGUUUGUUUCCAAAGUUGAUGUCUUUGCAUGAUCAAUAUUUUCACUUCUCAGUUCUCAUACUCUGUCCAAUAACGAGUCUACCUUCAUCCAUAGUCACAUAUUAUCUACAAUACAAUCAUGCCUAUGUCAUUUUUUACUUUAUUUUCACUAUGUUUUCCACUGUAUACCUUCUUGGAUAACUAACAUGUGUAUUACCAUUUUGGUCAUUUGGUGUAACAAGUUACACGCACAAAAAAAGAAAAAAAAAAUCACAUUUAAUAUGAAGCAAUAAAAUUUCUAUUUGUCCAUGCGAUGUAUGUUUUUUAAUGUAUGUCAAAGCAUUACUCAAUUCCUAUUCUUUCUUUAUAGGUUAAUUACUCAUGAUCCAAAUCAACGCUUAGGAGCGAAAGGAUCAACAGAGGUUGUAUUUCAUUGUAAACCUUUUUUUUAUUGACCAAGAUGAUUAACCGAAAAUUUUCACAUUGGUUUUGAUGACUUGCAUUGAUUAUCUUAUAGGUCAAAUCACAUCCGUUUUUCAGAGGAGUGGAUUGGGACAACCUUGCAUUGCAAAAGGUACUAAUACAUGCUGCUUGGUGGAAUUCAGAUUCAUAAUUCUCAAGUGGUAUCCUUUGUGCCCAGCAAAUUCUUUAUGUCAGUCUUCUGAAUGACAAAAGUAUAAAUUGGUAGAGUAGGUCAACCUGUAGAUAUUGUUGCUUCGUGGGCGUAAUGCUCCUCAAGUGCAAGAUAUGAAGAAACAAUGCUUCAGUCGGCUUCUUUUCUCAGAUUGACUUUUUUGCAUGAUAUUGUUUAUAAUAGUCUUGCAGUGCCAACAUUUGAUUCCUUUUUCCAAGGAUAACAAGCCUUUAACUUAACAAGUCUUUUAUGUGCUUGGUUGAGGCCUUGCAAUAAACUUAGGUUGCCUUGUCAUCUUUUUCCUUUGUCCAUGUGUUUAAAAUGUGUAUAUAUUUCCACUAGUUAUGUGUUAGUUCUUUCCCUUUUUGGAUUUCCAGUAAAUAUUGUUAACUUGGCCUUGAUUUUGUUGAUAGGCCGUCUUUGUACCUAGCCCUGACAGUGCAGAUGACACGAGCUACUUUAUAUCACGAUUUUCUCAAAUAUCUAGCGGAAUGCCUAAUGGUCGAACUAGUAGCUGUUCUGAUAUUGAGGGUUACGACUCAUCCUCAAAUUCUGGAGUUGAGGUAUAUAUAAUGAAUUCCUAAAGUAGACUGCUUAUGCCUCUGAUCAUAUUCAGGGAUUACAGCAUAAAAUGUUAUAUGUGAAGCUUGCAGAAGUUUCUGGUGAUCUUUCUGUAUAUUAAGCCUAUAGAUAUUGUGGAAAUGAUGACAGUUACUCCUGACAUAGUUUUUGCUUUUAGGCACCUUUAUUCGGCAGACCUAUAGAUGAGGUCUCUAAAUCAUAGCUUUCUAGCUAAAAACCCUAUCUUCCUGCGUCUAAAAAGUGCCGUUGAAUAAAACCAUAAGGGAUGAUGAAUUUUCUGUACCAUGAUGAGAAGACUGAUUUUUAACAGUACGCUUCCUUUUUUGUUAUGGUGGGGGAGAGUGAAAGAGGUGGUGAAUGGAAUACGAAUGGGAUUAAGAUUUUAGCUAUUUUGACCAUUUAUUCCCGUUUUAUAAGUUUCUGAAUUGACCAUUGAUAUGUGAUUAUCAUUCUAAACGUCUUCUUUUCAGAUGGAUGAAUAUGGUGACCUGGCAGAGUUUGAUUCUUCUCCACUCUCCUUGAUCAAUUUUUCUUUCAAGGUAAGGGUUGCUAGCCUCUUAACAGAUGUUUCCGUUCUUUACUUGGGAACAAAAUAUAACUUACAGGUUACCAACUAAGCUCAACUUUGAAAUCAAUAUGGCUUUGUGCUAUGAAUACCCUCACAUUCUGGACUAGGGUUUAUGCUUUUGGCUCAAUUAGCCACAUCCUUGGAAUUUCUCUAUUUGCAGUUUAUUAAUAAGGAUUUUUUACUUUUGCAGAAUCUGUCUCAAUUGGCGUCUAUUAAUCACGACUUGCUCUUACAAACCGGGAGGGAUUCUGCAAAGCAUUCCCCCUCUAGAGCUCCAGACACAUAGAAUCUUUCAGUAGUUAACGGAUUUAAUAGGUAAUUUGUUUACACUGAUUACGUGCUAGGAAAAUUAUAGGGAAAUAAAAGCUCAGCUUUUAUCAUGUAAAUAAAACGAUAGAAUAAUUUUCUUUGUACAGAAAACCAAUAAAGUCGAAGAAAGUCUUAUAAAAAAAAAUUAUUCCUUUUUUCAUUGUAUUAUCCAUUUUUUCUUCCAUUUGUCCAUCAGAACAAUGCUCUCGUUGUGAUGAAUUAAACAUGCCAGAUAACCGAAUUUUCCACCCGAGAGAAAAGCAUGCACGUGGAAAAAUAAAUUUAAGAAAAAUAACAAACAAUGGUGGUUAUGUAACCAAAAGCAAAUCCUAUUGAUUAUGCUCAACACUACCAAAACAAAAGGUAACAAAAACUACAAUCGACGACAAUAUAAUGACGGAACCAUAGACUAGUUUAUGCGAGAAAAUUCAUUUGCACUAGACGAGAGGGAGAGAGAUAUCAGACAGGGAUUGAUAAGCCCCUCUUUGCCAUGCUAUCCAGGACAUCAUUCAAGGCCUGACACAAGCCAACAAUCUGCAUAGUAACAAUUAAUUAAUACAAAAAGAGGGAAAGUGCGUGUACUAGCCAAGAAGCAAGUUUUGAUAAUGACCUGUUGAUCCCAUUGCUGCAGCUCUUCAGUAUCAUCCUCAAAGUGAAUCACAGCUUCUACCUGACGUAUUAAGAAAUUUCAGACAGAUGCAUUAUAUUAUAUUAUAUUAUAUAAUAUUUUUACUAGAGAACUACACCGUUAUUCUUCGCUUGUCAGUCAAACAGACAAUGACCAACACAUCACCAGAGACGAGGAGAUCCAAGGCCAUAUAACCCUUUUGAGUUGGGACGUUUGUUAUAGUGGAAACAACUUCAAGGCAAAAAUCAUGCAAGCAAAGCAGAAACCAGUUGUCCAAUACCCAGCUCCAUAUUACAAAUUGCACAAGUACAUCAUCAAGUUUUGCAAAUAUUAAGCUUGGUCCCGUUGGCAAAAUUAUAAUCUGACCAAUAAAAAUCCUUGCUAGAUUGAAGAAAUGACAUCUAGCAUGCUAGAUGAGUCUUUAGAAUUUAAAACCUGAUCAAUUGAUCCCCUCAUUCUAUCCUCGUAUAUCAUUCUUGAUGCUAUCUUUUCCGCCUGCAACCAAAAGAAGCAAUUCAUCUGUUUUUUUUACCCAAAAUAAACUGAAGCAUUAGUAUAUUUUUCGUGUGUGAACAUGCGUGACAGAAACUGAGACAAUGGGACAGGAAUGCCUCAAGAUCAAAAUAAACAGAUACCCACACAGGCAGAACAUUUACAGAAGCAUUGAAGAUAUAGUAAAUGUAGAUCGUUAGAAUUUGAAGUCCUAAACAGACAUUUUAUUGUCUGAGAUGCACUAGUGAAGUUGCAUAUAGAACGUUUAGGAAUAAGGGAAUGAGUAGGGAAAGUCGUCGUGUAAUUGAGUGGGGAGGAAAAGGAUUAGAAGAUACAACGUAAACAAAGUUGGGGAUGCAAAAUAAGCAACAGCAAAGUGUACAUGAAAAACAAGUUCCAAUCAAAUUGUAAAAUAUUAUACCAGAGGAGGAAAUGUCUUGAACUCAUGAUCAACUUUCGUUCUUUUAUAAGCCAAUGAAAUAUGCUAAAAAAAUGAUAGAGCUAUUAAUUUUCAGAACUCUGGAAAUUAGGAUAGAAACGCACCUUAUUUGGAGGAAUUCCCAGCAAGGUGCCCAACUCAUCAAAACUAUUGCAACAAAGUGGAAAACAAAACAAAUUAUUUAACCUAUUGUACAAAAUCACAGUCUAUGAAACUAAAAAUGAAGUCUAAAAGCAAAAUAUCUCAAACCUUAUAUUUGAGUAGAGUUUACUUGCACUAAGAAGAUUGUGCUCAAUCAUAGCACGAUCCAGAACAGUAAAAUUGUCUGGCAGAAGGGCUAGCUGUUGUGCCACCAAAAAAGAGACAUUAAUUGUAGUUUACAAGGUUAAUCAUCCAUUUGACAUGAUUCAUUUUGUAAGAAAAAAAUUAAAAUGAAUUCCAACAAAAUCAUACAUGAUUUUAUUUUUAAAAAAAUAAAAUAAAAUAUUUUAAGCUAAAAAGAAAUGAAUUCUUCCAUUCCAAACAGGAAAUUAGAUAAGAAAAUAAAUGAAUUAAAUUGAAUUCUUCUAAAAUCCUUGAUUCCAAACAAGGGGUAAAUGAAUGUAUAUCCCUAAAUAUAGUAGAAAAGAUUUUUACAACCUGAUGUGUCUUUAGUUCUUCAGCAAAUGCAUCAAUUUCAGGUUUUCUCAGAAUUCUCUCUAAAUAGACCUGGUCAAUUUUGAGUGAGAUUUCCAUCAGUAGAAACUAUAAGAUAUUGGGGAAAUAACAAAAACGAAAACUGCCGAACAUUGGUGCAGAUGUACUGCACCCUUGCAAGUGUGUAAGCAUGCAUGCAUAAGAGGAAGAGGGAGAGAGAGAGAGAGAGAGAGAGAGAAGGAACCUUUUGCAAAAUAGGAUAAACUCUAAGCUUUGAGCAUCGUUCAUCCUGCACCAAAUCUCACUGCAUCAGUACUGUUCAACAGUGUAAUGCAAAUUACAUUUGCAUAUUAACUUUUUAAUCAAGCAAGUAUAUUUACCUUAUACAAAGUGGCGAGGACACGAGAACGUUGAGGACCUGCAGCAGCCAAGAUUGUACAUGUCACAGCAGCAGAGAGAGCUUGUUGCAGAGCUUCCUCAUCAAUGGUUCUUCAAUGAAAACAACAGAAAUUGAGAAAAACUUCAUUCUAAGUGCUUCAGCUUUCAGAAUAAUAAAAUAAAAAGAAGUUAGCAAACAACAUUCAGUUUUACAUACUCAUCUCCUAUCUGUCUCUUCUCAAUUUGGGAUAUAUCAUAAUAACGCAGUGCAGCUUCCAAAAACUUCCUCUUGAUGUCCAAAACCCUGGCAUAACAAAUCUAACAAAAUAGAAGAAAGCAACCUCAACAAAACAAUAAAGCUUUGUUCAUUUACUAAAUUGCCUAAAGAGAUUAUAGAAUGAUGCUCAACCUUGUAUUGUAAGUUCAAUACUUCGUGCUGGCUGUUGCUAACCAAAAACGAAGCUUUAUUGAUGAAAGCCUCUGCAUUAACUGCAUCAUCAUCCUGCAAAAGUAAGCAGCCACGGAAAAUAUUAGUCAUUGUAGAAGCUUUUAAGAACUAUGAAGAAAAUAAUAAAAAGACCACUAAUGGAUGCAUAGUGUUGGAACCAAAGGAACCAGUUUCAGCCCUUAAUAAAAUCCUACAAUACAAAGACAUGCUCAUGGUACUAAGUUAUCAAUCUACAACAAUCUAAAUUCUAAAAUACAAUUUAAAAUAUCUUCAGUAUUAACAGCUGGGUUAGUUAUGCAGCAACUGGUGAUAUGACAGCGCUUUAAGUGUUCAGAGCAGCUAGGUUAGCACAGCAGAUGAGUGCAGGCAUAUAAUAGCUCAACCCAGAAUAAUGCCAAGAUCUAGGCAAAAUAAUCCAUCAGGUCACUGAUAGCUCUACUACACAACCAAUGAAAGCCAUUUUGAUGAAAUCCGUUCACCUAAAUUCCGACAUUUUGGCUUGAAAUACAGCUUCACCAACUCUCAAAUGGUAUGUAAAGACAAGCAUGUUAUUACAGUUAUUGCCAAUUAAGAUAACAUUAUUAUAGUGCUUUAUUAUGCUCUACUACAUUAAAUUAUAUAACAAAACAAUAUCCAGGAUCAGGCCCCACAGCACAAUGACUUCAAAUUAAUCAUUCACCCUUUAAGUUAAUCUUUGGAUGAAGAAGUCAAUACCUCAAGAUAUAAGCGAGCAAUUUGGACACAUUUAGAUAACCUAAAUGUAUCAUCAAUGACCCUGAUGAAGAUAUAAAAGGAAUACAUGUUUUGUCAAAUAAACAUCAUUAAAAUAAAAAAUAAAAAAAAACAAACAGAAAUAUACCAUUUCCAUGAACAAAUAUAUAAAAGAUCUUACUCUCAGACCUCAUUCCAGAGUCUAGAUCAAUGCCACUGAGCAUCUGAGCUGCUUUUGACCAUUCUUGCUCUGACUCAUAUAGAUCUGCGAGUUUCUCUCUAAUUAUUAAAACCUGCAAUUCAAAAAUCAACCGGUUACUUAUCAGUUCAAAAAAACAAAUACUUAAAAUUACUAAUUUUACCACAAAAAACUGCUGUUCACUAAUGGAAUAGAAUAGUUUUUGUCAACUACAAAAGCCAUAUAAAUAUCACACAAAAAGGAAAACCAAUGGAAGUUCCAACAUGUUUUCACAAUAACAUGAAAAUAGUGUUAGGUUAAACUCAAUUUCAAUCCUAUAAUUUGUUUGAAAACGAAGUCCACUAACUUAGAUGAUAAAAUUCAAUUGAAUUCCAUAUGAUUCAGAUUUAAUAUAAUUUCAAAAUUGAAAUCCAUUUAUCCACACUUCUUAAAUUACCCCAGGAAUAAAAGAAAUCUUGUAUUUUCCCUCUUAUCAAAAUCUAAUAAAUUUAUAACUAGCAAACAUAUAAGUCAGUUAUAUAUAUGGGAGGUCCAUUGGACAACAUUAAAAGUAUCAUCACUUAAGUCCAUAAUGAUAGAGAAAAGUAACAGAAGAGAGGGGGAGAGGAAGGUAAGAGAGGAGUGGAAAAGAGAGAAAGGAGAGAGGGCGUGUGCUUGUGAGCAACACAUUGGCUUUGUAGUCCAAAAAUUGUUGGCAUGUUGGUUGUGUAAUUCUUCAAACUUUAUUAAAUCUGAUAUCAAAGUCUGAAAAUAUCAUUACAGACUUGUGUCAAACAGAAGUGAACAGCGACAAAAUGAUCCAUAUAACAAACCCCAUUUAGUUUGGGAUUAAGGCUUAGCUCUUAUGGGAACGAAUUGAUUAUAACAAUAAAAGAAAAUUCCAUGAAACUGAAUUCUUAAUCCAAUCUUUUUUUGAACCAAGCAUACAAACAUGGAAUUCAGUUGAAAUUCAUUUGAGCCAAGCAUAAACUGAAAUCAUUCCGAUUUGGGCAAAAAGCACUUGAGCAGGACAAUGUCUCAUUUGGAGACCCAUUCUAGAGAAAGCAACGAAAGAAGCUCCUGUUUUUAUAAAGCCUAUAAACCAAUGAAUGACCUAAAACUAACCUGUUCUUCGAAAGAAACAACCCGAGGCUGAAUCUGGGCAAGAGUAUAAUGGGCAAUCUCCUUUUGCGUCUCUGGCUCCAAUCUCUCCAGUGCCAGUGCAAAAGUCUGUAAUAGCUGCCUCGAAACCACCAAUGGCACAUCAUCCGACAAAACUGCAAUUCGUUUUGACAUUUUCGAACUAUUAGCUAAAAAAAAAAGCCCUAGGUGAAUAGCAAAACAAGAGUGCGAGAGAGGAAGUACCAUGAUCGAUAAACUUCUUAGCCUGAAUGACGUCGUCUGAUAAGAGGACGGAAGCGAGAAUGUGCCUGUACUGUUCGAUCUUUUGUCUCUGGUCCGUGAUUGCAGAGGCGCUCGCAAAGGCACUCUCCAUGACUGUUACAGUUUUCCUUUUCCUCCUCCAAUUUCGACGAACCCUAAACCCUUUCAAUCUCCUUAUUGGAGAAUUCUCAGCUUCCNNNNNNNNNNNNNNNNNNNNNNNNNNNNNNNNNNNNNNNNNNNNNNNNNNNNNNNNNNNNNNNNNNNNNNNNNNNNNNNNNNNNNNNNNNNNNNNNNNNNNNNNNNNNNNNNNNNNNNNNNNNNNNNNNNNNNNNNNNNNNNNNNNNNNNNNNNNNNNNNNNNNNNNNNNNNNNNNNNNNNNNNNNNNNNNNNNNNNNNNNNNNNNNNNNNNNNNNNNNNNNNNNNNNNNNNNNNNNNNNNNNNNNNNNNNNNNNNNNNNNNNNNNNNNNNNNNNNNNNNNNNNNNNNNNNNNNNNNNNNNNNNNNNNNNNNNNNNNNNNNNNNNNNNNNNNNNNNNNNNNNNNNNNNNNNNNNNNNNNNNNNNNNNNNNNNNNNNNNNNNNNNNNNNNNNNNNNNNNNNNNNNNNNNNNNNNNNNNNNNNNNNNNNNNNNNNNNNNNNNNNNNNNNNNNNNNNNNNNNNNNNNNNNNNNNNNNNNNNNNNNNNNNNNNNNNNNNNNNNNNNNNNNNNNNNNNNNNNNNNNNNNNCUUAUAAAAUUGUCCAUAUGAGAUAAGAUUGUCUCGUAACUUUAAUUUUUUAUUUGUUUUUUCUAUUUUCUGUAUUAUUUUCUUGAGUUUUGACUUUUUCUUUCCUUUAUUUUUAUAUUUUAUUAUUUUAUUGGUGUGGAUGAAGCUAUUAGAGCGAUGGUGUUUCUAGAAGUUGCUGGUCAACUUUUGAAUUGGGUUUGGCCUUGACUUGGAUUUUGGUAUAGAUUGGUAGUGUUAUUUGGUGGUUGGACUUGAUACAUAUAUCUAGCUGCACUUUAAGCUUUUAACACAAUCUUGUAUGAUAAAAAGAAAAUUAUGAGAUCCUAAAGGACUAAUCCAUAGUUAAUAAGUUAAUUUGAUAUUAUUAGUACUUUUAAAUUUUAAAUUGUUAGGCAUUUCGUAUGUGUUUAUUAGUGAUAUAUAAAAGCUAAUGUAUUUAAUUAAAAAUAACUUAUAAAUAUAUAAAAAAAUUAUUUCGUAAUUUCUAAAAUACAUAGAAACUCAUUAGUCGAUUUAUCGAUUUUAAAAAAUAUAUAAAAAUAUUAUUAAUAUUAAUUUACUAGUUAGUCUUUCUGUUAGUUUUAACGGUUAAAUAUUAUAAAAAAAUCUAAAAUAUUUUUAAUAUAGAGAAAUUAAUUAGUUAAAUUUUUAAAAAUUUAAGAGAUCAAUUAAUAAAAUUUUUAAAAUUAUAGAGAUUAAAUAAUAAAAUAUUUAAUAAAAAAUUAAUAAAAAAUUAAAUAGUAAAUUUUUUAAAAUGUUAAAAAUAUUUUAAUAUAUUUUUUAAAAUUGAAAAAUUAAUCAGAAAGUUUUUUAUAUUAUAAAAACUAAACAAUAUUUUUUUUAAAUAUAUUUAUUAUAAAAAUUACUAAAAAAAUAUAAAUUAUUUUUUCAUAAAAAUAUGUGUUAUAAUUUAAAUUUUUAAUGAAAAUAUUACAGUAUUUUAUUUGGUCAAACUAGCUUAUAAGUAUUAAAAUAAAAAAUUGCAGACCCACUUUUUGUUUUUAUACUUUUGACAAAUCUGUAAAAUAGGUUGGAUAAGACUGAACUACCGCUAAAGAACUAGUUUCAUAAUAUAGAAAGUUUUGACUAAUAUACAGUCAACUUUUUGAUAAUAAAUUAUUCUCUAUUUUAAAUAGUAACUUAAUUCUCAAAUUUUACGAUUCUAAUUAUUAAUUUUUUUUAAUUUGAAAUAAUUUAAUUAAUAAAUUUUAUUUUAUUAAUAAAAUAAAUAAUUAUUGAUGUUAUGCAUUAUCACUUAAAAAAAAUUAUAAGUUAUCACUCUAAUUCGGACAUCGGUCCUACUAAUAGGGAUGGCAACGGAUCGGGUAUUUUCGGGUACCCGAUCCGACCGAAUCCUAAUAGAAUGGAUUUUGAUAGUUAUAAUCGGGUUUGGAAUGGGUUCGAGUUUUAAAAAUAAUACCCAUUACGGGUUCGGAUCGGAUUCGGGUUUUAUAUACAGGAUACCCACUACCCGAACCCGUUUAUAUAAAUAAUUAAUUUAAUAUAAAAAAUAUAUUUUACAAUAAUAUUUAUAAAUUUUUUUAUAUAUUUAUAUUUAAAAAUUUAAAUUUAAAUAUUCUUUAAAAAUAUUAAAUUUUUUAAAUGAAAAUUAUUAAUGAAAAAUAUCUUUUAUAUAAAUUAUUAAUUAAAAUAUAUAAGAUUAAACGGGUUCGGGUUUUAUUCGGAUAAUAAUAAUCGGAUUUGGGAUGGAUUCGGAUAGUUUAAAUUAAUUUUUAAUGGGGUUCGGAACGGGUUCGGAUAUUACUAAUAUAAAUCGGGUUCGGGUUUGAGUAGUUUAAUUUUCGCGGGUACCCUACCCGUUUACAUCCCUACCUACUAAUCAAGACUAUAAAGCGAAUUUUAGUUCCGCUAUACCAUAAUUUGAGCGUCGAUCACAUUAAUUAAUGCCAUAAGACGGAGUCUGCAAAAAAAAGACAUUAAUCCUACUAAAUAAAGUAUUUCAUACCUAAACUAUAAAGCGAAUAUUAGUCGGAAAAUAUGACUAGACAUUAGUCCCGACAUACAAAGCAUUCUAAGAACCAUUAAUUAAUACACCCAUAUCAGAUCACGAGACAGAUUUUUGCUGAUCCAUAACUAUCCACACCCCUAAAGCGCCUUAGAAACCAGUUGACGGUUAAAAAAUUCAAUUUUAGGUAUUUUGACCGGAUUUUUUGCAGAUAUCUUUAGAAAAAUGUAAUAUAAUCUUACAAAAACUUUGAAAAUUUUUUAUCAAGUUUAGAUAUUAUUUUUUUAUUUCUUAAGUGUUAAAAAUUUAAAAAAUCAUAAAAAAUAGAAAACUUGUCAGAAAAUCACUAAAUUUUUUAUGGAACCUUAGAAAAAUAUUACAAAUUUAUUUGAAUUGUCAUUUGGUUAUUUUUUUUUAAAUUUUGCACGGAAACAUGAUAAUGCCUGAGGUGACAUGACAAUAUUUGAGGUGACAUGAUAACGUCUAAGGUGACAUGAUAACGUCUAAGGUGACAUGACAAUAAUUACAGUGACAUACUUCUAAAAAAAUUCAAUUUUAGGUAUUUUAACAUGAUUUUUUGCAGAUAUCUUUAGAAGAAUGUAAUCUAAUUUUACAAAAAUUUUGAAAUUUUUUUAUCAAGUCUAGGUAUUUUUUUUAUUUUUUAAGUGUCAAAAAUUUGAAAAAUCAUAAAAAAUAGAAAACUUGUCAGAAAAUCACCAAAUUUUGUGUGGCACCUUAGAAAAAUAUUACAAAUUUAUUUGAGUUGUCAUUUGGUGAUUUUUUAAAAUUUUGCAAAGAGAAUUGACUUGUGUCACAGUUUUUGCCAAUUUUAGGCAUGCAUGGUGGCUGUAGGAAAAAUAAAUGGAGGAGGUAGUACUCUUGAUUUCACAACAUAUUAUUUCGUGUCCUUUUUGUAAUGUGAGAUAAAACUGAUAAAAACUCAUAGAUGUCACAAUCAUUGGUUCAUAGUCUUAGUGAAUAAGAGAGAAUCACUCCAUAGAAUUUGUAUUGCCUAUGCUAUGAUGGCAAGUGUGCGUCCAAGCAUGUGAGCCAACAAUUGCAAAAUGUACAAUUAAUUGACUGAGUGAACCUCAUGCGGCCUGGUGGUUGGCCAAUGGGACAUAUUUUAACACCAAUGCUAACUUCAUUUUGCAAAAUAUGUGCAAAUAGCAUCAACCCCAAUUGCACCACCAGCUCGUUGGGGAGCAAUGGGCACAGCAAGAGAGAGCCACGGGCCAAUUGGUUGCCACUGGGCGUGGGCCCAUAGGCGCCUUCCUGAGCACAGUAUCCCCGUUUAGCAGCAAGGUGCCACGGGCCCGUUGGCGAGGAGCAGCGCACAGGAGCAAUGUCAUAAGGCUCGCAGGCGAGGCAGAAAGGCCAACUUGGGAGGCGCAGGCCAGGGCGCUCGGCGGAGAUAGAUGAAUGAAUGAUAUUUGAGGAUGUUACUUAUUUCGGUUCAAUUAGAUAAAAAUAACAAUAAAAUCGAAUCAAACCAAUUAGUGAUAAUAGUAUAUUAUUAUUUUUAAAUAAUAUAGAGAGAUUAAACCAUAAUUAAAGUCGAAACAUUUUAAUUAAAUUUUAGAAUAUUAAAAAUAAGGUGUAAAAAAUUAAAAAAUUCAUUAAAAAGCCCAACCAAACGAACUGAAUCAGAUCGGUUUGAUUGAAAUCUGUCUGAAUCGAAUCGAACUGAUUCGAUUCCAUGUCAAAUCGAGAGGUAGAGGGGGAGAGGGGGCUAAUAAGCUUAUUUUGCAGGCUAUACCGAUGCUCAUGUAUGGCCUAGCGCAUGCCCAGACCCUAGCCUCCCAGGGGUGACUACCCACAUCCCCUUAAAGAGCCUUAGGAACAAGUUGAGUGUGGCAAGAGGAGACAUCACAAUGUGUGACACACCCUCCUAAAAGAUUCAAUUUUAGGUAUUUUAACAUGAUUUUUUUGCAGAUAUUUUUAGAAAAAUAUAAUCUAAUUUCACAAAGAUUUUGAAAAUUUUUUUUAUCAAGUCUAGGUAUUUUUUAAUUUUCUAAAUGUUAAAAAUUUAAAAAUUCAUAAAAAAUAGAAAACUCGCCAGAAAAUCACCAAAUUUUUUUUGGCACCUUAGAAAAAUAUUACAAACUUAUUUGAGUUGUCAUUUGUUGAUUUUUUUUUUAAACUUUGCAUGUAGAAUUGAGCUAUGUCACAGUUGUUGCCAAAUUUGGGCAUGCAUGGUGUGGCUACAGGAAAAGCGGAUGGGAGGAGGCAGUGCUCUUGAUCUCACGGCAUAUUUUGCAAUGUGAGAUACAACAAAUAAAAACCCUCUAUAGAGGUCACAAUCAUUAGAUCAUAGUCUUGGUGAGCAAGAGAGAAUCACCCCAUAGGACUGCAUUGCCUGUGCAAUAAUAGCAAGUGUACGUCCAAGCCCGUGAGCCAACCAUCACAAGUUGUUGGUCGAUGUUUUUCUCAUGUAUUGAAAGAAAUAUGUUGCCAUUGUAUAAGUACUCAAGAUGUUAUCUGGCUCAACUAUCGGGUGUUAGCCCCAUACAAAAUUUUUGAGGCACUUGAGACCCAACCCAUAAGACGGGUGUUCAUGGACAAGUACUAGUCUUAAGAUUAUAAGAAAUCCUAUAAGGUAUCUCAGGCCCAAGGCAGGUAUCUGCCAGACCAUAUGUUCAGGUGUUAACCCCACUUCAAAAGUUUUUAAGUUAUUUAUUUUAUCACUAUUAUGAUGGUCAGGUGUUAGUCCCUUAGUAGUCUUUUAAAAAUAAAUCAUUUAAGUCUUGAGUAGACAAGAUUUAUGGCUGGAUACUGAUCAUACAAAACUGUCAAAAUAAAAUAUUUUUCAUUCAAAUAAAGACUUAUUAUAGGGAAUGUAAUACCCGGCUAGACUCCGGCAUCGGAAUUCCUGCUCUGCGGCAAAACUUCAGAUGUCGGAACUCUCUAGUAGGGUAAAAUAUGUUUUUAUAAAAUGUUUUUCAUGUUUUUGAUGGGUAAUUUUGAGUUAAAGUUUUACAGUAAAGAAAAGAAAGAGAAUGAAGGAAGAGCCCAAGUUCGGCCGCCGAACAUGGGAUGCAUGCGGAGGCACGUUAGGCCCCCGAAAGUGGCCUGGCCAGCCAUCUAUAAAGGGGUCCCCUGUCCGAAAUGGGCGAGUUUUCCUCUUCCCAUUUCCAGCCAAGGUGAGUCUCCGUCCUCCCUUCUCGAUCUUGAGUCCUUCCUUCAAGUCUCUUAUGUUUUUACAAGUUAUUUAACUUGGUUUUGAAGAUUUUUGGAGCUAAGAUCAAGAUUUGAAGCUUGGAGACCCCGGAGCUCUCUUCCUCCAUUUCUCCAAGUUCAGGUCGCCUCCCUUCUCGAUCUUCAAGAGGUAAGAGUAGAUCUUUAGUUUAUCCCAUGUUUUAAACAAGUUUUAUGACGGGUGAUGGGGUAGCAAUGCAUGUUUAAAUUAGUUGAUUGUUGUUAGGGUUAAUGUUGAGUUUAUGGAUAAUGUAUGUUGUAUGAGUUGUUAUAUGUGUUUGUAUUGGGGUUUAGGUUAGUUUGAGACCCCUAUAUGCUUAUGUAUGUGUGUAUGCAUGUUGUAGAAUAGCUAAAUGCAUGUUUGGAAGGUUUGGGAGGCAAAAUAUGCAUGAAGAGACUGAGUUCUGCCACUUUGGAAGAACUCAAGUUCGACAGCUGAAGGCACUUUCGGCCGCCGAACCUGCCUAUGGUGGCAUGUUUUGGCUGCCGAACCCUGCCCUCGAAAGUUGGACUUUUGGCUCUGGAAGGGAGUUUCGGCCGCCGAAGGUGCCGCCUAACAUGCAUGAGUUUCGGCUUUGGAACCACAUUCGGCCGCUGAAGGUGCCGCCGAAAGUGGCUGAGUUUCGGCUCUGGAGGGGCUUUCGGCCGCCGAACCUGCCGCCGAAAGUGCCCUGUUCAGCCUUCCUUUGCAUGUUUUCUAUGAUUAUUUUAGGAUGUUUUAGGGAGAUUUUGGGGAGUUGUUUAGAGUCAUUUUAGUGUAUGUUUGGUCCCUUAUUUGAGUCCACCUGUGUAGGUUCGGACCCGAGGAACCGAGGACCCCAGCAGUGAGAUAGCUGCUUCAGAGUCUGUUCAGAGUCAGCCAGAGGUGAGUAGAACUUGUAAUACCCGGCUAGAUUCCGGCAUUGGAAUCCCUACCUUCCAGCGGAAUCUCCAUUGAAAUCUAGAAUUCUGAAGAUGCCAGAGGCUUCUACAGGGGUAAAAUGUGUUUCUAAAAUGUUUUCACAUGAUUUUAUGGUUUUAAAUGGAAAAGAAUUGAGUUUUGAAAAGAAAAGACCAAGGAGGCAUUUGCCAGGUUCGGCCGCCGAAAGUGAGGUUCGGCCGCCGAACAUGGAAAGGUUUUGGGAGCGCUUUUGGCCUCCGAAAGCUUUGUUUGAGCGAACCAAGGUUCGGCCGCCGAACCUCAAGUUCGGCCGCCGAGCAUGCAUGAGUUUAGGGGGCACGUUAGGCUGCCGAAGGUCUUUGACCAGGCCACCUAUAAAGAGCCCUCAGAUCAGAAAUGGGCGAGUUUUCUCCCCAUUCUCGAGCUCAGGUGAGUUUAUGCCCUCCUUUGGUCGUUUUCAUGCUUUCUCUACCCAUCCCUCAAGUUUUUCAUGAGUUCUAACCUUGUUUUGAAGUUUUGAAGCUUAAAUAGGAGUUUUGGGAGCUUGGAGGCUUUUGGAGCUUGGAUCCUCCACACCUCCGAGUUAGGGAUCGCACCACCCCUCGAUCUUCAAGAGGUAAGUGUAGAUCCUUGCUUUCCUUGUGUUUUAAUGAAGUUUUAAGUAAGUUUAAUGGAGUUUUAAUGGUUGAGUAUGGGUAGAUAUGCAUGUUAGGGUUUAUGUGGGUUUUAUGCCCAAUGUAUGCUUAUGCCUGUCUAUGUAUGUUUAUGUGAUGUUAUGUUGAAGGUUUAAGCUAGUUUAUGCAUGUGGGAGAGUGUAUGCAUGAUUGGGAAAGAGCAAGUGAGGUUUUGAGUAGUUUGAGGGUUUUGGCUUAUGUGGGUCAUGAGCUAUUUAUGUAUGUUUAUAUGAUGUUCUUUGUUGGAGUUUAAGCUUGUUUAAGCUCCUUUGUGCAUGGUUAAGGGUUUAUGCAUGUUUUUGAGAGGUUGGGUGCUUGUUUUGGGGUGUUUGGAAGGCUUCUGAGGCUUGUAUGCAUAAGAGGCUGAGUUCUGGAUGAACUCAGGUUCGGCCGCCGAAGGUAGUUUCGGCCGCCGAACCUGCCUAUGGAUGCAUGGAUUGGCCGCCAAACCUUGCUCCCGAAAGUUGUGUUUCGGAUCUGGAGCAGAUUUUUGGCCGCCGAAGGUGAUGUUCGGCCGCCGAAAGUGCCUGACUUUCGGAUCUGGAGUGAGGUUUCGGCCACCGAACCUGCCGCCGAACCUGCAUGACUUUCGUCUCUGGAAGGGACCUUCGACCGCAGAAGGUGCCGCCGAAAGUGCCCUGUCCAGCCCUUUCAAGGUUGUUUUCUAUGCAUGAUUAAGUGAUGUUUAGGGGGGGUUUUUGGGUAGUUGUUUAUGAGUUGUUUAGAGUGUGUUUGGCACCUCAUUCGAGUCCACCUGUGUAGGAUCGAACCCGAGGGACCGAGGAGGCCAUCAGUGUUAGCAGUUGCAGAGUCAGUUCAGCGUCUGCCAGAGGUGAGUAGAACUAAACUUAAUCUUUAUCUUAUGAAAUCAAAUGCCUAAAGCAUGUUCAUGCAUCAUGUUUAUAUGUAAUAGGUUGAUUGCACUAGUUACACGAAUAUGACGCAUUGCAUUCUUUAUUGUUGAUGUGGAUGGACCAAGGCGACCCCAAUGGCCCACAAGUCUGUCACGACAAGAGAAGUCCUGUGGAGCUCCUUUGAGGGCCGGGCACCAUGUUAUGUAAUGAAAGUCCUGUGAGCUCCUUUGAGGGCCAGGCAUCAUGUUAUGUAAUGAAAGUCCUAUGUGAGCUCCUUUGGGGGCCAGGCAUUGACAGAGGGAGCUUUGGAGGUCAUGUCUAAUCCGUGAUGUGAAUUGUUUGUGCUGUGGCACAUUUCAUGAAAGCAUGUAAUUAAUGAACUGUUUUCUUUGUUUCUACUCACUGGGCUUUUUAGUUCACCCCUCUCCCCUAACCCUAGUGUUGCAGGUAUGAGGUCGAUCGGGAAGUCUCAAGAGUUAAGGUUGUGCUUAUGUAAUAGCUUAGUAUGUUAGUGUGGACAUGUAUUGUAAACUGAGAUAAUGAAUUGUAAGAGAAUGUAAUGUAAAGUAAAGUAGAGUUAUGUUAUGGAUUAAUACUUUGCUUGGCCCUAAGACUUGGUUAGUCCUUGUUUAGUACAUGAUGUAUGUUAUAGUUUAAUGUUGAGUUGUGUUUGAACUAAACUUGUGGCAUGUGUUGUUUACCACGCUAGAGUUUGAUGAGGACUCUAAUGGAGGUUUUAUGUUUGUGGUCUAAUACAUGCACAGGUUAGGUUCUAGUUCUUUGGAUGUGACUCCGGCUUGAUGUAUGUUAUGUUGACCCAGCUAGAGUUUUGAUGAUGGCUCUAGUAGGGGGUUCUUUAUGUUUUCAGUAUGUCGCAUACAGGUCAAGCUCGGUAUUUACAUCAUAUGUUUAAGUUUUUUUAUGUUUAUGUUUUGAUCAUGUAUGGGAUUUGACCAGGUGAUAGGAGGUAUGUUUGGCUUGCUACGGGUCUCGGCGGCCUUAAGCCGAUCUGGAUCCUAGCGCCGGUAGCGGUUCGGGCCGUUAUAGAGGGGUAUCGGUUUCCGGGUCGUUACAGAACUGAACUAUGUUUUAAAAUAAUGAAGUUUUGAGCAUGUUCAUGCAUCAUGAAUGCCAUGAUAUAUUUCAGGUUGUUGCAUUAGAAUCUCACGAAUAUGCUGCAUUGCAUUCUAUGUUGUUGAUGUGGAUGGAUGUUGGAUGAUCCAUUAGCCCUCAAUAUGAUAUGAUGAUUAAUGAAAGUCCAAGGCUGCCCAUGUCCACGCAUCCUGGCAUUUAUUAUGUAUGAUUUAUGAAAGUCCAGGGCUGCCCAUGUCCACGCGUCUUGGCAUUGUGUGAUGUUUAAGAGGAAGUCCUGCAGAGCUCCGUCGAGGGCCGGGCACAUUGGAUAUGUAGAGGGUUAUUAGUGACAAGUCCAUCCGUGAUGUGAAUUGUAUGUGUUGUGAUGCGAAUUGUAUGUGUUGUGAUGCAUUCCAUAUAAGCAUAAUUUAUGAACAUGUUAUUUUAUUCUGCUCAUUGGGCUUUUUAGCUCACCCCCCUUUUCCUUAACCCCCAGGCUUGCAGGUUCAGGAUAGAUCGGGGAGUCUUCAAGGUUGAAGUCAAGUUAAGUGUAAUAGUUAGAGUGGACAUGUAUUGUAAAAUGAUUUUAUGCAAUGUAAUGUAGAGAAUAUUUUAUGGUUUAGUAUUGUGCUUGGCCCAAAUAGUAAUGUUAAUUCCCUUCUACAUGAUCUUUUAAUGAAAUGUUUUUAUGAUGCAAAAUGAUAGUCCAAGCUUGAUGUAUGUUAUGAUAACCCACUAGAGCAUUUGAUGAGGGCUCUAGUCGGGGUUUUAUGUUUAUGAUUUUAGUGCAUGCACAGGUCAAGCUUGGAAUAUGGAAAGUUUUUAAAUUUUUAUGAAAAUGUAUGAUCAUGUAUGGGAUGUUAGCAGGUAUAUAGCAGGUACAGAAGGCUUGCUACGGGUCCCGGCGGCCUUAAGCCGAUCUGGGUCCUAGCGCCGGUAACGGUCUGAUUUUUGGGUCGUUACAGGGAAGGAGGGACAUGAUCAGUCACCUCCAUCGGAGCUUCUGUUACAUGAUCAUCAUUGGCUAUUGCACUAGAAGUCAGGUCAUGAGGGUUGUCUUCAAUUAGCCCUUCCUCGUUCUGCCCAUCCUCAUCCUCAUUCUCCCCAUCAGGGAAGAUAUUGUCGAUCUAGGAGAAGUCUUCUACAGGGAAAUGCCUGAGAAGCUCCUUCUUGACAGAGUCUUGGCUUUGUACAAACAUCUCCCCAUCUUGGGUCACCGUCUCCUAAAGUUUUGCUUCAAACUCGGUGAUAUUGGUAAAAGCAACUCGGGCCUCCUCAACCUGAGACUGCAGCUCCUGCACUUGGCGCUGAAGCAUAGCCAUUUAAUACUCAGCACUUUUAACCCGAUUCGUAAGGGCAAGACGGGAAGCGUUGGCCUCACCCAAGUCAUCCUGGAAUUUGUCUACUGCCUCCAAUAUGUCUUUCAUAGUGCCUUUCACUUCGUCGACUCGAGACUUUAGCCUCGAGCAUUCCUCUACUAAGAGCCUCAUGUCCAUUUCUUGAGCACCAAACUCCCACCUCAAGACUUUAUUGCGCUCUUUGACCACGUAGGCAUAGAGGACACUCUCUAGGGCAAAGUGCAUGAUAUUGUCAAAAAGCUCGUCCAUCUUGAGCUCAUUCAAACGACAACGAUUCUCGAGCCUUAGGGCAUUCUUGGUUAACAGGACGAUCAGGUUAGGAUCCUUAAGGAGAGAGGGCAUUUGGGUUAGUUGCAAUGCCAGGAACUGGAUGCUAGGAGGUCAAGAGGAAUCAACCCCCACGUUCGCAGAAACGGGCUCAGCAGGAGUGGGGAUUGCAGCAGAAGGCUUGGGAACUGGGACAGAUGCAGAGGUACCCAUUACAAAAGACUCAAGUUGCGAAGGAGCCUACUCUUCUAUUGUAGGUUGAGGAGGAGGAGGAGGAGGAAGCAUGAUCACUUAUUCUGCCUAGCAAGCAUGCUUGGGAAGGGGACCGGUCAACAACAACCUUGUCUUUGUGGGCGGCAUGCCCCACUUCAGUAAAUUUGCUUCUUGACCCAACCAUAUUUGUGUAAAAUUAAAAAGGAAGUAAGUAAAGCAGUUUGAAAUCUAAAAGAAGAUAAAAAAAAAAUAUCAUGAUCUCUAGCUAGGAAAGUGCUCUCCCCAAGGCUGGGAAGGCUGGGUAGAUGAGGACCCUGAGUCUGGUUCGCUUGGAGACGACUUUGCCAAGGCAAAUCGGUGUUCCUUACUGCCUGGAUGAUGUUCAUUUUCUUUGGGGACUUAACUACCGUCAAAAGAAAGUUCAGAGCCUCAUCCUCAUCUCUUCGUGGCUAGACCCCAUCCUUUCUCAGCUCCACUCGCAGGUUCCAACUCGUUUGAAGGUGCUCGAAACCCCCAGAUGUCGGAUGGCGGAGGACAAAAAACUUAUUUUUUUCAUUAUUUUAAUGAAAAAGGGAUCCAAUAAAAAAUCGCCUGGCAUUUCCAAUUGCUAAAAAAUCAGAACUUUUUAUUUUUGCGAGUAUCCAGCUAGUACAGUUAGGAGAAAAGGGCCACACUCAGUUCAAUGUUAUUAUUAAGACAAAUAAACUGAAAAGCCACCAAGAUCCUCCAACUAUUGGGAUGUAACCGAAAGCUUAUGGAACAAAAGGAUAUCAGCAAAAAACGGAUCCAUGGAGAACCGAAGACCCACCUUCAGCUGCUCCUUAAAAAAUAUAUUAUAGUAUCAUCUGCAGGAAUUAGGUCGUGUAUGCGAACGUUCGAGGAAGGAGCAAAAACAUGAAAAGUCUAUCGAGGAAUUUGAUAUUUAUCGUGAAGUCGAUCUACAUUCCACUCUGAUAGGAUAGAUGGGGUGUCACCAAUCAGGCUACCUUCGCCUUCUUGAGCCACCCCUAGUGGGAUAAUAGGAGCUGGGGCAUGGAUGGGACCGUCAAAAGAUGAGCUUGAGGUGGAGCUUUUACCAGGAGUAAGAGAAAAAGAUGAAGUAUUCCUAUUCAUUUUAAAAGAAAAAAAAAAAGAAAUUAUCGUGAAAGUAAGGGAGUGUAAUCGAGAAAGAAGGAAUGACCAAGUCUUUCUGAAAGCAAAGAUUACAGAGGAGAGUAAAAGUAAUAUUUUGAAAAGAAGAAAGUUUCUUAUAAGAUGGUUUCGACGGCAGACUUUAAAUGCAGCUUGAGAAAUGGGGCAGCCAUUAUUGAAAGGCUAGGUAGGAAAAACGGCACGAGCAGGGGAAGAUCAAUCUCGAAAGGCCACGUACCCAAGAUUGUGAAUGCAACUGUCACCUUUGAAUCUGAAUAAUCGAAAAUCAGCAGGGGACCUCUAAUAUUACACAACAAUCGCCUAAAAAAGCCAUGAGUUGUCACCACAAAGUAGGGUUACGUGACAAGGAUUUGAUAAAUGAACAACACGGUCCCACCUGAGAAAAGGAAGACUCGGACAUCUUAACACCUGAUUCAUCAUCAAGACUCGUCCUAUCCUGGAUAGAAGGAGUCUCGGUAUAAAGUUACUGUUAUUAGACACAGUCCAUCAUAUCUCUAUUACGCCUGUAAUCAUGAGUCACUGACCUAUUAGCUGGCGAGAUCCUUUAUCAAGCAACCGGCCGUACAUCAUCAUCAGAUUAUCAGAAAAUAAUAUAUUUAUCUUCAUUUUCUUACAAUAUAAAAAGAGAACAAUUACAAAAGUAAAGGUACGUAAUUCUUAAACAAUUACAUGUGAGUUCUAAACAAUUCAUUAUAUUCACUCACCUCAGUUUUCUUUCUCACAAACACCGAUUCUUUUCGGCCGCAUCAAUUAUAUUUAAUUUUUAUAUUUAAAUAAAUAUGUAUUUUAUAACAUAUUAACUACAUGCUAAUGUGUCUUUAAAAUGUUAGUUUAAAUGAAAUUUUAGUUUACAAUAUUAUUUUGAAAAUAUCUUAAACUUCUAAAUAAACAACAGUUCUGAAUAAUAUGUAUCAAAAUAAAUUGUACUAUAUCAUAAAGACAAACUUUUUUUGUGUAAUUUUAUCUUAAAUUUAUGUUAAAAGAAAUUUUAUAAUAUUCAUUUAUAGCAAAGAUAAUUUUUUUUAUAUAAAUAUAUCAUAAUAUAAAAAAAUUAAAUCUACUGAUUAUUUUUUAAUAAAAUACCCUUUAGGGAUAAAAAUAUUUUUAACUAAAAUGCCUUUAAAAGAGUUAACAGUCAAUUUAGAUGGUGGGAUUAAUCAUCAAUAUAUCAAAAGAAACAAAGUUGAAUAAACUUAAAAUAGAGUUUAAUAUGUUAAAUUAAAAAAAAUCUUAUUAAUUUUUUGUAUUUAUAUUAUUAACAAAUUUUCAAUGUAUUUGAAUUAAAAAUUUUAUGAGAUCAAUAGUCUAUAACUAAAAAGGUAGAGAAUUUAAGACGUUGUUUACUUGAUGAAAAAAGUUUUGAAUUAUUUUAGAAAUCUCCUAAUAUAUAAAUUAAUGAAUAACUUUAAAAUAAUAAAUUAUACAAGUUAUAUAUUCAUAGUAAAAUAAUUUUAAAAUACUAUUAUUAUAUUUUUCUAUUUAAAUCUAAAAAUAUUUAAAUAAAAGGUGGCAAGUUAAUUUUUAUAUAAUAAAAUCUAGAAUGAAUUAUUUUUUACGUUCAUAAAUUAUAUUAAAAUUAAUAUAUAUAUCUUCUUAUUUUUAAAAUUUAAUAAUUUAGUUCAUGUAUUUUAAUUUCAUCAAAUUAGAGGUUUCAUCUAAUUUUUUGUUAAUUAUUUUUAAAAUAACCAAAACACUUUCAAAUAUAUAUAAUAUUAUUUAAUAAUUAAAUUAUAUCAAAAUUAAUAUUAUAUUCUUAAAUAAUAAAUAGUUUAAUUCCUAUAUUUUAACUUUCUCAAAUCAGGAAAAAAAUAUUAUUUUAAUAAAGAGAUUUCAAUUUAAUUUAUUUUUAACUAUUACACGAUUUUUUUUUUCUCAUAAGGUAAGGGAUAGAGGUGGAGGAGUUGAAUACUCCGCUUUAUGCAUUGUCACUUAAGAUUUCUACGAGUUUAUUUUAAUAUCAAUUGGAUAAACUUUUUAAAUUUUAGAUAAAUCAAGAAAUUGAAAUAUGAAAGAAAAUAAUUGAAAAUUUUAAUUUUUCAUGUUAAAAUGAGGUUAAAUUGAAUAUUUUAAUUAUUUUGAUAAAAAAAAAUAAAAGUCAACCGUGUUGUUUUUUUCAUAUCAAUACAUAGAUUGAGUUUUAAAUCGAAUUAAAUCAAAAAAAUUAAAAUUUAAAAUUUAAAAGUAUUAAAAAUUGAACUAAAUCAAUUAUUAAAAUAUAAUUAAAUUGAAUCAAAUCGAUAAAAAUUGAUUUGAUUUGAUUAUAUCAAAAUUGAAAUUUAUAAAUUUAAAUAUUGAGAUUUGGGUGCUGAUUGAGUUGAGUCAAAAAAAGGGAGGAAAGAGGUUGGCCUUGGAUUGAAUAAAGAAUGAGAGGAAAGAGGUUCACUUAUGAGCUGCUGACUUAAUUGAGUAAAAAUUAAUAUGAUAGUAUAUAAUAUCAAUUAAUUCAGUUAAUCGAUUAUUUAAUAUAUUUAAAUUGAAUUAAAUUAAAAAUUAAAUAAUUUAAAAAAUAUUAAUUAAAUUAAAUCAAAUAUUUUAACUAUUUAAACUAUUAUAUCAAAAUCGAUCCACUCAGUUUAGUUUCUUAAUUUAAAAUGAGAUAUGCUCCCUCCGUAAUUGUUCUUGUAUUAUAAUUCGGUCAAGUUGAAAGGGUCCCUCAAUUUAUAUUAAAAAACAGUUUAUUAUAUUAAGACUGAUAAAGUUAAAAUGCAAAUCUUAGAAGACUUAUGUUAAAAAAAAUUAAGGGAUGUAAGGGUUACUUUUAAUAUAAUAUCAUAUAAAUAAAUAAAAUUAUAUGUAAAAAUAUUUAAUUUGAUAAAAUAAAAGAUAUUAAAAUUAAACCGUUGAGUUUUAAAAAAAAGAUAUGCAUUAAAUUUGACAUAAAUUAAAUAUGAAAAAUUAAAUGGAUAAAUCCAAUAUUCAAAUACCAUGUGAAAUUGAAAGUAAAAGCCAAAAAAAAAAAUAGUGGAAAGAAAGUAGUGAGAGAAAGUGUGAGUUUGCAAUAGGGGAUAGUGAAAUUGACAGUCUUCGAAGAAGGUUGCUUGAUCGGCUUUGUAUUUUCUUUUCUAUGAUGCUUCUCUGCCAUUUGCAACAUAGAUUACCUUGUCUCAUAUCGUUUGUUUUAUAGUAAGGUUCGGCUAGCAAUUCGUUCGUGAUUUGCAUGUGAAGCAGCUACUGCCUGAAGGUUCUGCCUUCAUAGUCAACUGUCGGAAUUUUGGAAGGAGUGAUGGAAUAGGCAUCGUAGUGCCAAUUUGCUUUUGAAUAGUCCCAUCGUAGCUAUAUAAGAAUGAAAUUGUCGCGACGCAAUUUUCUUCCUCUACUGGCUUCUACUGAUGUUUAUGUGUGUGUGUUUUGGAUUCUCUCCUACAUAUCAUCCUAAUGGAUUUGGCUGUCGAUGAUGGAGACAGUGUUAGGUUGGUCCUAGAGUUUUAUGGAUUUAUCACAUGGGUGUGUUUUAUUUUUUGGAAAUGGGCUGAAUUUCUGGUAAGGCAUAUAUAUUUGACUAAUGAGUUGUGAUAAACUUUUCUGUACGGCUACUCUACGAGUCCUGUCAAAAUGCAAUUUACUAUAAAUGGGUUAAAAAAAUCAUGUGCAAUUUGAAAGUUUGAUCUUUUUGUUAAUUGUCAUCUCUAAUCAUGUGUCAUUAGGGUGUAAAUAAAACAAAGGAUUUGUAUGUUGCUUAAGGUUUGAUAUGGUAAAAAUUCGAUCGAUUUUGAUUCGAUUUCUAAAUGAGUUCAUACUUAAUUUUAAGUUUUAUAAUAUUCGGUUUAUUAAAUCUCAUGAGUUUGACUUAUUUUUAAAUUUAUGAACAUACUUUCAAAUAGAAUUUGUAGACAUUUUCGUGAAUAGUCUAAUUAAAUAUAUUGAAAUUAAUAUUAUAAGAGAAAUAGACUCAAAUUAUACUUUUAAAAUUAUAAAUAUUUAUAUAGUUAAAAUUUAAAAAUUUAUUAUUUAUAAAUUUGUGAAAUUAUAUAUAUAUUUAUUUAAUUAAAAUUAUUUAAUUUUAAAUUAAAACUUAUUAUAUAUAAAUAAAUUAACAAGUAAAUAAAUUAAACCGUUAGUAAAUUAUUUAAUAUUAAAAUUAAUAAAAGUUUAAUCCGUCUAAAUUUAAAUUUGAAUUUAUUAAUAUUCUAUUAAAAUUUAAUACGAAUAAAAUUUAAAUUUAAUUUGAAAUAAAAAAAAUUUAAUAAAUCAAAUUUAAACUCUUUAAAAAUUUAAACCUAACUGCACUCAUGAAUUUAGUCUGCGCUUAUAGAUUUAAUAUGAUAAUAAAUAGAAUUGAGUAAAUUUUACUUCCCAAUUCCGAUCCUCAUUCUAAAAAAAAAAUUUAACCCUUUAUCACACAAUUAUUUGCCAAACCCAUCGACCCGACUCGAAAAUAAAACCCAAUUCACCGGAUCCAGUUGAAAACCGACAAUAGACACUGCCUGCCCGUAAGGCCGUAAACACCAGCGAAGGAUUUUAAGCCAAUCGAUUUUUUCUUUUCAUCGUCUUCCUCGUUUCGGAGACUGCAGUCAACUCUGUCCAGGUUAACUACGUAAAUUAUCAGCUAUCGCUGCUUCGAUUGGAUCUUUCCAUGAGUAUAUUUCCUUGAUUCUAACUCUUAUGUAUGUGACCCGUUGUUCACAGGUUUGAGAGCCAUGAACUGGGUUCAGCGCAAGAUCUAUCUGUAUAAUGUCACUUUUGGUCUCUACAUGUUGGAUUGGUGGGAGCGUUGCCUUUUCAGUAUCCUUUCUUCCUUAUUUUCACUUGAUUCUGAUUCUGGAUUUGACUUGUCUUCUCCAUGCGAUUUGUUUUGAAGUUUAGUUCUUUAAUUGAAUGGGAGUUUUGUUAACAAUUUCUUGUGGAUUUUUGGGAUUCUUUUCCCUUUCUCUGUUAACUGUCUCGAUUACAUAUUUGCACUUUUGAGUUUCUGAACUUUGUCAGAUACUCUGGUGGUGGUGCUGAUGUGGUUCAUUUUCUACAAUGGAUCGCGAUUUGUGACCGAGUUCUGUAAGAGGUACUGGGAUGCAUCUAUCUCGUAAUUUUCUAAUUGAUUUGAGUUAUUCUAUUACAAUGGGCAUAACUGAGCUUUUGGAGCUGGUAAUUGAAACUUUGUUGCUGAGCAUGUAUUUUGUGCUCCAUAAGACUUGAGUAACAUGGCUUUUUUACAUGUUUUUUUUUGCUAGUUUUCUUUUUUUGUCCUUCUUUAGAAUGGAUGUUAGAAAAGAGCGGAAUGAUAAAACCAUCCUUGACUAGCAUGUUGGAAAUUAAAUACUAGAAGGGUAGAAAUUCACCUAUACUGUUGUAUACCGAAAUGAGGUUUUAUAAAGUAAGGGAAAUUAAAGUCAUGGAUAAUAAAGUAAUAAAAUCCCCCCAAUCCUCCAAUUUGAUGGAUUGAAAAAGUGAGAUUGAAACUUCCAAAAACUUUACCUUGCUUUAAAAACCUUCAUCUCAAGCACGAAUAUUACUUUAAAAAUCUUUGUCUUAUGUCCAAAAAGUUCCUCCCAAAUAUAGUUUUAGAGGUUAAAGCUUGCCUUUCCUUUACUUGGUUCAAACAUUUACCUUUCUCAUAAAUGCUAGUGGCCUUAAUUGAGGUAAUAGAAAUUCACAGUAAAACCAAGUAUUUCAGUCAAUAUCUCAUGCCCUGAAUUGAAAGCAACUUCUACAUUUGACUCACUUGAUUGGUUAAGCAUUCUAUGCAACAGUCUUUCAGUGCUAGAAUAUGGCUUUAGUCAUUUUAGCAGGGUAACAUUAAUCUGUUUGCUCAGGGAGAUGGGCUAUAACUCGUUCAUGUUAUUAAGCAUGAUAAGAGUUACUAGGAUUAAUGGAAUGCAUUUCUUCUCACAAACAGGUUUAAUUGGAUCUUCAUGAGCAAGCAGUGGCUCCCAUAAUAUCUCUGGUUAGUAUGAAGGUUAACUGGCCAUCAUUAUUAGCUGUUUCCCUUCUGAUUCCAGAACCAUGCGCCUUCUUCCUUUUAUUUUUUCGCUCUUGAAGGCUUCAUUCUCUUUCCUUUUUGAUCUGAUCUAAGCAAGCAACUCUUCCGUAAUCUUUGAUCCUUAUCUGAUUCUUGGGAAAAAUGGGUUCCUUCCUUCUAUUUAAUCUAAAAAUGGAUCUUCUUCAUUAUCGCUUCCAAUUCUGAAACCACUAGCUUCCACGCAAACAGCCCAUGUACCUCCAUUUUCCCUAGGCUUGUCCUGCAUCAGGAGUUGCAGAGCAUCCACUAGGAUGCAUAUUUUGUAUUCUCUGUACACUUUGCAUGUUGACUUAUUUUGAGUAUUGAGCUGAAUUCAUGUUCUAGCUUUUAAUUGUUUAUGUUGCUCAUCAUGGCGCUUGGGUGCAGCAAAAUAUUUGCAUGCCAGUUCUCCAAAACCAAGUUGGCUUUGGCUGUACUGAAUCUUUCAUUGGUAAUAAUACAGUAUGCCAUUUUGCUGUUCAAUUAGAUGAGGCUGGAGCUAUGCAUCGCCAAUUUGAUCUCCCUUAAAGCAUUGAGAUUGUGACAGACUGACAACACUACUGGAUGUCCUAGAGAAUAGUUGACAACGCAUGAUUUGUGAAAAAAAUGAGAAUAAAAAUGUGGCCUGAUCAAAUUUUUAUUUUUAUUUUUCAGGCAUCUCUGGUGAAGCUCAAGCUCAGAUGUCAAUUUGGAUGGUCAAAUUGUACUGGUCGUGUAGAAUGUUCGAGUGUUGUUGCCAUGUCUAAUUAAUUCACUUGAAAAGUUCCGUUGUGGUUCUUUAUAUACUAUACUGUACACAUUGUAAUGAUCAUUUAUAUCCUUCUCUUGAGGAUUUGAGACUUUCACUUUGUAUGUUAGUAUUCUAAUUUUUCUUCUCAUUUGCAAUUUGCUAAAUUUUGACAUUCCACUUAACACUGCAAACUUAAUGGGUUUUAUGUUGUCAAUUCUACUCAACUCACCAUGAAUAUAUAAUCGCUAGUUUCCCAUUGAGUUUCCUUUGUAGUUUACCAGUUAUGCUUUGUUCUUGGGAACAGGAACUUUUUGAACUCAAAUAGUUGGACAAAACUGUAUUAUUCAAUACUCGACACGUUGUCUGGCAGAUGUCAUGUAGAAGUUCUUUAGUGGAUUCUUGGUGUUCUGGUGCACAACGUCUUUGUGCUCAAAUCGAGGGAUUUCCACGUGAGAAUGCCUUUGAAUCAAACUAGUACAGCUGGGGCUUUUCGCAACGAAACACGUUCACCUUCUAUCCCCUUUCUCAGUUAUUACAAAUGCGGUUGUUUUGUUGCGUCUUGCAGUAGCAUACGAGACUAUCUGCAAGUCAUGUUGGACUUGAACACCUUUUGCUGUUAAUGUUGAUGAAAAGUUCCCGAGGUUCACCCAUCAAUAUGCACAAGUAGUUGGGCCUAGCCUAGCGCGGGUCGAUCUGAUUUGCGGAGCAAAUCCGAAUUGGUUUGAUUUUUAAUGGUUUUAAUUUUUUUGAUAGUUUCGCUAUGUUUUCAGUUUGAUUUUAAAGCAGUUACAGUUUUUUACUGUUUUAAUUAAGUCUAAAUUCUAAACGAUCAAUUUGAUCCCGAUUUAAAAAAAAAUUGCAAAUAAAAAUUUAGAUAAAAUAAAGAAAUGAAGUUAAAUGUUAAAUAUUAUGGAAUUGAUAAUUAAUUAAAUAAGUAAAAUCGUAGAAAAUGUGUACAUUUGUAUAAUAUAAAAGAACUAUUAUAUUUAAAUAAAAAUAAUAUUUUUUUACUGAUAAAAGAAAAUAAUUAAUUUAAAAUUACUUAUUUAAUAAUUAACUUAUCCAUAUAUCAAUUAAUUAUAUUGAAUUGUUAUGUUAAUUUUGAUUUUAGCUAAAAAAAGAGCUUUCUUUUGAUUUUAGUUAAUUAUAAUGUUUUAAUUCGUUUCAAAAACUGAAUCGAUAAAUUCAAAAUUUGAUUGGUUUGAUUCACAGUUUGAAGCAAACCGUGGUCAAGCCUACCAGAAGUAGUUGUAGUGGUAGGCAUUGACCCCUGCAAACAAAGGCGAAAGGCAGCAUCUGGACCCUACAUUCUACAUCAUAUCAUAAUUACAAGAUUGGCUCUUAAGGAAAUGCUCCCUUUGUAAAGGAGAAAAAGGCCUAGAGAGCAGCAAUUCAAGAUUCGAGGUGCCUAACCAGAAAAGGAAAACUCUUAUAAAAAGAUAAUCAAAUUGAUGAUCAUUGCUUUGGCCUUCGGUACCUUUCACUCCUUUUCAUCUUUUUUACAUCUGUGUUUUUUCUUUUGGUUGUCUUGACUCUUGUAAUUUUCAUUCAACUUUUUGAAAUUUGUUACCUCACAUAAUUUAUUUUUAAAAAAUAAAAUAAAAUCAUAUAAAAUUUCAACUUAUUUAAAUUAAAAAUAAUUAAUUUUUUUAUUCAAAAUAAUAUUAUUAAAAAAAUUAAUUAUUUUAAAUUAAAGAGAAUUAAAAUAGUUCUGCUUUAAAAUUAAAUUGGUUUGACGCUUUAUUUAAUAACUAUAUUCAUUAGAUGUUUAACUUAGGCAAAAAUUUUGAAAUUAAUUUAGUCAGCUGAUCUAGAAUAGUUCAAUGCUUAAGGCAUCAAAUUUAAUCUUACAGAGUUAGAUCUGAAAUGCAGAAAUUAAUUUAGACUUUGAAUUAAUUAAAAUAUUUUUUUUCUAAAAAUAAAAAUUUAAUUUAAUUAACUCAUGUUAAUCGAAUUAAAAAUUAAAAUCAGANNNNNNNNNNNNNNNNNNNNNNNNNNNNNNNNNNNNNNNNNNNNNNNNNNNNNNNNNNNNNNNNNNNNNNNNNNNNNNNNNNNNNNNNNNNNNNNNNNNNNNNNNNNNNNNNNNNNNNNNNNNNNNNNNNNNNNNNNNNNNNNNNNNNNNNNNNNNNNNNNNNNNNNNNNNNNNNNNNNNNNNNNNNNNNNNNNNNNNNNNNNNNNNNNNNNNNNNNNNNNNNNNNNNNNNNNNNNNNNNNNNNNNNNNNNNNNNNNNNNNNNNNNNNNNNNNNNNNNNNNNNNNNNNNNNNNNNNNNNNNNNNNNNNNNNNNNNNNNNNNNNNNNNNNNNNNNNNNNNNNNNNNNNNNNNNNNNNNNNNNNNNNNNNNNNNNNNNNNNNNNNNNNNNNNNNNNNNNNNNNNNNNNNNNNNNNNNNNNNNNNNNNNNNNNNNNNNNNNNNNNNNNNNNNNNNNNNNNNNNNNNNNNNNNNNNNNNNNNNNNNNNNNNNNNNNNNNNNNNNNNNNNNNNNNNNNNNNNNNNNNNNNNNNNNNNNNNNNNNNNNNNNNNNNNNNNNNNNNNNNNNNNNNNNNNNNNNNNNNNNNNNNNNNNNNNNNNNNNNNNNNNNNNNNNNNNNNNNNNNNNNNNNNNNNNNNNNNNNNNNNNNNNNNNNNNNNNNNNNNNNNNNNNNNNNNNNNNNNNNNNNNNNNNNNNNNNNNNNNNNNNNNNNNNNNNNNNNNNNNNNNNNNNNNNNNNNNNNNNNNNNNNNNNNNNNNNNNNNNNNNNNNNNNNNNNNNNNNNNNNNNNNNNNNNNNNNNNNNNNNNNNNNNNNNNNNNNNNNNNNNNNNNNNNNNNNNNNNNNNNNNNNNNNNNNNNNNNNNNNNNNNNNNNNNNNNNNNNNNNNNNNNNNNNNNNNNNNNNNNNNNNNNNNNNNNNNNNNNNNNNNNNNNNNNNNNNNNNNNNNNNNNNNNNNNNNNNNNNNNNNNNNNNNNNNNNNNNNNNNNNNNNNNNNNNNNNNNNNNNNNNNNNNNNNNNNNNNNNNNNNNNNNNNNNNNNNNNNNNNNNNNNNNNNNNNNNNNNNNNNNNNNNNNNNNNNNNNNNNNNNNNNNNNNNNNNNNNNNNNNNNNNNNNNNNNNNNNNNNNNNNNNNNNNNNNNNNNNNNNNNNNNNNNNNNNNNNNNNNNNNNNNNNNNNNNNNNNNNNNNNNNNNNNNNNNNNNNNNNNNNNNNNNNNNNNNNNNNNNNNNNNNNNNNNNNNNNNNNNNNNNNNNNNNNNNNNNNNNNNNNNNNNNNNNNNNNNNNNNNNNNNNNNNNNNNNNNNNNNNNNNNNNNNNNNNNNNNNNNNNNNNNNNNNNNNNNNNNNNNNNNNNNNNNNNNNNNNNNNNNNNNNNNNNNNNNNNNNNNNNNNNNNNNNNNNNNNNNNNNNNNNNNNNNNNNNNNNNNNNNNNNNNNNNNNNNNNNNNNNNNNNNNNNNNNNNNNNNNNNNNNNNNNNNNNNNNNNNNNNNNNNNNNNNNNNNNNNNNNNNNNNNNNNNNNNNNNNNNNNNNNNNNNNNNNNNNNNNNNNNNNNNNNNNNNNNNNNNNNNNNNNNNNNNNNNNNNNNNNNNNNNNNNNNNNNNNNNNNNNNNNNNNNNNNNNNNNNNNNNNNNNNNNNNNNNNNNNNNNNNNNNNNNNNNNNNNNNNNNNNNNNNNNNNNNNNNNNNNNNNNNNNNNNNNNNNNNNNNNNNNNNNNNNNNNNNNNNNNNNNNNNNNNNNNNNNNNNNNNNNNNNNNNNNNNNNNNNNNNNNNNNNNNNNNNNNNNNNNNNNNNNNNNNNNNNNNNNNNNNNNNNNNNNNNNNNNNNNNNNNNNNNNNNNNNNNNNNNNNNNNNNNNNNNNNNNNNNNNNNNNNNNNNNNNNNNNNNNNNNNNNNNNNNNNNNNNNNNNNNNNNNNNNNNNNNNNNNNNNNNNNNNNNNNNNNNNNNNNNNNNNNNNNNNNNNNNNNNNNNNNNNNNNNNNNNNNNNNNNNNNNNNNNNNNNNNNNNNNNNNNNNNNNNNNNNNNNNNNNNNNNNNNNNNNNNNNNNNNNNNNNNNNNNNNNNNNNNNNNNNNNNNNNNNNNNNNNNNNNNNNNNNNNNNNNNNNNNNNNNNNNNNNNNNNNNNNNNNNNNNNNNNNNNNNNNNNNNNNNNNNNNNNNNNNNNNNNNNNNNNNNNNNNNNNNNNNNNNNNNNNNNNNNNNNNNNNNNNNNNNNNNNNNNNNNNNNNNNNNNNNNNNNNNNNNNNNNNNNNNNNNNNNNNNNNNNNNNNNNNNNNNNNNNNNNNNNNNNNNNNNNNNNNNNNNNNNNNNNNNNNNNNNNNNUGCCUUGCAUGUGCUAGUUGAGGAACAUUCGGGGACGAAUGUUCUUAAGGGGGGGAGAAUGUAAUACCCGGCUAGACUCCGGUAUCGGAAUUCCUACCGUCCGGUGGAAUCUCGGAUGUCGGAAGCCUCUAGUAGGGUAAAACCAUAUUUUUAUGAAAUGUUUUAAUGUGUUUUAUGUUUUAAGCAUGAAAGAAAAUGAGUUUUUGCAUGAAAAUAGCAUUGGAGGAAACCUCAGGUUCGGCCGCCGAACCUCAAGUUUGGCCGCCGAACAUGCAUGCGUUGCGGGUAUGCUUUAGGCCCCCAAAAGCAUAAGUGAGGGAAGUCCAGGUUCGGCCGCCGAACCCCAAGUUUGGCCGCCGAACAUGGCAUGCAUGCGGAGGCACAUUCGGCCCCCGAACGUGGUCUGGCCAGCCACUAUAAAAGGGUCCCUUAAUCGAAAACGGGCCCCUUAAUCGAAAACGGGCGAGCUUUUUCCCCAUUUUCGGCCAAGGUGAGCUCUUCGCCGUCCCUCACCCAUCUUUGAUGUUUUUCCUCUAAAUCUUUCAAGAUUUUCAUUUGUUUUAACUUUGUUUUGAAGAUUAAAGCUUUUGAGCAAAGUUUUGGAGCUUGGAGGUUCAAGAACCCAAUCUCUCCCAACUUCGAGUUUAGGUCGUCUCUCUCUCGAUCUUCAAGAGGUAAGAGCCGAUCUUAAGCUCAUUGCAUGUUUUAAGUAAGUUUUAAGUAGAUCUAUGGGUUAGAAUGCAUGUUUAGGUUAUGGUUAUGUUUAUGGGUAUAAAUGUGUGCUCUUGAACAAUGUGGAUGUUUGAUGUGUUGUAGAUGGGGUUUAUGUUGGUUUGAGGCCCCUAGGAACAUGUAUGCUUGUGUUUGUGUGUUGUAGAAUAGGUUUGAUGCAUGUUUGAUAAGUUUGGAGGCGAAAUGUGCAAAGGGAGCCAAGUUUCUACCCUUUGGCAGAAACCAGGUUCGGCAGCCGAAGGAUUUUCGGCCGCCGAACAUGGCUGGGGAGGCAGCCUUUCGGCUGCCGAAGCUUGCCCCCGAAAGGGAGACUUUCGUCUCUGUCUGGCAGUUUCGGCCGCCGAAAGUGCCGCCGAACAUGCAUGAGUUUCGUCUCUGUCUGGGAGUUUCGGCCGCCGAAGGUGCCGCCGAACCUGCCUGACUUUCGGCUCUGGAAGGACUUUCGGCCGCCGAACCUGCCGCCGAAAGUGCCCCGUCCAGGCCUCCUUUGCAUGAUUUUAUAUGGUUGUUUCAUGAUGUUUUAGGGGGUUUUUGGGGAGUAGUUUAUAGUUAUGUUCAGGUGUGUUUGGUCCCUCAUUUGAGUCCACCUGUGUAGGUUCGGAUCCGAGGAACCGAGGACCCCAGCAGUGAGUUCAGCUGCUUCGGUGUUGUCAGAGUCAGCCAGAGGUGAGUGGAACUAAACUUAAUCUUUUAAAUUAAAUGUUUUAUCAUGUUCCAUGCAUCAUGAUUAUGAAAUAGGAUGAUUGCAUUAGUUUCACGAAUAUGCCGCAUUGCAUCGAUUGUUGUUGAUGUGGGUGAAUGUUGGAUGACCCAAUUAGUCCAUGACAGGAAGACCAGGACCCCAUUCUACGGCCUAGCACAGAGUAAGGAAAGACCAGGACCCCAUGCUACGGCCUGUCACGGUAAUGGGACUCGAAGACCAGGAGCCCAGAGGAGGCCCUGGGAUAAUGGUAAGUAAUGUAUGUAUGACAGGAAGACCAGGACCCCAUGCUACGGCCUGGCACAGAGUUAGCUUGGACUAAUUGGUGACAAGUUCACCCAACCCUUAUGUGAAUUGUCUGUGUUAUGAUGCAUUUCAUUGGANNNNNNNNNNNNNNNNNNNNNNNNNNNNNNNNNNNNNNNNNNNNNNNNNNNNNNNNNNNNNNNNNNNNNNNNNNNNNNNNNNNNNNNNNNNNNNNNNNNNNNNNNNNNNNNNNNNNNNNNNNNNNNNNNNNNNNNNNNNNNNNNNNNNNNNNNNNNNNNNNNNNNNNNNNNNNNNNNNNNNNNNNNNNNNNNNNNNNNNNNNNNNNNNNNNNNNNNNNNNNNNNNNNNNNNNNNNNNNNNNNNNNNNNNNNNNNNNNNNNNNNNNNNNNNNNNNNUAUGUAAUGAUGUUUAUGGAUUAUUAGAGGUGUGCUUGACCAUAGAAUGUUGUUAUCCCUUUUAAUACAUGAUCUUGGUUAUUUUAUGUCAUUUAUGCAAACCAACUCAACAUAUGUUAUGUCACCCAUUUGGGGGCACUGAUGAGAUCCCACAGAGGGAUCAAUGUUUAUGAUUUAUGUUAUAUACAGUGCAUGCACAGAUUGAGUAUGGUUGAUGUAUAUGGAAAGAAAAGUUUUAAAAUUUUAUGUAUGUUGUUGAUCAUGUAUGGGAUUAUACAGGUUUUCAGGUUAGAUGUCAGGCUUGCUACGGGUCCCGGCGGCCUUAAGCCGAUCUGGAUCCUAGCGCCGGUAGCGGUCCGAUUUUCGGGUCGUUAUAGAUACAAUAUAUUAAUAUGAUGUAAGUUCUUAUCUACGUCGACUUCCAUUAGAGCAAUACCAACUUUAUAAUUCAUUUCUACCAUUAACCAUUUGAUCCCUAUAUUCCAUAUUAUUCGGAGACCAAAUAAUACAACAUGUAACUCCGUAUCCAUCGAGAAACAAAUAUCCAAACGAAUGCAAUAACCUUCAAUCAUGCUCUACACAAUUGUGCAAGACCCCCUACACCUCCCCUUCAUGGAUUUCCUUUAUCCGCCCCAUUUGUAUUUAAUUUAACCCAAUUAAGUAAGGGAGAUUGUCAAAUAAUAUUUACCAACAUUCGGGUAUGAUUUGGAACCCUAUUACUCUGUGAACACCAAGCUCGGAGAUUCUGUGCUGGCUGCAACUUAAAACAAUUGAUUUGUUGUCUUAAAAAGCAGCAAAUGCUACGAAACACAUUUUCAUUCAUUCAUUUUCAUAACCACCACAAACCUAAAAAUAGAACCUGUGUAAAAGAUAAAUUAAAACAUAAUAUACAUUCAAACUUUUAUAACCGAGAGAACCAAAUAAUAAUAUCUAUAGAUAAGAAAACACAAAGAGAAUCAGGUCUCUAAAUAUGAGAUCAAAUUUGUUAAGCCCUUGAACAAUCUCAAAAAAUACGAGAAAUUUCCUCUACCAUUGCACCACAUAAAGCACAACUCAUGUCUUGUGAAAAGCCCCGAUUCCAUCUUUCCAUAUUAGUCAUAAGUUUUUCAGGAAUUAAAAUCCAAAUAAAAGAGAAACCGGAACACUUCAAAUUAUCUUCCAAACCGAAUUGGCAGCAAAGGAGGAUUCAUAGUACAACAAAACAUAUAUCAUUUUAACAGUGAAGUGACCAUUAUGCGUGAUCUUCCAUGCUGUUUGAUCUAUAACACAAACAUCAGCUAUUAAAAACUUACCUUCCACCAACUUACAUCCCUCAUCAGACAUAUAUGGUGUAAUAACAUUCCAAUUUCAAUCAUCAUUCUUCUAGUACUGAGCGACCACAACUUAUUCACAUGAACUUAGAAGGGACUUGAUUAAAAAAUCACAAAGAGGGUCCUUCCCAAUUCUGGUAUCAUUCCAAGGAUGUACUUAUUUCGUUGCCUACAACUAGACAUAAGUCUUUUUGCAAUAAUGGAAAGUUGUUAACAACACCUCUCCAAACAAAAGAGCUAAUAAGUUUAAAUACAAAUACCUUCAAAUUAGAAGGUGAGCAAAAGUACUUACCUUUUAGCACUUGCACCCAUACUGCACGAUCUUUUUUCAAAAUCUUUCAUCCCAUCUUGGUCAGAAAUGCUGAAUUCAUUGAUCACUUGAUCUUAACUCCAAACCACCCUUAUCCAUUACUAGAUAAAGCUGAUUCUAGUUUACAAGAUGAAUUCUUUGCGCACCAUGUAUAUCUUUCUAAACAAAACUUCUAAUCAUUUUAUCAAAUUCAUCACACAUCGAUUUUGAAAUAUAAACUGAUAACAUCAAAUGGUUAGGUACCAUAGAAAUGAUAAGUUUGGCUAAUAUUACCCAAUCAACAAAAGAAAUCACUCUCGUUUUUCAACCUGCUAAAUAAUUGUCCAUUUUUACUAACAAAUCAUCAAAAUGAUGUAUUUUAAUACGUCAUUAAACCAUUGGAAUUCCUAGAUAUUUACCAAUAGAUUCAGCUUCUGAUAUUUCAUCAACAGAUCAUAUAGCUUGUCUUUUAAUAUCAUCUACAUUAAUUGAAAAAUAAAUUUUUGAUUUUUCAAAAAUUCACCCUUUAUUUUUAUAAAUUUAAAUAUUCAAUAAAUUAUAAUUUUAAUUCAAAUAUUUAAUGAAAUAAUAUAAAAUAGUAUAAUAGUAUAUCUCCUAUCUUUUCUCUCAUCUCACUUUUUACUUUUACAACAACAAUAAAUUUAUUAUAACAUUUUUUCAAUAGAUGAGGACAUUAUAACUUCAUUUUAUUAUAAAAAAUAGUUUAAACAAUAGGACAAAAUGUACAUUAAACCUAAAAAUGUAUUAAAUAUAAAUUCAUAUAAAAUGUAAUUAUUAAAUUAUGUUACAUUAAUCGAUAGUGAAUUUAAAAUUUUUUUAUAUUAAUAAUUAAUAUAUAUACCAAAUAUAAAUUUACACAAUUAUCUUAUUUGAUAUUGAUGCAUUACACAACUGAACUAAAAUUAAUUAUAACCUAUUAAAUAACUUACUUACAAAAUUAUAAUAAUUAAAUAUAAAUUUAUUAUGUUAUUUGAUGCUAUAUAAAAAAAUAAGAAAUAGUCUCAUUUAUUACUUAUUAUAUUUAAAUUUUUUAUAAAAUACUUUAUUAAUAUAUACAAUUUAGAAUAUAUAGUCAAUAAUAUUUAGAAUACAUAGGAACUGUGUGAAAUUUUAGGUAUUGAAUAAUUCAAUUUCUAAAAUAAAAAGGAUAAAAUUGCGAAAAUUAGUAAAAGGAUUCACAAAUGGAAGUAGUGAAUUUCGCAUGCAAUAAUAGAAUUUAGCAUUAGCGAUACCAUCAAGAGUGUAACGCACAAGCACACAUAGGAUCGUCCCUUUACUUUCUUCCAACCAACACUACGUUUUAUGGAGGGAAAAUAUGAGAAAAAUAAAAAUUAGAAAGGAAAAUGAGAAGGAAAUCAAUUUUUAAUAGAAAAAUAUAAUAUGGCUAGGUUAGUUCAUAAGACAGGUUAUACUAGAUAAUUUGAGCGUUGGUUCCACUAAAUAAGAUCAUAAGGCGGGUUUUAUCAAAUCAUUCGAUCGUUGGUCUCAUUAAAUAAGACUAUAAGACAGUUUCUAUCAGGCUAGAUCAUAAAGCGAGUUUUGCCAGACCAUUCGAGCGUUGGUUUCAUUAAAUAAGACUAUAAGGUGGGUUUCAUCAAGUAAGGUCACAAUGCGGUUUUCAUCAAAUCAUUCAGGCACACGUACCAUUAAAUAAAGCCAUAAGAUGGAUUCCACCAGACCAUAAUAUGGGCGUUGGUCCCUACAAACAGGUCAUCCAUGCCAGGCAGUAACGAGGCGAACCUAACAAUCCCUAAAAGAUGAAAGUGUCAACUAAAGAUUAAUGAGACGAGUCUUAUGAUCAAGAAUCAAGAUGAAUAACUGGGUAAAAGCCCUUUAUUACAAAAGCGUCCAGGGUGUCUUAUGGUGCAAAGUCGGGAGUCUGCCAAGUUAUAGGCCUAGGCAUUAAUCCUAUUUUGCAAAUUAUAUUUGUUAGACUCGACUUUAAACUUGCAGGAUGAAUAUGUUUUAACCUCCUGUUUAAAUCAUUGGUAACAAAAAACUCAAGAAUAGAGAUGCAAAAUAUGCAUUUUCAUUAUAAAAUAUUACAAAGGGAUAAGAGAGACUUGGACAAGUCUCUAGUACAUCAUAAUCUCUUAAAAUUUUAUUAGCAGAGACCCAAGUGACAAGGCUCCAACUAUCUUCCUGGUCUGACCUUCAGAAUCAGUUUUACACAAUCCAAUCCCUCUGUCCGGGGUCGUAAUGCUGAAAAGGCAUUAUAGUCGGGCUGGUUGCAAUUCCCAAAGCUAAGCAUCAUACUUGCACCUUCAUGAAUACCCGCCUUCAACUGCUCUUUGUAGAUCAUGAUGAUAUUCUCAACACAAAUCUGGUUAUUCUCAAGAAAAGAAUGGAGAGUACCCCAUUCAUGACUCCGCAGACGACAUCCGUAAAUAAAAAAGAAUAGAAAGAUGCAUUCUUAUAUAGCGAAAUAGCCAGCAAAACUGUAAAUAUGGCUCGAAAAAUAAGACAACCAUCGUGACCAAGGAUAAACGAGAUAAAGCAUGCCACAUAACUAAAAAGACAAAUCAUCACCUUCGAAUCUGAAGUAUUAAAGACCAGUGGGGAACUUCUGAUACUACAUAACAAUCAACCAAAAUAAGCCAUGAGCUGUCACCACAAGAACAGGACCAUGCGACAAGGAUAUGAUAAGUAGGAAAUGCAGUCAGCCCAAGAAAAGGAAGACUUGGACACCUUAAUAUCGAGUUCAUCCUCGAAGACCCAUCCUUCCCUUGACAGGGCGAGUCUCAGCACGAAAUUACCAUUAUUAAGUAUAACCCCGCAUAUCUCUAUUACGCAUGUAAUCAUGGGAGUACCAACCUGUUAUCUGGCAAUGUCUUUUAUCAAGCAACCAGUCACAGAUUACCGAAAAAUACUAUAUUUAUAUCUAUUUUCUUAUAGUAUAAAAGGAGAAAAAACACAGAAAUAAAAAUACGAUAUUUUCUUAUACCAUUCAAAUUCUAAUUAGUAUAUUAACUUAAGUGUUGGAGUAGCUGUUAUGAGCAUCCACCACAUUACGUUCUCUUUUCUUACAGGUCUAAAAAUUAUGACAUAAUUUUCUUUCGGUCAUGUCAUCAAUCUAAUUUCUGCAACAUCACUUUCCAAUCACUUUUUUUUUUAUUUUUCUUUCGUAAUAUUUGAUCCUGAACAUAAUGUAAAGAUACUUCUUUGGAAAAAAAAACAAAGAAAAAGAAAAAUACUAAGUCCAAACACAAUAUAAAGGUUUCUUUGGAAAAAAGAAAGAAAAAAAAAAAAACUAAGGGGACUUGGAAGCGCACGAGGAGUUGGGGCCAUUUGACAUCAGCAUACUACUGUAACGUAAACGGGUACGCCGACAAAAACAAUAGAAAUUUUAAAAUGGAAUGGCAAUACAAUCCUACCUGUAAUGUUAAUUUAUUAAAAUUUAAAUAUAUAAAUGAAAUAUAAUUUAAAAAUAAAAAGUAAUCCUAUAAAGAUAAUUAUUGGACAAUUUUUUAUAAUAAAUAUAUUUACUUAUAAAUUAUUUUUAUAUAAUAAAAUUUUUAAUAAAUAAUUUAUUUGAAUCAAAUAAGAUUUAUCAAUUAUUCUUAUGAUCCAAUUCUGCUGAUUUGCUCAAUAGAAAGUUCAUCGAGAAUUGCUUUUUUCGUUGUUUUUUUUUUCUCAUAUGAAUUUCGUGUUCCUGUCAUUUUAAUGGCUUUUAAUAUAAUAUCAACUAUUGUUUGAAAAAAAACAAAGAAUAGAGACAAGUAUUUUUUACGUGUCGAAAAUGCCCUUAAAACCACAUUCUUAUCACGGAAUUGCCGCUUAACUAUCGAAAUUGCGUCGUCUUCCUCACCUUUGCUUGCACUCGAAGAUAUGAGUCUGAAUCCGAUUCAGCAAACAGGCACACAAAUAUUGACAACAGUAAAAAAACAAAAACAAAAAAGAACACACACACGUGUUUAACAAGCGCGCUAAUCCUCGUACUUUGUUGACAUUGUCGGAAGCUCUAGUAUAAACUCGGUAACUAAAAUUAAAUUAUUACAAGCUGUUUCAGUAUUUGGCAAUACAUGGAUGCUUAAUUAACGUGCAAAACAGCGGAUGUAUAACUAGAAAUGAACAUUUAAUCAAUUUAAUUUUAUAUAUUUGAACUUAAUUCUUUAUAUUAUUAAAAUAAUAAAAUAUUAUAAAUUAAUCACUUUCAAUUUCAUCAAUUUUUUUAAAUUAAAUUAAAGUUAUUAAAAUUUUCAAAUUAAAAUCGAAUAAAAAAUAUAAAACAAAAUCGAAUGCUUAAAUUAAUUUAGUUUACUUCGAAUACCGUUAGUCCUCCGGCCAGUCCAGCUACAUAUGAGCCAAAAAGGUUCCUUGAAAAUUUUCAAGUUAUCUAGGUUUAUUUAUAUAAUUUUUUUUAAUUUUUAAAUAAAUAAAAAAAUUGCUGUUAAGUCUUUUAAUUUUUUUUAAAAAUUAUUAAUUUAUUUUUAUUUAAAAAUUACUCAAUUAAAAAGCCUUUUUAUUAUAUAAAAUUAAAUUUUUUAUUUUUUUUAAAAAUUCAUCAAUGUGUCAAAUCUCUUAAUUUUUAAAAAUUAAUAUAUUUCUAUUUAAAAAUUAUCUAAUUAAAAAGUUUUUGUAUCUUAUAAGAUUAAAAUUUUAAUUUCUUUUAUAAAACAAUUCAUUAAUUUAUCUUAAAAUUUUAAUUUAUUUAAUUUAUAUAAUUUUAAUUAUAUUUAUUAUAUAGUCUUUAUAAUUUUAAAUAUUCAUAUUUUAAUCUAUUCAAUUAAAAUUAAAAUAAAUUAGACUAAUUAUUUGUUUACAUCUAAACUAAAUAAUUUAUUUUUAUAAAAAAUAAAAUAUUUUAAUAGAGUAAUUUUAAUAUAAAAAUAAAUUAAUAAAUGUAGAUAUUUUUAAUAAUUCUCUCAUAAUACAAUGGCUAACUCCUAAUCCUAUUUUUAUAGUAACUACUUUCCCACAAUUUUUUUUUAUAAUUUAAAAUUUUUAUUUUAAAUUUUUAAGAUUGGAGCUCUAAAUAUUUUACUUAAUUUUUUUCUUUUUAAAAUAUUUAUAAAAUAAAUUAUUUCAUUAUUAUUUAAUUUAUUUUUAUAUCUUACUUUUUAUUAUUAGAAAGUAAAUUUUAUUUUCAAUUGCUCUAUUUAAAUUUAAAUAUUAAUUUAAAAAUUUUAUUUUUAAUAUAUAUUUAAAUAAAAAUUUUACAAAAUAAAUAAAAUUAAAAAUAUCGCUAUAAAAUAAAAUUAAGUCAUCUUCACUUAAAUUUCUUGAUCUGCCCUGUCUCCAGACUUAGAAAAAAGGUCCUAAAAUUCAGAAGUAAAUAGAACCACACAGAUUGCAGUACUCAGAACCAGAACACCAAAACCUGCACAACUUACAGAGAUGAUGCAGUAAAACUCAUGGCUGAUAGCCUUUGGGUGUGGAAAUCACCGGCCGUCGCGGUGAUUAUCCUCGGGUUGCUAGCAUCGACGCAUGCACAGCCUCCCUUCAAGCAUAAAGUUGAAAUAUUUAGUUUUGGUUUUAGUUUUUUUCUCAUUACUGACGUUGUGUUCUUUACAAAAAGUCCUUCUUGUCCCGCCUUUUUAAUGGUGGAAGCGGCUGCAAGUCAUGGGCUAUACUGUCUUUUUCUAUUAGUGUUUCAAAAAGGUCAAAAAAAUUAACAAUAAUUAAAUAAAAGUUGAAGUCCCUAGUCGUUUUCUCCGCUAUAUGACAAGCACCGCCUAGUCCGACUUCUUCCGACAAGUGUCAGCAACUACCAUAUUAUGACACGUGGAUGGUCAGAUUGGAUUGAGCAGCCAGAUGAUGAUAUGAGAGUCGUAUCUCAGUCAUAAGCUCUUAACCAUGGUUACAUACAAGGGGUUUCAAGCUUCAACCAUAGUUAAUUACCGCCGCUUUAACCUUUUUUUUUUUGUUUAAAAAAAAUAUUUUCUCCACUUCAAUUCAAAUCCUCUCUUUUCUCUCGUUCUAUUUAAAUGCUACUGCUUCUCUGUCUCCGUCUCUGUCUCUGUCUCUGCCCGUCUCUCUCUCUCUCUCUGCACAGAGAUGAGGAUGAAGUGGAGCAGCCGCCUUUUGUGACCGUGAAGCACCGGUCACCGACAGAGUUGAAUCGUUUCACUUCAUUGCGAGCGAGUUCAGCGAGUGGAAUCUGGUAGAAGUAGGUCCUUUUCUUUUUCCUCUAUAAUGGUCUAAUUUCAGAGAAAUAUUCAGAAUUCUCUUUAGCUAGUUUAGUUGGGUUCGCCAUUAUCAUCGCUAGUUGAACUUUCCAACCGAAACCCCAUAACCUUUACAUUUACGCUUCGAUACUGAGAGUGAGAGAACUGGAAGGGUUCAGUGGACUUCAGGUUGAUUUAGCUUUGACGGAAAUAGAAUGGUGGAGGUUGAGAAUUCCUCACAAAUGACAUUUUCCAUUGCUUCUGGAGAAGCCAAUAAUGUAUCUAAUUUUGGUAAUCAAGCGCCGCCUCUCUCAGCGCCGCUACCAAAGAAGAAGAGAAACCUUCCCGGAAUGCCAGGUAAAUUAUAUUUUACCAAACCCCAAAAACUCUCUCAUCUUUUUUUCUACUUUUACCAGCAUGAUAAUCUCCUUGCUUUUGAUUCUGUGCGUUUCAGAUCCAGAUGCUGAAGUGGUGGCGUUAUCGCCAAAGACCUUAUUGGCCUCAAACCGUUUUGUGUGCGAAAUCUGCAACAAAGGCUUCCAACGCGACCAAAACCUCCAGCUUCACCGCCGCGGCCAUAACUUACCGUGGAAACUAAAGCAACGAACCAGUAGGGAACCACGCAAGCAGGUAUACGUGUGCCCAGAACCAGCUUGUGUUCACCACAAUCCAGCUAGAGCUCUGGGAGAUCUCACCGGUAUAAAGAAGCAUUUCUGCAGAAAGCACGGUGAGAAGAAGUGGAAGUGCGAACGCUGCUCCAAGAACUAUGCAGUUCAGUCGGAUUGGAAGGCCCACAUGAAGAUUUGUGGCUCUCGAGAGUAUAAAUGCGAUUGUGGGUCUUUGUUCUCCAGGUUCUUAGUCCUUUUUAUCUCUGAUUCUGCUUUACACUUCCUCUCUGUGUCUGUCUUGAUUGUUACUAAUAUUUCUCUGUGUGUUUUUUUUUUGUUUUGCUUUGGUAAUCAAGGAGGGAUAGUUUCAUAACGCAUAGGGCGUUCUGUGAUGUCUUGGCGGAGGAGAGUGCGAGGGCAAAAACCCUAACGAUUAUGGAUAAGGAGAGGAAUACGAAUCUAAAGAAUGUGAUUGCUUCACCGCCAUCUCCACCUCUUACGCCAUCAACCACUGUAGUUUCUUCGGGUGUCUUAGUUCAAAGCUCAGGUAGGUCUUAGUGCUAUAUUUUCCUACCUUGUGGCUGAGAGGCGGUGGCUUUAUGCUUUACAUAUGUACUGGGUUUGGUACAUUGUGGGUGAUUUGUCCUUAAGUUGAUGUCGUUCUCGCAUGGACUUUAGGCUCAGAGAAUAUAACAAAUGUAUACGUGUGUGCGUGUGAGAGAGAGAGAGAGAGAGGAGAGGAGAGGAGAGGAGAGGAGAGGAGGAGGGGGGAGACUAGAGGUUUUGCUGUAAAAUCACGGGCACACACUGCUCAAAGAUCGAAAAGCCAAUAGAGGGGAUUGACGUUUGAGAGGAGCAUCCCGGCAAAAUUUGCUUAGUCUGGAUUUAUACGGGUCUAUAGACUAUAUGUACAGUAUUUCAUGUGGGUCUUACACUUACCUCAUCUAAAUAGAGUUUUAUUAUCCAAAAAUACCAUCUUUUACUCGAAUGAUUUAGGUUACCCCAUUAUCUAUUUCUAAGUGUAAUUUUUUUCUGCCUUUUUUUGUUUUUUUUUUUAAAUCUUUUUUCUUCUCUCUCACUCCACUCCACUUCUGUUCAUAGAAUUAGCAGAAAAUCCAGUUGGACAUUCAGUGUCAACGCCGGCAACUGCAUGCUUGAAUGCCACUAUUCCGAGUUCCAGAUCCAGCAGCUCUAUUAGCAAUGUAUUUGCCAGUGUAUUUGCUUCAUCAGCAAUGGCAGCGGUUAUCUCACAAGCAUCAUCUACCUCACUUUCCAAUUUUCUUUGCGCGUUACCUCACUCUGAUUGCCCCACUACAAUACAAACACAUAGAGCCGCAGAGCCUCCGUCGCUUUCACUUUCCUCUUCUUUCUAUCUCUCCAACAAUGCCUCCUUUUUCCCAGACCAAGACCAUCGACACUAUACUUUAUCUCCCCAACCUGCCAUGUCCGCUACUGCAUUGCUUCAAAAAGCAGCACAAAUGGGUGCAACAUCAUCAAACUCAUCAUUUCUCCGUGGCUUGGGUUUGCCAGUAUCAUCUUCCUGUAGCCAAGAUAUCAACGGCAAUCAACGAGACAUGAAGCAAGACGCUAAUGCUGUGGCAGCUGGGCUCGGAAUCGGACUCCCUUCCGGAGAUGUUAUGAUGGGUUCGUCUCCUUUGUUUGGGAACAAGCCAACCACGCUUGAUCUUCUUGGGCUGGGCAUAGGUGCUGGCUCUGCUUUGCUAAAUUCCUAUGGUGGCAGCUUCAAUGUAGGAGCAGCUGCAGUUUCUGCUGUAGCAACUCCAUACGGAGGAGGGAGCUCUAAAGAAACAUGGGAUGCUGCAGCCGAGAAAAAGCCAAGUGGUUCAGCCUUGUAUUAGAGAGCUUCACUUUUUCCAUGUAUUUUUGUCAACGGUGAAAAAGUUGAGCUCUUACAUCUCUCUUGCUUUCCAAUGGCUGAUACCCUUUUGUUUCUCAAAAAUAAAGGCCAGAGAAGGUCCAUGGAAUAGUUUUAGUUAGUAUUCAAAUAUAUGUACAUACUAAUUUUUGGUCCCUUUGGUGCUUUAAUUUAAUUAAAAUAUGGAGAAACUGGCAUGGGAGGUAAAGUUAUUUUGCUUUGAUUGGAAACAAUGCAAGUCAUGGCCAACAUGGGUAUAACCUACUUUUUGCUAUUAACUAAAAAACAAAGAGUUAAAAAAUGGUUCAAACUUGAGAGCUAAGAGCCUAAUCCAUUCAUUUGUUAGUCCAAAAACGUUAGUGUCUGAAAGUGACACGGCGGGUUGGAUGACAGUGAUGUCUUACUUGGAGGGUAGCUGUGGGGAGAAAACAAGUAAUAUUAUCUCAACAAAUUAUGAUGAUGCACUUGCUAAAAUAUAUGAAGACAUUUAUUAAGAAGUAAAAAAAAUAGUAAAUUUCUUUUCUUUUAUUUUUUAAAUAAGUUAUAAACAUUUUAAUGAUUUUGUAGAUUAUGAUAAUUAUUUAGAUUAUAAGUGUUUUAUAGUAUUUACAUUAAUUAGCGUACUAUUUUAGCUUGAUGGGAGAGCAUGUAAUAAUAUUGAAUAGAUAAUGUUUGAUUAGACUAUAUUUAUAUUGAUGAUCGCUGGCUUUCUGAUAUUCGGAUUGGAUUCUAAAAAAGAAAGUAAGCUCAAAACUCAAUAGAAUUCAUUAAGCAGGUGCGUCAUCCGAUAUGCGAUUAAAGCAGGCCAAAUUAAUCCAAGACUUGAAUCUAUUAAAGGAGAGUUCAACGUGUGUGACGUGAUGGGAGGUAGGAAAGCAGAUCGACUACGCCAUAGUCCUAUCAAUAUCCACACCGAACAAGAAUUAAAUGGCCGCUAGACGAUAAUAGUCAAAUAGAUAUAUCUAUAUGUACGAAUCCACAUGAUAGGGACAAAUAGCAAUUAUGCGCUACUAAAAAAUAAAUGAAAUGAAUAAAGGGAAAUACGUGACCUUUUCAGACUAAACUUAUACUCACACUUAUAAAUUCUAUUUUCUCAAAAUCUCAGAAUAAUAUGCGGUAAAUGUAUAUAAUUUUAUAUAAUUUAUUAUUAUUUUACAUUAUAAAUUUAUGUAUACCGACCUAGAUAAGUUUAUAUUAUAGUUUAAAAUAUUAAAUUUAUUUUUUAUUUGAAUUUACCUUUUAAAUUAUCGUUUAAAUGUUAAAUAAAACUAUUAUUAUUUAUAAAAAUUUAUUAAGAGUGCGAGUUAUAUUUUUUUAAUUUAUUUGAUUUCAUUUGAAUUUAUUUAAUAUUUUAAUAAUAAGUUAAAAAUAAAUUUAAAACUAAUAAUGAAAUUUGACAAAUUUGAAAUGGAUAGUGAAAUUUCAGAAUUUUAACUUGUUGAAUAGUUUAAGGGCGAUUUUGGUAUUUUAUCUUUUUAUUAUUCGGAUGUAGGUGAGCAUAAUUUUGGUCAAAGUGGAUGGGUCCAACAGCCACAUGUAGUAACUGAUUGUGAGCUCAUGGUCAGACCCGUGCCGUCAGCCGUGUAUUCAAUAGGCUGUGAAUUGGCAACGGCCUCUGUGUGAUGACGUGUGGGUCCGUUCGCCAUUAUGUUGGUGGGCUCUUUUUUCCCGUUUUCUGCAUUUAGCGAUGGGAAAAUUAUAAGGGAAAUUUAUUAUUUAAUUUUUAUAUUAUGAUAAAAUUUAUUAAUAGAUUUUUUUUAUUUUAAAAAAUAAAUUAUAAUAUCAUUGAUAUUUAAAAUAUAUUAAUGAAUUUUUUUAUUAAUUUAAUUGUUAAAUAUUAUAAAAAAAUUAAAAUAUCUAUGAUAUUAAAGGAUUAAUUUUCAGAUUUUGAGUUUUUUAAAACUAUAAUAAUUAAAUUUUUUAAGAAAAUUAUAGUAAUUAAAUAUUUAAUAAUUAAAAUUAAUAAAAAAUUAACUAAUAAAAUUUUAAAAUAUUAAAAAUAUUUUAAUAUAUUUUUUUAAAAUAAAACAACCAACUAAUAAAUUUUUUAUAUUAUAAAAUAUUAAAUAAUAAAAUUUUCAAACUCUGAGAUUUCCGCGAGAAAUAUUAUGUGCUUCAUGAAUCCUAAACAAACGUCUUUCACUUGGGGAAAUCAGAGUCCAUUUAGCAUGAAAUUAAUGAGUCACUGUUUUUCUCUUAAACAAAAAAACAAUUUGAUAUUCCAUAUUAUCACUUUCAAUUUCUUAAUUAUAGAAUUAAAUUUAAUAUAUUUUAAUUACAGUUAUGACAUAAUAUUUAGACAAAAUAUAUUAUGAACCGUCAAUACAUGAUAGAGUCACGUGAUAAGAUUCUAAUAAACUAUGACACUCGAUUAUGGAAAUCUCAUCUAUAAAAAAUAAGACUCCAGCAUCAUAAUAAUCGAUAUUCGAAACUUUUUCAUGAAUCGGUCGAACCUUUCACGAUAAGUUAUCAUUAAAAGAUAGUAUCUAGCAGAUACAUAUUACUUCUAUAAUCGCGUGAUCCCUUAUCCACUAAUUGGUACCAGUCAAAUUUCUAAAAAAUUCACUAACUAAUUCCAUAUUUUUACAGUAUAAAAUCAAAGUAUGUACAUAGUUCAAGGUAUGUAUUUUUAUACACUCUUCCUAAAUUCAAACUACUUACACUCGGCCCUUUGCAAUAAAUUACUAACUUGAGUGUCAAAGUGGCUGCUCAUAGAUAUCAACUACCUCGCAUUCUUUCUUUUGCAGAUUAACCAAUUAUUUUUUAGUUUAUUUUUUAUUACAUCAUUUAAUUCCAUUGCUGAGUUAGUUGGGUGGUAAGGAAGGAGUGACUCUGGUGAAAGACUCGGGUUGUGUGACAGUUCGCUCAUUUGUUGUUGGAGGCGGAGGUAGAGGAGGAAGAACGAUGACCUCUUCAGCACGGCAAGUUCGUUUUGUUGGGGAAGCCAUGACAUCCACGAUAACUUUUCCUUUUCGAGCAGCACAAACCGCCUUUAUGAAUUUAUUCUUUCCUUUGCCAACCAUACCUACAUAGAGUAAAAAGUAAGCAAGUAAAGUAGUUUAAAAGCAAUAAAGUUUGGAAAGAAAUCUGCAGUAUAGGGUAUGAUUUCCCGAUAGUCUUGGAGACUAAGUGGUUGAGGGAACUGAGGUUGUUCUGCCUAGUAAUGACUUUACCAUGACAAGGUGAUGUUCCUCAUCCGCACGUUAAUGUCCAUUCUUUGGGUUGAGGCCAUCUUCUGGAGGAAGUUUAAAGCCUCUUUCUCAUCCCUUCAUGGUUGGACCCCAUCCUUUCUAAACUCUAUGUAUAUAUUCCAAUUAGUUUGGAGCUGUCCAAAAUCUCUAGACACCCUGUUACAGAGGAUGAAAAACUUAUUUUUCUAACGCUUCAAGGAGGAAGGUAUCCGAUCGAAGAGAGUCUGACGUUUUUUCUCGUUGAAAAGCCAAAAUUCUUUGUUUUUUCAGGUACCCAGCUGGUACAACAGAGUGAAAUGCUCGGCUCGAUAUUACUGUUGAAGUAGACGAAGCGGAAAGCUACCAAAAUUCUUCAGCUAUCUGGGUGCAGUUGGGUGACUAACAACUUAUGAAAUUAAAAGACUUCAAUAAAUAAUGGGUCCAUUAGAAACUAAAGACCUACUUUCAAUUGUUCUUCAUAUAUCAUGAUUGUAUCCUCAGCAGGGAUCUGAUCGUCUACAGGAACAUUCGAGUGUGGAGCAUAAACCUUAAAAAUCUUUCGAGAGAUCUGGUAAUGGUCAUGCAAGCGGUCUACGUCCCUCUCAGUUAGUAUGGACAGGAUGUCAUUCACCAGGAGGUUGUCAUUAUCGUGGAUCGCUUUCAAUGGAAUGAUUGGAGCUAGAGCAUCAAGGUUGAACUUCUGCCAAAAGAAGAGGAAGAAGAUCUAUUCAUCUUUGAAAAAGAAUAGAGACAGGAUUUACCUUUAGAAAAUGAGAAAAUAAGAAACCGAGUGGUCGAGUCUUUUAUAAGCAUAAAGCAAUUGAGAGCAAAAGAGGUGAUUAAAGGAGAAAGGGAGAUUUUAUACUGUGAUUUCGAUGGUUGGUUUAAAUGCGUCUCAAGAAGUAAGGCAAUCAGUAUUUAUGUUCAAAACAGAUGAAGAGACGUGUGUAUGAAGAGUCAAUUCAUACAUGCCACGUAUCCAAUAACUGUAAUCUUCGAAUAUGAAUAGUUAAAAACCGAUGGAGGGAUCUCUAAUAUGACAUAAUAUUUGCCUAAAGUAUGUUAUGAACUGUCACCAUAUGAUAAAGUUACAUGGUAAGGCCUUAGUAAACUAUGACACUCGGUCACGAGAGUAUUAUCCAUAAGAAAGAAGACAUGUGCAUCAUAAUGGUCGAUACUCGAAACGACAAAAGAUACGCCCUCUCAUGAACUGGUCAAGCCUUUCACCAUAAGUUACUAUUAAAAGAUAGUAUUCAACAGAUACUUAUUACUCCUAUAAUCACGAGAUAUAUAAGUUGGAUUUCUAAGAGAUUUAAUAAAUAACUCUAUCUUUUUAUAGUAUAAAAGUAAAAUAUACACAGAAUUUAAGAUACGCAUUCUUACACUCUUUCUAUAUUCAAGCUAUUUACUUACACUCAUCCUUUGUGAUAAAUCACUAAUUUAAGCAUUAGAGUGACUGCUCAUAAACGCCAACCAUCUUGCCUUUUUUACUUUUAUAGAUUGAUCAAUCAUUUUUCACCUCAUUUUUUAGCAUAUCAAUUAUAAAAUAAGUCAACAUUUGAUAUUAGAGUAAGUAGAAAAUUUUACAUGUGUACAUCAACUUUGGACAUCAUUACAUUUUAAAAAUACUUGCGACGAUCACUUUUUUAAAUGGUGGUCUAAUAUUAUAUCUUUUAUUGAAUAUAUAAUAUUUAUUUUAUUAAUUAUUAUUUUCUUUCCUUAAUUAUUUAUUAAUUAUUUUAUAUUUUCAUCAAUAAAAUAAAAAAUAUUAAACAAUUACUUAAAAAAGUCAUUGUUACUCUUAUUUCUCUUUAAUUUUUAAUUUUUGAUUUGUUGACAUAAAAUUUCUCAUUUUAAAAAACAUUACAUUAAAAUUCUUCAACCAUUUUGUAUUAAUUUCUCAUAUUUAUAAUAUUAUUCUCUUUUUGGCAUGAUUUAUUUUAAAACAUGUAAUCAAAUGAUUGUAAAAUCAUGUAAGAUUGAAAUGGUAAAUUAUUGAAAAAAAUUAAUUAAAUUAAAUAUUUAUAAAUUUUUUAUUUUAAAUGGAUGGUAUAUCUCUUCAAUACAAGUCCGCAAAGAAUAAUAAUUUGUGAGGAGAGAGAUAUUAAUAUUUGAGAUAACAUUUGUUUUUAAUUUCUUAAUUUUUACCCUAUGAUAUUAGAGUACAUUAGUUUUAUAGUACAAAUGCAUGAAAAUUUGUGAUUUUUAUUGAAAAAAAAUUCAAUUAAAUUUAUAUAUUUUUAUUUAGAGAUUAAAUAAAUUUAAAUAAUUUUUUUUAUCAAAUAAACUCAUAAAUUUUACAUUUAAAAUUAAAUAAGUUCAACCCUAAUGAAAUAUAAAAAUUAUUUAUCAUCUUUUAAUUUUUAUAUUAAUUAAAAUUUUAAAAUUUGAUAUAUUUAAAUUUAAAAAAUAAUAUUUUAUUAUUAAAAAAUAAUCUAUAUUAAAUUAUGGCUUAUUUGGUCUUAAAAUAAAAGUUUAGGAGCUAUUUGACAAAAACAAAUUAAAUUUAAUUUAAUUGGCUUUAAGGUUAUAAUCAAAAUGAACGAGUCGAGUUUUAAUAAGUUCAGACUCGAUUAGAAAAUAAAUUUAAAAAUUCGAGUUCGAAUUCGAACUCGACUCGAAUUUUAUUUAUAAGUUCGCUCUUGAUUCAUAAAAUAAAUAUUAAAUUAGAGUUCGAUUCUAACUCGAUUUGCAAUAAACUCAUUUAUUAUAUUAACAAAUCAAUUCAAACUCCAUUUAAAAAAUUUGAGUUUCAGUUCAUUUAUAUUUGGAUUUGAGUUUGAUUAUAUUAUAAAUAAUUUUAAUAUAAUUUAAAUUUAUUUAAAUUAAAAAUAAAAUUUAAAUUAUAAGAAUAUUAAAAAAAUUUUAAAUUAAAAUUUUUUAUUUAAUUAAAAUUUUUUAAAUUUAAAAUUAAUAAAAAAAUAUAAAAAAAAUUAUAUUUUUAUAGAGAAAUUAUAAUUUUUGAUUUUCCUUUCGACUUUCGAUAUAAAACUCAAAUUCAACUCAUUUAUUAAACGAGCUUAAAAAAUAAAUUUAAAUUCAAUUUAUUUAAAAAACGAGUCCAACCCUAUUAAAUUUUAUCAAAUUCAAGUCUCUAAGUAGUUCUAGUACUAAUUUAAUUCGUUUGCCCCCUAACAGUCUCGUAGUAAAAGCACAAAGAAUUUAUUUUUAUUAUUUACCAUCCAUAAUUGAAGCUCGAAGGCGUAGUCCAUGACCUCAAGUUGGCAAGAAGAUCGUCAGCAGCAAAAAUAAAAUAAAUCCAAUCUCAAGAAAUCCCAUAAACAAAUCAAUCCACCACCUUGUAAAAUAAUGAUAUUAUAUGUAACUUUUAAUUAUAAACUGUUUCUGCCAUCCAGAAUGAUCCAUCUUUCUCACCAUGCCUCCUCUGCUGCUCCUGCUUCUUCAAAUCCUCACCCUGUUACUGCUCCUCAGUUUCCUCAAAUUCAUAUACUCCAUCAUAUGGAUCCCCUUAAGAAUCCAACAUCACUUCAAGAAGCAAGGCAUAGUUGGUCCUAACUACCGUCCGAUCACUGGUAACACGGCUGAGAUCCGCCGUUUAUAUGCUGAGGCUCAGUCAAAAUCAAUGUCGUCUUUGAACCACGAUGUGCUUCACCGUGUGUCUCCAUUUCACUACCAUUGGUCGCGGUUGUAUGGAAAGACUUAUGUAUACUGGUUCGGGUCGAGAGCCAGGUUGGUUAUAUCUGAUCUGGAUAUGAUUAAAGAGGUUCUGAUGAACACUGGCGGUGGGUCUUUCAAGAAGGUGGCGCAAAACCCUCAGGCUAAUCAGCUAUUUGGGGAAGGACUUGUUGUGCUCGAAGGCGAGAAAUGGGCUUUUCAUAGACGGAUCACAAACCAGGCUUUUAACAUGGAGCGAGUCAAGGUAAUUUAAUAUAAAAAAAUAAAUUUAUUAUUCAAAUUGUUAUAUUUACAAAUUAAAAUUUAAUAAGUAUUUUACUUUAAAAUUAAAUACAAGAUAAUUUAAUAACUUGCUGUUAAGUGCAUAUCAGUAAAUUGAGAGGUCUUGAGUUCUAAUGUUUCAAGAUUUGUAGUGUGAGGAAGUUCUUGCUAGAGCCCAUGUUGAUAAUGUUUUUACAGGGAUGGGUAUCAGAAAUUGUGGCUAGCACUGGGAAGAUGCUAAACAAGUGGGAGGAAAUACGAGGAGGGAGAGAUGAGUUCGAGAUGGAAGUGAACAAAGAACUUCAUGAACUUUCAGCAGAUGUUAUAUCUAGAACAGCUUUUGGAAGCUGUUUUGAAGAAGGGAAGCGAAUAUUUGCCUUACAGGAACAGCAAAUGCACCUCGUCUCUCAGGCCAUAAGGAGCGUCUACAUCCCAGGCUUCAGGUCAUCUCUUUGUUCCUCUCCAUUUUCUUUCCAAAAAUUUAUCAAUCCACCAUUGAAGGAUAUUCCGAGGUUCAUGUAAAUUAGUCUUGCAAUUCAUUUUGCAAGAAAAGAAAUGAAUUUAUAAUCAUGCAUGAUGAAAAAGAAAAAGAAUUCUUAUAUUCUAAACAAUAAAAUUGAUAGAAAAGAGUUGAAUUGAAUUAUUAAAAAUCUUUGAUGCCAAACGAGGGAAUGUGAAUUCAUGUUGCAGGUUUUUGCCUACCAAGAAGAACAAAGAGAGGUGGAGACUAGACAAGGAAACACGUGAAUCAAUAAGAACAUUGAUCAAGACUAAUAGCAGAGCCAGAGAAAAUUCAAGAAAUCUACUUAGUUUACUAAUAUCUUCAUAUAAAAAUCAGGAUGGAGAAGAAGAGACCUUAACAGAAGAGGAGAUUGUCGAUGAGUGCAAGACUUUUUACUUUGCAGGAAAGGAAACUACUGCCAAUCUUUUGACAUGGGCACUUGUUCUUUUAGCAUCACAUCAAGAAUGGCAACACAAGGCAAGAGAAGAAGUGUUUCGAAUCUGUGGUAAUGAGCUUCCAGUUGCAGAAAAUUUGAAUGACCUUAAGACUGUAAGUUAUAUUCCUUGCUUCUGCUUCCCCAGUUGCAGGCUUGCUUCUCUUCAUAAAAGAUUUUCAUUCUUGGCAAUUUCUAAUAGGUGAGCUUGAUAAUUAAUGAGACUCUGCGACUCUACCCACCAGCUGUGACGCUAAUUAGGGAAGCAUCUAAGAGCGUUAAGCUCGGGAACAUUGAUGUUCCUGCAGGCACACAACUGUAUUUGCCGCUGACUGCUGUCCACCAUGAUCCUGAUAUAUGGGGAGAAGAUGUAAAUGAGUUCAAUCCCUUGAGAUUUGCUGAGUCUAGAAAUCAUUUGGCUUCAUUUUUCCCAUUUGGAAUAGGCCCCAGAAUCUGUGUUGGACAAAAUUUAGCAAUCGUUGAAGCAAAAAUUGUCCUGGCGAUGAUCAUCAGAGGUUUCUCUUUUGUACUGUCGCCAACUUAUGCUCAUGCUCCAAUGCUUUUAAUGACCCUGAUGCCCCAAUAUGGUGCGCAGAUCAUCUUUAGCAGAAUUUCAAGUAUUUGAUUUCAUUGUCUGUAAAAGCAUUGAAAAACCAGAAUGAUUGUGCACCAAAUUUCACUGUAUUAACUCAUCAAAUUCAGGACCCAUUUGCGAGAAUCCUUCUGUCUCCUCCUUAAGUGGCCAGCUUAGUUUUAGAAUACUGUUACAGUUGCUGCCCCACCAAGUUGUGCCAAUUCAGCUAAAUUGCUGCAGCAGGAGACCGUGCUCCAAUCUCCCGGCCCUGCUAAUUACAACAAAUCCCAACGCUGAGCUACGCUUGAUGGUUCUAUCUCAACAACUUUAGGCUGACAAGUUAAUUAAUCAUAGACAAUCGAGAGAUAAUUGUUAAACAAUGUUUCAAGUAAAGAAAAAAAGCAUAUUCUUCUUAAAAAAAAUUGUACACAAGCUCAACUGCUCAUAACCUGCAAGUACCAUUAUACAGUUUUUUAAAGCAGCGACAGCAAGUAGGCCUGCACUGGUGUUUCUGUAUAAUAUUAUUCCCUCCUUCAUGAUGCACGCCUUACCCAAAAUCCUCUUUAGCCUAUAAAUAAAUUCAUGAUCUUUGCCUCUGACACCUCAGGGGAUCAUCAUGUAUCUCACAUUUCUUGUGAUCUUACUGUUGCUUCUUGCUGUAUCUCUUGUGAAAUUUGCUUACUCAGUAUUAUGGGUGCCGUACAAAAUUCAAGCCCACUUCAUGAAACAAGGAAUAAGGGGCCCUGGCUACCGGCCGAUGUUCGGGAAUAUGGCAGAGAAGCGUAGGCUGACGGCGGAGGCUCAGUCAAGGCGGAUGUCAUUAUUUGAUCACGACAUACUCCAGCGAGUGGUGCCAUUUUACCACGAGUGGUCAUGCGAGUAUGGAGAGACUUUACUGUACUGGUCAGGGACAAGACCAGAAUUGGUCAUAGCUGAGGCAGGGUUGAUUAAGGAGAUUCUUAUGGAUACGAGUGGGUUAUUUGAGAAGGCUCGUGUUGAACCCUUUGUCAAGCAGCUGUUGGGAAACGGACUCCCUGCGCUCACGGCUGAGAAAUGGGCUCUUCACAAGAGAAUCACUAGUCUCGCCUUGAACAUGAAGCAAGUUAAGGUUAGUAAUCUAAAGUUUUUUUUCUUAAAAAUAUUUUUCAUAGAAAAUAUAACGAAAAUAUUUUCUAUAUUACAAAUUAUUUUCAUAGACAAACGGAGUUCGUCUGAUAUGAUUUUAUUUAAUUGAAAGGGAUGGGUGCCAAAAAUAGUAGCUAGUACAGUGAAAAUGCUGGAUGAGUGGGAAGAAAAAAGGCAAGGGAAAAAUGAAUUUGAAGUGGAUGUGCACAAAGAACUCCAUAAUCUGUCAGCAGAUAUUAUUUCCAGAACAAUUUUUGGAAGCAGUUAUGAAGAGGGAAAGCUGAUAUUCAAUUUACAAGAAAAGCAACUACGCCUUAUCUCUCAGGCUCAUCAAGCUCUCUACAUUCCAGGAUUCAGGUACCCAACUCUCAAAUCAAUAUGGUUGUAGUAAUCCUAGUAGUAAUUUCCUUUUUGGUAUGAUUGCCUUCAACUGCGAUUCGAACUCGAGACAUAAUACCAAUGAAUUAAAACCAUUGGUAGUAAUCCUAGUAGUAUAUUGAUAAAGCUCUACAAUUCUUUAUUACUGUCACAGGUUCUUGCCUACCAAGAUGAACAUAGAGAGGUGGAGAGUAGAGAAGAAAAUCCGGGCUUCAAUUCGAGCAACGAUCGACACUAAUAGCAGAAGAGAAGAGAGCUCAAGAAAUUUGCUUAGCUUGUUAAUGUGUCCUUAUAAGAAUCGUGAUGGUAAAGAUGAGAGAUUAGAUGUUGAGGAGGUUAUUGAUGAAUGCAAAACGUUUUACUUUGCAGGAAAAGAAACAACUGCUAAUACAUUGACUUGGGCACUUCUCCUUUUAUCAAUGCAUCAAGAAUGGCAAAUCAAAGCCAGAGAAGAAGUUGUUCUAGUUUGCAGAGAUAAAGAGCUUCCCACUGCAGAAAUGCUUGGUGAAUUUAAGAUUGUAAGUUCAUGUCAAGCUAAGAAAAUCUCCAACGCCUUCUUACACAGCUCAUUUCUUACAUCUCUGUCUUAAUUCUAACAGAUAACAAUGAUACUGAAUGAAACACUCCGUCUCUACACUCCAGUUGUUGCGUUGAUCAAGCAAGCAAAAAAAGACGUUAAGCUGGGGGACAUAGAAAUUCCAGCCAAAACAGAACUUGUUUUGGCCUUUAGUAAAGCUCAUCGAGACACUGGGAUAUGGGGUGUAGAUGCUAACAAGUUCAAUCCUGAGAGAUUCAUGGAAGCUCGAAAUCUAUCGGCCGUGUUUUUCCCAUGGAGUUUAGGCCCUAGAAUAUGUGUGGGACGGAGUUUAGCCAUGGCUGAGAUGAAAAUUGUUCUAGCUAUGAUCAUUCGCCGAUUCUCUUUUGUGGUGUCUCCAACAUAUGUUCAUGCUCCGAUUAAUUUCCUGACAGUACAGCCUCAAUAUGGCGCACAAAUUCUCUUCAGGAAAGUCUCUAAAUGAUUGUUUGCUGAGUUUUGUUUGGAACCCUCUGUUCGAAAAUUUUAGUCAAUGCAAUUGUUGAUACAUGAAACUCAUCAUUGUGAUAAUUAUAAUAAACUGUUGUAUAUAGUUCUUCUACUUAUUUAAUAUGCUUGUAGUAGCUAAAUGUUUGAAGACAUCAAAGAAAUAAUUUUUUAGAGCAUGGUUCACUAAGCUUGUCCAGCAUAAAGCAAACAAUAAAAUUUUUAAACUAUUAUAUGUUUGGAUAAAUAAAACACAGCUAAAAGAUUAAAAUUAUCUAUAAAAUAUCAAAUUUUAUUUUUUAAUUUAAAUUAAGUAAAAUUUUAUUUAAACUUUUUAAUGAUAUAAAAUAAAAAAUAUAUUUAGAGUAAAAGAUAAAAAUUGAUUUUUUUAAUCUCGCUUUUCUGGUUGACAAAUUUAACCUUUUUGGCAUUAAAAUAUAUAGAAAGUAUUCUACGUGAAAUAACUUCAUUAGCAUGUAAUUUCUAUUUGCAUGCUUUGCCAAUUCAGCUCCUACUAAUUAGGAAUUUCAGUUAGAAUUGGAUAAAGGCGGGAAGCAUACUGACUUGGCUGUUUGCUAUAUUCUUUAAACUGAAUGACCAAAUUACCCCUAACUGAAUCACAACAAUGACGCUACUUGCAGUAAAUAACGUGCCAUCAACAGUGUCAAACUAGUCCAAACAACAUUAUUUAUAUUUUCCCCCUAUGGGUACCUGUCCGAACUGAAACCAAAAGGUUGUAACUUUCUCCGGGGUUAGGGUUUCAGAUUUCCCCCAGAAUUCUGGGCUAGCAAACUUUCUGGAUUCGGUCUUUUACUAUAGUUAUGGCGAUCGUGAGAGGCGAUGAGUUAGAAGGAGAUGAAAAAGGAAGUGGAGGAAUUGUGGACUCGUAUAUGUGAGAAGAGGAGAAGGUAAAGAUUCGAUGAUUUCUACUUCUGGUUCUUUUCCAUGAAAAUGUGUGACCUUGUUUUCUAUAUUUAACAUUUAAAUAAAGAAAAGUUUCUGGAAAUUUAUCUGUGGAGGGAAUCAUAUAUUUAUUUUGUUUGUAUUUUUCUUUGUUUCCGUUCUUUUGGAUAUUUUAAUUAAUGAUUAACAUGAAUCAAUCGUGUAAUUAAUGGUAUGAGGCUCGAUUGAUGGGAUUGAAAUGUGUUGAUUUGCAAGUAAAAAUCAAAUGUAUAAGAAAACAGAUUUGAAUUGAAAUAUCUUAACCCGAUAUUUGUUUGGAACUCAAGAAAACAGCAUAUAGAGAAUUGGUGGUUGCGAGAAAAGGAAUUAGAUAGAACACUGUUAUUCCGUCAUGAUUUAAACCACCCAACAUAGAACUAAUGAAUUCUUAAUUAUGUUAGCUAUUUCAGCUCAUCUAACUGCUUGUAACAACCUGUUCUUCACAAAUUAACGGAACCACCACUUCCUCUGGAUAUCAGUCAUGCGUAAAGAGUAGUUUUAUACCUGUUAUAGCAUAGGUCACAUUGCCUGGUAUUUUUUUUCUUAGUUUUUUUAACGGAAUCAGUCCGUUAAUAUGCUUAUAAUUGGUUUGCUUCUCUUUGGUCAUGCAGGUUUAUGAGGCAACAGGAUUCAUGUGAUAGUAAUUUAAUGCAUAGAUGUGCUGAUAGUUAUGAGAUUAUAUUUUGUAUAUGGUGGUAUCAGUUGUGUUCUUUAUAUUAGACGGGUUUGAGCAAAAUUAUUUUGCUUAAAAGGUUAAGAUGCUAUCUAUAUAUUUUUCAAGACUAAGAACUGCAGUACAGAAUGAAAUUCAGCGGUCGAUCUUACACAAAAAGGGUGGGCUCGAAGAUUUAACUGAAGUUCUAGUAGGCCAAGUGAAGAGUCGGUUUUACAGUUAUAGAUUAUUUCAUUAUGUACGAAUUGCGUCUCAUGUAGACGUUCAUGCACUUGUGAGGCCUUGUACAGUUUUUGCUGCACGUUCUGAUUCCCUAUUAGUUAAUCAUGGAAGCAAUAUCUCUGUUUUUGGAGCCCCUUCUCACACAUUUUCUGUAUCAUCUGUGUCAGGCCCAUCACUUCAAGUUUGUAGGUAUCAUACUGAUUGUGCCCUUUGUGAUACUAGUCAAAUAUCAGACAGUGGGAAGUUUCUGAAUAAGCAAAUGGCUGCUUGUACAUCCAGAGCUGAAAUUGUUGAAUGUUUCUGGGAGAAUCUAACUUCACGGGUUGGGCAUUCUCCAUUUUCAACCAACAGUGCCAGCAUCUCUUUUGGCCGUAGAAGUUCCCGGAGUUACAGAAAUGUCAUUAUGAGUUUGAAUAACAGAAAGCAACCCACCAACUCUCCUAUUUAUGGAUAUUUUAUCUAUAAUGUCAUGAAGAAAUGGUUUCCAUACAUAGAGACAGGAUCUAGAUAUUUCCAUAGCUCGUCCCCUUCAUAUUUGUCAGCUGGAACUGCCCCUGAUGUAACCUUUGAGAAUUCUGCCUGUGAGGAGCGACUUGAAAAUUCUUCUGUUUCCUCAGAACAGUAUGUUCUUCAUGUCCCCGUCAUUCCUUUAAUGAAUAUGCUUGGCUUAGAAAUAUGAAUUAUUGAAUUAUAUUUCACUUGUUCGAAGAACAGCUUCCUUUUUUUUUUCUUCUUUAAAAUCCAAUUGUACCGUAUGUGUGUAAGAUGGCUGGAUGCAACAUUAGAACUUCUAAAACUUAUCCUUGUUGUGCUGCCUGAAAUUGACUUCAGGAGGCAUUCUGCUGGCAAAAUGCUGAAGCUAAUAUCAGGAUCUUGCUACCUGCCCCAUCCUGAUAAAGAAGCAACUGGGGGAGAAGAUGCACAUUUUAUUUGUUCAGAUGAGCAAGCAAUUGGUUUGGCUGAUGGUGUUGGUGGUUGGGCUGAUCUUGGCAUUGAUGCAGGCCAGUAUUCUCGUGAACUCAUGUCAAAUUCAGUAACUGCCAUUCAAGAGGAACCCAAAGGUUUUGUUGACCCAGCUAGGGUCCUGGAGAAAGCUUACUCUAGCACGAAAGCCAAGGGUUCCUCGACAGCAUGUAUCAUAGCACUCACAGCAGAGGUAUGGCAUUUUAAUUUCGGUAUCUUUUUUUUUUCUUCUUUUUUCUUUUCCCUUUCUUUUUUUUUUUCUGUAUCUAGCAAAUGCUACAUUGCCAGUUGUUAGGAUGAAUAGCUUUUUAACUGUAUGCGACUCUCAAUUAUUUUCACAUUUCACAGACAGGCUUACCUCUAAAUUUACCAUAAUGGAUAUGGGUUGAGGUGUCCUGAUGAACUUGAUAGGAAACUUGAUUACUUCCUGCCUUGUUGAUAUUUUAACUUUCUUCUUUUGAGUGGAUCUCACUUUCAAUUUCAUUUGUCUACUUAUGGCGACUGCCACUUCAUACUUCCACAUAGAGGCUUUUGGUUUCAAUUUCUUGAAACAAGAUAUUAUUACUGACUUAUUGCAAAAAAUAUUUGAUGGUUUCUUAGGGUCUUCAUGCAAUCAAUUUAGGGGACAGUGGUUUUUUAAUAAUUCGAGAUGGAUGCACUGUAUUACGCUCUCCUGUGCAGCAGCAUGAUUUUAAUUUCACUUAUCAACUUGGGAGCAGAAACGAUGGCGAUCUACCUAGCUCUGGUCAGGUUAGUUUGUGCAUGUUCUUGUUGUGCUCUCCUCAAUGCUCUAUAUAUAGGAAAUUUUUGCCUAGAGCAUGUCUUCGUGAAACCGUGGUGUGAGAGUGAGAUCCAUAUGAAACUUUAUACAUUUACACAAAGGGUCCAUGUAGACCCGGUCUAUGCUUUGAAACAGAGGUAGUCAAAUGCAAGCACAAGAUUUGGGAUUCUUCAUUAUAAUGACUUCAAUUUUAUGGAAUGAUUAAAUAAGUGAAGCCGUUUGUUUCAGGUUUUCACAAUUCCUGUUGCUCCUGGAGAUGUUAUAGUUGCUGGAACAGAUGGUUUGUUUGACAACUUGUACAACAACGAAAUUACUGCAGUGGUGGUUCACGCCACAAGAACUGGCUUAGGGCCUCAAGUGACAGCUCAGAAAAUAGCUGCAUUGGCACGCCAACGGGCACAAGAUAAAGACAGGCAGACCCCGUUCUCUACAGCUGCCCAAGAUGCUGGAUUUCGCUAUUAUGGUGGCAAGCUUGAUGACAUUACUGUUGUUGUUUCGUAUAUUACCAGCUCUGACGAGAGAUGACGACUCCUCUCACACAUGUAUAAACUUGCUAUUCUUUAAAAUUUACUGUUUUUCCUUUCCUGAAUGCAACUCUAAUUUUCUUUGUCGGCAUUAUAGCUCAAGAUUAACGGCUUAGCGUCGUUGGCAAUUAGCUGUCAGAGAAAUAUGUACAGCAUAUGAUCCUAUUCACUUAAAAUUCAAUGUUGUAAGUUCAUUAUUAUCCAUCACUCCCAUCUACAAAAGACUUGCUUUGUUUGUUUGUAUAUAUUAGUAACUGCCAAAUGCAUUCUGUGUUAUGACAUUUUCUCAAAAAGUCAUUUUUUUCAUUCACAUGAUACACAAAAAGAGCAUAACAACGAGAUAUAACCUUCUCCUUUAUAAUCAUAAAAUAGCUUUCUCUAGAUAAAUGCUUCACUCACUUUCUAUCCCUCAAAAAUAGAAUUAUCUUCAGAUUGGCUCUUAAAAUAUCAAUUCAUAUCUUUAAUUUUAAGUUUUAUUCACUCUUUAUAUUUUAAAUUAUGUAAUUUAAUCUUUUAAAAUUUAAAUUAGUUAUAUCCAUAGUUGAAUAUUUAUUGGGCGAGUGAAAUUCAUUAAAUAUAUUUGAUUUGAGAGAAAAAAAUAUUCAAUUGAUCUUUCUUUGGUAUUUUUCCUCUUUUCUAAGGAUUUUAAUUUUUAUGGAAAACAACUAGAAAAUUAUUCACUAGUGCAUCAUAUUUCGUCACUCAGCAGUUUAUAAGUUUUAGAUGCAAAUCUGUAAAUUAAUUUUUGGCAAAAAAAAAAUUAAAAAAUUAAAUGAAUAAAAUGACUUGAGAUAAAGUAUCUCCAUUGUCUAUUAGUAAUAUUAAUGAUGCUACUUCUGUCCUUAGUAACAUGGAUGUCUUUUAUGAUGCUUCGUCUUGUGAAUGUUAAUAUUAUUCCGCUAGAAAUUAUGCAGGAACACCAUGGUGUGGCAUCGUAGUUCUUUGAGCUUAAAGUUCCGUCUACGGGUUGUUGCCUUUUUUACAAUCAAAGCACAGCUGAUGUAAAUAUUAUUCCCACGCAGCUAACCACUAAAAUAACUACUUUAUUCAACCACGCAAGUCUCUCGUGAGCUUGUGUUGCUAUGAAGCUCUAGAAAGAAUAAUAUUUUCACUAAAAAUUUUUAGAUGAUUCUAAUUUAUAUAUAUUUAAAAAAUAUUAAAGUUAGUUUUAUUUAUUUUUUUAUAAAAAAAACUCAUUUGUCCACAUAAAUAUUUUUAAAUUUUGAUUUUUUUUAGGUGAAAGACUCUAUUUCGACUUUUGAUCUUGCAUUUAAUUUACGUGAACAGCGUUCGUCGCGUCACUUCGAAAACUGUCACGGGGCCGUGCAGCCCUUUCACGGCAAUUACAGACUGUCAUCUUAACCGAUGACUGUCUACCAACGGACCCAAAGCGACGUUGCAUCACCAAAUAUCCGAGUUAACGGGUCGCCAAGUCAUUUGAUUCUUAGAUCCUCUUCCAGCCAAAAUUUUAGCCAAAGCGCCUAACUAAUUUCUUUUGGAAUUUCAUUCAUUUACCUUAUCCAAUAUCCAAACGCACAUUCACAGAUCUCUUUCAGACUCUCACUCGACCACAUCAGCCUUAGGGGGCCUUCUGUAUUUCCCCUUUCAAAAUCUUCUCCAUUGUUUGUUUGCACUCUUCUUCACCUCCUCAACUCUCCAAUUUUCAACUUUUCAGAUGCUCAAAUCUCAAAAUCUCUGCUAGUUUGGCUUCAACAACCAAUACCCAUUCCCCUUUUCUGCAGUUCCAAGCUCACUCAUCUAUGGUGAGUUUUCCCGCCAAUUUUCCCUUUUGAAUUGGUCUCCUCAAAGGCAUUGGUGGCUUGUAACAUCGAAGAGGUUCUCUAAAGAAAGAUUCUUCUUAGGUAUGAAUAGUCCUUGUAGAAACUCAUCGGAUGUUGAUUUCAACGAUGUGUUUGGUGGCCCUCCAAGGCGGCUAUCAAUUCAGGAGGUGCGGCGCAGUUGUGGUGAAAGUGGAGAUUCGUAUGCGUUAAGAAGUGAUGAGGAAACAAGCUUAUCUCGUUCUGGGUGGUCAGGUCUGAGUGAGAAGCCGGUGUUUGGAGAGGGAGGAGUUAGUAGAAGGCGAUAUCCAAAUGAUGAUUUCUUUGAUGAUAUUUUUACAGCUUAUUCUCCGACUAAGAGCAGUCGAGAUCCAUUUUCUUCUGCUCCAGGUUCGAGAGUUUUAAGCCCUGUUCAUCCCCUGCCACUAACUGCUGAGCACUCUGCGAGUUCAUCACAGGCAACACAAUUCAGGUUUUGGGUUUAAUUCUACAUAUUUUUUGCUUAUUACUACAGCUUAGAGCUUGCAGCUUAAUUUACCAGAUUGUUCCAAUCAUUUGGCUAGCUGUUCACUGGGGAAUAUACAAUACACAUCAAGAAUGUUUCUGUUUUCUACAUGCUGUCUGGUGUUGUUCUUUGGUAAUCGCCGAAUUAUUUGGCAACUGAAAAUGUCCUAACUUUCCUUGAUUACUAAAUGUUCUAAUUACUUUCCAUAUUAUUAUGGAUCAAUUCAGCGGAUUUUUGCAUGAAUUCGCAAAGGCUUAUAUCAACCUUUUUGCUAAUUUUUGCAGCCUCCCUGCCAAAGGGACUGACUUGCCAACUUUUGGGUCCUGUUCCCGUAAUUAUCACAGAAAUAAGGAUGCUACUUCAACUGGUAUAAGCUUUCGUUCAUAUUCUACCCUAUCUAGACUUUCAAGCAAAGCAAAUCAAGCUCAGGGGGAGUCGGGAAAUGAUGUUUAUUUUCAGAGCUCUUUAUUGCAGGAACAAUCUCUUAGCAAGGAAGAGUCAUCAAACAUUGUGAAACCUAAUGAAAUGGCCAAAGGCAAUGAUUUUAAAAUGGAUUCAAAGAGUUCUGAAGGUCCAAAUAUUAGCAACCAGUUUCACUUCUCAAUUUACAAAUGGGCAAGCAAAGGGAUACCCCUACCAUUGCCUCUUGCAGGAGGAAAUAGUUCAAAAUGGAAAGAGAAGUUUAAAUUUGAGAGGAGCUCAAGUGCUUCUGGACGGAUAGCAUGUGAAGGUAUGGCAACGGAAUCACCGACAGUGAUCGCGGAGGAUACUGGUUGCCCCUCAUUCAAUAUUAGCAUAUCGUCAGAUGCUAAGUCCUCUGAGGUUGAACUUGAUCAAAAUGAAAAUGGCUCCCUUUUCAAUAGAAGCACUAAUAGAAAAUUAGGAGGGCUGAAUUCUGACAAGGCAAUUCCGACCGAGUCUGAAAUCCCAUGCACUCAUCAAGAAGAUGGCCCUGAUAAUAUUAUCUUUCAGAAUUCAUAUAAAGAAACAAAACCUCAUUUUGUUCUUGGUACAGGCUUCUCUGGAAAAGUAGAGAAGAAAAAUUCUGUGGCCACACAAGAAGCACUGCGUUCCCCGUUGAUAGGUAAUGAUUAUGAAAGACGCCAAUUGGGUUGUAGAUCAGGAGCAUUGCUUCCCAUUUAGACUCUCAAUGGUACAUUAAUUACUUGUGCAGGAACCGAUGAGAUUACUACCCAAAAUGAAUUGAAGGAAGACGAGGUGAAAAGCAUCAAAAGAUUAGUAGCAUUAUUUGAUUUUAGUGAAAAAAUAGAGAAAAAAGAUGGAAAUGUAUUGCAUAGUGAAAAAAUGGAUAAAACAAACUUGCGAGGUUCACCCACAAAUUCUCUUGCAAAGAGUAGAGGUAAGGGAAAGGUCAGGGAAUUUGUUAAAAUUUUUAACCAGGCAGCUUCAAACAACUCCAAAUUCUGUGUGGAUUCUCAAUCUCAGAGCUCUAGAUGGAAUGACAGAGGCAAAUUUAAGACAGAAGAUGAUGUAGAUUUUACCUCAACUCGACUAAAAGAGAAAAUGCACUUGCCUAAUGUGAACAAGAACAAUACACUCGAUCCCUGCAUUGUGGUACUCGGCUUAAGUUGACUUCAGUUUGGCUUGCUCUUGCAUUGACAAUUCAUACAAAAGAUAAUGUUCUGAAUGCCAAAAAAUUCAAGGAAGUUCUGAAUGAAUUAUAUGCUUCAGGUAGAUGAGUUUCUUAUGCGGUUAGAGAAACAACAUUCUGAGACGAGGAACAGCAACCAUAAGUCCACCGCGAUCUCUCCUGGACUUAAGGAUAGGUCAGCAUCAACUGCAGGUAUGUUGAACUUAAUUUUAAAUGGUGUUAUGACAAACGCACAAGGAGCACCGAUGCACUCAAUCACAAUAAUAGAGAAAGAGACACGAGAAAUCUAAUGUGAUUUGACUGUAAGGUUUACCGGAGAUAAAGUCCCAAUCCAAAAAGAGUAUACAAUCUCUUAGAACUCUCAAUACCCUAGUAUAUUUUCCCAAAUCUCACAUAAUACAUGAAAAGUAAGUGAUACAAUCUUUUGGACCUAUCAGCCAUUGCCCUCAGAUUCCUCAUAUUACCGAUAUAUAUAGAUAAAAAUCACAUCUCAUUUUUUCAUACAGUAUCAUAUACUGUUCAAGUCUUUUCUGCAUGUGGCUGUUCAGAUAUAUUUUUAUGUAAUAGAUUGAAGUGUUGUUCUCAGGACCAAUCCCUGAUGGCUCGGAAGCAAUAGCUGGAGAUCCAGAUGAUUCCUUCCAAGGAAAUAUCCUGGUACACAAUCAUAUCUAGUUUCACUUUUCAAUUGCAUAUUAACUUGAAGGAUUUUUCUUUUUGACAUCUCAAAUUCUCAACUUAAAUGUUCCAAAUAUAAAUAACUAAAACAUGUGAUUUUCCUGCUAAUGAGGUAUGUAUUCUGUUAACUCCUUUAGAUAGGUUGCAGCUUCUAACAAACAAGUUUAAACUUUUCUUAUGAGCAGAUUAAAGAAUUAUCUCAGGGUGAAGAUGAACUGCCACAAGCUGGUGAUAUCCAAGUAAUGUGGAGUAUUCUCUAAUGCAUGCUUAUCAAUUCUUUGGUUACAGUAGGAAAUGCUAACGGAUCUCAUUUAUUGAAGUUCAUUAAUGAUAAAAUUUGGAAAUGGUCAAAUGGAAGGGAAGGGAACAUCCGCUCCCUGCUCUCAACUUUACAAUAUGUGAGUUUAGCAUCCAACCCUAUCCAUUUGAAUGACAAAUUUCAAUACACAAGUGCAUAUUUCUUUUCAUCUUCAGUAUUUUACAUUGAAUUUACUGUUUUCAAAUAGAUUAGUUUUUUCCUACUCUAUGUUUUAAGCCAUAUUUUUCAGGCUCCGACCAAUUUAAUGAAUUUUAAAAUUGACGUUGAGAUUGAUUACACCAGAUUCUUUGGCCUGAAAGUGGGUGGAAGCCUGUGCCUCUUGUUGAUAUAAUUGAAGGAAAUGCAGUGAAGAGAUCAUAUCAGAAGGCCUUACUCUUUUUACACCCAGAUAAACUACAGCAGAAAGGUGCCACAUCACAUCAAAAAUACAUAGCAGAGAAAGUUUUUGAUAUUCUGCAGGUAAUUCUUUUUUUCCUCCAGGAAUUCAAACACUAAUAUACUAUUUAGACAAUGUAGUACUUACAAAAUCCCCUACGUUUUUUGGAGAAAUUUUAUAAUACAAUAAUUGUAGUAGAAUUAACAAAGGCUCGCUCUUGCACAGGAAGCAUGGACCCAUUUCAACUCACUUGGUUCAGUGUGAGCAAUGAAUUCUCAAGUAUGAAUCAAUAGGGUUCACAUGAUACGCUAAUAUGGUAGCGAGAAAACUACGUUUUGGACUGUACGUAGGUAGUUUGUGUGGUAUGCUGCUAUGUAUUGGACAUACCUGCUUGGUUCCUAUAGCGCAUUGAAUGUUGCCAAGCUCCAAUUUAGAUUUUCUUUUUUAAAUAUGUACAUAUUUUUUAUUUUUACUUGAAAAGUCACUUCAAAUUCUUAUUUUAGUCUCUAUACUGUGGUUGGUAUUUUGAUUUUAAAAAAUAUAUUAAAAAUAUUAUUAAUAUUUUAAAAAAAAAAUUAAUUCCCCGACGCCCUAAAAAAGAAAUAGAAAUAAGGAAGAGAAAAUCUUCCAUCAUCUCCAUCUUUUUACUUUUUAAUAGGCAUUCUUAGCCACAUGGGAUGCCUUUGAACUUCCACCUUCUAUGUUCCUGAGGGUGAAUUCUUUAUAGGUCCAAUCUCAUUCUCUGAUCCUUGUUACAACAACCAGUCCCUGGAAGUGAAGAUUGAAGGGACUUUGAUAGCUCUAAGUAGCUUGAACGACUUUCCUCAUUCUAAUUGGAUCGAUUUCAAACAAUUGAAUGGAAUCGUUCUCUACGGCGACAAUGGAGUGGCAAAUUUCGAUGCGCAGGGAGCUGUUCAAUGGGAUGCAAAAAACUGAUUACAGUGAGUUGUAAUUUCUUCAUGCUCCAUUAUCAAAAUUAUUUAUUAUUAAAAAAAAUAUUUUUGUUUUUCAAAUAGAAAUGGAAUUAGAGUGAAGAACGGGAGAUCUUAAAAAUUUAUUCAAAUAUAUUUAUCAUGAAAUUAAAUAUAUGAAUAUAAAAAAAUAAUAUAUUAUUAAAUAUACAUUUAUAUCUAAAUUUGUGAUUUUUUAUAUUUUUUAGUUAAAAUUUCAUCAAUCCAAAAAUAAAUAUGGUAAAUUAUUAAAUUCUUUUUAUUAGAAUUUGAGAAUUACUAAUUACAAUAAACUAUUAACUUAAAUUAAAUAUUUACAUCAAAAUCCAUGUCAAAAUUAAUUAAAAUGUGUACGUAAUUGAAAUAAUAAGCAACAAAUUUCAACGCAAUAAUAAUUUAUUUACAAAUUAUUAGAUUCUUAUAAAAGCUUGAGCUUACUAUAAUUACACAUAUAAAAUUAAUUAUUUACAUUUCAAACUAUAAAUCUUAAUUAUUAAUUAUAACAAACUAAAAAAUUAAAUAAUAAUUUUUAAAAUGAUUUUAUUUAGAUUUUUUUUUAAGAAAUUAAAGGGUUUAUAUGUUUUUAUUUGCUCCAUUUAAAAAAAAAUUAUAAUUUUUAUUUUGAUUUAUUUUAAUAAUUGAAGGUUUUAUUUAGAUUAAAAUAAAAACUUUAAAGACUUAUAUAAUUAUUAGGUUAAAAUAUAAAUAAAAUUAAAUUGAAUCAAACCCAUUAAUUUGGUUCGGUUUGAUUUGAUUUGUAUACUUUUUCUUUGUGGGCGAAAUCACAUCUAGCAUGGCAGAGGAUGCCUUCCCCUGAGGUAAAGCAGUCCCAAAAGCUAGAAACUAGUGUUACAGCCACACACACUCGCAGGGAAUUUCAAUUUCCUCUCGGGAUUCUCCUUUCAAAAAUUUUCUUCUUUGUUCUUUUCUGCCAGAGAUGAGUGAGUGUUUCAGAAUCAACUAGGCCCUCUUUGUUCCUUUUUUCUUUUAGCUCCCAUUAUUGCUUUCAACUUGGUUUCUGUUUUAAUAUUGCUCCAUGGGCUCUAAUGGCUGCUGUUCCCUCUAAAUCUGUGAGUUCUUCUACUCUGCUUUUCUUUUCUUUUUGUUCUUUAAGUCCUCUCUUUUGUGCUCUCUGAUUUCCUUUUUUUGUUUGCAUUCAGCACUUUAUCCAUUUUUUAGUUUCAUUAGCUUGAAAAUAGUAUGUUUGGCUCCUGGGAAAUUGCAAGCGAAAGUAAAAAGCCAAAACUGACUUCUUCUUCUUUUUCCUACUGGUUCCCUUUUCAUUAUCUCUUUUGGGUUCUUGUGAUUUUCAACUUUUCAGCUAAAAUGAACAAUUCUUUAGUGUUGUCUUUCUCACAAUUACUGGCUAGCACCUACUUGAUCUAUUACAUUUUUUUGGCGUUUCACUCCAAUGGUUUCGGCUAGAUCUGAGGUCAUUCUGGUCAUAUUAUAAAUCUAGAGUUGCUACUGUUUUUCUCAACUUCCCAAUGAGAGUUUUCCUUGGGAUUUUGAAGGCAACGUGCAAUCCAGAUUAUCUGAGGAUUAAUAUUCUUGCAUAUAGUAUUUAAAUGGAAAAUGCAAAACUUUAUUGUCGAAGUUUUGGUGUUAAAGCAACUGAAUUUCAUUAAUUUUCCUUCUUCAGCGGCUCCUAAAUUAAGAAGACUGGAUAAUUAUGGAACAUUAAUGCUUAGAAUAUUUAGAUGUAUUUAUAAUACUCUGUUCUAUCACUUGGGAUGACUCAUCGGUUAGUUUUAUGCUCUAUUAGUUUCUGUUGAACCUUAGAGUUCAUCAGAAUUUCCCACCAAAAUACUUUAAUUUUAAGGUUUUGUUUUUAUUUUGGCUUGUCAUUCUUUGCUUGUUUGCCAACUCCCAACUAGUUGGAAUAAGAAUUUGUUAAAGUUUUGACUUGACUCUUUCAUAUCUCUCUCUACCCAGCUGACGUAAUUGGCCUUUAACUAGUUUUCUCUAAUUAUUUAGAAUACAUUUGAGUGCUAUUAUUAAUGGUUUGUAACGUGUUCACAAGUAUGCAGAUUCUCCUUUUUAUUUAAAUUUUAUUAUAUGAGAAAAACAAAAAGCCGUGGAACACCCUACUUGAAGAUGUGAAGUUCAUUGUGGUUUUGUGGGCUCUUCCUGAUGAUAUCCUCGCCCUUAUAUCAUUGUGCUUGAAUUAGACUAUCUGUGUAUUGGGAUCAUGCACUUAAGUAGAUGGGUAGAAAGAUGCUGGAUGUUCAAGGAGAUACAGAAGACAUAUUUGCUUAAUAGAAAAAAUAAUUUCCUGAGUGGGAUAUGGUGUUCCGAUGAUAUAUAUAUACAGUACAAUGAUAGGAUUUGAUUCCAAGGUUCUUUGCUUACUCUAUGGUAACCCAUACUUCACAUGAAUUAGGUUGAUGUUCACUUGGAAACUGGAAUUUAUGCAGACAAACCUUUAAAGCAGCAGCAUCAUGCCAAGAGGUGGACACUACUUUAGGCACAAUCAUUUGAGGAGAAAUUUUGUAGAUUGAUUGCUAGUUGGUAAGAGCAUGUUUCACUGGCUUAUCUAGCAAAAAAAAUCAUAUUAUAUGCGAGUCCCUUGUCUUGAAUGCUUCUCCUGGAUAGCAUGCUCUGAGGUCUUCACUAAAGCCUGACGAUCAUUUGUUCAUUUUCAUUCUUCUCUUUGAACACAAGCUAUUAGAUUAUCCGGAAAAAAAAUUCACUUGUUUCAAUUGCAAAAUUCUCCUACGAAGCUAGCCAUCAUCUUCUUGCUGUAGGUUUGCCUUCAUGUCUGCAGUUUCUCCUAUCCCAUCUCUUCUUUUUUUUCUUUUUCGGUAUAAUCUCACCUCUGCUUGUUUCUACAUUUUUCCAUUCUUCUAAUUCAGUAUUUUAUUUCAAGAAAAUUUUGACAUUUUGGUUUGAACCUCUAUAUCUUAUACAAUUUUCUUUCAAGAGAAAUUUGUUGUAUGGACUCCAUAGUUGCAACUGUAGUUUUCUACAUGUUGGAACAAUGAACUUCCAUAUCAAGAUUCCAAUCAUUUAGCUAAGUAACUUAAUGAAUUUUGUCAUGAAUCACUCAUUUAACAAAAGAAAUCUUAUGUGAUAAAAAUUUGUUGAAUUAUGAAACCUUUCAAAUUCCAUGACAAUUGCUAUUGCAUGUGGUCAAUAAUGAUAUGUUUCUAAGCCUUUUUCCUUUUUUCUUUUCCUUUUUUAAAAAAAAAAAAAAUCCCAAGUAUUUCAUGCUUUAAUGGGCUAGUUCUUUAUAUUUUACCACAGGUUGAGGAAAGGCUUUAAUUGAAUUCUGACCUUCCCCUAAAGGAAAUAUGAAAUUUGGUUCCAUUGUGCCCUCUCGUUUGAAAGGGAAAUCAGCCACCCGCUUCUCUUUGUUUCCCAAACCACGGUCAACUAGCUAUGGUCCAGGAAGUGCACCAGUUUAUCUCAAUGUGUAUGACUUGACACCCAUGAAUGGCUACGUCUAUUGGGCAGGCCUUGGUAUCUUUCAUUCUGGUGUGGAAGGUAAUAUUUGCACACUAUUAUUUCCAUGCAUGCACUGUAAUUGUGUGCCUCAGAUAUGAGCUAAUUUGGAGCAACAGUAUAUUAAUAAUGAAUAGAAAGGGUUAAUAAAAAGGAAAGCGGGCAGUGGGAAGGUAGGAAAAAGAAAAGUCUUCAACAAUAUGCUUCAAAAGAGGAAUUAAAAAAAUUAAAAGGAAAAAAAACAUGAUUGAAAAUGAGAGGUAAGAUGCAGAAAUGGCAUCUAGAAAAUGAUUUAGCAGCUCUAAGGCUUUCUAUAAUAGGUGUUGUCUUGAACCAAUUAAAGUGGAUGAAAAUGAUCCAAAUAGCUGAGUUCAACUGUAUUGUGACCAUUAGUUUGAGUAAACUAAUGUGAUAAACAUCAGUGUUUGUGACUUUUGUUGCAAAAUUUUUCACUUUUCUCUAUAUUGAUAACAGUAUAUGGAUAACUAGAAAUGCAUCUCCAUAUUUUUCUUUCUUCUUUUUCUUUUUUUUGCUUUACAGUAGGAAAAACAUUUUCUCUGCUACUAUUCCCUCUUAUGAAAGCAUGCUAAAAGUAAAAUGAAUAGGUAGAUCUUCUCCCACUCCUUUCCUCAUACCUUUUCUAUCCAGAAUCUGUAUCAGGCCAAGUCCAAAUACAAUAAAUGGGACGUUUAAAUUUAUUUGAUGGUUUCCUAAAUCCUAAUACAUUCAUUAAAUCACACAAAUAGUAUUCCAAAAAUGGAGGGUUGAUAACCUUGUUAAUUUUCGUGUUUAUUUGGCUCACUUUUAAGUCGAGUUCAGACUUUCUGAUUGCCUAACCUCUACCAUGCAGUUCAUGGUGUAGAAUAUGCAUUUGGAGCACAUGACUACCCGACAAGUGGUGUUUUUGAGGUGGAACCUCGUCAAUGUCCAGGCUUCAAGUUCAGGAAAUCAAUAUUCAUUGGGACCACAUGCUUGGAUCCAAUUCAGGUCCGAGAUGUCAUGGAACGGCUUGCUGCCAGCUACCAUGGUGAUACAUAUCACUUGAUUGUUAAAAAUUGCAACCAUUUCUGCAAAGACAUCUGUUACAAGUUAACAGGGAAACCAAUUCCAAAAUGGGUAAAUCGUCUAGCAAAAAUAGGUACUUAUCAUAUAACCCAUUGUCCAAGUUUUGACAAUAUUUGAAACAUUGUUUGCACAAUAGGAAGUUUUCUUGCUAUAAUAUUUGGAUUCACCUCAUGCUUCUUUGGAUUUUCAUUAUUACGAGGGAAUUACCGCAGCAUCCCUAGUUCACAACUUAAGGGUAUUCUUAUUAUAGAGCGUUCAUUUUGUGGUCUCCGCUCUCCAAUGAGCUGGAGUAUCCAAAUUUGUACAAUUUGUUGUCUUGCUCAUGUAUGAAUUGGUCCCACUAGCAAGUUCAGAAAAUAAAAAGGAAAAUUGCUAUUUAGUCCCUAGGUAUGGGAAACUCACUAGUGUUGGUCUUUGGUUUUGAAAAAUGUAUCGAAACAUUCUUGACAUUUUAAAAAGUUUACUAGUUAGUCUCUCUGUUAAUUUUAUCGUUAAUUAUUUUACUAUUAAGUUCCUAUGAUUUUGAAAAUUUUAUUAGUUAGUCUCUUAGAUUUUUUAAAAAAGAUAGAUUUACAAUUUAGUCUCUAGGUAUUACCAUUAUUAACAAGUCAGUCCCUGUAUUUUUAGAAACCUAUUAAAACGUCCUUAUGUUUUCUUUCCAUCAACAAAAUAGUCCUUCCGUCCUCUUUUCCGUUAAAAUUAGAUAAAAGAGGAGAGAGAAAAUUUUCAAAAUCCAAUUUUACCCUCAAAUAAAAUCAUUUAUUUAGUCCUUGGAUAUUGUUAUUAUUAACAAGUUAGUCCUUACAUUUUCAAAAAUCUAUUAAAACAUUUUUAUCUUUUUUCAUAUCUAUUAAAAUGUCCUUAUCGUUUCUUUCCGUCAAUAAAAUAGUCCCUAUCUUUUCUUAUAUAUAUCAAAAAGUCCUUAUCGUUUCUUUCCGUCAACGAAAUAGUCCUUCCUCAUCGUUUCUUUCAUUCAACGAAAUCCUCCCUCCCUAUAUUUUUAGAAAUCUAUUAAAACGUCCUUACCAUUUCUUUUUGUCAACAAAAUAGUUCCUAUCUUUUCUCACAUCUAUUAAAACGUCCUUAUCGUUUCUUUUUGUCAACAAAAUAGUCCCUAUCUUUUCUUUCCUCCUCCUCCUCCUCCUCCUCCUCCUCCUCCAAAAAAGAAGAAGAAGAAGAAGAAGAAGGAGAAGAAGAANNNNNNNNNNNNNNNNNNNNNNNNNNNNNNNNNNNNNNNNNNNNNNNNNNNNNNNNNNNNNNNNNNNNNNNNNNNNNNNNNNNNNNNNNNNNNNNNNNNNNNNNNNNNNNNNNNNNNNNNNNNNNNNNNNNNNNNNNNNNGAAGAAAAAAAAAAAAGAAGAAAAAGAAGAAGAAGAAGAAGGAGAAGAAGAAGAAGAAGAAAAAGAAGCAAAAGAAGCAGAAGGAGGAGAAGAAGCAGAAGAAGAAGAAGAAGAAGAAGAAGAAGAAGAAGAAGAAGCAGAAGCAAAAGAAGAAGCAGAAGUAGGAGGAAGAAUUGAUGAAGAAGAAAAGGAAGGAGGAAGAGGAGGAGGAGGAGAAAAAUAAUGGAGGGUAAUUUAGUCUUUUACUGUAUUUUUAACGGCAAAAAUAGACGGAAUGACUAUUUUGUUGACGGAGAGAAAAGAUAAGGACGUUUUAAUAGGUUUCUAAAAAUACAGGGACUGACUUGUUAAUAAUGGUAAUACUCAGGGACUAAAUUGUAAACCCUUUAAAAAAUUUACUAAUUAGUCCCUCUGUAUUAGGAAUAUUUUAGAUUUUUUUGCAAUGCUUAACGGAGGGACUAAUUAGUAGACUUUUUAAAACAUCAGAAAUGUUUUAAUGUAUUUUUCAAAAUCGAUAGACUAAUUAGUGAGUUUUUCCAUGUCAUAAAGAUUAAAUAUUAAUUUUUCCAAAAUAAAAUUUUUAGAAUCUCACUAUUCAUCUGUUAUCCUUCCCAAUAACUUCUAAUGUAGCGGCUGGCAGCUACUUCCCUUUCGUAGAUCAUAUGUCAAUCCAUGUUUACGCCUCUUAAAUGUUCAUGAUACUUGUGUUGAUUAUUUUUUUCCCCAUAUCUUUAAUCGCCUUGUCAAUUGUCAUAGGCUCAAUAUGCAACUGUAUACUUCCUGAAUCUCUCAAGAUAUCUGCUGUGCGGCAUGAUCCUGAUGGCCAAUCUUACAAUAAUGGAAGGAAAAGGUUGAGAAGUGCUUUCAGCUUCCUGUCUUCAAUCUCGAUGCGACAAAAGCAGCUGUCAACUUCUUCAAUGUUUCUACAAUCACCCUUGAAAGGCUGCUUACCAUGGGAGCUGAGAAGGUCCAUCAAUGGUUCCUUCAAAGAAAGAUGAAAGAAUGUGUGGAGAGUUUCAUGAGGGCAGUGGCUGAAAUGAUGGUUUUUGUAUCUCAUGAUUGUGUUACUAGUCUGGUGUGAAAAUGAUUGAGAUGCUAAUCAAGUUCUUCUUAUGCAGUGAAGAAGCUUGCCAGAUGAAGCCAGCGCCCUCAUUUGAGUGUUAAAAAGCUGUGCUGGAUAUUAUUAUUAGUUAAUGUUUUGACAUAUUUGUCUGUAGAAAUCCGUUGGCUCAUUCAUGCUGGUGUGACUGAUCAUUUGUUUGUAGAUAUAACUGCAUUUUAUGCUUGUUUAAAGAGAGAAUUCUUGAGAUUGAAAGUCAAUUUUCAUUUCUACGAUCAUUCCAUGAAACCACUAGGGCCAUAUCGCACUUGAUUUGUUGCUAUGGUGAGGGUUUUUUUCCCCUCAAAGUCAAAAUUGCUAUGGCAAGUAACUAAUCGGUAAAUUACUAUUUAAUCUUUAAUUUUUUUAUUAUUAACAUUUAGACCUUAAUUUUAGAUUUACUAUAUGGAUUGUUAGGAUUUAAAAGUAAACUACAGUUUCAUCCUUAAAAAGUGCAACUAUUUAUUAUUUUAUCCUUCGAUUUUGCAAUCAAUUACAAUUUCAUUCCUUGGCUUCAUCUAUAUUAUUUUCCUCUCUUUCUCUCUCUCUCUCUCUCUGCCUUUUUUUCUCAUUUAAGAGGAAAUAGAGGUCAUAAGAAAAACUAUGAAUGAAAUUGUGGAUAAUUGUAAAACUAAAUAUGAAGUUGUAAAUGAUUAUAAUGUUUAUAGAGCAAGUCUUGUUUUUUUCUUCAGGAAAUAGCUUGCGUAGAAAAUAUUUUCAUGAUGGAAAGGUAUCUUUAGGGAAAUAAUUACUGUGAAAAUUAUUCUCAACCAAUGUUUAGUUGCAUGUUUAAAAAAUAAACAAUUUUAAUAAAUCUAUAUAUAAAAAGUAUGUUGAUAUUAAUAAAAUUCUCAAAAAUCUAAAAAUAAUUUCUUCUUUUAAAAUAAAAAGUUAUUAAAAAUAACUAAUUUUUUAUUAUAUCAAGAAUAUAUUUUUAUUGACUAUUUUUUCUGCAAACGUCAAAAAUAUAUAUAAAAAGUAUUCAUAAAAAAAUAGAACAUUAGUAAUUUAUAUACUAACGGCAACAUGAAUAAAAGGUUUAAAAUAGCUGGCAAAAGCAAAAUUAAAAGCAACAUGUAGCCUAAAAUAGUUUAAAUUCAGAUGACAAAACAUGUGGACUAAAUAAUAAUUUUCCAUGCAUGAAGAACUCAUUCUCUGGAACUUGAAUCCCAAAUAGUCUUCGAACCCACACCAUUUACCAUUUAAAAAAAAUUGAGGAUUAGAGAAAUUAUAAAUCUUGAAUCGUAGAAGUUGAGUUUUGGGGUGUGACGCAUCUAGACGUAGCCAACAGAGAGCACAAACUAAAAAUGUUGGCCUCCAUAUGAAAAUUCAUUUAACAGUGCCUACUAAAUUUGCUGAAUCAUUUGAAAAAAANNNNNNNNNNNNNNNNNNNNNNNNNNNNNNNNNNNNNNNNNNNNNNNNNNNNNNNNNNNNNNNNNNNNNNNNNNNNNNNNNNNNNNNNNNNNNNNNNNNNNNNNNNNNNNNNNNNNNNNNNNNNNNNNNNNNNNNNNNNNNNNNNNNNNNNNNNNNNNNNNNNNNNNNNNNNNNNNNNNNNNNNNNNNNNNNNNNNNNNNNNNNNNNNNNNNNNNNNNNNNNNNNNNNNNNNNNNNNNNNNNNNNNNNNNNNNNNNNNNNNNNNNNNNNNNNNNNNNNNNNNNNNNNNNNNNNNNNNNNNNNNNNNNNNNNNNNNNNNNNNNNNNNNNNNNNNNNNNNNNNNNNNNNNNNNNNNNNNNNNNNNCUUUUAAAAUGAUUUAAAAAAAAAAAAAGUUAAAAGAAAUAGAAUUCUUGUUUGUAUUCUAAUUAAGAUAAUUGAUAAAAAAAAAAAUUCAAUUGAAUUGAAUUUUUGUAAAAUUUUUUAUUCCAAAUAAGGAGAUAAAAUCCCGAGCAACUCUUAAAUCUGAUGCUCAAGAAAGAUCCACCAUCACAUUUAAGAAAUGUACUCAAUGGCCACAACUCCCAUUCUGGGAAUUUACAAGACAAUAAUGGCAUAUCAUCAUCAUUUGUUAGCAACAUGGGUAGAGAACCACCCCACGUUUUGGCUAUCAUUUUAUGGAAAUACCCAAAGAAACUAAGAAGCUCAACUGAGACUAGAUAUCAUUUGGAAGCAAGUCCAUGAAAUUAUCAAUCGUCUUUCUGAUGCAAAAUACUAGGCAGGCUAUUAUUACCAUUCAGAGCAGCAUGAUAUACUCGCUUCUCAGCUAGUCCAAUAUCUGACAUUACUAAAUCACCCUGCAGAGAAGACAAAAGGGAAACUAGUGUUGUUAUAAAUGCCAAUUUCUAGAUAAAAUUAUCAAAUUCAAAUUAUGGUUCAGAAUCAGCAUAAAGAUGCCCAGUAUAAAUUUCAGAUAUUCUCCUGGUUGCUAUGGUUUAAAUGAUACAGCAAAAUUAUAUUGACAAUAAUAUCUUACAAGAUUAUGUCUUAAACAGGCAAGUUAGAACUGUAUAGAACUCUCUCUCAUUGUUGACAAGAAUACUGUGGAAUGUGUGAACAUAUCAAUACCAUUUGGGCAGGAUUUCUUUUAGAUAUAGAUGCAAAAGUUCCAAAUAACAAAACUUGGCAUUGCAUAUAAUAUACAAUGACAAAAUAAAACUUUGACUUUAGUUGUAGACCAUGCAUCUCAUCACAUGCAUUUUAAUGACCAUCUUUAGAUGGUACCUCAACUGAAGGGAAUUAACCAUUACUCAUUAUGCCAUGCCGCAGGCUUCAGUGCAAAGUUCUUAAAAUAUAGCCAUUAGCUAUAAUAUUUUGGUUUCACUGUUGAGUUCAUAUGGUGCAAGGCCUUCUGAGUUUUGUAUAUAUCUAGAAAUUGGCAAGGUGAUCCAGCUUGUAGGAUGGUUUAAUAUUAACAGUUGUAAGAAGAUAGUUUUAUUCAUGUCACAGCCUACUACUAACCCUCCUGACCUUAAGUGGGAAGUAUAUGCUCUAAAUUUAUGAAUUCAUUUCAGAAAUCCUACUGUCAGAUAUCAAUUGGAAAAGCAUACCUCACGAGCCAUUAACCAUCGGACAUUAGAAGCAUAUAGCUUUGGGUUGUCCUUCUCUUCCUGUGAUGGAUAGUAAACAGGUAACCUUUUCACUUCUAUGUAAUUUAUGAAUUGACAGAGGAGAAAAAUCACAUGGCGCACCUGCAAAGGGAAAUAUGUAGUGAAACUAAGAUCACAACUAAAAGGAUGUAUUGAAAAACACAUCUUCUCCUUGCAAAGGGAAAUAUGUAUUGAAACUAAGACCAAAACUGAAACAGUGUCAUGGAAAUCGCAGCAUCUUCUCCCUGCAUAACAGUUAUAUAAGAAGAGUCAAAACUAAUGCAAAUUGACGAAUUUGCAUUGGUUUCACAUCACCAUGAGAACCAUUUCCUUAAUUAUAAUAUAUGAAAAGUAGAUAUAAACCCGAUCAGAAAGAAUAAAGAUUCCAGGGAAACUUCAAUCCCCGUAUAUACAUGCCCCAAUGCCAUAGAAACCAGAUUCCUAAUUACUUUCUAGUGAAACUGUGGUUUAACGUAGACUCCACCUCAAUUGUUUGCAAGCUAAUAAUUUUUCUGUAAUAUUAAAUGAUUUCCCAUAUCACUUCUGAAGUGAAGGCCUUUGCCAUCAUUACCUAGAGUGCCUAGAUAUGUAGACAAGUUCAUUACGCAUAAACUUUUACAUAAUUUCCAAAACAAAAACCAAUACCUCAAAAACAGAACUUUGUUAUUUGAUUGUGUGGGACAAUGUAUUAAAAAAACUAAUUAGAUUGGGGAAUUAAUGAAAUAAUAUCAUCUAAGCUUUUGCUUGCAUAAGAAAACUCACCCCAGAAAUUGAAUCCCAAGCAGGACUGAAUCUCUGGUAAGGAUAUCUCAGUAUCACUGGAAGCACAGGAGUACCAGCUAAGAAUGCUCCUGUCUUGAACGGAAGAAGGAAAUCUCCAUUGGUUGUGGUGCCUUCUGUAGCACAAUUGAAGAUAAAUUUAACUGAAUGAGUUGGCAUGUUUUAUAUAGCGAUUUAACAAUUAUUCAACUAUUUGACUCCUCUAAUAGGGGGCGAAGGUUCUUUUAUUUCAUUUUCUCUGCUUCAUGACAUCCCAUCAAACAAUUCAGUUACACUUCAGAUAUAUUAUUUUUGUUUUUUUCUUUUUUAAAUUAGGUUCUAAAGUAGAAAGUUGUUUUCAUUUUCCAUAAUUUUGGCCAUGCAAUGAAGUUCAGAAAUGCCAGCAAUGAAGUUCAGAAAUGCCAACUAGACCCAAAAUUAGACAGCUGUUACUUCUUCACACAUCAGGGAGACAUGCAUUUCAAUAUUUCUUUUUCCUCUUUGCAACCUUUGUAUGGUCCAGCAGAGCAGGUAUCUGGGGUUUACAGAAGAAAAUUUAGCUUACUUUUGCCAUGGGACCAAAAGAGAACCUGGAAAUCUUAUUUUAUGGAUUCACUUACACAAACCAUGGAAUUUUGCAUGAAUUAAGUACCAUUCGAUUUCUUUGAUUCCCCCAGUAAAUAAAUUCUCCUUUCUAAUAUUUCCUUGGAAAUGAAAAUCCAAUAAAUUCUUAAUAUCAAAAAGAUUUACAAAAUUUAAUUGUCAUAAAGCAAUCUAAUAUUAGACUGCUGGCAUUUGGAGAGAGAAAGAUAGAGAAAAAAAAAAAAGAACAAAAAAACAGCAACAACAGCUAACGGGACCAAUUACAUCAAAGCAAGUAGUGGUAUUUCCUACUUUUAUUGCGAGGACCCAAACACAUGAUACAGCUUGGAACUAUUGAGAGAUGAAACUCCACGUAUUGCUCUUUCCCAUUGAUGAACCAUCGCAGCAAAACAAGUGCUGAAUUGCUACCUUACAUAUCCAUUAUGAUCCUUACAUCACUUAAUCAUUAUUAUUUACAUGUUACUAAAAAAUGAAUGCAGCUUACUUAAAUAACACAAAUGUGCUGUCAAUUUAAAUAAAAAUAAAUAAAUGAAGAGAAUAGAAAAUGUAAAAAUAGCAGAGCAUUUCAUUAAACACGCACCAAAAAAAAUGAGGAUGCACUAUGCAAAAGUAUAUCACCACUAACCAGGGAAAAGUAUCAUUAUAGGAGCAGACUCAUUCUGAUGAGCUUCUCCAACUCUUUUAGUCACAGCACCUACAAAGCUCACUAUAGUAACUAAUAAAAUAUUACUUCAGCCAAAACAGAGCAUAUAAUAAACUAAACAGCUUGAGAAAAAAAAAAUCAUUUUUGAGAAUUGGCAUGCAUAUAUCCCACGAUUAUGUUAGUUACCAUGCAACAUGUAAUCCUGAACUAGUGCUACUCUAUUCCUGAUGCAGACCUAAUGCAAGUAUUGGUCUCCACUUUCUCAUACAUUUAAAGAAAAAACAUUAACAAUCUAUCUUACCUGCAACGCCUUUGAAGUCAGAUGAUUUUGACUCUCUUUGAACAUAGACACAACCGAGGCACUUGCUGCCAAAAAAAGCCAGCAAAAGAAUUAAAAGGCUUGAUUGCACAAGAAAAGAUUUAUAGACGAUUAGAUAAGGUUCAUAUAUUAGAUAAGGUUCAUAUACAGUGAACUAACCUGAUGAGACCAAGAAGAGGCAAUUUGCCCACUGAUCUCUUCAGCAAUAAAAUACCAUGUCAAAAUCAACAAGAUUAAAAGAGAUAUGCGUCAGCGAACCAGAAAAGUCUAUAAAUAUAGUUACCACUUUAAACUCCAAUAUUAGGUAAAUUAUUGAUGCUAACGAACAAACCUUGGCAACAAAACUUGGAAAAGAAGAAGACAUGUGGUACAAAAUAUCCAAAUACGAAACAUGAUUAGAAAUUAUUGCCCCAGGUCUUUCAGGUACUCCAGAUUGAUCUUUGCCCUCAUUCUGUUCAAAAAGGAAGAAACAGAAAAUGAAAUGGGGAAAAGAAUCAAUUCAGAACUCUGACAAAAGCAUAGACUUUUUGUUCUUUUUCCAGCCGUGGUUUCUUUGAAUGCGAUGGAUACAGAAUCCAUAACCAGAGAAUAAGUCCCAGCAGUAAAAAUUGCAUUUUAUAGAAUGAUUCGCACAAGAUUACAAACAUAUCCUCUUAUUUGGAAUCAUAGAUUUCACAAGAAUUUAAUUCAAUUCAAUUCAAUUCUUUUCUAUCAAUUUUCUUCUUUGGAAUGAAAGAAUUCAUUUCUUUUUCCCUCAGUUUACUAUCAAGAAUUAUGCAAGAAUUCAAAUCAAUCAAUUUUCUUUCCGCCGCGUCCCUAGAACAUAAAGUAGAUGACAAAAUUGUGAAAAUUACCUGAGUAAAAGACUUGUUCUGAGGUUGCUCUAGAAUCCUAUAGCUUUCCCUAAUCCAAUAAAACCCAAACAAGAAAAGCAUAACUCUGGAAACAAAGCUCCCGCACCUCACAAUCACGGCCCUGCUCCACCCUCCCAUGUGCGCGAAAUCCUCCUGCUCCUCCUCCACGUCCCGGUUCGGGGCCGAGAAAAGCGUGCAAAUCCUACAAACUGAGUAAUAAAAGAACAAUAUUAUCAUCGCGAGCAUGACUCGAAUCGGCAAGAGAGUCACCAACGCGAAGCCUAGCAAGGCCUUCUCGGCCAACGGCAGUUCUCCACGUCCCAUGGUCCCGUAGACGUCAUUACGCACGAAUGCAGCGAAUUUCUUCUCAAGAUCUUCGAUAUUGGCCGUCGACAUCCCUUUGGAAUCGGAUUUGAGGAGAGGACGAUCAUCCCUGUUGGAGGCAUUGUCAUUGGCUGUUUCCGGUUGAGGUUCUGGUUGGCGGGGCUUGGAAGGCUCCGGAUUUACAUCUUUAAGCUCAUUCUCCAUUGUUUUAUUGAAGAAUUGAGGGAAAUGGUGAUGAUUUUGGUAUUGAUUUUUGGGUCAUAGAAGGUUAAAUUUGAUAGCCAUUUUUUAUGGCUGCUUCGUGAAGUUGGCGUAGCUAUGGAAAUGAGUAUUGGCAUCGAAUAUCUGGCAAAUAUCUAUCUCUGUUUCUUCUCCCGCGAAGCCUGCGGGAUGGCUGAGCGUGAAAAGUCCAUGAUUAAAGUAACGUCCACCAGACGAGCUGCGAUUCCAGAUAGUUACGUGCAAAGUACCUUGGAUUGGAUUCACUGAUGUAUAGCCGUUGGAUUUAAUCGAAUGGACGAUCGAGGUUUGUAGCCGAGAAACUUAGGAUAAUGGAGCCCAGUAAUAUCCGAACAGGUUUAGGGCGAAUAGAAAAAACUAAUAAAAUUAUAACAAAUUUAUUACUCCAUUUCUAUAAUUUUUCGCACACGUUAAAAAAAUAAUUUUUUAUUACUUUUUUAAUUAUAUUCAUUUUAAAAAUAUUAAAUUUUAUUUAAUAAUUAAAAUAUUUUUUAAAAAUAAAAUUAUAAUAGUUAAUUUAUAUAUUAUUAUAUUAUAAAAAAUAAUAAUAAUAAUUUUUAAAAAAUCAUAAAAAAUUAUGAAAUAAAAAAAUAUCUAAUUAGUUCAGUGAAAUUAAUUAUUUAUUCUUUUCAUUUUAUAAAAAACACAUUAAAAAAUUUAUGUUUCAAAUUAUUUACUAUUUAGUUAUUUGAUUUAUUUAGUAUUUUUAAAAUAAUUGAAAUGUUUAUAUAUCUAUUUAAUACAUAUAAUUUUAAAAUCAUAAUUAUUUAGUUUGUAUGUAUUCAAAAUAAUAUUGAAAACUUCUCUCCUCCCGUUUUUUUUUUUUUUUUCCGUCUAGUCUUAAGGUUUUUUCCUCUGUGGUUUUUUGCUGCCCUUCCGGACUGAGGAGAGUCUUUCCUUGCUCGGUCGUGGGUUCUCCAAUGGUGGGAUGUAGAUUUUUUUUUGUUUAGAUUUUUGUUGUUGUUUUGCAGCGGUUGUUUAAGAGAGGGGUUUUGUUUGGUUGCAUGUUCUCACUUUCUUUUUUCUAGUUGUUUGUUGGUUUUUCAAGACUAUGAACUCCUUAAAUCUGUUCGUUUUGAGGCUGGAUUCCUGGAAAGAAGACAGUAAUGGUGGCUCGCAGUCUGGAACUCAAAGACAAGAAGGAGUCGCCAGGAGCACACCUCCUCUCUCGCUGGUGCUAUCUUUUCUGAGGAUGUUCUCUUUUGCUCCAGGCAUUUGCAAACUCGAUAUGGAUAAGAAAGUUUCUUUUUUCUGUCUCCCAACCCGUCUCUGCGUUGCAUGCAAUUAAAUUUUUUUUAUAAAAUUUUGUUUAAAAUAAGGAAAUUUAAAAUUAUUUAACUUUGAAAAAUUUUUUAUUAUAUAUAAAAAUGAAAUCAUUAAUGAUUUUAUAAAAAUUUAUUUAAAUUCUUUUCUUACAAAAUCAUUCGAGGAAGAUAAAGAAUUCACAAUUUUACUAAAACAGUUGUGGUUUGGAGUUUCUCUGUCCCUUCAUAGCAGGGGAAGCUCAUUUUUCUUGCUAGAUGGAUGGUAUGCUCUCCCUCAACAUCUUUUCAUCCAUCUAUAGUGUUGUUUUCAUUUUUGGCUGAUCUAACAUAUUGAUUGGGUUGAGAAACUUUUUCUAAGAAAUUCUACAGUGGUUGAUUCAUCUAUUAUAAUUUUUUCAUUACCUUUAUAUAAAGAAUAUCCCUCUCGCCUUUUCACUUCCCUUUGAGAUUGUGUUGUUUCUGAAGAUUUGAAAGCUAAAUCUUUGCAUCCUGCCUAUAGCAAAGGGUUACCCCAUGGAAAACAAAGGAUGGCGUCUAAACUAAAUGUCAGAAUGCACGCUACUCUAUAGCUUAUGCUAAAUCCUAAAUUAGUUUGCAAUAGGGUUUAUGUGUCCAUAUAAGAGAUUUAGACAAUCUUCUCAUUUAAGUUAGUUGUUGGGUGAAUUAAUUUUUUGCUAAAAUUUAAUAUGGUAUUAGAGUUUCUCACCGAUAUUGCACCUCUUUUAAAUAUUUCAUACUUCAGUAAAAUUUUGAAUUUGAGUAUUGAAUCUCACACUUAUUUGAGAUAGAGACAAUAUUAUCCUUUGUAAGGGUUUUAGACAUUUCUUUUUAUUUGAAAUAGUGUUUAGAAUGAGUUAAAUCUAAUCUAAAUUUAAUAAUUUAGAUGAAAUAGAGAUUGUUGUGAGCCUCCCUUUCUAUCCCCUUUUGAAGCGGAAGAGAGAUUCAAAGCUGCUUUAAAGGUUUCCAAGCUUUUAUAUUCUGUUUCUUUUGGAGUUGGAUUUGCAGUGUUUCAGUAAGCUUAACUCCAAAAGGAAGAGUUAUAGAUGUUUUCUUUGGCAAUACUGAUUGACGCUUAGAGGUGCUGGUUAUGUUCAUCCCUUCUCCUACUUGCGUGCUUAAUGUUUUUGUAAGGAUGUUGGCUUUGGUUCUUAGAGUACCUGAUGAGUUCAAUUGAGUUUGGUUCUGAGUUUUAACAAUGAAUCAAUUUUUAUAUUUUUAAAAUUAAAUAUUUUUUUAUAUUUUUAAAAUUAAAUAUUUAAAUUCUUUUAUAAUCGGUGUAUUAAAAAAAAAUCUUUUCAUCCAUAAUUCCAUUAAUCAAUUGGUUAAAUGGAGAAUAAAUAUUUUAAAUAUCUAAAAUAUCCUUAUGAACACUUAAAUCCUUAUCAACAUGCCUGAAAUAUUUUAUAUUGCUUAAACUACACUUUAAUCCCUAAAUUUUACGUAAUUAACAUAUUAGUUUUUAUAUUUUUAAAAUUGAAUCCUUAAAUCUCUGUAUAUUCAAUCCAUCUACAAUUAUAAUUUUUUUAUCCAUUAUAAACAUUAGUUUAAAGUCAGUGAGUGGUCAAACUUUUCACAAUAUAAUUUCUUUUUAAAAUACUUUUUAUAAAAAUCUAUAAUCUAUUUAAAAAUUAUUUAAUAUCAAUUAAAAAUGGUUGAAAUUGUAAGUAUUUUUUAAAAGUUUUAAAAUUAUCAAGUAUUGAAAUAUUUUAAUAAAUAAAAAUUGAAUAGAAAAAAGUGUUAAAUUUUAGUUGAAUAUAAUAAUCUGGAUAUAAGUUAAUGAGGAUUUAAGUGUUUUUUCAAGUGAAAAAUAAAUUAUCAUAUCAAAAUGUUUAAAUUUUAAUAGAUGAGGGAAAAUAAAUGAAAUUCUAACUCCUUAAUUUUUUUUAAUUUAAAAAAAGAGAAUAAAGAUAUUUUCAUAUUUUUAAUUGCAAGAAAUUAAAAAAAAAAGAUUGGGAUCUAAAUUAACCGAUUAUAAAGAAAUUUAAGUAUUCACUUUUAAAAAUAUAGAAACUGAUAUGUUAAUUAUACUAAAACUUAAUAGCCACGUGUAGUUUACCUAUUUAAAAGGGUAAUAAAGACAUUUUCACACUUUUAAUAGCAAUUGAAGGAUUUUCUAUUCGGAUAGAUUGAUUAUAGAAGAAUUUAAGUAUUCGGUUUAAAAAAUAUAAGUAUCGAUUCGUUAAUUAUACUAAAAUUUAAGGAACAAAAUAUAAUUUAUCUAAAAAAAUUAUUCAUACAUUUUUUAUUUUAAUAAAAAAGUUUAGUUUUAAAUUUACUGUCCCAAAUUUUUUAAUUGAAUGCAAUUAUAGCCUCUAUAUAAAAUCAUGAUUUGAAAUUAAAAUUUUAAACAUAUUACUUGCUAUAUAAUAUUGAAUUUAAAAUUUUGUAUUCUUACAUAUUUUUCUUACUUCAAAAUUAAAAGAUGUGUAAUUAUUUCUUAUACCUUAAAUCUCUUAAGAUCUUAAAUUGUCAUGUCACGUGCAUAAAAUUUUAAUUUCGGGUAUUGAACAGCAUUAAUGUGUAAAAUUUUAGUUGCUAUGUGCAUAAAAUUUAUUUAUAAUAGCAUGAUGUGAACAAAAUCGUGAUUAUAAAUUAAUUAAAUAUAAAAAUACGUAAAAAUAUUGAAUAUUUUUAUCUAUGUAACCCAAAAAAAAAACUAACUAACCAGAUUGAUCUUAAAAGAAUGAGUUAGCUCAAAAAAAAAGUGCUUGAAGUUUUAUACCUCCCUUCUUUUCUUUAACUCCUCCAUCUCGUCUAGAUUGCUAUGGUUUAUGAUUCUUAGGCUCCAUUCAGAUUGAGAUGUAAGUUGAGAACUUGAGAUGUAAAUUUACUGUGGAAUUGAUUUGAGCCUCUAAAAAUGGGAGAUCAUUGAUCCCAUUAAGUUCCCUAUCAUUCACUGCAGCACCUGGAAUUACUGAACUCUGCACUAGGCUAUAGGAGUUUAACUUUCAGAAGGAAGUUGAUUUUCAUCUUAAAUGAUCUAUGGAAAUCAAGGCCAAUGUAUGCCCUGAUGAAUCCGCAGGCUUGGCCGUAUCUGGGACCAGUUGGCCAACUUGGCCUAACAGCUAAAUUGUGAAGAAUUCCAAACCUUAACCUUCUUCAUUGGGACACAAGUAAUUGUUCAUUGGGCUACUAGGCUAAUUAUAUCUCGAGGACACUCGCUUUCUUAUCAAUAUGCCAAGAUGAAACAACUAAAACAUAGCCAACGUAAGUUUCCCAUUUGACUGCCAAAGUUCUAUCCCACAAGUCUCAUCUGCAGUAUUAACUCAGAUGUUGCAAGUUUUGAGUGUGGUUUUUGAGCUUCCAUGAAAAGUUUUGAUAGAAGUACAGAAAACGAGCUCAACUUCAGAACCAAAAUAGAAGAAAGGAGAUGAUGAUAAUGGUAUUGAGAUGAGUAGAUUAUAUAGCGUGUUCACUCAAUCACUCAAUCUUCAAAUACCAGACUCAAAAGAAUCAAGAUUUUAGCACAAAACAGUAAUGGAGAAACACUAUGCCACUAUUAAGCCAGACUAGAUUUAAUGGAUCAGCUCAAACUCUAUUAAGUAUAAGGACUGAGCAAAAUAAUGAUAUAGCACAGGCAACAAACUGAAGGAACCAAGUAAUUUCCUAUAAGCCAGACUUCAAAUCUUUAAUAUAGUUGGAAUUGUACUUAUCUUUCACAGAACUAUCACUUAAACAAUGGAUUUCUCCAGAGAAGAAACCAAACUUUUGCAUUUCUGUUCAUGAAUGAUAUAAACAUUAAACAUGAUCCAUAUUGAUCCUCUGUGACUGUAUGAAUUUAUUAUUAUGAAAAAGAAAGAAGCUUAGAAACAAGAGAGUUCCAGUGCUUCAGUGGAGAACAUGUUUUAUUUCCUAUCCCAACAGCAAAAGAGUUUUCUCACCCUUUCCUUUAUCUCAAUUAUGCAGCUGCUAACAAUAAACCUUAAUUCCACAAACUAAAUAAAUGUAAAAGAAGCCUAAUUCUUCAACAGUCGUACCUUUUGAAAUUAUUCCAAACUCAGCAAGAGACCCAGUUCUUGUGAGUACUAAUCAAGGCAGACACGAGUCCUGCAAACGACACCAAGACCGGCGCCGAGAGCUGCCCCUUCCCGUCUCGAAUAUCUGCUAACGCCAUUAACCCAUCAGCGAAGUCCUGUAUAAUCGAAAGUUUCUUCAUCAACUUCUUCUCUCUCAGCUUCCUCAUCUUCUCUUCUUCUGCUUGAUACCCAUUCCCUCUCAAAACGGCAACCUCAAUGGAAGAUUCCAAACAGAUCUCAUCUUCAUUUAAUUUCUUCAAAUCCCUAAAUUUGAGAGAAAUACUGCCUGUGUAUCCAAUAAAUUCAAACCAGGCACUGAUUUUUCCCAAUUUUUUCGAGUGUUUGCUAUCGAUCAAGCCUGCUUUAGCCAGCCAAACGAACUGUUCAACAAAAUAAUACAAGCCUUCGCCUCCAUAAGCAAUGAUGGAGAGGACAAUUUCUUGUUUUGAGUCGAAACUAGAGUUUCUCAGAGUGUUGACGUCCUGCACAAAUUUCCCAAGUCGAAAGGCUUUGCGACUGAGUCCUACGCUAGACUCGAAGCUCUUCAAACGCUGAGUUAGAAUUAGCGAUUCAGGAAGAGCUGAGGAAGCCAAAAUGAUCUUGGAGGCGUAGCGAGAGAUCUUAAGGAGCUUAUCCACGCCAUCUCGCUUAGCUAGGUAAACUUCAAGGUGGUUGAGGAAGUCUCUGUCUUUGGUUGUGGUAGGUCGCGCUAGGUUUUUAGGGAUUGGUGCCGGAGUGAUCACCGGUUUCUGAGUUGAAGUCUCUGAAUCCAUGGAACCGCAGCAGCAGAGAGAGAGAGAGAGAACUGGGAAAGCGCCCGAGAACGAGGAAGGAAAAUUUUCAGAAGAAAACUGAGACGACGCCGUUGGAUGAUAUUCUUCCCCUGAGUUAUGAGCAAGCAAAACGGCAGCGUUGAGCUGUAAAAAUGGGUUUCGAUUGGAGCUUGUCGCGUCUGCUUUUCAUUGUGGUGUGUGCCAUACGCGUUAAUGAUUAGCGACAGAAGUUUAUCCGUCUAAAUUAAUCGAGCCCAUAUAAAAACCUAUUUGACGAGCCGGGUACGUCCGAAAUCGAACCGGGUCAAGUACAGUAUCGCACAAUUCAAGUUUGAUUUAUUUGAAAUUUUUGGAAAUUAAAGACAAAUUCAAAUAUUAGUUCUAAUUUUAAAAUUUUAGUGUUUAUUUAUUAACUUUUUGUAAUUAUUUUGAAAUUCACCCAACAAUUGAGUAAAAUUAAUUUUUUAUACAGUUUUCUUGAUUUGAGAGCUUAGCGAGCUUAAUAUCAGAGAUAUGUGCGCCAUUCCUGGACUAAACAGGGAUAAAUUUAUUCCGGAAAAAAGAAAAACCAGGGAUACAUUUUAAGGGAAAUUAUGGAUUUUUAUAAAAUUAAUUAGUUGGUUUUUAUUUUAAAAUUAUUUAAUUAAAAUAUUUUCAUAUUUUAUAAAAUUUAAUUUUUUAUUAAAAAAUUAAAAAAUAUUUUAAAUUAUAUACUAUUUAGUCUUUAUAAUUUAUUUACAUAUAUUAUUUAAAUUUUUAUAAAUUUAAAUAUUUAUAUUAUUUAAUUUUUUUACUAAUGUUAAAAUAAGUUGAUUAAUUUAUAUUAAAAAAUUUAAUUUUAUAAAAUAUAAUAUAUUUUAGACUAUAUUUUUUUAUAAAAAAUAAUUUGUAUUUAAUUUAAAAAAUAAAAUUUAUUACUAAAUUUAUAUAUAAAGCUCUUAAUAAAAAUUUUAAGAGUUAGAAAAUAAUUUUUUUUCAAAGAAUAAGUCACAGAAAAAUAUUUUUUAUUAAUUGAAUUUUCUAUAUUUGUUAAAUGUCAGAAAAUAUAUUUUCUAUGAAACAAAUAUAAUCUUAAUUGAAUAAUUUUAAAAUAUGAAUAAAUUAGUGAAUUUUUUAAAAAUUUAAAAAUCUGAUAAUAAUUCUUUCUAAAUUUUACCAUAUAUUAAUUUUCACAAUCAAUUAUCAUAAUCGGUCUAUAUAAGUCAUACCAUAAUCAAUAAUUAAUAUUUAAUCGUUAUACAUUAAUAGUAUGUGAUAUGAUAUAAUAUUUAUUUAAAAUUUGCCAUAAUCAAAUAAUAGAGUCACGUGAUAAAAUCUUAAUAAAACAUAACAUUUGAUUAUGAAAAUCUUAUUUAUAAAAAAAAAUUUAGAAAUUAUAAUUAUCGAUUUUAAAAAACAAAAAAUAAUAAUAUAAACAAAAUAAUAAUAUCAAAAAAUUAUGCUGGUAAUUAUGAUAAAUUAAAUGGAAAAUUUUUGCUUCGUCUUUAGCAUCUUGUAUUGCAAUAUUUAAUGUUAAAAGGAAAAAAAUAUUACUUAAUUUUUAUGAUAUGAAAAAAUUUAUUAAUUAAUUUUCUAAUUCUGAAUCUAUUAUAAAAUUUAAAUAUUGUACUAUUUAACUUUUAUAAUUUUAAAAUAAUUAUUAGUUAGUCUUUUAACUUUUUAAGAAGUUUAUUAAUUAAUUAUUUUAUAUUAGAGACAUUUUAAAUUUUUUUAUAAUAUUUAACUAUUGAUUUGAAUAACUAGUAAAUUUUUUAAAAUAUUAAAAAUAUUUUAAUAUAUUUUUUAAAAUGAAGAGAUAAAAUAGUAAGUUUUAUAAUGAAAGCAAGUUAUAAUUCAAUUUAUUUUUAUAGUUUUUAAUUAAAAUUAUUAUUUCUAAUUAAAACGUGAAGACUGUAUUAAUAGUUUUAAAAUUUAAGAGAUUUUUUAAAUAAUUAAUUGGCUUGUUUGAAUUCUGAAAACAAAAUUAAAAACUUAAAUAAUUAUUAAAUUUGCCUUUUUAAAUACCAAAAUUGACGUUUUGCUUUCUUAAAAAUUGUUAUCAAGAAUGCCAAGGUCUAAAGCGUACAGGCACAGCAAGUACAGCCCAUACAAGAAAUAUGGGACAAUAAAGAAAGAAGAGGUGGUUUAAAACCCGCAGUGGCUUGAAAUCAAAACAAACUUCAAUUUUAAUCAUGUAUUAGCCGGGUCAAAUCGAAUUUAGAUCGAUUAAGUAGAUUUGAUUUACGAAUUGAAUUAAAACUAUUUAUUAAGAGUCACCCGUUUUAAUUUUAUAUUUUUAAAAGGAUUUUUUAUUUUAAUUUUAAAAAAUAUAUCCGAAUAAAUUUAAGAAUUUUUAAAUUUUGUUUUUUAAUUUUCAAUAAUGACUCGUGAAAAUAAAGAUAGCCGUUGGUUACCCACCAUCUUCUCUUUAUUAUUAUUCUUCUUCCGUUUAUUUAUUUGGGUAAGGUUUUUUCUCUUUGGAUUCUUUUUCUUAACGGUAAGGAAUUUGCCCACCAAAAGCACAGUUUGUAUUUUACCAACCGAAUGCGACGCUUAGCCUAAGCCCCAUUGUUUCCUUCUUCUCCUUUCCCAAUCGACGCCUUCCAGUUUCAUCUUCUGCGCCCAAUUACCAGUUUACCCUCCUGCUAUACUCAUUACCCCUUAAAUUCAUUUUUUCCUUUAGCACUCAUUUUGCAAUUGAUGUUUUUUUCCUUUUGCCCAAAUCUUGCUUUUUGGAUUUUCGAAAUCACUGCCUUUUAUUGAGUACUUUUUAAUAGAAAAAGGGUAAAUUGCAUUAUGAUUAGCCUAAUUAUUCACCAUCAAUGAAAUAAAAAUCUAUCAUUAUUACGUUAAUGAUUGUUUUCUUUAUUGAAGAAUAUUAUUAUUUUAAAUAAUUUAAUUAUAAUAAUAAUAUAAAAAUAAAAAAUAAAAGAUUCAAUUGAGAUUACAUAAAACAUAGGUCAUUCUAAUCGAUGAUCGAAAAUAAAUACAUUGAUAUAGAACUAAUUAGAUUUCAUCAGAAAUUUUAACUGAUAACGAUUAGUUGAAACAAAAUAAUAGAAAUAAAGGCUUAAAAAUCAAAAAUUUUUAUUGAAAUUCUUGAAAAAUUAAAAAGUAUUUUAAAAUAAUUUAAAAAAAUAUUUAUAAUAGAAAAGCUCUAAAAUAAAAAAAAUUUUUAAAAAAUCAAAAUGUGAAAUAAAAAAAUUAUCGUAAAUUUUUAUUAGAUAUCAACAGUAAAAAUUAAAUUCGAUUCAAAUUUAUCAUAAAAUCUAAAGUUAAUUACUUUGUAUGAUAUGUAUUUUUCUUAAAUAUUAUUAAAAUAUUAUAUUCACUUAGUAAUUUUUAUAUAAAAAUUUAUUUAUAUGUAUUAAAAAGAUUAUAUGCACGUGAAAAUAAAAGAAUAAAGAUGAUUAAUAAGAAAAAAAAAUGUAUAAAUGCAAGGAGAAGACCAGCCGAGGGCAAAUGUGGAAUUUCGGUGCAAAUUAUAGUUCCUUCCAAACCCGAAAACGAACAAGCAAUAUUGACACGUGGCAAUAUAACCGGCAAUAACCGGUAACCUACGCAGUUAAAUACCUCCAAAAACCCGUUUGUUUUUUUGUCCCUUCUUCUCCACUCCACUGUUCUCUGACUUCUCUCCACUCCGCCUUCUCUGUUUUUUUCUCUCUUUUCUGCUCCUCAAACCCUAAAUUCUCACAAGAUUCCGUUUAGGAGCCCUUAAUUUCAUCUUUAGAUCCCUUUAACUUCAAAAUCAGUACUUGCAUUACAGAAUUGAAGCUGGAUACACUCCAUUUUCUAGCUGGAAUCAGAGCCAAGGAGCUUACAUUGUGAAGAACCAUAGUGUCUAUAGCAAUGUCUGGCUCUGUUAAGCUUCAAUCUUCGGCCAAACGGGUAUCUCAGCAACGAGCCAUUCUCGUUCCCACUGGGAAUAGAAUUACGGUUUCGGAAGAGUCCAGACGGAAAAGCGAGAUUUUGAAGAAGGCACAACAAAGACCAAAGAAGCCAGCAGUGAAGGAUGUGGUUUCGGAGAUGCAGAAAGCUGUAGUUAAGCACAAUUUAUCGGUAGACAGCUCUUGCUCUUUGGAUUCUAAUUUUUCUUCUUCUUCUUUUUCUUCGAGUGGGUCUUCAGCGAAGGUAGCAAGUCCGAGAAGGACUGUGAAGCACACUGGAUUACGAGCUGUCAAGAUUGUACCUGACGCUAGUCAAUUUGAUGAGAUUUCGCUAAAGAAAAACUUGUCGGUGAAGAGCUGUGACUGGAUAACACCUCACUCUGGUAAGUCACACGUGAGUUAAGCUAUUACGCAACAAUCUCCCAUUUUUAUCUGUUUGGUUCAGUUGCGUUGAGGUUUUCUUUUAGAGAGAUAUGGUAGAAUUUGGAAACUAAGAUAAUGAUAUAUAGGUUUAUGUAAUUUAAGCCAUCCAUCUAAGUUAUUGAAAUUUGUAAAGUUGUUGCCAAGUCUUUAUUUCCAUAACCCAUUAACGUGAACAACUAGGAAUGCCUGAAAUUAAAGAAUAGCCACAAUUUUGUUCAUUACAUUUGGGUAUAUCAUCACUUGACAUGCUUCUAGAAAAUUUCUUCCAUUACCAUAAAUAAAUGUUUUUUCGGAGCAUUAUCUUACAUGCUAGUAUCAGUGUUUCUUUGACCUAGAAUAGGAUCCCCUUGCUUGCACUGAUAGAGAUGAAAGUCUACCCUACCCAAGUUGAGUCGAAAUGUAAUUUGCACGUUAGCAAUGGGUGAAUUUCGAAAGUGAAAUUGAUGUGCUACCUGGAAGGUGCUAGAUAUUGCCUCAAGUUGUGUUGAUUGUAUUGAGAACGUAGAGUUUAAACUGGACAUUCAAAACAGAAAUCAGUUUCAUAAUAAUAUGCAUGUGUGAUUAGGCAAGUCCCUUCGCUGUGCCUACCUAGCUAUAUGAACAAUAUGUGGGACAAUUAUAACUAACAUUUUCUGGUUUUAAUGCUUUGGCUUCGGUAGCAUUACUGCAAAACUUUAAUUGCCAUGACUGGCCAUUGACAUGGCAGACUAGUGCAAACAAUUUUACUGAGGAUAUCACAAGCUGGCUAAGUUCGCUUCUGGUCCAUAUAUCUAAUUAAAUAAGAACUUUUAUUGUGUCUUGGCUUGACACGACAUUAUUUAUUUUUAUGUGAACAUAUGGGCGUAUACACCUAUCCAAUUGAAACACGGCACAUCAUAAAAAAAUAGUUCUCAUACUGGUAGGGCCUACAUAUAAAUAUAAUAUUUUAGUUUUUAAAUAGUAGGAUGAAUAAAUUAAGUUGUACACCCAGAUGUAUACAAUAAUUUUCCUAUCAUAUUUAAUUUCCUAAGGUAUUCUGCCAUACUCUAGGAGGCAUGAUAUUUCCACAUCAAAACAAAUUCUUACAACUCUUCUUCUCAUUUUAUUUGAAUCUACUUUGAUCUUACCACUUUUUUCUUGUCCCUUGGAAUCUGUUAAAUGUAGGAUUCUUCUUUAAAAUCUCAACAAAUGAACUUAAUCUUGUGUUAUUUUCCGGUUUUUCCUCUAUUUAAUUUCUUCAUAUGCCUCAAGUGUCAACUUAUCUGACUGGAAAUCAAUUAGCAAAUGUUUUAUGGAUAACUUUUGUAUACUUUUCACUUCAAUCAAAAAAAUUCAUUUGCAAGAAAAGAAUUCAAAUGAAUAUUUAUACAAUUAUAAAUUAUUUUUAUUUCUUUUAGAAUGAAUUUUUUUAAGUUAAAAGGAACUAAUUUCUUUGCUUUGAAAUACGAGAAUUGACGAAAAAGAAUUCAAUUGUAUUAUUACAAAAUUCUUAAUUUCAAGCAGGAUUAUAUGUCUUUCCACCAUGUAGCUAACUCUAUGGCUUUUUGGUGAUUUUCACUGUAGAUCCACUUUAUGUGUCUUUCCAUGAUGAAGAAUGGGGAAUUCCAGUUCAUGAUGAUAGGAAGCUGUUUGAGUUGCUUGUACUUUCGCAAGCAUUAGCAGAAAUGAGCUGGCCAGCAAUUCUUCAUAUGAGGGACACUUUCAGGUAUGCAAUUUUCACUUUCCGUUAUUAGCGUCAAUUAAAAAAAUGUCAGCAUGCAUUUUGCCUGAUUUUUAUUGUUGGAUCCAUGUGUCAGGAAACUUUUUGACAACUUCGAUCCAUCGUCUGUUGCACAGUUUACAGAGAAGAAGCUGCUAUCGCUGAAAGUGAAUGGCAAUCUUUUGCUAUCUGAACCAAAGCUUCGUGCAAUAGUAGAGAAUGCUAAACUGCUGCUUAAGGUAAUUCUGUAGGCCUGGCAUCAAUCUUAGGGACUUCAUGGAUGCAUAUUUUCUUAUUGGGGAAGAACUGAAGAAGAGAUGCUAGAAGAUAUUUGAAACAUAUUGAUUGAGAACCCUCCUGUCCCUAGAACUUAACACCACCACCUUGGUUCUCAACAUUGCAAUACACUUGUACAAGUCUUCAUAGUACGGAACUGUUCCAAUAAAAGAACAUUGGCAUCCAUUCAUUUGAAGAUAAAAACUUAAUUGGCAUCCACUUGUUGCUCAUUUUGCAGGUUCAAAAGGAGUUUGGUUCCUUCAGCAACUACUGCUGGCGUUUUGUGAACAAUAAGCAACUAAGAAAUGCAUACCGUUAUGCACGUCAAGUACCUGUCAAGACGCCAAAAGCAGAAGUUAUAAGCAAGGAUCUAAUGAAGCGAGGCUUUCAUUGUGUUGGUCCUACUGUUGUUUAUUCAUUCAUGCAGGUGGCUGGGAUUGUCAAUGAUCAUCUUGUAACAUGCUUCAGAUACCAAGAGUGCAAUAUAGAUCUCAAAAAGAAUUCCAACAAACCCCAGACUGAAGAGACACAGAUGGUAACUGAAGUAUUGGAGAAAACAUGCUUAUCUCAAUAACCUUGUGGCCUUAACUGCAACUUCUGAUAAAUCACACUAGUAUGACUAGCAAUAUGAGGGCUUAUGUUCUCAAGUAAUGAUUUAGGAUUCCUAUCUUCUGUAUGUUUUACUCGCAUAAUCUAUUCUUCCACCACUUGUGUAUCCUUGACCUAAACUAGAUAUUACUAUAAUUAAACUUUCUUGUGACUCCACGCAUUCUCUGUUCAUCUUGGAUUGAGGAAGCUUCUAAGGAGGUUCCUGUCAGAUUCACUGUUGUUUUGUGUAUUUUCCAUCGUCAACUUUGAACAAUAUCUUUUUUUUUUUUUUAAAAAAAGGUGGUAGGUCCAUCCUCAAUAUGGUGCUAUAUGGCAACGCGUCAGAGGUAUUUAGGAAGGGAAAAAAAAAAUCAUUUCAUGCAACUUAUAGACAGCAAGAUGAGCAAAGCCACGUGUGGUGAAUGAUAUAGAGAAUAGAAAUCACAAAUGAAGAGAUACCAGACCCCUCCAUUCAGACAGAAGGCGACUUCCCUGCACCACCACCAUUUAUAUAAAUAUAUAAAUCUCCUAUUAUUUGCUUUCCUGUUGUACAUUCUCUUGUUUUAUAUUGAAUGUCUCCAUGAGCGAACGUGGGGCUUGUCAGGCAAUGCAAGUCCAGGGCCAGCCUUGAUUCAUGCGCUAUGGAGCCAUAUAUGAUUUACUUGGAAUAUCAUAAGCACCAAAGAAAUUUACCAUCCAACAACUAUUUAGAGAUAGAAGCACUUUCAAAUACUCCCAGUUUCCACAUACACAAGGCUACAAAGUAAACUAUCAACACGAAAAUAGUAAUGUAACAAAAAGCAAGAUGGGUCAUUCGUAAGAAGUACAUCCAUUAAUAUUGGUAAACGAACAAAUAAUUUCAUUUUAUCAGGUCUCAUCUAAGUCUUCAAGGAAGAAAGGAACUCCUCAAUCCCAGAAUAUCCCACGCUAUCUACAUGUAAUGCUUGUGAAAAACGUUCCAAACAAAUCAACUGGCAAAUGUGACUGUUCAAUGAAUAAAAGAGAAUAUAACUAAAAACAUUAAAUUAGACAUGAAAAUUUAAUUCCUUCUAUGAGACAAGAUUUGUUCAUCGUAAGCACUUCCCAACAAAUCAAUAGAGCCAUGGAUUGCUAAUAUUUUUCCAAACCAAUGCUUACCACAAACUAGAGUAAGAAUACUUUUUCUGGAACAUCUACCGCAUCUUCUCUUUGGUUCCAGCAUUCCCUCACCAUGAUUUUCAACUGGCCGUAUCAGCCCAACCUAACUCCGAGCCUUCCCAUUUCCGAGUGUGAGCUCUAGAUCAUCCAAUCCUACCUCAUGAAUCCUCUCUCCUUCCCAUGGCUUCACCUGUCCAUUCCCAAACUCAAAUUCCAUACUCCUCCCAUUCUCUUUCAUCACAUUGCUGGACAAAAUUUGCUCAGCAACAGGUUUCACAAGAUUAUAGGUUGGUGAGGUUGGCAUUGCAGCCACAGAGGGCGGGAAUUUUUGAAAGCUUAUCCAUUGACCAGACUCAACAGUGGAUGUAUCAGACUCAUCACAUUCAGGUAUGGUUGCUGGAGCAUGAAAUUGACGGUGAGUUGGGCUAGCUGGGGCAGACACAGCAUAAAAAGGGUAAUUUAAAGAGGUCAUGGAUUCUUUGGCAAUUAACUCCCAGUUGGGAAUUGGCUUCGGAUUUUUUGCAGUCGGGGAUGAAAGAGGUGGUGUUACAGGUGCACUGUUGGAGAUUCGGAGAGGAGGGAGAGACAAGGGAAUGGCAUUUUGGAGGAAGGGAAGGAGAUUAGAAGGAGCAUUAUUUUCAAAUCGAGAUGGGCUAGGGAAUGAAGAGGAAGAGGGACUAACUUGGUACGACGGAAUUGGGCUAGGAAAUGAUGAGGACAAUGGACUUGGAUUUUGUGAAGAGUAUGGAGUAAUUCUUGCAGAGGUGCCCACAAUAUCAAUUGGGGGUGGCUUACAUCCCUGGAUCAACAAACCAAACAUGGUGGCACCAUAUCAGAUUAUGAUUACCAUUAAUACGAAAGGGGUAUCAAAAAUUGUGGUGGAAGAAGUUAAGAGUUUCCACACAACACCUGCAGAGCAAUUAAAGUUUCAAAACCAUGGGUUUUUAAAUUCUUCAAAGAAAGAAAGAUUAACAAUUAGAGCUUCUUUGCUCGAUCAAAAGCUAAUCGAUCAUUCAUUAAAUCUUUCAAGUUCUGAAAUUAAAAUCCCCGCGAAUGGACCACCUCUAAAUUAGCAUACAAUUCCAAUGCAAUCUCUUCUUCAAGAGAAAGGAAUUAGAAUAGAGCAUGAAUAGAACAGCAGACAUAAGACAACUAUAACUACAAGCCCAUCCAGUUCAUUUGGCCUAACAGAGACUAAAAUCAGACAAGAAAUAGAGAUAGAACGCAAUAAAGCAAAAAACAAAGACCCAGGCCAAUUUUUUUAGAGAAAAAUCCAAAAAUUUCAGGGGAAAUCACUAAUCUAAAAGCAUGUCAAGCACAUAAAGAAGCUCGAUCCAACUACAAAUACCCAUUUCCUUCCCAAAUCAAUAGCAGAAAAUAGCUAGAACAUCGUAAAUCUAAAUCAACAAUAGUAGAUCGAACUAAAAAGAAGAUAAAGAGUACCUUACGGUAAGUAGUGCCAUCAUCUUCAACGACCCAACCAGCCUCGAUACAAAGAGCCUUCAAUACUUCAUUAUUAUCACAGUGUUUGGGCAAAUUGUAAUUCCCUUGAGCCCUUAACCCUGUAAAAAUCUUAGCAGCUAUAGCUCUUCUCCUCCUCUCCCUCCUCCUAUUAUUCUCCCGCUCUCGCCAGGACGGCUUCCUCCUCGGAGGCGCUAUCGUCGAAGUUGCCCCAUCCGACGUCAUUUUCCUGCAAAGAAUCGUUCCUGAAUCUCCGGCGAGGUGGGUGGAUCGCGUAGCUUAGGAUUUAAACCCCAGGAAGGAGAGGGAAAGGAAAUGAAAAGAAAGAGUCACGAGGAAUACGCUUUCCUUCGCUGGAAGUAAAAGAAGAAGAAUCUCUCCUUUUGUGUGUGAAGAGGACUGAGGGACUCGCAGAGUUAUUUGAAAAAGAAAGGCUUGGUUUCUAGAAAUGAUAAGGUGUGUGCAGGUACAGGAAAAGAGUUGAGAUCAGACUGCCUUAUCGAUGCCACGUAGGUUUCUUUUUAGAUCAUAAAUAGAAAUUAAUGAUGUGAGGACAAGUAUGAGGACGUGUUUGUAGAGUUUCUAUCAUUGGUUUCUUUUUCCUUUAUAAAAAGGAAUUUUACUUUUGUAAAAAAGAAAAAUAUUUGUAAGAUUAAUAAAUUUUAAAAAUUGAAAUAUUAAAAAGGAGAAAGAAAAUAAUAAAUAAUUAUACUUGAUAAGUAACUUUGUUUUCAGUUAAAAUAUUAGAUUAUUUAAGUAUUGAAAGUUUAUUAAUCUUAAAAAUUAAUAUAAUGAUAUGAUUUUUUUAAUAGAGUAAUAUGAAUACAAUACAUAUUAAAAAUUAAAAAAAUGGAAAAUAGAAAAUUAUUUUUAAUUAUAUGUUAAUUAAUUUUAAAAAAUUAAUAUAAUUAUAUUUUUAAUUAUAUAUAUAUAUAUAUAUGGGAGGAGUGGGGAAGAGGGGGUUAACUAAUCACGUGUAAGUUUAUGCGAAAUGCGCCUGUCUUGUAAUGACUAAAUAAUGUGAAAGGAGAUGGGUCCCAAUCGAUGAGUGUAGGGACCCACCCAAGUAAAAUGAGCUAUUUUGUUAGACAUGGCCCAUGCAAUGUUUUCUUGUAAUUUGUUAUGUGACCCCUUCAUCCAUCCACGUGGAUAUUACUCUCUUAUAGAAAAUUUUGGCAGAAUUAUUAUUUCAUUUUUGUGAUGAAAAAAUUUUUUAAUUUUAAAAAAUAUAUUAAAAUAUUUUUAAUAUUUUAAAAAAUUUAUUAAUUAAUUUCUCAAUUUUAAAAAUUAAAUAUUAUAACAAAGUUUAAAAUAUUUUUAUCAUGAAGAAAUUAAAUAAUAAAUUUUUUAAAAUCAUAGAGAUUAAAUAAUAAAAUAUUUAAUAGUUAAAAUUAAUUAAUUAAUUUUUAAAAUAUUAAUAAUAUUUUUAAUAUAUUUUUUAAAAUUAAUAGGUAAAUAAAUGAAUUUUUUUAUAUUAUAGAAAUUAAAUAAUAAUUUUUAAAAUAAUAAUAUUAUUAUUAUUAGUUAAUAACAAUAUUUAAAUAAUUAUUAUAUUAUAAAACUGGAAAUUUUCGCAUUAAAAAAAAAAAAGGAAACAUUGAUAUUACUUGGUAAGUUACUGAUGAAAAUAUGAAUUAUUUAAAAAAAAUUAUAUGUAAUAAAAUAUUUACUAUUAAAUAAUUAGUUAAAAUAAGUUAACAUAAUUUAAAAAUAACCGAUUAAAAUCUAUAUUUUAAAUAUUUAAUAAUUAUAUUUUACUGUCUAUUAUAAAUAUUUCCUUUAUAAAUAAUAAAAAGUUAUUAAAAUUUAAAUAUUAUAAAACAACGUACUUUAUAAAAUGAUAUUCUAUAAAUCUUAUUUUACUCUGUCUUCUUCGAAUUAAAGUUUAAAAUUUAAUUCCACGAGUCUUUUAUUUUUUUUAUCACACUUAAUAUAUUUAUUUAAAAUAAAAUUAAAAAAUAUUCUAUUUGGAUUGUGUAUCAAUUUUAAUUAUUAACUACAGUCACGAUCCUAUUUCACAAUAUUAAUAGUUAUUAAUUAUCAUAAUAAUAAAUAAUUAUUUAAAUAAUAUUUAAUUAAACGUUUUAAAAAAUAAAUUUUUAUAAAUUAUUUUUAAACGAUUAAAACACAAUAUUAAGCAGAGUCCACACAAUAAAUAAUAGUGUAAAAGAAUUUCAAAAAAAAUAAUACAACAGACUUUAAAAAUUUUAAGUUAAACUAAUAUAAAAUAAAUAAAAUACUUUUACAAAAUAGUAUAAUUUUAAAGCAAUAUAAUUUUAUUAAUUAAUUCGUUAUAUCGACAGUCUAAUGCUGCAUUGAUAAUUAAAUUAUUCCAUUGUCUAGUCAUCGGUCUGAUUUGAUAAUAAUAAAAUUAUUAAAUUAUUUAAUUAUCUGGUUAUCGUACGGUGACAUUAGAUCGGUCAUUAAAAUUAAUUGCAAAUACAUCAAAUUUAUUAUUAAAUCAUAUAUGAUGACCGCUGAAUUUCCUCACUCCGGUCUGGGGCCAGAUCCACGACACCAGCCCAUCAUCUAGAGGCCCUCAAACCUCAUCACAUGCAUCAAGUUCGGUAUACUCAGUCUGAAAAUUGGACUUCUAUCAAUCUCCUCAAUCAGGCCGAUCUAGUUCUUUGGGCCCGAUGAAUAAAAUCCUCUCUGGGUUCAGCUCAUAUCAUAUCAUCCGGUCCGACCCAGAAUCAGGAUGAAGACCUACUCAUCCUUCACUUGGGACCACCCGUACGCGCGUCCGAGAGAUUCAGGGGUCGUUACGCAUGGAGCAGCGAUCUGAUUUUCUGAUACGUCCAUAUCAACGUGACAGGGACAGGUGGCCCAAUAACAUACAUUCUCUUACACGUCACUAGAGGACAAAAUAAAAUAUAUAAAAGGAGAAAUACUCUCCUUGUAAAACCUUAUUUUCUGGAUCUCAGAUCAUCAAUAUCAUUUUGUGUCAUUUAAUCAUAUCCUUUUAUAUCUUAUCUCGUCAUUUGAUUAUUCGCCGAAUCAUUUAGUCAUUUUAUCUAAUCGUCUAAUUAUAUUUUUUCAUAAUAACUAUUUAUUUUUAAAAAAAUUCAAAUAAAAUAUUACACAGUUUUGCAUGAUUUUUAUAUUUAUUGAAAUAAAAAAACUUUAAUUAAAAAUGGAGUAAAAUACUAUCAAUUACAUGAGUUUUUAUAAAAUGUAUCUAAUUUGUUCAUAUUUUAAAACUAUUUAUAUAUUUUGUAAAAUAUAAUUUUUUUAAUUUUUUUAAUUUAUUAAUUAUCUUAAAUUAUUUAUAUUAUUUAAUUUUUAUAAUUUUAAAUAUUUAUACUAUUUAAUCAAUCUAAUUAAUAUUAAAAUAGAUAAUUGAUUAAUAAUUUAUUUAAUAAAAAAUUAAAAUUUUUGAUUUUAUAUAAUAUAUAUCGUUUUGGUUAAGUGAUUUUAAAAUAAAGAUAAAUUAAUGAAUUAGAGAUUUAAUAGUAAUUUUUUAAAAAAAUAUAAUUUAAUGUUUUUAUUUUAAAUAAAAUAAUUGAUAAAGGAGAAUUUAAUUAUUUUUUAAUAAAAUCUUAAAUUUUAAAUGAAUAGUUAUAAAUUUGAAUAAAAUUAAACAUUUUCCGUAAUAAAAUUAAAGUUUUAAAAAAUAAAAUCGCAAUUUCAACAAGGAUUGAGAAAACCAUAUCUUUGUAAAUUGAAAAAAAAAAAGAGUCUAAUCAUAUUAAAAUUCCAAAAUUCGCUCGUGCACGCAUGUCUUAAUUUGUAUAAAAUGCAUGUGUAAACGUGCAUGAAGAAUUUGAGCAUGGAAAAGCAGCUAGUUUCGUACUGAGAUGCAAGCCUGCGUUCAUCCAAAAAAUAAUUUUUAUUUAUUUUAUUUUUAUAUAUAUUUAAAAAAAAUUAAUUAAUUUUUUAAUUAUAUUUAUUUUAAAAUUUUUAAAAUAAAAUUAAAUAGAAUUAUAAUAGUUAAUUUUCUAUAUUAUAAAAAAGAAAAGUGGAUAAUAAUUUUAAAAUAAUUGAAAAAGUAAAUAAAAAUUAUGAAAGGAGAGAAAUAAUUAAUUUAUAUAUAAUUUUAUUUUGUUUAAAUAAUUAUUUUAAAUAAAAUUUUUAAAAUUAAAAUAAUAAUAUUCUCUUAUUAUAAUCAAGAAAAUUAAUAAAAAAUAAAAUAAAUUAAAUUAUUUAAACUAUUAGUUUAAUAUUUUUAUAUUAUUAUGAUUAAAAUAUAUUAAAUAAAUAAAUUAAAUUUUUUAAUAAACUAUAAUUAACAUAUUUAAAUGUGUUUUUCAAUAACAACUUCAACACCCACAACUUAUUAGGAUUGCUCUCUAAUAUACAAGGAAACCUGUCCAAUUCUCUAACAUUUGCUUACAAGUGAAAUUGAAAUUUUACUAAACCUAUCUUAAAUUGGAUUGAAAUUGAAUCCAAUUAAUUUUGAUUGGUUCAAUCAAAUUUCAAAUGAAAAUAAAAAUAUUAACCCUAAAUUUAAUUAAAUCAAAUUAAAUGGAGGGAAAAUUAAACUAAAUAAAAUUAAAUCGAAAUUGAGAGCAAAAUAUAAGAGGACCCCUUUUAUUUGAUUCGGAGCCUCUAAAAAGCUUCGGUUGCGGUGGUCCAUGCUGCAGAUCGCAAACUAGAAUCCUUUGUAGGCUGCGACCCGCUGGCGAGGCAAAUGAAAAAUUUUAUAUCGCCGUUGCCGGGGAUCGAACCCGGGUCACCCGCGUGACAGGCGGGAAUACUUACCACUAUACUACAACGACUUACAUGUAAACUUUCAAUGACAUAUCUCUCAAAUAACAUGAUGGCCAGACAGUGAAUAUUAAAUUCACAUACUCGUGCAUUGAACUCGCGUAAAUUCCCAAAAAGAGAAUCUCACGUGCGGAUGAGGAGUUUAUCCACAUUUAUAUAGAUGACGAUGUGUCUUGACUCUAUCCAAUGAGGCAUAAGAUAUAGUAAUAUAAUGACCGUAAAUAAAAAUUAAAUAGAACUCUAUUUAUUUGUGCCUUUUGAGUUUAUCAAUAACAUGAAAAUUAAAUGGAUUAGACACCGAAUACGGACAAAGCUGCCUCCACAAUUAAUCAAGCAUAUUACCCCAUCCGCCAUAAAAAGAUUUACAUCUCAUGGAUUCAAUACUGGCUUAUGUAGUUGAACCACAGAAGUGGCUUUCAACCAUCUUAUGUAAUGAUCAAGCUUUUUAUGAAAAACCACUGUAAAAUAAAAUGCCAACAGCAGGACGACUCAAAUUCAAUUACAUUGUUUGCCCAUUCAUAAUUUUAAGUUAAGCAAUAAGCUGACACAAUGCGAUAAAUAAUUGAGCAUUCAUGGGUUAUUAAAAUGUGGGGCUUGAAUAGGACUCUAUUAACAAAUAUGCCUCAACAGCCUGCACUGCCUACCAAAAUGAUAGAACAGAUCCAUUUGUUUUCUACCCUCUCUUCUAAACAUCACUUUCAUGGCCUCCCCAAUUUUGUCCUCAAUAUAAGCCACAUGAUAUGUUGUGUCCAAUAAUUAUCUGAUCUUGAAAAUCACAGUUCCCACAUCCACAGCCGCAGGUUUUUUGCCAUGGUCAGUUGGUCGUCGACUAGUCUGUCUUUGUUCCUCACGUCGAAAUUGCCCUGUGACAUGAAAAGAAAGUGUAGUCAAGUAUUUGCACAAGGCAAAUGAAUGCAUUAUAAGUGGAAUGAAAUAUUUGCCUCAUUUUAUCACAACAUUAACAUUUCAACAAGAACAGGAUUAACAACUUACACAAAGCAGGUCAUGGAAAAAAUGAAAGCCACAAAUUCCAGAUCCCCUUUUGUAGCUAAAGCAAGAAUAUCUUCAUCUGGAUGUGCUGUCUCUAUCUUUCUACAAAAUAGCUUGACUUCUGAAAAUGAAGAGGUUCAUUUCCCCAAGAAGUCCACCCACCUAUCAUCUCUCUAGCAAACAGUUCAAUACACCUAGCAUGUUUAGGGCCUGGAACAUGCUCCAACAGCAACUCUAAAAGUCACAGAAUAAGAACUUUCAAAUUUCACUAAUUUUGUUGCAUUGAUCACAGUAGUUUGUAUAAACAACUUCAAAUUUUAUGCUUCUUUUUAAAUUAUGCAUUUUCUCCUAGCAUGUGCACAAGCAGGAAAAACCAAAUUCCAUGUCAACACUAGAUUACCUCCAAUUGGGGGCUUCCUUGAGUAAUCUCCAGGGAUACUUAUGAUGACUUUGUCACUCCAGCUUGACAUGUGUUCAGAAUUCCGGCCCUGAGGAAGUCAUGAGGAUAAGCAACUUACAGGUCACAAAGCUGUAGGAUCACGGUUUUAAGCCAAAUCCACCUUGUCUGUACUCUUACCUUCCCAUGACAGUACCCCAAAAGAAGGCAUUCAUAGGGCCUAUGGUGAAAGAGGUCUAAAUCACUAAUCAAUGAGCCAUCUGCUUUCACCUAUAUGACUUGAGUAUGACUAUAUCAGUGACAUGAUAUCUGUAAAGCAGCCUUCAAACAGAGUGCACACGUGUGUGUAAGAUAGAGAGGUCACCUUCAGCCAAUAAAAAGUAGCUGCAUAAUGGGCUCCCCAUGAGGGGAAUAGUUCUUUCUCAACAAAAUUACGCAAUUUCUCCCUAUUUGUCACCCAUAAGGCUAUAAGUGCUCCAUCUAUAUGAGCAAGUUGCUUAAUUGGAAGGGAUAAGAAAUAUCGAUUUGGCAAUGUAGGGUACCUGUAAUGUUUAGGGGAACAACAAAGUUGGUAGCUAUUAUAGACUAUAGCUAAUAGAAAAUUAGUUAAUUCUUUUGGUGAAAAAGAAAGGCAGUCGUGACCCAUACUGAAUACAAUAACUGCAGCUUAAAACUUGUUCCAGUGCAUAAUAUUAAGACUUUGCAACAGAUAGAUGCCACAGUUAAUUCUUUUUCAUGGGUAGCUUAAAACUUGUUCCAGUGCAUAAUAUUAAGACUUUGCAACAGAUAGAUGCCACAGUUAAUUCUUUUUCAUGGGUCGGAGAAGCGAAUUCUUUUUCCUCAUUCAUUUGCAACUCCACUCAUACUCACAUGCACACACACACACAAAAGAAAAAAGAGAAAAUAAAAUAAAAUCUGUUAAAAUCUAUAAAUAACUUGCCAAUAAACAACAGUAACAUCCAUUUGAGAAAAUUAUCAGGCAGCAACUGUCUUACCAGCUUAAUGAAAUUGUCAAGGUUAGUUACUGCUCUAACAUAUUAAUAGACCUGCCUUAUUUACAGAAGUUCUAUACAAAAAUGAAUUCAUAGAAUAUGUACACGAGUUAUCAGCAUAAACUUUACCAUUAUGAUGAGCCAGAAAAGCAUUUCAAUUUUCAAUUAUCACAAGAAAAAAUUACAUACAGGAGUUUCUGAGAAGCACUUGCAUUUUCCCAUGGCGGAUCAACCACUAUUAGAUUGAAGCCACAAUCAGAUUCAGCUGCAUUAAACCCAUGUGAGCAUCCCAUCAUUUGUAGAAUACAACUAGCAAAAGAUUUUAUGCAUAACCUAACAUUUUCAGUAGCAGCAAAUUAAUUUUCCCAGCAUCACAUAAAAUAGACAAAUACUAUAAAGAAUGGGGGCAAUGGUGGUGCAAUUAAUAAGAUCAUAGUGGCCCAGCUAAAAAUAGCAUACGUUUUCCAUGAGAAACAUAAUAGAUACUAUUCCUCAGCAGAAUGGAUAAACUUCAGCAUCUUAUAUUGUAUUGGUAUCCACCAAAACUCUUGGCAUUUUCUUUUCUUGCCACAAAGAGGUGAUAUCUAGGGUAACGACAAACUAAAACAUAUAAUUUAUAUGCGUGAAAAGCCAGGAUAGUAAUAUGAUGUCACAUUUCCAUGAAUACUAACAUGUUCACCAUUUGAGUCACUGAUCAACUGCACUCGUAAAGUUGAGACCUUAAAAUUUUUCAGCUUGAGAAAACAAAAUGAUUGCAAUUCAAGACUUAAGAAAGUGCAUCCAGUAGUAUAUCCAAUAAUUACCAGGAAUAAGGUUGUGAAUCUGCUCCAGGUCAGACUUCGACAUUAUCGAAAGAUAAGACAUGAAAGAAUAUGGAAGAAAACAACUUUAACAAUAUAGUUAAGUAGUUGGGCAUAAAAUAUGAAGCAUAUAAAACUAAACACUUAACAGUAUCAUGAUAUAUGAAAUGUAAAGGAGCAAGACAAACAAUAAAAUUUAUUUGCGUGAAAAGCCAGGAUAGAGAUAUGAUGUUACAUUUCCAUGAAUACUAACAUGUUCACCAUUUAAGUCACUGAUCAACUGCACUCGUAAAGUUGAGACCUUAAAAUUUUUCAGCUUGAGAAAACAAAAUGAUUGCAAUUCAAGACUUAAGAAAGUGCAUCCAGUAGUAUAUCCAAUAAUUACCAGGAAUAAGGUUGUGAACCUGCUCCAGGUCAGACUUCGACAUUAUAGAAGAUAAGACAUGAAAGAAUAUGCAAGAAAACAACUUUAACAAUAUAGUUAAGUAGUUUGGCAUAAAAUAUGAAGCAUAUAAAACUAAACACUUAACAGUAUCAUGAUAUAUGAAAUGUAAAGGAUCAAGACAAGCAAUAAAAUUUAUUUGGCUUCUCUUUUUAAAGGGGAAAAAUAAUUUAAAAGCCAGACAUACCAUGUAAAAGCAACUCUCUCUGGGUAAUAUAUAUUUCUCGUUUAAAAACUCUGCAUCUACAUCACUGAUGGUCUCAUUAACAACCAAAUUAUUAAAAACUGGAAUAAUUCUCUGGCCAUUGCAUUGAUCAAUUGGGGAACCUGAGAAACCAAUUAAAAAGGCACAUGGAAACCCAUACUGUGACUUUAGCCCAAUAUGUUUAGCAAAAAGGUUCGACAAGCAGCACUAAGAACUACUUCAGAUAUUAAAAUCUUAAAAAUAUGUAAGAUUUCUAGUACAAAACCCACCUACAUCUUUGCUUGGCUCGUGAUGUUUAGGAAAAUUAAGGGUAAUUUCGUAUAGAGGUGCUUGCCAAACGCGGCAAAGUUCCGUAAGCGCGUGCUCAUUGUGAUGUAGUGGUGCUUCUCUGCAUUCGAAGGGACAAGAUUCACUCCUUAAAUUUCUCAUAAUAGCUAAAAGAUCAGUAGCCGUCAGUAAGCAUUCCAAUGCCUUCAACAACAUAGGCCUCGCUUGCUGCCAUGGACACCAUUAUCAGAAUCAAACUAUAAUAAGCCCUAAUCCUAUGUCGAUUUGAAUCCAAUAAUAAAAAAAAUAGUUGAAAAUGCUUGCCCGGUGGCGCUGAUCAGCAGCUCGUUCUCUUUCGUUCAAGGAGUGAGGUUUCUUCUCUCUUCGCUUACGCUUCUUUGAACUGGAGGAGAGCUUAGUUUCAUGGCGGUCUUGACCAGAGCACUUGGAAUGGAAGAAACGAGAGUAGUAGGCAGUUGGAGAAACCCUAUGGCGGUUAUACGACAGAUUUAGCACCCGAACCGGGUCAAUAAAAACCACAUUUGAAUUUUCAAAUCGGUAUAUCCCUGAAUCCAAAAAUACAGAUAGCCUAUCGCUCGUUUUCGAUUCCUCCAUCGUCGAAAUCUCUCCUCUGUUUUCAGACAAAAUGGGAUGGAAAGGUUUCCGCCGUAUCAGGGAUGGAAGUGGUGCGGCGGCAGUUAAAAAGGGAUUGCGGAUGGCCUUGUUUCGGAGAAAAAACCAUACGACUGUCGUUAACACAGAAGCAUAUAAGAAAAGAAAAAAUUACUAAUAUGCCCUUAAUUUUUAAGAAAUUUAUUAAUUUUUUCUUUAAUAUCAACUUUAUAUCCGAACAAAUUGAUAAAUAAUUUUUUUAAAUGGCUCAAAAUAUGAAUUUUUUGGGUUUAUUAUUUUCAUUACAGUUUUUUUUCUUAUUUAAUUUAUCGUGGGAAUUAUGAUGUUACAAUAUUUUAUUUAAAUUAAAAAAAUUGAUUGAAAUUAAUUAAUUAAAAAUUUUAAUUUAAUUUUUAUUUAUUUUGAUCUGAUUUUUAAUUUAAAAAAUUUUGAUUAUUUUAAUUCAAUUUAAUUUUAAUAAAAAAAUUAAAAAAUCGAACUCAACCCAUUAAUGAUAAUAGUAUAUUAAAUAUUUAAAAUUAUUAAAUAUAAAUAUUAAAUUAUAUUAAAUUUAAAAUAUUUUAAUUAAAUUUUAAAAUAUUAAAAAUAAAAUAUAAAAAAUAAAAAAAUUAUUAAAAAUUUAAAUUGAUAAAAUUAAAUCGAAUCGAAUUGAAUCAGACCAAUUCGAUUUGAUUCAAUUUCUAAUCAAAAUCAAUUUGUUUAGAUUUUUAUAAAUAUUAAAAUUUUAAUUUUUAAUUUAUUUAGUUUCAAACCAAUUGAAUGAUCACUUUUAAUAUAAUGUAGAGCAAGAAAGUGUAAAUAUAAUAAAAUAAAAUAAAAUAAAAUAAAUAAAAUAGUUUAAUACUAUUUAAUUUAAUUUUACGUAUUUUUUUAUAAUUUAAUUUCCAUGAUUUUAAUAUUUAGAAUUAAGAAUUGUACACAAUGAGUAUGUAAAUUUAAUUUAAUAGUAGUUAUUUAAUUUUUUUUAUUUAUGUAAAUUUGAGCUCAUAUAUUAAUUAACCAUUUAAUCUUUUCAAUGUUAAAAAUAAAUUAAUGGUAUUUAAUGGAGCUUGCACAAUUUAUCCAAGUGAACAUAUAAAUUGGUGGUUUAAUUAUUGAAAUUCAAAUGUUAUAAAGAAUUUAAUAUUGAAUAGCUUAAAUUUAGGGAUUUGAACUCCAAAUUUUGAUCAUUACAAGUUUGUCAAAAUCUUGUUGAUUAAGAUUUUGCUUAUGCGCAUCGUAUCUUGACCGAGCGCAGCUAUCAAGUUAGAUUUUUGGAGCGAUUAUUUAUUUAUUUAUGAAAAAAAUAAAAAAAUAAUUUUAUUAUUUUUACUAUAUGUGAUUAAUUUAAAAAUUGCUGAUAUUUAGUAAAUACAUAAAUACCAUAAAAUAUUAUUUUAUAAUAAAAUAGAAUUAAGUCACAUAUUUUAAAAAGAAAAAUCAAUAAAAAUUAUAUUUUUAACAUAAAAAAAAAUAAUUAAGUUAUUAUUAAUUUUAAAUUCUAUGGAGAGUAACUUAAAGUUUUAUUAAAUGACAAAGUUAGGUUAAAGACGAAAAGAUCUGUUUAUGAAAAUUUUGAUCACAAUCAGUGAAAUUUAGAGGUUAGUAAAUAUGGAAAAUUAUUUUAUUUUUGUAAUAAAAAAAUUGUUGUAAUUUUAUAAAUUUAAAUUUUAAUGGAUUAAUAUAAAUCAGUAGCAAAUAUAAUUAUGUAUACAGCUUUAUAAAUCAAACCAAAUCUUUUUCCUUUUUUUCUUCAGGUUUUCCCAAGAAAAAAAAAGUAAAAAAAAUCCUCAAAAAUCUAUUUUUUUUUUCAAAAUAAGCUAAAUUUCUUUGUCUGGAAUAAUAAUUUUACAAAAAUUUAAAUUAAUUUAAAUUAAAGAACUAAAAUUUUUUAAUGAAAAAAAUUAUAUAAUUUAUAAUAAUUUUAAAUAAGUCAAAAUUUCAACUGCAAUUGUCUGAGAAUUUGGAGAUUCUGCCCAUUGCACGUAACUGAUCCUAUAAAAUCUUUGCUGAUCAAUCAAGAAAAAUUUCCUAUUGUGAACUAAUUAAAGAUAGAAAUUUCUAAGAAAGUACGAGCCCAUUUGCAGUGGGGUCUCUGAUGAUCUCAGCCAAUGAUGAAAUACCACGUAGUGAUGUUUUAGUGGUAUGAUGACGCAGCCGGCCAGAGCAUGAAGCCCCACCAAAAUUCUUACCGCACGUAAAUCUAUAAACACAAAUAUGUAAUUAAUGUAUUUUUAUAACAAUAAAUAAGUCGUCAACUUAUUUUUAUAAGUGAGUUUAUUAUGAUUUUAAUCAAUAUAUUUUUAUAUAAAAAAUAUUUUAUAAUUUUAUUAAUUUUUUAUUUAAUUUUAUAUUUAAAAAAUAUCUAUUAGCAUCAUAUCAUUUAUAAAUAAUAAUAAUUUCCAGAUUUAUGUUAAUAUGAAAUUUAUAUUUUAUUAUUUUGAUAUAAAAUAUAUCAUUUAUAAAUAAUAAUAAUUUUUAAAUUUAUAUUAAUAUAAAAUUUAUAUUUUAUUAUUUUAAUAUAAAUUAAAUCACAAAUCUAAUAAUAAAUUAUAUAUAUAUAAUAAAUUUAUAAAAAAAAAUUUAUUAUGCUUUCCUUUAUUUUAAAUUAAAAAUUAAAAAUAAAAGUUGAAUACGAGAUCUCUCAAUUUUUAUAAAUAAAUAUAUAUAUAUUUUGGUUGAUGAAUGUAUAUACAAACAAAUUUCCAUGGCUACAAUUGCUAACUGUGUGCUUAACCAUGGUUAACCAACAGUGGCACUUGCUUCACUCGCUCUAUAAAUACUCGGCCAUUUGAGUGAGGAUGAAGUAACGAGGAAGUGAUUAGCUGCUUCAGUUUGGGUUGCUUUUAGAAGGUGAGAGCUUGAGCUUAUCAUUAGUUGAUCGUUACCCUUAUGCAGGUUUCAUUGAAUAUUAUUGUAUAUUCUGGGUAUUCUUGUUCUUUUACUUUAUUUGAUGCAAAUCUAGGUAAAGGUGAUAAUUGUUUUGUUUGGUUGAUGGGAAAAUAAAGGAAAAAGAGAAUUUACAAUGAAGUUCAGUGGAAAAAGGGCAAAAGAAUAUUCCGACUAGGCCAGUGUUUGGUGAAAGUUUUGGGUUCUUUUGGGUCCCAGGAGGAAGGAACUAUGGAAGUUUCAUUUUGUGCUUUAUAGUAGUUUCUUUAUCUUUUCGUUUUCUUUUCCUUCAGAAACCAAACGAAAAUUGGUCCUCAUUGAGCUUGAUUGUGUGUCUAGAAUUGUUUUUUCUUUGAUCUUGAUUGUUGGGUUUUGAUUUUGCGCAACAGAUACAGAAUUUGCAGCUUCAACGAGUCUACCAGGUAACCUGCGAAGCCUUUUUCAUAUUAAUUAGUGUAAGGUACAGAAAAGAAGUUUUGAUGGUAAUGGUCGGCUGAGAUUUAUGAUUUCAUUCCCGUCAUAGACGGAUUUUUAAGAUUUUUUUUUUCAUUCGCUGAUGUCCUUCAUUUUCUCAUAGAUCAAGUGGUAAAUUGCUCACAGUUGGCUGUGCUUAUUUGAACUUGACUAUUAGGAUUUGGAUUCCUGGGAAGUGAUUGAAUACUUCCAUGUCAUGUAACUUUUAUCGUGAAAAUUUUACAGAUAUUUGUCCUCAUUCUUCUGAUUGGAAUUUUGAGUCAUAAACUCCUUAAUCAAUUCACAGUUAUCUGAUCAAAUUGGGUGUAGAAACACUACUUAUCCUUGAAAUUGAGCCAUUUUUAGGUAUCUCUAAUAAGAUAUUGCUGUCUUUUUCUGGAAAUUUCAGCAAUUGAAUUUCCAUCUCAGCCUCAGAUAGGGGGUGCUUGUAUGAGUUUUCUUCAGUGGGCUGAGAUCAAUGGUUAUGAAAUCAUGACUAUGCAACUAGCUAUUAUACAUUAAUUAAAACAUCAAUCUCACUCUUCCAAUAGAAUACAAUGGAUUGAAAUCUUUGUUAUAUUUGGAUCUUGAGAGUGCUAGCUACCCUGGCUUUCAAAAUUUUAGCUUUCAUAUUCCAGUCAAUCCUUGUAUUAAAGUGAAUUUAUUUUAUUUAUUCCUUUUGUUUUUUGCUUCUCUUUAUCUAUCUAUACAUUUUCAUUGCAGUGAAUGCUGAUAACUGAAUAGAAAUGUUACUUUGUUAGGAAUUGAUGCACUUGCGCUUUCAUGAAUGAAUUCUACCCAUGUGUUGAAACUACUAAUGCAUAGUUCCUUGACUGUAUAAUUUAUAUUUUUCAUAUGUUUUCUAUGAGUGGUAAACUAUUUGAUAGUAGAUGAUUUGGCAUCUCAUUUUCUUAUUUGGCUUUUACCACUUUGCUGAUUUCCUCUUUGCAAUUGGCAUAGGAGGAGAUUCAUAAUGCGUCCUUCAAUUGCUUCUCUUCCUGAAAUUGAUUUUGAUUGUGCUGAUGAGGAGAUCUUUAUCUUUUUGGAGAAAAUGGCGGGUGGAUACCCUCUUCCAGGAAAUGUGAUUACUGAUGUCAACCCAUACAACUAUCCACCAUCAAAUUUACCAGGUAAGACUAAAUUUUCUUUCAAAUGAGAUGAUUGCAGUCGGAUAAUUUAAAGCAUUCAACAAUAUAGUGCAAUUUACAUUUUUUAUUGUGAUCUUAAUAAUCAAGCAUAUUUAACCUCCUUCUGCUUGGAAAUUGUCAAUUAACACCAUAUAGCUUGGACAUAUUUUCUUGAUUCCCAAGUGAUUAAGUGAAUCAGUUGAAUUGAUCCUAAUCUAGUAUGCAAGAAGCCAUAUGAAGCAAAAGCCUUAGUCACUGUACUUCAUUGUCUAAGUUCAUCAAAUUUCUCCUUACACUGGCCUUCCUGGGUUUUUCCUUUGGAUAGUCAACCAAGUACGAAUAAUGACAAGCUAGAUUGCCAACAAAAAAGAAAAAGCUGACAUCUGUUAUUUAGCUUGACAUUACAAUACCAAAACCAAUAAGUAUGCUUGUUUUUGCAGAUGGAAUUUGGUACUUGAUUCACUCCAAGGAGAAUGGGGCUAUGGAAUUUGGAUGCUGGAAGGUUAAAGGGGAAGCCUGUAAGCUAUUUUCGAACUCUGACAUCACUGGUUGGAGGACAACUCUUGAAUUUUUUGAGCGUCAAGUGCACCACGAGUGUAAAACUGAUUGGGUGAUGCAAGAGUACUGGAUCACUCAGAAGGGGCCAGGUGAAAACAGCAAGUUGAAGGUACUUAAUGGAAUGUGCUGGCUCUCUAUGCUUUAGAUGACUUUUUUUUUUUUUAUUUUCCUUCUCCUCCCAACCUGCCAGUCAACUGCCAGUUUGGUUGGACAUUUUGCAGGAAGCCAGUUCACUAUGCAGGGUCUUUCUUGGCGGUGAACAAGGUCUAGAUCAUAAAAAGCAGCAGAAAGUGUCUAGCCUCCAUAAUGCAUGUGAAAACCUCGUUCACUCAACAAAAGCAACUGUUCCAAAGGCUCGUGAUGAUGCUAGCAAUGGUUCCACAAGCAAACCUGAGGUUUGUCAGCUGUAAUUAUGGGCUUUAUAUUUGGGUGAUCGAGUUGUAUACUGCACCAUUUCCUUGCCAGUAGAUUUUGUUUAUAUUCCCUUAAUAUCAGUCGGUACACCGAAUUUGCACCGGCUUUUCUCAGGUCAUUACGUUUUUUGGAAUGACAGAGUUAUAACCUUUGACUUCUUGUUUUCACAAGAGAAUUACUCCACUUAAAACAUAGUGAUGACGUUGUUUUAUUAUUGGGCAGGAAGGGAAGUUUUUUAGAGUUUCAAGUCCUAUGAAUGAAUACAUUUUGGAGAUGAACAACUUUUCACAUAAGUUUUCACCAAAAAAUUCAUACUGACUACUUCAUUUUCACAAGGGAAUUACUCCACUUACAACAUAAUGAUGGUGUUAAUUUAAUUAUUGGGCAGUAAGGGAAGGUUUUUAGCAUUGCAAGUCCUAUGAGUGAUUACAUUUUAGAGCUGAACAAUUUUGCACAUCCCAACCUAAAAUUUUAUGUCAUCAGUAUUCCAAGUGCUUGAAUAUAGCUGGGACAUUAAAAUUGUUGUUGCAGCAGUCACUCUUUAUAGCUCAAGUUAUUCCAUGAUAGGAAAUAUUGGUUAACUAAUGCAUUAAAAGUUAUUGCAGAAUCAAAAUUCAGAAAAAUCUUUAUUUUUUUCUGCUACGAAGUGAGAUGUCAUUAGUACUAAUAUGAAUUUCAUAAUUCAAUACACAGCUAAAAGACUUGACUAACAAAAAUCUCAAGGAGUUAAAUGCAAGUACAAAACAUAUAGAGACAGCUUAUCUGUCAUGAAGUACAACCAAAGAAAAUAUAAAUUGAUGAAAAGUUUUUAUAACAAAAAAAGCAUAGCAACCUUUUUUGAAGAAGUUCCAGAGAGUAAGGGUUAUAAACACAAAGCAGAAGGAUUGACAGCCUAGCCUAGCGUUUUGAGCAUGAAGAAGAAUAUAUAGGAUAAAAAUUUCUGGCUUUCAACCGUGUAGGGAAAAAACAUUGCUUGGAUCAUACCUGUAACAAGGUCCCUUAUUUCACUCUGUUUUACUAGUCUAUAGUUGCUCUGCAACAUCAAAAUUUUGUUUUUAUAUCAUGCCUCUCGUGAGUUGAAGGUAGUAGUGUUAUUGUAGGUGGAUGGAGAUGCUGAAACAGGAAACUUGGCUGUGGCAGGAGAACCUCCAUUUUAUCUGGUAGGAAACCCACCAGAAAUUGACUAUAUUUCCAGAGGAGACUUCUUGGAACUGCUAGAUCUUGAUAAUCCAGCAUCGCCUUCUUCAAGUUCGGAUGAUUCAAGUUGUUUGACCUCAUCAUCAGAUGAAUGUUUUGACUCGUUGGCUUUGCUGCAAGAACUAGAUUCUGAAAUUAACUGGCACUCUGCACAGAAGAAUGAAAGUUGCAAGUUCAGUGUCUCUGCAUCCUUCAGACCAAAUGAGGUGGUUAUGGCUCCAAUAUCUCCAGGUUUGUCAAAUAUUUUUUUCAUCUCUUGUUAUUAUAAGUGUUUUCUUGAUCUGUAUUUUCUUCCAGUAUUCCAAAUUUUACUGAAAAUCCUAAUUGAUAGUUGAUAGUGAUACUGGAAACUUUAUAGUCGUGCUGAACACAAGUGAUUUAAAUAUAUGUAAUAGCUGAUUUCUCCGGCCAGUGCAAUCAAUUUGUGGAAUUGUUGCAUAGCCUAACACUGUCUGAAACAUGUAGCAAUACCAUAUAUUUGACUGAUAUCCAGCAACACUUUGUUUUUUCAGAGGACUUGAGUGAUUGAAUGAUAUAUAUUAGAAUCUUCAUUCCCAGUGAGUCAGUAGUUAUCUCAUUUUCCUCUUUGGUAGCUAAAAGAAACCACGAGACACGGUGAGAUUAAAUGCCAAUGAUAAUAAAUAGAUAUAAAUAUUAUCAUGUAAUUGAAAUUAUCCUUCUGUAUAGCCAUGGUGAGUGUUAGUGCCAGUUACAGAGAGAUCUAAAUAUUAUUAUAUAGUUGAAACUGUCCUUAUAAAGGUGCUUUAUGUGUUUUCUUUUCAAUUAUGUAUGUUGUGCUCUCAUGGAGUUGAUGUUUCUGUCUUGGAUUGAGUUUCUCGUUUAUGCUUUAACUGGGAAAAUGAAGUCACGUUUUCACACAGAUAAUUUCAUUUCACUAAAACCCCUUUUUUCUUUUCUCGGUCCAAGAGCGAUGAGCCCUUCAGCUACUCUGCAGGAGGUAGCUCUCCCGCAGUCAUAAAUCCCCUCUCUUCUUAUUCUAAUGAUUCAAACCUGGGCUUCAAAUCGCAACUCCAAGUUUUGACCAUUGGACUGUCGUUUAGGAACCAGAAAAUAUUUGCAUACAAGAAGCCAAUUAAGAGUGUUUUUAUUUCUUUGCAACAGGAACUUCUUUUAGCAUUGAAGAAAGCAAGCCACCUACUGAAGAACUUGUUGGAACUAAUCCAUCCGUACUACCCACUUUGGCUAAUGACUCUAAUGAUCUAGAUAAUAGAGUUUUACAGCAUACAGUCAGAAACCACAAUGCAGAUAACACGGCCGGAGGUCCAUCAAAUUCUAGUGAUGUAGGCACAUCAUCCAGUUGCCAGCUUCCGUCUCGAGAUGGAAAAAGGAAAGUUUCCAAGUUGAGGACGAAGAAACACAAGAAGUAUCUGUGCUUCAUCCCAUUUUCCUUCCUCUUCUAAUAUCACAAUGAUAGCUUCAUAGCUUAUGUACGUUAAGUAAAUAAUUUUAUCAUUAUUAUCAGGUGGGUUAGUGUUAUUCUGUGCUUACUUUAGUAUAUCCCAAAAGUGAAAGGUUAGGGACAGAAGACUAUAUAUAGGGAGGUCAUUAUGGUUUACUUUCUUUUCAGCUGACUAAUGAAUUUCAGAUAGGACGCUGAAGCAGCAAUAGCAUUCUGAUAUUGAAGAAAGAGAUUGGAUAUUGAUUGUUAUUUGUAAGGAUAAAUGCAUCCUUUGCAUUAUACUCUUAUAAGUUGUAAGCUUUCUGUUCAUGUAUUGAAGGCAACAUUUGUAAUAGAACAUAACUACUAUUUUGUUUAGCUUUGAGUGUAUUGUUUGCUGCUUUCUCAUUUUAUUGGCAAUGAUCCAUCUCAGCCUGUGGGCUAUGGCCUCAUGAGGAAUUUAACACUUCUUGAUAAUGGGCCUGGCCUUUUAGCUAAACCUUUUCACAUUAUUCAUUGAGCUGAUCUAGACAGAUAUAGAAAUUCGCAUAUCAUGUGAUUUCAAGAGAGAGGAUAUAAUAUCCUCUUAUAAAAAAACUAUGCUUUCAAAAUCUAUAGAGCAGGGCGUUAGAAGCUUGGAUUGACAAAUAGGAUUUUUUUUCUUCUUCUUUUUUGGCCAAUGAUGAAUAUUAUUGACAACAAUAAUGGGAGCAGUCAGUCCUUCUCAUGAUAUUGCCUCUACAAAUCUUUUCCCUAAUUAAAACCAACCAACUUCACCUAACAAAAAAAUAUAUAAAAUUUCAGGAAUCAAACUGUGCGACACAAAUGAAAGAAACAAAAGGGACCCUUCACCUACUUCAUCUUCAUGCACAUCUCCAUUUAAUCUAAAGCUUCAUUUUAGUUUUUGGGGUUAAAAGUCAAAUCUCCCCUGCUAUGGAGCAUUAACAUGUUCAUCUAGCUUCAUACUCUCUCUUGUUGAGAUAUGAUACCUAUUAUAAACUGUACACUAUACUCCACGGCCGUGAUUUAUACUGAAUUGGUCGAAAUGUUGGAAAAAGGUCGGGAUGUAGGACUUUUUCCACGCUGAAUUGAUCGGCAUGUGAAAUAAAUUGUUUUAGAAUUAUUUUAUCUUUUUAUAUUUUUUUAAUAUAUAAAUAUAUAAUAUUCUCUAAUGUCNNNNNNNNNNNNNNNNNNNNNNNNNNNNNNNNNNNNNNNNNNNNNNNNNNNNNNNNNNNNNNNNNNNNNNNNNNNNNNNNNNNNNNNNNNNNNNNNNNNNNNNNNNNNNNNNNNNNNNNNNNNNNNNNNNNNNNNNNNNNNNNNNNNNNNNNNNNNNNNNNNNNNNNNNNNNNNNNNNNNNNNNNNNNNNNNNNNNNNNNNNNNNNNNNNNNNNNNNNNNNNNNNNNNNNNNNNNNNNNNNNNNNNNNNNNNNNNNNNNNNNNNNNNNNNNNNNNNNNNNNNNNNNNNNNNNNNNNNNNNNNNNNNNNNNNNNNNNNNNNNNNNNNNNNNNNNNNNNNNNNNNNNNNNNNNNNNNNNNNNNNNNNNNNNNNNNNNNNNNNNNNNNNNNNNNNNNNNNNNNNNNNNNNNNNNNNNNNNNNNNNNNNNNNNNNNNNNNNNNNNNNNNNNNNNNNNNNNNNNNNNNNNNNNNNNNNNNNNNNNNNNNNNNNNNNNNUUAAGGUAAAAAAAAAAAAAAAAACUUUUCAAAAAAAUGUUAUUAUAAAAGUUGUUUUAUUAUUUUGGUGUAAUUAUAAUUAAUCUAUUGAGAAAAAUAUAAAAAAUUAUCUUAUAAUUUCAUUUAAUUUCACUUUACAAUCUAUAAUUUAACUUGUAUUAAAAUAAUAUUUAGAGUAUUAUAUAUUUUUUAAUAAAUAGUGAUAAUUUUUUUAUACCAUAAAUAAAUGUGUUGAUUUAAUACUGUAAUUUUAUUUAUUUUUAUUUUUAAAAUUUAUAAUUUAAUUUAUUAAAUUAUUAUUUUAUAAUAUGUGAUAUUAUAAAUACUAAUUUGAUACAAUUUAAACUUAGUCGGAAAAUAGAUAAAAUAAAACCAUAUAAUUUUUUUUUAACUUUCCCUUAAAUUAUAUUUAAAAAUUUAAAUAUUGAUAAUUAAUAUAUUUUAAAAAUACUAAAUAAAUAAUUUAUUUACAUAAAAAGUCAGUUAAAUACUCUAACAUUUUCAUUUUAAUUUUUGACACUUAUAUUUUAUAAAAAAAAUAAUUAUUUAAUUCUUAAACUUUGUUAAAAAAUAAUUAUUAAACUUUUACAUAUGAAUAUGAAUUAUAUGUAUUCUAAAUUUUUAAGAAAUUAAAUAAUUAUAUUUUAUAAUAUUUAAGUAUUAAAUAACUAUUUUUUAUAAAUAUUAAGUGUGAAAAAUUAAUAAUAAAAUUAAAAUACCAACUAUUUUAUAUAAAAAUUACUAAACUUACAAUUAAAAGCUAUGGAUGAAGUGGGAGAAUUAAUGUAUUUAAAAGGUGGAGCCAGUGAACAGUCUGCUUUACCCAUCACUGCCUAUUGUGGGGUCUAUCUGGUGGCCGGUCCCACCACCUUUUGUGGGGUCUACCUGGUGGCCGGUCCCACCACCAUCAUCCCAUGGCAAUCGUGGAAAUAUAAUUCUUGCAAACAUUACCAUUGGAUAUUGCUAAAUUAUGAAAAAAAAAAUUUCCUUCCAUAAUUUUUAUUUAUUCUUUAAUUAUUUUAAAAGUAUUAUUUAUUUUCUUUUUUAGACUAUAUUAAUAAAAAAAUUAACUAUUAUAACUUUAUUUCAUUUUAUUUUAUUUUUAAUAAAAUUUUCAAAAUAUUUUUUAAUAUUUAAUAAAAUUUAAUAUAAAUAUAAUUAAAAUUUUAAUAAAAAAUAUGUAUAAAAAAAGUGGAGUUAUAAAAUUAUGAUUUAAUUAUAAAAUUAGUGAAUGAAAUUGUUAAUAAUUAUAAUAUCUAAAUGUUAAAAUAAUAAUUUAUCUUAAAAUAUUAACUAUAAAAGCUUUUAAAAUAUGUGAUGAUUUUUUUUUAAAAAAAAAAUUUAUAAAAAAAUAUAGAGACUCAAAUCUAGAAUAAAAUUUGGUGUUUUAACUAUCAAAUUAAUUUGAAUAAAUUUAAAUAUUAUUAAUAAUAAAACUUUAAAAUUAAAUAAUAAUUUUCUCUCACAUUAAAUGCAUGAUUACUAUAAAAAGAAAGGUUCAAAGAUGAUAGUGGUCUAUGCUUGGCAAAGACAUGACUAACAAAGUAGCACAAUAGUCAACAAAUUCAGCUACGGUCAAUAUCGAUAAUUUCUCCAUUCAGACAAGAGCUUCUAUAUUAAAUAUGUGAUGCUCUAAACACUUUGAUCAAUCUAGACACGAUCAUGUUAGGAAUCAAAUUGAAAUUAGACUGCUUAAUUAAUUUUAAUUUUUAAAUUAAAUUGAAAUUUUAAAUUUGGAGAUCCGUUAUUAUUUUUUGUGUGAGUUUUUAGUUUAAUUUUUUUUACUUUUAAAUUAAAAUUAAAUUGACCAUUUAUAAUUAAAUUUUAUUAAAAAUUAAAAUCAAAAUUAUUUUAAAUGAGACUAAUUUUAAUUUAAAAAUAAAUUAAACUGUUAAUUUCCAACUGAAAUCGAUCAAUGGGAUCAACAGCUAAAUUGCUCUACAAUAGUUGAUUGAAACUUGACGACGGAUUUUAUGAAGUGGUUCUGGUUGAUCAUGUGCAUGGUAUGCCCUGCUGCUGCUGCUGCUACCCACGCGAUGCAGCAUCUUAUUUAUUUAUUUAUUAUAUAUAUUAAAAAAAAGAGCUAAGGUGCUCAAAAAGGUCCACUCUUCUUUCAACAAUGUGAUCAUUACUUGUGUGUAAUGCAAACCUGUUUUGGCAAUAAAAAGAAAAAAAAGUUAUUAUUAUUUUAAUAUUUUUAUGAUUAAAUCAUGUUAAAAAUAAUUUUUAAUCGAUGUUUAAUAUUACAUAUUAUUAAAAAAAUAAAAUAAUAAAAUUUAAGUCAUAUUAAAAAUCAUUCUUAAAAUUUAUUUUAUAAUUUUUAUAUUAAAUAGAUUUUUCUUAAAUUUAAUUUAUAAAAUCAUAACAACAACAAUUUACUUUUAAUUUAUAAUUCAACAAAAAAUAAUAAAAAUAAAAAAUAAAAAUAAAAAAUUUUUAUUCUUUAUCUAAAAAUAUAAAUUAUUUAUAAUAAAAAAAAUCACUAUAAAUUAUUAUAAAAAUAUUAAGAUAAUAUAAUUAAAUUUAUAUAAAAUCAUAACGAUUAAAUUUAAUAUUAAAUUAAAAUAUUAAAUAUAUUAAAAAAAUUAUAAAUAAAAUUUUUAACUGCUAUAAAAUUUUAUAAAGUGAAAUAAUUAUAUUUAAAAUUUAAAAUUAUUAAAAAGAUUAAAAUUAAAUAUUCAUUAAUAAAUUAAAAUUUUUUAAAAUAUAAAUUUAUUUUUAAAAAAUCUUUCACAUAUUUUAAAUAAAUUUUCACGGUUAAAUUUAAAAUUUAAAUGUAUAUAUUUCAAAUAUAACGCGUUUUAGACUAUAAGUGUUUAUCUUAACCGUAACUUUAAUAGAAAUAUCAAAUAGGUUCUAAAAAAUUUUCAACUUAACAGAUAGAGUUACCACGGAGACGAUCCGACGGCUGAAAAUUUUAUAAUCCGAAAUUGACGGUUGAUGUUAGCUCUAUUGUGGCGGGAAAAUCUGGUGGGAAAGAGAUAUUAUUAUUUUCUUUAAUUUUAUUUAUUAUUAGUUUUUUUUUUAAAUUAUCCGAGAUGAAAAAUUAUAAAAAAGAAGAAUUGAAUUGGGAAUCCCAUGUAGACCGACGGCAGCUAGCGGACUGUCUACUCAUGGACCCCACAGAUUUUUUUCUUUUUCUUUUUUUUAUUUUUUUAUUUUGAGUUUGGCGGGGUUCGUUACGAUCCAUUCUUUUGACGUUACUUUCUCUCUCCUGCGGUUCCUUCCUUGGAUCAACGGAUGUCCCUAAAAAAAGAAGCUCCGUUAUCUUUCUACGCAUAAUUACCAAAACGACCCCGCUUUCUCACUUGCUUCUCUUACUUAAAAACUUAAAAGUUUUGCAAUUUUAAUUUAAUUAUUCUUUAUUUUUAAAUUUAAAAAUAAAAACCAAAAAUUCUAGUUUUUUAAAAAUUAAUAAUAAAAAAUCUAUAUUUUUAAUUUUAUUAAAAUUAUACUCUAUAUUUUUUUAUCAAUUAAAAUAUAAUAUUUUAAAAUUAAUUUAACUGUAUUCUAUUAUUAUUUAUUUCAUUAAAAACUAAUAAAAUUAUUAUACCACUCGGCAUAUUAAUAUCACAUUAAUAUAUUAUGUCUCUAAAUUUUAAAAUAAAACUAAUAAUAAUUUAAAAAUUAAAAUAUAAUACAUUAAUAUAUUAUGUCUCUAAAUUUUAAAAUAAAAUUAAUAAUAAUUUAAAAAUUAAAAUAAAAUUAGGAUAAAACUAAAAGUAUAAAAAAAAUUUAAUAAUUAUUUAUUUUAUUAAUAAUUUUUUUAAAAAAUAAAAAUUGAAUUUAUAAUUUUAGAUAAAUUAUAUAUUUUACUUGAAAUUUAAAAAAUUAAUUUAAAAAAUAUCUUAAAAAAUUAUUUUAUUAUUUUUAUUAUUUCAAACUAAAUCAUGUUAAAUAUUAUUUUUAAUUACUUUUUAAUACUUAUAAUUAAUAUAUUUAGUAAGAUUUUUUUAAUGAUAAUUUUAAAAAUAAUUUUAGAAUAUUAAAAAAAUCGAUUAAUAAUAAUUUUAAAUAAAAUAAAAUUAAAAUAAAUUAUUAUUAUAAAAUUAUUAAUAAAAUUAAAAAAAUAAUUAAUAAUAUAAAUUAUAAUUUUUAAAUAUAUUUAAUAGUAAAAAAAAUUAAGUUGUAAGUUUUUAACUAUAUAAAAAUGAAAAGGGAUAUAGUUUAAUUGAUAAAAGAUAAAAAUAUACGAUAGAAUUAUAACAAAAAUAAAGUAUAAAUUUUUUUGAUAGUUAAUUUUAAAUUUUGUUAAUGUGAUGAGGUGAUGUAACAAUUUAAUGAAAUUUUAAAUGACACAAAUAGCAGUGGUACAAUUUAAAUAAUUUUAAAAAAUUAAAUUAUAAUUAAUAAAAAGUAUAGAAUAUAAUUAUAAUAAAAUAAAAAAAUAUAGACUUAACGAUUUUUUUAACUAAUUUAAAAAAUCAAUAAUAUGAAAAAAGUGUGAUAUUAUGAAAUUAAUUAUUAUUUAUUUCACAAAAUUUAUUUCAAAUGAAAUAAUGGAUUUUCUAAAUGACUUAAUCACAUACAACUUUUAAAAUUAAUUUAAUAAUAUAAAUUUUAAUAAAAUAAUACUUCUAUAAUUUUUAUUAUUUUUAGUUUAUUAUUUUAAAAUUAUUAUCUAUUUUUUAGACUAUAAUAAUAUAUAAUUAAUUAAUAUUAUUUUAUUUUAUUUUUAAUUUUUUUAAAAAUAUUUUUUAAUAUUUAAUAAAAUUUAAUAUAUUUAAAAUGGAUAUAAUUAAAAAAUAAUAAUUUUAAUAAUUUUAAUAUAUAAAAAAUAAAAAAUUAUAAGGCAGGGAAAGUAUUUUUUAAUUUACAAUUAUUUAAUAAAUAGAAAAUUAUUUUUUAAAAAAAAAGCAAAGGAAAGGGUAUUUUUGUCAUUUGAUAAUUCCCCAUCACCCCACCAGAACCGGUAGUCAAGGGGUCAACCAAUGUAAUGCAAAACCGGCUGCCGGGUUUUCCCGCAACUUAAAACGUCCCCUCCAAUUGCAUGAUUAACGUAACUUCUUUCCUGGGAUACGUGGCGACGUUCCAUUGGUCCGUUCAUCUCCGUCGGGAUCCAUAGCAAACAAUCAAUGAACAAAACCAGUCACUCUUGUUCUCCUCUCUCACAUAUAUAUUUUUUAUAAAAAAAAAAAAACACUUCCUCUUUCAUAAUUCUGUGUUUUUUCUCUCUCAGAAAAUCGCAAAUUUCUUCUCAAUUUCUCUCCCUUUUGUCCCCGAAACCUCCGUAAACCUUCUCAGCAAUACAUGAUCUUCAUUUCAAUUCUAGUUUCGAGUUUUGAUUAUCUAAUUUUAACCCAGUUUUUAUUGACUCACUGAGUUGGAAUAGAAAUAAUGCUCGAGGCUAUGGAGAGUUCAGUCAAUGGAGGAUUCUCGCAUUUACAGAGCUGUGGAGACAGCAGCGAGGAGGAACUCUCUGUGUUGCCUCGUCAUACUAAGGUGGUGGUGACCGGAAAUAACAGGACUAAGUCGGUGCUUGUGGGUCUUCAGGGAGUAGUCAAGAAGGCUGUUGGUCUUGGCGGUUGGCAUUGGCUGGUAUUUGCUUCGACUUAUUUUGGGUAUUUCAGUAAAUGGGAGGAUUGAUUUUUGGGUUGUAAUGUAAAUUUUUAGUGUGUUUUACGCCUUGAAAUUUUUUAAACUUUUAUUUUGUUGUGUUUAUAUGGCGUGUUAUGGCAAUGUGGGUCAAUUUUAACACUUUCGCUUUUGAUUUUCGUAGUGGGAUUUUGUUUUUAUCAUCAAGUGGUUUUGGUUAAUUUGAAUUUUGUAUUCUUUGGGGCUCAUCUAUAAGUUCAAAUUUGGGUAUCAUUUUCAAAGUUAAUCUUCUUAAUUUCAAAAGAAAAUUGUUUUGUAUCAUAAUUUGUGAAGCACGAUGCAAAUUCUGCGUUGUCUCCACAGUUAAGGUGCUUUAUUGCUGAUUUCAAAUUACAAUUCCUGGGUUUGGGUAAUGGGGUUUCAUUGCAUGCGCAUUUUUAUCAGUGGAUCUGAUGUUUUGGUGGGACUUUACUGUUAUAGGAUUUUAAAUAACUUCAAUCGAGUUAAUUUUUAUUGCCUCUUCCUCUUUGAUCAUGCCUGUUGUUUUCAGGGGUUUAGUUACAAUGGGGGGUUUGAGGUUCUUUAUAGCUCAGCAUGAUUGGGUUUUGGCUCUGUACACAAUUGCAGAAGUGUAUGAGAAUUCAAUCCAUUCUUAUUGGAUUUAAUUAGUUUUUCCCCCUUUAUUCCGAUCUUUACUUUUGCAUGAUUGGGGUUACUAAAUUUUCUUGUUUGUUUAAUCACAGAGCUUUCUUUGCAUGAACGAUCAUUUGACAUAAACCCAUUUGAUUUUUUUUUUCCUGCUUUCUGGGUUGUUGAUAGAUUAACCAUUUUUGCUCUGAAGGGACUCAUAUACUCGUUCAAUUUGUUUUUGGAUUUCUAUUGAGUAUAUAACUUGUACUGCAAUUGAAAAUUAGCCCAUUUUUUCAUCACUUGUACUGCAAUUGAAAAUUAGCCCAUUUUUUGAUGAAAAUAAAGCGGAUGUUUUAGAUUAUUUUCUACGCUGCAGUAUUAUGAUACCUUUCAACAUAUACCUUGCUCUUGAUAUCUUUCGAUUUACCAGCUUAUUUUGAUUGUAAAUGUAAUUGAACAACUAAAUAAUCAUGGUUGCCUGAAUUUGAUAACUUAAAUAGCAUUGAAUUCCACUGCAUCCUGUGUUUGACCACUGACUAGUUCAUCAUUUGGCAUGUGAUAUUCCAUUGGACUUUUGUUUUGGUUAUAAUAUUUGGAAGGUACAAUUUCUAAAAUUGCAGGUUCUUACAAAUGGCAUUGAAGUAAAACUACAGAGGAAUGCCCUCAGUGUGAUUGAGGCUCCCACUGGCAAUGAAGGUGAUGAUGACUUGGAAUUUGAUAACCUGCACUGGAAUGUAUCUGAUAUGGGUGAGUUUGUUUUUUUUAUCCAAUUUCAUCCUUAAAUAUUGUCCUGUAAUGUAGCCCCUUAAUUUUGUUGACACUCGUGACUAGUUAGUAAAAUUUUGUUUUGGAAAGAAAUCUUGUCUUUCAAUAGGAGCUGACAAAUUUGCUAAUUUUAGCUCUUAUUGUAGCAAAUUGUGUUUGUUCUGCUAAGAAUCUCUGUUUCCUGAUCUUCCUAGCUGUGAACAAAAUCUUUUCUGUCAGGGUGUAGUUAAUUGCUUGCUUGGACCUUAAUUGUGAGACUGUAAGAGUUCUUUUGAGUGGAAGGUGAUUGAGUAUGGUACAUAGGAUCCGUUUUGUCGUUCACCUUUUACUUUCACUACUGCAAAAGCUCAGCUCCCUUGUUUCAUUGCUUUAUCUUUUAAUUGGGCCCACCACUCUUUUUAAUUCUGGUUUGUGCUCUCUCUGAUUUUUCCAGCAUCCGAUGAUACCCAAAAGUCUCAUAGAUCAAGACAUAGGACUCAUAAAUCAACAGGAUCAUCUCACAAGAUUAUGAGCAGGUCUCUCUCUUGUGAUUCUCAGUCUAAGAGCUCUGUUUCUACGCCUCAUGGGGCUGCUGCCGCCGCGGUAUAAUAAACUCUCUAGCAAUCUAUUUACUGGUGUAUAUUGUCGUUUUGUGACUUUGACAAGGAAUGAAAAUUAAAAUGCAUAAGCAUCUCUCUCAUUUCUUUUUUACUAUGAACAUCACUAUCACAGAAGGUUGACCUCAGCAAAUUGGAAAUGGCUGCCUUGUGGAGAUACUGGAGGCACUUCAAUCUUGUGGGUUUUUUUGAUUGAGCAACCUUUGAUAAUUCUUUUUUUCUUCAGGCACAUAGCCUACGUUAAUAUAUUAAUUAAUCAUACAAUAUUUAUAGGUGGAUGCUAUCCCCAACCCAUCUAAAGAGCAGCUUGUAGAUGUUGUUCAGAGGCAUUUUAUGUCCCAGGUACUUGCAAAAAAUUUUCAUUUGUCUUUAAAACAGGAAGAGUUUAUUACUUUGUACUGAAAAACAUGUUGUGGUGGUGUUGAAGCAAAUGGAUGAGUUGCAGGUGAUUGUGGGAUUUGUUCAGGCAGCAAAGAGACUGAAGACAGUCUGCAAGUGAGAUGUUCUCUCAAUCUCAAAAGCUAACAGGACAGUCUGUAACAUAUGCACGGCUUGUUUAUCAUUAUCCUUGAUGUUAGUGGCUAGUAUUUACUUUGUCCCCAGCUAUAGAGCUUUUUUUUUUUGUGGGUCUUUUUGUAGUGUAGCUAUGUAGAUAUUUUGUAAACUGGACCUCCCAAGCUUGGUUUAAUGUAUUGCUGACAUUGGGGAAGUGGGGCUUCAGAAACUGUAUAUAUUCUUGGAAGAUCUAUUUAAUCCAAGUAUCAAAAAGGGGCCUGGCCCUGCCCUGCCCGGCCCGGCCCAGUGCAGCCCAAUCAGUGAUUAUCAAAGCAUUUGGUUGCAAAGUCCCCACCAAGUGCCCUGCUAUUCUCUGCUUUUUUCCCUAGGCCAAACGACUGCAAUCCAGUUCCUGUUCGUUUCUACAUGUAAGAUAUAUGAUGAUUACUAAUAAUAAUAAUCUGAAAAUUAAUUUUACUGUUUUUUUAAAGCAAAACUACUAAUUUGAAAAUUACUAAUAGUAUUAAUAAAAUUUCAUCAAAUAAAAACUGCAAUCUACAAAAACUAGAUUUGUUAGUUUCUACAUGUGAGAUAUAUGAUAAUUAGUUUCUACAUGUGAGAUAUAUGAUAAUUAAUAAUAAUAAUAAUCUGAAAAUUAAUUUUACUGUUUUUUGAAAGUAAAAUUAUUAGUUGUAUUAAUAAAAUUUCAUCAAAUAAAAAUAAUAUUAUUUCAAAAUUCUCUAAUCAAAAUAUGAGCCGUUAGAGUGUUAUAAUAACGAAUCUAUUUUGAUAACGAAUCUAUCUAAUAAAAAUAUCAGUUUCAGAUUCUAAUAAAGAUUUAUAAUUAUUCAAAAUCAAAUCCAGUUCAGAAAAUCAAACUCAAUUCAGAAAUGUUUAAAUGUUGAGAAUGAAGAGCUUGAAUCAUCUGCAAAUAGUCCAUAAAAAUGUAACUAUUAAAAGGCAAAAAUUCCGUCAAAAAAAGUAAACAGUGACAGAGAGCUAAAACUUCAACAAUUACCAGCGUACCAUUACCUUCCGGUUUCACAAAAAUUCCGUCGCAAAAAGUAAACAAUGACGGAGAACUAAAACUUCAACAAUUACUGGUGUACCAUUACCUUCCGAUAAACCAGAAACACCAUAUUGAAAUAUACUCUCAGAGUUUUCCACAACAAAACCGUAGCCAAUAAAAUCUUGAACUUGAAAUAAAACCAACUGAAAUUGUCCAAGCUUAAAGAUGACGCACGAAUUUGGAGAGGAAUGGCUUCAAAAGCACGAGCAGGGUUGGAGGAAUAAAACAAAUUCCUGCCCUGAUAUAAAGUAGCAGUGGUAUUUCCAAGAUAUAAUGCAUGACGUCUUCCACAAGAUAAGCUGCUGAAUUUUGCACCUGGUUCCAUAAUAAUGAGUUCCUUACCGACUAUAAUCUCCAUGCACAGACUAUUAUAAAGAUUUUUCGAAUCUUGUCUUGGAACUUCAAAAUCUUGAUGAAGCCAUAGGCGACAACUAUCGAAAACAUCAUUACCAAUCAAGUGCCAAAAUCUCUGGUAAAAUGCAGGAUUUAACCCAUCCGGCCCAGAUGCCUUGUCUGGAUGCAUCUGAAAAAGAACAGCUCUAAAUUCCUCAUUCGAAAAGAGAGCACAAAGAUCAGCAUUAUCGGCAUCACUAAUAAAAGGCGGCACCAACUCAAAAACCUGAUCACAAUCCACAGAACUGCCAUAAAAAAUAGACUGGAAAUAAUGCAGAACAUGAUUUUUAAUUUCAUGCUCAUCCUCAAUCCAGGUACCCGACGACUCCUUUAAUUUAGUAAUACAGUUCAUUCUUCGUCUACCAUUAAUUUGUGCAUGAAAAAAUUUUGUAUUUCGGUCCCCAUUUUUAAGCCAAAAGCACUUUGUCUGCUGUUUAAGUCUAGUUUCUUGCUGUUUAAGUCUAGUUUCUUCUUGUUCAAGGAGACAAUUUCAAUCUUCCUUUAAAUAGGCAUGAGAAACAGUACUGGACCCAUUAUCCAAUAAUCUAUGUAUAGUCUUCUUCUUUUGCCAAAACUUUCUAUUUCUACUCCUACCUCACAAUGAAAGAGCAGAAACUAAAUCAUUAUGUUUCAUCAAAAGGUUGCGUGGUAUAGAAUUAACCCAAGCUCCUUUAACAACCUCAGCUAGACCCUCAUCACAUAACCAUGCAUUAUCAAAUCGAAAUCUCCUUCUAUCUCCCCUAUUAUCCUUAGAAACUGUAUUAAUCACCAACGGUUUGUGAUCCGAUCUAGGAACAUGAACAACAACAUUAGUGAAUUUACGAGCACAGUCCUCAGUAGUAAGGGCUCUAUUAAGCUUCUCUCUAACCAGAUUAUUCGACUCCAUGCCCUUCUCCCAUGUGAGAAAAGAGUCAACAGUGGGUAUUUGAACAAGAUUACUGUCCUCAAGUGCCUGUUUAAACCCCUGCAUAAGGUAAUUUGGCAAAGUUGCUCCUCCUUCUUUCUCAUCUCUCGAGCAUAAAUCAUUAAAGUCUCCCGAACAAAGUCAACGAAGAGAGCUUCUACGAGAUAAAGUUCGAAUAAGGUUCCAAGACUGACAUCAUCAUUGCGAUUCUGAAAACCCAUAAUAACGAGUAAACCUCCAUUGAACAUUACCUUUCGAAACAAUCGAAUCAAUAAAAUUUGAAGAAAAGCCAACCACAGAAACAGACACAUAACUCUUCUACAUUAACGAAAGGUCUCCUCUCAAUUCUUGUCUAUUGACUGAGAAGCAACCAUCAAAAUGUAAAAAACUAUGAAAAUAUUUCAUACGAAAACUAAAAAUUUUUGUUUCCAUCAAAAAUAAAAUGUCUGGCUUGUAACUAGUAACCAGUAACUAAAUCCUUCAAUGCAUUAAUUGUCCGAGAAUUGUCGAGUUCUCGGCAGUUCCAAUACAGGACGAUCAUUGCUUUCGGCUAUCUUGACCUUUGACGGGAUGAGCCGUUUCGAUAGUCAAUUGACGCAGAUCGUCUUCUAUGGGGAAGGGAAAAGAAAAAAUUACGUUUAAGGAAGAGAAAAAGGCGAGAGUAUCGAGUCACAUAGGGACCACAGAGGGAAACUUGGCAAAAUAUUUUUUCCGAAGGCGAAAAUUAAUUUUAUUUUAUAAUUUUUAUUCACUUUAUUUUUUUACACAUUAAAAAAUAUAAUUUUUUUAUUAACUUUUUAUAUUUAUAUUAAAUAAUAUAUUUUAAUUUAUUAUAUUUUAAAUUAUAUUAGAAAUAUUAUUAUCUUUUAUAAUUUAAAAAUAAAUUGAAUAAAUUUACUUUCUAAAUAAUUAUUUUCUACCCUAAACACAUUUUUUAGGGAGUGAAUUUCCUAUAAAAUACAAGUAAUAUUCAUUAUAUUUAGGCAUAAUUUUUAUGAAGCAAGAAUAACUAUUUAACCCAUUAUCUCAACAAAAUUAAUUAUUUGAUCUUCUAUAAUGAAAAAUACAUAAAUUAGUCAUUGUAUUUUUGUUUUAUUUGCUCUUUGAUCCCAUUGAUCAUUUUAAGCAUUAGUUUGAAUUGCAUUCGAGUCCUAUAAAUUUAAGAAACAUAACUAUAUAGUUCUUUUUAUUUUUCUAAGUUUUAAAUUAUUUAAAUUUAUUAUUUAAUUAAUUAAACUUAUUAUAUAUAAUUUUAAUAUUUUUUUAUUAGCUAAAAAGUUUCAAUAAUUGAAUGAAAGAAUGGACCACUUUCUGGUCAAAGAAUGAAGUUUGAUCCCACAAUGUGGGAAUUCUUUAUGUUUUAUGAAUUCUCAAAACCAAACAAAAUAAUGCAAAUUUUUGUUUUGUAAUUUUGUCAAAGUUGCUUUUUUUUUUUUCAAUAAAUAAAUAAAAGCUUUUUACUUUUGCCCUUUUAUAAAGAUUAGGUAGCUACUUGUUUGUGUUGGAGUCAAUAAGAAAAAGAGGUUUAGUUCUGUUUUUUUGUGAACUUUUCCUUUAAUAUUGGCAAAUGGAAGAACAAAGCUAUUACUAAUUGUUAUAAAGGUGGUGAAUUUGAAUGGACAAGAAAAUUAGAGGUUGGUUUAAUAAUUAAUAAUCAUAUUUUCAUUUCAAAUUUUUUUAAAAAAAUUCAUAUUUGUCAAGCUUUACUCAACACCCAUUGGUUGGUUGAAAAUCAUUGAGGAUUGUAGAGUUUGUCCUAUUAAUUAAUGCUAUAUAGCUGCACUUAUUGUUUUAUUAUGACAAUAAAAAUGCCCAACAAAUUUUCUUGGCAUAUUUUAAUUCAUGAAAAAUUAUUAUCAUUAUAUAUUUUGUAACAAAAAAUUUUUAAUUAAUUUUUAUAAAAUUAAAGUUUCCUUUGUGGUCUCUUUAUUGUUCAAUACUUUCGCCUUUUUCUUUUUUUUAAAUCUAAUUUUUUUCUUUUUCUUUUUCAUGAAAAACGAUCUGCAUCAAUUAAUUAUCGAUGAAGAAGAAAAUGUUAUUAUCCCUAUUAAGAAUUUUAGAGAUAUUUCGAUCGUCAUUUAUGAUUUCUGUAUGGUGGGAUGUUAUUAUCCCUGUGUCAGGCGAGCGUUUAAUUCCCUUCGGCGCAUGCAUGGUCAGGGCUGUGAAAUAACUAGAUCUGCAGUCUUUUCUUUUUGUGGCUGGGUUUGAGGAACAAGAACCGGAACCUAGUAGAGGGUUGGAUUUAAGGCUGAGAUGUGUUGGGCCGGUCUAAUUGAGUGACUUAAAUAGGAGGCUAAUUAGGAGGAUGAACGGAUUAGACCUGACUUGCUUGGGGGCUCAGAAGCCUCCUGAUUGUGGAUUGCUACUAUCGACCCGACCUUAUAAGGGGAUGGGGAAAUCCAACGAUGAUCAGAUCCAAUAUUUUUUAAUAAAUAUAUCUUAUAUUUUAGUUAACAAUUUAUUUCUGCAUACCUUUAUUAACACCAUUAAUUUUGAAAUUAUAUAUAUUAAAAUAUAAAAAUUAAACUAUUUAUUAAUAAAAAAAUAAAUGAAAUAGCAAAUAGAAUAUUUGAUAUAUUAUUCUUAAAUAAGUUAAAAAUAAAAAAAUAUAAUAAUAAUAAUAAAGCUUUUCUAUUUUAAAUAUACUUUCUCGCCUUAUAAUUUUAUUCACUUUAUUUUUAUAUGAAUAUAUAAAAAGAUAAUUUUUUUAUUAAUUUUUUAAUUAUACUCAUUUUACAAUUAUUAAAUUUCAUUAAAUAUUAAAAUAUUUUGAAUACUAAUUUAAAAAAAUACUAAUUAAUGAAAGGUUAUUUUAAAAAUAAAAUAAAAUAAAAUAAGAUUAUAAUAGUUAAUUUAUAUAUUAUUAUAAUAUAAAAAAUAAUUUUGGAAUAAAAAAGUGAGUAAAUAUUAUGAGAUGGAUAAAAUAUUAUUUAAGGUUAUUAAAUAAAAUAAUUCAAAUAUUUGUGAAAAUCAUAUUUAUUUUUUAAACUUUAUUUCUUGAUUAAUAAAGUCAAAUUUUUAAAAUUAGUCAUGAUUUUAACUCAUUAUUUAGUAAGAUUUAUUUUGCAAUAAAAAAAUUUAAAUUAAUUAUUAUAAAAUUAUGUAAAAUUUUAUUUAUUUUAAGAUAAAAAAAUUAAAAUUUUCGAUUCUAAAAAAAUUAUUAAAAGAUAAAUAGAUUAAAUUAAAUUAUUAUGAAAUUAUUGAUUUGAAAUGGACGGAAAAAGAAAUCUUUAACUCCUUCUCAGCUUUUAUUAACUUUCCUCCAUUUGGUUCUAAAAAUGUAGGCCCAUAUCUUCGAUUUUUUUUAUUAUUAUUAAUUGCGUAAUGGUACGUCACAAAUACAUAUCUCGAAUAAAUAAAAAAUAAAUUAUUUUUUAAUUUUAUGAUAUAAAAAAAUUUAUUAACUAAUUUUUUAAUUUUAAAAAAUAUAUUAAGACAUUUUUAAUAUUUUAGAAAUUUAUUAAUUAAAAUUUUUUUUGUUAAUUUUUUUCUAUCAUCCCAUCAAUUGUAUGACGUGCUGAGAUAAGGGAGAAAAUGUGUAUUAGUGGAGUGCCACGGAGGAUUCCCACUGAGAGGAGACCCUCAACUUUUGGAAAAUUAUAGCAAAUUUCCACCGACAAUUCUAACAGGGAUCCUUUCUAACACAAUCUACCUUGAUUCUUUUUUUUUCUUUUUUUUUUCCCCAAUUCGUUUCAAAUAAUUUUUUUAAUAAAAAACUAAUUAAUUUUUAUAAAAUUAUUUAUAAUUUUGUUUUUUAAAUUAAAAAAUAAAAAAUGAUUAAAUUAAAUUCUUACGUAAUGUUAAAUUUUAAAUAAAAUAUUUGUUUCCGUGUAAAACACGUGAGAAAAAAAAAAUCCAAAAAUGAAGAAUUGAUGGGUUAAAGGCAUGUGAUCUGUAUUGGAAUGCAAAGUUGUAGAAGAGUUGAAAGAACACUUGAUGUUUAUCACAUGGGAAAAAUGGACUAGCGUCCAGACAAUUCCUUACCCACACACAUAAACAAAUGGAAUCCAACAAUCUUUCUGCUUGCCUCAUAUGAUUCCCUGCGGCUCCAAACUUGUUGGGAUUCUUUUAUUCUUAUUCAGCAAAUUAACAAAGAUUUUUAUUAACGUAUUGCUGUUGAAAUAAAAAUCCUUAUAGAGNNNNNNNNNNNNNNNNNNNNNNNNNNNNNNNNNNNNNNNNNNNNNUUCUUCAUUUGUUUUGCUCCUUGAAUUGUUUAGAAUCUCCAUAUUUCCACUUGAUUUUGGAAUCUACCUCCUUUUCGUCUGGUCUUUUCUAAAAAAAUUUUACGGCAAUGCAGUUAUUUUUAAGGUUGAGCAAACCUAAAUUUUAAUAUUUAUAAAAAUUAAAUCGAAUUAAUAUUAUUAAAAUAAAUUAAUUUAAAUAUUAUUAAAAUAUAAAAGUAUAUAAUUUUAAAAAUAAUUUGAAUAUUAUUAAAAUAAAUUAAUAAUUUAUCAAAAUUUAAGGAUAUUCUUACGGGUUGGACUCGAUUACUGUGUAGUUGCAAUCUGAUGAUUCCACCUGUAUUUUAAUGAUUUUUGGUUGGUACUUUUAACAUAAUUCAUAGAUUCUUGGUCCGUCAGGGACAAGCAAGUAUAUUUUUUUAAGCUAAUAAACUUUUUUUUAAAUAGCAAAUAAAAUUUCGACUAUUGAAUUAUGAUUUAAUGUGAUUUUUUAAAUUAAAUAAUAAAAUAUUAAAUUUUUCUAUAGAAAUUAAAUAUAAUUUUUUUAUUAUGAGAUUCAAAAGAAAAUUUGAAAUUUGGGUUUCAUACACUUACACGAGAGAAGGAGCCAGCGGUUCAUGGCCUAAUACCACAGUGUCAGCUAAUUUCAGCUGGCAAAAAGUUUAAACAAGUCCUGAAAUUUUUAUAUUAAAAUUCUAAUUAAAUUAAAUUAAAUUAAAUUAAAUUUUUUAUCAAAUAAAAUCAUAAAUUUUACAUUUAUUUUGAAAUAAUCAAGUUCCAAUCAAUAAAAAAUUUUAAUAGUAAAAUGUUAUUUUUGACAUAUUAAUUUUUUUUACUGUUUUUAAUUAAAACAAACUAAAAUACAAAUAGUAUAAAUUUUUAACACUUAAAAAUUACAGGAAAUAAUAUUUCACUAUAUAAAAUUUAUUUCAUUAGUCUUAAAUACAAAAUUCAGAGUUUUAUUUGACCUUUCGAAUUUUCAAUGAAUUUUGGGUUAACUUAAAUGAAAAAAAAAUAAAAAUUCUUAGUUAAUUUAGAUAAAAAAUAAAAAAAAGUAUAAAUUAAAUUUUUUAUAAUAAAUACAUGAAUGAGAUUAAACAUUAAACUUUUAACUCUUAAUUUAGUAUGAUUCAUUUUACAAUAAUUUAAAUAAAUUUUUAUAAAAUUAUACAUAAUUUUUAUUUUUUAAAAUAAAAUUUUAAAAAAAUGAGCAUUUUAAACGUUUUAUCCAUUUUUAAUAAAACUUGAAAAAAAAAGAAAAAUACAACAAAAUUUAUUGGAAAAUUUUUUAGAAAAAAACAGUAAGACAGAAUUUUGUGUUUUUACGUAUCAUUUUUCUACCAGAAAAACUGGGAAAUUAGUUUUCCGUUUUCAAAAUUUAGCUAAAAUUAAGGGAAAACAACUUUAAGUUAUUUUCCGUUUUUUUAUAACAAUUUUUUAUUUCAUAAUCUAAAAUUAAAUAGUAAUUUUUAAACAUUUUUUUCUAAUAAUGAGAAAUUAUAUUUUCAUAAGCUGGAAAUAUUAUGUGGUAAAAAUAUUUUAAAGAUUAAAAAAAUAAUUUUAAAUAUAUUAUUUAAUUAUUUAUUUUUUAAUUUAUGAGUUAUUAAUUGAUAUUACUAUAAUUAAAUUGAUGAUAUGACCAGAAUGGAACUGAGCUGCAAUUAAUUAAAACAUGUAAAGGAGAAAAUCUUAAUAGGCGACAUCUUCACAGAGAUGAAGUCAAGCAAGAGGGAGAGGGACAAGUUGAGGAAUACCCCAUCGAUCAAGUCUUUGCUAAUAGAUAUAGAAAACCCUGGUUUAAAUUUGGGAGGAGGAAACUGAAAGCCUCUCUCUUCCCAUGUGAUCUUUUGUAAUGAAAAUAUAUAUUUUACAUAUCUCGUUAUUAUACUUUUUAGGUGUUUGUAUGUUUCAUACCCUUGUCCAAUAUCACUACUAACGACUUAAAUAAUCUUUUAACAAUUGGCUAAGGGGAUAUCACCCAAUCAAUCCCAGAACUUGAUGAUCACUAUUUUUUAUCCAAAAGGGGCUAAGGCAGGUUCACUUAGCAGGGUCUAACACUCGGUUUGCAGUCAUAAAAUAAUUUGGAGAAUUUUUGUGAGAUAGGAUCAAUGCUAGGUCAUGUGGCGUAGCGGACUCCCGCCUUCGAGCAUGAAAUGUCUUAGAGAAAUUUUGAAUAUUGGACCUAUACUUGAUUGCGCGUUUUGAGGCUUGAUCAUAAGAAUCGCCCUAACAACUUUAAUCACUGACUGAUGCCUUCGUCUUUUGGGAAUUGUCAUCCACAGGUUCGUCUUUCGGUUGCUUGUCUAGUUACUUAGCACAAGAUGCUUUAUUUGCGAGAUUAACACUUGCAUUGUGGCCUAGUGAAACCCACCUUGUGGUCCGGUAUGAAUGCCUUGAUUAGUGGGACCAAUGCCUGGUCUUUUGGUCUAGCGAAACUCGUCUUGUGACCUGACCUAACAAGACCCGCCUUGUAAUCUUGAUUAGUGGGACUGACGCCUGAUAAUUUUUACAUGGGAUUAACACCAGGUAGUUGUGCCCGUCUCAUGGUCUGGCAUGAAUGUCUUUUUUAGUGGGAUCAACGUCUAGAUUAUGGCCUGGCUAAAACUGCCUUGUGGCCUUUUAAUAGGAUCAACGCCCAAUCUUCUAGCCUGGCAGAACCUGUCUUGUGUUAUAGCAUGAAUGCCUUUUUAAAUGGGUCCAAUGCUCGAAUUAUGGCCUGUCUAAAACUGGCUUAUGGCCUUUAGUGGGCCUAACACCCAGUGUUCUGCCUUGGCAGAACUCGUCUUGUGGCCUGGCAUUAAUGCCUUCAUUUUCAUGGUCUAACACCUAGAUUAUGCCCUGAUUGAAAUUGCCUUAUGGCCUUUUAGUGGGACCAAUGCCCGGAUUGUAGUUUGACAGAACCCGCCUUGUGACUUAGGCUGGUGGAACCCACCUUGUGGCUUUCUCUGAAUACUCCUUGAUCCUUUUUCAAUAAGGUGACCACAUCGUUUCAUAUUACUAAAGAACACAACAUAUGAAAAAAAUAUCUCAUUAUCUGUUAUUAAUAAAAUUUUCUCAGGUUACAAAUAUUCUGUAACAGCCCGGAAACCGGUACCUCUCUGUAACGGCCCCCGAACUGCUCGGCACUAGGAUUCAGAUCGGCUUAAGGCCGCCUAAACCCGUAGUAAGCCUCUCCUGAACUCCGUGUACCUGAUAAAAUCCCAUACAUGAUCCAACAACAGACUGCGGAAAAACGUUUCUUGAAAACUACCAGACUUAACAUUUAAAAACUGUACUGUGGGUCCAACCAUGUGAACCAAAUGUUCAGACAUACUAAUCUGAACUCGCCCUCAGGGCUACACCAGUGAUACUCUACCAAGUAACCUCCAUGCACUAUGCGCUGUGUCAUAGAACCCACUCUGUAAGGGUCAGCAUAUCAUAAGGUAACUUGGCUACCAUAGAGUUACAGGACUCAAACCUGGUCUUCUCUAUAGGUCUCUCUAUGGAUCACAGGAAUCACACCUGGUCUUUCCUCUGCACUGGUUUUGGGUCAAAGGAAUGAAUCCUCACAGUUAUCAUUCACUGGGUUUUCGAAACACAACAUGUAUUAAGUCUGGUUUGACUCAUUUCUCAUCAAGAAACUUUGAAAACUCAAGGGAUUAAGCAUACACUGGGGAUAAAACAUACUAUAGGCAAAGCACUUACGAAUCCAUCAGCACAUUAACUUACUAUCUAUACAUCUGUACCAAAUAUCUCUUUAAUUUACAUCAUGUCCACUAUUCUAUUACAUAAUCACAACCUGCACUAUGACUUCAUGCCUUACUCUUCGGAUUCUGACAUCCCACAGCUAACCUGCAAAACUGGGGUUAAGGGAGAGGGAUGAGCAACUAAAGCCCAGUGAGUAGAAACACUGAAAACAGUUCAUUCAUACGCAUUUAAUAUGAAAAUGCCUCACAACUCAAACAUUCCACAUCUUUGAUUAGACAUGACCUCAAAACUCCCUCGACGGGCUAUUGAUGUCGCCUUGGUCCAAUUGCAAAUCACCCUAAUAUAAAUCAUAGCAUCCAUGAUGCAUGAACUAUGCUCAUACAGUCUGUGUCUGUAGUAAAAAAGUUUAAGUUUCGUUCUACUCACCUCUGCUCUUCUAGCAGAAACUGAACUGACUCUGUAAUCUCUAACUCUGAUGACCUCCUCGAUCUCUCGGGUCCAAUCCUACACAAAUGGACUCAAGUGAGGUGCCAAACACACUCUAAACAACUCAUAAACAACUCUACAACAACUCCCCAAAACCCCUCUACAAGCUCANNNNNNNNNNNNNNNNNNNNNNNNNNNNNNNNNNNNNNNNNNNNNNNNNNNNNNNNNNNNNNNNNNNNNNNNNNNNNNNNNNNNNNNNNNNNNNNNNNNNNNNNNNNNNNNNNNNNNNNNNNNNNNNNNNNNNNNNNNNNNNNNNNNNNNNNNNNNNNNNNNNNNNNNNNNNNNNNNNNNNNNNNNNNNNNNNNNNNNNNNNNNNNNNNNNNNNNNNNNNNNNNNNNNNNNNNNNNNNNNNNNNNNNNNNNNNNNNNNNNNNNNNNNNNNNNNNNNNNNNNNNNNNNNNNNNNNNNNNNNNNNNNNNNNNNNNNNNNNNNNNNNNNNNNNNNNNNNNNNNNNNNNNNNNNNNNNNNNNNNNNNNNNNNNNNNNNNNNNNNNNNNNNNNNNCUCACCUCAUGCUCAACUUCCCCCAAACCUUACUCAACAUGCAUACAACACUCCACAACUUGCACAUAUGCUUAUAUAUGCACAAAGGGGUCCAAAACUAGCCUAUAACCCCAACAAAACACACUCAACUCAUCAAAUAGCACAUAAUCACCUCAAAAUCCUCAAAAACUCAAAACAUGCAACGAACCAUGAAAACUCCUUAAAACCUUCAAAAAUCAUGAAACCAUGUAAGAAAUCUCCAUACUCCUCUUGUAAACAAAAGGAUGGAAGAUCCUAACGUGAAGAAAUGGAGGAAACCCUCUCCAAAUCAUCACACCGUCAAAACGCAACCUUUUUGCUUAAAAUCCUCAAAACAUGCUUAAAUCUGAGUAAAACUCUCAAAGAUUGGAAAGAACACAUAGAACUCACUUAGAGAGGAAAGAAGACACACCUGAGGCGGCUGGGAAGUCGGAAAGCUUAUCCCUUGACCGACUGAGGGGCCCCUUAAAUAGUGGCUGGCCAAACCUCCUUCGGCAGCCGAACGUGCCUCCUAAUCCAUGCAAAGUUCGGCGGCCGAAACUCAACCUUCGGCGGCCGAACCUGGCAAUUCUCCUCUAUGCAAGUUCUUGCCAAAACUCAAUUCUUAAAAUUCAUUUAAAUAAAAACCGCUAAAAACAUGUGUAAAAACAUCCAUGAUACCCUUUGAGAGGAAACCGGCUCCAGAAAGUCCAUCGGAACACCGGAAUUCCAGACCCCACUCUAGCCGGGUAUUACAUAUUCCAUGACUCGGCCAUCUAAUUUGGUUAGCCUGUAAGACCCUGGGUGAAUAACCUUCGAGACCUUAAAUAGUCCCUUCUAGUUUUUUUCGAGCUUGCCAGACCGGCUGUUAUAUUUGUGGUUUGCUUAUUUUCCCUGAUCACCACUAUGUCAUUCUACAAUUACAUAAUUAAUUCUCAGAGGCUACUUGUAAGAGGUGGUUUCAGGAGUUGUUGUCUCGGGUUCAGAUCUCCUCUCUUCCUUACCAUUUUUGGUAAACUUUUAAAGAGUGUCGUCCCUUAUCAGCCUCUCAAUCUUAUAUUUCAGCUGCUAACGCUCCUCCAUUGUAUGACUGUGAUAUUUGUUAAAACGACAGUACUUGGUCUUGUCUCGUCUUUUUGCUUUCUCAUGAUUGAGUUUGGAAGACUUCCUUGUCAUUUUUCCUUAUCCACAUUAGAAUGCGUUAUUCAAUGGAGUAUAAUUCUUAUACUUAUUUUGAUCAUCCCUCCUUCGAGAUACGAGAUAACUCCUGUGAUCUCAUUCAUGUCCUUGCCUCUCCAGCUUAUGGUUUUACUUUUAGUUUGCCCUCUUGUCCUCUCUCAAUGCUUGGACUUUGUCUUCCAGUCUGAUAUACUUCUGAGUUUUAUCUAUCAACUGUUAAUACAUUGCGGCUGGAUUUUUUUAUUAAGGAAUCCAUAAACUUGACGUUGCGUAUUCCUUUCUUUAAUGUUUCACACGCUAUCUCAUGAUUUAACUCCUUCACCUGUAUUGCUUCAACAUUGAACCAUGAGAUAAAACUCCUUAAAGGCUCUCCCUCACCUUGGCGAAUCUUUCGCAAGUUAGAGAAAAGUUUUUUACGAGGUAUAGAAGUAAUAAAUUUGGAUUUAAAUGACAUAGCGAAAAAGUUCUGAAUUAAGUCUGGACUUAGAUGUUGGUACUAUUUUUUAGUCAAACCUAUAAGUGUUGAUGGAAACACUCGGCACAAUACGAAGUCAUUGACAUCCUGAAACUGCGUGGUUGUCCUAAAGAUCGCCAAGUGACUUAUGGGAUCUGCUGUUCCAUCAUAUUUGUCCAAGCUAGGCAGCUUCAACUUGGUUGGGAAUGUCUCUGCUAAGAUUUCUUCUGACAGAGACGAGGCAUCAUUCAGGCUAAAAUCCCCCUCUUGCUCCUUUUGGUUCCUCUGAACUGUCCAUACCAGCUUCCAGUCAACAUCUUUCAGAACAUUGUCCGAUUCGUCUAAUUCAUCUUCUUCGAAUUCGGCCUUCCUUUUGAACAGCCUUUUGAUUGUCUAUGUCCGAGUUCUAGGGGUGUCAAGGAGGCUUUCUCUCUUCCUCUGGGAGCCAUGAUUGAUGCCUCCCCCGAGUCUUAUACUGCUCGAGAGUAGCCUGUAACUUUUGAAUGUAUUGGAUCAUUUACUCGUUGUUUAGAUUGUUGAGAUCUAUUUCAUUGACCAUUGAGGGUGUAUUUUAUCCACUGUUAGGGUGUGGAAGAAAUGAUAACGCCGUCAUCAGUAGCAACCUUAGCAACAGCCCGUGAACUACCGAUCAUUUUGAGGGAAAAAAGAGAGAGAUUUCUUUCUAAGAGAAAAAGAAUAAGAAACUGGCUUUAAUCCAAGUGAACAGAAACGAUUCAAAAGAUAUCCCGGCAAUGGAAUCAAAUGAUGCGGGUGGAAAAUGGAAUUGUACUGUGAUUUGUUAAUCCUGCAAGAGAGAGAACGUGAGGUAGUGGGUACUCAUAACAACUACUCCGAUGCUAAAGUCAAUAAACUGGAGAAUAGGGCAAAUGUAAGGAAUUGCAUAAAAUUCAAGUGUAGUUGUGUAAGAGAAUUGCGUAUUUUUAUCUUUGUGAUCGUUGAUUUUUAUACUGUAAAAUAAUGGAGUUAAAUAUAGUAUUUGUUGAUAAUCCAACGAUGAUGUGGCUAGCUAUUUGAUAAGGGAUCUCGCCAGUUUAUUUGGUCGAUGAUCUGUAAUUACAGACGUAAUAAAAGUAUGCUAGAUUGUGCUUGCUAAUGGUGACUUAAUAUGAAGGUUCGACCUUUUCAGGGGAGAACAAGUCUUGAAGAGGAACUGAGUGUAACGGUAUUCGGCUUUUUGUUUUAUAAAAUCACGCAUCCACUUAUCAUACUUUUAUCAUGUUAUUCUAUUUUAUAGUAGCAAAUGACUAUUUGAAUAAUUUUUGUGUACCAUCAAUAAAUUUAUUUAAUAUUACAAACUAAAUAAGAGAGUUUGUCAGCUUUGGGCUCAAAAAAUCUUCAGCUUUGGGCUCAAAAAAAUCUUUUUCUUUUUUUUCCCCUUUCAAAGGUUCUUUAGUUACUACAGCAUCGGCAGAUACUGGAAUCUUGUUUGCUGACGUUACCCGAAUCUUUGCCGACUCCAAGAUUCUUAAGGUGAAUCCCUUCUUCCCGCUACUGAUGGAGGCCAGAUCCCACAGGGGUACUUUCGUCUUCUCAUUUCGCCUGCCCAUCCCUCUCCCUAUGCCCAGCCAUGGUCAGUGCUGGUUUGCCGGAUUUCAUGGUUUGAACCGUUUCAGUUGAAAAAAGGUCAGGAUUCAAAAUAAUUUUGAUUUGGUUCAAUUCAAAAGUUGUUUAAGAUAAUAAUAAUAAUAAUUAAAAAUAAAUAAAAUUUAUUUAGAUCUUUUAUAUUUAUAAUGGAUUAUGUAUUUAAUAAUAAUAAAAAAAUUAUAAAGUACCAAACCAACCAAUUUAUUUUUUAAAAAGAAUAUAUUUUCAAAUCAGUCCAGUUUUGACUUGGAAUUAGCGAUUGAAUCGAAUUGUUUUGUAACUGUUUUUAUCCUCACUCAGUAGGGAGGAGGCUCAUAACCGGUCUUCUUAUGGUUAUGAUCCAAGUUCUAAAAUUGAUCUGAUCCAAGUUCCACUAUCCGAACCGGACUGUGGUCUGAUCUCUCUCCCAGAUUCUAUUCUCCAUCCAAUUAUGCCAAGUCGACUUGCGUGCUUCACACGGCCAUUUCAUGCAAUUUAAUUUCAGUAGCAGUAAUUUUUAUUUUUGCGAUAUUUACGAGCCGUAUAAAGAAAGAAAUCAAUAUUUUUAGUAAAUAAAGAAAUAAAUCUCUUUUUAAGUCAUGAGUAAUCUUUUUUAUUAUUUAAAAAAUUAAUGACUUUAUUACUCAACAUUGUCACGAUAAAAAAAAAAAGUUAAUUUUGAAAGAGCAAAAUAUCUUAUAAUAUUAUCAAGUAUUAAAUUAUGAUAAUUGCUUAAAUAUAAUAAAUUUAAAAUCAUAUAUUACAAGAGAAAAAUAAUUUUUUUAAAAUGUAAUGUAUCAUUAAUUAAAAUGUUUUCAUACAAUAUUUAAUUAAAAAAAUAAAAAUAUUAAAUAGGAGAUUGAAACUCAACCAAUUACGGAUUCAACCGAGUUUCACAGGUUUUGGAUGGGCAUAAAUAAAAGUAAUAAAGUUAUUUAUGUAAAUUAUAAUUUAAAAAUUAGAAAAAAAAUUAAAUUGCGAUUAUUUGAACUCUAAUAAAAGUAGAUGGCUUGAUUGGACUAUUUCCGUUUUAAAAAUAUAUGAAAUAUAAUUUUUUAUUUUAUUUUUGUGAGAACCACAUACAUAGUUGUGGGUCCCGACGCUCCUCUAUUUUUGGACAUUAUAAGUACGGCAGGGCCCGAUAUCUGCCUACUAGCAUGAAAAGGCCAAUCAUCCUUAAAUUUUCACGAUCAACCCUCAGCGCCUCAUCUUCUCCCUCAUCAAUGGCGCUUCGUAAGUUACUCUCGAAGCGUCUUUCCGAUACUUACAGACUCGCCUCACCGGCGGUGACUCUACAGAACUCGCCUAUUUCCUGCCCUCCCAAUCUCCAAGUCACACAACUACUAAAUGCAGCCAAAACCGAUUACCUGAGCUCGCCGGAAUUAUCCGAGAAAGGUUUUUCCAGGAGAUUCCUUCAUCGGAAAUCCGUAAACCAGUUGCCUGAGUUCCUUUCCAUACCGGUCGGUGAGAAGCUGAGGGAAAAGCUCAAAGGAAUUAACAUUACCGGAGAACGGCUCAGACUGGAUGGACUCGUACCUCCGCGGCAGGAAACGGUUGGCAAAGAUCCUAAUAGGUUUGAAAUCACGAUUAUUGGUGCGAGGAAAAUUCUGAAGCUCUCUCAGUUGGAGAGGCUAAGAGCAAAGUUCAGGGAGAUGCCAAACAGCUCAAUUUCGUAUUCGGAGUUCGUUCAGAUGUGUGUUGAGGAGUGUGGAGACGAAAAUCAAGGUAUCGAGUUUGCCAAGGCGCUGGACCGGUCCGGAAACGUCAUCGUUUUGGGGAAUAUUGUGUUCCUCCGGCCCGAACAGGUAUUAAAAUAUUCCGAAAUUAAAAAUAAUAGUAAGAAUAAAUAAAGAAACUACAAAAUUCCAUUAUAUUUUAGAAAAAAAAAAUAAAUUUACGACAGAAUUAAAAAUAUUAAAAUAGUUUAAAUAUAUUAAAUAAAUUAAAUAAAAUGCAACUCAAACUUUUAAAUUUCGUAAAUUGGCGAGGAACGGUAAAUUUAGCCUUUUAACUACUAUAUUCUCCGUCAUUUUUGUUAUCGAAAAGACCUUGCGUGACUCAAACGGACUGGAUUUGAUAUGUGGAUUCCAAAUCGAACUAGUCCCAUCCGGAUGAGUCUGUAUCGUGUGGGAUAGAAUUAUACAAAUCAGUUGGAUCUGAUUCUUUGAAAUUGUGGGUGGCCCCCAAGUUUCUGGUAAUGGAUUGCAAGUGGCAUUCAUGAAAUUGCCUCAGGUCCACUUGCUUUCCAUUUCUCGGUGAACGAGACAAACUUAUUAGUGAUAUUCUGAUUAACCCCACUACUUAAUUUCAUUGAUUAAUAUGCUGAACGAUUUAAUUUGCCUUCUGUUAUGCUUGAUAGAUGGCCAAAUCAAUGGAGAAUCUAAUCUCUCAAUCCAUAUCAACUCCUAAUGACCCAAGAAGAAAAGAACUGGAACAAAUGGAGCAGCAAAAGGCUGUAAUAGACCAAAAGGCCAGAGCCCAAGUUCAGGGUGAGCUUUAUUGUGGACUAGGCUUUCUAAUGGUGCAAACACUUGGGUUCAUGAGGCUCACAUUCUGGGAGCUCAGCUGGGAUGUUAUGGAACCCAUAUGCUUCUUUGUCACUUCUCUUCACUUUGCACUUGCCUAUGCUUUCUUUCUCAGGACAUCCGUUGAGCCGUCUUUUGAAGGCUACUUCCAGAGAAGGUUCAAGACCAAGCAGAAGAAACUAAUGGAAGCCCACAGCUUUGAUUUGGAAAAAUAUAAGCAGCUUCAGACAUUGUUUUAUCCUCACUUGGUUUAUGGGUGUGCUCAUUCGAAACAUUACAAGACAUUGUAACAGAGAUGAGGAAGCAUUUCCUAGACCCAUGCACCACUGCAAUUAAUUUGUAAAUUUAUAGCAAUAAACAGUACAAAGAGAGUGAAAUUUUUUUAUGAUGAACAUAGAUGGAUUAGAGUAGUUUUUGAUAGCCUAAAUGCAUGUUUGGAAUCUGUAAAUUACAGGAGCCAGGAGGAAUAGACCCUAAUCGUGGAAAAUUAUAACAUGCAACAUUUGGUACCAUAUUAUCAGAUGGAUUUCCUUAAUAAUUUGAUGUAUAAACAAAAAAACCUUAUUUAAAAGAGGAAAUUGUUUAAUACUUUUAGGAUAUAUUUUUACAUAAUUAUUUAAAUUUUAUUAAAUUAUUUGCGGGAUGAUAUAAAAUUCUCUUAAUAGAAGCUUAUCUCGUGUAUACAUUUUGGACAGUCAUUAAACACAAGAUAGACUGGGCCUUGGGCUUAAGAGUUAGCACUAGAAUCAGUUGUAUCAUGGUCCACGUCCAUUCUCCGCUGUGGGUAAUUGGGUGUGCCAUAGAUUCUGCUUCUGCAGACUCGGUAAACUGCAGAGUGUUUAGAGGAUACAUAUCCGGAUACAAGUAAUUCAUCUAGGUAUUAGAAAAAGUAAUUUAUAAUGUAGUUAACACAAUAGUUAUCCUCUUAAAAUUCAUUGUUGUAUUAUAAAAAUUUAAUUUUUUAUUUUUCAUUUUUUAUAAGAGUAUAGCCUGUUUAGUCGUAAUAAUUUAGUUUUUAUAAUUUUAAUAUUUAUAAUAAUUUAAUUACGAGUGAACUUUUCCAAUUUAUGAUUUAUUAAUGAUAUAAAAUAAUUAUUUUAUUAAUAAAAUAAAAAUUCAAACAUUAAUUAUUUAUUUUUAACUCAUGAAUUAUAUUGUAAAUUAUCAAAAAAACUCAAUGUCCAUACAUGGAGUGUCUAGUUUUAAGCAAUAUUCUUGUCAGAUUGUAAUUUUAGUUUGCUAGACUGAAUUUAGAGUCUGCUCUUUUACAUCUGAUUGAGAAAAUUGCAGAUAUAUUUAUAGUGAGUUAGUCCUUUUCUUGGCAAAAACAUUUAACAGUUGCCUGCCCAGUUGUCGAUUUGAAAACUAUAAUUAAGUAUUUCACAAAAUGAUAAGCCUGCAAAAGUUAGAUGACAAUAAAUUUUUGUCUGAAAUCCUGAAAUUUGGCAGAAAACCUUGCCCGAAUUCUGGCAGAGUCAGAUUGACGCAUGGCCAAAAUGUUUCCAGCAAUUUCCGCUGAAUAAUUCGUCUUUUACGGAAACUCAUAUUCAGUGGGUAUUGGUUGAUAAUCAAAAAUGAAAUUGAGUUGUUUUAAUUUAAUCUUUUAAUCCGAUUUAAUUAUUUUAAGAAAGAAUUAUUACUAAAUCAAUUUUUUAAUCCGAUUUAAUUAUUUUAAGUCGGGUCAGGAUUGUUGUUCUGAAUCUCGGGGCUUAGGAUGUUUGGGCUGGCUAUUCUUCGGAUCCUAAGAUUCUUGAUUUGGUCUGUUGUGUUGUUAAGUCUAUGAGUCUUGCAUAUCUUUUGGGCCUUCAUGGCUCUUAGAAAUGAAUCAGCUAUUAUUUUUUAAAAAAAAAAUAUUGAGAAGAAUUUAUUGAGCAAGGAAAAUUCAAUGCAACUCAUCAUAAAUACAGGAAAGAGUUUGCCGGCAACUAGUUUUGGUUUUUUCAGGUACACCGGCAGUUGUUUGAUUUAAUGUGGAAGAGUACGAAGUUAAGCCCCUUAACUGUCACCUGUUUUAAAGCUUACCGACAACAUGUAAUUGGGCCCAUUUCUCUGCAAAGCUGAGUUGAGGUGAUUUUAUGAUCGGUUUGAUUUAAAAUUGAAUCAAAUCGAAUAAAUUGAAAAAUUAAAAUUUUAGUAUUUAUAAAAAUUAAACUGAAUUAAUUUUAGUAAAAAAUUGAAUCGAAUUAAACCGAUCUGAUUCAGUUCGAUUCAAUUUGGUUUGAUCGAUUUAAAUUUUCAAUAAUUUUUUUUAUUUUUUAUACUUUAUUUUUAAUAUUUUAAAAUUUAAUUAAAAUAUUUUAAUUUUAAUAUAAUCUAAUCUCUCAAUAUUGUUAAAAAUAAUACAUUAUUAUUAUUAAUCGAUUCAGUUUGAUUUUUUUAUUUUUUCUGAUUAAAAUCGAAUCGAUUUGAAAUAAUUAAAACUUUUAAAAUUUAAAAUCAAACUGAAUCAAAAUAAAUAAAAAAUUAAUUCGAUUUGAUUAAUUUUUUAAAUUUUAACCGAAUGAUCCUCGGUCCGGAAGCCUAUUAAAGCAAGAGCAACGGUUCCCAAUUUAACUUUGAGAAACUCAUUAAUUUUUAUUUCAUUUAAUUUUGUAACAAUUUUUAUUAUAAAAUAGUAAAUUGUGAAUAACCUUAUCUGAAUUUUUAUUUUCAUUAGAAAUAUCAAAUUUUUUUUGAAACUUAUAAAAAUAAAGUUUUGUCAUUAAAAAAAAAUAUUAUGACAAAUAAUUUGUGUAAAAUUAUUUUUCGUUUAAAAUAUUAUAUGGGAAAAUUUUUAAUGCAAAAUUUUUUAAGAAAAUAACUUAAUUUCAUUAUUUAGUUAUAAUAAUAAAAAGUCAAUAAUAUUAGUACAUUUAAUAAUAACAUUCUCUAAAUAAUAAAAAAACUCUUGAAAAGGUAUUAUGAAUAAUUUAAAUAUAAAUUUAUGACAUUGUAGCCACCUUCAACUCCUGAAGUUCGUAAGCACACCUUCAGUCCCUCGAGGUUCUAAACACACCUUAACUCCUUAUAUUCCGAUUGUAUUGGUUUUUUUUUUUCUUCAAAUCAAAACUAUGAAUUGUAUUAAUAAAAUUUUAUUAAAUAAAAAAAAAAAUAUCAUUCAAAUAGAGAGAUAACUGUAUCUGAUAAAUUCUCUAGGCAAAAUAUGAAUUAUUAGAGUAGUAUUAUGACAAAUUCAUCUAACAGAAAUAUCAGUUAUAGAGUCUAAUAAAAAUUUACAAUCAUUAAAAAUCAAACCCCUGAAUAAGAUAAUUUGACAAAAAUACUCCUCAAGUGUCUGUCUAAAUUCCUGUAUAAGAUAAUUUAGCAAAUAUACUCCUCCUUUCUCAUCUCUCAAAUAUAAAUCAUUAAAAUCUCCCGAACAAAACCACAUAAGAGAGUUUCUAUGAGAUAAAACUUGAAUAAGGUUAUAGGACUAACGUCAUCGUUGCGAUUCCUGAAACCCAUAAUAACUAGUAAACCUCCAUUGAAUAUUACCAUCCGAAACAAUCGAAUAAAUAAAAUUUAAAGAAAAGCCAACCAUAAAAAUAGAUCUAUGACUCUUCCACGUUAACGAAAGAUUUUCUCCCAAUUCUUAUCUAUUAACUGAGAAACAACCAUCAAAAUGUAAAAAAUUAUGAAAAAAUUUUCUAAGAGAACUAAAAGUUUUUUUUUCAUAAAAAAUAAAAUGUGCAGCUUAUAACUAGAAACCAAAUCUUUCAAUGCAAUAAUUGUCUGAGAAUUGCGGCCAUAAAUCUGCCAAUGAGGUCAGCAUAUUCUAAAAAUUGAUUGGAUUGUAUGUGAGAAAUAUUCCCACUAUAAAAAAAUUAUAAGUGACAAUAGGAAUAUCUCUAAAACUCUUAAUAAGAACAAUAACAUAUUUUUCUUCAUCGAUAAUUAAUUAACGUAGAUCAAUUUUCAUAGAAAAGGGAAAAUAAUAAAUUAGAUUUAAAGAAGAGGAAAAAGUUAGAGUUAUAAAAGGACUAUAAAAGAAAAUUUAUGAUAAAAAUAUUCGUAACCAUCGUAAAAGUAUUUUUAUAACCUUUAAAUCAUAUUCCAAUUGGAUUGUUAGCAUCACGAUUUUCAGGAUAUCAUUUAUGACGCAAUCUUAAUUUUCUAUAUUAUUAAUUAAUUUAGAUUUAUGUUCCCUUAAUUGAGUACUGAAUUUUUCUUAUUUUAAUUUAAUAUUUUUACAAUUUAUAAAGUUUAAUUGUCACGUAUUUAAUUUGAUAUAUUUAUUUAAAUAAAAUUUAAGAAGUUAAGAAUUUUUAAUUUUAUGAUUUUUUUAUUAUUAGAUUAGUUUUAUUUUUAUUUAUAUUUAAUUUAAUUUUCAGAUAUUUUAUGUAACGUUCAUGCAAACUGUAAUUUAAUAAAAAUAUAUGCAGACACAUUCAAUAAAGUAAUGCUUUUAAAUAAAUUAGUCCAUGUAAAUUGCUAGGUGUCCAAUGAUUUAGUUGCAGCAGUUGUUGAAACAGAGACCAACAACCUCAUACUUAUUAUAAAAAUGGAGAGUUUGAAAGAGAAGUGAGGUUAAACCAAACUAAUUAAUUAAUAAAUUGGUAAACCACUCUCUUCUGGGAUUCUCCUAAUCUACCAAAAACCUUAAUGUUCUAUCCGACAAAAUACCUAAUUUUGUUUAUCUAUCUCAUCUGCCUUUCUCAUAAUUAAUUAAUUAAUUAAUCAAUCAACAUCAUCUCCAUGUGGGUAUCUGAUAAAUAUUUUCCUCCUCCUGGUCCAUGAUAGAUCUGGUUUUCUUCUGGGUCCCUUCUUGCUGGGCUCCCUGGUGGAUCUCUCCAUGUUCUUCCUGGUGAAGGGACCUGUAAAAUAAGAAAGAAAGGUCAGGGGCCUACCGGGUGUGCCCCGGCAGAGGCCCUCCGACGCUCAAGUCAGAUUUUAUGGCUCAGAGUAGUAUAUUUAGGCAAGGGUUACAGAAAGAAUAAAAAUGGUGUCCAGGAAGGAAAAAGAAGAAGAAGAGAGCCCCCUCUGCGUGGCCUCUAUCGUGAUAUAUAUAUCUGUCUCUCUGCCACAAUGCUAGCUGUCUUCUGUCGCCUAGCUCCGUAUGUACGGAUGUGUCAGGCGCCUGCUCCAUGCGUAACGGCCAUUAAUUCUCCUCUGAUACGUAUGAUUCUCCUCUGAUACGCAUGCGGAAGGACCUACCAGCGGGGCAUCUUGGUCAUUUUCCCCUUUCCGGGCUGGGUUGAAUGGUAGGGCUGAAGUUGAGCCUGGUGGGGGCCUGAUUACUGGGCCGAAAGGUUUGGGCCGGUUUGAUUGAGGAGUCUAGGCGGAGUCCGGCCCUGUGACUGAGCGGGCUGGACCUGGCUCUCGAGGGGAAUAUUGAAGCCUUCGGAUCAUGGACUGUUUUCAUGGGCCUGGCCUUUAUACCGGGGUGAAGAAAUCCAGCGAUCAUCAGUAUCUAUUCAAUUUAUUAUGUUGGCCCAUUGAUAUGAUCAAUUGUUCAAGUCAUCAUGUCCCUUUUGACACUUUAAAUUUGAAAGUAAGUCUAUUUUUUAAAAAAAACAAUUAUUUUAAAUAAUAUUUUAUUAUUUUUAAAAUAUAUUAAAUUUUAUCUACAUAAAUUUAUUACUGUAUUUUAUUUUCUCACUCCAUGACUAAAAAAUAAAAAAUAUUAAAUAUCAGUUAUUUUAUGAAAAAAGCUUUAAGUUGAUACUUAAUUAUUUUUUCAAACAAAAUCAUUUUAUAUAUUUUAUUAACCUCAUGAAUUUUCUAUACAUAAAUCUUAUUAAUAUUAUUUUUUUUAUCAUUGCAAUUAAAUAGUAAAAAUAAGUUUUGCAGUUGAAAAUUUUUUUUGUACACAAAGUAAUUUUUUUAAAAUAAAUGAAACCUUAGCGGCUUCAAGAAAAUUAAAUUAAAUUGGAUUUUAUAUAAGACUUUAGACAGAUUUAAGUAUCAUCAAGCUCUUGUAGCUCAGUUGGUUAGAGCACCCGUUUAGUAAGCGGGAGGUCUUGAGUUCGACUCUCAACAAGAGCACUUUGAAAUUCUAAUAAUAUUUUAAUAAUUAAAAUAAUUUUUAAAAUUUUCAACGAUUAAACAAUAUGAAAUUAAUUAAAAUUUUAGUAAAUAAAUAAAAUUAAUUAUAUAUAUUUGAAAGCAUAACUGUGUAUUUAAAAAUUUCAAACUUUUGUAAAAAACUGAAUUAAUUUGUUACAAAUAAACAGCCUUUAGAUACAACUUUUGCGUGAUUCCCUUGCACUGGCAGCCGUUCCUUUGCAGCGUUAUAUGGAAUUUCUUCAAGAUCGAAAUUCAUUUAUCAUAUCAAACAAUUACUAUUUCAAAUAUUUAUAAAUAAUUAGUUAUAAUAACUCAUUAAAAUUAUUUUUUAAGAAAAUAUUUUUCUAUUCAAAAAAAUAAUAUAGUGUUAUUUUCUCUAUUUAGAGAAUUUAAUUAAGACUCCUAUAUAUAAAUUUAUUAAUAUAUUUUAUUUUUAAAAUUAAAAUUAAAUAAUGAUAUUUAUUUUUUAAAAAAUAUUUUUUAUAAAUAAACAAAAUUUAUAGCGGGUAUUUUCCAUUAAAAAAAAUCCAAAAAAGAUUUUGGUAAGAUUUGGCAUUUUCGGAUCUCAGAUUUUAGCAGGAUUUGGCUAUGGUAGGUUUAUGUUAUAAAUAUAUAUCUACUCACGAGUAAUUGCUCCGCCAUGGAAAUUACCCUAUCACUAUCAAAAGCUUUGCAAUUUCUACCAAUAUUUUCAACUACUUUCUUCUUUCUUUCCUUUUCUUUUUUUUUUUCUAAAAAAAAAAANNNNNNNNNNNNNNNNNNNNNNNNNNNNNNNNNNNNNNNNNNNNNNNNNNNNNNNNNNNNNNNNNNNNNNNNNNNNNNNNNNNNNNNNNNNNNNNNNNNNNNNNNNNNNNNNNNNNNNNNNNNNNNNNNNNNNNNNNNNNNNNNNNNNNNNNNNNNNNNNNNNNNNNNNNNNNNNNNNNNNNNNNNNNNNNNNNNNNNNNNNNNNNNNNNNNNNNNNNNAUGUAAUAGAAAUUUAUUUAUAAUAAAUAUUUAAUUAAAAAUAUAUUUAAUAUUAUAUAUGAUAAAUAUAAAUAUAUUUAAUUUUAAUAUAAAAUUUAAAUUAAAAUAUUAUAUAUUUUAUUAAUAAUAUAAAACUUUAAAAACUAUAUUAUAAUUUACUGUUAACUUAUAUAAAUUUAAUUUAAUUCUAUUAACUAUAAUUACAGCAAUUUAAAAAAAUUUGACUUUAUUAUUUAAUAUUUAAAAUAUUAGAUAUAAAUAUAAAUAUAAAUUAUUCUAAAUAUUUAAAUUUUUUAUUAAUAAUUUUAAUAAAAUUUUUAAAUUUUAAAAACUAAUUUAUUUUGUUAUUUUAUUUUAUUAAAUUAAAAAAAUUGUAUUAACCAAUGCUAACAAAAGGAGAUGGGAGAUUUGAGUGUUAAACACGUAAUUUAUGAAAUUUAAUUAAAUGUAUUUAUUCGGUUAGAUGUAAUAUUUGUAUUGAAAAGGAGUAAAUGCAGUAUUUACAUUUACAUGUCAUAAACAUAAUAUUUUUUUUUUAAUCAAGAAAUACUUUAUUUAUUUUGUAAAAUAAUAAUUUAAGAGACAAUUAGGAAUAUCAAUCUGAAUAUUGAAUCUACUAUGAUGAAUAGACUCUCUAACUAAUAAAUGGGCGGCUUUAUUUUCUGAACGCCGUAUCCAACGAAUAUGAAUAUUAUCAUGAGACCGCAUAGCAUCCUUGCAAUCAGAAACAACUAAUUCAAAUUCCAAAAAGUCAUUCAAAAGAGAGUGAAUAGCCAAAGUUAAGUAUUGGUUAUCCGUAAAUUUAUAUUUAAAGGAUAAAAAGUAUUCAUUAACAUAAUAUUUAUGCAAAGUUUAAUUUAUAUGUUAAAUUAAUUAUAAUUUAACUCAAAUUAAAUCUAUUAAAAAUAUAAUUAUAAUUAAAUAAAUUUAAGUUGAUUAAAUUUUUUUAUUUUAUUAAGCUAAUAAAAAAAUCAAUUUUUUAUUUUUUAUUUUUUAAAUGAAGAAGCUAAACGUAACAACAUAUUAAAAAUAAAAUUGCAUUUAAUCUAUAUUUAUUUAAAAAUUAAAAUUUUAGGAGAGUCAACAAUAGCUCCCGUCUAUUUCUUAAAUUCAUCACUAUUUAUAAUUAAGUGUUAUUAAUUAAUAUUUUUAAAUAUUUUAAAUGUGAGAAAAUAUAAAACAUAUUUUGCAUAAGAUAAACGAAACUUAAAUGUUUCUACUAUUUUGGGUUGAAAAAAAAAGAGCAGAAUAAAAAUGAAAGAAAUUAUCACAAAAUUAAUAUAAUUAGUCAAUUAGAUAUGAUGUGAGAUGAUAUUGUCCAAUGAUCCAUAAAGCAGUGUCCUUAGAGGAAAAAAAACCUUGAGCAGGGUCAUUUUCCACAAGCAUUUUCCUUAAUCUAUGCAACAACGUGAGACAAAGCCUUCGUGAAACAUCAUUGUACGUAAAGAAAUUAGACUCUAUAGUUACCUGGGAACAUGUCUUCUUUGGCGGCCUUUCAUUGUUUUGGUACUUUGGGGGUAAUUAUUCAACCCUGUGUCCGUAAAUUUUCAUUAUCGAGACAAUGUAACAUUGCAUUUGCAUCUCUUUAGCCUUUCCAGUUUUUCCCAAGAAAAGAUUAGGCUUUCAGUUCAAUAUCUCAACACUUGAAGCUUUGCGGUCAACUUUGAUAUUAUUAUUAGAGUUGUAUUAAGAAAAAAAAAUUAUUUUAAACAUAAUUUAAUUAUAUAAUACUAUUAUUAAUUUUUUCAUAAAUGUUAAUUUGAAAACACAAAAUAAUUGUAUUUUUUUAAGAAUGUAAUAUGUAAAUUUUUUUAUAUUUUUUCAAUUAAUCCUUGUUUAAAAUAAUUCAUUUUAUACAAAAAUUUAAAACAUUGAAUAUUAAAAUAGAAAGAACUAAAUUGACUCAAAUAACUUUUUAACUUACUUAUUCAUUUUCACUCAAAAAUUAAUCCAAAUUAUUUAAUAAUAUUAAAUUUAAAUUUUUAUAUUACCAAUUCAAUUGGUAAUUUAUCGAUGUGAAACUAUUUUAUAUAGCGAAAUAUCACUCUUGCCAUUAAAAAAUUUAUAAUAUUUUAAUCAUAAUCGAAUACUAAAUCAAUUAUAAUUGUUAAAUUAGAGCUAAAUAUUCAAUAAUGUGAUUUACUAGUAUUUCAGACAGUUCUAUCUCGUUUUACAUUGAUAUAUUUUUUCACGCAAUUUCACUAUCUCUAAAUAUUUUUUCUUUUAUUUAGAGUGAUUUUGAUAAAACCUAUACAAAUUAAGACAAAUAAUUUUUAAAUUUAUAGUUUUAAAAAAUAAUUAUCUUGAUAUUUAUCACAUUAUUAUAAUUAUAAUUAUUAUAAUAAAUUAGAAAGUCAAACCUCCAACCCAAAUAAUAAUAAAAAUAAUUGAUAAAGAUUGAGUUUUAGGUGUGCCAGGUAUACCAAACCCAACAAGCAACAGGCUACCUUAAUUUAAAUGAAUUAAUUGAAUAGUUUUGCUUAUCCUCUUCAAAUAAGAAUCCUUCCAAACAAACAAUCUAAUUCACGCAAUCUAUGUUGUCACCUUUUCAAAAACAAAUAAUAAUAAUAAUAAUAAUAAUCCUCUUCCUUUUUUCAUCAUUAAAUAAUUUAAUUAAAUUAUAAUUUAUACUCUAUUUAUUUCAGAAAAUAUCUUUUAUUUAAAAAAUAGUAAAUAUUUUAUGUAAAUUAAUAUUAUCCAUUUUUCUUUAAGAACAUUAAUCUUUUUCUUAGGUAAUUAAAUGGAAAGAGAAAACAAUAUUUUAAUGUCAUUACCUUAUGCCAUUUUUGUAGUUCACUUUCUCUACUAACAAACUUACUUAAAUACCCCUCUAUUUUUCUCUAUUUUACCUUUUUGCCCUUUAUCUAUUGGGGAUGUUCCAUUCAAGAAAUCCAACUCCAGCAAACGUCCACUAUCUUUCCCUUUGCUCAAAGUCAAUCCCCUUUUUUCCUUAACCUCUAUUUUAUUAUGAAAUAAUUAUCUGUGUGCACAACUACAUUAUUUAAUUAAAAUUUAAUAUUACAUCCAAUGGUUGAGGCCCAUAACAAAUGGGACCAAUGAUGUUAUUGCAUUAAUGUCAGAUAUUAUAAGUAUGCAAAUCAACCUAAAACCGUCACCUUUGAGGAAAAAAAAUAUCAAAUAUAUUUAAAUUUUUAUUUGUAAAAUAUAUUUAAUUUAAUUUUAAAUUAAAAGACUUAAAACGAAUGCGUUGAAUUUCACUAUUUAUCAAUAUAAAAGUUAAUUAAUUAAAUUAUAUGCUGCCGACCAUUUUAGCACGUGUGAGCCGUACGUAUGCCUUUUAGUAUGAUCCGUACGGCAAGCAUGCAAUUCCUUCACAGAAUAAUAAUAAAAAUGAAAAUUGAUUUUUCAUUUUUAAAUUAUAUCAAAAUUAAUAUAUUUUUAAAAUUCAAUAUUUAAUCACUGUAUUUUCUCCCUAUGGAAAAUAAUGUAUCUUUUCUAGUUUAAUCAAAGUAUAUAGAUUUAAACAUUUUUUUAUGAAAAUAUAAAAAAAUGUAAAUGUUAAUUUUCAUAUAAUUUUAAAAUUAAAAAAUAGUAUACUUUGAAUUAUAUUCGGUGAGUAUAUGAAUCAGUUUUAAAAUAUAAAAAAAUAUUUUUUUAAAAAUAUACAAAACAUUGACAGAUCAUUAGUUUUUAAUUUUAUGGUAAAAUCUAUUUAAAAUAUCUAAUAAAAAUAUUUAACAUUAAUAAUAAAUAUUUCAUCCGUCUCAUAAUUUAUUUAGUAAAAAAAUAUGAACAAUUUAUUCGUAUAGAUUUUAUAUAAUAUUUUUAAAUAGGAGCGUUUUUUUUUUUUUGAAAUGGGGAUGGGAAUUCGAACCUGAGAUCUAUGAGAUGACCGAAUGCACUUACCAUCAGGCUAAGCCUGGAAGUGUAUAUAAUAGUUUCAAAGGUAUGUGGUAUUAUAAUAAAAAAUAAAAAAUAAGUGAGUGGAGUAUAAUAAACUCUAAAAUUAAAGGACUAUAAAUAUAAAUUAUUCUCUCUGUGCAUAUAUAUUAAAUGAAUAAUAAUUAUAUUUAUUUGCCUUUAAAUCAAAUUCACAGUCCAACAUGAUCUAUUUAUUAUGCCCACUACCCGUGCCCUUCUUUUUUUUUUUUGGAAAAAUUAUUAUGGAUCACUGAAUUUUAAUCAAAUUUAUUAGUAAAUCAAUAUUUUUUAUAUUUUCAAAAUAUAAUAAUUAUGCCCCUAUCCUCUUCCUCACUCCCUCUCUCCCUCUCCAUUCCUCUCUCUGUGGUUCUCUCAUUCCCACACGGGUUGGUGCAAUGCUGUGUACUCAUCAGAGUGGAUUCAAGCUGCGACACCGGAAUUGGUGCAUAGGCGAUGAUAAAGACGUUGAAACACAGGAGUGAGUUGUGAUGUACUCGUUGGAACUUUAUUCAUCGAAGUGGAUUCAAGCUACUAUGCUAGAAUCAAUAAGUACCAUGUUUAUCGAAGUGAAUUCAACUAAUACCUAUGUUGAAAUUGAUGGAGUGAAUUUAUUUAUAGAGUCAGAGAAAAAGUUGAGUGACAUUAUGGAGUUACCAAAUCUAAGAACGAGUUACGAAUCGUCCAAUUUGAUGAGUGAUUUUUCGUUAGAUGACUCAAUAGAGGAAUGAGUAUAUAAUUAUGGUAGUGGGUGUGUGUUUGAUGAGCCAACGACGACAGAGAGAAUUUUGGACAAGAAAAUUCAAUUGAACAUUUAAAGAAAGCUAAUGGCAGCUUUGUUCGUCGAUUAUUAGCCAUGAACGACAUACUAAAGAGCAAAAUUUGCAAUCGAUAGAGUUAAGAGAUUGAAAAAUGCACACUCGUUAAGUACAUCGGAGAUGUACUCGAGUUUUCCAUUGAUUUUUAGGCGGUCAUUUGGUUCUUCAUAUUGCAUAGGGGAGAUUAGAGUCAUUGAUUUUUCAUCUUGUAUAUGGGAGAUUUGAGUUAUUGAUUUUGAUUUAUAUCUUUAACUAUGGUUAGAUUUGCAAUGGUUGAAUACUGUGUUUAUCAAAUAUGAUCAGACCAUUACGAUGAGUGGAUAAAUUUACAAUAUCAUAUUUCAACUUUUUAUUAUUAUCGUUUUUAAAAAAGAUUUGGAUAUAUUGUUUUAUAAAAAAUAUUGAUUGAUAUUUUUUCUUUGAGAUGUAAAUAAAAUUGUAUUUUGCAAAUUAGAAUUACAUAUUAAAUUAUACAAAGAAAUUAUUGAUAGAUUAUUAAGAAAUUUAUCUAUUUUAAGAGUUUAAUUAUCGAUAUUCUUAAAAACGAAAGUAAUCCAAAAUAUGGAGAUUAUUUUUAUAAUUAAAAAUUAUUCUAUUUCUUUUUACUAGUAUCUUGACUAAUUGAAUUUUUGACAAAAUGAUUAAUUUAUUUUAUUUUAAAACAAUGAGGAAUAUUUUAAUUAUUAUUAAAAAUUAUAAAAAUUAACUAAUUAAUUUUUCUUAAAUUCACAGACCCUAUAAUAAUUUACCCAUUUUUUUUUCUUGUAUUUCCAUUAACGAAUAAUUUUAAAUAAAUAUUCUUAUUAUAUGUAUUAAAAAAUAAUUUUAAAUAAAUUAAAAUAACUAUCAAUUGAAUAAAGGAACAUUUACUGCACAUUCUUUGAAUCGGUUACUUUCAAUUUUUCAUGAAAUAACAAAUUUAACCGUGUGAGCAUUAAAAAAAAUAAAUGGUUUCAACUUAUCAAGGAAUUAAUUAAAAAUGAUAAUUAAAUAAAUAUAAUUUUAAUACUUUCUAAAAAUUUGAAAAUUUUUAAUUCAACUAAAUAUGAUGAAAAUUAAUUUCAACAUAAUGUAAUUUAAAUAUUAUCAGCUUAUUUUAUAUUAAAAAAAUAAAGUUAAGUUAGAAAAAUACCAUAUAAAUAGUUUUUUUUUUAUUAUUAUUGUUAUUUUUUUAACAGGAGAUUGAGGAAAUGAGAAAUUAAAUUUUAUCAAGGUUUAAUGCGCAUUAGCAGUACCAAUUUUUUAUUUUUAUUUUUAUUUUUCCUUCACCUGGUUUUUAUUAAAAAAAUUGGUCAUUUACCCUUUAUUUAAAUUUGAUAAAGUUAAAAAGUUAAUUUAAUUCUUUAUGCUUAUAUUUAAAAUAAAAUGUAAUUUUUCAGUUAUUUUUUUUUUCACUUUAAAAAAUAAAAAUUAUAACUGAUGUUGUAAGGCUUCAAUUGUUACAAAUGGUUAUUAUGGAAUUGAUGUCUACAAGCACAUUAAUUAAUAUUUAUUAAUGUAUUUAAUAAUAAUUAUUAAUAAAAUAAAACUAUGUUUUUAAAAAAUUAAAUUAUAUUAUCCUAAAUCACCUAUAUAUUAUUACACGGGACUCUGUUAGUGGCAUUUUCGUUAUUUAACUACAGAACGAAGGCGAUACCGGACAUUCCGACGGCUGAUAUUUUAUUUCUUGCAACUCUUUCAAAGCUGACAAUAUAAAAAAGGAAAAAUAAAAAAUAAAAUAAAAUUAUCGAGUUAUCAACUCUACCCACCACACCCGAUUCAUUUCAUUUUCUCUCUCGUUCUCUCUAUCUAUGUGCUUCCUUCUGUCUUCACUGUCACUGUUUCUGUCUCAUUUUCUCAGGAAAAUCUACCGAGCCAAACAAGUCCUCGAUUUGGAGUCUGAUUUGCAUGUUACGUUUCAACACCAAAUCAGUUUGAAUCUGUUUAAGAGAACAUCCGUCCCUAUUCAAACCCAAGACACGCUUCUUUUUCACUCAUUCUCUGUCAUUGCAAAAUCGCGCAGAGUUUUUGAAGUUUUUCUUGGAGAUUUUUUUUAUAUAUAUUUAUUUAUCUUUAGAUAGCAUUGUAAAUGCGGAACAGCCAGCGAUUCUUCAAGGUGUUAAGGCCAAUCGGAAAAUCGCCGGCGAUUUGAUGGAAUCGACAGUUUUUUAGUGCGGGAGCUUUGGACAUUUCAUGGAGGUCAUUUUCCGCUGUAGUCCAUGCUCGGUCACUAGAUUUGAUAUUGUUAAGCUCAGAUUCGCAGUCGUUGCUUUCGAGGUGAGUUGUUUUUUAGGGGGUUUUCUUUAAAAAAUUGUUUGUUGGUGAUUUAAUUUUAUGUGAUUCAUUUAUUCUUCUGGCUUAGGUCUGUUUUUGGAAAUGGGAGAUUGAGGGUUUUAGUUGAUUGAGGAAUGCAGUAAUUUCUCUCUUCGUUUGGCUUCUGAAAACUUGUGGGAGAAAUCUAGGAUUUUGCUUCCUCAGUGUAAACAACAAGUGAUUAUCAGAUUUAAAAUAUUUUGUUUUUAGUUUAUUUUAAUGCUUUCUCGGAAAGCAAACGGAGCAUAGGGGUUUAUGUAUGUGGGGUUUGGUCCAAUUAGCAAAGCCCCGUUUUGAUAAUUGGUAGUGUUAUUUGCUUUUUCUUUUUGUUAUAAAGAAUGUGCCAAAGGUCUUCUGUUUGGUCACCAUCUUUCCAUUCUUUCCUUUUCUUAAUGUUUCCUUCUUUUGUUUUUGGAGGUUACUUUUGUGGAACUAUUCAUUCCUGUAAUUUUUAAGGAAAAGAAAAACCUUUUUAUGGCGAUUUAAAAUGAGCUGGGCAUUUUUAUGUAUCUGCAGCUUCAGUUUAGCGUGAAAGGGCUUUUGGGGCGAGUAUAAAUUAUAGUUGCUUCAUAAAUUUGUGUUUUAACUCAGUUAAGCUCAUGAAGUCCAAAGUUUUCAUCUUUUUUCCUUUUCCCCUGGUACUGUCUAGGUGAAUUUGAUGUUUGCUAGAUCUGUUGAUUUUGUAGCAAAUUUUGAUGCAAAAAUUGCGUUUUAUCGGUAGAUGUGAUGGUCCUUUGGUUUGCAAUCAUACAAACUCUUGAGAGUUGUCAAUAACUUGUGUUUAUCCUUUCCCUGAAACAGAUUGCGCUGUUAUUUGUAUGCUUUCAAGCUGCUAUUGCAAAUACCCAAGAACACCCAAUUCAAUGGCAGGGCCCUGAAAGUGGAGGUGGAAACGUUAUCUCACAUUCAUGCAUUCAUGACCAGAUAAUUGAACAGAGGCGGAGACCUGGUCGUAAGGUGUACUCUGUUACACCACAGGUUUAUGAUCAGACUGUAAUGUCAAAAUCCCCUCAUCACAAAGGAAGGGCAUUGCUUGGAAUUUCAGAAUUGCGAUUGCAGCAAAAGGAUGCAAAGCAACCUAUUAGGAUUUUUUUAAAUUAUGAUGCUGUUGGACACUCACCUGAUAGAGAUUGUCGAAAAGUUGGUGACAUUGUGAAGGUUGGUGUCACAAAUAAUUUUUGAAGCCCUGUUCAUUAUAUUAGUCAUGGAUGUGUAACUGAUGCUGUGCUUGUAUUCUGUCUUCCUUUUAUCAGCUUGGGGAACCUCCUGUGACUUCUCUUCCUGGGCCUCCUUGCAAUCCUAAUGGUAAUCCUCCAAUUUAUGGCGACUGCUGGUAUAACUGCACUUCGGAUGAUAUAUCAGGGGAGGACAAAAGGCGCCGCCUUCACAAGGUCAGUACUUCUCCUAAUCAUUGCCAUUUUGCUUGCCAUAACCAUGCAAAUAUAGUCAUAUUUUGGGAUUUCUGGUAGUUCUUAAUGUAUAAUAUUGUGUAAUGUCAAAAAGCUAAAUAGAGAAUUUUUUAUCAAGCAAAGAACGCAUUUUGAAAGCAAUAUUGUGCAGGCUUUGGGGCAGACAGCUGACUGGUUUAGGAGAACAUUGGCUGUUGAGCCUGUGAAGGGGAACUUGCGGUUAAGUGGAUAUUCUGCUUGUGGUCAAGAUGGUGGUGUGCAACUUCCACGUGAAUAUGUUGAAGGUAUUGUCAGUGUAUAAGUGUCUGUCUUGCUGAAUUGCUCUUUUUUAUUCUCGGUUUCUACUGCAUUUGCCAUAUUAAAAUUUCUGAGGUAGAAAUUGUACUUGUUUAAAUCUCCCAGAGGGUGUCGCUAAAACGGACUUGGUUUUAUUGGUGACUACGAGACCUACCACAGGCAACACUCUUGCAUGGGCGGUGGCAUGUGAGCGUGAUCAAUGGGGACGUGCAAUUGCUGGUAAUUUUUGAUUGAGCAUUUUCUUUUAAAAAAAGUUAUAUCAUUAUCAUACCCUUAUAACAGCAGAAUUCUGGAUGGUUUGUUUCUUUGCAGGACAUGUGAAUGUUGCUCCUCGCCAUUUGACGGCUGAGGCAGAGACGUUACUUUCAGCUACUCUAAUUCACGAGGUCAUUAAAUUUCUAGAUUAAAUGGACUGAAAAAAAAUUCUUUUCUUGUACUUGAUUAGCUUGCUUAAUCUGUUCCAGGUUAUGCAUGUUCUUGGUUUUGAUCCCCAUGCAUUUGCCCAUUUUCGGGAUGAGAGGAAAAGAAGGCGUGGUCAGGUAGAUGCUCUGAUUCACAUUCUCAAUGAAAUUCAUCAUCUUCCAAGAACACUUGUGAUGUUUGAAUAUGGUCAGAAAGUAUAUGAAUUGUUUGUUGGAACAAGAAUGGGUUUUCUAUGUACUUGAAGAUAAACAAUCACAAAACUUUCAAAUACAUGAUUUAUCCCCUCCCAGAACUUUCCAUUUUCCCUUGUCCAAAUAUGAAACUUCUUUUUUUAUUAUGCUUUAAUGCACUGCUGCGCUGGUGAUUGUUUAUCACAUGAUGAAAGGAAAAAAAUAAAAAAGGAUAUUUGCAACUAAGAUAACUUUGUACAAAUUACACAAUGAGGUUUUACUCGGCUUUUAUGAUCUUUCUUGAUGCCCUAAAAUAUUGACAUGUUUUAAAACUAUUUCAUGUGAGUAUUUUAAUUAUGAAUUUGGAAGGUAUAUAGAGUCAUAACCUAAAUUCUGGAACACUCCAACAACUAAGCCUUAAUCCCAAACUAGUUGGAUAAGUCUGCUAUAUGGAUUAUUUUUCGCCAUUCAGCUCUGAUAGACACCGAGUCCUCGUCAAUGCCUAAAACUUUUAACUUUCAGGUUACUGAACAAGUCAUGGAUGAAAAGCUUGGGCGGAUGGUAACACGUGUGGUGCUUCCACGUGUUGUCAUGCACUCGCGACAUCAUUAUGGGGUAAUAGAAACACUUUCAUUUGAAAUAUUUGCUUUCUUUUUCUUUAUUUUGGGACUGAAGGGGGUGUUUUCAUUUCAAAAUAUACUUUGUGUCAUGGCGUUCUAUCUCUGACUUUUACUAACCCAGAACCUUAAGAAAUUUUUGGGUUCAUUUAUUGGCAGGCAUUUUCUGAGAAUUUUACGGGUUUAGAGCUUGAAGAUGGGGGAGGACGUGGCACAUCAGGUUUUCUUUCUUUCUUCCCCCCCUCCCAACCUCCAACCCCCCUCUCUAUGAUCUCUCUCUUUUUCUUUCUCCCUCAGUCCCUCACUAGAAGUUUUUCUUUAAGUUGGCCAUAAAUAUCUGUAUUAACAGUUAAACCUUUUCUGCUUAAGCAUGCAGUAAUCAUCUUCAGAACUGAUGUAGUGUGUUAGAACUUAAAGUAUGGGAACAGAAAUUCUGCGAAAAUAAGCACAUGCAAAUUGCGUUUCGAUUUAUUCUGCAAUAAGAAGUUAUACAAAAAUGAUUUUGUGAACUUUAUAGUUGUGGAAACCUUUAGCAGUUUAAUAGUUGUUUAUUUUAUAACUUAAUGCAGGGUCACACUGGGAAAAGAGGCUUCUUAUGAAUGAGAUUAUGACAGGAUCUGUGGAUACAAGAUCUGUAGUUUCAAAAAUGACACUGGCUUUAUUGGAGGACAGUGGGUGGUACCAGGCCAACUAUAGCAUGGCUGACCAUCUUGAAUGGGGUCGCAACCAAGGAACUGACUUUGUGACCUCCCCUUGCAAUCUCUGGAAGGGUGCAUAUCAUUGUAACACAACCCAGUUAUCAGGCUGCACGUAUAACAGGGACGCUGAGGGUUACUGCCCAAUUGUAAGUUAUAGCGGGGACCUUCCUCAGUGGGCUCGUUACUUUCCUCAACCCAACAAAGGUGUGGUCUUGAGUCCUGUCUUAAUGCCUUAUCCUUGUCUAUAAACUUAUUUGAUCAUGAAAUUUCGAAGAUAAUCUUAACAAGUUGAUUGCUUUGGCUCAUAGUUUGAAUUUAAUUUCUUUUACUGGUCAUUGCAGGUGGGCAGUCCUCAUUGGCCGAUUAUUGUACUUACUUUGUGGCCUAUUCUGAUGGAUCAUGUACAGACACUAACAGUGCGCGAGCACCUGACAGAAUGUUGGGUGAAGUUCGAGGGAGCAGCUCCAGGUGAAAAUUGACUGGAAGUUCUCAGAAUGCAGCUGAGAAAAAAAAGUACAUUUGGCACAGUAUACUAAUACAGUCUCUGUUUAAAUGUAUGUGUAGGUGCAUGGCAUCAUCUUUAGUACGCAGCGGCUUUGUGCGGGGUUCUGUGACCCAAGGAAAUGGUUGUUAUCAGCACAGAUGUGUAAACAACUCUCUUGAGGUAUACUUUGGAGGUUUGAUGUUUCCUUGCAUGCUAAGCUGUGGUUUAUUAGAUGCAUCGGUGAUGUUAUCUGGUUCAGCAACUUAGAGUGUCUGUUCAAGUGAUAUGACACCACAAUUUAAAUUAAAUACAAGUAUGUUUCUUAAUAAAAUGGCAUCUUCAUCUUUCAGUGCAUUAUGAAAAAGGAUCAAAUGAACUUCUCGCUUUUCUUUCCUACCUUUUCUUUUUUGUUUAUUUUUUUACCUUGUGCAAUCAUCUCCUCAAUGCCAUUCUGAUCAUUUUUGUAGGUUGCUGUGGAUGGUAUUUGGAAAGUAUGUCCUGAAGCUGGUGGACCAGUUCAGUUCCCUGGCUUCAAUGGUGAAUAUUAUGUUUUUAUCUUAUUUAUUUAUUUAUUGUAUUUCAUCAUGAAAUCCAUUUUUAUUCAUAUUUUCUAUAUUCUUUUUCUUGCAGGUGAGCUGAUUUGCCCAGCUUACCAUGAACUCUGUAGUACGGGCUCGGUUUCUGUACCUGGGCAAUGCCCCAGUUCAUGUAAUUUUAAUGGAGACUGUAUUGAUGGAAAGUGUCACUGUUUCCUGGGAUUUCAUGGUCAUGACUGUAGCAAACGUGAGUGCCUCCAUCCUUUCAUAUCCCACAAUGUACUCACUUGUUGGGAUGAAACAUCACUUGUGGAAUCCCUAAUAUGUGAGCUACAUUUAUUUGUUUCUUCUGGUUAUUUGCUGAAAAAUUCAUUCUUUGAAUUUCUUUUGUAGGGUCCUGCCCUAGUAAUUGCAAUGGGCAUGGUACGUGCCUUUCAAAUGGGGUCUGUAAAUGCAAAAAUGGUUACACUGGCAUUGACUGUUCUACUGGUAAUAUGAUCCCCCGACCCUAUUUUUGGGGAAAACCAUGUUUGCUGAUUUAGGUGAAAAAAAAAUCAUGUUAACGUUCCUAUCUGUUUGUGCCUAAUUGUGUUUAUAAUGGAAAAGGAAAAAUGAAGUAUUCUAGAUGUACUAUUGUGGCUGUGAUUUGUAAUUGGCUUGAAGAAGUAUGACUCCCAUUGUUGUAGUAGUUUCUAAAGUAUGUGGAUUGCAUGUUAGAAUGUAUCUGGUAUUUUUGAAGGAUGAAUAGAUCAAAAGAAUGCUAUCAGAAGCUAAAAGUUCUUUUUAUUUUUGUUUUACUUAGGACACCAUUUGAAUGAUAAGUUUGGUCUAGUAGUUCAUUGUUAUUGCUGAGGUUUUUCUUGUCUUCGCUUUUGUGAUUUGUGUUUCAAAUCACAAAAAUGGCAAAUAGGACAAUGAAGUCCAGUUGUGGCUGCUUGCCUGGUUGCACAUGUACUAUGAGAUAAAAUAUCUUUGAAGUAGCUUUAAUCUACCAUUCUCUAAACUAUGCUUCUUUGUGUUGUAUGUAGCUACUUGUGAUGAACAGUGCAGCCUUCAUGGUGGGGUCUGCGAUAAUGGAGUUUGUGAAUUCCGAUGCUCAGAUUAUGCAGGGUACACUUGUCAGAACAGCUCAACGCUUCUCUCUAGCCUUUCAGUUUGCAGAAGUGUGGUGGAAAGCGAUAUGUCUGGUCAACAUUGUGCACCCAGUGAACCAAGUAUAUUGCAGCAGCUAGAAGAAGUAGUUGUCAUGCCUAACUACCAUCGAUUGUUCCCUGGUGGUGCCCGGAAGUUAUUUAAUGUCUUUGGCAGCAGUUACUGUGAUACAGUCGCUAAGCGACUAGCCUGCUGGGUGAGUUACAUCCAUUAUUUUUUCUGGAGCAAUCUAAUAUCUUAUUGUGCAUGAUAAUGACUUCUCUAUCAUGUUUGACUAAAAAAAUUGACGCCAAAUGAUCAGAUCUCCAUCCAAAAGUGCGACAAGGAUGGUGACGACAGGCUUCGUGUGUGCCAUUCAGCAUGUCAUUCAUAUAAUUUAGCAUGUGGAGCAUCACUGGACUGCUCAGACCAAACCCUCUUUAGCAGUGAAGAAGAAGGUGAGGGUCAGUGCACGGGCUCUGGAGAGAUGAAGGUAUCGUGGUUGAAUCGACUGGGGCUUAGGUUCUUUUCAAGCAAUACUUCAGUCGAAGGGACAUCUGUAAAGUAUAGGCAGCUGUAGUUUCUUUUCAUUUCCCCCUUUUAAUAUUUUUUUUUUUUUAAUUUUUGGCUGUAAUUUUACAAGGAGCACCAUUUUAGGAAAAAGGGGGCAUGUAGUGCACGUGCCUUAGAUGUAGGUGGUUGUCUUUCAAUCAUCCCAAAUGCCAUUUAAGAAAUUUGGGUGAAAGAGGCUUUCAAAGAUGAAAGCAGCAUGUAGAGAUUUGGAAAUGUAUGCAAAAAGAAAGAACAAAAAAAAAAGAAAAAGAAAAGAAAAAAAAAAAGAAAAAAGAGAAAGCUCUGUUGACGAGCAAAAGAAGUUUGGCCGAAGGCCUAGAAAGAAUGAAAAGCCUGUGUUUUCGUGUUUCCCUUGUCUGGCAUUCCAUACAUCUUACUCUCUAAUUUUUUUGUCUUAGUUACUAGCUCAUUUAGAUUUACAAACAGCUGAACUAAGUUGAGAUAUGGUGACGAGAGUUUAUUAAAGCCAUUACCAGGGCCCUCAAUCAGACUAAUUUGCUUCUCGGAUCAACCUGUGAAUCGGGGUUUAACUCUUGCCAGAGAUUCGAAGCCCGUAUGAUAACCGGUGUGGCUUGCAGCUGCUGAAGCAGCUCAAGUAAAAACAUGAACUAGCUAGGCUCUGUGACCUGUAGUGGUAAGAACGCAUGCCAUGUCUCCAAUUUACAUUUUGCUGCCAAUGGUUUCUCAUUUUUAUCUUUAGGAAAGGGAUUUAGUGAAACUUACUAGAAUGCAAAGGCUACAGGACCGCAAUUCUUUUCUUCAAUCGAGGACAAAAUGCAAAGACGGUCCUUUUUGUCCUCCAAAUCAUCAACAUGAUUACAAGGCUCGCUUUGAUGAACCAUAAGCCUCAAAUAAAGGUAAAAAAAUGUCAAAUAAAUGAGGAGCCGGCCAAGCCACUCAUACAGCCCAAUCCAUAUGAAAAAAAAUACUACAGUUGUCUCCUUCAACUCAACAGAAACUGAUAGCUGUCCAACUAAUGAUAAGAGGCAUUUUCCCUCCUUAUAACGCAUGUAAAUAGUACAAUAUGAGCAGUAAAUAGUGUUCUGGAUUAUUCUUCUUUUCUAUGUAAAUAGACAUCGUAUAACGUCUCCCGAUCGUUUUUUUUUUCUGUUCAUAGUAUUAGAGUCUCUCCAUUGAUAUUAGACUUCUCGUAAAUGUUUCAUUCUCCGAUAUAAUUCUUGAUAUAAGGAGUGUGUUGAAUUCUAUAUCGGUUUAGAAUAAAGAUAGUGUCACUUAUAAGGGUUUUAGACACUCUUUUCUUUGAGUUAACUUUUAGAAUGAGUUAACUUUUAGAAUGAGUUAAAUUUAAUUCAAAUUUAACAUGGUAUCAAACAACCUAAGCAUGUCCCUUGUAAUCAUUCUUCUUACCGGUGGAAAUUGCAUGUCCCUUGUAACCAUUCCUCUUACUGGUGAAAAUUACUUUACCCGAAGCUGCUCUAUGUUAAUUGCGUUACGAGCUAAAGAUAAGCUUGGCUUCGUUAAUGGCACUUACAAGAAACCCAAAGAUGAUGCCCCUGAGUAUGAGAAGAGGCUCAAAGUUGACAAUAUGAUCACUGCCUGGAUUUUAAGCUCCAUUUUCAAAGAGAAAGUGGAAGCUUUCUUGUAUGUCACCUCAUCCAAAACCACUUUCAUGCACAUCUCCAAACCAUACGUACAGAUAAUGGUACUGAAUUCCUUAACCAUAAGUGUGAGCAAUUAUUCCAUCAAAAGGGCAUAUUGCAUCAGAGGUUCUGCAUUUACACCCUCAACAAAACAGGGUGGAUGAACGCAAGCAUAAACACCUUCUUCAAGUUGCUCAAGUUCUUUUAUUUCAGUCCAAACUAUCACAAAAAUUUUUGUAUACAGUUCUUCAUGCCACCUACAUCACUAAAUUGAAAAAUUCCAUUUAAAAGUUUACACUCAAACCAAGUAUUAUGGUAACCUCAAAAGCUUGCGGUUGCCUUUGUUUUGGAACCAACACCAAGCCCACAAAAAUAAAAUUUGAACCCAAGCUAUUCGAAGUGUCUAUUUGGGAAAUGCUACAGGACAGAAAGCCCAUAUCCUCAUGGACUUGCUUAUACAAAAUUUUUAUACCUCCAGAGAUGUGAAGUUUCAUGAGCAUAUUUUUCUUUUCAACCAAACUUCAAUGCAACACACGUACCCCCAUCACCAUGAUCCAUCCGCCAAUGAACCCAGUUCAUCCACUUUCGAACCUGAGCAGACGAGCACACCCACUCAAUCUUUAAGAAGGAGCACAAGGCAUCAUGCUCCACCUGCAUGGUUACAAGAUUAUGUUGCUCACAUUGAUGUUAGUCCAUCCUUUCCAAUUAUUGCAACGAUUUAGCUAGUCCAUAAUCAGUUUAAGGUAAUACUGAACCAUACCAUUUGACAACCUUUAUUUUGGAUCAUAAGCAUGUUGAUUUUGUUGCAUCAAUAUCAUUAGCUCAUGAACCUAUUUCCUGUGAGCAAGCAAAGAUAGAUCAAAUUGGAUAUCUGCUAUGAGCAAGGAGCUGGAAGCCUUAGAAAUAAAUAGGGCAUGGGACCUGGUGCCUUAUCCUACUGAAAAAUGCCCAAUAGCUUCAAAAUAGAUUUUUCGAAUCAAAUUUAAACGAGAUGGAAGUAUGGACAAGUAUAAAGCCUACCUUGUAGCAAAGGGGUUUAAUCAGUUGGCCGGUAUCUAUUACACUGAUUGUUUCAGUCCAGUAGCCAAACUUGUUGCAGUCCACUUGUUCUUAGCUAUUGCCACAAGCUUUAGUUGGCUCGUAGAUCAAGUCGACAUCAACAAUACAUACCUCCACGGUCAAUUGACGAAGAACUCUACAUGCUUCCGCCAUAUGAAUAUACAAAGGCAAAAGCAGAACAAAUAUGUCCAUUGAAAAAAUCACUUUACGGCCUAAAACAAGCUGGAUGACAAUAGAAUCGUGAGUUUUCCUCUAAGUUACUGCAAUAUAUUCACUCAGUGUCCCUCAGAUCAUUGCCUAUUUAUCAAAGGAUCCAGCUCUCACUUCCUUGCACUUUUAAUUUAUAUCGACGACGUAUUGAUAACAGGUCCGUGUGAACAAGACAUUCAGAAUGCAAAACAGUUUCUUAAUCAAGCCUUUACGAUUAAAGAUUUGGGGAUUGCAAAAUAGUUUCUUGGAAUUGAGAUUGCUCGAUCUACUGCUGGAAUGUGCCUCAACCAACGCAAAUACGUCAUGGAUCUCCUAAGUGAACUUGGGUUACAAGAUACUAAGCCAGCACCUACACCUCUCUCACGAGGCAUGCAACUAUCUUCUAACAACAUUCCAGUAUUGGAGUUUUCAGAUAAAUAUCGGAGAAUUGUUCGCAAACUGCUCUGCUUAAAUAUUACUCGGCCAGACGUUUCAUUUCCUAUGCAACAACUCAGCCAAUACAUGCAAAAUCCCAGGAAAAUCCAUUGGAAUGCUAUUGUACAUGUAAUGCUGUGGACACGACGUUCCAUUACAGGCUUAUGUAUCAGCCCACUGUGAGCCUAUCUUCCAUUGAAAUUGAAUACCGUAGCAUGGCUUUUAGUGUUUGUGAAUUAAAAUGGCUUUCUUACCUCCUUAAACAAUUUCACCUUCAACCCACACUUUCAAUUCCAUUCUACUGUGACAAAAAAGCGGCCCUCCAUAUCGCCUCAAACCCCUUCUUCCAUAUGAAAGAACCAAAUACCUCAACAUUUUGCCAUGUUGUUAGAGAACACUUACAGAAAGGCUUUGUGGGACCUCAAACACAUACCAGCCACAUAACAAUUAACCGACCUAUUUACCAAAAAUUUAACGACUCCUUCCUUCUCUUCCCUUAUUCUCAAGCUAGGAUUAAUCCAGCUCCCGCUUCAUAAUCUCCUGCUUGAAGGGGGCCUGAUGAACCAUAAGGCUCAAAUAAAGGCCCAAAAAUGUCAAAUAAACAUGAACCAAUGUUGUAUCCAUCUAUCGCGCUAAUGUCAUGGCAAUCCUUGUCAUUUGGAUCUGUGGUAAUAGUGAACUCUGCGAAUGUCACUGGUGGAGCUCCACCUCCCGUGCACUUUAAAAGCCUCCAUAGUCACUGGUGUCACACUUUCCAGACCCAAAAUCAUCAAACGUGCAUCUGGUUCGAACUAAGGGUGGAGACUGAUCCUGGAUUGAUGAACCAGGUGGCAAUACAAAACACCAUUGCUAAGAGUCAUUGCACCAUUCCACCAGGCCAUAUCUUGUAGUUGCAUACAUUAUGAAAAGCGAGAAAAGGUGGCAUUUAAUUUACAUCAACCCCUCUAAAAAGAGGUCCAGUAAAAUAAGUCUUUUUAAAGUAAAGAUUUUUAAAAGCCUUAAGUUCAAAAAAAUCCUUAAAAAAAAUCCUCUUAAUAUUUUAUUUUUCAAAAAAAUCUACUUCACCAUUAUAAGUUUUAUACACAAAUCUUAUUAACAUUAUUUAUUUUUAUACAUGAAUUUUAUAUGUAAAUUUUACAAACAUUUUAAUAAAUAAUUCAGUUAAAAAUAUAUUUCAUAUAUAAUAUUCUGAAAUCCAGAAAAUAGAGUUUACAGUGGUCGUGUAAAAUUAGUCGAAAAAGACGUUUCUCCCCUUUUAUCUCUUUUCCUUUUAUCCGUCAGUGAUAUCUAACCGCUACAGUAUCACUUAUCUCUGUUACUCAGAUCCGUACAUAAGAAUGUGUCAGAACUUCUCUCCACACCAGACGGCCAUUUAAUUCUCUCCAGCGUGCAUGCAAGUAGAGCUGCGAAAUGACUUGACCUGCUCUCCUACUUCUUGUCACGUCACUAGAUUAGACUUUCUUCAGAUGGGUCCGCGCGUGUGGCCUGUCCGGCCUGAUUCUUGUCACCAAGCUGAAAUGUGUCGCGUGAGAUUGGCUUACUUUGAGAAGGAUUUGAUGGGUUUCGAGCUUGUAUUUUUCUUUAGGAUCCAAUCUUAUCCCAAAUAUAAUAAGUCUAGCGGUCAUCAAUAUGUAAAUUGUUUUUCACAAAACACUCUUAUUUCUCCAUCGAUUAAUCAAUGUGCCUUUUCGUUUGGUAAGCAUAGUAAAACACUUAAGCUAAACACAUACGUACAUCCGUACAUCGAAUGAAAUUGAUUAUGUGCCACAUAAUUUCAGAAUAAAAGAAAAUGCAUCUGUGCCUCAUUGAUUAAUGUUUGACAAUUUCCUCAUUGUUUUUAACAUCCAUCAUUAUUUUAAAUGUAUGACCUAAGAGAUUAACUACUAUUGGUGGACUAAUGGCUUUCAGAAUUUGGGUAUACAAUAGACUGCUUGGGAUAAAUUGUGUCACUCAAAGGAAGAUGGUGGACUUGGAUUUCAGAAAUCACAUGAAUUCAAUUUGAUAAUGUUAGCAAAACAGGGUUGGCAUUUAUUGAUCAAUCCAAAUACAUUACUUCUGUGAGGCAUUGACUUGGAUUAAAUCCCGUGGGUUUUACUUCUGUCCUUUUAGAACCAGAUGUAUGGAGGAUUUACCAUACAUUAGUAAUAGUUAUGUUAAUGUUGUCAAGUCUCUGUUGUUUGAGCUUGAUGUGCUCUCAGUUACUUUUGUCCAUAAGUCUACAAAUUCGUGUUCUCAUUUUUUUGCACGGGCUGCAGUUUAUUUGUCAGAUUCAAAUGAUCGUAAUUUAUAAUCUGAAUUAAAUUAAAUUUAAUUGACCUUUAAAAAAAAAUACAAAAAUUUAAUUAAAAUUAUUUAAAAUAUAUAUUAAUUAGCACCGCUAAGAAAACAUAUUACACUCUUAAAAUAGACCAGGUCUCUACUGUCAUAACCGCAUGUUUCCAACGUCCAAACUCAACGAUGAAAAUUGUGCCAUUGUUUUGUCACUCAAGUGAUUGCCAACUACUUCCUUUUAUCUUUUUGUUUCUUCCCACCACUGACAAGAUCUUUUUUUUUAUAUAUAUAUACUAAAUUUAUAAUCUGGUUUUUAAUUUUUACAAAAAAAAUCAAUUGAUAUUCUAAACUUUUACUAUUAAUUUUUGACAUAUAAUCUGUAUAAAAGUACAAUAUUUAGCCUCUAAGCACGGAUAUAAUUUACACAAUGGAAUAAUUAUUUUAAGAAUUUAAUAAUUAUAUUUAUAAAUUAAUAAUUAUAUUUUUAUCAAAAUCAAAUGUCAAAAUUUAACGAAAAAAAAGUUAGGAUAUCAGCUAAUUUUUUAUAUAAAGGUCGAGAGUUAAUUUACAUAUUCUAUCGGUCUUAUAAUUUUUAUACACUUUAUUUUUUUAUAUAUUAAAAUAAAUGUAUUUCUUUUAAUUAUAUCUAUUUUAAAAAUAUUAAAUUUUAUUAAAUAUUAUGAAAAUUUUAAGAGAUUUUUUAAAAAUAAAAAUAAAUAAAAUUAAAAUAAUCAAUUUAUAUGUUAUUAAACAAUAAUUUUAGAACAAUUAUACAAGAAAAUACAUAUAAAAAUGUCUAUUUGGUCUUUUCUUUUUAAAUAUCUUCUACUCGUACAUGACAAACCCUAUCAAAUGCAAUUGUUCUAUCUUCCAUUGCUCAAGUGAUAAGGUCAUUCAUAUUUGAAACUUUUUCAUGCUUGUCCCGAAUAGCUAAGGUGAGGGAUUGACAAGACGAAGCAGAAACGGUAAAAGGAAUCGGAGAAAAGUGUAGCACUCCAAAAGAUAAGAGCAUGUAGUGCACCCAACAGUCCUAUCAUCAUUUAACACGUGCACCCUAAUUCAUUUUUCGAGUCAUGUGAACUCUAUCCUGGGUGCCCGCUUAGCGGGCUUAGUAAUGGUAUAUAUCGAUCUCGUAAAUACGAGGAUUGAUUUCUCUUCCACAUUUGACAAAAAAAAAAAAAAAAAAUCUCUUUCACAUUUGAUUAAAGAAAAAAAAAAAUUCAUGGAUGAAAGUGGGACCCUCUAAACCCGUAAGAUUUUAGUUAUAUUGGUGAAGCCCGGACCAAUUUUCAAACUCUUUUUGUAAAUAAGCUUUGAACAACCGGGCUGGAAUGAGUAAGGUUCUGUGAGAUUUGGGCUGGCUACAUACUGACGACUUGCAUUCCAACACUCCCUUGCACAAUCAAAACUGAUAUCAUUUAAAUUUGGUUCUCCAUAGUCAUAUUGUUUUACAAUCAUUUAAAUAUUACUUAAAGAAAUGGAAAAAAAAAUUCUCAAACAGUAUAUAUAUUGGGAUAUAUCAGUAAUUUGGUAUGUGUACAGCCCAAUCUAUUCAAUAGACUUGUAUCUGAGUUUAAAAGAGCUGUAGACCCACCCAGAGGAAGAUGAUAAUCGAGGCAUAUGCAAAAGAACCAAAACCAAUGGUUUCCAAAUUGCAAGUGAACCUCAAGUGGUUUCGUAUUUGCCCUUUUAACAGAAAAGACAUUAUAACCUUCUAUGUAAAAGUAAUCUAGACUCACUAAUGAGCACAACCUUUACUCUUAAGAGGGAAAGCAGCAUUUACAUCUAGGAGCAAACACAACAUUCACAAUUAGAUAGUUAAAAUAUUCACUUGCGCAAUAUUUAUACUUAAUAAAAACAAGACAUGCAUUUAAUAAGUUUAAAUUCAAUACAAUUAUGCUAAACUAAUUAUAAUUUAACUAAAAUUAUGUUUACUAAAAAUAUAAUUUCAAUUUAUUAAAUUUAGACUCAUUAAAUUUUUAUUUAGCUAGAUUUAUAAAAAAAAAAUCAACUUUGUAACUUUUUUUUAAUGAGGGAGCAAUAUAAAAUAAACUCACAUUUAACCUACUUUCAUUUAAAAAUUAAAAUUUUAGGAGGUGUUGCCAUCUGCCUACCUUCGUCAUUAUCAAUACUCUUUCUGCCUUAUAUCAAUCAUUUUGGAUAUAAACUGUAAUGCUUGAAAAACCCUAGCUAGUAAGUUUCUGUCAAAUAGAUUUUCACCCCUGAAAUUAAAAUAUUUUGAGGGGAGGGGGAUUAAAUAAAAGUUUCUAUCAAUUUGCAAUAAGGUCUCACAUGAAUCUAACUUGUAUAUAUCUUGUAUGACAAGCUAUUCAUUGCUAGAUUUUCUUUUUCUUAAACACUGUUGUAGAAUUGCCUAUAAUUGGCAUUGGCUGAAUUUUAAAGUAAGUAGCCAAGGAAAGAAAUGCACAAGCUGAACUUACAUAUAUUUUGAACCAAAUGGAUGAAAAGAGGGUGAGAUACGCAAAUAUCGCAGUCAAGGAAAUUACCAUCAUAAAUUUUACCAAGCAUUUCAAUGUAGAAAGUUCUUCUUCUGUUCCUUCAUCAGGGAAGUGGCCAUGAGUUUUGAAAUCUGAUAGCAACUGAUCCUUCAGCUGGAAGGCAUUCAUUAACCAAGUAGCAGCCUCACUAUCAGAUUCUGGGAUAUCCUUGACUGGAAUACGUCGAAUAUGAAUGUGAACUUCUGCUGGAUCCACACCAAAUACAAUGUCCAAAAAGGUAGGGCAUUGAUGCUUGUAUCCAAUAGUUAUGUCAUAAACUGCAGCAUAUGAGAUAGACAUGUAAGUGUACAAUAUAAUAUCUGGAAGCAUAUGAGAGAUAGAACUGCAGAACAAGAUAUGUAAUUUCGACAAAUCAUGCACAUAUAAUCACAAUUGGAUGCGUUCCAAAGAAAAUAUAACAGUAAAAUUAGUUAAAAACUAAUACCAGCAUCUAAGGAACUCCGAAGAACUCCCAAGCAAAGGCAAAAACCCCUUGUCUUUGGAAGCAGCACAUUAGUCAGCAUAGGAAGUCCAACUUCAGCUGCAAAUUUUUGACUCCUCAGGCAUUUCUGUUCUCUGUGUAAACAAUGCAAGCAAAGAAAGCCUCUUAAGUGCUCUGAUUAUAAAUCUUACAUAAAAUCUAGUUUCGUUGUCAAGAUCAAGGAUGAUAUGGAAAAGCAAGCACAUGGAAAAUUAAGGAGGAAAAGGGAAAACAAGCCUUACGUAAAAUCAGUCCCUUCAGGAAAAAGAGCAAGCCACAAGCGAUCUUGAGGAUCCUUAAAAGUUGAAAGCAUUUGAUGCAUGACAGGUUCAUCAACUUCCCACUUUCUAUCAACUGAGAUGAACUCCAAAACGUGAAAACCCCAACCCAGGGCAGGAAGUUUCAUCAAGCUGCUCUUGAGGAUAUAUUUAAUGGAGCCUAGGCACCCUUUUCGCAAUGCAAGAUCCCACAAAUACAUCCAAUCAACCUCAGUUCUGUGAUUGGCAAUAAUCAAAACACGUUCUUUUGGUGGCACAGCAUUCCCUGAAAAUACAACUUUAGUCCCAUUUAUCUUUUCAAACAGAAAAGGCCACAAAGAUAGCCAAAUUGAAAAGAGAAACGAGGCUACUUUUCUGGAAUAGUGUACGCUGGCAAGCCGCAUCAUUACGGCAGGGGGUCCAAAAUACACUAGAAACAUAACAGAAGUAGAAAGAAACACCAGAAGACACAUCAGACCCCUAGUGAAUCUAAAAGGAGUCAAUGGACGGUGUUUUUGCUUAUCAGUAGUUUUGAGGGGCUGCGAAUCUUCCAUCUCUUUCUAGGAUCUGAUAUAAAGUCCUCACUUCCUCUUAAGGCCAACUGCAAUGGAAUGUGCACCUAAGUUACUCGAGUAAUUGAAUUAUCCUCCACUUUUAACAGAAAGAUGCAACAGCACAGAGACGAAUUUUAUGAUAUAUCAAAAGCAUAUUAAAGCAUAAGCUACUCAUUAUCAGACAACUAUUUGGAGUAUAACUAAAGGUAUCAGCCGGUUGGAGAAAAAGUUAAUUACUAGAGAGUGAGAAAAGGCAUUGAUAACAAAAAAAAAAUUCUUGGAAGCCAAGCAAACAAACGAAUUACUGGUCCCUCAGCAAGAAAUGAAUCAGUAAUCAGGCGGCCCAAAAAUUGGAUAGACUACUCCUUUCAGUUACCAAUAGGAGGAACCAAGCACUUCAACUUUUUUUUUCGGGGUUUGAAACACAAUAUAUCUCAACUCUAGACGAAUCUAGUACCGAACUAAAAGCCCAUUGGUGCCAAGCACUGUAACUUUGUGUAAUAUAAAUAAUGACCUAAACAAUAGAAGAAUGCCUAAUUAAUAUUUGCAUUUAUGAGCAGCAAAAAAAAUCCUUUUUUUAUUAUAAAGUGGUAAAGAAAAUUAAUCCUAAGAGCUUGAACUCUGUUUUUUACUUGUGCAUUGUCAAUAUUAGAUUUGAUUUAAAUAAAUUUAAAUUGUUCAACAAUAACUAGCAAAUUUGAUUUCAAAUUUCCCCAAAAUAAAGCUUAGCUCCGUGAUAACGAUCUCGUUUAUUGCAGUGGGCCCUAAUUUAAAAAAAAAAAAAAAUUGUAACGUGCUGAUUAAGAAAAAUUAUUACUGUAACUUUCGAUUUAGAAAAUCUCGACCUAAAUUACAGAUAAUCUCUUGCAGAGAUUACCAAAUAUCGCAGUAUAAAUUUCAUUUAAAUUAUUUAUAAAAAAAACGUGAUUUCAUUUAAAAAAUAAAUAAAAAGCGAAUAUACAGAUUACUUACCAUAGGUGAAAUUAAGCGGAGAGAAAAGUACCAAACAAGCGAGACCGUGAAUUAACCAAAAAAAUAAAAAACAAAACUACAAAACAAACAAUCAGAGAUUCAAAAACUUUGCGGUCUCUAAUGGCGGACGAAGCAAAAGAGAAAUCAAUCAGAAAGGAAGCAAAGAAGAGCAAAUUGAGAAAAAGAGUGGAGAAUUACCUCGUCGCCGGAGAGAAGUCAACAGAUAGGAAGCGAGUAAGAAGAUGCGGUUUAGGAAAUAAGGAGGAGAAAAUUUCUGGUUUUAAUAGCACAAGAAGAAGAAGGAGGAGGAGGAGGAGGAGGAGACUCCAUAUAUAAUAAAAAUACUAAAAUUGGUUAAUCAAACAGGGAAUUUCGAAUCUAGAUUCGGAAGUAAAGGAUAAUAACAAGAAGAGCUCCAUCCACCUCGAUAAUUACUUGGGCCUGAUUGGCCAACAACGUAAAAAUUUUAAAAAAUAAUAAAAAUUUUGAAAUUUUGUCAAGUGGAGUUUCAGGUACAGAGAGGAAAUGGCCAACUAAGGAAUUAUUGAGGUUAUGUUGGUUUGUGUUUUGUAUCUUGUGCCAUUUGUAACUGUCCAAUCACAAUUGAGAUUUGGAUGCAGAGAUUGGGUUCUAAAUGGGAGGAGGCAAUGAUUCCCGGAGAUCAAUUCCAUGUGCUUACCGUGUAGUUUUUUAAAAAAUUGUCUUUUUAGUUCGGCUAUGUUGGUUAAAAAUCAACUGAUUAAUGGCUGACGAGAUCUAGUUUGAAAUUGGAAGGAGUCAAGAAGGGUGGGCCGAAUGGGAUUGGGUUCUUUGAAUUUAAUUCACACUAAGCUAAAGCCUAUUUAGCUAGGCCCACAACGCCGGUCCUUUUUGAAUUAGAUUAAUUUUUAUUAAUUCUGGUCCAUAGCGUAAAGAAAAUUGGAAAACCUUUUUUCUGUCCUCUUCUCAUAUUCUGUAUCAAUAAAAUUUUGAUUUAUUUUUAUAUAUUUAAUAUAUAAAUAUUAUAAUUUUCCCCCCCAAGUUUAAGCAAAUUUCACUCUUCAGCUUUAAUAGGAUAAAACAUUGUGAUUGCUCAUUAAGAAAUUGUAUCGGUUCGCCCGCCCGUGUACCACGUGUAAGCAAAAGGUUGAGAUUUAUUAUUAUUGCAAUUAUUUUUUUUUGUCGGAAAGGUCCAGACUUUGACAUACAAUGGAAGCUUCCUUUCUUGGAUUUUUCUUGCUUUUUCUGUCAAAAGACACGCAAAGAAAAUGUAAAAAUUGAAACAUCAAACCGGCAAUAGUUUCUUGCUUUUCUGCCAUGAAUCUAAACUAUGAAAAUUUAUUCAAUGCAAUGAGUUGUAUGAAGAACAAUUGGAUAGUCAUUACUAAUUAUGGUGAAAUUAAAAACUAUAAUAAAAAAUUAAAAAAAAAGAUGUAAUUUUUCGAAAUUAAAGUGAAAAUGCUUAUUCAUUCUUACUAUAAAAGAUCGAAAUUCUUUUUAUAUAUAAACACUUAUAUGACCUGUACAAGGCAUUGAAAAGUAAAAGAAAUACAGGGGGAACAUGAGAUCACCACCUAAGAGAAAUUAAUUUAAAAAAAAAAAAAAGAAAUAAAAGAUGGGCUGCUUGCCCUUUCAUGGCGUUGACCCAGCAAAAUUGCUGAUGUUGUUCAAACCAUUACCGCUCCUCCUACCUCGUUGGCUGCAUCAAGCAACAUCUGAAACCUUUGCAAACACCCUGCUUUCAAGUUCCUACGAAAUUGCAUGUUCAGACUCAAGAAACCGUUUCUGUACAAAUGAACCCAGCAAACCCAGUUCAGCUUAACUCAUCAACUUGCCUUUUUUAUCUCCGAAGCAGAGUCCUUAAACUCACCCAUCACUGCGCGAGCCUUCUUCUUAAUCAAAUGCACCUUCACGUAAAAUCUCAAAAACAACAGUAGAAUCAUGCCAUUUAAUACAGAAUUCAAACCCCAAGCCACCAUCCCAUUGCAUCCACCUUUCAAGAAAUGCAAGAAUAGAACCCCAAAAUGGCAGACCAGAUUGCAACCCAACAGCACAACUUGACAGUUCGCUACAAAAAGAAAAUGUGCCCUUGGCAACCCUAUUGCCGUCCAGAAUCGGUACCCAUAAACAACAGAGUAUAAUAAAGUUGUUAGAAGAAUCGCCAACACUUGAAAAGAUUGAGAGAAUUCGAGCCAGAGAAAGGACAUGAACAAGAGAAUGGAUUGGUUGAAGAGAGUAAAGAAGGAGAGUUUACGAUAACGGAGGAUUGUGAAGAAUGUACGGAACAAGUGAAGGAAUCUGGACAGAUAGAAAGCGUAAGACCAGAAGAAGACUCGGCCGGUGGGGCGAGUCCCAAGUGGGAAACAGAGAAGCCACUGGAAGGCAGUGGUGGUUUUCGUACGGCGCCAGAACCAUCGUGUGUCACGGAUCUCGGCUGCGGUUGAGAAAAGUAAGCCGAUGAAAAUGAAGGCUGAGAUUAACGCCACAGUCAGACUGUGGAUUGCUGGGAUGGGGCCGAGUGGCACCCGGCGUUUACGGCUGAGGAGGAUGGAGAGGAAGAGGUGGAGAGUAAUGGAGGCGGAGAUGUAGAUGGAUAUAGCCGAGAAGAUGAAAAACCAGGUGGAACCCCAUGUCUGGGUAAUGCUCCACCGGAAGUUUACUAUUGAUGGGUGCUCCGAUAAGCAAUGUUUCAAGCUCUGUAACGUAGAUAGCACCAUGUUCGUAACUGGGGUGUAAUCAAUCUAGCAGAAUUGCGAUCCUAGCCGAUUUCUUUGUUUCUUGCAGAUUCAGGGAAAGGGAGAGCUUGAGAGUCGAGAAAAAAAUAUAUAUAUAUGAAGAAAGAAAAGAAAAUUUUUCUGGGAAUGAGAAAAGACAGGUGGUGAGCAAUUGGAUUAAAUACGACGAAUGGAAAAAAAAUAAAAAUUGGAGGUUUGUCAGCAGAUUGCGUGUAUAAGGAUUGAGAAAAGCUUAUUUCGCCAUUAUUAUGGAGCUUGUAAAGGCGGACUUUUCAACCACUGUUAGGAAAUAAUUUUGGACCUCAAGGCUUGACUUGGGCAUUGUUUUUUUCUCAUUAUUAUUUUUUGAGAAGACUGUUAUUAUUAUUAUUAAUUAAUUUAUGAAUUUAUCUAAAAAAAUUUCAAUUCAAAGAUAAUUAACAAUUUCCUUAUAUUUUUUUUUGUGUAUUUUCUACUUAGCUCUAUUUUUUUCUAAUAAUAUGUAGGUAUAUAUAGAUUUUAAUAAUUUUACGUUUAUAUUUAGAUAUUAUUAUUAUUAAUAGAUUUUGAUUUUUUUUAAUAAAUUUUUGUCGUCUGCUUUCGUGGGAUUUACUCACGCCUCCCUCGUGAGACUUUAUUAUUUCCUUACUUGUGAGGAUUUAUUUAUCAUUUUAUAGAAGUAUAACGUUUUAUUUCAUUUCAAUAUUAUUAGCUCUUACCAAAUUUAAAUUUGAAAUUUCUCAGACAUGGAGCAUAAUAAUAAUAUAAAUUAUAUAAAAAAUCAGCACUCACAACUUUAACCUCAUUAAAUUCAUUUAAAUAAAUUUAAGAGAUUUCAAAUUUUAUUUCUCUUAUUUUUAAUUAUCAUUUUAAAAAAAAUAUAUACAAAAAACUAAACAAUUAAAUUUGCACUUUAAUUAUAAAAAAAUAAAAAUAUCAAAUUUUUAUUAAAAAACACCGUAUUAUCUAUUUUUUAUGAGAAUUGCACUUUUUAUAUUAAAAAAUUAAAUUUUAAUUUGAAAAAAAAAUAUAAUGACCGGGUAUAAUUUAUAAAUUAUAAAAUAAAAAAAUAUAUUUUUUCUCUAUUUUUAUGAAUAUUUCAGAAUAAAUAAAAAGAUAAUUAAAAUCAAGAUGCCACAAUUUGGUGGAAAUUGAAUUUGUUUUUUUUUUAAAGAAUUGAUGGUAAUAUAUUUCAUAAUUUAUUUAUCAAUUAAAAUAAUUUAUAUACGUACUAUGUAUGUAUAAGAUAAAUGUUGGAGCUUAAUUUCAGUCACCUACCGCUGCUCUAUUAACAUACAAAUGCAAACACUAUUUUUAGAACUAUUAAAGUUAAUUAGCAUUAUUAUAUUAGAUGUGUUCCAUCAAUUUGGAUUUUACACAUGGAAACUGGCGUCUCUAUAAGUGGUCCUUUUUUCAUUUCAAAUUAAUGAUUCUAAGUUUUCUUUUUAAAAAUAAAAUUAAUAAAAAAGUCAAUUAAAUAAAAAAUUUUAAUAUUUAAUGUGACCGAAAUAAAAUUAUAGUGUGAUUGGUCAAUUUUACAAAAAAGAGAAUGUAAAGUCAUUUGUGUUUAUAUCACACAAUUCAACGCUUAAAUCAGUAAACUAAAGAAGAGAUAAGUAUAAUGAAUUACUUAAAAUUUCAGAAAAUUUGUGUAAGAGAAUGUGUACCUUUAUCCAUGUAAUUAUUGGUUUUUAUACUGUAAUAAAAUUAAGUUAAAUAUAGCAUUUUUUGAAAAUCCGGCGAGUAUUAGCUAAUUGAUAAGGGAUCAUACAGCCUAAUUGAUUGAGAAUCCCAUAAUUAUAAGCGUAACGAGGAUCUGUUAAAUUGUGCUUGUUACCCUUUCCACGGAUGAAACCGCGUAUCGGUUUAUCAAAUCCUUAGCACAUGACUUUGUUUUAUGGUGACAGCUCAAUACUUACUUUGGGCGAUUAUUGUGUUAUAUCAAAGGUCAUUCGUCGGUCUUUGAUUUCUCAGAUUCGAAAGUGAUAGUUGUCUUCACGAUUUUUGGCGCGCGACUAAUUUAGAUUGGUCUUUCUCUGUUCACAUCGCUUCGCAUGAUUCUACCCAUCAAUAAUGACUGCCCUUAUUUCUCGAGCCGCAUUAAAAACUUGGCGAAACCGUCACGUAAGAAUCCUUCUUCUCUUAUAGAUAUCACUUUUGCUCUCAAUUGACAUCUUUUAUAAUACUCGGCUAAGCUCCGGCAUCGGAAUUCUUAGUGAUGAGCACUAUUCGGUUCAAAUCAAAAAAACUGACCGAACCGAAUUAAUUUUAAAAUUUAAUUCAAUUUUUUAUUCAAUUCGGUUCGGUUUUCAAUUUCAGUUAUUUCAGUUCGGUUCGGUUUUGAUUAGAAAAAAAUAAAAAAAUCGAACCGAACCGAUUAGUGAUAAUAAUUUGUUAUUUUUAAUAAUAUAAAGAAAUUAAAUUAUAUUAAAAUUAAAAUAUUUUAAUUAAAUUUUAAAAAACUAAAAAUAAAGUGUAAAAAAUAAAAAAUUUAUUAAAAAUCGAAACGAUCAAAUCGAAUCUAAUCAGACCGGUUCAGUUCAAUUCAGUUUCUAACCAAAAUCGGUUCAGUUCGAUUUUCAUAAAUACUAAAAUUUUGAUUUUUGGUUUAUUUGAUUCGGUUCAGUUUUGAACCGAACCGACCGAAUACUCAGCUCUAGGAAUUCCAACCUUCUGAUGGAAUUCCCGUUGGAAUCUGGAAUUUCCGAAUCUGGAAUUCCCUUAGAAGGGUAAAAUAAGGUUUUAUAAAAUGAAUUUGAAAAUUUUAAGAUUUUAAAAAAGAAAGAAAAGAGUUUUGAAGAAAAAUGCUUUGGAGGGAAAAAACCAUGUUCGGCCGCCGAAUAUGGUGCUGUCGCGGGAGCUCUCCUUUCGGCCUUCGAAGGUGGUCUAGUCAGUCAUCUAUAAGAGGCCUCCAGUCCAAAAAUGGGGAGAGAUCGGACUGGAGGCCUCUUAUAGAUGGCUGGCCAUACCACUUUCAGGGGCCGAAAGGAGAGCUCCCGCGGCAGUACCAUGUUCAGCGGUCGAACAUGAAGGUUCGGCGGUCGAACCUGGUUUUUCCCCUCCAAAACAUUUUUCUUCAAAACUAUUUUCUUUCUUUAUUAAAACCUUAAAAUUUUCAAAUUCAUUUUAUAAAAACCUUAUUUUACCCUUCUAAGGGGAUUCCAGCUUCGAAAAUUCCAGAUUUCAACGGGGAUUCCAUCGGAAGGUUGAAAUUCUGACGCCGGAACUUAGCUGGGUAUUACAUCUUUGCUUUAAAAAAGACUCGGUUAUUCCUCUUUUUCGUUUACACUUCCUUGUUUUCAAGGUAAUUUUUGUUUGCUUUUCCUUAAAAUGAAUAGAAAUACUUUCUCUUAUUCUCUUUCUUCUGGUGAAAGUUUCGCCUCGAGCUCCUUCUUCGACGGCCUCAUCCGUGCCCCAGCUCCUAUUGUUCCACUGAGAGCAGCUCAUGAAAGUGAAAGCGGCCUGAUUAGUGACAUUCCUUCUAUACUAAUAGAGAAAAUGGACAUCACCAAGGCGGUGAGGAAUGCCAUUUUGUCUUGGCAAAGCCAUCUUCAGGCGAGGCAGGUUCGGGAUCCUUACUCGCCCAUCCCCUUUGGUCUUGAGGAAAGCACCUCCUUAGCUAUAUUUUAAUCUACACGUUUAAAUUUUGAUAUAAAUUUAUAUGAUAUUUGCAUUUGAGUUUAAUUUUAAUUAAUUUUUUAAAAAUAAAUUUUAUUUUAUUUUUAAUAAUUAAUUAAAAUCAUAUUUAAAUAUAAAUAUUGAGUCACUUAAUUUAAAUUUUAAAUAUUUAAAUUAAAAUAUAAAAUGAUGUAAAUAUAAAAUUUCUUUCCAUCAAUUGGCUAAAUAAAUAUAAAGAGUGGCUUCAAUUUUAUAUAAGUUAAUUAAUUGUGAAAUUUAAAGGGUGCUAUUAGAAUAAAUUCGAUUUGUAUGAUAAUAUAUUUAAUAAUUAUAAAAAUAUAUAUAGAGAGAGUUUAAAUAUACAUUAUUAAUUAAUUUUGUAAAAAUUAUAAUGUGAAUAUUUAAUUUAUAUAAAAAUUAAGUUUAUGUAAGAUACCUCAUAAUUCAAUGAUUCCAACUUCUCCCCUUAAUUAGUGAGACUGGUCAACAUCUCUUGAGUUUAAUAUAUAUAUUGACAAAUGAUAGUCCCAUCCUUAUGUUGAGUUUGAUUUUAUUAGGUAAUUAGAUUAAUGUCAAUUUCAAUCAUGUAUUUAUUUUAGUUUUUAAUUAUUCAAAUUUUUCAAAAAAUUAGUUUAAUUAAGAAAAUAAAAUUUUUAGUUUGAAAAUUAAGAAAAUAAAAAAGCUCUCUUGAUUUUUAAUCGAAUAAAAGCAGUAAUUUUUGUUUAUCAAAUUUAAUAAAUUGAUCUCUUAAUUUUCAUUAAAUUAAGGAAUUAAUAAAUUUACCUUAAAAAUUUUGAUUUUAAGAGUAUAAAAUUAAAUAUCCCUAAUUAAUACAUAAAUGAAAAUUGAAUAUCUAGUUCUAUUGAUAUUUCAAUUAUAUAUAUAAACUUUUUUUUUUUAACCUAUAUAUCACUAUACUGUAUGAUUGACUAAAUAAACUCUCUUAAUUUUCACUAAAUUAAGGAAUUAGUAAAUUUAGUCGGUUUUGAACCAUAAAAAAAAACAACGUGAAAAUUUUGAUUCUUUUAGAUCAAUUAAUAAAAAGUUAGAAUUUUAAAUUAAUACGUUUAGAUAUUUUUUUUAUUUUAUUUUAAGUUACAUGGUAUUUUUUUUUUAAAGCAAAACUACUAUAUUAAUAAAAUUUAAUUAAGGAAUAUCAUUCCAAACAGAGAGACUAUUAUACCUAAUAGAUUCUCUAGCCAAAGUAUAAGCAAUUAGAGUAACAUUACGACAAAUCCAUCUAACAGAAAUAUCAGUUUUAGAGUCUAACAAAAAUUUAUAAUCAUUCAAAAUCAAACCCUGCAUAAGAUAAUUUGACAAAAAUGCUUUUCAAGUGCAUGUCUAAACCCCUGCAUAAGAUAAUUUAGCAAAAAUACUUAUUCUUUUUUCUCAUCUCUCGAGUAUAAAUUAUUAAAAUCUUCCAAACAAAGCCACGGAAGAGAGGUUCUACGAGAUAAAGCUCGAAUAAGGUUUCAAAACUGAUGUCGUCGUUGCGAUUUCGAAAACCUAUAAUAACUAGUAAACCUCCAUUGAACAUUACCUUCCGAAACAACCGAAUGAAUAAACUUUGAAGAAAAGCCAACCACAGGAAUAAACCCAUGACUCUUCCACAUUAACGAAAAGCCUUCUCUCAAUCAUUGUCUAUUGACUGAGAAGCAACCAUCAAAAUGUAAAAAAUUAUGAAAAAAAUUCUAUACGAGAACUAAGAACUUUUGUUUCCAUCAAAAAUAAAAUGUCUGACUUGUAACUAGGAACCAAAUCCUUCAAUGCAAUAACUGUAUGAGGAUUGCCGCCAUAAAUCUGUCAAAGAGGUCUGCAUAUUCUGAAAAUUGAUUGGAUUGUAUGUGAAAAAUAUCUCCACCAUACAUAAAUCAUAAGUGACGAUCGUAAUAUCUCUGGAACUCUUAAUAGGGACAACAACUUCUUCUUCUUCAUGAUAGUCAAUUGACAUAGAUCGUCUUAAAUGGGGAAGUAGAAAGAAGAAGUUAGGUUUAAGAAAGAGGAAAAUGUGAGAGUAUCGAGUCACAAAGGGAUCACAGAGGGAAAAGCUUGCGUCGAAAGUUAAUUUUGAUUAAAUUUUAACUGUUUUUUCUUUAGAUUACAUGUUAUAAUUACAUUCAACGGAUUUAUAUAUUUAAAGAUAUGAAAAAGAUGAUGUUUUAGAUAUUAGAUUGAUGACGUGACCGGAAUACUGUCAUUGACUAAGCAUGCAAGAAAGAAAAUGUAAGAUGAUGGUGGGUGCCAACGGCAGUCACUCCGAACUGAAAUUAGUAUGCUAAAAAAUAAAGAAAAUAUAAUGAAUUGUUUAGAUUUGAGUGGUGUAAAAUAAUAGCGUAUUUUUAUUUCUGUAAUUCUCUCUCUUUUAUAUUGUAAAAAAAUAGAGAUAAAUAUAAUAUUUCUCAAUAUCCUGAUGAUGAUAUCGUCGGCUUAAUGAUGGAUAUUACCAACUAAUAAGUUUGGUAAUCUCACAACUAUAGAUAUAAUAGGGAUGUAUAUAACAUGGAUAUAUUGGACUUGUUGCUUGACAAUGGUAAUUUCGUGUCGAGACUUGUCCAAUUGAGAGAAGAGUGAGUCUUAAUAAUGAAUAACGUAUCUUUGUCUCUAUAAUUCUUUUUCUUUUAUAUUAUAAAAAAAUGAAGAUAACUAUAAUAUUUCUCAAUAUUCCGACGAUGUAUGACCAGUUUAAUGAUAGAUAUUGUCAACUAAUAAGUUGAUAAUCUCACAAUUACAGACAUAAUAGGGAUAUAUUAGACUUGUUGCUUGACAACGAUAAUUUUAUAUUGAGACUCAUUCUGCCGAGAGAAGGGCGAGUCUUAAUAAUAAAUUGAAUAUUUAAAGUGUUUUAAUUUUUUUUUUCAGAUUAGACCAUUUUUUUCGCUUGUAAAAUUAUAAUAACUGCUCUUAAUUUAUUUUAAAAUUAUCAUGUAACAUUAAAAAAAUUUAAUAAUAUUUAAUUUCAAAGUUAACUAGACCUUGUAUCUAGGUUGGAGCAACAAAAAUACUAUAUAGGUAAAAUUCACAUUGCUUCUUGUGUUAUAAAUAAAAAAUAAUAAUAAAUUUAUAUAUAAUGAGAGAGCCAAUAAGAUUUAAAAAAUUUAGAAAAUAUUUUUUUCCAUAUUUUCUAAAAUAAUUUAAUUUUUAUUAAUAAAAAACUACAUUAAUUAAUUUUUAAAUAAUUCAAAUAUAAAGUUAUAUAAAAAAGUAUUUCUCCGAAACAAACUUAGUUUUAAAAGCCGUCAGAAACUCUGUAUCGUUACAAAUAAAUCGGUCAAAUAUUGUUUGACGUUCUAGAAAGUCUACCGUUGCAGUCUCAUCACAUCAAUUGCCCUCUCAUAAAUCAAAGAAAAUCAAAUCUUCAAAUAUUUGUUUUUCUUUUCAAAAUUUGUAUUUAUUAGGUAAGAUGCACAAAUAAUUAAUAACGUAAAAGAAUAAUUAAUUAUAUUUAACUUUUAUAUAAAUAAAAGUAUAAAAAAAUACAAUAAAUAAUUUUUUAUUUUAAAAAUAAGACAUGAGUGAAAAAACAGUACAUUUUUGUGGGAUUAGGGAUUUCAAGCAUAAGUAUAAAAUUGCAUGAAAAAUUAUUCUUGGAGUUUAUUGACCCUCAAAGAAUUUCUAUAGAAUUCAACAUAAAUAUUUUUUUUUAUCAAUUCUCUUAGUUUAAAUGAGGGAAUUAAUUAUUUUUAAUUUAGAAAAAAUUAUUUUAAAAAAUUAAAAUUAUGUAUUGAAAUGCAAUGUUUCAGUUAUUUUACAAUGUUUAAAUGAAGCUCGCUACUAAAGAUUUUUCAUUUUUCAUUUUUAUUUACCAUAUACAAUUACUUGAAAUUUAUUUACUGCUUCGAAUAAAAUUUAAAAGGAGUUAAACUAAAAUUUCGUAAAAUUGGAUUUCAAAAAAAAAUCGUAACAUUGAACUUGUUAGCAAUUUUGAUUGAUUAAUCACCGACUUCGCGAUUUGCUUUUAAUCUCCACCUUUGGAUUGAUGGGCCAGUGAAUCACAGUGCCAAUCCUGAAGGAGUUGACACGUUUGGCAUGACGUGGAUCGUACAAAUGGCAUUAUAUGAUUGGAAGAAGAAAUCGUUUUUUCUGGAAUAUAUAUUCUUUUAAUUUUUUGCCAAACAUGUCACACUACGUCUGCGCCCCAAGUGCAUCCUACGAAGAUGGCUCGCAAAAUCGUUGUAUUUCAACCGUCCAAUUAUUUGAAAUGGGAAAAUGCCAGACAUAUCUAACGGUCAACACUCAACGCGGUUCAAGAGGAUUUUGGAUCCGCGACAGCUGGGAAAAUCUGGAAGAACACGAGAAAGAAACUCCGAGUGGAAGUUUCUGAAGAUAGAAAGAGAAAGGGAAAAAAAAAUAUUUUUUUUCUUUGUCGUCAAACUAAUUUCUGAGGAAUUUUCAAAGCUUCUCGCUGGAUCGAUCGCUUCGUGGAUCGAUCGAUCGAUCGAUCUUUUUCUGUGUGAUUAUCUUAAAAAGGUCAGAAAUUCGAUCGAUCUUUUUCUGUGUGAUUAUCUUAAAAAGGUCAGAAAUUCCAUUCUUAAUUUCGAAUAGUUUUCAUUUUCAUUAUAAUAAAUAAUUUUCCUUUUGAAAAUCUUGAUUUAAUUUUGCUUGUGGAUGAUAUCUUUCAUUUGUUAAUUAUUGCCUUGAGCUUCUAGAAGUAAAUAGACGUGAGAGAGAGAGAGAUAUCUGAGGAUUUGGUGGUUUGAAUUUGUUGGGUUUUUGGAAUUUUGGUUCUAAUUUGGAGGCUUGAAACUUUUGUUAGGAAACACUAUUUCAACUCCAAUGAACCGUUUGGUUAUUAGAAAUGAUAAAGAAUCUAGAAUUCUGAUAGCAUCAGUCUGCUUUGGAGAUAGACCAUAAGAACUCGUUGCCAUAGUAAUAUGUUCUAUUUCUGUCAGUGGCUUUAAGGAUACCUUUUUAUGGACAGUUCCUGGAUUAUAGAUUAUCUUUAAGGUUUCCAACUUUAAAUAUCUGUAGUGUCCUCUGGAUUGUGCUUAGGACGAUUUGGUUAUAGGGUUAUAGUUUUCAAUUCUGCAGUCUUCAAAUUUGAUGCCAGAUUAUUAGUCAUUGUUGGUGUUGAUUUAGUUUUAUAUAUGAUUUAUAGGCUUUUGACUGGGGUAAUAAUCGUGAGAUGGCAAGUGGGUUUGGGGAAUCAACGAGCAGGCCAUCCCAAAACUCCUCAUUUUCUAGCAACAACGGUAAUGGGGAUGCUGGUAACUUUGAAUGCAAUAUUUGCUUUGAGUUAGCUCAGGAUCCCAUCGUAACUUUGUGCGGGCAUCUUUUUUGCUGGCCUUGUCUUUACAAAUGGCUCCACUUUCACUCACAAUCCAAGGAAUGCCCAGUUUGUAAGGCGCUUGUAGAGGAGGAGAAAUUGGUUCCUUUGUAUGGUAGAGGUAAAACAUCUACUGACCCUAGAUCAAAGUCUGUUCCUGGUGUUAAUAUUCCUAACCGUCCAGCUGGGCAGAGGCCUCAGACAGCUCCUCCACCGGAAUCAAAUGACUUUGCCCAACAUGGAUUUGGAUUCAUGGGAGGGUUCGGAGGAUUUGCACCAAUGGCAACAGCUAGAUUUGGGAAUUUUACAUUGUCUGCAGCUUUUGGUGGUCUCAUUCCUUCUCUUUUUAACCUUCAGUUGCAUGGAUUUCCUGAUGCUGCCAUGUAUGGUGCAGCUGGUGGUGUUCCUUAUGGGUUCUCUAAUUCAUUUCAUGGUGGCUAUGCACAUGGAUAUCCUCAGCAUCAUGGGCAAGGACAGCAAGAUUAUUAUCUGAAGAGGCUACUUUUUUUUAUUGGUUUUUGUGUUCUUCUUGCUCUCAUUUGGCAAUAGAUUUAAUCAGUUUUCAAAGCCUACUAAUGGAUAGUUAGGGCUUAUAGUCUCAUGCCUUUCUAAAUCUGUUAGUGCAUUUUUUUUUUCUUGGCACUGAGGAAAUUGUCCAUAACAUACACUUCCAAAACUCUUGUAUCUUCUCCAUGUUUUCAUCAGCCAUCAGCUAUGUGGAAUGUGAUAUACAUGUUUUUUCUGGUUGUAUUGUCAGUUUAUGUGCAUUUACGCACACUCAUGGAUUGAGUGGAUCACUAUAGCUGCCAUGCAAUUAGGAGUAAUAUACUUUUCCUUUGUCUACAGGUAACCAAAAGACUUGCUUCCCUCAUGGUUUCAGUCAUCACCUUGAGUAUGCUACCAUAUUACAAAAUCAUGCACUUUUUCCAUUUUGUCCAACUUGUCUGUUCCAUAGUGUCACUAUAAAUCCUGGAAGAAUUGCUUAAGUCGCUGACCAAUCAGGUAAUAAUAUGUAGCAAAAGAUAUGCAUGAACUGCGAAAUCCUUUUUCAAUUUUAUGUGCUUUUCCUCACUCCCUUCAAUUAAUUGAUUUUAGCUGGCUUUUAUUAGUUAUAUUCUCCUAGUUGACAAGAGGUGAACAUUUUAAGUAUAAAUAUAGCUAACUCAAACUAGUUUGCGAUUAAUGCUUAGUUGUUGUCGUCUCUUUGUUGACAAGAGGCUAUUUCUUUAAGGUUGUUGUCGUCUCUUUGUUGACAAGAGGCUAUUUCUUUAAGGUUGUUGAUCUAUUUUCACUGAAUUGCUAAGAGGUAUAAUUUAUUUUAUGAAUUUAAUGAUAAUCCAACAGUGACACCCUGGGUAUUGUCUUUAUUCGCAUGGUUAUUUGGCAUUGAUUUCACAUUCCAUUAAUUUGUUUUAAUUGCUUAUUCAAUCCAUAUGAUGACUAUCUAAAGUCUAAGCAGCUCAGUGGAUGACUUGCUUAUUGUUUUGUUGUAAUUGGCCCAUAUUUUGUAACAAAAUAUGCCAAUUAUAAAAUGGAAAUGCUGAUUGAUUCUUGCGGGACAGAGACCUUGUUAGCAAUACUCUCCAGAUUUACAAGAGAUUUACUCAUGGAAAGAAGAAGGGAAUAAAUGCAAGUCACUAAUGCAGUCGAGAAAAACUAGCACCAUAUGCCCAUAGUGUUAAUAGUGCUAUUAGUUGUAUUGUUGGUAUUUUGCUUUAUUUUCUUUUGCUUUCCUUGAUUGUAGGAGAGUGAUCCUUCAUGUUCUGAUUACGCUAAUAAUUUUCUUUGUUUAUAGAAAAAGGUUAUCUCUUCCCUUUUUGUAUUUAAGUUCAGUUGAGAAGGAGAUGAUUAAUUUGCUAAAAGUUGUUGAGUACUUAACUCAAGAGAUCUAUAAGUUCUCCCUUAAUGAGUUUGUGUUAUUGUUAUCAUAAGUUGAAAGAAGAAAAAGAUUUCCUCUCCAUCAACCAUUACUCUCUCAACUCUACCCACUCGAUCCAUAGCUAGAUCCAUUUUCUGAAACCCUAACAGUUUGGCAUUUGAGCUAGGUUUAUGGGCGAAUCCAUCUAGCAGCAACUUGAUCGAAUUGUAUCUUUGUUUCUCUAAGAACAUGCCGCUAACAAAUCACAACAGGAAGAAUUAUACACCAAAUUAGAAACUCUCACUCGAGAUGUAGCUAGUGCUAAGCAAUUUUUUUCUAUUGCGAAUGACAGUGGCCCAAGCUGUGUUUUUAGACCGAAGGGACAAACCCACUCCAAUUCCAUCGGAGACUCUUCGGACAGCUCAACUAUUGUUUCCAAAUUCACGAAGCUAAAUUUUCCACGAUUCAGUGGACAAGCUGAUUCUGUGGCCUGGUUAAUUCGUUGUGAGCAUUCUUCCAACAUUAACAAAUCCUGAAUGAAGAGAAAGUAAGUUUAGCUUCAUUUCACUUGGAAGGCAACUAAUAUAGUUGAGAAAAACUAGCACCAUAUGCCCAUGAUGUCAUACUUGCUAAUAAUGUUGUCUCCUAUGUGUUAAUAGUGCUGUUAGUUUUGUUGUUGGUGUUUUGCUUUGUUUUCUUCCACUUUUCUUAAUUGUAGGAGGGUGAUCCUCUAUGUUCUUAUCAUGCUAAUAAAUAUUCUUGUUUAUAAGAAAAGGUUAUCUCUUCUCUUUUUGUGUUUAGUUCAAUUGAGUCAAUAAAGGAGUUGAUUAAUUUGUCAAAAUUUGUUGAGUACUUAACUCGAUAUUUACAAAUUCUCUCUUAAUAAGCUUGCGUUAUUGUCAUCAUAGGUCAAAAGAAAAUAAAAGAUUUUCUCUCUAUCAGCCAUUACUUCUUCAACUCCACCCACUCGUUAUGAUCCAUUUCCUGAAACCCUAACAGACCUGAAUUUAUAUGGUAAAAUGGGUGUCUUGGUGGACAGUUCAAUGUCAUGUGAUUACUGAUGCUGGUUGAAGAAGGAUUAGCUAUAAAUUGUAGUCCUGGUAAUCUAGUUAUUUCAGCCUCUUCCAAGCUUCCACUAGUAGGUCUCUGUUGUUGUCAAACAGUCAAACAUGCAGGUGAUUAGCCAGAUUCAUGGGGAGGUAAGGUUACUGGCUAUACAUGGGAUGAGCUGUUUAACUCUGAAAUUUUACUGAUUAUGUUUGCCUCUUGGCGCUGCGCAUUAUGGUAGCUUUGGUAUUUUGAUUGCUAUAAAAUUUGUUGCUAUGACAUUUUGGACUUGAUCUUGGUUAGCAUCUCAAGUGCCUUGAAAGGAAUGCGCAUCAUAAGAAUUUGGAGUAUGCUAAAAGCAGAACAGAUUCAGUUUAUUUUUACUGUUGAUUUUCUUAAAUUCCAUGGAUUUUGCAGGGCAUUUUGGCCUUGUUGAAUGAACUAGUGAAGAGGGUAGUUGAACCAUGUAGGCCAUAGAGAUUCAGCAGUGGGCACUUUAUAAAAGUUGGGGGAAGAUGAGCCUUUGAUGCCAUAAUUUUUUUAAAGAUGAGUCUUUAUAUUAGCAUACGCAUUAAUUUUUAAGAUGAAUCGAUUGAGGUUCUUCAAUGGCCUGAUCCACCACCAGAUUAAAGAUCCAUAUUAAUUGUGGCCCCUUAAUACUCGAAAAAGAAAAUCACAUUUUUUGCUUUCAAAAAAAAAAAAAAAAGAAAAUCACUUUUUCAGCACAUGGGCUGCUUGAUUGAGAUUGAGGUAAUGGGUAACAUGCAGACCUCUACUUGAAUGUUGUUGUUAGGUUAGCAUAUACAACAGAGAUUUAAAAUUACACAAGACUCAAAUCCUAGGAUUACUUGAAUGUUGUUGUUAGGAUAGCAUAUACAUUGCACACCUUAUACUUGUGAUGGCAAUGUUUUUGGUCUUAGUAGGAAUAAAAAUUAUUCAAUACAAUCAUUAUAUAUAUUAUAAUUAAUUUUUUUUUUUUAAAUGAAAGAAAUAUUAUUAACUCAAAACGAUCAAGGAAACUAUAUGAGAAGGAGGGACAUGAACCCAAACUCUUUGACCUGACUCAGAAUGAGCCGAUAUUGCUAGAACAUGAGCGACAUCAUUCGCAGACCUGUAAAUAAAAGCAUAUCUUGCUUCCUCAGACCAAAAGGUGAUAAAUCAUCUAAUGAAGCAUUAUUAAUGGACACAAUAAGAACCUGAGCAUCCGAUUCGAAAAGAACUCGAUCCCAUCCGCACUCUUUAAUCCAGCUCAAUGCCUCUCGAAAAGCCACUGUCUCAGCACACUUAACCUCCAUCUGAUUGCAAAAACAGCCUGUUUUAGCCACUAUAAAUCUACCAUAGUUAUUAUAGUGUAAUUUAUAUAAAAUUUAUUAUAAUUAAAAUUAUUAUAAAUGUAAUGGUUGUAUUAUAAAAUUUUUUAUGAGAUUUAACAUGAAAAAAUGCAUUAUCAGUUUGUUAAAUGUAAAAAAAAAAAAAUAAUUAUUAUAAAAAUUAUUAUAAUUUAAAUAGCUAAUAAUUCAAUUAUUCUAAAAAAGAUAAUUUUUUUUAAAAAAAUUUAAUCAUCGUUCUAACAAUUAUCUAUACGAGAAAUAUUUUUAAAUAUAACAUGCGGCGUUUAAAAAUUGAAAAAUAAUAUAGCUGACAUUAUAAUAAUAAUUCUUUUCAAUUAAAGAGGGCAUCGAUAUAAUAGUAAAGAGUCCGUUGUUGUCUACAUGAUUAUAUCGUAAUCAUAGUUAAUUUGGAACGACCAAUGAAGGUGGGCUUUGGUCAUUCGAACUUCCUUUUUUAUUACCUUCAAAAUGUUAAUGUUAUUUGGUACUGUCUAGACGGAAUAAUAAAAUUUAAGUCCAAUAAUAAUAAAAUUUGAAUCGCGUAGAAUAUUAUUUUUAAAAAUUUAUUUUAUAAUUUUUUAUAAUUAAAUAAAAUUUUUUAAAAUUUUAUUUUUAAAAUUAAAAUAAUAAAAAAAUAAUUUUAAUUUAUAAUUCAAUAAAAAUCAAUAAAAAAAUAAAAAUAAAGUAUAGAAAAUAAAUGGAUUCUCUUUUAUAAAAAUAAAAAUUAUUUAUAGUGAAAAAUAAUCGUGAUAUAAAAAUUUUAAUAUAAUAUAAUUAAAUUUGUAUAAAAUUAUAAUGAUCAAAUUUAAUAUUCGAUUUAAAUAUUAAACUAUUAAUAGUAAAAAAAAUUUAUAAAUAAAAUUUUUAACUAUUAUGAAUCUUAUACCAUAAUUAUAUUUGAGAUUUAAAAAUAUUUAAAAAUUUAAAAAUAAGUAUUUAUUGAUAAAAAUAUUUUGAAAUAUAAAAUUUUUUUACAGCGAUUCCACCUAUUUUAAAAAGUUUUUCAUUGUUAAUUUUAAAAAUUUAGUGCAUAUGUUUUGAAUAUGAUAUUUUUUAAAUUAUAAACUAAAACAGAUUAAUAAAACUUAACAUACAUAAUAAUCGGUGAAAUUUUUAUUUCUAUAAACUAAAAACUCAUUUUGAUAAGUUAAUAUUUUAUUAACAUCAUAACACACCAUAAAUUUUAUUGUCAAUACUAUUUUGCGCUAAUAGAUCAUGUGAAUACCCGAUAGUUCAUAAAUACUCUAGAGAUUAUAUUAUAAUCUUAUACUAGCGGCUCUACAUUAUAUUUAUAUAAGUGAUAAUAUAUAUACUAUAAUUUAUAUAUUAUUUAUAAGAGAUAUGAAUAUUAUUAAAAGUUUUAAGUUAAUUUUCUCAUUAAUGCAGUUUAAUACUUCUCACACCAUAAAAAUAGAUUACGUUUUAUACAAUAUUAAAUAAUACUAAUAGAAUUAAUAAGUGACUUAUUAUUACACAUAUAAAUAUUUUUUUUAUAGAGUUUUUAAUCACAAAGAUUGAGUUUCUAUCACUCUCAAUUUUAUAUUAGUUCAAAUCCCAUUUACCUCUAUAUUUUAUUUAUUAACUUUUUUUUUAAAAAAAAUUAGUAAAAAAAUUAAUCAAAUUUUCCACUUCACAUAAUUAAUAGAUGAAAUAAUAUAAAAAUAUAAAUAUAUAUUUAGCUAAAAGAUACGACAUUUAUUUCGCAGAUAAAAUAAGAAGUUUGGCGUUUUUCUCAUCUUCAUAGGCGCGAAGAGUGAGGGAUUGAGUUCCUUGAGCGGAUAACGUAGGACUCUCUGGUUAUUCACAGACAUGGAGUGCCCAAUUUUUGUGCUGUUUCUACGGCACGCAUUUGGAGUUGUAGCUAAUCAAUGUUUCAAUAGUUGGAAAUUACAAAUAAAUUAUUCAAUUUAAUUAAAAUGAAUUAUUAUUAAAUUAAAUAUUUUAAAAAUUAAGCAAAUUGUAUAUACUAUUUAUUUAAAAUUAUUUAUCACCUACAAAAAAAUUUCAGAACUACUCUUGAGUUUAGUUAUUUCAUGCAUCAGUAAAGUCCUGCUUCAUCAAUCAUCGGGUCAGUCGACAAUGUGGCAUGUGACGCGUCUUAAAUAGAAUUACUAUUUAAUCCCUUUAACUUUUAGAAUUGUUCAAUUAGGUCCAAAAUAAUAUUAUAUAUAUUAAAAUAAGGUUUACCAGAUUGGCAUGGGAUAUUUUUGGCUAAAUUCUACAGAUACACAGGCAGUUUUAGGUCCAAACAAAUGACGCCAAGCCAAGACAAUGCAGAAUUCUGUGAUACAAAAAACUAGGUUGGCAGGCAGUGGAAGGUCCAACCGUGUGGCAAUUCUUAUUAUAAUUUAUUUUUAUUAUGAAUAUAUAUAAAUUUAAUUUAAAUAAAUAUUUUUUAGUUGUAUGGCAAAUUGAUAAUAGUUUAUAUUAAUUAAUGAGUAAUAUAUAUAUAUAUAUAUGAAUGAGAUGAAGACUUGGGUUUAAAGCAUGAUUUUUUUUUGAAGUUGGUUGCUUAAGCUUAGUUUUCUCAGAAGGGGACGGUUCAACUCAUAUGAAAUGGAAGUAUAGAUCGUCCUAGACCAUGAACCAUCAACUAACAUUCUUUUAUUUUUAAUUUAUUUUCUUUUUUCGUAUAAUUAGAAUAAUUAUUUCGUUUUAACAAUUUUUUUAUAUUAAUAAAAUUAUAAAUAGUGAUAUUAAUAAUAUUUUUGAAGUGUAAGAAAAUAAUUUCUUUUGUUGGGAAGAAAAAGUCAAUUUUUUUUAAAGAUGGCUUUAAUAUUUCUUUAUUAAAAAAAUAUUUUUCACUCAAAUUCUUUCAAAACAAAUAGAAAAUAUACGUAUUUUUACUUAAAAAAAAGUUAAUUUUAUAAUUUAAAUUAUAAAAAGGAAUCCACUCAUUGUAAUAAUUUUCCGUAUAUACCCAUUUGUCAAAAAUUCAGAAAGGCUCCACCCCCUACAAUUCCAAGCAAUGUGAAUCCUUGACCAAAGCUUCCCUGCAGCCCAUCCACCCUCUACCUUUACUUUAUAUAAUAAGAAAAACUAAGUCCAAACCCUGUGUUUACUCUCUCAAUAACAUAUCUCCUUAGCCUCGUCCCCAUGAUAAAAACCAAAACACUUCACAAUCCUUUUCUCUUCUUCACCGCAAAACCAAAACUCUCCAAUGCUUAGAGUUAGACUCCCAACUCUUGCACUCCUCCUCCUCUUCUCCCUCACUUUCACCGCCAAUGCCUCUGCCUUUCCUCAACGAUUCAAAGAAGCUCCCCAGUUUUACAACUCCCCAGACUGCCCUUCGUUUGAUCGACAUGACCCUGAUUCAGAAUCAGACGGUGAUGAUCACACCAUAAUCUUCUGCUCCGAUCAAGCAGUACACGUAGCAAUGACUCUAGAUACUGCCUAUAUACGUGGCUCCAUGGCUGCUAUUCUCUCUGUUCUUCAACACUCUUCUUGUCCCCAAAAUAUUGCUUUCCAUUUCGUCGCUUCCGCCUCUGCUAACGCCUCUUUCCUACGCGCCACCAUCUCCUCCUCCUUCCCUUAUCUCAAAUUCCGGGUUUACACGUUCGAUGACUCGUCCGUUUCUAGACUCAUCUCCACCUCGAUACGUUCUGCUCUUGAUUGCCCUCUAAAUUACGCUCGUAGCUACUUGGCUAAUAUCCUUCCUUUAUGCGUUCGCCGAGUUGUCUACCUCGAUUCGGACCUCGUCCUCGUCGAUGACAUUGCCAAGCUCGCCGCUACUCCACUGGGUGAAAAGUCUGUUCUCGCAGCUCCUGAGUACUGCAAUGCGAAUUUCACUUCUUAUUUCACGCCAACUUUCUGGUCUAAUCCUUCUUUAUCACUCACAUUUGCGGAUAAACAAGCUUGUUACUUUAACACUGGUGUCAUGGUCAUCGAUCUCUAUGGAUGGAGAGCUGGAGAUUACACUUCCAAGAUUGAAGAUUGGAUGGAGCUACAAAAAAGAAUGAGAAUAUACGAACUGGGUUCUUUGCCGCCGUUUUUGCUGGUUUUUGCAGGAAAUAUAGUGCCUGUUGAUCACCGGUGGAACCAGCACGGACUCGGCGGGGAUAAUUUCAGAGGUCUCUGUAGAAAUUUACAUCCGGGUCCGGUGAGUCUCUUGCACUGGAGUGGUAAAGGGAAGCCAUGGGCAAGACUCGACGCCAACCGUCCAUGUCCUUUGGAUACUCUAUGGGCUCCAUACGAUCUCUUGCAGACUCCAUUUGUGUUGGAUUCUUGAAGAGAAGGAAACUUAAGAUUCAAAGCUCAUGCUCUUACAGGAACCUCGUAGGAUCACGAAGACAGAGAUCUAGAGAGACAUCAAGAAUUCAAGAUGAUAUACAAAAAUAUAUUACAGUAUCGAAGCUUAGGUAAGUUGCUGUGUGUAUAUACAUCUAUGGAGAAUUAAUUGUGUUGAAAAUUUUGAAAUUGUGAAGCUAGAAUAAGGAAGAAACCCGCAAAUGGAGAGUCAUCAACUUCCACCUUGGGCAUAAAUGGUUAAUUAAUUGUAAUCAAAUUUCCCACAAUAAUAAUGAUAAUAUUCUCUAAAUAUUUUCCUUUUAUUUUUUAUAGUGUAUUAAAUAAAUUUUAUUUCAACUUUCUCUUUCAGAUGUAAAUGAAAAAUUAAGAAAGCAAUUAAGAGUUGCUCCCUGUCAAUUAAUCUAACAAACUCUAAUUAAUAUAAUAAUAAUAAUAAUUAUUAUUAUUUUGUUUAAAAUGAUGGCUUAAGUGUAAGAAAAUGGAAGGCUGGAAAGACAUUUUGCCAACUGAUACAGACUGAUGAACUACAGCAAAUAAAUUCUAAAGGAAGUCUCCAUUUCAUUUUUUUCUACUUUGUAUAGUCUUUUGACGUAGCUUUAUCAUAAAUUCUCAAUCAACUAUUCAAUAAAGACAAAAACCAUUAGUGAUUUUCAAGGUCUUGCCUGCAACUAAAAUCUAUCUACACCGUAUUCACCCUUGUGCACUUCUCUUAAUGGGUAUCGAGAAGAAUCAUUUAUUAAAAAGGAAAAAUAUUUUAUUUUGUAAAUAUUUUUUACUUUUGAAAUUAAACUAUUCAUUUAAAAAAAAAAUAGAAAUUAAGCAAUUCAGGAAUUUGAAUGUUUCUUUCCUUGCUUUGUCUGAGAAAUAUAAAGGGGUUGAAAUGGCCAAAACGUUAACGUCAUCAUGAAAAGUUGGCAACUUGGGAAAAAGGCACAUAGUUGCCAAAUGCUAAUUUCUUCUUCAAUCAUUUCCAUAUUAUAAAAAAAUGGUAUAUAUCCAUUGCCCCCUCUUUCUCAUCAUCACCUCCAAUAAUAAAAAAAUAAUAUUUAAUAUAUUUUUUGACAAUUUCAAAUUACCAAAGAAUUUUCCUUACCGAAUAAAAUCGAAUUAUUUUCUUCCCAUAAUCUUACCAAACAUAUAUAGAAUUAAUAAGAUCAUAAAGAAUGACCUAAAGUAAAAUAGCUACAGCCAAAUUUUUAUUGGCUAGUUUUUUUUUUUUUUAAAAAAAUAUAUUAAUAAUAAUUUGUAGGAUCUCAAAAUCAGUUUUUUUUUCCUAAUUUAAUUCAACAUGCAUGUAAUAUAAAAUGGGUUUAAUUUAAUAAUGUUAGAAUUGUAUUUUAAAUAAUAAAAUUUGAAAUUUAAAUUAUAAAUAGUUGAAGUAAACUCAGAAUAAGAAAUGUAUAGUGGGCUUCAAUAAUACUUGGUUUGUCAACUGUGUAGAAAUUUGAAGAUAACAUUGUCAUGCCAUCCUGUUAGAAUUUUUAUUUUCCUUUAUUUAUAUUAAAAAAUAUAGAAAUAUAGACAUUAAUUAAUAAUGUACAUAAGACUUUCGGUAGCCCAAAGCACUUAACAGUGAACACUGCAAGGGAAGCAGAGGUUGGAGGAAAAACUCGGAGGGUAAAUAAUUUUAGGUAAAUUAUAUUUUGCUUUUCGGGUGUUAAUAGAUCAAUUUUUAUAUUUUUAAAUUAAAUAUUUAAUUUUUUAUAAUUAAUUUAUUUAAAAAAUUAUUUAUUUAUUUUUAUUGUUAAAAAUAUUCUUUUAAAAUGAAGAUUAAAAAAAUUGAAAGAGAAGAACUUGAAAUCUCUCAAGGUUAUUCAAAUGUACUUACUAUUAGACGGUAAAUAGUGAAUGUUUUACUUUUUUUUUUUAAAUGUUAAAUUUUUUUUUUCAUCCAUUUUAAUGAGACUUAUGACUUUAUAAAUUUAAAAAUAAUUUUAAUAUUUAUGAGUUAAAGUCUAAUAUUUAUAAGAGAAUUUAAGUAAAGAAAAGUAGAGUAAUUAAUUUUAUGUAGAUAAUAAUUUUGGGUGAUUUAAAAAUACAGCAACUUUUGCAAUCCUACGAAUACGAAGACGAAGAUCGGAUGAGAAAGGAUAAGCUGGUGGAAAGAGAAGAGAUUCCAUUAUUAGAUUUUGAAGAUGAUGAGAUGAUGUUGUUGAAAAAACGCGUUUUUAUAAAGGUGGGACGUGGACCUGCUGUUAUGUUUUACAGCAGGACCAUCGUGGCCUUUGUUCCCUUUCAAAUAAAAGCGGAUUCCAUUUUUAUUUUUCUUUUCCUUUUACUCAUUUCAAAAAAUUGUUAGACGGAUCCGAUUUGUUAUAUAUAUAAAUUAUUUCAAUUUAUUUUUAAUUUCAUUGAAAGAUCAUAAACUAUAUUGUAAUAAUAAAAAAAUAUUAAAUAUUAAAUUUUAAUUUUAAUUUAUUUAUAAAUUAUCAUUAAAAAAAUUAAAUAUAUUUUAUAAAAAUUUUAUUUGAACUUAAAUAUAUUAUGAAUUCAAAAUAUUUAAAUAGAUUUCUCAUUAAAAUUUAGUCCAUAAAAUUUCUCUCCCUUUCAAAAUGCUAAUUUGAACGUGCCUUUAUAUUUGGUUAGAGUAGCAAAUUAUUAAAUACACUUAAAGUCCUACUUUAUGAUACUAAUAUGAUAUAUUAAAUAAAUAAUGUUAUAAUAAAUAAAUAAUAAAUAAAUUCCAAGUAAGUACAACUGCCUUAUUAAUGGUGGAAAUUUAAUAUAGUUUUAAAAAUUUUAAUCACUUAUAAUAUUAUUUAUUUAGUACUCUAUUUCAUAAUUUUUGUUUAUUUUAUUUUAUUUUUUUAUACAUAUUAUUUCCAAAUAUAUCCAUUAUUAAAUUUUAUUAAAUAAUAAAAAAUAUUUUAAAAAUAAAAUAAAAUAAAAUUAUAAUACUAAAUUUAUAUGGUAUUAUAGUUUAAAAAAAAUAAAAAUGAACAAUAAUUUUUAAAACAGAUAAAAAAAAAUAAAAAUCAUUGGAUGGGGGAAAUAUAUAGUGAUUUAUAGAAUUUAGUAAUUUUGCUCGUGUAAUUUCUAUUAGUUUUGGCUCAUUCUAUGUCAAUAUUAUAAAUAUCUCCUAUAAUUUCAGCAUAUAAAAAUUAAAAAAAUAUAUAAAAAUAAAAAUUUAUUUUUAAAAAUAAUAUUUCAUUAUUAAAAAAAUAAUAUAUUAUUAAAUCAAUUGAUUUAAAAAAUUGAAUUAGACUUAUUUAACCCUCAAAUAAAAAUAUAAAAGCCUAAUUGGAUUUAUUUUUGAAUUUUUUUUAAUCUUUCAUUAGACGUAAUUGGGAGAGAUAGACAGAUUGAUGAUGCUUCAUGCUUCUUUACUGUCAUAUUUCAUAUUGUAAUUGCCUAAAAAUCCUAAGAAAAUAUUGACAAUUACAUGUGAUAAUACCUUUCUAUUCUACCAACUUUUUUUUUACCAUUUUUUCAUAGGAAAUUCUCCAAUUAUCAUAAUUCAUUUUAUAAAAAAUAUUUAAAUAAAUUCUUACACAUUCUAAAUAAAAAAAAAUUGAUAAAAAAUAAUUAAAAUUAGUUUUUGUGAAUUUUUUUUUUAAUUCCAAACACAGGGUAAGUAUUUUGAUUUAAAAGAGGAAGUUGCUCUAUCUUGCAUUAUAAUAAAAGAUUGGACAUAUAUACACUUUCAACAGGAGAAUUCAAAUUUAAUCAUUGAAGACAGCAAUAUUGAGAGAAAUAAUUAUAAAGUAUGAAAAAUUAAUUUUUUGGUAUAUAGUAAAAUAAACAUGAGAUAUUUGUAAAAAUAGAAAAUAAAUACACGCCUUUCUGCUUUCUAGUUAGUACAGUUGAUGGCAGCUGCAUAAAUGAUUUAUGAAGUCGUUUUCAAUUUAUGUCAAUUUUAAGGGAAAAUUUUGCUUCAAAAUGUCAGCAGUAAUAAAUAUCCAUGUCUUGCUUCAUCAUAUAAUAUAUAAAUGCACAUAAAUUCUCUAAGCUUUGAAAUAACAAUUACAAAAGAGAAAAAAAAAAAAAAAGCAUCAACUUGCUUUUUUUUAUUAUAGGUCGUAAAUUAACUAAAUUAUUUAUAAAUUCUUUAAAAUUCAACUUAGCUUAAUUUGUUUUCUAAAUGAUCAAACUCUAAAUCUAAUGUUUUCUGACCUAAUUUUCAUUUCUCAAGAGGGGAAAAACAAAAGGUAAUUCUUAUUUCCACAGUAACGGAGGAAGUAUACAGACAUCUAUUUUUCCAACUUUCAUUAAGAAUCUACUGUUUGUGCUUCCUUGGAAGUCACUAUGAAGUACAUCUCAAUCGACAGCGACUGAGCAACUAUGCCCACAGUAGGGGUGAGCAGAAUCCGGUUCGAACCGAAAAAACCGACCGAACCGAACCGAUUUGAAAAUUUGGUUCGGUUUUUUAUACAUUUCGGUUCGGUUCGGUUCGGUUUUAAAUUUUAGAAAUUUCAGUUAUUUCGGUUCGGUUCGGUUUUGAUCAGAAAAAAACCGAAAAAACCGAACCGAACCGAUUAGGAAUAAUAAUAUGUUUUUUCAAUAAUAUAGAGAAAUUAAAUUAUAUUAAAAUUAAAAUAUUUUAAUUAAAUUUUAAAAUACUAAAAAUAAAGUGUAAAAAAUUAAAAAAAUAUUAAAAUUCGAAACCGAUCAAACCGAACCGAAUCGAACCGAAUCAGACCGGUUCGGUUCGGUUCGGUUUCUGACCAAAAUCGGUUCGGUUCGAUUUUCAUAAAAUCUAAAAUUUCGGUUCGGUUUUCAUAAAAUCUAAAAUUUCGGUUUUCGGUUUAUUCGGUUCGGUUCGGUUUUGAACCGAACCGACCGAAUGCUCACCCCUAGCCCACAGUGCCUGAAUGAGGGAGAUCUUUGGUAUACUCUUUGGUAUACUUUCUCAUAAGCCUACAUCUCAUUAGCCUUCCCACUUACUUUCCUAUUAAAUUAGACAUGUUACUCAGUCAAUUCUCUCUCUUUCUUGUGGGGCCAAUGCUGAAACCGACAACAUAUAAUCUAAGUGCUUAUUCUAUGGAAGUCAGCCUAUAAUAGUUUUUUCAAUUAUGACUUUAACCAUUAACUGAACUAUUUAAGACAUCAUCCAGGGCCACAUCGUAACAAGUAUAAACUACAUGAUGUAUUUAAAAUAUAAUGAUAACAACCAUCAUGACCGAGUCUUGAUGACAAACAAUGGAAUCUUCAAAAAUUCCAAACAAUGGAGUUAUAGCUUCCGUGUACCUUCAAACUCAAAAACAAAAACUAGAUAACUAUGUGCACAUCAAGUUCACAUUUCUUAUCAACGUCUUAUCUUUCCAAUUUAUUAUUGGGUUCAUCAGAUGAUUAACUACUUAAUUCAGCGAAUGAAAUAAACUACGACAUAUUUUUUUGGCUUAAUAAAAAAACAAAUUACAAUACCUCAUGACAGCCAUUGUGCAUCAGCUAUCAUGCUCAAUAGGUUAGCCUUUCUAGCUUCUGUCCAUCACAUUUAUCAUCUCAGGGACUUAACGUGCAGAAUGCAUAAUAAUCCGGUGAUAAAUGCAUUAAUAUUUCACACAAGUGGCAAUGUUCUCCAUUCAACAAGCGAUUCUUCAAGUUCAAAAUUUAGUAAGAAAAUCUUGAAGCACCAAAAUUUUUGAAAGUAACACUCAACAAUACAUUUGUGUCAACAUUUUCAUGCUUGAUAUAUAGUUUCUCUUUAACUUUUUCAUAAAAGAAUUAAAAAAAAUAAUUUUAAAAAAUUAGAAUUAAGAUUUCUGGGAAGAGGUACCUGGCCAGCGGGCAAGUAUAAUAUUUCAAUGCAUAUCCUAGGGAUAUGGGCUGGCUUUCCAGGAUAUCAUGUGGAUGGUGGUGAAGCAACAUCUUUUAUCUCCAGGCGUGGACCUUAAAAAAGCAGUCCAAGUCCCAAAUAUUGGCAUCAUGUUGAUCGAGUAUAUGGUGAUAUGCUGUAGGUGAAUUUAUUGUAGUGCCAAACAAGCUCCUGCAACAAGAUUCAAUAUUGACAUUAAGGUGAAGACAGAAAAAAAAAUACUAACCAUUUAUAAACACGUCCAAAUAAUUCCUGAAGUCAAUUUUCUAAUCCGAAUUCCAUCCUUUCCCCAUUAACUAAUUGAACAAAUCAGAAAGCAGCAAUCAAACUUUAUUUUUAACAUAAUAUCCUACAAGCAUGAAUGCGCAUACAGUAUAAUAACCUAAUUUCCACACGUUAAAAGUCAAAAAAUGACUUUUCAUGUCCUUUUCAAAACUAUAAGAAGGAUGCAUUCCUCUCAGUACAGGCUGAUGGCAAAAGGAUGUGAAACCCAUUAAGAAACAAUUUCUGGAAGAGUCUAAUUUCCCAACCAACCUACACAGAAAUGCAUAGUGAUUGGACUUCGACAAAAAAAUUUAACUUCUGCCAUGCUCCAAUUCUCGUUUUAAAAGGCAGCCUUCAAAAACAGUUGGGUCCAGAAGAGAAAAUCUGUCUCCUGCCUUUAGCCUUCAAUUACAAAUCGGGCAUGGUGAGCUAUUUCCACAAGAAACACUAUGCUAUGGAUUGGCCUUUUCACAUUCAACCUACUGCCAUCCAUAAUAUGUCUUCUUAACCUGGGAAAAUGGACAAUAUUUUGAUCAAUACCCUAUGGAGGUUGUCAGACUUUCAAGAGCAUGUGAAAUUAAUGCAAAUAAGAAAAGGGUAUAAUGGAACUGGGUGAAUGCUACACUUAUAAGACACUAAACAAUUUCUUAUACAAAAGUUAAUCAAUUUGACAAUCCCACAAUUUGAACUCAAUCAUCAGUCUUUCACUUCCAAAUAUGUUAAGUAUAAGUCAGUAAGCCCUCCAAGGCAAUCACACCUGUACAUGCAGAGACGAGACAACUGUACAACAAAGAAUCCAUAUAGCCAACACGUUGUUUGGGAUCGCCGCACAGUUGUAAGUCAGUAAGCCCUCCAAAGCAAUCACACCAGUACAUGCAGAGAUGAGAGAAUUGUAGCACUAAAAGCCAAGAUGAAACAGACUGAUUAUCCUGCAACAUUAGGGCUAAAUUCAACAAUAUAUUUAUGUAAACAAGAGUCAAACGUACAUGUAAAAAUCAUGCAUUUUACCUGGCCUUCUCAAGGAGAUGGCUGUAAUCAAAAUAACUUAAGAGCAAACUCAAUAGAGAUAGUGUCUAACAAAGCCAUAUGGCAACAAAGAAUCUAUGUAGCUGACCCCAACUUGUUUGGGAUAAGGCACAGUGGUUAUAAACUGAACAAAAUUUGUAACAAAUUCCUAGUUCGCCGAGCAUUCAACAACUCACAGCUUGAGACAUAAUACAUGAAUCCAGGUCCAGUAUUUUUUUAGCAUUUGAGAACACGUCUAACUCCAUUUGUUUAUGAGAAAUAACACUGGCAGAGUGAUAAGUCACUUGCAUCAUAUUGUGAAGCUUGGAUAUCUUCUUUACAUCUCCUUGUUUAAUAUAACCCUCAACUAACUUGAGAAACGUUGCCAGAUUUUGAUCCACAAAGACCUCUGUCAUCUCAUCUAAAAGCUUAAUAGAUUUUUCCACAUCUCCUUGCUUGCAAAAACCAUAAAUCAAGGCAGAACACGUAACUAUGGAAGGAGAAAUCCCUUCUUUUAACAUCUUGUUUCUCAAAUCCAAGGCUUCUCUAGUGUUACCAUUUUUACAAUAUGCAUCAAUCAGUAUAUUAUAAGUGAUAACAUUUGCAUUUAAUCCCUUGGAGUGAAGUUUAUUGAAAAGCCUCCAUGCUCGAUCCAGAUUACCUGAUUUACACAGGCCAUUCAUUAGAGCAUUGUACGUAACUAUGUUUGGAACAAGACCCCUUUUCAUCAUCUCAUCCCUUAAGAAGAAAGCUUCAUUCACAUUACCAGAUGCUGAAAGGCCAUGAAUCAGAGUGCAGUAUGUGAAAUUGUCUGGAUUGAAGCCUCUCAGCAACAAGCCUGAGAAAAGAUUUCUUGCGUCAUCAAUUUUCCCAGACUUGCAAAGCCCUGCAAGAGCUAUGUUGUACACCACCCUGUUGGGUAGAGAAAAACUUUUAGCACUUUCAUCAAGAGUAUCUGCAAUUUUCUGACUGUCCACAUAUCUACCAUCUGCCUUCUGGAACCUGUCAAAACUUCCAUGGUCUAGAAAAACAUCAAAAUCCACCAUCUUCUGCAAUAACAUAUUUGCUUCAUCUAUUCUUCCAAGUCGAUAGAGGCUACUGACAAUUUUGCUGCAAAUAAUUACAUUAGGAGCAAACCCCUUUUCAAUCAUAUCAAAAUAUGCACUAAAAGCCUUAUCCAACCUGUCUUCAUCACACCACCCAGCAAUGAGGGUUCCAUAAGUGACAACAUUAGGAGAUAAUCCCUUAAUGCACAUCUCAGAAAGAAGGACCAUAACUUCACUUGUUUUCCUGGACUUAAAAAGUCCAUAAAUAAGAGAAUUAUACAAUUCAAUGGAAAGAGAAAUCGCUUCUUUUUCCAUUAUCUCUUUAACUUUAAAAGCUUCUUCAACUUUUCCAAGUCUACAGUACCCAUCACUCAGAGUUCUAUACGUUAUUGCAUCAGCUUUACAACCCAAGUCCUUCAUCCUACUAAAAAUCUCCUCUGCUUCAGCCAUUUUCUUCAUCUUACACAAACCAUUAAUCACAGUAUUGAAAGCAUAUGUACUUCUUCCAAAACCCCUUGCUAGGAUAUCAUUCCACAGGGACAAAGCCCUUGGAAAAUCUCCCAUUUUGAAGAGUCCAUCAAGCAAAGUACAAUAGCUGACCUCAUUAAGAGACACACCUCGCUUUAGCAUCAAAUGCCAAAGGUUCAAAGCAUCCUCAAAGGCACUCACACGGCAUAAGCCCUUGAUGAGAGUAUUAUAAGUAACAACAUUAGGUUCAAUUCCAACCUGAAGCAUUAAAUUGCAAACAUUAAAAGCCUUACUUGUAAGACCUUCUCUACAGUAUCCAUCCACAAGGGUACUAUAACUAUAAGAAUCUGGUUUUAAGUCCCAGUUCCCCAUAGCUGUUAACAACCUCUCUGCUUCACAAACUCGACCAUUUUUACAAUAACCAUUGAUCAAUGAGUUGCAAAUAAAUAAAUUCAUCUUCAAUCCUACAUUUAACAGCUCAUCUCGUACCCUAAUAGCAUCAUCCAUUUUGCUAACUCGACAGUAUCCAUCUAUCAACACACCAUAAGCAUAUUCAUCCAAGACCACACCUUCCUCUUUCUCCAUCUCCCGAAGCACCUUCUCCGCUUCCUCAAACUUCCGUUGUCUACAAUAACCUUUAAUCAAUAAGGUAAACGUGACCUUGUUUCUCAGAAUCCCUCUUUCACCCAUCAAAAUCAAAACCUUUUUGGCUUGUUCCAUAUCUCCCAGACUAACACACCCAUCAAUCAAGCUAUUAUAAGUCACCACAUUCAAUUCAUAACCUAAAUUCUCCAUUUCCUUAACAAACUCCAUAGCUCUACCGACCCUCCCCUCCUUGCAAUAUGCGUUAACCAUAAUAGAACAAGUAAAAACAUCAGGCACGAUCCCUAACCUGUCCACUUGGUCAUAAACAAGCACUGCGGUGUAACUUUGACCUUUUCGAACCAAACUACUCAACAAACUAUUACAAGAUCGCAAGCUCGGUACGAAACCGCACUUUCCCAUAUUAUCAAACACAUGGAGUGCAUAUUUUGUCAUUCCCUUUUCAGCAUAUGCUUUCAAUAACAUAUCAAAAACAGUAGGCGAAAAAGCAAACUCCUUAUACGCUCUAACAAGCUCAUCCCAAACAAUAAACGAAGAGUAGUUAUUCUUGCAAAGACCAAUCAAUUCAUUUAAAUAGGAUCUGGUCUCAUUGUACAUUCGAACACGAGACAGAAUGUGAACAAGCUUACAGUAGGACUUUACACUCGGUCUAAAAUUGGGUUGCUUCGAGGCCAAUUUGAAGAAAUUCAAGCAGGAAGUAGGAUGCAGUUUGAGUUUGAGGAGAACAGAAUCGAGAAGAUUAUCGGAAAAAUCGAAAUUAAGGUUUUUGAGGGCAUGGUGGCGGCCAAGGAUGAGAAGGCGGGAGAUACGGUCGAGGAGUUCGGGGCGGGUAAGCUUGGAUUCGUGGCGGGGCUUCCAGUGUAGGGAUUUUUGCGGGCGGAGGUGAGAGUGGAGGCGAGAGGAAUAUGGGAUUGGAAAGCACCUGAGCAUUAGAGGAGAUUUGACGGCCGACCAUCAUAACAUCUGGCCACUUUAGGCAUCCACUUAGCUCCAGGCUUUGAACUUAAGCAGUACCAUUACCAAAGGCUCUGCCCAGGCAACAUGGCAAUAGAACUACAUGUCGUGUGAUGUAAAUCUACAAUAAAAAAAAUAAAAUUAAUUUUGUAAAAAUAAUUAAAUAAAGUAAUUACUUAAUUUAUAUAUUAAUUCAUUAAAUAAUUCAUAAAUAAACUAAUCAUAUUAUUAUAUACGUUAACUCGUAAAUAAAUUGUACGGAAAUUUUAUUAAUUCAUUUAUUUUAUUCAUUUAUUUUAUAUUGUAUUAUUAUAUUAAUAUUAAAAAUACAAAUAUAGCAAUGAAGAAUAAAGAAUGAAAAAUAAAUACAUGAAAAAAUAUUAAUAAUCUAAAAAAACGAUAGAAUACACCAUAAAAAAAUAAAUUAAAAAAGUAAUUUUAUACAUAUAUUUUAAUAUUAUUUAUUAUUAAUAUAAAUCAAGUUUAUUAUUAAUAUAAAUCGAGUUUAAAUUCAAAUAGUUUUUAAAUUUAAAUAGUGUAAUUUUCAAGGAUAUUUUUUCCGUUUGCGUCCCUAAUAGGAAGAGGCGAGCCUCUUGAUACAAAGUUUCAGUUCUGAUUCUUAACCGGUCCGGUUCACGGUGCAAACGGGCCUAAAGGGGACUUGUUUAACAAAAGAAUUCAUACGUUCUUUAACAAUGUAGAAUCUUUUCAGCAAGGAUUGGUCUGAAGGAAGAGACAUCAACCCAGUUUCUAAUUAACAAUCCCAACGCAUUGGCACCUAUACUCAGAGCUAAUGAAAGGAGCUUCUGUAUCAGUAUUGAGCAAGACAGCAACACUGAAAUCAAAGAAUGAAUAUUUCUCAUUAGAUUAAUAAAUUAACCCAAAAAAACUAUUCAAUGGCAUCAUACCCAUGAGACCAAGAACAAAUCAGGACUGCUAAAAACUACUCUCUAGAAAACAAUUCCUAUGUGCAGUGUGCUUAGGCCUUGGGAUCAUAUAAGGAAAAGACCAAAGCUUUUUAACUAUGUUAAAGAAAAACAUGGUAAGACUUCAAGAUUCAGGACUUCAAUAUGGAAAUCGCCCUGUCAUUCGAAUAUGAUCGAGUGUACUUUGAAGGCCGUAUUUUUGCACUGCUCGAUGGCCGAUUCUGAAUCCAUCUCCAUAUACUGGAGAAGUGUCCGACUCAAUCUGAUGCUUAAAAAAUUCCCCCAGCUUCCUCUCAAAUGGAGAUCUUACACCCUGUUUUGACGCUCGCAAAGCAGAGGAUGAAGCAACAUUGCUGCCUGAACCAGUUUGGAGCUGUGUCUCUAACCACAUAUAUGCAAGAACCUGACAAAUGCCCUCUUCAACAUCUUGACUGAGAUGUUGGAAACCUUGCAGAAACAAAGAAUAUCUCAGCAUAUCUAGAAAAAGACACCAAAUGCACCCAUUGCAAAGAAAUUAUUGGGUCUUUCUGUCAAUUAACUUCAUGCAAAUUGCUAUUGCUGGAAAGGAUCACCAUCAUCGUAAUAAAACAGAUGCCACUAUUUGAAAUUAUGUUGUGAACUUUAAGAAAGAGAAACAAACUGAUUUUAUACAUCGCAGAAGAAGAAAAUUCACCUUUAAGUCGCAUCCAUGCAUGCAUCAUCUCAUGAGCCAGGAUUGACCCGGUAAGCAACCUGCAUGAAACCCACACAUCAAAUAUCAAAACUGGUAAUUACAUAUGCAAUACUAUAAACAUUCAGAUCCGCAACGUAUUAAAGCAGCACAGGAUACAUAGAGUUCAUGAAGGAGACAUAUUAAGUUGUCUCAAACUUCGGUACAAGAGAAACUCCAAGAACUGCAAAAAGUAUGCAAUUUCUUCAAGGGUAUCGUUGGAAGAGAAAUUUAAACUUCACAUAAUUUAAUUCCAAAGGGCAGAAAUCUUUAAUUGGCUCCUAAUGCCUAAUUUGCACACAUGAAGAUAGAAAUUAUAUUAUAUUAUAGUGCUUCUAAUAGAAUAAUCUAAAGGGAGAUUUAUAAUUUAGUCCCUGGAUAUUACCAUUAUUAACAAGUCAGUCUCUGCAUUUUUAGAAACCUAUUAAAACGUCCUUAUCUUUUCUUUCCGUCAACAAAAUAGUCCUUCUGUCCUCUUUUCUGUUAAAAAUAGAUAAAAGAUGAGAGAAAAAAUCUUUAAAAUCUAAUCUUACCCUCAAAUAAAACUCUUAUUUAGUCUUUGAAUAUUACUAGUAUUAAUAAGUCAGUUCCUAUAUUUUCAAAAAUCUAUUAAAACGUCCUUAUCUUUUCUCAUAUCUAUUAAAAUGUCCUUAUCUUUUCUUAUAUCUAUUAAAAUAUUCUUAUCAUUUGUUUCCGUCAACGAAAUUGUCCCUCUUUCUCCUCCUCCAUAAAAAAGAAGAAAAAGAAGGGAUAAUUUGAUCUUUUGCUAUAUUUUUAACGGCAGAAAUAGACAGAAUGACUAUUUUGUUGACGGGGAGAAAAAAUAAGGACGUUUUAAUAAGUUUUUAAAAAUGUAGAGACUAACUUAUUAAUAAUGACAAUACCCAAGAACUAAAUUGUAAAUCUCCCUAAUCUAAAUGACAUGGAAUGGCAAGCUUAUAAAUAUAGACGCACAUAUACAAGUGGUCGAAUGAAAAAACUUCAUAGUUCCCAUUAAAUUAUAACUAGCCAGCUUUUGUUUUAUUUAAAAAAAAAAGCUAUAAAUUGUUUACAUGUCAUUUUACUAUUGGUUUGUCAUUCCAUGUCAAAUUCUGGCGUGGAAUAACCAGUUCAAUUUGUAAUUACUCCAAGAUGAUGGGGGGCUAAUAAUAAUAUAUAUUUUUAUUUUAGUUAUCUACUUCUUGAUGAUACACACUGGUAAAAGUUUAAUAGCAAAAGACAAAGAUAUACCUUGGGAGGCCAAACAGAACGAGAAUUGCUGUCACCUCACACCGACGUGUCAAUUUGUAGGGCUCUGUUACCAUAUCCAUAGCCCAGUUUCUUGCACCAAACCUGGGCCGCCUGAGUAUCUGGUCAUUUAUGGCGAUUGUAAUGUGAAUUUCCGGUCAAUGUACAAAUGUCAGAUCAAUAUCAACCAAUCCACCACAAUAAACAAAAGGAAGAUUUCAAAAAUCUCUUACCCUGCUGACUGUUUGUUCCUCUGAAAGACAAAGUCCUCUGGUUUCUGGCAUAUGAUAAUGGCCCUGUCCGAGAAAGAAGUUUCAAAACCCAACUACAAAAGGCUUCUAGAGAAAAACAAAUGCAAUUGCUAGAUUUUAAUUGAACAUACGGACAAGGACAUCCCUUUUUUUCCAUAUGUUCAAUAAUGUUGGACAUGAUAACUCUCUGAGAUCAAGACUUGAAGCAUAAUGCUGUUUUCAUUUUCUGAAAAAGAAAAAUAAUAAUUGCGCCACUGAUAUUGCUUGACUAGAAGAACAUAUAUCAUUUCAUUUUGUAAAAUAUUGGAGAAGAUAGAUAACCAAGAAUAGUGAUAACUUCGAAAAUCUUCAAUUUUAGGUUGUAAUUAAUUAAAAAAAAAUCAAAAUUCACAUAUUUUUUUAUUUUUCAAAAAAAAGAGAGGGUGGAAAUUAAGUGUAUCUGAUGUAAAUGGCCACAUGUUUUAGAUCAAUGUUUAAUAAGCCAAUUUUGAUCACUGGAAAAUUGUUUUAUCAUAGGCAAUACAAGACCUGUUUUUACGCAUUUACACUUACAUUCUUUUCCCCUUCCCGGGCUUCAUUCAGCGCUUGUCUCUCAACCAAGAGUAGUGGGACAUGCUGCUCCACUCUCAUAUUCAAACUUUCAUAAAAUUCACGUAUAUCAAGGUAAAUGGGCUGACAUUGAUUGGUGUCCAUGAUUGCUGAGUCCAGACACUCUAGGCAGAGCUUCCGACCAUCACUAAGCGCAACAUAUCCUGUGUCUCGUGGCUGAACAAGUUCAGAAGAUAUAUCCCGACAUUUUGUAAGAAAACCAGGUGAAUGAGAUUUUCCCUGGAAAGCUUGAGAUUUUUUGUGCUUGCAUAAGUAAUUCAUUCAACUAACCUCCAUUCGCUCACAGCUGCAGCACCGAGGAGUACCGUCGUGUUCAUGAGAUGGGCAGUAUUUUUGGACCCAAAAAGGAUGUGCCCUAUAUUCAAUAAGACCAGCAGGGUUUGUUGGAAUCUGUCAAAAAGAUAUAAAAUCAAUUAAAAAAUAAAACUUGAAGAAUAGCAUUAACACAUACUUCAGAUCUAUUCCAUUAGCUAGGCAAUUAGUUUAUACCAGAAAAAAUUACUAACAUACAUUUUGCAUGUCAAUUUCACUGAAUUUUUAGUAAUCAGAGUAAAGUAAUCAAUGGUCCAAGGUUAUAACUCUCAUUUUUAUCCUUGGUCAAUAAUCAGAGACAAAUACAUUGUCUGAUAUCAGAAUCACUAUAGGAUUUUCUAGUUAUUGAAGAGAUACUCACAAAGUACUUGCAAACAUCACAUUUCGGAUGGUACCGCUCCUUGUAGCAAGAUUUAUGAUAACGAUAAUUCCCAGACAUAGAGAACUACAGGAGAAAGAGUAUAUGUAAAGUUAGAAGCUUCACUUCACUGAAAAAAAAAAUCUAGUGAAACAUAAUAGGAUUGGCUGAAAUCAACCAUAAAAUUUCACUGGUGGCUAAUCAGAAGUAUAGUUUGCACCUCAUAAUCAGAAAUUGGUAGGUUGCAGGCAUGGCACCGGAAACAUUCUGGAUGCCAGAAUGCAUUGAGGCAAUUUAGAAAUCUUCCAUGACCAAUCUCUGUAUUGCAACCAGCACAAAUCCUAGUAAAAAAGCAGGCAUUCUUGGGUCAUCUUUCUUGAAAUUACUAAUACAGUAACAUAGUUACUCAGAGAUAGAGUGGUAGCAUAAAAAAAAAACAGAGGAUGAUGUUCAAUUAGCAAUGCUAAUGAACAAUCAAACUUGAUUUAAUUUUUUAACAAAUAAAUUGCGGGAGACCUUGACAACAAACUAAAGAAAAAUUUAAUAAACAAUACAAUUGAGAUACCUAUAUCCCAUUGGAAACUGGACUGGGACAGGUUGAUAUAAAUUGCCUUGGUAUGCAUUGCCAUUUCCAUAUCCAUAUCCAUACUGAGGAGGAGAUUCAACAUUCAAGCUCUCUUGUAUAGCUCUAGCAAGUUGUUCAUCUUCUUCCAGCUGAGUCUCAUUAUCUAUUAAGGUAUUGAGAAACACCAUAGAUUAAAUCAUGAGAUAAAUAUAUAAUGAUUUCAUAAAAGAGAAAAAGGCUCAACCAAUUUUACACGAAAAUAAUUGAUUAGAAAUCAUACAGAUACACCAAUAAAGAGAUAGAUUGAUUGUUUGACAUAUCAAGGGACCAGUAUAAAUUUGCAGAAAAGAAGCUAAGAGAUGAACAUCAAGGAAAUGCAGAUGAGACAAGAUGAAAAAUUAAGCAUACAACAAUCCAUAAUGGUAAAAGAAUUUUAUUGAGACAUUACAAUAAUUAGUUUAUUUUAAAUCAGAAAAGAUUGACAUCAGUAAUUGAAUUGAAGCUCUCCUAUUUCGUAGCAAACCACACAACAUUAGAGAUGCGGUAUGAAACUACGAAAAACAACAAUAACAACUAAGCCUGGACAACAAAUUAAGUGGGAUGGGUAUUUGGAUCUUCCAUUCAGCUCUAUUCAGCUAUGAAUUAGAAACUUAAUAAGAACAAUAAGUUCUCUUGAAAGAAACCAAACGAACAGCAUCUUGAUGUCAAAUUCCAAAAAUUAAUUCAAGGACAUGCAAUAGGUCUUCAUUUUGGAAGUGGAAACAGUGUCUAACCACUGAAGCACAGUGCCAUUAUGUGGAGCUUUCAAGGUCAAGCCUAUGUAAGCAACUGUAUGAAAAAGCGAGAUCUUCUUAUAUUAUGCACCUUUCUACGAGGAAUUUCCCUAAAGUUUAUCAGUCUCAAUCAAGAAAAAGUACCAUAAUAAAUGAACGUAGUAGUGAUAGUACUGAUAAAAUCAAAGCAUUACAGUAUCAUCACUUGGCAUCAGUAGUUCACGCUAUUCUUUGAUACUGACAAGAAACCUAGAAAUAUCAUGUCAAGGUCUGUACAAGAAAAGAGUUGCAUACAAGAAAAUGAAACCAUUUAAGCACAACUCCAAGCAGCAAGCAAUAAACAAUACCUAGAGUAUCCAAAAUGAUGAAAUGAUUCAAGCACAAUUCAAAGCAGCAACGUAUAUUACUAAAAUGUGCAUUAGAGUAUCAUCUAACAGCCAUAUUACUUACCAGUAACAAAUUUUCCAUUCUGACGUUCUUCUGAAAGGGACAAUGCAAUAGCACGAUCAAUAUCUUCAUUCUCCCGCUCUGACCACACAGCCUGCAGUCAUUAUCCGAGAUCAAAUUAGGAACGAGGGUUAACUUCAAGCAAAAUUUCAACCACAGUUAUUAAGAUGCUCAUGGAGUCAUGGUAGUACCCAAAAAGUCAAAGUUAUAAUAUUUUGGUAUGAAGGAAGUACUACUUGAGGCCCUCCUAAACUUUAGCUAACUUCUAAAAUGCACAUGACUUUAUUACUCGAUGCAAUGCAUAUUCCUACUCACAAUCUAACUCAAAUACACAAAUGGAAAUAUUACAGAUCUCAAGGCAAAGAAGUGGCAUUGAUUUAACCAAAAACAUAGACUGGAUGCAAUGCAAACUCGAAACAUACUAUCUAACCCAACUACAGAAAUGGAAAUAUGACACAUUCGAUGGCAAAGAAGUGGCAUUGGUAUGUACCCCUGAAGUGGACGGAGCAUAAUAAUUAGGAUCCUCUCCAUAAUUUCCGUGGUAAUGGCGAUCUGAAGCAUUAUGGCUGAAGCCUUUAAAAAUUUUGCUAAGCCAUCUGCUCAUGGUGGAUGAAAUUUUUCCUGAAAGAUAAACCAUUCAUACAAUGAUUCUAACCAAAGUACAAAGGCUGCUAAAUACUUAUUGUUUUUAUCUCAUGUGAGAAUGAUAAGUAGGGUGUUCAUAAAAACUGAAUAAACAAAUUAAAGCAUGGAUUUACAAGCAGUUGCCAAUCCAAAAUGAAAGUUAAAAACUCAAUUUACUUGGUAGCUGAUAGAAUUGAGGAGAAUUUCAUAUUAAAGAAAUGGUCAAGUCAACCCUAAAACAAAAAACUGAAUGCAGUUGAAGGCAAUUCACAAAUAAACAAUAGUAAGACAAGGUCCUAAGCAUCCAAGUGUCCCUGCAAUCCCAUAACUGGGCGUUUUAUAUGCCACAUGCAAAUAUUAAUUCCAGUUGUAGGAUAACCAACUCUUACAACUCUACUACAUUUCUCUAAGCAAUCAUUGGAAACCAGAGAAACUAUAGCUAGUAAAAAUCUUCAACAAGUUAUUGGUAAGCUAUCAAAACUUGCCAUCAGCUCAAGUCAAUCUAACAGAAAUAGAAAGAGAAUAAGUUCGAGCUCGACAUGCCAAUCAAAUUCACGAAAAAUAACAUUUUUUAUAUUAGAAUCUUAAGAGAGAAAAAGGGUAAAUAACCAAAACUAUGGAGCAACGCACCUAUAAGAAAUCAAGAACAAACUUGCAAAAAUGGCAGAAACAGAAGAGACCCAGAUGAGAUUAGAUCCCAAUCAGCUCGAAAAGCCACAAAAUUUAGAGUCAAACAAAGAAAAGGUAAAAUCUUUUGCUAACAGGCAUUAAUCUUUUUGCAUAUUUUUAUGUGGGCAAUAGAAGAAUCUAACACGGAAUCAGAAAAUUCUUUAUGUACAACGAAAGAAUAGAGAAUAGAGAAUAGAGAAUAGAGAGAAGAAACGCGUAAGAGAGAAACAAGAAGGAACAGAAAGUAAAUACGAUAAGAAUGUAGGCAGCGAGGGAGAGGGAGUUCUUGAAUUGUACGCAAAUUUCAAAGUCAAAUUUGGACAAAUAAACGUAUAAAAGUAUGAGAAUUAAGAUUAUCAAGAGAUUAUUGUCAGAAACCAAAAAGGGUUUGACGAAGGAUCAUCAUCAAAACCCAAUUUGGUGGGUAGGCAUGUGGGGUCCCCUCUGCAAUUCUAUAGGAGAAGACCCCAAAGAAGGUUCUCUCUUCUCUGUAGAGCAAGGAAUGUGGUUUUUUCUGGUUUCUGCUGUUUUCCUUAUUAUUUAAUUCGUUGUUUUAUAUUGUAUAUUAUUAGAAUUGUGGUAGUUGAGGCGCGCGUCUCAUGGGAGCUUUGUUCUAAGCAUGCAAAUAAUAAUUAAGGAAAAUUAUUAUUUGGAUUCUCUGUACUGGAAAAAUCAUUGAUUGGUUAUUUGAUUUUAAGAAAUAUAUUAACACUUUUUUUUAAAUUUUAUAUUUUUAUAAAUAAUUAAUGUUAGGAUUAAUUUAUAUUUAAUUAUUAUAAUUUUAUAAAAUUAAGUGUUUAAUGAAUUAUAAUUUUAAUUAAUAUAUUUAAUGGAUUAAUAUGAAAUAGUACAAAAUUAUAAAUAUAUAUUUAGAAAAAAAAUGGCAUGCUCAGUUUGUAUAAAACAAAUUCAAUCAUGUUCAUUUUUAAUUUUUAAUUUUAAUUUAUAUAAAUACGUAAAUAUAAAUAUUUAAUUAAAUAUUUAUUAAAUCUAAAAAAAUAGAGUUUUAAUGUGAACGAGUGAAUUUAAUUUAGAAUGAUUCACACCUUUUUUUUAUUUUUUUCUCUCUUAUUCUCUAGUGACACGUAAUCAUUAUUUCACCAUCAUCGGACAAUCAUUUAAUUUUAUUUCUGUAUUCGUUUUGAUAGAGUCACAGUAUAACUUGAUAUGUUCGUCUACUACUCAUUACGUUAGAUAAGUUGAAUAUCUCUUUGAUGAGUUCAAAUCUUGAUUAACUCGACUUGCUCGACUGUAGACUAGAUUGCGUGCUAAUAGAUCAGUUUGUAUUGUGGACUAUAACUUAGAAUGCUAGUGCUGAGCUAUCAUCAAACUUGAAAUUAGCAAUUUAAAAAGUGGAAAUAAUUAUCAUUUUCAUCGAAUAUAAUUGGAACAGAGUUAGGAAGAUCUAACUAAUGGGUUAAUUGAAAUUGGAUUUUGCCUAAUUGAAGUUAAAUUAAAAUCAAUCGGAAUAUUAAGAGUUUUGUUUAUUUAUGAAAACUAAUUUAUAUAUAAAACAUAUUAUAGAAAUAUUUUUUAAUAAAAUAUUUUUUAUUAUUUAAUUUUAAUUUAAAAAUAAAAUAUAUCAAACAAAUUAUAUAUAGAAAUUUUAAUAAAAUUUUUAAAAGUCACUUUAAAAAAAAAACUUUAAAGUAUAUAAAAUGAUUUUUUUAUCAUAAAAUUAUUUUAACUAUAAAAUAUUGUUUAUUAACAAUUCUUCUUUUGGUUUCGAAUGUUUAAAAAAUAUACGUAAAAUAUUUUUUAAAAUUGAAUUUUAAAUUAACAAAUUUUAAAAUUUUUAACCAUUUGAAUUUAAGCUACAAAUUAACUCCAAACCCUCCCUUAGCCAUCCGAUGAUUGUCCCAUUAUGUCGGCUACUUUAAAAUAAAAUCAAAAAAGGAAAAUUACUUUUUAGUCUCUGAGGUUUAACGUAAUUAAUACUUCUAUCCCUCUAUUUUGGCGACUCAACACUUAAGUCCCUCACUUUUUUUCCGUCCAAAUUUGUAAUCCUUCCAUUCAAAAUAGCCUUUUGGAAUAUGUGAAUUGAUAAAAUUGACCCUCACUAAAAGUCCUGCUAUUUCAAAAUCACGAAACCCAAACCCAAUCUAAUGCUUCUUCAUUGUAGAUGCUUCUUCAUUGUAGAUGCUUCUUUACUGUAGAUUAUUCUUUUUCUUCUUUUUCUUCUUUUUCUCUAUCUCCAAAUCACUAUUAGCCUCCUCACCAUAACUCCUACCCUUUUUACAACAAAUCUCUCUCUGUUUCUGUAAGAGUUCACUCUCUCAUUUCUCUAUUGACCCUCUAAGAAAAGAUUUUGCAACUCUCAAAUAAUAUUUUAGGGAGAAGAAAAAUGGAAAAAAAAAAGAAAAAUUAACAAUGUCAAGAGAAAAUAGAGAAAACAUGAGGGAGAAUAAAGAUAAAAAAGAGAAGAAAAAAAGAAAAAUCAAUAAUAUCUAAAGAAAAUAGAGAAAAUAUGAGGGAGAAGAAAGAUGAAAAAGAGAGAGAAAAGAAAAAGAAGAAUCAAUAAUGGGUAAAAGACAAUGAAGAAGAUAUGAAAGAGAAAAAUGAUGAGAGAUUGCAUGUUGAGGGGGUUAUUUUUAGAAAAAAUUCACACCUCUCACCUUUGACUCUUUGAUCAAACGGCUAUUUUGGAUGGAAGGACUACGAAUUUGGACGGAAAAGAAAGUGAGAGACUUAAGUGUUGGGUAGCCAAAAUAGAGGGACAGAAGUGUUAAUUACGUUAAACAUCAGGGACUAAAAAAUAAUUUUUCCAAUAAAAAAUAAAGAAAAGGGUAAAAUAGUAAAAUGGGUCGUGAAGUCAGGAUGCGAUGGGCCGCCCUCUUCUUGUCUGGUUUUAUGUUAUGCCCCCUAAUGAACCAAUUCCCAGAGGCCCUAAACAGCAAAACAUCAACUUUUACCUCAAAAGAAAAUAACUAUUAGGUCCCUCUACAUUAAAAAAAAAUUACUACUUUAUUUAUAUUUAAAAAUUACUCCAUUAAAAUAUUUCUCAAUUUCACAAAAUUAAACUAUUUUAAUUUUUUUAUUAAAAAUUUCUAACGGUCUUAAAUAUUUAUAUUAUUUAAUUUUUUUAAUUUUAAUUAUAUAUAUUAUUUAAUUUCAAUAAUUUUAAAUGUUUAUAUUAUUUAAUUUUUUCGAUCGAUACUAACACAAAUUAAUUAUAUUUUUUUUGAUAAAAUAACUAAAUGAUUUGAUUUUAUAAAUAUAUAAAAUAUUUUAGUUGUAUAAUUUUUAAAAUAAAAACGAAGCAAUAAAUUUUACAAAAUUUUUUAAAUGUGAUAGUAAAUUAGUAAUACUCCCUAAAUCACUCUACUAACACAAAUUAAUUAAUAAUUUAUUUUUAUAAAAUAACUAAAUGAUUUGAUUUUAUAAAUAUAUAAAAUGUUUUAGUUGAAUAAUUUUUAAAAUAAAAAUGAAGCAAUAAAUUUCACAAAAUUUUUUAAAUAUGAUAGUAAAUUAGUAAUACUUCUUUUAACUCAAUAAGAAUCCAUUAAUUUCCACAUAAUAUAGAAUACAAAGCCUAUUAAAUAAGUUAUAAAGAAAUAAAUAAAGUUUGAUAAAAAUACAAAUAUAUAAAAUACAAUAUAUCUUUAUCAUAUAUCUUUAUUAGGAUCCUUAUCAUAUAUUCUUAUCAUACCCCUCAAUUGAUAAAUGAUACAUGAGUACUCGAUGUCGAGUUUUGACUAGUAAUUUUAUUAAAAUGUCAGCAAGCUGGUCUUUGAAGCAAAUAAAACAAACUUGAACUUCUUACUUUUAAACCUUGUCUCGAACAAAAUGGAAAUUCACCUCUAAAUGUUUAGACCGUACAUGAAAAAUAAUAUUAGCAUAUAAAUAUGUAGUUUCAAUAUUGUUAUAACAAAGAUUAGAAAUUUGUUUAGAAGUAUACCCAAUAUUUCGUAAAAGAGAUUGUAUCCAAUUAAGUAAACUCUAUAAUCGCCAAACCAAUUGUCCUGUACUCAGCUUUGGUGGAAGACUUGGUAACGGUUUGUUGCUUCUUGAAAUUUCAAAAGAUUAGAUUUUUGCCCAUAAAAAUGGCAAAACCAGUUGUAGAUUUUAGAUCGUCUAAAUCACUUGCCCAAUCAGCAUCCGUGUGUAUAUUCAGGUUUGUAUCUUACGAUUUGGAGAACAAAAGACUAUAGCUGGCUGUUGCUUUCAAGUAUCGCAAUAUGCAUUUGACAAAAGUCCAAUUCUCAUUUAUUGGCGCAUACGUAAAUUGUGAUAUUUUGUGAACGGAAUAACAUACCGCAGGACGAGUAAGACUUAAACACUGCAAUCCACCAACAACGCUUCUGUCUUGAGCUCCAUAGUAUUCGACUCGUUAAAAUUUAUAAACUCGACUCAUUUUCCGAAUUUAUGAUUAGGCUCAUGAACGGUCUCGUUAAGCAGAUUAAGAUUAAUAUUAUAAGAGAAAUAAACUCAAACCCUAUAUAUACUUUCAUUAACUAAAUUUAAAUUUUCUAAAAUUCAGCUCUAUAUAGUUUAAUUACACUCUUAAAACUUACAUAUAUUUAAAUUGUUAAGAUUUAAAAGUUCAUCUUUAUAAAUUUACGAACUAAUUUAUAUAUAUACUUAUUUAACUAAAAUUAUUUAGUUUUAAACUAAAAACCAUUAUAUAUGUAAAUAAAUUAAACUAUUCGUGAAAUAUUCGAGAUUAAAACUCGACUCAUCUAAAUUCGUUUACUAAACGGGUCAAGUUUGAGUUUAUUAGUAUUUGAAUCGAGUUCGAAAUGAGUAAAGUAUGAAUUUAGCUCAAAUUUUAAAAAAUUUUAACAAACCAAACUUUAAUUCUUUAAAACUCGGUUCGGUUAGGUUCAUUUCCACCCAUUCCAAUUUGAACAGUGUGUUUGGUAGACAUACAAGUCAAGUGUUGUUGGUCAGUAUAGCUUGCAGUUAGGUGAAACUCAAACAUAAUUAACAGUUAAAACAUCUAAGCAUUGACAUUUGAAGUUGGAGAUUUAUGCACUUUAGUUGGUCAGUAGUUUCUAAGGCAAAGACUCAAGUAUAAAACCAAUUUCAACACAACAUAUAGAGGAAAGAAGGGUUAAGGAUCUCAUUAAGUUAAUGGUGCAAUUAAUACACAGGAAAACUAAUAAUGUUAAUUUUAUUACAGAAAAGAAUAAGGUGAAAUUGACCCAAAAAUAAUCACAGGGAAAUUUUUUUCAUUUGGGCAUAUAGAUACAGUUUUGAAGUUAUUGGUUUUAGUCAGUACUAGGAGGUGCUGCUUGUUGAUUGACUUUCAAGCAGAGGUGAGCUUUCACUGGCUUGUGAUCUGAGCUGUAAAUAUCGUCGAUGGACUCGUAGCAAUGUAAGCUUGCACUAAUUUCGUCGCCGUCAUGUAUCUUGAACAAUAUCCGAUCUGUCCACGAAGGCACUCGCACCUGAAAAAUCCAUCCAUAAUAUUACUUGUUGAAAAAAAUAUGGAACUUUUUAUUUAUCCAUACACUCAUUCAAUCAAUUAUUAUAAAUUAUUUAUAAAUAUUUAAUAGUUAAUUUAAAUCAAAUUGAAUACAAAUUAAAUAAAUUACUUAUCUAUUUAUAUUUUAUUAAAAUAAUGAAAAUACUACUGAAAAAUAUAAAUUAAAAAAUUAAAUAAAAAUUAUAAGAAAAUAAAUCAUUUAAUUUAGAUAUAUAGUACUUUCCAAAUAAUUAAAAAAAUCUAAUUAAUUUUAUAAACUAAACAAUUCUAAAAUAGCAAGAAAUAGUUAUUACCUUGUGACUUGUAUCAUAACUGCUGCUUCCGACAUUGUAUUUGUACGUUGGUUUAAAUGUCAAUGUCCCCUCGCAGAAUCCGUCGAAAACCUGUCCCUUUUCUGCUUCUUGUAAGAGCUGAUCUUUGCUGGUGAGCAGCUGUAUCCAUUGUUACACAAUCACAAACAUUAAUUAAAACAAUAAUCUUAAACGACAGUUAACCUGAUAACAUAGAAAGUGAUAGAUCGAUGUUUCAUUACAACAACUCACUCUAUGAAGAUCUUUCUUUAUUAAAUUUCUGACAGGAUAUGUGUCUAUCCCCUGAAUCCUGUAGUUGAGGUCUCCCAACCAUACAGUGAUUUGGGCAGGUCUAGCGUAAGGAUUCCAGUUCCUGGAGAAAAGGUUGUGUGAUAUGUGUCUGCACUGGGAAUUUCUCUCUUCCACAUUCCGAGCAUGAGCUGCAUGCAUGCGUGCCAAUAUAUUUAUUUACUGCAAACUAAAAUUGAUAAAUAUAUUUCAUUUAUAUAAAUAAAUAUUGCAACGGACAAUAUAUCAACCGACCUAGCCACCACCCACCAGUAAAGGCAUAACAAAUCAAACCCAUCGACUGGUUGGUUUGACAAUAGUGCUUCCUCCAAUAGUCUUCCACUCCUAACUACCUCUCCUCUCCUUUAUCAUAUAAUGUUUAAAAUAAUAAUAAUAAAUAAAUAAAUUUAUAUAUUCAUAGUGAUUAACCCUAAUAUUUAUAUAUUAAUUAAAUUCAUAAUAAAUUUAUAGCAAAAAAUUACCACCACUAUCCCAACUUGGGCCCCUAUCUGCCCAGAGGUGGUUCCCAGCUAGGUUCCACAUGGAAUUGAGAAGCCCAUGCACGCAAGGCCCAGUUCUAGAAAUACACAGUUGCGCAUCCCAAACAACUAAUCAAAUUCUUAAUGGAAAAUUAUGAAAAUUCUUAAUCGUAUGUAUGAAAACUCAGCUAAUAGUAAAUCACCAAUAUACUUUUAUAAAUAAAUUUACCAUGAUUUUCAUAUAUAUAGCAUUUUAUUUAAAUGGUUGGGACUUUCCCAGAAAAUUAAUCAUCAAAUGGAAAAAGAAAAUGAGAGUAUGUAAGUGAAAAUUUGGAUUCUUACCAGAGAGAUGGCAAGAGACAAACACCAUUCUAAUUCCUUUGUAAUUGAUACGGAUUGCUACUGCCCCUUUCGUUCUCCUAAUUAAUCUUCCAAAUCCACCCACAGAAUGCUUAUCCACCUUCAAUUCUAUUAACCAGCCUUUUAACAUAAGUAUGUGCAUGGUUUGGGAAAUUAAAUUAAAUGAAUAGUAAGAAGAUUUUCACUCACCUUUGAUGAAUAAUUCUGAGUUCAAUGGCGAAAAUACGUACAACUGAAGAGAUUGCAUGAUGGCCUUUCCUUGCAGUCUUCAUUCAAAUUUAAAACUUAAUUAAUAUACAGUUAUUAACUAUGAAAUUUUAAGUUUGUUUUCCUUUUCAUUUGAUAGUGGUGGUUAUCUAUGGCAACAUCUUACACUCAGAUUCUAUAAGAAGAAUGGAGAAAGUUGUAGUAGAAGAAAAGAGAAGGAAGAGUUUGGAUUCUUACAUAUGAGUAUCCGCAACAACUGCCUGCAAUAAUACUGCAACAUUUUUCCGAGGUACCUCUUGCAAACCAACAACAAGUAGAUCAAACUUCCGAUCGCUGCCAACAAGCUCCACCAAAUCUUCAAAAGAGACCUAACGAAAUUGCAAACCAUGCACACUCUAAGAUUAAUUGUCAGCUCAUUUUAUAUAACAACAAUUAAUGCAUGAACUUUUACCUUUCCGUUCAUGUUCCAGGUCACUAUGCAGACGCAAAGGUCAGAGUUUCUUGAGAAGUUGCAGAGGUUAUCGACCUUCACAGUCUUUAUUCCUUCAUGCUUGCUCAUGGAAUCCAUUUGCUCUCUCAUCACGAACUUAGACCUUAUGCGAUAAACAGAAACCCAGAUUAAUAUCAUCAACAUGAGCAAGAAUCCAAGACAAGAAAGAAAAAGAGAAGUUGACGACGAUGAUAUAUACCUUUUUCCAGCACGAUUUCCAUUGCAAUUUCCCAUUUUCUUGGUUUAAGAUUCACGAAACCAGGGACUCUAUUACUGUUCUGUGAGCCCAUGCAGAGUUUUGAGAAGAACACUUUGGUUUUGAUAGAGAAGAAGAGAUCAAACAACUUUGUCGUUUGACUUGGGACGUGGGAAGUUAUUGUUAUAUACGUGGAAACGGAAACAUUAUUAGGGUUUUUGGCGGUGAAGAAGGUAUGGAAAGCUAAAGUCAAAACAUGUAAACUCUUCAUCUUCAAUAUUGCAUAUCUGAUAUGAUCACGAAAUUUUCAAUAGUUAGGUGAGGCGUUAUUGACAAUUCAUGCAAGUUUAAUCCAACUUGGAAAGGACCACAAUUUCUCACGUCAUUAUGACCAAUGUAGCUAAAUCAUUCGAUCAUUAGCUCAAUUAUAUAUGCCAAUUAAAGACACAUGUCAUCAUUUGCAUAAAGUGUCAAAAUGGAUGCCAAUCAUGCAUAGCUAGUUGGUAUACAUUCCAAUUUUUCAUCUAUUUAUUUUGAAAUUACUCAUCUUAUAUAUGAUGAGAAAAAAAAAUUCAAUAUCUGUUGAAAUAAAAUUAAACUAAAACAGAGAAAAUGUGAAACCGUUGGUAUUUAUGGAUAGUUAUUCCAGUUUAAGUUAUUAAACUGAUAAAAUGGCCGAAUAUAAUAAAGGGUUAAAAUUCAAAAUGAGUGUAUAAGAAUACAUAUCUUAAUAUCUGUCAAUAUUAAGUUUUAUAUCGUAAGAAGGUGGAGUCAAUUAUUAAAUUUCAUGUAAAAUUGACUGAUAUCAAUUAAUAGAUAAAAAUUUCUGUGAUUGUAGAUGUAAUGGUUAUCUGCUGAAUUAUAUAUGCUAACAGAAAUUUUUACGAGUUUUAAUAAACAAUAAAAUGUUACGGUGUCUGAAUUUCUUUUUUGGGUGAAAUCAUGUAUAUCUUAUUAGAUUUUUAGAUUUUUGUUAAGUGAGUAUGUUUUAAGGCAACGACUCAUAAUUUAUUUUAAAAAAUUGUUUUGUGGAUUAAAAUAUUAUAAUAAUUUCCGUAACUAAUUUAAAUUUUUUAAAAGCAAUUAUCAAAAUUGAUGCUUUCGUAUUUCCCCAUCUUUUCAUUUUGAAAUUUAUUGCUUUUAUCAUCACAAUUAUUAAACAAAAGGUUAAAUCGUGAUGUGUAGUUCACCUAUCAUUAUUUGAAUUAUUGAGGUUUUCACUAAAUAAAUAAUUAUUAUUUUUUUUAGCUUUAAAUUUUUAAUAUAUAAAAAAAAUCAUGAGCAUAUGCUUAACUUUUAUAUAUUAUAGUUUUAAUUAUCCAUUAAACUUUGAUUUAAUUUAAACUCAAAUUCACUGAUUUCAAUUUCUCUUAAUUUAAAUUAUUCUAUAUAUAAAAUUUAUUAAUUCGACUUAUCUAAAUUAUCUGAAUUAACGUCAUAUAAUAAAACAUUUAUUCUCAAAUUUUAAAAAAAUUUAUAUUCAAAAUUUGAAUUCAAAAUCAAUAAUUAAAAAAAUAUAUAUCAUUUCAUUUCACUUCACUGAAAUAUAAAAAAUUUAAAUUUUUUAUCAAAUAUUUAUCUGAAUUAUCUGAUAUUUUAACAUUUUUAUUGAUUAAUAUUUUUUCACCUAACAUUUAUAGAAGUGUAAUAUUUAUUUUUUAUAUGCUAAAAUUUUUCAUCUUUGCUAUUAAUAAAAUUAAACUUUGAUUAUCUAUAAAAAAAACAUGUAGACUGAUUUUUCGUUAUAUUUUUUUAUAAAAUUUAAUAUUUUAAUAUCUAUAUUUUAUAAAAUUUAAAAAUUAAAUAGUUAUAUUUUUAUAAAAAAUAAAUUAAAUAUUAAAUAUUUAUAUAAAAAAAAAAGUCAAAAUGUCAGUUAACUUUUCUUUUAAAAAAGUGUAAUGCAUUUAACUUCAAAAAUGGGGAUCCAGAGCCUUUAUGGUCUUCCAGCAUAAUGCGGCUGAAGUUUGACACUUCAAAUUCUGAAAUGAAGAUGAAUAUAUUUAUAUUGUAAAAUCACAGCCGUCCAGUGAUAUCUUUUCAUACCUAAAAGAGGAAUACUAGAUUGAUGUGAACACUUCCAAGGACCAAGGUUUCUAUAUUAUCUAGAUAACGUGCGCUUGCAAAAUUGCCUCAUCCCAGUUCAAAAAACUUAUUAUUAUUAUUUUUUUUAAUCAAAGAUAUGUAGAAAUUCGUUAUAACGAAGUCGGGGCUUUAGCCCAAUACAAAAGUUGAAGAAAGUAAAUAUUAAAAUUUUUUAAAUUUUUUAUAUUUUUUAUUAUAAUAAUAAAUAAUUUGAUUAUUAUAAUUUUAUUUGAUUUUAUAUUAUUUUAAAAAAUUUAAAAUAUCUUUUAAUAUUUAAUAAAAUUUAAUGUAAAUAAAAAAUUAUAUUAAAAAAAUAAAUUAAAUAGAAAUUAUGUGAUGGAGAGUAAUAAUUUAUAAAUUAAAAGAAUUUAAUUUUUUUUUUGUACAUUUUAAACCGUAGUUUUCCUUUAUUUUAUAAAACCCCACCAAAAUUCAGAUUUAUUUUCUCCCAAGACUCCAUUUAGUAAUUCAGUGAUUGUCGGUUAUAUUGCUCUUUCGCAUAAGCUGAAUCGCUGCUAUCAGUUUUAGCUAUUUCCAGCAUCAAUUGAUAAUUGCGCUCUUUCAGCUACUUCCUCCUCAGGUAAAAACUGCAAUAUAUAAGAGAAACACAGCUCUUUAUUUGUUCUUAUUCACUGAUUUUUCUUAGAUCUGAUGCCUCAAUUUUCUCCCAAAUUGUUUCUGUUUAUACCCUAGAAAUUGCCUUUUCUUCAUCGCAUUUUUACGUUUAAAUCCUCUGCUCAAUCUCAGUGCCACUGUAAUGAAAUCCCUUAAACUGCAGCUACUUGUGAAUUUUGCUACUGUUAAUGACGAUUGUUUGUUUGAUUUUUCCCCCGCUUUUGUUUGGCAUUUCAUCUGGCACAUUGAGAGAUAUGGAUUGCAUUUUACUAAUGUUCCUAGGAAGUUAAUCCAAGCUAGUUGCAUUGUAGUGCUCUUAAUUAGUGGAGUUUGAACUUUAAGCUUUUACAACUUUUUGUUUCUUGAAUUUGAUUUUGGCCCGUCGUAUUUACUGAAGCAAGCUCUUGAUGGCUCGGCAAUCUUUGUGGGAAAAUUGAAUCCAUGUGAGUAGAAGUGAAGAACGAAUAUGGUGAGCUAUGCCUUUUCUUGCAGUGGCUUGCUUCUUGUUAAUGCAGUUAUUUUUUAUUCUCUUCUUUUCUAUUUCUUUUUUUACCCUACUCGUUCUAGUGUUCUUUUCAAUAAUUUGGCAUAUUUUGAUUCCUCUUUUUUGUAGAAUUGUGUGUAGAGGCGCAACUUCGCUUCUGGUGAUUUUAUUUGCAUUUUGAUAUGUUUGUACAUAACGAUCUGCAUUAUCCAAUGGGUAUUUACUUGUUAUAUGCAUCAAGUAAAGCUACUAGAUCAGUGGCAAUAUAUCUGAAGUAUUCGUGGUUUUGAUGCCCGGUUGCAAUUCAACCAGUGUUCUUUGACUUUCAUGGUUCUUUAAGAUUGAGGAGGAUGGUUACUGAAAGAUUUUCCUUGUAAGAGCUCUUUCUGCCCUGAUACACUGCAACGGCACCAUGUUAACAAUGAAAAUGUAGGUAGGGAAAUGUUUUGCUUGUUUGCCCCCUGGAAGGGUGGGAGACAUUCUGCUUGUCCUUGCAGCUUGACUUGUUCAGCCUAUAUCGUGGCAGAAUCAACAUUCAUCUUUAUGCGCUUUCAGUUCCUCCCCAAGUUAUGCAGUUUCGUCUGUCAUUACAGGAUAUCCAGUCUGCUGGAGCUUAUCCACAUAGCAUACUUUCUUAUUCUUCCAAGAAAGUGUAUUCAGGACUAUAAUUUUAGUUAAGACUGAAGGGGUAAUAGCUGUCUGGAGCAUAAUUUCAGCCAGUAGUAUUAUUUCUGUUUGCAGUCAAUGUCUUGUAUUCUUUGAUUUGUCAUUCUUAUUAAACUGAUCAAGGGGGCCAAUGAAUACUAGAUUAACUGUUGUUAUAUCCACUAGUGACUAGACUGGAAAUUAUACUUUCUUAAUGAGCAUUGCAGUUGUGGUUCACUAGUUUCUCUAUUAAGAGUAGAUGGCCUGUAAUUGCCAUUGUUGAUAAUUGUGGAAAUGUGUUUAUGAAAGUGAUGAUCCUCAUGUUUGCUUGUCAUUUUGUAACUUGAAAGAAUAAUUAGUUUUGCAGUGGGACUCUGGUUUUUUGUUUGAAUAAUUAACCGAAAUGUCGAGUUGUCACCACCACAUGAUUCAAUGGGUGUUUUCCUCAUCUAUGUAUCUACUGUUAGUCCUGGCACUUCUUUUUCGUAGCUUAUCAUAGAUAUUGGCUGGCACAAAUCUAUGUCUUGAUAUCACAUCUAGUAUCAUGGGAUUGCUGUGCUUGCUAGUACUUUUUAACAAGCUCAAGUUUUGUAUGUAUUUCCUUGGUUUUUUUAGAUUGAUGAAGUGAAGAAUAUUUCCAAUUCGGAUUGGCAUUUUAGAUACUGUUCUGAAAAUAUGAUGAAUCUUGAUUUUCUAUAUUCUCUUAAUUAUCCAUAAUAUCCACUUGUCAGUAUCGCUGAAUAGCCUUUAUUUUCUUGCAGUUAAUGAUUUUUUAUUUUCACAUUUUCUGUUUAGUAUACAGGCACUUAUUGACCUUGUUUGCCUUUGUCUUUGUAUGAUGUCUAAAUGCUUCUCCCCCUUGAGUAAAUCAGAAGCAUAGAGAACCACCGAAAUUUCCUUGCUUAGAGCCAGAGGUAGACAGAAUCAGCAGCUUACCAGGGCAUGUUUUGGACCAGAUUUUAUCGCAGCUGUCAAUUAGAGAUGCAGUGAGAACAAGUGCUUUAUCAAGUAAAUGGAGGUAUAAAUGGGCUAAAAUUCCGCAGCUUGUGUUUGAUAGUAAUUGUGUCCCUAAUCCCUCACAAGAUCAAACUCUCAUAAAAAACAAGCUUGUCAACAUUGUUGAUCAUGUCCUCUUACUUCAUACUGGCCCGAUACACAAGUUCAAACUUUCUCACCGAGAUAUUCUAGGUGUUAGUGACAUUGAUAGAUGGAUUCUUCAUUUAUCAAGAAGCUCUAUCAAAGAAUUCAUACUUGAAAUAUGGAAGGGGCAGCGCUACAAAGUACCAUCUUCUUUGUUCUCUUGUGAACAUCUUAUUCAUUUGGAGCUAUUCAAUUGCUUGCUAAAACCUCCUUUAUCAUUCAAAGGAUUCCGGAAUUUAAAGAGCCUUGACCUUCAGCACAUUACCCUGACUCAGCAUGUAUUUGAAAAUCUAAUUCUUAGCUGCCCUCUGCUUGAGAGAUUGACAUUGAUGAACUUUGAUGGUUUCACUCACCUUAAUAUCAAUGCUACAAAUCUUCAAUUUUUCGACAUCGGAGGUGUUUAUGAUGAAGUCAGUUUUGAGAAUACCUUUCAGUUAACUCUCAUCUCCAUUGGCUUGUAUGUAAAUGUAAAAAAUGACCGAAAUGCGGUUCAUGGGAAUUCUAGUAAAUUGCUCAGGUUCUUUGCUAAUCUACCUCAUAUACGAAGGCUCGAGAUUCAGAGUUUAUUUCUAAAGGUAAUGGUUAUUCCAAUAUCAUUUCUUUUGCAUUUUGUAACCUUGAACUUUUAUGAAGUUUGUUGGGUUAUACAGGGUAGAUGAUAGACAAACACACGCACUCCCUCACCCCCUCAUCAGACGCAUAUAUAUGUUUAGCACUUAUUUUGAGAUUUUAUAUUUCUAUAUCAUAUCACCUACUUGCCUUUUUUCAACUUUCAGUAGAGUAUUCGAGGUUAUUCCAUAUGCAAUUUUGUCAUAUUUAUUUGAGAUUUAGAUUUAUACUGUUGGUCUACAUCUUUUCUUGCUUCAGUAUCUGGCUAUUGGCAACAUACCUAGCAGAUUGCCAAGACCAUGCAUUGAUCUGAAUUACCUUUCUAUACGCAUAAAUUUCAAUGAUAUGGAGGAAAAUUCUGCUGCCCUGUGUAUUUUAAGAAGUUCUCCUAAUGUGCAAGAACUGGAGAUGCUGGUAAGCUUCUUUCAUGUACUGUUAUGAACUUUCAGGUGGAUUGACAAUUUGACAUUAGCUUUUUAUUUUUUCCGAACAAUUUAUCUCCUGCGGUUCAUUUUUGUAGCUUUGUACUAAAUGGAUUAAGUUGCAACUUCCUGAUAUUCUAGACUUCAUGUAGGCACGCCCAGAGGAGCAGGCUUCUGUGGGAGCAAUAUCUAACUUUUGGGAGGAUGACCACUGGAACAGUCUAUUUGGCCAACUACGACUUGUGAAGAUAGUUGGUAUUAGUGGUGUGAAAUCUGAACUUGAUUUCAUUAACUUUCUGCUUUCAAACUCUCCUGUUCUUGAAAGAAUGACUGUUAGGCCAGCUACCAAUGAUGGAGGAUUUGAGUUGCUAAAAGAACUGCUGCGUUUCCGGCGAGCCUCAGUGAGAGCAGAAAUCAUUUAUCUUGAUCCGUAGGUAUUAUCUGAUUGCCUUGGCAACCUUGAAAAAUGCAUAACAUGUAAAAAAGUAAGCAAACUUCUUCUGAGUACAUUCAUAUUUUGCUUCAGACAAUUUGCCAUUUUGCAGUUGAUCAUGCGGGAACAUAUGAUUGAACUAACGGUCUUUUAUAAUGAAUGAUCCUUACUAGUAUUAACUAAAUGAAAUUUCUUUAGAUUGAUAGUUCGGCUUCUGUGUUUCUGUAACCAUUGACGUAUCAAGAUUUAUAAUAUAUGUGAACGAGCGGCCAGGAAAGAAAUAAGGAGAGUGGCUGCACUCAGAUGGAAGGGACUAUGCUGGAAGAAGUUAAUAUCAAGUAAGCCGUUAAGAUAAAUUAAUAAUUAUCCACUGAAUCCCUCGAAAACAUCCACAAAACAAAUUAUCCACCAUUUUUUUUUUGUAUAUUAUGACCAACGUUGUGUUUGGAUAGAGCAACUUAUUUCUAUGAUAGGACUCGAAAUAUAGUUAACUUGUUAUGUAUUAACCUGUUUAAAUUUGUUAUCAUCUGUUUAUUUAAUUAAGGUAAUAGGUUAACUUAUUUUAUUUUGAUCAUUUUAAAUCCAUUAUGCUUUAUUUAAUUUAUUGCUAAAUUUUUACNNNNNNNNNNNNNNNNNNNNNNNNNNNNNNNNNNNNNNNNNNNNNNNNNNNNNNNNNNNNNNNNNNNNNNNNNNNNNNNNNNNNNNNNNNNNNNNNNNNNNNNNNNNNNNNNNNNNNNNNNNNNNNNNNNNNNNNNNNNNNNNNNNNNNNNNNNNNNNNNNNNNNNNNNNNNNNNNNNNNNNNNNNNNNNNNNNNNNNNNNNNNNNNNNNNNNNNNNNNNNNNNNNNNNNNNNNNNNNNNNNNNNNNNNNNNNNNNNNNNNNNNNNNNNNNNNNNNNNNNNNNNNNNNNNNNNNNNNNNNNNNNNNNNNNNNNNNNNNNNNNNNNNNNNNNNNNNNNNNNNNNNNNNNNNNNNNNNNNNNNNNNNNNNNNNNNNNNNNNNNNNNNNNNNNNNNNNNNNNNNNNNNNNNNNNNNNNNNNNNNNNNNNNNNNNNNNNNNNNNNNNNNNNNNNNNNNNNNNNNNNNNNNNNNNNNNNNNNNNNNNNNNNNNNNNNNNNNNNNNNNNNNNNNNNNNNNNNNNNNNNNNNNNNNNNNNNNNNNNNNNNNNNNNNNNNNNNNNNNNNNNNNNNNNNNNNNNNNNNNNNNNNNNNNNNCAUAAAAAACUAUAGAAUACAUUUAUAUUUCAAAAAUUUUCUUCAGUUCGAGAAAAAAUGAAAUGAAAUGAAAUGAAGUAUGAAAAUUUUCUCCCUCAAAAUUUUCUUUAUUUUCUUCAGUAAACAUAAAACAAUGAAAAAAUAAAGUAUAAUUAUGAGAAUAUAUUUAUAUUUUAAAAUAUUUUUGGUGAAAUAAUCAGAGCUUAAAUUAGGAUUUAAUUGCCUAACCUAAUUUGAUCAAGUGGUUAAAAAUAUAUAUAAUUCAUCUAAAAUCAUAAAUUUAAAUAUUUUUUAAUAAAAUAAUUUAUUUUUUAUAAUUUUAAUUUAAAAAAUAAAAUAUAUUAAUAAAUUUACAUAAAAAAUCUUAAUAAAAUUUUCUAUGCUUAGAAAAUGACUUAUAUUUUAAAGAAAGAAAGUAGUUUCUUUUUAAAUAAUUUAAUUUUUUUAAUUAAUAAAAUAUUUUUAUUCAUUAAAAUUUUUAAAUAUACUAAAUAUUAGAAGAUAAAAAAUUUUUAUUUGAAAAAUAUUUUUAGUGAAAUAAUCAGAGCUUAAAUUAAGAUUUAAUUGUCUAACCUAAUUUGAUCAAGUGGUUAAAAAUAUAUAUAAUUCAUCUAAAAUCAUAAAUUUAAGUUUAUGUUCUCCUAUUUCCUAUUAAAAAAAUUAAAAUUUUAUUAAUGUAAUAGAUAAUUAUAAAAAAUUUUAUAUACUUUAAUUUUAUUAUAAUUUCAGGCCAUACUAAUUUUUUUUAUAAAUUUAACUCUAUUUUUUAAAAAAAAUUAAUAAUUUUAUUUUAAACUUUUAAAUUAUUAUUAUUUCUAUUCUAAAAUUUGUUAAUGUGCUGUAAUAACAGUAAUAAUAUAUCGAAUAUUAUUAAUUUUAUUUUAAAAUUUAUUGACAUGUUGUAAUGAUAGUUAUAUGUAUUAACCGGCGUAAUAAUUUUAUUAAUUUUGAAAUAUAAAAAUAAUGAUAGGAUAAUUUUAAAAAAUUUAAAAUUUAUUUAAUAAAAAGAAUAUUGCGACGGUCAGUUGCUUCCAGCUGCCUGCUUACGCCGCAAAUCCGUCCCACAUCGGAAAAUUGAAAGAAAAUUGAUUUGUAUAUAUAGCUAGCACAGAACUAUUAAAUAAUUUGGAUUAACUAUUUUGGAUCAAGUGGAAAGUGGGUCUAAAAGUUAUUUGGGCCAAUUCAGGCCCGGCUGUUUCAAAUACUAUAAAGUAUAAUUAUAAUAAAAUUAAAAUUAAAAUAUUUUUUCCAUUUAACUCAUAAAAAAUUUACAAAAUCUCUUGUUAUUUUAUGAUAGUGGGUUCUUCUUCCAGCAAAUUUCUAAGGCCACCCUUCAAGAAUGAUUGAUGUGCCUAAUUUCAAUGUCAAUCACUCAUUAUUAUUGUCGUUAUUUUGAAAAUAAAUGAGUUUCUUUAAGUAGAAUCAACAAUAAUAGCAUCCACUUCCAAGGAAAAACAACAAUAGAGGAAAGGAAAUCAGUGAAAUUAAUGCCUUGUUUGGAUGACAUGAAAGGAGAGGAAGGAAAAUAUUGUGUGGAACUAAAUAUUGACAAGACAUUUUCUUUUGUUUGGUUAAAAAGGAGAAAAUUCUUAGAGAAGGGAAAAUGUUGUUUAUUUUUUCCUAAAUAUUAUCUCAAAAUGAAAAAAUAAAAAAGAGUUGAAUGAAAAGUCCAAAAGUGCACAAUCAAAUAAAAAUUUAUAUAAAUAUCUUUUUUAUUUUUAUUUAUAUCAACCAUAUUUUAUUGUGAAUAAUUAAUAUAAUAAGACAGACAGUUACUUUUUUUUUUUCUUAUUCAUCUCUUUUCCAAAGAAGUGAAAAUAAAUUUAUUUUCUUUUUCAUCCUUUUAUAUUUUUUGCUUAUUUAAACAUAACAGAGAAAAUAAAAAAAUAAAAUAAAAUGUAAAUCUCUAUAUUUUUAUUUGGGAGUUAAAUAAGUUUAAUUUAAUUUUUUUAAAUAAAUUAUUAAAUUUUACUUUUAAGAUUAAAUAAGUCAUUUGUUAAAAAAAAAUUAAAUAAGUCAUCAUUUAAUAAAAUAUCAUUUUUUAAUUUAAAAAUUAUUUAUUAUUUAUAUAUUUUUUAGGUUAAUUAAAAAUACUAAAUUUUAAUAUUUUAAAUUAUAAAAAUAAUAUUAUACUGAAUUAAAAUUUAUUUGGUCUUAAAAAUAAAAGUUAAAAAUUUAUUUAGUUAAAAAAAUUAAAUUAAAUUUAUUUGACUCUUAAAUAAAAAUACAAGAAUUUAAUAGUAUUUAUUUUCAAAAAAUAUGAACGUGAGAUCCAUUUUCUAAUGGCAAAUAAAUAAAUAGAUCCACUCAUACGUUUUAUAUUAUUUUUUCUUGUGAAAAGAAAAAGCGAGAACAGAGAGAAACCAAAUGGUACUAACAGCAUCGGGCCUCUCCUCUGUUGAGUUGCUUGUGCUUGCCGUCGUCAGUCUGUACACAUCACCUUGUUUGUUUAGUUUUUAAAUAUCGUUAUCGUUGUUUUCAGUUGGAUGUCACAAUGAUCGAUUUUAGUGUCGGUUUGAUAGGUUUAUGACUUGUGUGCUUCUGAUGUGUGCGGUUCUCAUAGACUUCUCGAUCAUAGAGAGGUUUUUAUUUGAUUUGGUUCGACACUUUGAGAAUCGCACCACCACGUCCAGUGACCACACUCUUGUCGGUCUUGCUAUGGCUACGAGUUCUGUCGAACGACCUCUUUGUGUUUUGAUCAUCGUGGGUUGAAGACUUUUACUCCUCUGUUACUUUUAGUUUACAGAUAGUGUUGGCUUGGAUUUCUUUGCACAUGCUUCUUCGUUUUGGAUUCCAAUGAGCUACAUAUCGUCUUUUUCUCUUUUUAUUUGCGUUUGUCACUGUAGACAUGCAGUUGUUUGUUUGGCCUGAGUGAAUUUUUUCGGUGAGCAGACUUGUGAUUGUUUUAGUUUUUCAGAAACAUUCGGUGGCUGUGGUUUUGCUGCUUCCCUAACUUUUUUGAUGGCUCCUUUUUUGAAAUUGUAUUUUGAUUUUAAAUUGUUGAUUUGGUUGUUUGACAUCUUCAGCAUGUCUAGUAGACGAUGGUCUUUCUCUGAUUUGCUGUGUAGAGGUAAGGAAUGAGAGGGUAAAAGGAUAAAGCGGUGGGUUAUUUCAGCAUGAUCUCGAAAUGAGUUGGAUUCUAUUUAGGCAAAAGACCGGGAUUUGGGCUACUGUUUCUAAGCCAGUUUGGUUGGAUAUAGAUUGGCUUAUUUGACUUGGGUUCAAUCGUGUUAGGCUUGGGUGUUUCCUCUUCGGCCUUAGUUAUCCACUAAACUUUUAAUAAUAAAAUACUAUUUUGUAUUAAUAAAAGAAAAAAAAAAGAAAGAAAGAAUAAAUAGAUAAAUAAAUAAUAAAAAGAAAAAAGAAAACAGUCGGCCCGCUUAGAUUAGAAAAAAUAAUUAUAAAAAUUAUAAAAAUAUAUAAACGUAAACGUAUAAUAAUUAGUACAAUAAUUAAAUAUUAAACAAAUUUAACCAUCAUAUUUAUAAUAUCUUUGGCUUAAAAAUAUACAAUAAUAUUUAAUAUUAACAAUGAUUUUUUAAUAAUCGAUAUUUUCUUAUUAAAAAUUUAAAGUAUUAUUUUAAUUAUUUUUGAAAAAAAAUUAAUUUAAUCCUAAAUCAAAAGAUUUAAUAAUUGAAUAAAAAUUUAACUUUUGUCAUAAUUGGAUACUUUUUCCAAAAUUUAUAAGAAAAGUGAAAUCUCAGAAGCUAAUGAGAUAUAAUGAAACACAAGAACAUCAAAAUAAAAAUGAAAAUCACUGAGCUUAAGUUAGUUAAAUUGAUUAUAAUAUAAUUUUAAAAUUUAGUAAAAUCACAACUUAAUUCUUAUUUUUUAAUAAUAAAUAAUUUAAUUUUUUUAGUGUUAAAAAAUAUAUAUAUAUAAUUUUAAGCAGUUUUAGCCAAACCCUUAAAUAAUUUAAGUAUUUUUAAAUUAAUAUAUAAAUUAAUAAUUAAAAGUCGCUAAUUAAAUCAAACAAUUUCUAAAUUGUUAUGCUUUAACAGUAACUUUUUAACAAAAUAUAUUAAAUUUAAUUUCAUUAAAUCUAAUGAAUUAAAUAUAAAUCGCUUAUAAAGUAAAAUAAAAAAUUACUGAAUAAUAUAUUAAAAUAUUAAAUUUAAUUUUUUUUAAAUAUUAAAUUUAAAAUUUUUAAAAUUCAACUAAUGUAUUUAUUGUGGAACUACUCUUAUGAGUGGUAAUAUUCACAACAUCGUAGACUCUUUUCUUGCUGUCCUACAAAAGAUUCUGUUAUGCAGAAAAACACAAAAAUAGAAAUAAAAAUUAAAAAAAAAAAAAAAACAAAAACAAAAACAAAAGCCAAAAAACAAACAAAUACAAAACAAGAGUACCCAGUCAUCCGCUAUGCAUGAUACCUUUAAGUUUGUCUAGAGCGACGGCUCGGUACGAUGCUUUGCGGUCAAAAUUAGUAGUCCGCAAUAUUUAUUUAAAUUGGCAUUAUAUAAAUUAAUAAUAUAAAUAAAUAAAAUUUUAUAUAAAUUUAUUAUAUAUUUACAUUAUAAAUUUAAUUUAAAUAAAUAUUUUUAAUUAAUUAUAUAUCUAAUAUUUAAGCACGUUUUAUCUACUAGUGUAAAUAUAUAUUUGAUUAAUUAAAAUAUAUCAUACUAUUUUAAUCGUAAUAAAUUUUCUCUAAAAUUAUUAAUAUUAUUUUAUUAUAUUUUUUUAAAUAUAAAUUUAUAAAAUAAAAAAAAUACUGAAUGAAUUGAUAUGAUAAUCUUUUUAAAAUUAAUUAUAAAAAAAAUAGUGUAUUUAAAUAUAGAAAUUAUGGAUUCUUUAUAUAAUAUAUUGAGUGAAAUUUGAAUAUUAUUAAAGAUGGAUAAAAUAAUAAAGUUAUACUUAGAAUAUAAUAUUUAUAAUUAAUAAAAACAAAAUAUAUAUUUAUAAAUUUAAUUUUAACAUAAUUAUACUAAAUCAAUUAUAAUUUAAUUAGAAUUAUAUUUAGUAAUUUUUAUUUAAUUAAAUUAACAAAAAAUCAACUUUUAAUUUUUUUUAAAAUAAAAUUAUUAAAUAUAGUAAUAUAUUGAAACUAAAUUCAUAUUUAGUUAUAAUAAAUUAAUAUUAAUAAACUUUAAUUUAAAAAUUAAAAUUCAGCGAAAGGACAGGCAGCCUGGCUGUCCCCUUGAGCUUGUCGCUGAGUGCAGGAAAAUUCAAUUUAUUAUCUAAUUGAACUCUUCUCUGGAACAGCUCUUAUCGUACUUGUGUGGUUGUGGGUCCAACGGAAGGGUGGUGAGUGUUACGUCUGAAACUGACAAGCGACUAGAAAUACAAUCCAAACACAACUUGGCAACUCUAUAGGAUCAACGGCCAAUUAUUGAAGAAAAUAAUUAUUUCAAAUCAGAUUUAGAUCUAUAAUAUAGAUAUAUAAUAAAGUUUAUAUAAAAUAUUAUAUAUUUAAAUUAUAAAUUUAUAUAAAAAUUUCUCCGAUUAUUAAAAUAAUCACGGCAAAUCAACCUCCAUUUAUUUUCCUAAGUCGCUAGUAAAUUAAUUAACCACGGUAACUGCCUUUCAGAAAUCGACGCGCUUUAUUGUCACACCUACCCCUCCUAGUUGGCUAGGAUUAGGAACUACAUAGACUUGGCCGCCAAUCAAUUUCGGUCUCAUUUUGGAUGGAAACUAUCCAUACUAUAUUAUUUAUUUGAUUUUUAUACUAAAAAAAUUAAAGAAAAUCAAAUUAAAUAAUAUAAAUUUAUUUAAAAAUAUUUUGAAUUAUGCCGAUUCUAAUUGAAAAUCAAAUUCAGUGAUUUUGGAUGGGGGAUAUUGAUGUAAAUGGAGGAGUGGCGAAACGGAAUUGUAAGGAACUUUCUAAUAGCAUUUGUAGGUUUAGUUUGGUUUGAUUUUUCUUUUUAAUCUUUGAUAAGACUUUAUGUAGUCCCACUUUGUAAUUUGUGGACCAUCUAAAUGCAGUUUCCUUGCAGAUCAAAAAAAAAAAAAAAAAAAAAAAAAUUCAAAGAUCACCCUUUGCGUCAGCAUGAGCUUUCCAAAUCUCGUAGUUGCUCCCAUGUAAAUCGCGGACUUUUAUUUUUUCAAUUUACGUGAUUAUCUAGUAAAUUUACCUUAUUUUUGUGUUUAUCACAUUUUUAGAUAGAAAAAAGUUUUAAAUGAUCAGAUUGAUUAACUUAAAUUAAAUAGUGGCUGCAGGUGGAGACCAUAUCUGUUAUGUUGUAAAGAUUCAUAGCGGCAUACGAGGAGCUACAGCAAGCUAGCACUCAUUUAUGGCUAUAGAUGCUCCUCUUCUCGACGGCUAUGCCAAAAGUGAUCAUCAAGAAAACAAGUAUAUCAGCGUCGUUAGAGAUUUUAAUGAAGAGUCCAAGCGGCUAUGGAAGCUAGCAGGACCAGCGAUAUUCACUGCCAUUUGUCAGUACUCGCUGGGUGCACUCACUCAGACCUUUGCCGGUCUCGUGGGCGAGCUUGAGCUCGCUGCUGUUUCCGUUGAGAACUCGGUUAUUGCUGGCCUCGCCUUCGGUGUCAUGGUCAGUUCUUCUUCCCCUUGCUUCUUUUGUUUUUUCUGUUAAUAUCUACAAUGUUUUUGUUAGUAAAUAAGAUUAUGAGGUGUUUGGUUUGAUAAAAAAUUGCAUAAUAAUCAUAAAACUUAAGUUUGGAUUUUGAGUUUGAGUGCAGCUGGGAAUGGGCAGUGCAUUGGAGACGCUUUGCGGGCAAGCCUACGGUGCGGGGCAGCUGAGAAUGUUGGGUAUAUAUAUGCAGAGAUCAUGGGUGAUUCUGUUGACCACUGCCUGCUUAUUGGUUCCAAUUUAUGUUUGGUCUCCACCCAUUCUGGAACUCAUUGGACAGACUACUCAGAUAUCUACUGCUGCAGGUUUCUUUACUACUGUGUCCCUUUUCUUAUUAACUCUCUCUCUCUCUCAUUAAACAUCGUAUGCAUAAAUAAUUCUGGAAAAUUCCAUUAAUCCAAUUUUCAAUUCAAUAAAUAUAAUUAACCUCCUUUAAUAAAUUAAACAUUGUCAGAGCUAAAAUGAGAUGUCAUGAAAAUUUUUUCCCUUGAUAGUGGUCUAUGUCUUAAAAAAGAAUAAUAACAAAAAAAAAAAUAUAAGUUGGGUGGAAUCCCGUGGCUAGAAGUAACCUGCACGGCCUUGUGCAAUGAAGGCUGUGUGACAUGCUGGCGGGCCUUGUAACGUGCUGCUUUCUUCAGUUACGUCCAUUCCUCUUCCAACAGUAGACUACAUAAGUCAUGUAAACUAGGUGCAAAUGAAUUAAACUAUUCUUGAAUUAUUCAAAGUUUACUCAUCUUCUACAUCAGUUAAAUUCAAAUUUAAUUUUAAAUUAAUUUUGUAAACAAGUCGGAGUUUGAAUUUAUUAAACACACUAAAUUUAAUGUCUUAGGAGAAUUGAACUUAAUUUGGAAUUUAUAUAAAUUUUUAUGAGUCAAACUUAAACCUUUAAGUCAAUUCUACUCGAUUCGAUUACACUAUUAAAACUUGUAGAUAUUUAGUAUAUUAAAAUUUAAGAUCUUAUCUUUUACAGGUUUGUAUAUGUACUUAUUUAAUCAAAAUUAUUUAGUUUUAAAUUUAUUAAGUUUAAAUUAAAACUUAUUAUAGUUGUAAACAAAAUUGAAUGAAUUAUUGGAGAUUAGACUUGAUGAUAACUCCACUUGUCUUAAUUUAUUUACUAAAUAAACUAAAUUUAAACUUUGGACGCUUGUUAUUUGUUCAAUAGGAUUUGAUUGUACCAUAUACAAUGAGUUUUUGAGAAUACAUUUAACUAGGGCAUUUGUUGCAGGCAAAUUUGCUCUAUGGAUGCUUCCGCAAUUAUUCGCAUAUGCAAUGAAUUUUCCAAUACAGAAGUUUUUGCAAUCACAGAGGAAAGUGUUUGUAAUGGCUUGGAUAUCCGCUGUGGUACUGCUGUUGCAUGCAUUUUUCAGCUGGUUGCUAAUACUGAAGCUUGGCUGGGGCUUAACAGGAGCAGCAAUCACCCUCAACACUUCUUGGUGGAUCAUAGUUAUUGCCCAAUUGCUGUACAUUUUCAUUACCAAGUCUGAUGGGGCUUGGUCUGGAUUCUCAUGGCUUGCAUUUUCAGACUUGUGGGGUUUUGUCAAGCUUUCUUUGGCAUCUGCUGUUAUGUUAUGGUAAAUUUUACUUUCUCCUCUUUAAUUCGUCGCUAUAAAUUUGCGUCAUGCAUUGAUGAUAAGCAAUAUUGACUUGCAGCUUGGAGUUUUGGUACUUGAUGGUACUGGUGGUGAUAACUGGUCGUUUGCCUAAUCCCCUUGUACCAGUUGAUGCCAUUUCUAUAUGGUAAGGUCUCUUAGUCCAUUGUCAUUAUACAGUCAUAUGCUCAAUGGUAAGGUCUCUAGCUGUACAUAUAGAGAAUGCUUAAUUAAAUCAAUUUCUACUUGUUUUGCAGCAUGAACAUACAGGGAUGGAAUGCAAUGAUCGCAAUCGGUUUCAACGCUGCCAUAAGGUAAAUUUCUCGGUUCUUUCAUUUAUUAACAGAGCUUGUACAAUUAAGGGUAUAGGCUUGCACUUAUACGAGAAUAAGUUUAAUGGCUGUUAGAUCAAAUAUCUGCAUUAUAGUCGAGUUUAUAUUAAAUACACUCUAGAAGUAAAUCCUGAAGCAAGAAGUUGUAACAUCACCAGCAAGAAAUGGUGAUGUAUCAUGAAUAACGCACCCAUUAUUUUUUCCUGACAGUGUGAGAGUAUCAAAUGAACUUGGAGCUGGGAAUGCUCGGCUUGCAAAAUACUCAGUGAUAGUUGUUUCAGUGACAUCCAUCGCAAUAGGGGUUAUUUGCAUGGCUGUGGUUUUUGCAACAAGAGACUAUUUCCCCUACCUCUUCACUACGAGCGAGGCCGUUGCUAAAGAAACUACUAGACUUUCAAUCUUGCUAGGAAUUACCGUGCUUCUGAACAGCCUUCAGCCUGUCUUAUCUGGUAAGUGCUGAAGGACCUUAGUCCUUAGACAUUUGAUAGGCGAUCUAAUUUCAGAGUUUUUUGAGUGAAUAUUGAGUUUCUCCUGUUUGUUAAAUUUCCUCUAUGGAUUUUGUUUAAGGUGUUGCUGUUGGAGCUGGAUGGCAAUCUCUUGUUGCAUAUAUCAACAUUGGUUGUUACUACAUUGUUGGAUUACCGGCAGGCAUACUCUUAGGAUUCACAUUUAGUUUUGGUGUCAUGGUAAUUAAACUACCAGAAUCUAUCUCCUUUCUACUUCUUGAUUGUCCUCUGCAACUAACAUUUGCUUAUGUCUCUUCUGAGAAAUCUGAAUGCAAAUGGAUAUUUUAAUUUUUGUGUUGCAGGGUAUUUGGUCAGGGAUGGCAGGAGGAAUUCUGUUGCAGACCAUAAUACUGAUUAUAGUCACUUCAAUAACCAACUGGCAAAAAGAAGUCAGAACCUCUGCUCUUUCUUUGUUUCUCAUGAAAUUGCCUCGAAUUUUAGUUGUUUACUUUAUCAGCAAAUGUUGAUCGUCAAUUUAUUGGAUUCGCAGGCUGAAGAAGCUGAAAGCCGUGUUAGGAAAUGGGGAGGAUCAAUUGCAGAGGAUCGAUCUGAAUGGUGAGAAGUGUUCCAAGCAUAGAAGAAUGACACCGUUGCUUUUGCAGUGCAGAGACAGACAGCGAGACAUAAUCAUCUGAGACAUGUUAGGCCUGAGAAGUGAUUGUAGCAAAUGUCUUCUUUCCUACAAUGUGAACUAAUUCAUUUAUGAAAAAUGAAAGAUAAAAAUAAAAAAUUCACCUUUUGAGCUAUAUGGUAAAGGUAAAAAUAUUAAAUUUUAUUUUUAAAUUUAAAUUUACCAUAAAUUAUCUUUUAAAAGUCAAAGAAAAUCAAAUAGAUUAAUUAGAGUGGAAUUUUACAAUCUAAAAUUUUGUUAUGGUUUUAUUUAGUUUUUUAAUAAUAACUUAAAAAUAAAUUUAAAGUAAAAAAUAAAAUUUAAUAUUUUUGCUACAUUUUUUUUUUUGAAAUGGAAUUUUUGCUACAUUAUAUAAUUCAAUGAUAAAUUUAAUAUUUUAACUAAAAAUACAAAGAAGUGGAUGUUAAUUUUAUUUAACCUCGAAUAAAGUAAUUACUUUUUUUAAGUUAAUUCCAUGUGAGAAUUACUUAACUUAAACGGCGUCGUCUGCUACCAUCCCACUAUGCAGAUUGAACAGAAAAUAUAAAUGGGCAUUAUCGUCAAUUUGCUUAACAUUAUCCCCUUCGACCGGUUUCGCCUGCUCAAAUACUUCCUCAGCUAGCUCACGGCAGUACACCACAACUGUCACCAGUGUCCCUCGCUGAAGCUCCAUACUCAAAUCAAAAUGUCAAUCUCAAUCUCCUCACUCACCUCUUCAUUAUCUUCGCUUUCUUUCUCUUCUCAGAUUUCGCAAAAACCAAACACCCUCUCAUUUUCCCGUUCAAAAUCCCUUCCUCUCUCGCUCUCUUCCAAACCUGCUCGUCUUCUUGUCUCCGCCACGGUUGCUUCGCCCGUGGAAUCCGAGGCUACCGAUCUUAAGAAGUUAGUUAAGUCGAGGCUACCCGGUGGAUUCGCUGCCCAACCUAUCUUCGGCACUGGUCGCCGUAAAUGCGCCAUUGCUCGAGUCGUUCUUCAAGAAGGCACAGGCAACAUUAUCAUCAAUUACCGCGAUGCCAAGGUCUUUCCUCUUUCCCUCUUUCACUAUGUGACUGCUGAAGGUUAUGGUUUUUCACCCCUGCUUGUGUGGAUCGUCGAGGUUUAGUUGUUUGAUAGAUGAAAAUUUAGGGAUGUUUAAACAAAUUCAGGGCAUAAUUCGAUUGGAUUAAUUAAUUUAUAUGUGUUAUAUAUUGCUUGAGACUAAGGACAUAGAGAAGAAUUGAAAUUUGCUAACUGAAAAUUUGUGGAUUGAGACUUGAAGACUGAAAGGAACAAUGGCAAAGGUUCACAAGUUUUGAGUGUUUUUAGAAUGGCAUGUAUUCUGUUAUUAUCAGAUAUAUAGAACUGUGUUUUUAUGAAUUCUUUUAAGCGCAUGAUAUGAAUUUUCUAGCUCAGAUUUUGAAUGCUUAACUUCUAAAAAUUGCCGGUGAACCACUCGUCUUCAAUUUAGAGAUGCUAUUCAGCCAUCCAUGCAUAAGGACCUUUUGUUAAAGCAACGUACUUUUCACUUCUGGAAUACUGAUUAUUCCAACAUAUAAAGCAUUAUGUUCCUCAUGCUGUUUGAAAUUAUUGCUCUGCACUAACCAGGCCAACCUCAUACGAAACAAGUUCCUCUGUUUUAUUUUGUUAUGGAAUUCAUGUCCUUGCAGGCUUUUAUGUUCAGAAAUUUUGCAUGAAUUUUUAUAUGGUAUCUCAUGAUAUGUUUGUUGUCAUACUCAAAGAGCCGGGGAACAAAAUGGCUAACCUUACUGAUAGUUUUGUAAGAUAGAAAUUCUCUCUUUUAUCUUGUGUGUGGGUCUGUUUUUUUUCUUUUGGGAUCUUUUGCCUAGUCAUUUACUAUAUUUUGCACGUACAUUCUAUUACACGCCUAGUGGCAACUUGUUAAUUUAUAAAAAAAAUUGAUAUUAAUAACUUGAGACAAUUUUUAGGCUAUGUAGUUCCAUGUUUUAUUGUUAAUAAUGCAUGAUUCCUUCCCAGUUAUUGUAGCCUUGUUUGAAUAACUUCCAACUGCUUGUGUCAAAUUUUCUUCAUCUAUUUACAUGCUGUCUUUCCAUGAGUAACUUGUGCAUGGAACAAUAAUAUCAUCACUUUUCCAUUUGCUUUCCUCUGGGUUGCUUUUCAACUUCCUUGCAAAGGAUGAGCGCCUGUUAUGGGCUUAGGCCUUUACCAUAGAGAAAGAACCACUUAUAUAUGCUCUUAAAUAUGGUUUUUAAUUCACUUAAGAGUGAUGCCUAGAAAUCAUUCUAGGAAGUGUCUUUUGAUGAAUACAGUGGAUGCCUAAGUUCUCAAUUCUUACAUAGAAGGGGUGGCAUGCUUUUUCAUGGGUAUCUUUUGUGGUAUGAUCAUGGCUCUUGGGUUCUUGUUAUUAUGGAGCUAUGCUCUCCCUCUCUCUCUCAAUUUCUCUCCCUCUCCACAUGUUUAUUCCUUGUGACUGGGUUUUGUAACGCUGUGCAGGAAUAUCUUCAAGGUAACCCUUUAUGGCUUCAAUACAUAAAAGUCCCAUUGUUAACUCUGGGUUAUGAGAGCAGCUACGAUGUAUUUGUCAAAGCUCAUGGGGGUGGCCUCUCUGGUCAGGCGCAAGCAAUCUCCCUUGGCAUCGCCCGUGCAUUGCUAAAGGUGAGUGAGAGCCAUAGACCCCCUUUGAAAAAGGAAGGGCUACUGACCAGGGAUUCAAGAGUAGUUGAGAGGAAGAAGGUUGGUCUGAAGAAAGCUCGCAAGGCCCCACAGUUCUCCAAGCGUUGAAGUUUAAUGUUAUUGUUUUACACGUUUAAUUAGCAGCUUUUGUUUGUGUAGAUCUCUAUCGCGCUGUAUUUAAGCAAAUAUUAUUUUACUUUAGCAAUUCAUUGAUGAAGUGAGAUUUGCAUUGCAAAACAGAAAAUUUUUAUGAGAAAUUCUCAUUCUUUUAAAUAGAAUAUGUAAUAAUUUUAAGUAGAAUCACAAGAAUCCACUACUCUCUCCUUAGUAGGAUUGUAUAAUCGAAAUUGAAUUGAAUCAAGCUAGAGCUCACUUUUCUUUUUCUUUAAUUUCAUUAUUAUUAUUAUUAUAAAUUUCAUAAAUUACAUAGUGUAUUACAUAAAAGCCUAUAAAAUCAAUAAAUAAAUAGGGAAAUGGAUGGGUUCCCUUUUUAUAAACUUUUUGAUAAAGAUAAUUAAACUCAAUAGAAAACUCUCAAUUUUCUAAAAAAUAACCGAAUUCCAACGAUGCAAUUUUAUUUUAUAGUUAAAAAUAUAACAUAAAUAAAGUUACUUGUGAUGCAAUAAAAAAAAUUCAAGUCUUUUUCUCUUGCCAUAAAAAACAUUUACCUAUGAGCACUAUUUUUUCAUCUUUUGUGGUUUAGACUUUAUUCAACAUAUUUAGUCUUUAGGUUAAGUCAAAAAUUAAUUUUUAUUAUUUAUUGUUUGAUAAGUAAUUUUUUGUACUAGUAUUUAAUGAUUAAACUAAUAAAUAUUGAAAAGCUACUCUUCUUAAUAUUUAGUGUUUGAUGAUCUCUAAUUAUAUUUUUUUAUACUUAUAUUCUUUUAUAUUUUAUAAAUUUACAAGUUCAAACUUUAAUAUAUAAAAUAUAUGUUGAUAGAUGGAUCAAAUAUAUGGAAAUGCUCAUAACACUUGCUAUCUUGUAUUUUUUUGUUUAUAAUAUAAACAAGAAGAUGUUUUUUUAAGUAAUGUUUUACUAUUAAGCUUCCAUUUCUUUUUGAAAAAUAGAACGAAAAUUAAUUUGUAUUUAGAAAAUAUUUUUUAUAAAAUUUUUAAAAAAUUAUUUUAUUUUUUAUUAUUUAAUUUUAAUUUAAAAAAUAAAAUAUAUUAAUAAAUUUAUAUAUACAUAUUAAUAAGAUUACUAAAAUGUAAAAAAUAAUUUUUUUAAAAAAAAAUUUCUUAAAAUAAUUUAAUUUUUCUUUUAAUUAACAAAUAUUUUUUAUUAACUAAAAUUUUAAAAUAUUUAAAUAUUAAAAAAUAUAAAAUAUUUUUUAUAAAACAAAUGAAAUAUAAAUUAAAUAAAAAUUUAAUAAACUUUAAACUAGGUGAGUUGUAUGGAGACAUGGUAGCAGUGUUAUUUAUGGGCAUGUUGGAUGAUAAUUUUUAAGAUAAUGUUUAAUAUUUUGAGGGAGGUAAAAUACAUGAAUCAUAAAAAGUUAGCAUUUUAAUUUUUGAUAAUUACUGCUAAUGGUGUUAAAACAGUUAGCAGUAUUGUGGGAAUGAGGAGACUUUUCCUCUAUGAGCUGCCCCAUGUACUGUUGUACACUCUCAAACUGAGUAGUGCGCACAACAUUCAUCUUCUUUCAUGAUUACCAUUUGGAUUGGGCUUAUAAAUGAUAAAAAAAAUCUUCACUUUUAAUUCCAUUACAAGUACAUUCUAUAUUUUUUUAAUUAAAAUUUAAUUUUUUAAAAUUAUUUUAAUUAUAUCAUAUUAUUAAAAAAUUAAAAAAUUAUCAUAUUACUUAUCACACAAUAUUAUAUUAUUGCGUACAAAUAAUUUUUUAUACUUUAUCAUUCUAUUUUAUACUUUUAUCUUUUAUAUUAAUAAUUGUUUUAAUAUCCGACUAAAUGUAUUAUAUUAUUAUUUAUAUGAUUAAAAUUUUAUAAAAUUAUAAAAUUAUUUUUUUAAUAUUUAAUAUAUUUAAAAAUUAUUUUUUAAUUUUUUAAUUUUUAUUAAUAAUUUUAUAAUAAUAAUUUAUUUUAAUCUUGACUAAAAUUAUUAUGAAUUGAUUUUUUUAAAAUUUAUCUAAUAUACUUACUAUUUAACAUUAUUUUUAAAAUUAUUAUUGAAAAAAUAAAUUUAUUAAAAAUAUUAAUUAUAAAAUAUUAAAAAAAUAAUUUUUUAAAAUUUAUUUAAUAUAUUAAUUAUUUAACAUUAAUUUUAAAAUUAUUGUUAAGAAAAUAAUCUUAUUAAAUAUAUUAAUUAUGAAAUAUUAAAAAUAAUUUAAAAUAAUAUUUAACAUAAUUUAAUUUAAAAAUAUUAAAACUAAUAAAAUAAUUUUUUAAAAUAUAUUUUUUAAUUAUUUUUUUAACUCUCAAAUAUACUAUUAAUUCGUUAUUUUUUUAAAUUAUACUAAUAUUUAAAAUGAAUUUUUAAAAAAUUAAUAAUAUAUAGAUUAAAUAUUUAAUUUUAUAUUCAAAUUUAUUAAAUAAUUAAAAAUAUAUAAUUUAUUUAAAAUUAUAAAUUUAGUUUUCAUUUUUUAAAAAAAAAUAUUAAUAAAAUAAAUAAUUAAAAAAUCCUUAUACUUUUAAUUUUAUUAUUAUUUUAUUUUAAAAUUUUAAAUUAUGAUUAAUUUUAUUUUAAAAUUUAUUAAUAUGAUAUUGACGAUGAAAAUUUUAUUAAUUUUUAAUAAUACAAGCCAGCAUAUAAUUAUAAUAAUUUUAAAAAAUUAAAUUUUAAUUAAAAUUAUAAAAUAUAAUUAUAAUAAAUUAAAAAUACAUACUUUCUUUCGCCAUUAAUUUAUAUAUAUAAUUUUAAUGCGACGGUUACCAUUUUAAUGAGAUGAUAACAUAUUAUAAUUUGCCCAUUUCAAAAAAACAUAUUAUAAUUUGCGAUUAAAAUUUAAUCAUAUUUAGUAUAGUACCUAAAUACAUUAAUAAAUUAAAAAUUAAUUUUAUAAUUAAUUUUUUUUGACAAUAAUUAAAAUUUAUUUUUCUUCAAAUAAUAAAAUUUUAAAAAUAUAAUACCCUCUUAUAUAAAAAAAAUUAAUAUAUUAAUUUUAAUAAACUUAUAACAACCUAUAAAUGUAUAAUAUAGUUAUACAUAUAUAUAUGAAAAAAUACAUUAACAUUUUAAUUCAAAAAUGAAAAAAACUUAUAAAAUGUAAUAGAAAUGAAUUUUAAUUAUAAUUAUUAUCAUGCAAUUAAAUUUAUAAAAUUAAAAUUAAUUUUUUUAAAAUUAAACAAAUAAAAUAUAAAAUUUUACAAGGAAGGUUCAAUGAGACUCUUUUAAUCAAAAGGUAAUAUUAGAGAUCAUUCUUUUCAGGCUGUUAACGUCCUUGCUGCAUCCGUCCGGUGCUCGUUGCUGCCUCCGCUGGUUCUAUUUGCGUCCGAGAAGUCCUACAUCAGGAAACUGCGGUUAUCACUCACGAUAGGAGCAUUGGAGCUAUAAUCUGACCACCACCUUUCAGCAACUCAGUGGCAGCAGUGUGAUUACAGAUUAAUGCUUCCUCCAAACCCUAAUGUCCCAAAAUUGCAAUUUUGAAUUUAUCAUUUCUAUAGAUAUUUAGUCACUUCAAUAUUUUUUAUAAAUAUAAUUUUCUAUGUCGGCCUCUAUAUUCAACAACAGCAGCAUUUCGAUCUCCGUCUCAGAUGAGGAGUCGGAUGAACUCAGCCGGAUACGGGAACGAGUCCGCAGAAAGCGCAAGAAACAGCAGGUUCACCGAGUUAAGCACGAGUUCUCUCAGCGUGUUCUAAGGUUCCUCUUGAAAUAUUGGAUGGUUUUGAUUUUCCUUCCCGCUGCUGGGUUACUCGUGUUUGAAGCCUCGAGAAUUGGUAAAAGGCCAAGUUUGGAUGUGGAAUUGGAACAUGGCGAAAAGAAGACAACUGAUUUGAAAAUUAACCAGACUGUUAGUGAAUCAAAGAAGAAAAUACAAGAGAAUUUGGAUCGGCUUGAUCCACCACGUAAGUGAUUAUUGAAUAGUUUUUUUUUUUUUUUUAUCUAAUUAGGUUUAUAAUUUUCCAAACUUCAUCAACUUUCCCAUGAAGAUGUUUGCUUUUACAUUAUUGCAAUAAAUAGUUAACAUUUAUAUAGUCUCUGUUUAAGGGAACAGUCACUGGAUUUGCAAAUAUGAUAUGCAGAUAAUGAUUGCUGUAUUUGGUGGUGUUUGGUGAAAUUUGUUGAUGUUUCCUCUAAAAAAAAUGCCUAUUGAUGUUUUCACUGGUGAGAAUACUUGUCGUAGUCUUAUGAUGGUGAGUGUCUGAAAGAGAGAAAUAAAGGUAUUAUAUCACCUGAAACUCAAUGGUGCUAUUGGUUGUGGCAUUUGGGCUUUUGGAAUAAGCAGGUAAUUAUUAAAAUUUAGAAUCAGGUCAUUAAAACCCAUUACAUUUGUGGAUGGUUUCAGGUUGCUUGAAGCUACUACCUCCUACAGAACUUCAACAUCUGGAAAUUCCCAUGCAUGAUGAAUCUAGUCCUGUUAAAAAUGUGGUAUACAUAUCAGAGAAAGACACACAACAUGGAGGGAAUACUACCCUCCCUCAGCUGCGCACAGUGGGUACACGAUUUAAUUUAUUUACUGGAGACCAAACACUUGAGAAGAGAGAGAAAAGUUUUAAGGUUAUAAGCCACAUCUUCACAUCAUCAGACAUUUUCUAAACUGAUGUUAGGAUCACAACUUUGAUUCUCUGACAUUAAACUUUUUUAUAAGCCCUUGUUCGUUUCUGCUCAUACUCUGGUAAUUAUGGCUUUCAGGUGAGUGAAACACCGCAAAUACAUUGUGGUUUUUACGGUGAAAAUGGAGGGUUUAAGAUUUCUGAUGAGGACAAAAUUUACAUGCAAACCUGCAAAGUUGUGGUGUCUACUUGUGCAUUUGGUGGUGGAGAUGACCUUUAUCAACCUAUCGGAAUGGUAGACACAUCGCUACAAAAGGUUAGCUUCAGGUUGUUGAAACCUCAUUUUGUUGCUUAGACAUCAACAAGCUCUAUGCAUAUUUUGACUACAUUGUUGCAGGUGUGCUAUGUUGCAUUCUGGGAUGAAAUUACUUCAGCAGCGCAAGAAUUAAAGGGGCACAGAAUUGGUGAAGACCAUUUUAUUGGGAAAUGGCGCAUUGUGGUUGUAAGGGAUCUUCCUUUUAUAGACCAAAGGUUAAAUGGUAAAAUCCCAAAGGUACCAAAGUUAAUUAUUUUUUAUAUGAUGUUGGAGAAAAUACAUAGAUAUGUACGUGUAUGAAUGCAUGUGAUUCUUUCAUGUUGACUUCAUCUGUCUAUUUCAUGUCUCAAACAGAUUUUGGGUUAUUCCUUGCAGACUUUGUUUUCCUUUGAAUAUAUAAGUUUAUGCAGUCAAUUUAGUGUUUAAUCCACUUGCACUUGGGGAAUUUUGAAAAAAAAAAAAACUACAUACUAAUUGCUCCUCAUAUUCUUGCAGUUUACAUAAAAUUACUAGUCCUCAAAAUUAGUAACUUGGAAAUUCUUUUCUACUAUUAGAAUUUGAAAAAGAAUUUUAUUCACAUUUGUUAAUUUUGUGAAUUUUAUCAAUUAUUAUUUGCAAUUUCUUGAGAAAGCACAUGUAGAAAUAUGGUAGAAUUUUUGCCAUUUCAGAUCUAUGGAUCCACAUAGACAGAAGAUAUUGAGCUUAGUGGGAGGAAACAAAUAUGAAAUUACGUUUGUUUGGUAGUGUUUUCCCUUGUCUGCAUUUUGAUAAACUUUUUUCACAUGGACACUUUUUUUUUGUUCAUAUGCUGAGUUAACUUGAGGUAUCAAAUUAUUAAUAAUGAUGUAUGCAUGUUGCUGCAUUCCUGUACGUUGAUUUCUCCAACUAGGUAGAGUUUCCUUUUUCUUUUACCAAAUGGUUAUCACCAUUGUAUAGGAAUCCACAAGAAAAAUAAAACAAGCAUUGGAAAAAAGUUAGUGCUAUGUUUAGUAGCAAAUGUAGCCAAGAGUGUGGUCUGGAUCAGUAUCAUUAUCCUGUACCGACUGCUGCUUGAGUAGGCCUAUGUGUUUUUAACAUGGUUUAGCUAUUACAGUUCAAAUUUCAUACUGAUCCUUAUGUUCAUCAAUGUCAUACACGGUCCUUGGGUUAUUCCUCUAAGAUGGCAUCAUGUAAUCUGCUCUCCUUUAUGCUGUGUCAAUUCAUGCUUGUAAAUUUCCAUAUUGGGAUAUGGUGCUGUUUGAAUGAUUUUGUGGGGAUUUAUAUUCACUCCUGCUGCAAUCAGAUGUUGGGGCAUCGUCUCUUUCCUCAUGCCAAGUUCUCUAUUUGGGUAGACUCAAAAUCCCAAUUUAGGAGGGACCCCCUUGGUGUUCUAGAAGCCCUUCUUUGGCGUACCAAUUCUGUAUUAGCGAUUUCACAACAUGGAGCUCGCAGCAAUGUGUAUGAGGAGGCUACAGCUGUUGUGAAGAAACACAAAGCCAGCCCAGAAGAAGUUGAGGUGCAGUUGACUCAAUAUCGGCAGGAUGGCUUGCCUGAAGACAAGAGAUUUAAUGGAAGGAAGGGUAAUUGUUCUUUAGUUUUAACAUUAAAACAAAAGCACAUUGUGCCUAUCUUUAUGAUCUAAUGUUAGUAAGAAAUUUUUUACUGCAGCUUUAAAUGAAGCUUCAGUCAUCGUGAGGAAGCAUACGCCAUUGACAAAUCUAUUUAUGUGCCUUUGGUUCAAUGAAGUGGUUCGCUUCACUUCUCGGGAUCAGUUGAGCUUCCCUUAUGUAUUAUGGCGGUUGAAAUUGUUAAAGGACAUCAAUGUGUUCCCUGUUUGCGUCCGAAAAGAUCUAGUUAAUAGCAUGGGCCACAUAAGCAAGGCUAAGCCAUUGAUAAAUUGAUGGUAUGGUACUGCAGUCCAGUUCCACGGUUGGUGAUUGCAUUUCAUUGUGACUGGCUAUCAGGCGUAUCAUUUGUACACAAUUUGAUUGAAGUUAAAAGUGUUGGAGGAAUUGGUCAGAAUGAUAUUUUUAGCUGGUUCCUGCUUGUUGCUUGAUCAACUCUCCUUGUAUUGUUAUGGUCAUCAUUUAAAUGGCUUGAGUGGAUUUUGUAUUUAUCUUCAUAUUCCAGUUAUAGAAAAGGAAUGAAUCAAUUUACUUAUUUUUUUGGAAGUUUUGCUUCUUCAUUUACUUUUCCUUUGUGGGGAAAAUAUUGUGUUCUCUUCUUGGCCAAUUGAAUUAAAAUUAGCAGUUUCUUUCCUUGUAGCUUGUCGUGGCGUUGGACUUUGAAUGGUUUGGAUGGUUAAAGACUUAAAGCUAAGGAAAAGCAAAAUCUGAUAAUGUAUAAAUGAUAUUUAAGUAUUAGUUAUUUCACAUAAUAUUACAUGUACAUGUACCACAUUUCAUUCUCUAACAUGUUAUAGGUGCUUGGAUUUUUGAUACAAACUAUGAAAGAAUAGAUCCUAGCCAUUAAUUUUGAUUAAAGUUAUCCCCUCACACGUCGCUUACAAAUCAAGUUGGCAUGAACAGGAGUCUUUGCUUGUUUUGUUUUAAGAUGUGUUUGAUACAAUGAUAUCCUGCCCAUUAUAUGGUGUUACUCGAAGAUGCACUUUUUUGUGUCUCCAGGUUCCCUUAAGAUGAGCUAUAUAGAGAAGUUGCUCUUAUGAAGGGAGUACUCAUCGUCCUCUGCUCGUUAUUAUGUUGGGGUCUUUUCGGUGUAAGCUUCUUUUUGUCUGUUUUUAUUGGUCCAUAGAUGUUUAAGUGUGGUACAGUAAUUUUUCAGAAUAGACCUUUUAUACUCCAAUUCUUCAUUUUCCAAUAUUGUAUUUAUAUGGACGGCACGAUAUUUCAUGAAAUACAAUAUAAAAUAUAUCUGAUUUAUAUUUAUGCACUUAAAUGAUAUAUUUGUGUAUAAUUUUUUUUUUUCGCUAGAUGAAAAGUAUAUAUUUAAAAAAAAAAUAUUUAGUUAUUAAAACCUAUUAUAACUGAAGUUGAAUUAAAACCUAUUAUAUAUAUUAAUUUUUAAAUCAAAUUUGAUUAUACAUGAUUCAAAUUCGUCACAAUAGAUUUUUUUUUUUAGUGUGAAAAUAGAGUAGACUGUAAUAGUUGUUUUCUCCCUUCAACUUAUUCCAAGAAUCCAUUUCAUCCAGGAAUUGGAGAACCAAGUCAUUCAUCCAAAAUCAGAUCCGAAACUCAUGUCUCGGCACGAUACCAAAUCUAUCCUUGCUGACUUGCCAUUGGGAUAUAAAAAAAUAAAAGAAAAUAAAAAAAGAGAAGAACAAAAAGAUGGGAAGGGGUAAACAAUGACAAAAGAGGAUGUAAUUAUUCAAGCGAUUUUCAAGUUCUGUAACUAGUGAGGGCUUUACAGUCAUUUUUGUAACAAACUAACAGUAAAAUUGACCCUAUUUUAAUAGAAUGGCUAAUUUGUUAAAUGGAAUAAAGUUAGAAGCCUAAUUGUUACUUAAACUUAAAAUAUGCACUAAUAUGUGAGUUUAACUAAAACUUAAAAACUUAUUUGUAGAUUACCUUUAUUUUUAAUAACUUAGCAUUUGAUUGUUUUACAUCCCAAAAAAAAGAGUGUGUUUCUGCUAUGAAAGAAAUUAUUAAUGCUCUUAAAAUACCCCUAAUGUGAGCUGUGGUUGAUUUUGAGGACUGGUACUUGUUGUUGGGUUUGCUCAGGAUUCCAUCAAUGUAGUGGACAAUUGAAUUUAUGGAGAGUGAGAUAUUGGAAUUUUUUUGAAUUCGUUUGUUGUUGGGUUCUUUCUAUGAAUUCCCAUUGUUAAAGAACAUGUGCACAGGCUUGUUCUGGAAUUCUUUUGUGCUUUAGUCAUUUGCUUGAUUUUCAGAUUUGUUGUACUUCAGAAUAAGUAUUUGGAUGAAAUUCAGAUUAUUUUGAGGAUUGAUGAUUUGCUUGAUACUCAAAGAUUAAGAAUCUAAAGCUAACAACUGUGUAUGGGCUAUUAGCCUUUGUAAUAUGACAAUAAAGAUUGUUAAGAAGUCAUAGCUUAUCAAUUGAAAGUUAUUUUUGGAGAUCUGAUAGAUGAGUAGCAAAGUGCAUUUGUUCUUAGCUUUUUAAUUAAUGUCUUGGUGGCUUUUGAGGUUUUCCGUUAUAUGAAAACUAGAGGUCCUUUUAGUCGUCGUUUAAUUGGAUAUGAUCGGUUUAUAAUAUGAUUGAAUAGUCAUUUCUGAAAUUUACCAUAUUAAAGUUAGAUUUUUCAGCGAUUUAGAAAAUAUUAAGUAUGACUGAUAUCCGAACUGUAUCUUAUUCUAUAUUUAUUAAUAGUGCUUUAGUGGCUUCUAUCAUUCUGGUUAGAGGUAUUGAUAGGUGGCCAAUAUUUCCUCAUUUAUUUCUUCUUUAUUGCAAAAGUUUGUCUAAUCAAUGAGUAAUGGCAGUUUACAUGGUCUUCGAGUUUGGGUUUGCAGAGGUGCACUAAGGCUCAAUUCUAUUGAAGUUGGCGCUAUUGCAUCUAUACUAGAGCGUUGUGCAACUUUUAUCUAGCUAAAAGGUUAAUAUGCACAAUGGUUGUUUUUAGUGCUCAUGCGGCGGACUCUUUAAAAAAAUUCUUUAUCUGCCUCCUUAGGGCAGCAAAAAAUAUUCUUAUUAAAAUUGUUGCACAAGCGAUAUCUAUAUAUAAUAUGUAGUGUUUUGUGUGGUGAGGCAGAAGCAGAAUGAAAAGUGAAAGCAUUUAUGUUUUUGAAGGCAGUUAUGUCAGGCGAAAGGGGUCUUUUAAAUCAGCUGUAUUUUAACAUUUUCUCAGUUUCGGCCAAACGAUUUCCAUUCCUCCCGUUAUAUUGUUUGUUCUUUUCUAUUACAUUGUUGAAUUUCUAAUUCUCACAUCAUACUCUUUAAAUGGUUUUUGAAGAUCCAAAUCACUAAUAAUAUCACUUGAAUUAAACUCAAGACUGAGUUUGUUUUUAUAUUUAUGCAGUGGUGUUGGAGGUUGAAUUCCCAUUCGAUCUAAUAUUCUUUUGCUUAAAUUUAAAAUAUCUUUCAAUAUCUAUAAAAUUAUAUAUGUCAAAAAUUUACACUUUAUAUCAAUAUAAAUGUAAUAUUAUUGGUAAUGAUAAAUUGACAAAUGUCAAAUGAAAAAUGAAAAAUAAUAUCAAAUGAAAAGAAAGUAAGGAAGAAAGAAAAUAUCACAAUUUACAACUUUAAAUUCUUUUAAUAUUGCAAGUUAGAUAAAUUAAUUAAGUUCAUACAACUAACUCAAUAGUAUUUAAUAAUGACAAUGACAACUAAAUUAAAGAUUUUUAAAAUGCAAUUCAGGAAUUUUAUCAAACACUUUAUGUAUAAAGUUUUAAGUUAAGUAAUUUAAAUAUUAGUUUAUACAAUGGCAGCAAUAAAUUACUCAUGAAGAAAAAAAAAAAUUAAAGUAUUUCAAUAAACACCUAACAUGCACUAUAUACACAAGGCAAAAUCAAAAAAUAAAUAUACAAAUUCUAAUUUGAAUUAGUUCAAUUUCAUAAUUGAAGUAUCAAAAUAAUAUUGAAAUUGAAGAAAAUAAAAAACUUCACUCACCUAAAAUUGAAGAGCAAGAGAAAUACUUUGAAAUUUCAAUUCAUUUAAUUAAAAAAAAGUAAAAAGCUAUAAAUAAUCUUUAAUUUGUGAAAAAGAAAAUUAAAAUACUCCAGAUUGCAAGUUAUAAACAAAAUUAGUUUUCUGAAAUUUUUUUUAAAAUUUGUAUAGGGAGCGGGCGUGAAAAUUUUNNNNNNNNNNNNNNNNNNNNNNNNNNNNNNNNNNNNNNNNNNNNNUAUAUAUAUAUAUAUAUAUAUAUUAAAUUCGGUGCAGCUAACGGGAUGGAAUAAUAGAAUUGGAAUCUCAUAAAUUUAUUUAAAUAUAUUUAUUAUCAUAUUAAAUCUAUUAGUGCACUUUUUAAAAAAAGAUAUUAAAUUUAAAUUUAAAUAAUUUAAAUAAUUUAAAUUAUAUUAAUUAUUCAUAUAACUUACAAAAUAUUAUUCGUAUUAAGUAAUAUUUUAUAUUUUAUCUUAUAUUUUAUAUAGAAUUCAAUAUCAUGUAUCAAAAGAUAAUUUUAUUAUUUAUAUAAGAAUCUCACAACUUCAAUUUGAUUAUUUAUUCAAUAUUUGUAUUGACGUAAAUAUCAGAGAGGUUUCAAGUGCAUUUACUUAAUAUUUUCUCUAUUUUGUAGACUCGAGAGAAAUAUAAUGAAAAUAAAAUAAGAAUUAAAUUAUAAUUUUUUUUUUGUUAUAAAGAAUUUCAACUUAUUAUUAAUUAAGAGUGUAAAUAAAAUUAAAACCAAUGAGACUUCCUAACUUAUCUUGAUAAUUAUAAUUUUAUUAUUAUUUAAAAAAUUAUUAUUUAAAAAAUUAUAAUUUAAUUAUUUAAUUAUAUGAGCAAUUUAUUUAAAUUUAAAAUAAUAAAAAAAUUUAUUAACAUUUAAAUUAUAGUUGAUUAAAUUUUAUCGUAAAAUAUUUCUUUUAACAUUAAAUUAUUUAUAUUGAAAUUUUAUCAUGACUUAAAUUAUUUAAUAAAAAAACAAUUAACUAAAAAAAUUAUCUCUCUAAUACUUACAAUUUGUUGUUAUUUAAUUUUUUUAAUUUCAGAAAUCCUUAAUUAAAAUUUCUGGUAAAAGAUGUUUUUUUACAUUUAAAUUCUAUUUAUUGAAAUUUUAUUAAAAAUAAUGACUUAAAUAAAAAGUUUGUAUAUAAAAAUACAAAAUUUAAUAUAUUGUAUUGGGAAUCAAAAUUUUAUAAUGUAUUAUAUUUUGAAAUAAAAUAACAAAUUAUUUAAUUAAGUAUUAAUUUAAUGGAAUUAUUAUUAAUAAUAAAUUCAUAUAAAUUUUUUUAUUAUUUAUUAUUUUAUAUAUUACAUAUUAUCUUUAUUUUGAUUCAUUACAAAAUAAUAUAUCAUUUAACUAUUAUUUAAAAUUUAAAAUUUAAUUAAUUUUUUAUUUAAAUUUAAUCAUAAAUUAUGAUAAUAGUGUAGCUUUCUAAAUCUCAAUAAUCAUAUAAUCUUUGAUGACUUCAAACACUUUUACAAUUAUUUUAAUAGUUUUUGAUUUCAUUUAUUUUUUUUACCAUUAUUUUAAUAGUAUCAAUAGAGUUUUAUUUUGUCGUUUUAGUGAUAUUUAGAAUUAAUUUUUUUAAUUAUUAUACCAAUAAUUAGAUUUUUAGAUGGUUUUUCUGUUUACAAAUUUGUAACAAAUUUAAUUUAAUUUAUUAUUAUUUUAUUAUUUAUAUUAAUGAUAUAAGUAAUUUUUUAUAUGAAAAUAAUUAAUAAUAUUUAUUUUUAUAACGAAUAAAGACACAUGAAAAGCAUGUAAAAAAAGUUUAAUAUAAAAUGAAAAUAUUCAAUUUUAUUAAAUAUUAAUAGAUAGUUGAAUUCUCAUUUAGAAAAAUAAAUAAUUAGUUGAAAAUUGUAUUAAAAAUAAGAAAAUUAAAUAAAAUUAUAAUUAUCAAUUUAUAUAUUACACAUAAUAUAAAAAAGGAAAAUGAGAAAUAUUUUAAGAUAAAUGAAAAUAAAAAGAUAGAUAAAAAAAUUAUGGGAUGACAAUUAUUAAUUUAUAUAUUAAUUAUAAUAGAAAAAAAUAAAAUAAAAAAUAUUUUAAGAUAAAUAAAAAUAGAACAUGAAUAAAAAUUAUGGGAUAGAAUAAAUAAUUUUAAAUAUAGUAAAAAAACUCUUAAAUAUGUAUUAAAUAAUAAAAUAAUUUUUCUUGCUUUAGUAAUUUAAAAUAAUUUAAAUGAUUACAAAAAUUAAAAUAAUGAAUAAAAAUAUCAAUUGGCUUAAGUUAAGAGUGAGUAUGUGGAAUUUUAUUUUUUAUUUUUAAUUUAAAUAGUUUAAUUUAUUACUUUUAAAAAUAUUAUUUGAUUUUAUCUAUAUUUAUUUUUUUAAAAAAAUAAAUUCAUAAUUUAUUAAUUUUUUAGAUUUAAUUUUUUUAUAAAUUUAAAUAAUUUAUAAAAAUUAUUAAAUAAUCUAACCAUAACUUUUUUAUAUAAAAAAAUUUUUAAUUUAUUUUUAUAAAGAUAAAUAGUUUAAUAUAUAAUUUCAAUCAGAUAAAUAAAGUAAAAUAAAAAUAAUAAUUAUUUUUAAUAAUAAAAAGUGAAUGUAUAAAAAUAAAUUAAAUAAUAAAUGAAUAAUUUAUUUUAUAAAUAUUUUAAAAAUAAAAAUAUUAGUAUAUUUGAGGUUGAAAACUUAAAAAUCAGAAGUAAAAUUUUAAAUUAGAAAAUAAUAGAGAAAUAGGAUGAUUGUGAUUUUAUUUAUAAAAAAAUUAUUAUCAAGUUUGAGAGUUUUUAAAAAAUUUAUUAAUUUAUUUUAAUAUCAAAAUCAUUCAAUUAAAAUAUUUAUAUAGUUCAUAAAAUUAAAUUAUUUAAUAAUUUAUAAAAAAAUUAUUCGUCAAUUUAUUUUGAUUUUAAUUAAAUAUACUAAAUAAUAUGAAUAUAAAUAUUAAAUAUGUAUAAUUAAAAUUAUAUAAACUAAAUAAUAUAAAUAUUAAAAUAAAUUAAUAAAAUUUUUUAAUUUAUUAUAUGUGAAUUUACACAUGAUUCAUAGGCUUGUUUUUUCUUUGAAAAAAAUGAACUUAUAAUUAAUUCAUUAAUUAAAUAUUAUAAUUGCAAAUUUAAAAAAUAUAUUUUUAAAAAAUUAUAUAUUGUCAUGUGAAAUUUAUAUAAAAAAGAGAAAAAAUAUUAAUUGUACUAACACAAAAAAUUAUAUAAUUUCAAAAAAAAAAACACAAAAAAUUAUAUGUAAAUUAAAUUUUAAAAUUAAAUAUAUUACAAUUUUAUAUUCUUCCCCAUCUUAAAAUGUUCCUAAAUAUAGUAUUAAGUACUUCGUUAAGAAGUAUUUGUAUGUAUAGAAUAGGUAACCGACUCUGUACUAAGAAUAAAUCCUAGCCAUUAAAUUCUAAUCAAUUGGUUAAAAAAAGUUCUGAUCAGAGUUAUCUGUUAACGCGUCGCUUACAGAUACGCUAACAAAUCAGCGUCCACCGCCUCUGAAAUAAAGACCUUGUCAACAUUCCGCAACCGACUCUGAGAUGCUUCCAGAUUAAGCGACACUGAUUCAAAAUAAAUCCCGGCCGUUAAUUUAUGCAAUAACAAUUUAAUCUCAGCCUUCCAAUCUCAUUCUACUUCUGUAUAAAUACUGCUCUACCUCCGUUCCUAGGAUUCUUGCCUUGGGUCUUAGGGUUUGAGAUGGUGAUGGAUGUGUUGAUUAAUUCUGGUGUUUUCUUCUAUUUUAUGCCAGACGUCUGUGAGAUCGUUUAUCUUUGAUUGUUUAUAUUGAUGAUAUGAUUCCUGUAUGUCUCGGUUCGCAUGUGCAGGGAAGAUUUUGAUGCGAAGAGAAUUGUUGAUCUGGAUAUUUCUUCUUUUCUCCAUACGUGGUUUUUGUUUGCAAGUUAUUUUUGCUGAAGAUCGAAAUGCCUAGUUUUAUUAGGAUCACUUUCUGGGUUGGUUUGGAUUUGGUGGAUAGUUCACCAUGUUGGUAAGAUUUCUUUCUGGUUGUUUUGUGGUGUUAGGUAUUGGAAUAAGCAUAAUUGUGGAUUGAGGUCGAAGGUAUUUUCUUGUUUUGCAUUGGCUUUCUGUUCACGAGGAAUUUGCAUCUUGAAUUGAAUUGCCACGCAGCUUAACACAGUUCUGAUGAUUGGUUAAUUGAUUGAUUUCAGCUCUAGUAGGAAACAGAGUUCUGUUCCUGAUUUUUUACGGUGUAAUGCGGCAUUGGUGGUAGCUUGACAAUCGAUUUAAUAUGAUAUUUACUUUUGAAUUAUUGCAAUUUCUUCUUCUAUACACGUUUCCACAAAGACAUUCAAGGUCAGUGAUUUUAAAUUGGUUUCUUUCUCUUUUCGGUCAAGUGUUAUUUCGUCGUCCUUCAUUCAACGAGUUACUCGGUGGUUCUUUGAUCAUUGUUAAAUCUUCGAAACUCUGAUUAAUUAACUUAUAUGAUGGCUGACAAAAACGGUUCUGUUGGUGGUUUCUUUCUGCGGCCUUUUUCAAGGUAUGGAUCAAUCCACUUAUUACCAGGAUUGGUGGUUUGUGGUUUGAUUUUCAGGAUCAUGGAGCAUUUUAUUUAAUCCUUAUAAACCUGUCAGCAGGCUGGUGAGGGAGAUCUUCUUUCUUGCGUUUGUUAAUUUAAUUUAUAUUUCCGGAUCAUUGGGCAUAUAGAUUAUUUUCUGAUUUGGUAUGUUUGUAUGUGGUUUCAGCUAAUUGUUCGAUGAGGAUGUUGACUAGGAAUGAAAAAUUAUUGAAAAAUUCUCGUGCUUUGUAUAUCCAGGAAAUUAUUGGUAUGUUAGGGAGUCAUCUUGUCCCUAACCAGACAUAUGGAACAUUAUUGAAAAAUUCUUGUGCUUUGCAUGGAUCAAUGGUGAUCCAGGAAAUGUUUGAUAAGCUAAACGAGUUGGCCAUGAUUUCUUGUUGCCUAAUUUAGUAGGAACUUGCCUUUGUUGGCUGUGGCAUCAGUGGCGUUUUGCUAUCCAGCACUUCCAGUGCAUUGUUCUGCCAGCUUGUGUCAUGGGACAUAUUGAAAGAGAAUAUUUGACAUCCAUUUGGCGUUGGGUCUUUGAUGACAGGCAUGAGCUUGCAUCUUCUGUGACUCAUGAUUUGCGAAUACGUGCAAAGGCUUGAUAAGGAAGUCUUUUGUGCCUUGUCCGUUGGUUGAAAGUUUUUUCUUCUAAAAUAUCAAAUAUUUUCUCCUUAAGAAAAGGUUUUGGGGGUUAUUGUUCUGAGGUUUGUGGUGUGAUUUCCAGGAUUGGGGAGCAUUUUUGGGGUUGAUUCCUUUGUGCAUGGUUAGAGCUGUUGGCCUGGUAGUUGGGGGAGAUACUUUCACCCCUUUGAACUAGUUUCCUAGCCUGGUUUUUUAUGUAUUUGCAGCUUUUUAUUUGAGGAGGAUGUCAAGCAAGAAUGAAUGGUCAGGGGUUUGUCUCGCUUUUUCCAAUAUUGGUUCUUUCAUUAUAUCAAGUAGUGUAAGUGUUGUUAUAACUUUGAGAUCCUUCCUUGACAGGUUUCCUUGAUUCCAGUGUUAAAUUGUGGAGCAUAAUGGAAUUAAUUGAUGAUAUUGAUGUUGGAAGUAUUCUCUUCUUCUCUUGUCUUUUCUUAACUUUUGAUUUUCAGGAUCAUGGACCAUUUUAUGUGAUCCUUAUAAACCUGUUGGCAGGCUAGUAAGGGAGAUUUUCUUUUAACCCCUUUGUUUCUUGCAUUUGUUGAUUUAAUCUAUAUGUUCUGAAUUUUGGCAUAUAGAAUUAGUUCCUGAGUUAGUAUGUCAAGGGAGUUUUGUUGUCUCUCUUCAUUCUCUCUACUUCAUAUAAGUAGAAUCAUGGAACUAAUACUGUGAUAAUUUUUAGAUUUGUGGUGCCUCCUGAUCAGUUUCAUUGGUAAAAGUGUUAAGAUUUAUCAAAUUUUUAUUUGAUGUUUGUUUUUCCAGGAUCUGCACGACAUGGAUUAAUAAUGAUGCAAUAAGUGUUUGAUACGAUAAAUAUGUUGGCUGUUUGUGGGAGCCUGCCUUCUGUAUUGUCUCUGGAGUCCCAUUACUAAUGACUGCUCUUAGCAUUAGCUUGCAUAUUGUGUGCUAAGUGGCUUAAGAUGUGUUUGAUACAAUGAUAUUCUGCCUAUUAUAUGGUGUUACUCGAAAAUGCAUUUUUUAGUCUCUAGUUUCCUCUUUAGAUGAGCUGCCCUAUAUGGAGGGAGUUGAUGUGUUUGAUACAACGGUAGCGUGAGCCCAUUUUAUGGUGUUACUCGAAGAAACACUUUUUUGCUUCUCCAGUUUCCCUUAAGCUAAGCUAUAUGAAAGGAGAAGUUGAUGUCAUCGAGGGAGUAUUCAUUGUCCUCUGCUUGUGUUAUGUUGGGGGCUUCUUAGUGUAAGCUUUCCAUUUGUCUGUUCCUUUUGGUCCAAGAUGUUUAAUUGUGGUUUAUUUUAUUUUAUUUUUAAUCUCCUCUUAUUUUUCUGGCAGUUACAUCUCCAUACACAUUAGGAGCGUAGUGAGUGAAAAUUGUGAUAUUGAUGGGGAGGUAUUUUUUCUUUUGCCUGGAUCCUCUAAAAAUGAGAUAUGCUUGAGCUGCAUUCCCUUGAUUUUCUGCAUCCUUAUCUUCUAUUAGGCUAUGAACUUGCUUCUGCUUGGGGGGAAUGCGAUAGUCUUGAUUAUGUUCCUUGGUGAUAGUUUAUAAAUCUUCAUAUGAGCAGGUGGUGUCCUUGUGUAAGAACAGUAACAAAUGAGAUGCAGAUUCUUUUUACAGGAUCUGCUCGAGUGGAUUGACGUAUGGACCACUACUGAUAGGAUGUUGCCUUUUGUUUCUUCUCUGGGGUCUUAUGGCUGCAUGGGGAGUGUAAUUAUGACUAUUCUCUUUGGUUAGUUCAGCUUCAGUGUGAGUGCCUCCUGCGAGUCUUUCUGGCAGUGUGUGGAUGAUCAUGAACCGGAAGUUAUUGCCCUUGUUUUUGGUUUGAGUUGUACUUUCUCAGAAUCAACCACCACCAAACAUUUGUGAACCAAUAAAACAAAUAAAAAAGAACUAGUAGUAAUUUUUCCCUGUAGUGGAUGAACUGGAUUUGUGGAGUGGGAGAUAUUGGAAGGUUUCUUUUAAUUUAUUUGUUGUUGGCUUCUUGAUGAUGGCACAGACAUGAGCUUGUGCCUUCUUUAUAAGUGCCCUCAUUACUAGAGAACAUGCACACAGGCUUGAUCUGGAAGUCCUUUUCCCUUGUUUUUUGGAUGGAAGUGUUUCUACUUGAGUACCAUAUAUGUUGUUCUUAAGAACGGGAAUUGGCCGCAUCAACCUUGGUUAUCUAUAGCUUUUUUCCCCCUUGUUGGAUCCCCAAUGCACAUUGUGAAACCUGUUGACAGACUAGUGGGGAGAUUUCUGUAACCCUUUCUGUUUGGCUGGAAGUUAGAUUUAUAAUAUUAACUAUUCACAUAGAAUUAUUUCUGAGUUUGUAUAUUUGUGUGUUUUCAGCCCCUUAUUCGAGGAAUAUGUAUUGUGGGAAUGAUCAAGGGAGUUCUCUUGCCCCUUCUAGCGUGUGUUUCAAGCUUGUUAUUUGAUUUAGAUGUGGUGUGGGAAUGAUCAGGGAGUUCUCUUGCCUCUUCUAGCAUUGGCUCUCCCCUUCAUACAAGGAGAAUUUUUGAGUGAAUAUUCUUAUAGUUUUGCUACUUCCCUUAUCAGGUUUCCUUGAUUCCAGUGUUUUCUCGUGGAGCAUAUUGAGAUCAAUUGAAGAUGCUAAUCGAGUACUCUCUUUUCCUUCUUGACCUUCUUAAAAAAAACCUUUUUUUUCCUUUUUUAGGUGUUUGAUCGUCUUUUCUUUUCUUGAUUCUUGUAUCUAAUCUUUUAAUAUAAAAUAAAUUACUAUUUAAUCCCUUCAUAUCAGGCAUUUUAGAUAUUUUCCUAGUUAGUUCUUAUAUUUUGUAAUACGUAACGGCUUUUUAAAAAGUUUACUAUAACUUCUAAAACUAGUAGGCGGAUUAAUUAGACUUUUUAAAAUGGCAGGAUUGUUUUAAUGCAUUUUUCAAAAUUGAGAGGCUAACUAGUGAGUUUUAAUUUUCGCUUUAAUUUAAUGCAUGCUCCCUAUUGUUUUUGCUAUGACUUUGCACACAUAGCUUCUUAUAAGAUAUCCUUCUUUUCAGGACAAAAAAAACUAAGCAUGUGUAUAUGAAAUUUUCUCAUUGAUCUUUCCAUAGUUGUCUAAUCGAGAUUCGAAAAUCGAAUAUAGUUGUAAGAUCUGCUGAAAAUUCAAAAAAUCAAUUAAAAAUAAUACAUUAUCAUGAUGACAUAUAGAAUAAUAUUUAUUUGUUAUGUUAUAUAAUUUCAAUUUUAGAAAUAUUUGUUUAUGUUAUAUAAUUUCAAAUUUAGAAAUAUUUGUUAUAAUAAUGUGUUGUAUAUACACAUAUAUUUAUAUAUAUAUAGAUAUAUGUAUGUAUACACACACACACACACACACACACACGCACACACACUUUAUAGCAAAAAUGAAUACUUAUGAUAGUUUAUUUCUACAAACCUGCCAGCAGGGGAGUUGGGGAGAUGUUUCCAUAGUUAUGAAAUUUUCUCAUUGAUCCUUUCCAUAGUUGUCUAAUCGAGAUUCGAAAAUCGGAUAUAGUUGUAAGAUUUGCUGAAAAUUCCAAAGAUCAAUUAAAAAUAAUACAUUAUCAUGAUGACAUAUUUUGAUAAUAUAGGAUUGUCAUUCGUCUAGUUAGAAAUAUUCUUUAUAAUAGAAUGAUAUUUAUUUGUUAUGUUAUAUAAUUUCAAUUUUAGAAAUAUUUGUUUAUGUUAUAUAAUUUCAAAUUUAGAAAUAUUUGAUAUAAUAAUGUGUUGUAUAUACACAUAUAUUUAUAUAUAUAGAUAUAUGUAUGUAUGUAUGUACACACACACACACACACACACACACACACACUUUAUAGCAAAAAUGAAUACUUAUGAUAGUUUAUUUCUACAAACCUGCCAGCAGGGGAGUCGGGGAGAUGUUUUACCCUUUAUUUUGUGCUUGUCAUUUAAUUUAUAUAUUCCUUGUUAUUAAUAUUAGGUCAUAUCGAACUAGUUUUUGAGUUUGUAUAUUUGCAUGCAUUUUCAGCUUAUUGUACGAGGAAGAUGUCAAUGGGGAAUGAUUGCCUAUUCUAAUAUCGAUCCUCUUCACUAUAGAAUCCUCUAGCAGAUGAUUUAUAGUUUUUUUGAUUUUUGCUGCCUCCUGAUCAGGUUUCUUUGAUUCAAGUGUUCCUGAAAUCCAGACAUAAGGAACUUCUUUAGAUUAUGAUAAGGGAUUGGAAGCUCUCUUCCCCCCUUGCUCUCUUCCAGAAAGAAGUGUUUCAUAAGAUAUUUUGAGUUGGCCAUGUUUUCUUGCUGUCUUUGCCCAAGUCUUUGGCUUAAGAUGUGCUGAUACAAUGAUAUUCUGUCCCACCGUAUUUCAUUGACAAAGAUGCACGUUCUUAUGUGUCUAUGGUUGAGCCAAUGAUACUGUCCAUCUUAUUACAUUAUAUGGUCUCAAAUAUGUACUUGUGUUUCCAGGUUCCCUUGAGAUGAACUGUAUAGAAGGAGAAGAUAUUUAUGAAGGCGUGUAUUUCUAGACCUCUGCUCAUGUUAUGCUUGGGGAUAAUGGGUGUGGUUCUCCUCUUGUUUGUUUUAAUGGUUCAGAUAUGUGUAGUGGUGGUUGAUUCUAAGAGCUUUCAAUUCCGUCAAUGUAGUGGACUAAUGGGUUUGUGAAGGGACUUGUUGAAAGAAAGAAUUUUUCGUGUCCAUUUGUUGUUGGCUCUUUGAUUAUACGCAUGAGCUUGCAUCUUCUAUGACUCAUUUGCAAAUACGUGCACAGGCUUGAUCAGGAAGUGUUCUGCACGUUGGCUGUUGGUUGAUUUGAAUUUUUUGCGUCCAUUUGGUGUUGGCUCUUUGAUUAUAGGCAUGAGCUUGCAUCUUCUAUGACUCAUUUGCAAAUACGUGCACAGGCUUGAUCAGGAAGUGUUCUGCAAGUUGUCCGUUGGUUGAUUUUUUUUUUCUAAAAUUAGUAGUUCUUUUUUCACUUAUGAAAAGGUUUUGGGGGCUACUGUUCUGAGGUUUGUGGUGUGAUUUUCAGGAUCGGAGACCAUUUUUUGAGUUGAAUCGUUUGGGCAUGGUUAGAGAUGUUGGUUGGGUAGUCAGGGAGAUUUUUUCAUCCCUUGAACUAGUUUCUUAGUCUAUUUUUGUAUGUGUUCCCAGCUUUUCAUUUGAGGAGGAUGUCAAGCAAGUAUGUGAAUGAUCAGGGGGGUUGUCUUGCCUCUUCCAAUGUUGGUUCGUACUUUGUAUCAGGUAGCGUUUAGUGUCGUUAUAACUUUGUGAUCUUUCCUUGACAGGCUUCCUUGAUUCCAGUGUUGUUAUUGUUACAUUAAUGUAUUGCACUUGUUAUGAUGACUUAGAUAUGAGGGGUACGGAUUUGAACAAGGCUGAUCCAUCUUGUUUAUGAUCUAGCACGUAUUUCAAUUGUGUGCUUUUGCACGACCUGCGUGGCUAUAUUAAUAAAUUCAUGGGCUUCACUGGUAUUAAUAUUGAUGUGGUUACAAUAAUUUGUUGGUGAUGAAUUUCUGGUUAUGUUGGUGAGUUGGUAUGGUAUAAUUCAUUGAUUUGUGGCAUCAACCAGUUUAAGGAGCUUGUGAUUUGUAUGUGGUUCUCUUGCUCCAAAGAUGAGAAUUUUAAGCAUUAAUUCCUGGUCUUCUUGAUUGCCAGCUUUAGUGUGAGAUCGAGUUUCAUCAAGGAGUUGUUUUGACAGCCUGUGGAUUGGCAUGAACAGGAAGUUAGGUCUUAAUCAAAAGAUGCUGAUGUAUCCAGGCUCUCCUCAUAAUUCGUUCUCGUUAUUGUUUGUCUUGUUACUUUGUGAUGGAGUGUCUUAGAUGUGUGUCAGCCAACGCAACUGUUAACAUGGGUUUGCAAGUCUCAGCCUUUCCUUUCCCCACUUUGAUGUAGUUCCCAGAUGUUUUGAAGUAACAAAAUUUUCCUGUAUACUUCCUGGUGCUUUGCUGUCUACUGGUAUAUGGUUGUAAAAUAACUGCAAGUCUUGUUCUCUUCUUUGGUCUUCUUCCAGGUUUACUUGCUACAAUUGGAUACUCGAGGCAUGAAGGGAAUCCUGAUUUAAUUUUUUAUUUUGUGCUCCUAUUCUCUAUCUGUAUCAUAUAGUGAUCUUAAGUCUGCAUGAUUCAAUUGCUCUCUGAGCUCUGCUGUUGCUUUCCCUCUCUCCUCAUAUGUUGGCAGUGAUGAUGAUCAGCAAAUGAGGUUUCUGUUAUGAUCUUUGUUCCUUUCCUUGAGGUUGAGUGAGAUAGGUUGACACGGAUAAUUAGCUGGUUUCAAGAUGUUGGGAAGGAGACGGAAGAUGUCCUUUGACAUGUUGGUUAUUGCUGCAUCUGUAUUUUCUGGUUGUGGUAUUGGUAUUUUCUUUGUGCCACAGGAGGCUGGUCUUCUUGUGAAUUGUUUUCCAAGCGUUAAUUACUUUCUUUGUUGUUCUUUCUUCUUUAGUGGUCUUCAUUUCUGCCGUUUUAAAGCAUGUAACUCCGCCUGUGUUAGCGAAUACAUGGCCGGUCUCAAGCCCGGAUAAAGGAGGAGAGGUUGCAAGUGCUAAUUACUUGGUAAGGUGAUAGCAAUUGCUUAGUGCUUGAUACUUGAUUAUGACGGUGAUUGUUGAGUGUCUGAAUGAUAGAAAUGAGGUUGUUCAUCACCAGAACUCAAUGCUGUUGUUGAUUGUGGUAUCAGACCUUUUGGAGUAAACACGGAAGAGUAAUGGAGCAUUUAAGAUCUCUUAUGAAGAGAAAAUUUACAUGCAAGAAAUUCCAUAUUUAUAGUGUACUAUUUGAAUACUUUUGUGAGGAUCGUCCCUUUUCUCGUGCUAAACUCUCUCUUUGGGUAGACUGAAAAUCCCAAUUUAGGAGGUUUUCUUUUGGAGUUCUAGAAGUCGUUUGUAUUACCGAUUUUGCAACAUGGAGCUCGCAGCAAUGCGUAUCAGGAGACUAUUUCUCUCGAUGAAGUACAAAAUCAGAGUUUUUUUUUUUUUAAUAAUUUUACUAAUAAAUGUGUUUAUAAAUUUAUUAUUAUUAAAUAUUUAUAAAUAUUUUAAUUAAAUAUAUAAUUAUUUAAAAUUCUAAAUUUUUAAAUAUCAAUUUUUUUUAAGGGAGUAGAAUUUGAAAUUUUUAGAUUUACUUCCAAAUAAUUUAAGUAACUUUCUAAAAAUAAUUUGUUAGUGUAUUGCAUAGGACUAAAAAUGUACAAGUAAUCUUCAAUGAAAAAACUUACGUUAAAUUUUUAAUAAAAAAAUUAUAAUAAUUUUGUUGGUUAAAUUAUGUUUAUAAAUCGUUUAUAAGUUUGUUAUAUUGUGUACAAUAUUUAAAAAAAUUAGAAUCAGCACUAAUUGUGCCUUUGGUUUAAUAAAGUAGUUACUUUCCCUAUGCAUUAUGGCGGUUGAGAUUAUUAAAGGAAAUCAAUGUGUUUCUGUUUGCAUUCCGUGUCUUGCAUGCUUGUGGUUCUCUUGCAGGUUGCAUGCAUGUAGGUGGAGAUUUGGAUUGACUGUGGUUCUUAGCUAAGUUCACAAAAAGUAAAGGAAGGUAGUUUGUGGAGCUUCGACUCGGAAGGUGCAAUUGGGACGUUAAAGAAUGCACCUUUUUCAUUGCCGUUUGUUGAUUUCAUAGCCUUCUUUGAUUUGGCUUUCUACUGUGCGUUACUGUUGAUAAAUCUGUGCAUUUCAGUAUUCUUUCAUUCGAUCUCUUUUUUUUUUUGGGCAGAAUAAAGAUAUGCUUCUAGUAACUUCUUAUGCCUUUGUCUUUUCUUGUCUCUUUGGCUUCAAUCCUUCCAUUCCAGUCGAUGAAAAUCAAAUGACUCCCUGCCAUGAAGGUGUCAAGCAUAGUCGAUGAACCAAUCUAAGUUUUCAUUUCUUCUUUUAACUUGUUCUAAGAACCCCUUUCAUCCAUGAAUUUAAGAAUCAAUUCAUUCACAUGUAAAAUGAAAUCUGGAACUCAUGUCUUUAUGUAGCACUAAGUCUAACAUCACUCGCUAGUUAAAAGAUGUAAUUUUUAGUAAAAAUUUAAAUUUUGCUUUUUAGAUAAAUAUAAAACUAGUCAUAUCUCUGUGUGGCACUAAGUCUAAUCUCAUUCACUUGUCAAUUGAAAGAUGUAAUUUUAUCCAAAAUCUAAAAUUUGCCUUUUAAAGAAAAUUGAUCAUGGUAAAAUAAAAUAUUCUUUUGAAGUGUCUUUAAAUUAACUUGAGAUUAAUUAAAAUAUAAUAUAAUUAAAUUAAAUAAUAAUGCAUAAUAAUUUAAUAAAAAAUACAUCUAAUAAGGUCUCAAAUUAAAACUACAGCACUAACGAACAAACAAUUUUUUUUAAAUUUUUAUUAAAUGAAAAAUUAAAAAAAAAAAAACACAACAGAAAUGGAUGAGGCCUAACUUUAGAGGCAUAAUUAAAAGGACAAACCGGUGUUCAAGAAAAAACUAAAUAAUACCUACUGUCAUUGCAAAUACAGCCAAACUGUUAUGUUGAUAUAUAAUAUAAAUAAUUUAUAGAAUAUGGCAUCUCGCAAAAAAUCAGAAAGUCUUACUGAUCUGGCUAAAAAUCAGAAAGUCUCGCUACAAAAUGUUUUAUGAAUUAUUAUAAUUCACAGUAUAAAAUUUACAAGGGAUUGUAAUAUAUUUUAAAUAAAUAAAUUUUUCAGAUUUGGAAUAAUUAAAUAAUAAAUUAUACUUCACUCAUAUUUCAUCCAUAAUCGAUUAUAUUUUAUGAAUUAUAUAUAAUUUCACAGUAUAAAAUUUACAUAGAAUUGUAAUAUAUUUUACAAAUACUGAAAUAUUUAGAUAUUUUCAUAUUUUAUGACGGAUGUCUUUUUAUUUCAUAAGAAUAUAAAAAAUCAUGUAAUAUAUUCAGAGAGUAGCCGACAUCCACAUAAAAAUAGUUCAUUUAGAGAAAAAAAAAAAGAAUAAACUAUUUUUUCUUCCAUCAAACUGUUUGUUCUUUUAUCAAACUGUCUUGAUGAUAGAUAGCAAAGAGAGCAAAAAAAAUUUCUAAAAAAAAAAAAUUUCUUGAGAAAAUAGAUUUUUUUAAAUAUGAAGAAACAUUCAGAGAGAGACACACACUCUUAGUUAACUCUCUAUAGAGAGAAUGGGAAUUGGUAGGCAGUGCUCACCACUUUCUCAAAGCAACAUGGCUUUUUGUCAUGUAAUUGCUAAAAAAAAGUUAAAAUUCAAAAUUUAAAAAUUUUUUUAUUUAAUUUAUAUAUAAUAAAUUAAAAUUAAACUAUUAUAAACAAGCGGCUCUAACUAUAGUGUGAGCGACUUGGUUCACUAAUUUUUUGACAAAGGAGAAAAAAAUUUUAACUAGAUCGUUUACAAGAGCAUUACAAUUAUCAAUAAGCAUUGCAAAAUAGGACCUAUCACUUUGUUUUGAUUGUAAAGUAUGAACCAAAAUAAGACAAUCAGAUUCUACACAAAUUAGGAAAAAAAUCAGCCUCUUUAUCCAACUUAAAGCUUCUCUAAAGCAUAAAACCUCCCUUGAGGUUGGAUCAUUCAUUCCUAUUUAUGUAACCAAUUUACCAGCACAACACAAACCAUUGCUAUCAUUAAUUAUCACACCAAAAUCGAAUAUACCAUUUUGUUGGAUUGAAACAUCAACAUUACAUUUGAAUUGACCUGCCAUUGGAGCCUUCCAUGAAGCUUCCACACGUUCAACUGGUUGUCUUUCAGUUAUUUGUUGUGCCAACUGCGAUUUCAGGAGUGUUGAUCUUGCUUUGGAAAUCACAUAAUGAUGAUCACACUUCUUACCAUUCCACACAACAUCAUUUAUCCCUAACCAUAAACUCCAUAGAAUCAUGAAACCUCCUCCUUUUGUUUCGGUUUGUACUGCUGCAAAACAGUCGCCAGCCAUUGAUAAAGCAACUAAAUUGCAUUCCAUCCAAAAGAAGAAAGAAGCCAUACAUGUUUCGCAAAGUAACACUAGUGAAGGAUAUGCAAAUCAGUUUCUAGUUGUUGAUGACAAAAGGGGCAGCUUACUUUGACAUCAAUGUGCCUAUGGCAGAGAUUCGCUUUGCAAGGAAGUAAUUGCCUUGAUAUUCUCAAAACCAAAAUCUGCACCUUUUCAGGGACUUAAACCUACCAUAUUUUACUCCAUGGAAACGUCUGAUCUGGAAGUUGAAUAUCAACACUUUCCAUGGCAAUUCUAUAACCUUCCUUAACUGAAUACUAACCACUUCGAUCAUUUUCCAGCAUCAUUCAUCUCUGCGAGUAGUCCUUGAUAGUGGAAUUUGCAAAAUACAAUCAACAUCUCUUGCAUUAAAAUUGGCCCGAAUCAAAUUUGUAUUCCAUCUACCUUCAGUUAGCAGAUCAGAUACAUUUGUUAACUGACUAGAAGUAUCCGUUUCUAAUUGAAUGUAUGGCAUAUCAUCUAAUAACCAAGGAUCCCUCCAAAUGCUUACUUCAAUACCAUCACCAAUUCUUCUCAUACUUCCUUCCAUUAAAAUAUGUCUGGAAGCCAAAAUUGCUCUUCAAAUCUGACUUGGAUUGUGACCUAACUCUGUUUGAAAAAAUGAUGAAUCCCGAAAGUACCUUGCCUUCAUAAUUUUUUAGGCUAAAGCAUUCGAUUGUUGCAAUAUUCGCCAACCUUGUUUUGCAACAAAGGCUAAGUUAAACUGAUGCCAAUCAUGAUAUUCAAGACCAUCUUGAACCUUCAAAAUAGUCAUUUUGCCCCAUCUAAUCCAUCUCAUACCCUUAUUAUCUCUAUUUUUCAGAUUCCCAAAAAAAUCCAUUCAUUGUUGUUUCCAUCUCUCUACAAGUCUCCAUGGGUAACAAAGACAAACUCAUAAUGUAAUUGGGCAUAGCUUGAGCCACAGUUCAUAAAAGAACGUCUUGGCCCGAUCUAGACAGCAAUUUUGAUUUUCAACCCUUUAAUUGUUUUGCUACCUUAUCUACCACAUACUGGAAGACAUGUUUCUUGUCUCUCCUAAUCACUUAUGGCAUCCCCAUGUAAGUUUCAUGACUCUCUACCUCCUCUACUCCGAAGAUGUUACAUAAAGUAUUUCUAUUCUCAACAUUAACAAGAUGUUACAUAAAACAUUUCUAUUCUCAACAUUAACAUUUGGAGUAAAAACAAAAGAGGAUUUUGCCAAAUUCACCAUUUGACUUGAAGCUUUCUCAUAUUUAGCCAAGCUAGUCUUCAACUCCAUAGCUUCAUUCGGGUUAGCUCUAGUAAAAUAUAAGGCAUCGUCGGCAAAAAACAAAUGAGAAAUCGAAACUGCCCGUCAUGCCACUUGUGCACCAUGAUGCGUCCAUAAUUCUGUAAGGAUGAUAGUUUAGCCGACAAACCCUCGGCAAUAAUAAAAAGAUAUGGGAAUAGGGGAUCCCUUGCCUCAACCCUCUCUAUGGUAUUACUGGUCCAAACUCUUCACCACCACGUAAGAAAUAGUAUUGAACUGAAGUAAUAAUCUGCAUAAUCCUCUCAACCCACAAAAUCAAAAAACCCAACAUCAGCAAAAUUUGUUUCAAAUAUUACCACUUAAUCCGAUCAUAUGCUUUAGUCAUAUUUGUCUUCAAAGCCAACCAACCAGUAUUUCCUUAGGUCUUCCUCUUUAAAGUAUGGAAAGUUUCAUAAGCAAUGAUGAUGUUAUAUGUAAUUAAGCGAUUUGGUAUAAAAGCACUUUGAGAAUCAAAUAUUAUAGAGGACAAUACCUGUUUUAAUCUGUUUGCAAUGCCUUUACACACAAUUCUAUUAAUUACAUUGCUUAAUGAAAUCGGUCGCAAAUCCUAAACUCUUUCCGGCACAACUUUUUUUGAGAUCAACACCACAUUUGUUCGAUUACUUACAGGUAGGAGUGACCAGUAUUCGGUUCAAACCGAAAAAACCGACCGAACCGAACCAAAUUGAAAAUUUGAUUCGGUUUUUUAUAUAUUUCGGUUUGGUUCGUUUUUAAUUUUAAAAAUUUCGGUUAUUUCGGUUCAGUUCGAUUUUGAUCAGAAAAAAAUCAAACCGAACCGAUUAGUGAUAAUAAUAUUUUUUUCAAUAAUAUAGAGAAAUUAAAUUAUAUUAAGAUUAAAAUAUUUUAAUUAAAUUUUAAAAUACUAAAAAUAAAGUGUAGAAAAUAAAAAAAUUAUUAAAAAUCGAAACUGAUCAAACCGAACCGAAUCGAACUGAAUCAGACCGGUUCAGUUUGAUUCGAUUUCUGACCAAAAUCGAUUCGGUUCGGUUUUCAUAAACACUAAAAUUUCGGUUUUCAGUUUAUUCGGUUCGGUUCGAUUUUGAACCGAACCGACCGAAUGCUUACCCCUACUUACGGGAAGUGCACCACCAUCGUUCAAACACUGAAAAAAUCUCGAAUUUAACCCAUUAGGUCCAGGUAAUUUGUCCGGGUGCAUAGAGAAUAAUGCUUCUGAUACGGAUCUAAUAGGGCAAAUUUCUAACAAUAGUGUGGAGCAAACUUAUAUCAUUCAAAUGAAUCUAAAAGUAGUUCAAAAUCAUAUUCAUAUGAUCCAUAUACAUUUGGGGCGUGCUUCAACUCAUAUGGGGCAGAUUUGAUGCAACACUUGCAAUUAUAAGCUUAGAGAGCCUAAUCAAACCUAUGGGCCAAAACUACACAAAUGGAAGCCUAAAGUGAAGAUCAAGAAAAGUUUUUGCGAAAAUUCAGUUUUGUCAUGAUGGGCUUGCUAUAUUUUAUUAUUUAAACAUUUGCUUUAUUUUGGUUUUGUUUGGACUUGUAUUCUGACCAUAUUUUAUCUUUUAAGUUUUAAAGUUUUGGGCCAUGUUUUGGGCUCAUGUUUUAAUACUUAUGAGUUUAAUGUGUUAUUUUAGUGUGUGAUUGGGCAUGGGCCUUAUGUGUAAUUUGGCCAGACCUAAAAGAGUGUCUUAAGGGUUUAUUUGUUUUCUCCUUACUAUAUAAGGAUUAAAAACACUUGUAAGAGGCAGUUUUGAAUCUAAAUUUUUAGAAUUCUUUUCAUGCAUUGGGCGUGUAUUGCUUUGAGUGAGAGUGAGGAUUUGCUUUCAUCAAUUGCACCAAGAAUUUUGGCUAACUUAUCAACUAUUCGUUGUGGCAUUUGUCAGAUUCUCUUCUAAAUCCUUCGAUCAUUGGUGUUUCAGUUUCUCUAAGUGUGUGGUGCCAUAGGAGGUGGGUUUAUCAAAUCUUUGGAUUCCAUAUCUACUUGUGCGUGUGGGUUUGAGGCUUGUGCCAGAGGGUUCCACGUCAGUUGGUAUCACAAUGAUACGGAUCCAAUAGGGCAAAUUUCUAACAAUAGUGUGGAACAAACUUAUAUCAUUCAAAUGGAUCUAAAAGGAGUUCAAAAUCAUAUUCAUAUGAUUCAUAUACAUUUGGGGCGUGCUUCAACUCAUAUGGGGUAGAUUUGGUGCAACACUUGCAAUCAUAGGCGUAGGGAGCCUAAUCAAACCUAUGAGCCAAAACUACACAAAGGGAAGCCUAAAGUGAAAAUCAAGAAAGGUUUUUGUGAAGAUUCAGCUUUGUCAUGAUGAGCUUACUAUGUUUUAUUAUUUAAAUACUUGCUUUAUUUUGGCUUUGUUUGUGCUUGUAUUUUGGCCAUAUUUUAUCUUUUAAGUUUUAGAGUGUUGAGCCAUGUUUUGGGCUUAUGUUUUAAUACUUAUGAGUUUGAUGUGUUAUUUUAGUGUCUGAUUGAACUUGGGCUUAUGUGUAAUUCAGUCAGGCCUAAGAAGAGUGUCUUAGGGUUUUAUUUGUUUUCUCUUUACUAUAUAAGGAUAAGAAACACUUGUAAGAGACAGCUUUGAAUCUAAGUAUUCAGAAUUCUUUUUAUGCCUUUUGGCGUGUAUUGCUUUGAGUGAGAGUGAGAAUUUGCUUUCAUCAACUGCACGAAGAAUCUUGGCUAACUUAUCAACUAUUCGUUGUGGCGUUUGUUGGAUUCUCAUCUAAAUCCUUCGAUCAUUGGUGUUUCAGCUUCUCUAAGUGUGGGGUACCAUAGGAGGUGAGUUUAUCAAAUCCUUGGAUUCCAUAUCUACUUGUGCGUGUGGGUUUGAGACUUGUGCCAUAAGGUUCCAUGUCAGUUGGUAUCAGAGCCAAAGUGAGGUAAAUUCUGAUUUAUCUUAGGAUCUAGGGUUUUUGAGUUUUUUUUUUCUUUCUUGUUAAUUUUGGUGAAAGGUUGUGUGUCCAUGAAUGCACCUUAUUGAUUAUUAAUCAUUACAUAAUCUCUUUUGGAAGAAAAAUUUGAAAUCCAUAAAAAAAAAUCGCCUUUACCUUAUUUAUUUUGAUCUAACCAAAAUUGUGAUAUAUUUCAUAUUUCAUCUAUAUUGUCUUAACUGUCUCAAUUGAUAGCUGUAAUUUAUGGGAAUCAAUUUUGAAUUUUGAAUUGGGUUGAAUCCAGAUUAGGAGACAAAAGAAAUUCUGCCUAUUUCCUAAAGUGCAUAUUUAAGGCAAUUGCAUCUAAAUUGAUUUGACGUCAAAUCCUUCUUUUAACACCUGAAUUUUUGUCCAUGAUGUUGAACUUAGGGAAAUUUAAUUUUUUUUUUUACUUUAUUUGUGGGGUUUUGAUACUUGCCUUUUUGGGUAGAUUUAAAUAGAUUCAUAUUUAAUUUGGUUUGAAGUGAAUUAAAUUUAAACUUUUGUCCAGAUUCAUUUUUAUUUAAAUUCUAAGUUUCUUUUUUGGUUUAAGUUUGCUUUUACUUUCUUGACAUUGCUGGAUUAUUGUUUGCUUGUGUCUAUACUCUAGGUGAUAUUUUUCAAGUAGUACAAAACCUAGUUCGUGUGUUACUUUCCAAAUUGUCAAGGUUUUCUUUCUAGUUUUUGCGCACUUUCUUCUUUUUUUAGGUUUUCUUCUUUGUUUCAUUAAAUGCACUUUGGGGUUGGUUGGUUGACCUUAGUUUCUGAAGUGCAAUUGAAGAAUCAACAAAAGAGUGGAAAGAGUACAAACACUUGAGUGCUUUUAUUUCUAACACCAUAUUUGCUAGUUUAUUCUUUAUUAAUUUAAGGUAGGAUAAGUAAAUACAAAAUAUGGUGGAUAGUGAUGAUGAAAGUGAAUGGGACAUGGCUUGUGAUUAUAAGCUCUUCAAAAAGUCAGUUGGUGUAACGACCCGGAAACCGAUACCCCUCUGUAACGGCCCGAACCGCCACCGGCGCUAGGAUCCGGAUCAGCUUAAGGCCGCCGGGACCCAUAGCAAGCCAAACAUACUUCCUAUCACCUGGUCAAAUCCCAUACAUGAUCAAAACUUUAACAUAAAAACGUAAACAUCUGAUGCAAAAACCGAGCCUGACCUGUAUGCGACAUAACUGAAAACAUAAAAGGAUCCCCUACUAGAGCCCUCAUUAAAACUCUAGCUGGGUCAACAUAACAUAUAUCAAGCUGGGAUUACAUCCAAGGAACUAGAACCUAACCUGUGCAUGCAUCAAACCACAAAAAUAAGACCUCCUCUAGGGUCCUCAUCCAUUACCAUAGCGUGGUAAACAACACAUGCCACAAGAUUAGUUCAAACACAACUCAACAUCUAGCAUAACAUACAUCAUGUACUAAAAAGGGACUAACCAAGUCUUAGGGCCAAGCACAACUAACCAUACACAUAACUCCAAUUAACUUUACAUUUCACUCUCUUACAAAUCAAUAUCUCAAUUUAUAACACAUGUCCACACUACAAGUACUAAGCUAAUACUAUUACAAAAGUACGACCUUUUUACCCUUGACGUCUUCCCGAUCAACCUCAAACCUGCAACACUGGGGUUAGGGGAGAGGGGUGAGCUAAAAAGCCCAGUGAGUAGAAACAUAGAAAACAGUUCAUUAAUUACAUGCUCUCAUGAAAUGCGUCAUAACACAAAGAAAUCAUAUAACUGUAUCUUGUCCGUCUCGGGGUUCAUGCAAAUAAAUAUUCCCCACGGACUGUUUUUGAGAGUUCCUUUUUGCUAGCAUCCUUUACUCUCAAGGAUCGGACAUGACCUCAAAAUUCCCUCUGUCGGUGCCCGGCUCCCCCAAGGAAGCUCACACAGGACUUUCACAUACAUGACAGGGUACCAAAUCCACAGAGAGCUCACCAGGACUUUCCUAUAUGUACUUGUCCGGCUCUCAAAGGACUUACCCAAGACUCAAUGACAGAAAUGGGCUAUUGAAGUCGCCUUAGUCCAAACCUCCUGAAUCAACAUCAAAUAAUGCAAUGCGUCACAUUCGUGAAACUAGUGCAAUCAGCCUAUUACAUAUAAUCAUGAUGCAUGAACAUGCUUUAGGCAUUAGAUUUCGUACAUAAAAGAUUAAGUUUAGUUCUACUCACCUCCUGGCAGACGCUGACUGACUCUGCAAUUGCUAGCACUACUGGCCUCCUCGGUCCCUCGGGUCCGAUCCUACACAGUUGGACUCGAAUGAGGUGCCAAACAUACUCUAAACAACUCAUAAACAUACCCCCAAAAACCCUCUAAAACAUCACUUAAGCAUGCAUAGAAAACAACCAUGAAAAGGCUGGACAGGGCACUUUCGGCGGCACCUUCGGCGGCCGAACCUUCCCUCCAGAGACGAAACUCGGGCACCUUCGGCGGCCGAAAGUCCCACUCCAGAGACGAAAGUCAGACACUUUCGGCGGCCGAACAUGACCUUCGGCUGCCGAAAGUCUACUUUCAAGCCAAACUCAACUUUCGGGGGCAAGGUUAGGCGGCCAAUCCAUGCAUCCAAAAGGCAGGUUCGGCGGCCGAAGCCACUUUCGGCGGCCGAACCUGAGUUCUUCCCAGAAGGGCAGAACUCAGCUUCUCAUGCAUUCAAGCCUCCCAAACCUUCCAAACACCCCAAAACAAGCACUCAUCUUACCAAAACAUGCAUAAACACUUAACCAUGCACAAAGGAGCUUAAUAGCUUGAUUAAACUCCAAAAACAACAUCAAAACAUACAUAGAUAGCUUAUGACCCACAUAGGCCAAAACUAUCAAAACAACCCAUAACCUCACUUUCUCUUUCCCAAUCAUGCAUACACUCUCCCUCAAGCUUAAACCUCCAACAAAGCAUCAUAUAAACAUACAUGAGCAUCACAUAACACACAUUGGGCAUAAAACCCACAUAAAUCCUAACAUGCAUAUCUACCCAUACUCAACCAUCAAAACCUUCAUAAAACUUCAUAAAAACACUAGGGAAGCAAAGAUCUACACUUACCUCUUGAAGAUCGAGGGUGGUGUGAUCCUUAACUCGGAGGUGUGGAGAAUCCAAGCUCCAAAAGCUCCAAGCUCCCAAAACUCCUUUUAAGCUUUAAAUCUUCAAACACAAGGGUAGAAAUCAUGAAAAACUUGAGAGAUGGGUAGAGAAAACACGAAAACGACCAAAGGAAGGCAUAAACUCACCUGAGCUCGAGAAUGGGGAGAAAACUCGCUCAUUUCCGAUCUGAGGGCCCUUUAUAGGUGGCCUGGUCAAAGACCUUCGGCGGCCUAACGUGCCCCCUAAACUCAUGCAUGUUCGGCGGCCGAACUUGACUUUCGGCGGCCGAACCUUGGCUCGUUCAAACAAGACUUUCGGAGGCCAAAGGCACUUCCGAAACCUUUCCAUGUUCGGCGGCCGAACUUCACUUUCGGCGGCCGAACCUGGCAAAUGCCUCCUUGGUCUUUUCUCUUCAAAACUCAAUUUUCUUUCAAUUAAAACCCUUAAAAUCAUUUGAAAAUAUUUUUAGAAAACACAUUCUACCCUUCUAGAGAGAUCCAACACCCUAGAUUCCGCCGGAAGGUAGGAAUCUCGAUGCCGGAUUCUAGCCGGGUAUUACAGUUGGUUGUGAGUUUAAAAGGAUUUAUAAGACUCUUGAGAGAUUGACCGAAACUAUGGAGGGUUUGAAUGUCUCACAAGCGCCCACUCCUACAAGAAUACCUCAAAAAACUCGUAAUUGCAAUAAGGCUCAAGUCCGAGAUGAAGAGUUGAUGCGCCAGAGAUUUAUCCCUUCACACUAUUAGAGGAAUUUAGAUAACAGGUUGGCAAGACUAAUUCAAGGAGGGAAGAUGGAGAAAGAAAAGGAGAAACAAGAGGCUAAAGUUACAAUCUCAACUUCCAUAGAUAUUGAAAUUGAAGAGGAAGUUGUAAUGCAUAAAGUUAAUAUAGUUGUUGCUGAAAAUUCCAUCAAUGAGUUUAUAGAAGAGGUUGUGAAUGAUGGUGGACAUGGGGAGCGCGUGAUUGAUGAGGUGGAGGAAGUGAAUGAGACUGUUUUGAAAGUUGUAGAGGAGAAUGAAUCAUAUUCACAGGAUCUUUCUAUGACUAAUAUUUUUAUGCCUAGUUCAUUUGUUCUUGAUGUGCAGGUUGUUGAUGAAAACAUCCAUGACAAAAGUUUUAUGCUAUUUCUACCUAUUUAAGAGGAGGUCUUUGAAGAUGCAUUGGUUUUUAAAGCUUCCCUUCCUGACAUAAAUAUUAGCAAGAUUUGAGGAUGAAUCUUUUCUAAGGAAUGAGGGAAUGAUACGGAUCUAAUAGGGCAAAUUUCUAACAAUAGUAUGGAGCAAACUUAUAUAAUUCAAAUGGAUCUAAAAUGAGUUCAAAAUCAUAUUCAUAUAAUCCAUAUACAUUUGGGGUGUGCUUCAACUUAUAUGGGGUAGAUUUGGUGCAACACUUGCAAUCAUAGGCUCAGAGAGCCUAAUCAAACCUAUGGGCCAAAACUAUACAAAGGGAAGUCUAAAGUGAAGAUCGAGAAAGGUUUUUGUGAAGAUUUAGUUUUGUCAUGAUGGGCUUGCUAUGUUUUAUUAUUUAAACACUUGCUUUAUUUUGGCUUUGUUUGGGCUUAUAUUCUGUCCAUAUUUUAUCUUUUAAGUUUUAGAGUGUUGUGCCAUAUUUUAGGCUUGUGUUUUAAUACUUAUGAGUUUAAUGUGUUAUUUUAGUGUGUGAUUGGGUUUGAGCUUAUGUGUAAUUCGGCCAGGCCUAAGAAGAGUGUCUUAGGGUUUUAUUUGUUUUCUCUUUAUUAUAUAAGGAUAAGAAACACUUGUAAGAAACAAUUUUGAAUCUAAAUUUUCAAAUUCUUUUCAUGCCUUUGGCGUGUAUUGUUUUGAGUGAGAGCGAGGAUUUGCUUUCAUCAAUUGCACUAAGAAUCUUGGCUAACUUAUCAACUAUUCAUUGUGGCAUUUGUCGGAUUCUCAUAUAAAUCCUUCGAUAAUUGGUGUUUCAGUUUCUCUAAGUGUUGGUGACAUAAGAGGUGGGUUUAUCAAAUUUUUGAAUUCCAUAUCUACUUGUACAUUGGGUUUGAGGCUUGUGCCAUAGGGUUCGACGUCAGCCUCUCUAACCUCCUCUUUAGAAUAUGAUUGAAGAAGAAAAAAUUAUGAUCCUCUUUAAUUUUUGUUUGCACAAAUGAUAAGAUUUUGCCCAUAUCUCAUCGUGAAGACGUACAUAGCUUCUUAUAAAAAUCCAUUAUCAAAUUUGGCAAACCCGAAUCCCAUGAAACUCACUGAGCAUCAUCAUUCUUCAACUGAUUAACAUAAUUCUUCUUAAAUCUAUUCGAAGCAUAUAUGUGAAAAUAUCUACAAUUUGAGUCACCAGUUGCAAGGCAAUGUUGCUUUGCCCACUGUUUCCAGUAGCAUUCAUUUUAUAACAAUAAAUUACUAUAUCUAACUUCUGCUUCCUUAAUAUCGGCAAGAGGAACAUAUCAUUGUUUAUGGAGAAAUGAUAAAUGUUGCUUUACCUCUUUUAACCGCCUUUGAAAAUCCUCAUGAUGGCUUCUCGCCCGCUUUUUAAUUCGCUCCACACACUGCACUAUUCUAACUUGCAAUUUAAUAUUUUCAUUUUGCUUCCACCCUUCAGCCACAAUAGACUCACAGUCCACCUCCUGCACCCACGAAUUCUCGAACCAAAAUCGCUUCCUCACAUACCGUUGCAACUGAACACCUAGUGAUAAAAAGAUUGGCAGAUGAUCCGAGCAAUCGAUUUCGAGAAUUUAAAGCUUUGCCAUCUGAAACGUGGAUCUCCAUAUACUUGAAACCACAACUUUGUCCAACCUUUCCUUGAUUAAAUUGGAGUCUCUUCUGUUUGUCCAAGUAAGCAAUGGACCCUCAUAACCCAAAUGUUGUAACUGGCAAAAUUCAAGAGUGUUUCGAAAGCCUUCAAUAAGGUGGUUGUCUAUCUCCUCCUUCCUUCUCAGUCGACCAUAGUAGAUCGUUAAAGUCUCCAAUAACGCACCAAGGCUUACCAAAUUUUGCCACUAAUGCAACUCCCAUCCCUUAAAACGCACCGUUCUCUCGCGUAUCCAUAAAAACCAAUCAAUCUGAAUUGGGUCAUACCUUCAAUAGUUACCAACACAUCAAUAUGGUGUGUAGAAUAACUAAUCAAACUAGCUAUUGAACUCUCUUUCCAAAAUAGGGCCAAACCACCACUAAACCCAAUUGGAUCCACUGCAAAGCAACCAACCCUAAUAAUCCAAGUUCUUCUUAAGUUGAAAUAUUUUUUUUUUAAUUUUGUUUUCAUAAGAAAAAUAAAAUUAGACCUUUUGUUCUGGAUUAAAUCAACAAUGCUUGCGGAGAGGUCAAUCCACAACAGUUCCAACUUAAAUUACUCAUCGAUCUAGGCAGGUCUAGAAACCAAAAGUUGCCUCUUUCAAGUUUUUUUAAAUUACCUUAAAAAGAAUCUUGCACCUUAUCAAUAUCCUCCUCAUUAUUCAAACCCUACAAAACAUCCUCCACUCUCCUAUGUUUCUAUUCGGAUAAUAACAAUGAAUCAUCCAAAUUUUGAAAAUCGUCUCCAAUCUCCUCCCUAUCAUUAACCACCUCCAUGUUAUAUGAAUUCAAAUUUUGAAUUGGAUUUAAAUUAGACGUACCACUUUCGUUCAUUGUCGGCUUGUUUCCACCAUCGUUCUGUUUUAUUUUUUUAGCCAUCUUUUUAGUUGCGUUGUCCAAUGAUUUAUCCAUUCUUAAUAAAUCACUUUCCGAUCUUAACCAUUUAGCACCAACCUGAGAAACCUUUCUAGUUUUUGCCUUCAACCAAGGCCCCCAUAGAAACUUUUCUCAUGGAAAGUUUGGCAUGUCAUAUAAUAAACGGCACCCAAAUAUCUUUUGAUAGGCUGCAACUCAUGGAGAAGUAAAGGAACUUCUUGAAAAUUCCAUGGUGCACCCUUCAAAACCUGAUCUACAUCCAUUUGAUGAAAGAACUAGAAUAGAUAAGCAUUGUUUCCAAGUUCUUUGAUAAUCACUCCCUUAACAGGUCUCCAAACCAUGAUACUACCUCCUCCUCCUUUGGCUGGCCAUCGUCUUUCAAAUACUCCAUCUUUUCGUCUUUCGACUCUAUAUUCAACUCUCUAUACAUCUCCACCAGAUCAUUACCUGAUUAUUUUUCGCUAUUGAUUAUAAAUAUCACAGAAAAUAAUAGAAAAAAGAGAAAAAAAGUAGAAAGAAAAUAAUAGAAAUAAUUGAAAGAAUUAUGAAUAGGCAAAUAAUAAGGAAAUAAUGAAGAAAGAAUAAAGAAUCAAGAGUUGCUGAUGAAUACCUUAAGUUUAAUGGUAAAGUGUACAUGAUACAAAUAACAGCUUUAGAUGAAUCUAAAUUAUUAUAUUUUAUUUUUUAAUAUAAUUAUUGAUGUAUUAUAGUAUUUUUGGUUGAAUAUACAACUAUAGCUUGAUAUGAUGGUACUCCAAAACCAUAUAAUAAUUUUUCUGGCUGCUUUACAUUAGCUCAGGAAAGAAGACAAUAAAACAUUUUUCACCAAAUUACUUAUAUAAUACUUUGUUUUAAUUAAAAAUUAAAAAAAAUAAAAAAAUAAAAAAAUAUGCUAUUAUUUGACAAACCAGAGAAGAAAAUUGAUUUUAGGGCUAUCAUUGUUUUAAAAAAAUAAAUAUUUACAUAUUUUAUCAUUUAAUUAAAUUCUUAAAUUUUAGCACAAUAAUUUAAAUUUUUAAAAUUUAUAAUUUUAUUCAAUUUUUAAAUUUAAUUGUAAAAAUUAUUAUCUCACGAUAAUACUAUUUUUUUAUUAUUAUUGAUAUUAUACUAAUUUACAUCGAAUUUAAUCUACAAAAUAAAAUGAAUACUGAAUAAUUCGGUGGACAAAUCUUGAUAUAUAUAUAUAUAGUAUAAGUAACCGACUCUAUAUUAAGAAAAAAUCCUAGCCAUUAAAUUUUGAUCAAAGAUACCCCCUAACGCGUCCCUUACGGAUCAAGUUGGCGAAACAAAUCCGUGCCCACCGCCUCUGAAUAAAGACCGCGUCAACAUUCCGCAACCGACUAGCCGCUUCCAGAUUAACUGACACUGUGAUUCAAAACAAUCCUAACCGUUAAUUUCAGCAAUCACAGUUUAAUCUCAGCCUUCCAAUCUCAUUCUACUUCUCUAUAAAUAACGCUCCUCCUCCCUUCCUUGGAUUCUUGCCUUGGGUCGUAGGCUUCGAGAUGAUGAUCUGUGGUGAAGGCGUUGGUUAAUUCUGGUUUUCCUUCUAUUUUCUGCUAGACAUCUGUGAGAUCGUCUUGGCUUUGAUUGUUUACGUUGAUGAUAUGAUUCGUUUAUGUUUCGGUUCGUCUGUGCAGAAAAUAUUUUGAUGCGAAGAGAAUUGUUGAUGUGGAUAUUUCUUCUUUUCUCCAUGCGUGGUUAUUGUUUUGCUAGUUAUUUUGCCGAAGAUCUAAUGCUUAGGUUUAUUUAGGAUCUGUUUCUGGAUUUGUUUGUAUUUGGUAGAUUGUUCACCAUACUGGUAGAAUUCUCUCUGGUUGUUUUGUGGUGUUAGGUAUUUGGAAUAAAGCAGAAUCGAGGAUUGAGGUAGAAGGUAUUUUCUUGGUUUGCAUUGGCUUUCUGUUUGAUCGCGGAAUUUGUGUUUCGAAUUGAAUUGCCACGCAGCUUAACACAGAUCUGAUGAUUGGUUAAUUGAUUGAUUUCAGCUCUAGUAUGAAACAGAGUUUGAUCCCUGAUAUUUUACGGUGCACAGCGGCAUUGGUGGUAGUUUGAUAAUCGAUUUAAUAUGAUAUUCUCUUUUGGAAGUUCCUCUUUUCGGUUAAGUGUUAUUUCUUCCUUCAUUCAGCGGGUUCGCUCAGUGGUUCUUAGAUCAUUGUGUUAAAUCUUUAAAACUCUUGUUAAUUAAUUUUAUGAUGGCUAACAAAAACGGUUCUUUUGGUGGUUCCUUUCUGCGCUUUUUCAAGGAAUGGAUCAAGAUUGUUUGCUUGAAUUUCCACUAUUAUCAGGAUUGGUGGUUUGUGGUUUGAUUUCCACUAUUAUCAGGAAUGGAGAAUCAGUUUCUGAGUUCUUAUGUUUGCAUGUGUUUUCAGCUAAUUGUUCGAGGAGGAUGUUGACUAGGAAUGAUAAGGGAGUUUUCUCGUCUCUUCUAAUAUUGAUUCUCUCCACUUCAUAUAAGUAGAAUCAUGGAGCUAAUACUUCUAUAAUUUUUAGAUUUUUAGUGCCUCCUGAUCAGGUUUCGAUGAUUCAAGUGUUUAUAUUUUGAUUAAUAAGAUAGAUUUAACAAAUUUUUACUUGAAAACAAGAAUUUAUAGGACUUCUUUGUACGCACAAUAAUAAAUGAGUUUUGGAUGUUUGUUUUUUCAGGAUCUGAUUCCAUUGACAUGGAUUGAUAGUGAUGCCGGAAGUGUUUGAUAACAUAAAUAUGUUAGCUGUGAUUUCUUGUUUUGUUGCUGUGGUAUAAAACAUCUAAGUUUUAAGGUGAUUAAGUAGGAGCCUGCCUUCUGUAUUUGUCUCUGGAGUUCCAUGGCUGACUAUUGCUCUUAGCAUUAUCUUCCGUUGCAGCUUCAGUGUGCCAAGUGGUUUAAGAUGUGUAUGAUACAAUGAUUUCUGCCCAUUAUAUGGUGUUACUCGAAGAUGCACUUUUUUGUGUCUCCAGUUUCCCCCUUUUGAUGAGCUAUAUAGAGGGAAUUGAUGUUUAUGAAUGGAGUGUUCAUCGUCCUCUGCUUUUGGUGUAAGAUGUGUUUGAUACAAUGUUAUGGUAUUACUCGAAGAUGUACUUUUUUGUGUCUCCAGGUUCCCUUGAGAUGAGCUAUAUGGAAGGAGAUGUUGAUGUCAUGGAGGGAGUAUUUUCAGGAUUCCAUUACAGUGGAUUGAUUAAUGGAUUUGCGAGAGACAUAUAGAUAUCCUUUGUCUGCAUUCGUUUGGUGUUUAGGUACAGCUUAGAUGCAAGUUGGAAUCUUCUUUCUAUGACUCAUUAUUUGAUGUCUUUUGUGGCUUGGUUUUUGUUGAUUUUUUCUACUUAAGUUUCAAGUUUGUUCUACUCAAAAACAGGAUUUGCUGUCCGUCAGUUUUGAUUAUUCCAAGGAUGAUGAUUUUUUGGUGUGAUUUCCAGGACCUUGGAGCAUUUUGUUGGUGGUUAAUUCUAUGUGCUUGGUAAAACCUGUUAGUAGGGUAAUCGCUUAGAUUUAUUUUAUUUUAUUGAACAGUGCUUAGCUUAGGUGGACUAACAGGACCCAGGGUUUUUAUCCCCUGUUAUCUUUCUGGCAGUUAAAUUUACAUCUCCAUACUCAUUAGGACAAAUAACUAGUUUGUGAGUUUCUAUGCUAGAGGGAGAUGUUGAGUAGGGAGGGUGAGGGAGUUCUCUUUCCUCUUUCUAAUGUUGGCUUGCCCCUUAUACCAAGUAAAUUUCUGAAUUUAAUAUUUUUAUAAUCGUGAGAUCUUCAUCUCAGUGUAAUCCUUGAGUGUAUACUGUUAUAAUCUUUAGAUUUUCACUGCCUUCUGAUCAGGUUUAUUUGAUCCAUUGUUUUGGGUAAUCAUACAUAAGGAGCUGAGAUAUGCCUGGGCUGCAUUCCCUUGAGCUUCUGCAUCCUUAUCUUCAAUUGGUCUAUGAACUUGCUUCUGCUUUUCCAAUGAUGCAAUUUUGUUUUAGGAACACGGGGGAGUGUGAUAGGCUUGAUGAAGAUGUAUGUUCCUUGGUGAUAGUUCAUAAAUUUUAAUAUAAGAAGGUAGUGUCCUUGUGAGAACAGUAAUAAAUGAGGUUCAGAUUGUUUUCCCAGGUUCUGCACAAGUGAAUUGAUGUACGGACCACUACUGAAGGAUGUUGCCUUUUGUUUUGGCUCUGGGGACCUAUGGCUGCAUGGGAAGUGUAAUAAUGACACUGCUCUUAGCAUUAGUUCCAGUUCUUGUUGAUUUUCAGCUUCAGUGUGAGCUUGGGUGUGCCUCCAGUGAGCCUGUCUGGCAGCUUGUGGAUGGUGUGAUCAGGAAGUUAUUGACUUGGUUUUUGUUUCUUUUUUAUUUGUUUUUAUUGGUUCACAAAUGUUUGGUGGUGGUUGAUUCAGAUAACUGGUAGUAAAUUUUCAGGAUUCCAUCAAUGUAGUGGAUGAACUGGUUUUUGAAUUCAUUUGUUGUUGGCUUCUUGAUGAUGGCAUGGACGUUGUCUUUUGGAUGGAAGUAUUUCUACUUUUGAGUUUCAUAUUUGUUGUUUUUAACAACAUGAAUUGGAUGCAUCAACCGUGGUUAUUUUGAGGAUUGAGGAUUGAUGAUUUGUGGGUGAUAUCUAGGAUUUUGGAGUUUAGCUGCUUUUUUUCUUGUCAAGUGACCUGCUGGCAGACUAGUCGGGAGAUUUUUGUGACCUUUUUGUUUCUGGAAAUUAAAUUCAUAAUAUCCCUAUUUCUGAGUUUUUAUAUUUGUGUGUGUUUACAGCCUGUUAUUUGAGGAAGAUGAUGUGUGGGAUUGGUCAGGAAGGAAGUUCUCUUGCCCCUUCCUGUGUUUCCAGCCUGUUAUUUGAGGAAGUUGUGGUGUGGGAGUGGGAAUGAUCAGGGAGUUCUCUUGCCCCUUCUAGCAUUGGGUCUCUCCUUCAUAUAAGAAGAAUUCUUGAGUGAAUAUUGUUGUAGUUUUGAUACUUUCAUUGAUUCCAGUGUUUACUCGUGGAGCAUAUUGAGAUCAAUUGAAGAUGCUAAUCAAGAAGUAUUUGCUUUCUUUUCCUGACCCUUUUAACAAACUCUCUUUUUUGUGUUCUUUUUCCCCGGGGGGGGGGGGGUUUGCUCUUUGGUCAUUUUUUCUUCACUUGAUUUUUGCAUCUAAUCCCUUUAAUAUGAUGUAUGCUCCCUGUCAUCUUUGCUAUGUCUCAUCAAGUUUUGAGUUAAGAUUCAAGAAUCAAAUAUAGGUGUAAGAUUCGUAAAAUUUCAAAAAAACAAUUAAAAAUCAGUUAAGAAACAAUACAUGUUCGAGAAUAAGUUAAACUAUUACAGUGACUGUAACGACCCGAAAAUCAGGCCGCCAUCGGCGCUAGGAUCCAGAUCGGCUUAAGGCCGCCGGGACCCGUAGCAAGCCAAACAUACAUCCUGUGAACCUGUUUAAUCCCAUACAUGGUCAACAACAUACAUGAAAAUUAAAAACUUUUCUUUCAUUCAUUCAAACAUUUCUUUGCCAAGCCUAGCCUGUGCAUGCACAACAUAACAUAAACCNNNNNNNNNNNNNNNNNNNNNNNNNNNNNNNNNNNNNNNNNNNNNNNNNNNNNNNNNNNNNNNNNNNNNNNNNNNNNNNNNNNNNNNNNNNNNNNNNNNNNNNNNNNNNNNNNNNNNNNNNNNNNNNNNNNNNNNNNNNNNNNNNNNNNNNNNNNNNNNNNNNNNNNNNNNNNNNNNNNNNNNNNNCUCGGACACUCCCAAGACAUGUGUCCCUCUUGCCCACACCUAUAGCAGGCUGUCGUCCCAAACCGGCAUACUCCCCUGUGUAGCUUACCACACCUUGCACACACUGCAUUAUCAGCACCAGAACUUGAGCCACUUCCUAAUCCCAGACCUGAUUUGAUCUUGCUCCAGAACUUAUUUUUCUUUGAUUUCUUAGUGGUAUUGCCCCACUUCUUACUAGCCGAACUCAAGGAUGAAGGGUCUAUCCUUCCCCCACCUGGGGUCUUAGAACCAGAAGGUUGUGCCACAGACUGCUUGACUUUUCCCUCUAUUACGGCACUAGCCUCCAUUCUCCUGGCCAUGUCUAUAAUGGCAUGGAAACUUUCUCUAUCAGCUGACUGAAUCAAAGAGGAAUACCUGGAAUUGAGCCUCAUGACAUACCUCCUCGAUUUCUUCGGAUCUGUGUCCAGAUGCUGCCCAGCAAAUGGCAACAACUCUAAGAAUCUAUCGGUGUACUCAUCGACACCCAUCUCAUCUGUCUGCUUCAGCUGUUCGAACUCAAUCACCUUCAGCUCCCUGGAACUGUCAGGGAAAGCCCAUCCUGCGAAUUCAUUCGCAAACUCCUCCCAUGACAAACUGUCCACCUUUGGUUUCACAUAGUUCUUGAACCAUUCUCGAGCCUUCUUGCAUUUCAGAGUGAAACCAGCCAUCUGAAUGGCUCUACUGUCAUCAGCCCCUAUCUCAUCUGUAAUCGUUUUGACCUUCUCCAGGUACACAAACGGAUCAUCACCGGUAUCAAACUGAGGAGCACCCAACUUCAUAUAGUCGGUCAUCUUAGCCUUGCUCCCUCCAGAUGAGGUAGGUUGAGGUCUUUGGUUUUCUGUAACUGUGGUUUCUGUUGGUGGUGGAGGUGCGGCAUCCCCUGGGAUAGGGUUUGCUGUGCCUGGAUGGAUGGAGGUGGGUACAUAGGGUACUGUGGAUAUUGUGGGUAAAAAGGUGGGUAUGGCAUGUGAGAAGGGUAAGGAUUAACACUGGGGUAAUCCGAUGUACCUCCCAUCGAAUACCCGGGGUAUGGUGAAAAAGGUGGGUACUGGGGUGGUGGAAUAAACCCCGAGGCCUGAGUGCCUCCCUGAGACUCACCCAUGCCCUCUUCUGGCAUGCUCACACCAAGACUACCAUCCCUCCUCUGGUCCACAUCCAUCUCUUCUCCCACAUCCACUGACCUGUCUCCUUGCACCGUUCCUCUUACUGAUCUGUUUCUACCCAGAUCCAGAGAUCUUCUAGGAUCUCCCACUGCUCUGUCCCUGUGGGACCUACUCGACAUUGCCCUUGGCAAUGCUGGAGGACGGGCGCUCGUGCCCUCAUCCUCCGGUGGUACUCUAGCCAAUCUAGCUGAUCGACGAGUUCCUCGCAUUCUGAUNNNNNNNNNNNNNNNNNNNNNNNNNNNNNNNNNNNNNNNNNNNNNNNNNNNNNNNNNNNNNNNNNNNNNNNNNNNNNNNNNNNNNNNNNNNNNNNNNNNNNNNNNNNNNNNNNNNNNNNNNNNNNNNNNNNNNNNNNNNNNNNNNNNNNNNNNNNNNNNNNNNNNNNNNNNNNNNNNNNNNNNNNNNNNNNNNNNNNNNNNNNNNNNNNNNNNNNNNNNNNNNNNNNNNNNNNNNNNNNNNNNNNNNNNNNNNNNNNNNNNNNNNNNNNNNNNNNNNNNNNNNNNNNNNNNNNNNNNNNNNNNNNNNNNNNNNNNNNNNNNNNNNNNNNNNNNNNNNNNNNNNNNNNNNNNNNNNNNNNNNNNNNNNNNNNNNNNNNNNNNNNNNNNNNNNNNNNNNNNNNNNNNNNNNNNNNNNNNNNNNNNNNNNNNNNNNNNNNNNNNNNNNNNNNNNNNNNNNNNNNNNNNNNNNNNNNNNNNNNNNNNNNNNNNNNNNNNNNNNNNNNNNNNNNNNNNNNNNNNNNNNNNNNNNNNNNNNNNNNNNNNNNNNNNNNNNNNNNNNNNNNNNNNNNNNNNNNNNNNNNNNNNNNNNNNNNNNNNNNNNNNNNNNNNNNNNNNNNNNNNNNNNNNNNNNNNNNNNNNNNNNNNNNNNNNNNNNNNNNNNNNNNNNNNNNNNNNNNNNNNNNNNNNNNNNNNNNNNNNNNNNNNNNNNNNNNNNNNNNNNNNNNNNNNNNNNNNNNNNNNNNNNNNNNNNNNNNNNNNNNNNNNNNNNNNNNNNNNNNNNNNNNNNNNNNNNNNNNNNNNNNNNNNNNNNNNNNNNNNNNNNNNNNNNNNNNNNNNNNNNNNNNNNNNNNNNNNNNNNNNNNNNNNNNNNNNNNNNNNNNNNNNNNNNNNNNNNNNNNNNNNNNNNNNNNNNNNNNNNNNNNNNNNNNNNNNNNNNNNNNNNNNNNNNNNNNNNNNNNNNNNNNNNNNNNNNNNNNNNNNNNNNNNNNNNNNNNNNNNNNNNNNNNNNNNNNNNNNNNNNNNNNNNNNNNNNNNNNNNNNNNNNNNNNNNNNNNNNNNNNNNNNNNNNNNNNNNNNNNNNNNNNNNNNNNNNNNNNNNNNNNNNNNNNNNNNNNNNNNNNNNNNNNNNNNNNNNNNNNNNNNNNNNNNNNNNNNNNNNNNNNNNNNNNNNNNNNNNNNNNNNNNNNNNNNNNNNNNNNNNNNNNNNNNNNNNNNNNNNNNNNNNNNNNNNNNNNNNNNNNNNNNNNNNNNNNNNNNNNNNNNNNNNNNNNNNNNNNNNNNNNNNNNNNNNNNNNNNNNNNNNNNNNNNNNNNNNNNNNNNNNNNNNNNNNNNNNNNNNNNNNNNNNNNNNNNNNNNNNNNNNNNNNNNNNNNNNNNNNNNNNNNNNNNNNNNNNNNNNNNNNNNNNNNNNNNNNNNNNNNNNNNNNNNNNNNNNNNNNNNNNNNNNNNNNNNNNNNNNNNNNNNNNNNNNNNNNNNNNNNNNNNNNNNNNNNNNNNNNNNNNNNNNNNNNNNNNNNNNNNNNNNNNNNNNNNNNNNNNNNNNNNNNNNNNNNNNNNNNNNNNNNNNNNNNNNNNNNNNNNNNNNNNNNNNNNNNNNNNNNNNNNNNNNNNNNNNNNNNNNNNNNNNNNNNNNNNNNNNNNNNNNNNNNNNNNNNNNNNNNNNNNNNNNNNNNNNNNNNNNNNNNNNNNNNNNNNNNNNNNNNNNNNNNNNNNNNNNNNNNNNNNNNNNNNNNNNNNNNNNNNNNNNNNNNNNNNNNNNNNNNNNNNNNNNNNNNNNNNNNNNNNNNNNNNNNNNNNNNNNNNNNNNNNNNNNNNNNNNNNNNNNNNNNNNNNNNNNNNNNNNNNNNNNNNNNNNNNNNNNNNNNNNNNNNNNNNNNNNNNNNNNNNNNNNNNNNNNNNNNNNNNNNNNNNNNNNNNNNNNNNNNNNNNNNNNNNNNNNNNNNNNNNNNNNNNNNNNNNNNNNNNNNNNNNNNNNNNNNNNNNNNNNNNNNNNNNNNNNNNNNNNNNNNNNNNNNNNNNNNNNNNNNNNNNNNNNNNNNNNNNNNNNNNNNNNNNNNNNNNNNNNNNNNNNNNNNNNNNNNNNNNNNNNNNNNNNNNNNNNNNNNNNNNNNNNNNNNNNNNNNNNNNNNNNNNNNNNNNNNNNNNNNNNNNNNNNNNNNNNNNNNNNNNNNNNNNNNNNNNNNNNNNNNNNNNNNNNNNNNNNNNNNNNNNNNNNNNNNNNNNNNNNNNNNNNNNNNNNNNNNNNNNNNNNNNNNNNNNNNNNNNNNNNNNNNNNNNNNNNNNNNNNNNNNNNNNNNNNNNNNNNNNNNNNNNNNNNNNNNNNNNNNNNNNNNNNNNNNNNNNNNNNNNNNNNNNNNNNNNNNNNNNNNNNNNNNNNNNNNNNNNNNNNNNNNNNNNNNNNNNNNNNNNNNNNNNNNNNNNNNNNNNNNNNNNNNNNNNNNNNNNNNNNNNNNNNNNNNNNNNNNNNNNNNNNNNNNNNNNNNNNNNNNNNNNNNNNNNNNNNNNNNNNNNNNNNNNNNNNNNNNNNNNNNNNNNNNNNNNNNNNNNNNNNNNNNNNNNNNNNNNNNNNNNNNNNNNNNNNNNNNNNNNNNNNNNNNNNNNNNNNNNNNNNNNNNNNNNNNNNNNNNNNNNNNNNNNNNNNNNNCCGAACCUGGGUUUUCCUCCAAUGCUAUUUUCAUGCAAAAACUCAUUUAGUUUCAUACUUUAAAACCAUUAAAAACAUAAAAACAUUUCAUAAAACAUGUCUUUACCCUUCUAGAAGUUCCCGACAUCCGAAAUUCCACCGGACGGUAGGAAUUCCGAUACCGGAGUCUAGCCGGGUAUUACAGUGACAUUUUGAUAAAUAUAAAAUGAUGAUUUAUCAAUAUUCUUAAUAAUGGAAUAAUAUUUAUUUAUUACGCUAUAUAAUUUGAAAUUAGAAAGAGUUGUUAUAAUAGAGUAACUUGAAAGUGUACUUUGAGUUAUUAGUUUACUCAAUUUAUAAAGAUUAUAUUGGUUUUUUUAAUUUGAAACUAUAUGAUGUUUUUUAAGUUAAGUAAUUUCUAUUUCAUGUAUUUAUGUUUAUUAUGCAUUUGUAUUUAUUGUUCUGAAUUAAAUUUAAUCAAUAUCAUUUCAUUUAUGAACUUUGUAAAUUUUUUUUGAGAAGUUUGCAACUUUUUUUGAAAAGUUUGUGUAGCGUUAGGCCGUUACCGUUACUCAAUUGAGACCGGGAUUUAAAACUAUGUUUAAAUUGAAAACAUUUUUGUUUCUGUACUUUUUCAAGGAAUGGAUCAAGAUUGUUCAUACUUAAUGCUUGAAUUUCUAUUAUCCUCAUAAUUUGUGGUUGUGUGAUUUCUGGACUCAUCGAGUGUUUAUGUUGUUGAUUCCUAUAAACCUGGCAGCAGGAAAGUCGGGGAGAAUUUCUUUACCCUUUAUUUUGUGUUCCUGUCAAUUAAAUUUAUAUAUACCUUGUUAUUAGGUAUAUUGAACUGGUUUCUGGAUGUGUAUAUUUGCAUUUGUUUUCAGCUUAUUGUUUGAGGAAAAUGUUGGCGAGGAAUGAUCUGUCUUCUUGCCUCUUCUAAUAUAUAUCCUGUUCAUUAUAGAACCCUCUGAGUGAAUAGUGUUGUAAUUUUUUUUUUUUGCCGCCUCCUGAUCAGGUUUCUUUGAUUCAAGUGUUUCUCAAAACUAGACAUGGAACAUUUUGAGAUUAUGAUAUGGGAUUGGAAGCUCUCUGUGUCCCCCUGACCUCAUCUCUCUCCGUUGCUCUCUUCUAAAAAGAAGACUUCCUUUUGCCGUAAUCAUUACUUUAUUCAGCUUGGUGAGUGCAUUGAAAAAUCCUUGGGGCCUUCCAGUGCGUUAUUCUGGCAGCUUGUGAACAGGGAAGUCUUUGCCCAAGUCUUUGGAUUAAAAUGUGCUGGAGACAAUGGUACUCUGUCCGUCUUAUUCCACUAUAUGGUCUCAAAGAUGCACUUACUUGUGUCUCCAGGUUCCCUUGAGAUUAGCUGUAUAGAAGGAGAAGAUGUUUAUGGAGGGGAGUAUUCUAGUCCUCUGCUCAUGUUAUGUUGGGGAUAUCGGGUGUGGUUUUCUUCUUGUUUGUUUUAAUGGUUCAGAUAUGUUUUGUGGGGGUUGAUUCUAAAGAACUAGUAGUAAUUUUUUUGGAUUCCGUCAAUGUGGUGGACUAAUGGGUUUGUGAGGGGAAGAACUUUUGCAUCCAUUUAAUGUUGGCUCUUUGAUUACAGGCAUGAGCUUGCAUCUUCUGCAACUCAUCAUUUGCGAAUACGUUGACAGGCUUGAUCAGGAAGUCUUUUGUGCCUUGUCCUUCUGUUGGAAGUUUUUCUUCUUAAGUAUCAAAUUUUUUUCCACUUAAGAGAAGGUUUUGGGUGUUGUCGUUCUGAGGUUUGUGGUGUGAUUUCCAGGAUCGAGUAGCAUUUUUUGGGGUCGAUUCCUUUGUGCAUCGUUCGAGCUGUUGGCUGGGUGGUUGGGGAGAUAUUUUCACCCCUUAUAACUAGUUUCGUAGUCUUUAUUUUUGUACGUGUUCCCAGCUUUUUAUUUGAGGAUGUCAAAGCAAGAAUGAGUGUUCAGGGGGUUGUCUUGCCUCUUCCAAUAUUGGUUCUUUCUUUGUAUCAAGUAGCGUGAGUGUUGUUAUAACUUUGAGAUCUUUCCUUGACAGGUUUCCUUGAUUGCAGUGUUAAAUUGUGGAGCAUAAUGAAACCAAUUGGAUGAUAUCUUGGAAGUAUUCUCUUCUUCUUCUCCUCCUCUUUCGUGUUUUUCUUUUUUUUUUUUUUCNNNNNNNNNNNNNNNNNNNNNNNNNNNNNNNNNNNNNNNNNNNNNNNNNNNNNNNNNNNNNNNNNNNNNNNNNNNNNNNNNNNNNNNNNNNNNNNNNNNNNNNNNNNNNNNNNNNNNNNNNNNNNNNNNNNNNNNNNNNNNNNNNNNNNNNNNNNNNNNNNNNNNNNNNNNNNNNNNNNNNNNNNNNNNNNNNNNNNNNNNNNNNNNNNNNNNNNNNNNNNNNNNNNNNNNNNNNNNNNNNNNNNNNNNNNNNNNNNNNNNNNNNNNNNNNNNNNNNNNNNNNNNNNNNNNNNNNNNNNNNNNNNNNNNNNNNNNNNNNNNNNNNNNNNNNNNNNNNNNNNNNNNNNNNNNNNNNNNNNNNNNNNNNNNNNNNNNNNNNNNNNNNNNNNNNNNNNNNNNNNNNNNNNNNNNNNNNNNNNNNNNNNNNNNNNNNNNNNNNNNNNNNNNNNNNNNNNNNNNNNNNNNNNNNNNNNNNNNNNNNNNNNNNNNNNNNNNNNNNNNNNNNNNNNNNNNNNNNNNNNNNNNNNNNNNNNNNNNNNNNNNNNNNNNNNNNNNNNNNNNNNNNNNNNNNNNNNNNNNNNNNNNNNNNNNNNNNNNNNNNNNNNNNNNNNNNNNNNNNNNNNNNNNNNNNNNNNNNNNNNNNNNNNNNNNNNNNNNNNNNNNNNNNNNNNNNNNNNNNNNNNNNNNNNNNNNNNNNNNNNNNNNNNNNNNNNNNNNNNNNNNNNNNNNNNNNNNNNNNNNNNNNNNNNNNNNNNNNNNNNNNNNNNNNNNNNNNNNNNNNNNNNNNNNNNNNNNNNNNNNNNNNNNNNNNNNNNNNNNNNNNNNNNNNNNNNNNNNNNNNNNNNNNNNNNNNNNNNNNNNNNNNNNNNNNNNNNNNNNNNNNNNNNNNNNNNNNNNNNNNNNNNNNNNNNNNNNNNNNNNNNNNNNNNNNNNNNNNNNNNNNNNNNNNNNNNNNNNNNNNNNNNNNNNNNNNNNNNNNNNNNNNNNNNNNNNNNNNNNNNNNNNNNNNNNNNNNNNNNNNNNNNNNNNNNNNNNNNNNNNNNNNNNNNNNNNNNNNNNNNNNNNNNNNNNNNNNNNNNNNNNNNNNNNNNNNNNNNNNNNNNNNNNNNNNNNNNNNNNNNNNNNNNNNNNNNNNNNNNNNNNNNNNNNNNNNNNNNNNNNNNNNNNNNNNNNNNNNNNNNNNNNNNNNNNNNNNNNNNNNNNNNNNNNNNNNNNNNNNNNNNNNNNNNNNNNNNNNNNNNNNNNNNNNNNNNNNNNNNNNNNNNNNNNNNNNNNNNNNNNNNNNNNNNNNNNNNNNNNNNNNNNNNNNNNNNNNNNNNNNNNNNNNNNNNNNNNNNNNNNNNNNNNNNNNNNNNNNNNNNNNNNNNNNNNNNNNNNNNNNNNNNNNNNNNNNNNNNNNNNNNNNNNNNNNNNNNNNNNNNNNNNNNNNNNNNNNNNNNNNNNNNNNNNNNNNNNNNNNNNNNNNNNNNNNNNNNNNNNNNNNNNNNNNNNNNNNNNNNNNNNNNNNNNNNNNNNNNNNNNNNNNNNNNNNNNNNNNNNNNNNNNNNNNNNNNNNNNNNNNNNNNNNNNNNNNNNNNNNNNNNNNNNNNNNNNNNNNNNNNNNNNNNNNNNNNNNNNNNNNNNNNNNNNNNNNNNNNNNNNNNNNNNNNNNNNNNNNNNNNNNNNNNNNNNNNNNNNNNNNNNNNNNNNNNNNNNNNNNNNNNNNNNNNNNNNNNNNNNNNNNNNNNNNNNNNNNNNNNNNNNNNNNNNNNNNNNNNNNNNNNNNNNNNNNNNNNNNNNNNNNNNNNNNNNNNNNNNNNNNNNNNNNNNNNNNNNNNNNNNNNNNNNNNNNNNNNNNNNNNNNNNNNNNNNNNNNNNNNNNNNNNNNNNNNNNNNNNNNNNNNNNNNNNNNNNNNNNNNNNNNNNNNNNNNNNNNNNNNNNNNNNNNNNNNNNNNNNNNNNNNNNNNNNNNNNNNNNNNNNNNNNNNNNNNNNNNNNNNNNNNNNNNNNNNNNNNNNNNNNNNNNNNNNNNNNNNNNNNNNNNNNNNNNNNNNNNNNNNNNNNNNNNNNNNNNUUGUAUUUUACUUAAACUGCUUUGAAUUGUACCCAUGAGUUGCCGUUUGAAGUAAUCAGAUCUUCUCAGUGAUCUUAGUUGGUUAUGUUGGUGAGGUUGUAUGGUAUAAUUCCUCAAUUUGUGGCAUCACCCAGUUUAAGGAGCUUGCUAUUUGUAUGGG
RNAcentral lists this long non-coding RNA (431132 nucleotides) under Manihot esculenta (cassava). Its description in RNAcentral is "long non-coding RNA (MESC_LNC003025)". The stretch from base 291167 to 291240 matches the Rfam family "tRNA". Lineage: Eukaryota; Viridiplantae; Streptophyta; Magnoliopsida; Malpighiales; Euphorbiaceae. The record is from RNAcentral.